Molecule: long non-coding RNA, 480156 nt
Filed under: Solanum lycopersicum (tomato)
Lineage: Eukaryota; Viridiplantae; Streptophyta; Magnoliopsida; Solanales; Solanaceae
Description: long non-coding RNA (SLYC_LNC000014)
Source: RNAcentral
ACGAAAUAAAGAGUUAUUUAGAAACUUCCAAUGAUUCAUAUAAGUUAGAUAAAAUAAAAGUUAGAAGUUAACAGAAAAUAUCACAAAAUCACGAUAUCAUGAAAACAAAGUGCGAAUAUAACUUGGACAGUUAUAAGUCCACUUGCUGCUUCUUGUUUGCUGUUUGAUGUUAUUUCCGAACUUCUUAAGUCCGAAAAAUGCUAUUUCCAGCCCUUUGAGGCUGCUGCAAAUCUGCUUUACUUUGAUCAAAUUGGCCAAAAUACUAGCUUCCCUUACACGAUUUUGACGAAGAUCGACUCAAAUAGCGGAGGAUGCAAGAGAUGGGGAGUCCGUUGGACACAACUGGAGAAAGUCCAUGCAAAAAAAAAUGAUGAAAACAAAGAUUAGCAAAACAAUCAAGUAGAAAACUAAUGAAGCUUAAUGAAAAGCAAAUGAUAAAAUUCAAUCAAAUAUUAGGAGUUAUGUUCAGGAAGUCAAAACAAUACAUAUGAAGCUACAGAAAGAUAACUAACUUGAUCAAAUAAUUUGACUAUAUGUACUUGCAACUCAAAAUUUCCAGUAAACAAAAGCGUGCAGAAAGUUGUAAAAAAUAAAUAAAUAAGAUAUCUGCCAACUUUUGUCUAAUAUGAUUGAACAUAGAUAAACAAAAAGGCAAGCCCAUCACAUAUAUCUCUCAGCUAAUCCAUUCAAUAAUUAAUUAAGACUAACUUUUUCCAGAAAACAUAAUUAAAACUGAAGAAACCUAUCCCCUAGAACAAGAACCAGGUUCUUGUAAGUUGGUUUAAGUCAAAACACAAACACUUGUUAAAUUAAAAACCUUCCUCAAUCAAGGAAGGAAAAACCUCGUUUUAUUAAAUCAACCAGAUGAUUUUUAUGAUCACAACUCAAUAAUCAAUAACCACACCACUACAACAACUCUCGAUUAACUAGUUAAAACAAUAACACUAGAUUGUAACUAAAUUAAUCCCAAGUAACAUAGAAAAGGAAUUAAACCAUAAAUUUAGCUGGUGCAAGAUAGUUGAACUAAUCUACACAAAACAUGAGAUGUGUAGGACUACCAAAAAAAAAACUAGCAGUUAAUCUCAACAGAUCAAUAUAUGUUUAAAGAUAAACUAAUUUAAAUGCAAUUGGAUCAAAGUUUUAACCAAUUUUAAUUUAUUUUAUAAGAAAAAUGAACAGAGACAAGGAAAAUACUUGAUAAUCUUGCACCAAAAUAAUUUGCCAAAUUCAAACAAGGAUCUCAUUACAGUUAAUCGAUCACAUAAGACAACUUAAGAUCACUCAACAUAUGUUAUCAUUUAAACAGACAAGAGGCUUAUGUUUAACCUGGAAAACAGAACCAAAAAUGAGAAUGAGCUAACACCUAGGAAGAUCAACGACAAAUAAUAAAUGCAAAGGAUUGCAAUUUAAAGAAGAAAUAACAAAUUUCUACUAUAAAAAGAAUUACUCUAAAAUAUCAAGAGAACUAAAAAAUGACUUAAAAUAUAAUGAACACUUUUCUGUGAACUUUAAAGAAUCUGAAAAUAAUAACAUGCAACACAAGCUUUCUUCUCUAAAUUAUUGCCCAAAAUAAGACAUCAAACUUAUACACACAUGGAACAAGACAUUAAAGGAAUAAAACCAAGACAAACUUGAAAGAAAACCUGUACAAACUUCUAUCCAUAUUGUACUUCAAUCAAGACAAAUAAACUUCAACAAGAAACAACUAUUGGCAAAAAACAGAACAAACUUUCGCAACACGACAAAGGAGUAACUAUAGAACUAACGGGGAUCAACAUAGUAUUCUCAGACCAAGCAACCUAAUAUGAAAGAAUACGCCAAUAGCAAGAAAUCAACACAAAUGAAUAUAAGAGGGUUGAGUGAAACAAGAAGCUCGAUUGAAUUGAAAUGCAAGGUGAGAACAUGAAUGGAAGUUAAUCCUAAUAGAACCAAUGAGUGAUAUUAAUUCUAGUUUCUAGGCGGACAGUAGAAAAGUGGAGAACUAACUAUAAGGUCUACACAUAAUCAAGGUACAGAUGAGUCCAACAAGAGGAAAACAAAUGCAAAAAACAACAUAAGAAUUUGUUAAUAACUAGAAAUACAAAUUAAGCUAGGUGAAGCAGGUUUCAUGAAGUUACAAAUUCAAACCAGAUGAUCACAAUGCUAGUCUAUAUUCGCUUCAAAUCAAAGAUGGAAAACAGAUUGUUAACUAGACAAAGAAAGGGAAGAGCUCAGCCUGAGCUAAGACAACUUUUAACCAAAAGAAAGAUAAUCAAACUGCCAACUCUGGAUUGAUACGAACUUAUUCCGUAUGAAGAAACCGAUAAUACAUUAAGCAACAAAUUUUUAAAGAAGAACAGGAACCAGAAAAUGAUGCAAAUAGAGGAGGGGAACAAGAUCAUAUCUCGACUACAAUAAUUCGAAUUACGUAAGAAUGUAAACUACUUCCACGAGUUUUAAGUGAACAUGAUGAGAAGUUAUUAUAACACAUCUAAACGAGAAAGAAAACAAUCAAACACAAGUAAUCAUUGGAGGAAACAGAACAACGCAGCCAUCAAACUCAAUGUUGAAACCAAAGACAUAAAAAAUGGGAACUCACAGAAAUGCUUUGAGCUGAGAGGAUAACAAGCUAAGGGGGUCAUACACAUACUAAAAGGAAGCUUAGCAAAUUUUAACACACAAUCUGAUAGGCAGCCCGAAGAUGAACCAAAUAAAAUGAGAAGCACAACAUUCCAAAGACCAUAAGAAGAUUAACAAUGAACAAAGAAAGAACAAAACUCUACACAUUAAUACUACUAAACAAAACAAGAAAGAAACCAUCAACAUUUAAGCUACCAAGGACGUAAUUAAACUGAACAAGACACGAAAAUAAUUCCUAAACUAAAGUAACUGACGACCAAACUGAUAGAAUCUGGUAUUUUGAUGAUAGACAAGAAAUGCAAAUAUUAAUGCAAAUAAUUUUCAUAGCCAAUUAACACAGUAUCGUAGCCAGUAUUGCAGCCAUCAGUGAAGAUACAAGUUGAUACAAAUAAGGAAACCUUAAUAUAUUUUAUUAAGUCAUGAAGUUGUAUAUAAAAAGAGUUGUACAAUAAAAGGUAAAAUCAGUACUCCUUGUUUAACUACAAUUACAAUUUCCUUACCUUAUUUGAUAAGGAUUUAAGACGCAAGAAAGCAGCAGGAAUAUCUAUAAAGGGAGAUCAAACGCAGAAGAGCAAAUGUCACGACCCAAAACGAAUCGUGAGUGGCACCCACACUUUGCCUACUAGGUGAGCGAACCAACAAAUCUAAACCCCAACAUUUACCAAUAGUUCAACUAUAAUUAACAAAAAUAAUGCGGAAGACCCAAAACUUAUUAAUGUAACCAAGUAAAUAAGCUUCUAAAGUUUAACACUUAUUAUACCCAAAAUCUGGAAGUCAUCACAUCAAGAACAUCUAUCCUCAAAUUACCAAGUCUAAGAGUAUUUUAAGAAACCAAAAUAAGUAAAAAGAUGGUCCAUGUUCGAAAUUCAAAGACAUCAAGACGUGAAGGAGAGAAUCCAGCACGAGCUAGGAAUAAUAGCUCACCCCGAACUCUGAUGUGCUGAAGAUUGGCUAGAGCUGAGGGCGAGUCGAAGUCGAUGACACACUUGUUGUACUCCACAAAAUAACAAAGAAGAAAAUACAAGAAGGGUCAGUACAAGGAACACGUACUGAGUAAGAAUCAUCGGCCAACUCAAAAUAGAAAAUAAUAUAUACUGAAUAAUAAUAUAAAAUCAACUACAAUACAUAAUAGGUGGAAAGCAACAAACACAUGAACCAUUGAGAACAACACCAUAAUAGGUACACCAUCAAUCACAACAUCAACCACACCUAUGAGGACUCAUACCUCCACACCAUACUCAUUUGGGAAAUAGGUUCUUUGAAUUUGAGUAUAUUAAGAUAAUUCAAGAUUCCAUUCCUUUAAUGUUAUCGUGUCGGAACGUGACACUUCGAUCCCAUAUACCGUGUCGGAACAUGACACUCCGAUCCCAUAAUACCGUGUCGGAACGUGACACUCCGAUCCCAUAAUACCGUGUCGGAACGUGACACUUCGAUCCAAUUAUCUCAUUAUUUAUUUCAUCAAGUCUUCUUUAUUCAAGGUGUCAUUUUAAUAGAGAGGGUUCAAGAUUAGAAAUUCAACAAUCUCAUAAUUUUAGGCCAACCACAAACCACACAAACAAAACAUACAACCACACAAUCAAGUACAUAGGAGACUUUACAAUAUCACUCAAUACAUAUCGAUCGCUAUUUAGAGUUUAUCUAUCACAUAGAUAUAAACCAUAACCUACCUCCACCGAAGAAUUGAAGUCGAGUAACUACUUCUCCAAUGCCUUUCCUUUCCUUAUUGCCUCCGAACCUUUCCAAUCUAUCAAGUAUAUAUAUAUGCACAAUUUGUAAGUUAACGAGUCUAUAAACACUCAGAUUAGUCUAUGUUUAGCCUAGACCCAAACACUCACCUAAUUAUAUAAUCAAUUUUUCAAAAUUCAAACCUAAGAAUAGAUCUUAAUUCCUUCCAUUAACAUCACUUUAAUGUAACUUAUACUAUACCUUAAAAUUAACCAAAUUAAACUAACUAAUGUUAUCUAAUUACGGUAAAAUUGUUUCGUCUCAAAUCACAAUUUCCUAUCCACUAACAUAAAUUCUUGACCAUCAAGAUGCCAUAAUUAUCCCCCAAUUGUGUGACUGCCUAUACUCGAACAAACCCACAACAAAUUGUCAACUUUCGAUCAGAACGUUCCUCAACUUUGUACUAUUCAAUUUCUCUUUAAUCUUUUUCCACUAUUCAUCAUAAAGACUCGCAAACGAUAAUUAAUCAACGAUUAUAUAUGUUAACUAUUAACAAAGAAGAUUACCUCUAAAAUAACUCCAAGUUGAUCUUUGGUGUAGCCGCACAACCUUCCCCUCACUUGGUUUUUACGCGUCUAUAUUUCCUCUUUUCUACAGAUUAGUUAUCAGCCUAAUUGUAUAGUUUUAAAAUUAUAAAAGUGACCCACUAUUAAUUUUAAAGUUAUCUCCUUUAACCCCCAACUAACUCAAUUAUUAAAACUACCCCACAAAUUUCAUAAUUAUAAUUACGAAUAGUCCAAAACACCCAUUUAAAAUUUAGCGGAAGUCUGACCACAUGUGGGGUUAUGCAGCUUGUGACGGUCCGUCUUGCAGAUUCGUCACGAAGUUCAGAGAAGUAAUCCCAGUACCCAGAUUCCAAGAGUUGAAGUGUUUUGGAAUGAAGACGUUCGACGGACCGUUGUGCCUAUGACGGUUCGUCAUACUUGCCGUCGAGGGUAGUGAAGAGAGAAGCAGAAGAAAUUGCACAAGUAUGGGACGACGGAGUCCAUGACGGUCCGUCAUGACCAUGACGAUCCGUCGCGUGGUUCGUCGACCCAGUAAGUAUUUAUCAAAAAUAAUUCUACUGCUCAAACCGACUAAAUGGGUUGUUACAAUAGAUACCAAUUUACCCAUCGUUUGUCCUCGAAUGAUCACAGGAAGAAAAGGGAGGGCGAGAAAGAGUACCUGAAUUUGUAAAAAGACGUCGAUAUCUUUCUUUCAUAUCGACCUCACUCUCCCAUGUGGACUCUUCAACUGGCCGAUCCUUCCACUGAACCUUGAUAGAUGCAAUCUCCUUUGAUCUCAACUUGCGGACCUCCCUAUCUUGAAUAGCAAUAGACUCUUCCUCAUAAGACAGAUUCUCAUCAAGAAGAAUUGAAUCCCAACAAAUAAUAUAAUUUCCAUCACCAUGGUAUUUUUUCAGCAUAGACACAUAAAAUACCGGGUGCACUCCUGACAACCCUGGAGGCAAUGCCAAUUCAUAGGCCACAUCCCCCACGCGCUUCAAAACUUCAAAUGGACCAAUAUACCUCGGACUAAGCUUACCUCGCUUACAAAACUGCAUCACACCUUUCAUGGGUGAAUCCUUGAGCAAGACUUGUUCACCCUCCAUAAAGUCCAAGUCCCUAACCUUUCGAUCUGCAUAUUCUUUCUGCCUACUCUGAGCUGCUAGAAACUUCUCCUGAAUGAAUUUUACUUUAUCUAACGAUUCCCUCAAAAGAUCGGUACCCCAAGGUCUCACCUCAAAUGCAUCAAACCAACCAAUGGGAGACCUACAUCUCCUCCUAUAUAGUGCCUCAAAUGGAUCCAUAUCAAUACUUGAGUGAUAGUUAUUAUUGUAUGAAAACUCUACUAAGGGUAAGAAUUUAUCCCAAUGACCACCAAAUUCUAUCACACAUGCACGAAGCAUAUCCUCCAACACCUGAAUCGUUUGCUCAGACUGACCAUCGGUCUGAGGGUGAAAUGCAGUACUAAGAUCCAACCUAGUACCUAAUUCAGCAUGUAAUGUUCUCCAAAACAUAGAAGUAAAUUGCGUACCUCUAUCUGAUAUGAUGGAAAGUGGAACUCCCUGCAAUCGAACAAUUUCUGAGAUAUAGAGUUUGGCUAACUUCUCUGCAUUGUAUGUUAUCUUGACCGGAAUGAAGUGAGUAGACUUAGUUAACCUGUCAACAAUUACCCAAAUAGAAUCAAACUUACCCAAUGUCUUUGGAAGACUAACCACGAAAUCAAUUGCAAUUCUUUCCAACUUCCAUUCAGGAAUGGACAUUCUCUGAAGUGUCCCUCCGGGCAUCUGGUGUUCGUACUUUACCUGCUGACAAUUCGGGCAUUGGGCAACAAAAUCAACAAUGUCACGCUUCAUUCUACUCUACCAAAAAUGUUGCUUUAGGUCACGAUACAUCUUGGUUGCACCGGGAUGUAUAGAAUACCAUGAACUAUGAGCCUCUAUAAGAAUAGUGUGAAUCAAAUCAUCAACACGGGGCACACAUACCCUUCCCUUAAUUCUCAAAACGCCUAUCUCAUCAAUUAUUGCCUCUUUAGACUCUCAUCACAAUACCAUAUCUCGAAUUUGGCUCAGCUUCUCAUUAGCAAACUUCUUUCCCUUAAUCUUGUCAAGAAAAGAAGAUUUUGCCUCCACACAGGCUAAAAAUCCUCCUUUCUCUAGUUUUUCUAGCCUCAUAAAGUCAUUAGCCAAAGUCUGAACCUCUCUAGCCAAUGGGCGUCUAGAAACCUGUAAGUGGGCUAAACUACCCAUGCUCUCUGCUUUUCUACUUAAAGCAUAUGACACAACAUUAGCUCUUCCUGGGUUAUACAAAAUAGUAAUAUCAUAGUCCUUCAAUAGUUCCAUCCACCUCCUCUGCCUCAAAUUCAAAUCUUUCUGAGUAAAGACAUACUGUAAACUACGAUGAUCUGUAUAAACUUCACACUUGACCCCAUAUAGAUAAUGUCUCCAUUGCUUUAAUGCAAAUACAACUGCAGCCAACUCCAAAUCAUGGGUCGGAUAUUUACGUUCAUGCACUUUUAAUUGCCUCAAAGCAUAAGCAAUUACAUUCCUCUCCUACAUUAGCACUGCACCCAAACCAGAAUAAGAUGCAUCACAAUAAACAAUAAAAUUCUUACUUUCCAUUGGCAAGGUAAGAAUUGGUGCAGUAGUCAACAACGUCUUGAGUUUCUGGAAGCUUUCUUCACAUUCGUCCGACCAUACAAAUGGAACAUUCUACUUAGUUAAAUUUGUCAGCUGGGAAGCAAUAGAAGAAAAUCCCUUGAAAAAUCGAUGGUAGUAGCUAGCUAAACCAACAAAGCUCCUUACCUCUGAAACAUUAGUAGGUCUUACCCAACUCUUCACUGCUUCAAUCUUAGAAGGAUCCACCAUCACUCUAUCCUUAGAAACCACGUGCCCCAAGAAGGACAUUGAAUCUAGCCAAAACUCACACUUGGAGAAUUUGGCAUAAAGCCUUUUCUCCCUCAACAACUCCAAUACAAUUCUCAAAUGUUCCUCAUGUUCUUUCCUGCUCUUUGAGUAUAUCAAAAAAUCAUCAAUAAAUACAAUAACAAAGAGAUCCAAAUAUGGCUUAAAAAUCUCGUUCAUCAGGCUCAUGAAAGCAUCAGGGGCAUUCGUAAGCCCAAAAGACAUUACUAAGAAUUCAUAAUGCCCAUACCUAGUUCGAAAAGCAGUCUUUGGAACAUUUGAUGCCCGUAUUUUCAAUUGGUGAUAACCGGACCUCAAAUCAAUUUUAGAGAAGACACAAGCACCUUGUAACUGAUCGAACAAAUCAUCAAUGCGAGGAAUUGGAUACUUGUUCUUAAUAAUUACCUUAUUCAGCUGCCUGUAGUCUAUGCACAUUCGAAAACUUUCAUAUUUCUUCUUCACAAAUAAAACAGUAGCACCCCAAGGGGAUGCACUCGGUCUAAUAAAACCUUUACCUAACAAUUCCUGAAGUUGGGCCUUCAACUCCCUUAACUCAGCUGGAGCCAUUCUAUAAGGGGGAAUGGAAAUGGGGCGAGUACCCGUCUCUAGAUCAAUACAAAAAUCAAUAUCCCUAUCCGGUGGAAUACCAGGAAGGUCUGCAGGAAACACAUCCACAAACUCACGGACUAUCGAAACAGGCUCGAUCGAAGAUACUUUGGAAGUAUCAUCACUGAGAUGUGCCAAGAAAGCUAAACAAUCCUUACUCACCAUCCUCCUAGCACGAAGAAAAGAGAUAGUAAGAACUGGAGUUGAAAUAUAGUCACCCUCCCACACUAGCGGAUCUGUCCCAGGCUUGGCCAAUGUCACAGUUUUUGCAUUACAAUCUAAGAUUGCAAAAUUUGGAGAAAUCCAAGUCAUACCCAGAAUUACAUCAAAAUCAACCAUCUCUAGAAUAAUCAAAUCUACAUAAGUAUUGCUCCCCACAAAAGUCACAAGGCAAGACCUAUACACCUUCUCAACUAUCAGAGACUCACCCACAGGAGUAGAGACACGAAUAGGCUUGUCAAACAAAUAACAAUAUAAAUCAAGACUAGUAGCAAAUGAGGAAGAUACAUAUGAAAAUGUGGAUCCAGGAUCAAAUAAUACAGAAGCCAUGCAAUCAUAGACCAAAAGAGUACCUGUGAUAACAGCAUCAGAUGUCUCUGCUUCAGACCUCCCGGGGAAAGCAUAACAAUGGGCCCUAUUACCUUUUUGUCCAUUGCCCCUACCAAGUUGUGCUGCAGUAGUUCCAACUUGCCCACCACCCCGACUGAUUUGGUGACCACCAUUACCUUUGCCACCACGUCCUCCAAAAUGGCGGCCUCUACCAUAACCACAUCUACCUCUAACUAUCGGGGGUCUGUAACUCUGUUUUGGACAAUAUUUCCUAAUAUAUCAAGUCUCUCCACAUCCAUAACAAUUUCUAGAGUCAAUCAUAGGUCUCUGUGAGAAUGACGAAGUCUGGGGACAACCUCCAAACUCAGAAAAAGACUGACUGGUCUGCGAUGGACCCCCAGCUAAAGCCUGCAGUGAAGACUGAAUAGGACGGGCUGGGUAACCUCCUGAACUCUGCCCUCUGGAGUAAGAACCACUAAACUCACCUCCCUUACGGAACUUCUUAAAUGUCAACGCCAUGGUGAAGUCGUCUGGCUUCACCCCCUCUACCUCUAUCACAAAAUCAACCACUUCCAGAAAGGAUUUUGCUGCAGCAGCUACCUGUAAGGCUGGGAUCCGAAAAUCUGACCUCAAUCCUUUCACAAAGCGACGAAUCCACUCUUGUGGACUGAAGCAAAGCUGAGUGGCAUACCUUGAUAGUGCACGAAAUUUGACCUCAUAAGCAGCAACGGACAUCCUUCCUUGCUCUAGGCUUAGGAACUCAUAUCUCUUUUAUCCGUCAAAGUCUGGGGUAUAUACUUCUCCCUAAAUAAGCUAGAAAAUAAUGCCCAAGUCAUGGGUGGUGCCUGUACUGGUUGACACUCAACAUACGACCGCCACCACAUUUUGGCAUCCCCCUGAAACUGAUAGGUCACAAACUCAACACCGAAUCGUUCUGCUAUGUCCAUCUUAUGUAGCAGCUCAUGACAAUCAACCCGAAAAUCAUAGGCAUCUUCAGAUUCAGCACCCUUAAAGACUGGAGGUUUUAACAUUAAGAACUUAAUGAAAAGUUCAUGUUGAUCACCGGUCAUUAUACAAUCGAGGAAAUGUGGCUAUUUCCAAUGAUGCAUCCAUGCGAGGAGCCACAGCAGCUGCAUGUUGUACUCCCAGAACCUGAGGUGGUGGUGCAGAAAACACUGGAGGUGUCUUGCCCUGAUAAGAUAACCCGCUAAGAUAAGUAAGAACCUGAUUAAUAAUCUCUGGGGUAGGCUGGGGUGGUAAUUCCUCAUCUUGAACCUGCUCAUUUUCCCCUUCCUCACCCUCUCUUACUACCUCAUUAGUCGGUGGAGGAGUCACUGCUCUAUUCCUCGCUGGACCAGGUGUUUGUCCUCUACCCCUAGUGGGCGUCCUCCUGCGACCUCUACCACGGCCUCUUGCCACUGCUCCUCCUCGAGUUACAACCCCAAUGAUUGGCUCAAACGCACCCUGUCUUGCCGGUGUUGGUGUUGGCACAGUUGUUGCUCUAGUUCUAACCAUCUGUGAAAUAGAGUGAGGAUGUCAGAUACCAAUUUGUGUAACCUAGAUACCAAUUGGAUCAAAGUAAUAGCACGAGAGAAAGAAAGAAUGGAGUUUUCCUAAAGUCCUAUAGCCUCUCGAAGAAAAUUAAAGGCGUCCCCAUACCGUUCCUUAAGACUCUACUUGACUUAUUCUUGUGUGAUAAGGCCAACGAACCUAACGCUCUGAUACCAAGUUUGUCACGACUCAAAACGAGUCGUGAGUGGCACCCACACUUUGCCUACUAGGUGAGUGAACCAACAAAUCUAAACCCCAACAUUUACCAAUAGUUCAACUAUAAUUAACAAAAAUAAUGCGGAAGACCCAAAACUUAUUAAUGUAACCAAGUAAAUAAGCUUCUAAAGUUUAAAACUUAUUAUCCCCAAAAUCUGGAAGUCAUCAAAUCAAGAGCAUCUAUCCUCAAAUUACCAUGUCUAAGAGUAUUUAAAAAACAAAAAUAAGUAAAAAGAUGGUCCAUGUCCGAAGUUCAAAGACAUAAAGACUUGAAGGAGAGAAUCCAACACGAGCUAGGAAAAAUAGCUCACCUCGAACUCUGAUGUGCUGAAGACUGGCUAGAAUUAAGGGCGAGUCGAAGUCAAUGGCACACUUGCUGCACUCCACAAAAUAACAAAGAAGAAAAUAUAAGUAGGGUCAGUACAAGGAACACGUACUGAGUGGGUAUCAUCGGCCAACUCAAAAUAGAAAACAAUAUAUAUUGAAUAAUAAUAUAAAAUCAAAUACAAUACUUAACAGGUGGCAAGCAACAAACACAUGAACCAUUGACAAAAACACCAUAAUAGGUACACCAUCAAUAACAACAUCAAGCACACCUAUGAGGACUUAUACCUCCACACCAUACUCAUUUUGGAAAUAGGUUCUUUGAAUUUGAGUAUAUUAAGAUAAUUCAAGAUUCCUUUCCUUUAAUGUUAUCGUGUCGGAACGUGACACUCCGAACCCAAAUACCGUGUCGGAACGUGACACUCCGAUCCCAUAAUACCGUGUCAGAACGUGACACUCCAAUCCCAUAAUACCGUGUCGGAACGUGACACUCAGAUCCAAUUAUCUCAUUAUUUAUUUCAUCAAGACUUAUUUAUUCAAGGCGUCAUUUUAAUAGAGAGGGUUCAGGAUUAGAAAUUCAGCAGUCUCAUAAUUUUAGGCCAACUACAAACCACACAAUCAAAGCAUACAACCACACAAUCAAGUACAUAGGAGACUUUACAAUAUCACUCAAUACAUAUCGAUCGCUAUUUCGAGUUUAUCUAUCACAUAGAAAUAAAUUAUAACCUACCUCCACCUAAGAAUAGAAGUCGAGUAACUACUUCUCCAAUACCUUUCUUUCCUUAUUGCCUCCGAACCUUUUCAAUCUAUCAAGUAUAUAUAUAUGCACAAUUUGUAAGUUAAUUAGUCUAUAAACACUCAGAUUAGUCUAUGUUUAGCCUAGACCCAAAAUCUCACCUAAUUAUAUAAUCAAUUUUUCAAAAUUAAAACCUAAGGAUAGAUAUUAAUUCCUUCCAUUAAAGUUACUGUAAUGUAACUUAUAUAAUAUACUAUACCUUAACAUUAACCAAAUUAAACUAACUAAUGUUAUCUAAUUACGGUAAAAUUGUUUCGUCUCAAAUCACAAUUUCCUAUCCACUAAAAUAAAUUCUUGACCAUCAAGAUGCCAUAAUAUCCCCCCAAUUGUCUUACCGCCUUUAAUCGAACAAACCCACAACAAAUUGUCAACUUUCGAUCAGUACGUUCCUCAACUUUGCACUAUUCAAUUUCUCUUUAAUCUUUUUCCACUAUUCAUCAUAAAGACCCGCUAACGAUAAUUAAUCCAUGAUUAUAUAUGUUAACUAUUGACAAAGAAGUUUACCUCUAAAAAAACUCCAAGUUGAUCUUUGGUGUAGCCGCACAACCUUCCCCUCACUUGGUUUUUACGCGUCUAUAUUUCUUUUUUUUCUACACAUUUGUUAUCACCCUAAUUGUAUAGUUUUAAAAUUAUAAAAAUGACCCACUAUUAAUUUUAAAGUUGUCUCCUUUAAUCCCCAACUAACUCAAUUAUUAAAACUACCCCACUAAUUUCAUAAUUAUAAUUAUGAAUAGUCCAAAACACCCAUUUAAAAUUUAGCGGAAGUUUGACCACAUGUGGGGUUACGCAGCUUGUGACGGUCCGUCGUAUCUAUGACGGUCCAUCCUGUAGGUUCGUCACGAUGUUCAGAGAAGUAAUCCCAGUACCUUGCUUCCAAGAGUAAAAGUGUUUUGGAACGAAGACGCUCGACAGACCGUUGUGCCUAUGACGGUUCGUCUUACUUGCCGUCGAGGGUAGAGAAGAGAGCAGCAGAAGAAAUUGCACAAGUAUGGGACGACAGAGUCCAUGACUGUCCGUCGUGACCAUGACGAUCCAUCGCGUGGUCCGUCGACCCAGUAUGUAUUUAUCAAAAAUAAUUCUACUGCUCAAACCGACUAAAUGGGUUGUUACAGCAAAACACGACUUUUACAUAGAGAGAGAGUUAUUCAUCAAGUGAAAUCCUUCAAGAUCGAUAGGUUUUGCUAAUUUCAAAGAAUUUCUUGAGUUAGAAAGUCUUGAAGAAGUUCUUGAGUUAGAAAGUCUUGAACGUGUAAAACUAUUUUCUUCAUUCAUUGUUGAGUUGGUAGUUACGUUUUUGUGCAAGAAGUGGUUUGGCUUUUGUAGAGCUGAGCUUUGGUGAGGUUUGUAACAAAAGGUGGAUUUGGCCUUUUGAAAUAGAAGUAGUUGAUUAUAGUUAAUCGAUAGUUGUUGUAGUGGUGAGGUUAUUGAUUACAUAAAAUCAUCUAGUUGAAUUAAUAAAACGAGAUUUUUGUUCCUUAAUUGAGGAAGGUUUUUAAUUUAACAAGUGUUUGUGUUCUGACUUAAACAAACUUACCGGGAUAGGUUACCUGAUUCUAGGCAGUGAACCGGGACCACAAGUUGAGAAGAUGACUCUACCUCUUCAACUCGAAAAGCCACAAAACAUUUUAAAAUAUUGAACUAUGGAACCAAGAAUUCCCAAAAAAAAAGGGUACUCUUUGGACUCCAAAUCCCCCUUUUGAACAUUGAAUAAGAAGACUAUUUAUAAGGGGAAACCGGAAAGGAACAAGGGGUCUGGAUCGAUGUGGGAGAAUCCCAAAUUCAAAAGCUAUCAUCAUACCAAUUGCCAAAAAAAUGAAGAGGACCGCUUUAUUAAGAGCAAAGGACGAAGGAGGAAUUGAGAUGCAAACACCUGGAUUUUCUCCAAUGUGGUACGACUACGAAUGGAUUAGGAUUGACGCGAAGCCACAAACGUGAUUUGGAUGCUCGUGAUUGUAGCAUUUCUGAGUUUCUUUUCUUUACUGGGUUUUUUCGCGUCUAUAAAAGACUCUAGGGUUGUUGAAUUUGUGGGAAUAAAAAGAUACAGGGUUGGGUUGGGUAUUUGGUAUUGUAUUGUUGGAUUAUGAACUGAGAAAUGGUCUUGGGUUUUGAGGAAUAAUUCGUAAUGGGCUGCAGGAAGGGUUGAAUACGACCCAGAAUUAGUCUUCAAGAAUUGCAACUCAAGUUAAAGGGGAUGACUAUAUUUGCAAUUAAACAUAUAACUAAUUGAGGUUGAAAAUUUAAUGGAUUUGAAAUCAAUAGGUACAUUCGGCCAAAUCUUAAUCAAGACGAAGUCAAACAAAAUUAAUUGACGAACUUCUUAAACUUAACGAAAAUGAAAUAAUUAACCUUAUCAUAAACUAAAUGGUUUAAAAAUUAUUGACAUAGUUUAAACUAAACUAAUUCAAUGAAAUACUUACUAAAAAUUAUAUUCUCUUUUUGAGAUAAUUUUCAAAAUAUUUAUAAAAUAUGCUAAUUAUAUAAAAAAUUAUAUAUCUAUAAAACAUAUAUACUACUUAAAAAUUAUAUAUAUGUUAAAAACUAAUUAAAAUAUUUUGAAUUUGAUAAAGUUAGUUAUUUCAAGUCGUUUGAAAAUUAUGAAACUCGAAAUUUAAUUCCAAUCACGGGAAGUCAAAAUUGGGUGUCAACAGUCGUACUUAGAAGGAUUUUCGUAUUUUGUUUUGUUAUUUCUAUCACCAAAUUCACCAGUUUUUCGUUAAUAGACAUCCUACAUCAUUUUUAUAUUAUAUUCUGUUAUCUCCGUCACCAAAUUCAUUGUUUUCUUCUACUGGAAUUACGCUUCAUGCUUACACAUCCAUAAAUUUCAAGUAGCAUCAAUACGUACCUUAUGGUACAAUAUAAACCUUGCAACAUGACAUAUGUUUUUUUUGUUAUUCCCAUCACCAAUUUCACCAGUCUUUUAUUGACUCUUAAUCUACUGCAAUUGUUUUUCUUUAUCGAGCUUUAGGACUAAGAGCUCAUGCACAAAAAUUUAAGUAAUACACAUCAUCAUUAGUGUCAAAGCCCGAUAUAUUAAAAAAGAGUCAACUAUCACCAGUUUAGUGAAAAAUAUAGAUACUAUGUGUUGUGUUGAAUCCCUAAAUAUUAUAUCAAAUGAUUAAAACUAUCCAUAUUCAUAUUUUUUCUAUAAAAAUUACCCCUCAUAAAAAAGAAUUUGUCGAAUACUUCAAAUAAAUCCUGAAAUCACGUUUUGAAUCAAUAAAAUUCUAUUGAGUGAAUAUAUGUUGUAAUUAGAAAGAGUCUCAGUAUUUUGUUUUAUUAUUUCCAUCACAAAUUCAGCAGUUUUACGUUAAUAGUCAACAUAUAUAUACUGAUACCAUCUUCCUCUAUUGUGGCUUCGCACUAAAAUCUCAUGCACAUAAAGUUUCAAUAAUAUUUAUCAUCAUCAAUGACAUAACAACAUGUAUUUAAAGGUGUCAACUAAUACCACUUCAUUGAAAAAAUAUAUUAUGUAGAUAUCUGAAAAGUUUUAUCACGGCAAUAAAAUCAGCUUUUAGAGACACAAAUAUACAAAUUUACAAAAAAUGCUAAAAUAUUUACCAGUAUUAGUUAUUUUUUAUUAUAUCAAAUGUCGUUAAAUGCUCUAGGAGAUUGACAAAGUGUGUUAAUUGUUGUUAUAUUUAGUGACAAUUAAGCUAUUAUAGUUAUUUAAUUGCAGCUAAAGAUCAUUUUUGGUGUACUGACAUAGUACGUAUUGAAUCCCUUUAUAUAUUUACUCGUAUAUUUUGUCAAAUUUUGUGUUUUUUAUUUCCACUUACAAAAUUAGCUGAUUUUACAUUAGUAGUCAACCUACUGCAAUCGUUUUCCUCUAACAAGGAUUAGGAUUGAGCUCAGGCCUGUCGUAAUAUCAAUAUUUACCUUGUGGUACAAUAUUAACCUUUCAACAUGGUAUAUAUAGUUUUGUUAUUCCCAAUAUCGGAUUCACCAAAAAAAAUUAUUGACUAUCAACCUAGUGCAAUUUUUUUUUUCUAUCAAGCCUUAGGACCAAAACUCAUUCUCAUAAAUAUUUAGUGGUAUAAUGCACAAGUAACCCCUCAACCUAUGCCCGAAAUCUUAUCGACACACUUAUAACAUACUAAGUUCCUAUUACCAUUUGAACUUAUUUUAUUAAUAAUUUUCAACCCCUUUUCGCUCUACGUGACACUAUCUUGCGUGUCUAAUACUGGGUGACUUUUUCUUUCAAGAUAGUUCCACGUAGGCCGAAAAUGGGUAGAAAAUUACUUAUAAAACAAGUUUAGGAGGUAAUAGGGUCAAAGUAUAGUAUAAAUGUGUCUCUGAGAUUUCGGGCAUAGGUUGAGGGGGUAUUUAUGCAUUUUUUCAAUAUUAAGAAAUACACAUUCUUAUGAGUGGCAAAGCCACAUGUAUUCAAAAAGAGUAAACUAAUACCAGUUCACGAAAAAAUAUAUAUAUUAUGUGUUGUGUUAAUCGCUAAAUAUUAUAUCAAAUGAUUAAUGACGAUUCAAAUUAAUAAUUUGAGUGGAUUAUCUUAAAAUUAACUUUCUAGGAAAAUAUUCAAUUAACAAACCUCAUUAAUUUCUUCUUACUUAAAAACAAUAGAGGCAAUAUUCAUUGAAGUAUUGCACUUAAUAGUCAAAUUUAACAACUUUAGUCAAAGUUCAAUUGAUUGAAUUAAUAAAUAUUAUCCCAAAUGAUUAAUGACAAUUUGAAUUCAUAUUUGAGUGAAUUAUCUUAGAAUUAACUUUCUAGGAAAAAAAUUCAAUUAAUAAACCUCAUUGAUUUCUUCUUACUUAAAAACAAAAAAGGCAAUAUUAAUUUGAUUAUUGCACUUAAAAGUCAAAUUUAGCAACUUUAGUCAAAGUUCAAUUGAUUUUACUAAUAAAUAUAUAUAAUAUGUAAUAAAAUUUAGUCAACACAUUAGUAACUUUCAUUAAAUAUGACUAUUUCAACCUGUCUAUAUAUAACCUCCGAAACAUUUCUUUGAAAAAAUAUAAUUUAAAAAAGAAUAUCCAAUGGAAGAUCCAACUAUCAUUGGAAGAGUAGAGUUGUUGGUUUCACCACUUUGUGGAAUUCCACAAUGAAGAGUUGCCUAUUUUUUAGAUCCAAUUUCUACUUCAACUGAAGGACCAAAGUCGAAAACUCAUUCAAUCCACAUUCCAUUUGAUCAAUCUGAGUGGCCAUUGAAAGUCACAUUUCAUGGUUGCAAUGGACGGAGGGAUCAACAAAGGAAAUUGAAAGAAUGGGUUGAAAUGAUGGAGUCUAUCCAUCGCCUGUAUUGAUAGUUGUAGGAAUUUAUGGAGCGCUAAAAAGGUUCAACUUAUAGAGUCCAUACCGACAAAAAUUUAAUAUUUGGGUUGGUAGAGAGGUGGUCUUGUGAGAUCAACAGUUUAAUGUUUCCGUGGGGUGAAGCUACUGUUAGUCUUGAAGACAUUAUGAUUUUUGGAGGGUUUUCUACUUUGGGUGAUUGUGUUAUGUCCCCACCCUUCAAUCCCCUGAGUUGGUAGAGAUGGAAGAGUAUCUUGAGAAUGCGAGAGGAGAACUUAUCAGAUCAAAGAGAAAUAAUCAGAGUAGGUGGUUGAAUUACUUCAUGAAUAGUGGUAAGGAGUACGAACACGAAGCUUUUCUUUUUCUUUGGUUAUCAAGAUUUGCGUUUCUGUGUAAAGUAGGUGCUCCUAUUUUCUCGAUAGUUGUUAAUCUAGCUAGAGGUAUGCGGCAAGCGCUUGCUCUUGCUGUUCUUGCUAGUAUAUAGGGACUUGGGCUCGUUGAGAAAGGCUAUGAUAGAGACAAGUAGAAGAAAUAGAGACAUAAUUGAGAUUUAUAAACUUAAUCUUUGGUCACCAUUGUUCUUUGUUUAAGUCUGGGCUUGGGAGAGGAUGUACCUUCUCAACCAGAGCUAUCUCGGAAUUACAAUAUAGUUAGUGGGGUUAGAUAAGGCCGAUGGUACAAUGUGAAACAAAUGGGUGAAACUAAUUUGAGGACUACUACUGACGCAUCUGGGGAGAUUUUUCUGUGAAGUCCAUAGGCCUUGGCUGUGGAAGGUUUGUCAAUUUUUCCCAAGUUUUACAAGGAAAUUGAAGCGUGGACAAUAGUUGGAGGGCUAAAUUUUGCUCAAGAAAUGGAGUCUUUCGUUCGAUGUUUGAGGGUGUCUAAGCUUGCUGGUUUAGAAUGUCAAGACCCUUAUCAACCAAAUCAGGUAGCAAUGCAGUUUGGAUAUGAUCAAGACUUCCCUAAAUGGAUUCCUCACUCGCCUUCAAGUCGAGAACUUGCCUGGUACAAUUACAGCAUACCUAUUGCUUCUGAUUUGAGGUUAUACUAUCCGUCUAGGAUGUUUGAACCGGAUGUAACAACACGGUAUUUGAAAUGGUGGAGAAAUGAAACUGAUCGUCAAAUGGAAAACUACCCUGAAGUUCCUCCUUGUUUUCCUCCCAAUUAUUGUUGGUAAAAUGACAAGAAGAAUUACCCUGGUUCGAAGCAUAAGCAUAUUGCAGAGGAAACAGUUCACACAUCCAUUGACUGCAGUGUAGUCCCCCUGCCAGGAAGUAUGGAAAGGAGCAAAGCUUCUAUGGUAACAGAAACGUAUACCAAAACAACUUAAGGCAAUAUGGCGAUGGGAAACCAUGAGAAAGGGAGUUGUAUCUAUGAUAUGAUUGAUAUUAUGAAACUUGAGAGGAGGAUUAGAAACCUUGAAAACAUCAAUUCUGGAAAGGUUCCAAUAUUCAGGACAAAGUGAAAACAAGAUUAAGCUAAAAUAUAGUAAGUUUUUGUUUUGUUCAUGAAGUUAUAUAUUAUAUUCUUCUUUAUUGCCUAGUACUCAGACAGUACUACUAGCUCGUUCUUCUCUUUAGGUCCUUUUGUAACUAUAUAUCUCAGGUAUAGUAAAAAAAAAUUACUUGAAUCAUGAAGCGUUUGUGGUUUCUAACUAUUUAGCUCUAUGAAGCGUUUAUGGCUGUUGCAAAAGAUAUAAUCACUAGCAUGUUUUUGUUCCCAGACUAACAAAUUUUUAUGAACGCAGAGUCCGAGAUUCUUUCUAAUUCUCUCCCUCCUUCAAUUAAACCAAGUUGAGUGACAAACAUCUUUUCUUAAGUGUGGAGAUUAGAGAAUAAAUUAACAGGAAAGGGAUGAGAUAAUAUUGAACUAAUUAAUUUGGUCAUAUUCUUCUCUGAAACUGUACUUAUUGCAGAUAGCCUUGACAAAAAAAAUAAACUUUUGAGCAUGUGUUUGUUUUAGGGGAUAUUUGCAAGACAGUUAUGGAGCUAUUUCGCAUGAUCAAUUUAGAUGCAUGGACCAACAUGGUAUUGUCUAUUCCAACUUGUUUGAAAUUGAGAUGCAGUAGUAGUAGUUAUUGUUUCAGUCUUGGUAUAAUGUUAUUUUUCAUAUUUUGUUUUGUUAUUUCCAUCAUUAAAUUCACCAAUUUUACGUUAAUAGUCAGCCUACUGCGAUCGUAUUAUGUAGAUAGGUGAUUUUUUUAUUGAUAUACGCAUUAAUUAUUGAAUCCCUUCAUAUACUUAAUCCUGUAUUUUCAUAUUAUGUUUUGUUAUCUCCGUCACCAAAUUCACUGUUUUCCUCUACUGGGAUUAGGGCUUAAUGCUUACGCAUAUGUAAAGUUCAAGUAGCAUCAAUAUGGACCUUAUGGUACAAUAUAAACCUUACAACAUGACAUAUUUUGUUUUGUUAUUCCCAUCACCAAAUUCUAUAUUCUUUUAAUUACCGUUAGCCUACUACAAUUGUUUUUCUUUAUCGAGCCUUAGGACUAAAACCUUAAGCAUGUAAAAUUUAAGUAAUACACAUCAUUAUUAGUGGCAAAGCCCGAUAUAGUAAACUAUCACCAAUUCACUGAAAAAUGUAGAUACUAUGUGUUGUGUUGAAUCCCUAAAUAUUAUAUCAAAUUAUUCAAAUGAUCCUAAUUCAUACUUUUUCUAUAAAAAUUAUCCCCUCACAAAGAAAAAAGAUUUUUGUGGAGUAUUUUAAAUGAUUCAUGAAAUCACGUUAUGAAUUAAUAAAUACAAUUGAAUGAAUAUAUAUGUUGUAAUUAGUAGGAUUAUCAGAAUUUUGUUUUGUUAUUUCCAUAACAAAUUCAUUAGUUUUACAUUAGCAAUCAGCAUACUACAAUCAUCUUCCUCUAUCGUGGCUUAGCACUAAAAUAUAAUGCAGAUAAAGUUUAAAUAAUAUUCAUCAUCAUCAAUGACAGAACAACAUGCAUUCAAACGACAUUAAGUUGAUGAGCUCAAGAGUUAUGUUGCUUCACACAGGAGAUGCUAUACCCAAUAUGAUACGAUUUCAGUUUACAUUUUACACUCUCUGAUAAUGUUCUUAAGAAUAAAAGUUUAUAACAAAGAAGAUAAACAUAUUGAAUUCUCAUUUGUUAUGUUAAAUUUUGCUAAUAAAUCAAGUCCGACUUUAAAACUAGUUAUACUAAGGUCUAAACUUAUAUUGAGUGGCUUUAUCAACCAUUACUGUCUUACCAACAACCUAUUCAAUUGACAGUAAUAAUUUUUUUACAAAAAGCAUAUGAAAAUCAGUAAAAUGGGGGAGGGGGAGGGGUUUACCUUUUUUGGGGCUCGUUUGACUCUUAAAAUGGGUCAUUUUGACCGUGUUUACAAACCGGAUCCAUAGAUAAGGUCUUAAAGGACGUUUAAUUAAAAUACUGGCAACAAUGAAUUCAAAAUUAAGGUUGUUAAAAAAUAUGGUGGGCUAUAGCAUAUGAAAAUCAGCAAAAUAGGGGUUUACUUGCUCUAGGGAUCGGUUGAACUUAAAAAGGGGUCGUUUUGGCCGUGGUUAACAACCGACUCCAUAAAUAAGGUUUUAACGGACGUCCAUGUAAAUAUUUUGCAAAACUGAAAUCGGAAUUCUGGAUGACCAAAAAUAUGGUCGACUAUAGCACACGAAAAUCAUCAAAUGGGGGGGGGGGAUUUAUUAGCUCUCGGCUCAUUUGACCUUUAAAAUUGGUCGUUUUGGUCAUGCUUAUAAACCAGCUCCAUAGAUAAGGUCUUAACGGACGUUUUUGUAAUUUUUUAAUAAAAAAUGAACUCUGAAUAUCGGAUGACCCAAAAAGAUGGCUAAUUAUAACACAUGAAAUCAACAAAAUGGAGGGUUUAGCUUCUCUAGGGCUUGUUUGACUUUGAAAAUAGGAGGUUUUGGACCUUAUGACCAACUGAAUCAUUUGAUAAGGUCUAAACAGACAUCCAUGCAAAUUUUUAGCAUAAAAAAAUUUGAAACUCCGAUGACCAAAAGAUAUGGUGGAGUAUAGCAUAAGGAAAUCGACAAAAUGGGGGGGGGGGGUUAUCUGUUGUGGGCUUAUUUGACAUUGAAAAUGGAACGUUUUGGCUGUGAUGACCAACCAACUCCAUAGAUAUGGUCUUAACAAACGACCUUAUAAUUUUUUGGCAAAAAUGAACUAGGAAUUCCAAAUGCCCAGAAAAUAUGGUGGAUUUGCGUACGAAAAUCAAUGAAAUUGGUUGUUUACCUGCUUUGGGCUCGUUUGACCUUGAAAAUGGAUCAUUUUGGCUGUGAUUACCAACCAGCUCCAUCUAUAAGGUCUUAACAGAUGUCCAUGUAAAUUUUUGGAAAAGUGAUCCCGGAGUUAUGGAUGACUAAAAAAGAUUAUAGAAUAUAACACAUGAAAAUCAAAAAAAUGGGGGAUUUACCUGCUCUGAAACUCAUUUGACCUUGAAAAUAAACCAUUUUAGCCGUGGUAACCAACAGGCUCAAUAGAUAAGGUCUUAACUGAUGUCCGUGGAAAUUUUUGAAAAAAAUGAAUUGAGAAUUUUGGAUGACCAUAAAAGAUGGUGGUUUACCUGCUCUUGCUUGUUUAACCUUGAAAAUAGGUUAUUUUGUCCAUGGUGACCAACCGACUCCAUUGAUAAGGUCUGAACGCAUGUCAGUUUACAUUUUUGGCAUAAAUGAACUCAAAAUCUUUUAUAUUAAAAAAAUGCUGGACUAUAGCACACAAAAAUCAGCAAAAUGGGGGGUUUACCAGCUCAGGAGCUCGAUUAAAGAUAAAAAUGGGCCUUUUUGGUUUUGGUGACCUACCGGCACCAUAGAUAAGUUCUUAAGGGAUGUUCGUGUAAAUUUUUGGCAAAAAUGAACUUGGGAUUCUGGAUGACCAAAAAAGAUAGUGUACUAUAGCACACCAAAAUCAGCAAAAAGGAACAUUGACAUGCUCUGGGGCUCGUUUGACCUUAAAAAUGGGUUAUUUUGGCCGUGGUGACCAAUCGGGUACAUAGAUAAGGUCUAAACGGAUGUCCGUGUAAAUUUUUGGCGAAAAAGAACUCAGAAUUUUUAUGACCAAAGAAGAUAGUUGACAAUAGCAAAUAAAAAUCAGUAAAAUUGGGGGUUUGGGGGUUUACCAUUUCUAGGCUCAUUUGACCUUGAAAAUGAGUCGUUUUGGCUGUGGUAACCAACUAGCUCUGUAUGUAAGGUUUUAUCCGACUUUGUGUAAAUAUAAGGUAAAAAUGAAAUCAGAAUUCUAGAUGACCAAAAAAGAUAGUUGAUAAUAGCACAUGAAAAUUGGUAAAAUUAAGGGGGGAGGGGGGGUUACCUUCUCUCGGCUCGUUUGAACUUGAAAAUGAGUCAUAUUGGCCGUGGUGCCAACUGACUCGAUGGAUAAGGUCUAAGAAGAAUUCCAUGUAAAUUUUUGUACAAAAAGAAAUCAGAGUUUAGGAUGACCAAAAAUGAUAGUGGACUAUAGCACACAAAAAAUGGCAAAUUUGGGGUUUACCGUCUCAAGGUCUCGUUUGACCUUAAAAUGGGUCGUUUUGGUCGUGGUGACCAACCGACUCCAUAGAUAAGGUUUUAACGGAUGUCCAUGUAAAUAUUUGGGAAAAAUGAACUCAAAAUUCUGGAUGACCAAAAAAUAUGGUGGAUUAUAGAACACAAAAAUCAGUAAAAUGGGGGAUUUACCUUCUCUGGACUCAUUUUACCUUGAAAAUGGGUCACUUUGGCUGUGUGACCAACCGGUUCCAUAGAUAAUGUCUAAACGGACAUCCGUGUAUGUUUUCUACAAAAAUGUUAUCGAAAUUCUGAAUGACCAAAAAAGAUGUUCAACUUUAGCACACGAAAUUUGCAAAAUAGGGGGUUUACAUGAUCUAGCGCUCGUUUGACCUUUAAUAUGGUCCGUUUUGGCCGUGGUGAGCAACCGAAUCCAUAUAUAAGGUAUUAACGGAUGUUUGUGUAAAAUUUUGGCAAAAAUCAAUUUAGAAUUUCGAAUGUACAAAAAUGAUGGUAGAUAUAGCACACGAAAAUCGGCAAAAUAGUGGUGUUUUAACUGCUCUGAGCUCAUUUGACAAUGAGAAUGUGCCUUUUUGGUCGUGGUGACCAACCAGCUUCAUAUAUAAAGUCUUAACGGAUCUUCGUGUAAAUUUUUGGCAAAGGUGAACUCAGAAUUGCGAAUGACCAAAAAAUAUGGUGGACUAUAGCAUACAAAAAUCGGCAAAAUGAAAGGUUUACCUGCUCUUAGGCUCGUAUGACGUUGACAUUGGGUCGUAUUAACCAUGGUGACCAACCGACUCCAUAGAAAAGGUUUUAACCGACUCCAUUGAAAAUGGGACGAUUUAGCCGUGGUGAAAAACCAGCUCCAUAGAUAAGUUUUCAGCGUGAAUCUGUGUAAAUUUUUAGCAACGAUGAAUUCAGGAUUUCGGAUGACUAAAAAAGAUGGUGGAUUAUAAAACACAAAAAUUGGCAAAAUUGGGAGUUUAUCUUGUCUGGGCUCGUUUGACCUUGAAUAUAGGCCGUUUUGGAUGUGGUGACCAAACAGAUCCAUAUAUAAGGUCUAAGCUAACUUUUGUGUAAAUUUUAGUCAAAAAUGAUCUCGGAAUUCCGAAUGAACAAAAAAAAUGGCGGACUAUAGCACACAAAAAUUAGAAAAAUAGGGGGUUUACCUGCUCUAGGGCUCCUUUGACCUUUAAAAUGGGUCUUUUUGGACGUGGCGACCAACCGGCUCAAGAGAAAAGGUCUUAACGAACGUCCAUAUAAAUUUUUGGCAAAAGUGAACUUGGAAUUCUAGAUGACCAAAAUAGAUGGUAAUGAUACCACACGAAUAUUUGCAAAAUGGGGGUUUAACUACUCUAGAGCUUGUUUGACCUUUAAUAUGGGUCGUUUUAGAUGUGGUGACCAACCAGCUCUAUAGAUAAGGUUAUAACGGACGUCCGUGUGAGAUUUUUGUAAAUAUGAAAUUGGAAUUCCGGAUGACCAAAAAAGAUAGCACACGAAAAUCGGCAAAAUAGCCAGGGGGGGGGGUUACCUGCUUUGGACUCAUUUUACCAUGAGAAUGGGCAUUUUUUACCGUGGUGAUCAACCGGCUCAGAGAUAAAGUCUUAACGGAUAUUCAUGUAAAUCUUUGGAAAAAAUGAACUCAGAAUUUUGGAUAACCAAAAAGAUGGUGGACUAUUGCACACCAAAAUUGACAAAAUGGAAGGUUUACCUGCCCUAUGACUCGUUUGACCUUGACAAUGAGUUGUAUUAGACGUGGUGAUCAACCAGCUUCAUAGAAAAAGUGUUAAAAUAUGUCCAUGUAAAUUUUUGGCAAAAAUGAACUCAGAAUUCUUGAUCACCGAAAAAGAUGGUGGACCAUAGUACAUUAAAAUCGGCAAAAUGGGAGGUUUACCUGCUUUGAGAACGUUUGACCUUCAAAAUGGGUUGUUUUGGCCGUUGUGACAAAAUGUCUCCAUAGAUAAGGUCUAAACGGACAUCUUUGUAAAUUUUUGGCAAGGAUGCACUCGGAAUUUCGGAUGACCAAAAAAAGUGGUGGAUACAGAACACGAAAAAGGGUAAAAUAGGGGUUUACCUUGUCUGGGGCUCGUUUGACCUUGAAAAUGGUUCGUUUUGGAUAUGGCGACCAACCUCUCCAUAAAUAAGGUCUAAGCAGACUUUCGUGUAAAUUUUUGGAAAAAAUAAUCUUGAAAUUCCGAAUGACCAAAAAAGAUGGUGGACAAUAGCACACGAAAAUUAUGAAAAUAGGGGGUCUACCUGCUCUAGGGCUCGUUUGACCUUUAAAAUGGUUUUUUUGGUCGUGGAGACCAACUCUCUCCAUACAAAAGGUCUUAACAGAUGUCCAUGUAAAUAUUUGGCAAAAGUGAACUCAGAAUUCUGGAUGACCAAACAAGAUGGUAACUAUACCACACGAAAAUUGGCAAAAUGGGGGUUUAUCUGUUCUAGGGCUUGUUUGACCUUUAAUAUGCACCGUUUUGGCCUUUGUGAGAAAUCAAACCCAUAUACAAGGUCUUUACGGACAUCCACGUAAAUUUAUUGCAAAAAUAAACUCGGAUUUCCGGAUGACCAAAAAAGAUAGUGAACUAUAACACACAAAAAUUGGUAAAAUGGGAGGUUUACCUGCUCUAGGACUCGUUUGAUCUUGAGAAUGGGUUGUUUUAGUAGUGGUAACAAAAAUAUCCAUGUAUAAGAACUUAACAAACAUCUUUGUAACAUUUUGGAUAAAAAAGAACUCAGAAUUCUUGAUGACCAAAAACAAUAGUGGAAUAUAGCACACAAAAAUCGGCAAACUGAGGGGUUAUUUGCUCUUGGGAUCUUUUGACCUUGAAAAUGGACCAUUUUGGUCAUGGUGAAAAUUGUUCCAUAGAUAGGUCUUAAUAGACGUUUGUCUAAAUAUUAGAAAAAAAGAACUCGGAAUUCUCGGCGACCAAUAAAGAUGGUGGAUGAUAGAACACGAAAAAAUAGGCAAAAUGGGGGGUUCACCUUGUUUGGUGCUCGUUUGACAUUGCAAUGGCUCGUUUUGGAUGUUGUGAUCAACCGAAUCCAUAUAUAAGUUCUAAAUGAAGGUUCGUGUAAACUUUUGACAAAAAUGAUAUUGGAAUUCUUAAUAACCAAAAAAGAUGGUGAACUAUAGCACACGAAAAUUGACAAAAUAGGGGGUUUACCUGCUAUAGAGGUCGUUUAACCUUGAAAAUGGGUCAUUUUGGCUGUGGUUAUAAACCGGACCCAUAGAUGAGGUCUUCAGAAAUGUCUGUGUAAAUUCUUGGCAAAAUUAAACUUGGAAUUUUGGAUAACCAAAAAAGAUAGUAACUGUACCACAUGAUAAUUGGCAAAAUGCUCUAGGGCUCAUUUGACCUUUAAUAUUGCUAUUUUCGUCGUGUGUGACAACCCGACUUCAUAGAUAAGGUCUUAACGGACGUUCCUGUAAAUUUUUUGCAAAAAUGAACUCGAAUUACGGAUGACCAAAAAAUAUGGUGGAUUAUAAUAUAAGAAAAUGGAAAAAUGGUGGGUUUACCUGCUAUGGGCUCGUUUGACUUUGAAAAUGGGUGUUUUUCUGUCGUGGUGACCAACCAGCUCCAUAGAUAAGGUCUUAACGGACAUCCGUGUAAAAUAUUGGAAAAAAUGAACUAAAAAGUUAGGAUGACCAAAAAAGAUGGUGGGCUAUAGCACACGAGAAUCGGCAAAAAAAUUGAAGGUUUACCUACUAUGGGGCUCGUUUGAACUUGAAAAUGGAUCGUUUUGGCCGUGGUGACCAACCCACUACAUAGAUAAAGUCUAAACGGACGUCAUUUGGAGAAAAUGAACUUGAAUUUAUGGAUGACUAAAAAAGACGGUGAACUAUAGCACACAAAAAUCAGCAAAAUAUAGGGUUGACCUGCUCUAGAGGUACUUUGACCUUGAAAAUGGGUUGUUUUAGUCAUGGUGACCAACCAAAUCCAUAUAUAAGAACUUCACGUAUGUCGUUAAAAUUUAUGGCAAAAAUUAACUCAAAUUUCUAGAUGACCAAAAAAGAUGGUGGACUAUACACGGAAAUCAACAAAAUAGGAGGUUUACCUACUCUAAGCUCGUUUGACCUUGAAAAUGGCUCAUUUUGACCGUGGUGACCAACUAGCUCCAUAGAUAAGGUCUUAACGGACUUCCAUGUAAAUUUUUGGAAAAAUGAACUUGGAUUCUGGAUGACGAAAGAAGAUGGUGGAUUAUAGCACACGAAAAUAAGCAAAAUGGGGGUUUACCUGGUUAGGGGCUCAUUGACCUUGAAAAUUGGACAUUUAAGUUAUGGUGACAAACCGGAUCCAUAGAUAAUGUCUUAAUGGACGUACAUGUAAAUUUUUGUCAAAAAUAAUCUCAGAAUUCCGAAUGAACAAAGAAAUAGUGGACCAUAACACACUAAAUCAACAUAAUGGGGGGUUUACUUUCUCUUGGCUCGUUUGACCUUGAAAAUGAGUCAUUUUGGAUGUGGUUACCAACCGGCUCUAUAUAUAAGGUUUUAACUAAUGUAUAUAUAAAUUUUUGGCAAAAAUAAACUCAAAAUUCAAGAUGUCCAAAACAGAUAGUGGACAAUAACACAUGAAAAUGGGCAAAAUAGGGGUUUUACCUGCUCGGGGGCUCGUUUGACCUUGAAAAUGGGACGUUUUGACCGUGGUGACAGACCGUAUCCAUAUGUCUUAAUGAACGUCCAUGUAAAUUUUUGGCAAAAUGAACGAUCUUGGAUGACUAAAAAAGAUGGUGGACUAUAGCACACGAAAAUUGACAAAAUAGGGUUUUUAUUUCUUUGAGGAUCAUUUGACCUAGAAAAUGGGUCAUUUGUACCGUGGUGACCAACCAAUUCUAUAGAUAAUGUCUUAAACGGACGUCUAUGUAAAUUUUUGGCAAAAUUGAACUCAAAAUUCCGGAUGACCAAAAAAGAUGGUGGAUAAUAGCACAUGAAAAUCAACAAAGUGGGGGAUUUACGUGCUAUAUGGCUUGUUUGACAUUGAAAAUGGGCCCUUUUGGACCGGCUCCAUAAAUAAGGUCUUAACGGACGUCUGCCUAAAUUUUUGGCAAAAAUAAUAUUCGAAUCCCAGAUGAUAAAAAAGAUGGUGGACUAUAGCACACGGAAAUUGAAAAAAUAGGGGGUUUACCUACUCUAGGCUCGUUUUACCUGGUAAAUUGGUCGUUUUGUCCGUGGUGACAUAGAUAAGAUUUUAACGGACAUUUGGCAAAAAUGAACUUGCAAUUCCAGAUGACGAAAAAAGAUGGUGGACUAUAGCACACGAAAAUCGGUAAAAUGGAGGAUUUACCUGCUCGAUGACUCGUUUGACCUUGAAAUUGGGUUGUUUUUGCCGUGGUGACCAACCGACUUCAUAGAGAAGGUCUAACGGACGUCUGUAUAAAUUUUUGGCAAAAAUAAAAUUGGAAAAUCGGAUGACCAAAAAAGAUUGUGGACUAUAACACAUAAAAAUAUGUGAAAUAUGGGGUUUACCUGCUCUAUGACUCAUUUGACCUUGAAAUUUUUAGCAAAAAUUAUUUUGGAAUUCUGGAUGAUGAAAAAAGAUGGUCGACUUUAGCACACAAAAAAAUCGGUAAAAUGGGGUAUUUACCUGCUUUGGGACUCGUUAAACCUUGAAAAUGAGUUGUUUUAGCCAUGGGUAGUAUUAGUGAGAUAAGAAUACUUACAUGAUUUAACCUCAUCAAAUUGAAAUAAAUAUGUACAUUAUUUCAUUUCAUUAAUAAAAUUGAUCAUUAAACAUUUGUAUAGGUAUGUGCGAAUAAGAGAUAUACAUGACGAUACACAUUGAAAAUUCACAAAAUAAUCUCUAAUAUUAUUUUGUGCAAAGCUUAUUAUUCAAAUAUUCGCUUAAAUUUUUUUUGAAUUGAUAAUCAAGUGCAAAACACGUGUCAAGAAUCUAGUUAAGAAUAAAGGGACAUUUUAAAAUUGAAUUAUUACUUAAUAUUGAUAUAUUUUUUUCAUUUAUUGGACUGAAUAAAAACAAAAGUAACUAAUAUAAAUAUAUACAUAUAUACAUAUAUAUAUAUAUAUAUAUAUAUAUAUAUGACAGAGAUACUGUUUGAGAAACCAUACAAAAAAUUAUCUCCGUAUAUAUACUAGGGUUCCAGUUAGAGUGUAAAAAGAUUGAUUAGAAUGGAGAUGAACAUUGAUAUUAACGCUCCAGGUAGUGAGAUUUCUUCUUCUUAUUCUGAUCAUAACCUGUGCUUAUCUUUUUUUAUUUUCUUUUACCUUUGAUUUUACACUAUUUGUAUUACUAGAUUUUCGUAGAAAUUGUAGUCGAUCUUCCAUUGGAAGGUAGGAUUUGAAAUUUUCAGGUGUGGUUUAUUGGAUAUCACACUGGAGAAGGGUUUAGUUUAUGCGAACCCUGAGGUAGAAUUGGUGGGUUUUGGUAAGGAAAAGUUAUCCUUUAAAGAUCACAAUUAGGAUCUUUCAUUGGUAAUGUAGGAUUUGAAAUUUUCAUGUGUGGUUUGUGAGAUAUCACACUAGAGCAGGGUUUAGCUUAUGCGAACCUGGAGGUAGAAUGUGUGGAUUUUGUUACGGACAAGUUAUCCUUUCAGGAUCCCAAUUACGAUCAAACUGUAAGUUGUAAUUUUCAAAAGUAAAUCCACUGAGUUUUUUGGAGACGACAUUCUCUGAAUUAUAUAAAUUGAAAAAUGGAUGUCAAAUACAACAAAACUGAAUACUAAUUAAAUCUAAGAUAACUUAAAGGAGUGGAUAUCCAUGUCAAAUAUGCAUAGGAGAAGACCAAAAUUAGAGAAGAAGAGAGAGAAAAAUAAGGAAGGAAUUGCAUUACCAAAAGUUUAUUGUUGCAUUCUCUCUCCUUCUGUAUUGCAGUUUAUAUCAACGUUCAGAUAAUAUGGCGAGAUCCUGACUCUUCAGCUUCAUUAAUUGAGAUUUAAUCUUGGUCGGUUAUUUGCCAAGUAGUUACUCUCCUUCGGUGUUUCAGCUUCGAAUUAAGCUAUACUAAGUAAUCUCAAUUAGUUGUCCCAGAUCCCUUGUACAUCUUAGGUGUACUCCUACUAGUGAGGUCUCUUCCUAGAUCUCAGUGUAAUAGAGGCACAUCUUGCUUGAACAUAGACUGUUGGCUCAAAAGAAAAGUAAAAAAUUGAUUGUAAUAACAAUACCAUCCAACAAAGGUGCAUUUAUAAAGGGAAAUCAAAUUUUGUGAUGGUGGUUUGUACUUUUAUAAUAGUACACAUUAAAAGAUAGAAGUAUUAAAAUAUUUCAAAAUUUCCAUAAAACUGGAAGGUUAAUUUUCUUAGACAUGUACAUCUGGAUGGAAGAUUGUGGCAUAGUGGUUAAUGAAGUGGUCGAAAAUCAUGAGGUCUAAUGUGCGAAUCCCAACAAAGAAGAAAAAACAUGUAAUGGCUUUUUCCAUCUUUCAUAGCCUUAGUGGACAGAGUUACAUAGUACUUAUUGCUUGUGGGAGGUAGUAUGCUUGAAAUAUGUAACAUUGUCAUCACUUUUUUCUUUACUUAUAUCUCCAUUUGCAUCCUCUUUAUAGCAUAUGUACAUUCUACAGUACAGACGGAAAACGCAAACAGAGCUGAUUGGCAGGAAGAGCUUUACCAAAAGGUAUGAUUUGCAAUGGUACUCUUUAUUUGUACAAGAUUUUGAAAACUAUGGAAAUUUGAUAUGUGGAUUUUGAUAAAAUGGCUGGUUAUAACAUUAUAAGAAAUAGUUGAAUGUUUCAAAAUAUUUCCUUUGAUUAUAGAGUAAUAGAAAAGGUUUACCAUACCAAGUGAACAACUAAAUUCAUGACCAUACCCUCCACGCAAGAUGCUUUAUGUAUUCCAUUUCUUAGAGGCCAUAGAAAUCUAAGCAUGUUAACAGGUAACUUCUUAGAAACGAACAUGAAUACUCACUGUGCUGGUGCUCUUUAUAAGCCCAUCCUUGUCCCAUAUUUUUAUCGACAACAAAUUAAUUUCACAUGCCCUAAAAUAAUUUAGAAAUGAAGUAUAUUUUGAUAAAUUAACUGAUUAGAGAAAAUUAUUUGUUGAGUGCUAAGAUCAUAUGUGUGUAAGUUCGGGUCAAAGUUCUUCAUGGCAUGUCACCACAAUCUUUAAUUGCGAUUUUGAGGGAUAAACUUAUUUGUGCAAGAAGUAUAUACAUGAAUAUAUUGCUAUAAGAUGUUUUUUGUGAAAAGACAUCCGUUCAUCUGUAUCAAUAUAUUUUUUCUAUUUUUUAAUUUUAUUUCUUAUUAUAGAGAAAUCCAAUGCUUCCGUCUUCAAAACUCGGACUUAUCUACUUACAUCCCUAACUUAGCUAGUAAUAAGUUGGAAUACUUCAAUUUCUCCAAGAAUAAACAUAUAUCACUAACAUUCUCUAUAUUCUCCAUUCCAUUGUUAUUCACUUGUGAAGCCAAUUACAAUGUUAUUAUUUUAUUGUUUAUCCUCAUUUUACCUCAAUGAUGAUAAAGUUGUAAAGUUAAAAAAACAAAAGAUUGCCAUUAAAUUGUGUUAUAUCUCGCAACCUAACUUUAAAAAAGUAUAUUCUAAUCCUCCUGGUUGUGCUGGUCUAUGAUCACAUUGCGGAAGUUUAAUUCUUGAUUUUAGCACCAAGAGGCUAGAGGAAGCAAAGUUCAGUAACUUCGUUCUACUUCACUUGUAACCUUUUUAUCUAGAAGGUUCUUUUGUGACGAUUUUCUAGUUUUGUUCUCAAUUGUAUCGUAUAGUUGAUCUAAUUAUCACCUAACCAUGUGGGAAUGCAUUCUUGACAUUUAUGCAAUUGACUUAUUGAAUUAUUUAUGCAGAUUAAGUCUAUGAAGGAGAUGUAUUUAUCAGAUAUCAAUGAUUUAUACGAGAAAAUUACUUCUAAAGUGCAGCAGGUAUGUCAAUAACAUCCCUUUAAGUGUUUCAUCAUUGUUUCAAAUUUUGGUUGGCUCUCUUACAAGUUUCGUAAAAUGACACACCAUCAUUUGCAUAUUGCAUGCCACAAGGUGUAAUUCAUAUUGCGUUGUAUUACUUAUUUCCCUAUUGGAAACUCCUUAAACUGGGAACUGAUGCAGAAAGCUCAAGACACUAUAUUAGCGUUAUUUCUUCUUUGGUUCUUUUCCUGUUGAUUGUCAUCAUGAAAAAAAGUAAAGAAUUAAGGAUUCCCUAAUUUUUCGGGCAAGCGCUUGAUUUAUCUGAAUCUAAAAGCACUUGAGUCAACAUUCUACUAAAUUGUGUGAACCUUCCGCACUAUGUUAUUUUUCUCAUUAUGUAAUUUUUUCAACUAUGUUAUUUGUCCCUUUUUUUCUUGAUUUUAUGCAGGACUCUCUUUGUCAGAGUCUUCCAAAUGAGAGAACUGAAGAACUCAAGAUGUUCAAGAUGACUCUGGAAUGCAUUAUGAUUUUCUUGCAGCUUAACAAAGAUGAUAUUAAUCUUUGUCACAAGGAGAAACUGCGUUCGGUUGAGAAGCACAUAAGUUUCUUUCUAAUAGGCAAAAAUCUGCACAUGCCUACUUCUUCUGCAUUGCAGGGGUAACUUCCUCAGGCUCCCAUCCAUACAAUUCAGGUAGGCAGUCCGAACUUGUUUGUAUAAUUCAAUUGUUUUCAACUUGUUGAAGUUGUUUUGCUCUUGUGUUAACAUGCAUCUACGUUUCGAGUUGACUUUUUUCUUUCUUUAGGGGGAGCUUGAUAACUUGGAACUUGUGAUUAUUUUCCUAGUAUAAAUCUCUUAAGUUAUGACUGAUAUCUCGUGCUACUUCUACUUUAUUCUAAGGUCUCAUGUGUUUAAAUAGGAAGGUAUGGAGAUCAAAGAUUAAAGAAGGUUAGUAGGGAGUCGAGUGUUGUCGUACUUCUAGUAGUAUGAUUUAGGUAGCUUGUAGUUUCUUUUUCCAACUACUGCUUAUAUUACUUGAAAAUAGGACUCAAUAAAAACUGACAUUAUAUUAGAGAAUCAACAAAUCAAAAGAACGAUAAAAGACUGAAAUAUAAGAUAGAGAAGAAGGGGGAUGAAAAGCUCAAAUUUCUCAAAAUUGGGGAUGAGAGACUCGAAAAAUUUCCAUAACAAUAAAUCUCUACAUUAUGUUACUACUAUAAGAUUCCUUCACAUAUUUUUCCCAACCUUUAAUUCGAAAUUAGUUAAUGUUUUUGGACAUCUCUCAACUCGUGUGAUGUGCCUAGCUGGAACAAUUGGUUCAGCCACUUUGGCCUCCACCUCACUAUUUUCAUUUAUAACACCUAUGUGUAUUAAUAUGUGUUGCUACACUUGUUUCGUACAUGGCUACUUUGUUUUUUUUUCUUACUUUGUUGCGUUUGUUACAUUUUUUUUGUGUCAGAGGUCUAUCAGAAACAACGGAUCUACUAUAAGGAUUGAGUACAUCCUACCCUCUCCAGAUCCCACUUGUUUAAUUACAUGGUUGUGAUGUUUUUGGUCUCCUCAUUUUCGUUCUAAGAUUUAUUGUGCAAAGUUAAUGAUCUGUCUUAAUUUAGUCGUAUGUUACUCAUCAUAUCUUGCACAUUAUAUCCAAUGCAGCCACAAUAUACAUAUGCACACCAUCCGCCUAUGCUGGAUUCCUGUGGGCAAGAUAUUGCUUCUGAGUUUGAUAGGAUUCUGCAUUUUAUUUAUUAGAUGGUAGUCAUGAUGGAUUGUGUCAAGUAUGGAAUGGUUUUGAAAUGUUUGGUAUUGAUAGAUUGAGCUCUAGUACAAAAUUUGAUGAGCAUUGCAUAUAAAGUGUUUGUGAACCCAUGUACCCUCCCUGGAUUAUGUAAAGUACUUAUGAACCAAUUUAUACAUCAUUUUCCUAAAUUAUGUAGAAAGUACUGCAACUAUAAUGAUAAAUUACUUAAAUUAUAUGUGGGAAUCGUACUAAAAUUUAAAAUAUCCAUCUCCAAAAUUUUCUUUUGAAUCUUUAGCAACACUACAAACAAAGGCCACAUUUUUCUUAAAAAAACUUUUGGCCUCUCUUUUAAGUUUUUUCUUCGAUUUAUUCUUAUGAUUUGUGAAGUGUGUUUCCUUAAAUGAUGAUGAUAUUUUAAUCGUUUUCAAAUAUAAAUUUCUUAAUGAACCAGUAUAAGCUGAUUUUUCUUUUGUGAUAAUAAUAUUAAUUAUAGUUUACUACUCAAGUCAUUGUUUGGAAAAAAAUUAUAGCAUUUGUUACGCCCCCUAAAACUAAAGACUAAACUAGAGCCUAUAGUGACCUUAAUGGAGUCAAACGUAAUGAGUAGAGUCGUAAAAUAACCUCUGUUACUUAGUACUAAUGUUUUUGGGUAAAAAGUCAAGGCAUGACCCCCCAAGGACCCCCACCCUUGAGGAGAUCGGGGGGUGGGGGGGGGGGGGGGGGAGGGGCUUCCAAAAGCUAGCAAAUUGCAGCCUUGACCUAUGGAUAGGGCACCCACGGUUUGUGGGUGGACCCACGCCCCGUAGGUGGGGGUCUUGGGUCGAGGCUUGGCCUUCCCUGCAACCUCUAAGAUUAAGAGCCUAACCACGUUUGUAUAGCACAGAGUGUGAGCCCACCCACGGCCCGUGGGUGGGGAGUCGUGGGUCAAACAUGUAGGGUAUUUAAUUUGUUUUAGUUAGAGUUCAGGGAUGAUAUUAAGGUUAAUUAAUUAACAAAUUAGGGUCGGUUAAUACUAAUAAUAUAUUUAUAUUAAAGAGAACCCUAAAUCCGCCUACGUGGUGCCACUACAAGCAAGAAUUUCCUUUUAAAUUUAUUUGUUACCAAAACUAGCCUUUCUCUUUUAUAAAAAGACGUCACUUUUAUGAAAACUUGCGACUUUCAUGAAAAGUUAUUACUUUUAUCAAAAUUUGUGACUUUUAUGAAAAGUUGUAACUUUAAUGAAGAGUUGCGACUUUAAUGAAGAGUUGCGACUUUAUGAAAAGUUAUGACUUAUAUGAAUGAUUGUAAACUAUUCAAUGGGUUGCAAAUUUUUCAAAUAUUUGUAAUCUUUCUGAUAAGACACAAUAAACAUUUGUUCACACUACCCGUUUGUAUAUAAAGAGAAGGAUUUUCUUUCGUUUUAAAAUAAGAAAAUUCUGAUUUUCUUUUUCCACUUCCGCAAAAUUAAGUAUUUGUCUACUUUUGUCCUAUUGAAUGACUUACAAACACCACUUUUUAGUAUUAAUAAGUUGGUGAAUCAAAUCGUUGCACCCAAAGAGGAUGUAAUUCUUUUAACCUCCCGUAUUAGAUGGUAAUAGUUUUAUUUAGGGAACAUUGUGCAUUUAGUGGACUCAAAUUUUUCCUUUCAAUUUUAUUCUAUUUUUACAUAUUCUGGUUUUUUUUACUACUAAUUAAUUUGUGCUUAUGAUAUUAAUUGUUUUUAAUGUAUUUUUUAAACAUUUUGGUUUAGGUUUCUCUAAAGUUAUUUUCUCUAUUUAUAGUGAACAUAUACACAUAUAGUACACAUUUUCAUUGUGUAGAAAAUAAUUAUUGUACUUAGUUCUAGGAAUUCAGGUUUUGAUAUUCUAUAUUAAAAUCUAUAUCUUAAAAGUACUAUAUAUAAUCUUACAUAUUAAUCUAUUUUCACAUAGAUAUGAAAUUUCUCACUUCUCAAUUGAAAAAAUUCAUUAUACAAGUUCAAAAUUUAUAAUUGUUUUCAUGUUCAAGCUUAAUUUCUAUUUUGAAUAUGUUAACAAAUUUUUGAAUUUUCUCUUAAGACAUAUAUCAUAAUUGUACAAUCUAUAUGACUUAAAUAUUUCUUUUUAUUAAGAAAUGCCUUUGUAUCUAUAUUCUUAUUUUCUUCUUUAUUUUCCUUUUAGUGUUUAUUAAAGAACCAAUGAUAUUUUAUUUCGUGAAUAAUUCAUUAAUUAGAGGUUCUCUAGUUAUGUGAUAAUGACAAAUAAUCAAAUUCAUGUUAGACUUUUGCUAAUAUUUUUUAAGAACAUAUUUUUUCAUUAUUUUUAAUGUAUGAAUAUUAAUUAUAAAAAAAUUACUUACAACUUCAAUACAAUUAUUAUUUAUGACCGCGCGAAGCGCGAAAAAGUUACCUAGUUAAAACGAACUAUAAAUAGUUAAUAGACCCCUAAACUAAUUCAUGGAGUUCACUCAUUCAAUAACCCAACACAAAUCUAUUUUCCUCUCAAAAUAUUCCUUAGAUUCAAUAACCCAACAUAAGUACACAAGAAUAUACUCACUUUCUUCAAGAAGAACCCUCAAAGAUAAAAAUCCUCACUUCAAGAAUUCAUUAAACUCCAUAACAAAGCAUGAAAAACAAAACCUCAAAAACACCCAUCAGAAAAUCAAAUCAUUCAACCUCAAGAACAAAAUUAUGGAUGAAAAUUACAUAAUUGUCCGGUGGGUGAAUGAACCCACAAUAUGAAACCUUACAUACUUUAAUUUAGCAAAAUUCCUCGACGAAUUUCAAGAAUCUCGAUGAACGCUUUGAACCUCUCCUUUUGAACUCCUCUAAAAAUCAGAAAGGUAAUUUAGAGUUGUAAAACUGAUCCACAUUAGUUUAUACACCUUAAAUAUACUAAAAAUAUUUAAAGCAGAUAGGGUAAAGAAAAGACCAAAAUAUUAAUCAUUAAUUCAGGUAAAUUUCCUUAACUGAACAAGCAGACUUCAAACGGGCACAUCUCCCAUAUUUGAACUUAAAAUUUAGAAAACUCGACGGAGUUGGAAAGAGGAUCCAAAGAACGUUAUUUUAUGUCUUAUAUGCCACCUAACUCAUCAUGCACUGAAAUUUAUGAUCAUUUGAAGUUCACCCAAAACUCACAACUUAAUCAUAACUUGAAAAAUUCUUAAUUUUGCUUUUUCCAAUUUAGUUCUUUCUAAAUUUAGUUCUUUUCUAAGGUGGGAUUUACAAUAAUGAACAAAAGUUACUUUCUAAAGUAUCUCACAUGUGUUUUAUAAGUUGUUUAUCUUGCAUUUACCACAUUUAUGAAUUUUUAUUUAUCACAUGUUAUUUUAUGAUUUAGCUUGUCAUUACAUGUCAUGCAAAGUCCUUUUAGGAUGAAUUUCAUUACUGUUAUGCAUAAUUAUAAUACUUUUUGUGUUCCAUAUUCUAAUGCAUACUUGUGUCUACAAUGUUUCAUGAUAUAGGGUCCGAAAUCCUAUUCCCUAUUCCCGUUGCAAGUUGAUUCUUUUAAGAUUUUGAAGAUUUUUGAGUCCUCAUGAUUAGAGGGACGAUAUUAAUUUAUUUAUUUUAGGUCUUUUUCUAUUUUCAGACUUCUUAUGUGAUGUAUGAAUUACGUGCCAAUAUAUUUCUCUAUGAUGUAGUAGAAUGUGUUGAGAUUUAAGUUAGAUUUCCACUUUUCUCAAAUUUUUUUUGUAUGAAAUGCUAUAUUUUGAAAUCUUUACUUCUAUUAUCUUGUAUGUUGUAUGCUAAGUGGAUUGAGUAGGGCCUCCCGGAGUUUUAUCCGUCAUGUUAUGCCUAGGGUCUACUUUGGGACGUGACAUGUAGUCUUUAAAUUCUUACAUUAUACUUCAGAAAUUUUCUGAUAUUUUGUCAUGCUUCAAAAAUUAAUCCAUCCAGUGUGCUUAGUGUGAUAAUUGUUGCAUGAGAAAAGUAGAAUGUCCAUAAAUCUUAUCCUUAUCCUCAUAAUAAUAACCGUUUUUAAAACAUGCGACAAAAAGAGAAAGAAUCUCUUCUAAUAGAGAAAUAUGAAUCCUACAUUAUGGAUAAAAUAUCUACUGAACAUUAUUAGCAACAAACACGGUAAAAAAGAUAGAGAAAAUGGUGAACCACCUCAAAAAUGACAAAUAUACCUAUAACCAAAGAAAUAUUGAAAUCAUGCAAAAAUGUGGGUAGCAUUUACACCAACUGAUGUUUCCAUAUAUGAAACCAAAUAAUAAUAAUAAAAAUGAUGAUGAUAAUUAAAUUAUUAAAAUUAAUCUUUCAAAUUUAAUUAUUGUGUGAAUUUUUUUCUUAAUAUCAGACUAACAUUAAGUUCACAUUCCCUGGCAUGAUUAGAAAAGAAGUAUGUUUGGAUAAAUUAAUUGGGCCAAAUACAUAAGCAGAUCCCUAAACUUAGUGGGUUUUUUCCCUCAGGUACCUCAACUACGUCAUUUUCCUAUUGAAUCAUUGAACCCUGAUAAUUUGUUCCAUCUAAACAAACACCGUUGUCUGAUGUGGAAUCAGAUUUGUGAGGGAUAUUGAUAGAGGAUACAUAUAUUGUUCCACAAAUCAUUAGUCCAAUUGAUAGUGAAAAUAUUUGAGAAUAAUUGUGUUUUACUUAUGUCAUUUGAACACAUUAGAAAACAAAUGAGACUAACACGGUUUGUCUUCAUUCCUUCAAUCAAAAUUAUUAUAAUUCGAACAUAAUUAAGACAUUUACAAUAUAAAAGCUAAUCAAAAAAUCAACCAACAGUAUUUUAAUGAAACAAAUUAUGGGUGGUUCAAUGAUUCAAUUGAAAAAUGACAUAGUUGAGGUACCUGAGGGAAAAACCCAACAAGUUUAGGGAUUUAUUUAUGUAUUUGGCCAACUAAUUGAUUUACAGAAAAUUAGUUGUUGAGUGUUGAUAUCAUAUUAACUUAUUUCAUGAGAUAGAUAAUAUAUCUGUAAGUUCGGGUCAAAGUUCUUCAUGGCAUGUCAACAAUAUGUUUUCCGGCAACUGAAAUUUGUAUUUGCUAAUUUGAGGGAUAAACCUAUUUGUGAAAGAAGUAUAUCCCUGAAUAUAUGGUUGUUUGAAACAUAUUUUAAAGCGACAAAAAUAAAUUGCAAUCACUAUUAAAAUAUGAAGAAACAUAACUUUAUUGAUAAAUAUUGUGGGUACAAUACCAUUCCUCCCUUGGUUAUACUCUCCUAAGAUUUAUCAAUGAUUCGAGGAUCGUUUGUGGUACAUUUCUCUAAUUAGGAUGAUAUAUAUUUGACCUUUAUAUGAAUUCCAUUAAUUUGAGGAAUAUUUGAGGUCUUGAUCUCUCUAUGGAAUUUCUAAGAUGCAUUUUAAGGGAAUUUAAUAUCCUUUAUAUUUGCAUAAACUAGGAUUUAAGGUUGAGUAGCAUCAAAGAGUCCUAAUUUGAGUUGAACACAAUUUGUAGAGUCUCAACUCGAAUUGAAUGCAUCUUUUAGAGUCCCACAAAAUUUCAAUGUGUACAAAUACCCCUGCUUGAAGCCUUGUCAGAGUGUAAACUUGAUGAAACUCGAAGACGUGGCUUGAAGUACUUAUUCUUCUUCAUUUGUAGCUUCCGAUUUUCAGAUUUGAUUUAAGAGAGAAGAGUUGAAGGGAAACUUUUGUCCCACUGGGCGUGACAAUUUGUUUGCAACAAAUUUUAAAGCGAUAGAAAAUAAAUUGCAAUCACAAAUAAAAUUUGAAGAAGCAUACCUUUAUUGAUAAAUAUUACAGGUACAAUUCUAUUCCUCCUUGAUUCUACUCUCCUAUAAUUUAUCCAUUAUUUGAGGGUCACUUUUGACAUAUUUCUCGAAUUAGGAUGAUUUCGAUUUGAGCUCUAUAUGAAUUUUCCAUCAAUUUGUGAAAUAUUCGAGGUCUUGAUCUCGAUAUGAAAUUUUUCGGAUGUCUUUUAAGGGAAAUUAGUAUGUUUUAUAUAGUCAUAAACAAGGGUUAAGGGUUGACUAGCCUCCAUGAAUCCUAGUUUGAGUUGAACACAAUUUGGAGAGUCCCAGCUUGAAUUGAACACAUCUUGUAGAGUCCCAAAAAAUUUCAAUGUCUACAAUCGCUAUAAGAUGUUUUGUUGUGGAAAUACAUAUGUUCUUCUGUAUUUAUUGGUAUACAUUUAAUUUUUUUAUUUAUUUUAGUUCUUAUAUAGAGAAAUUCAAUGCUUCCGUUUUCAAAACUCGUCCUUCUUUAGUUACAUCCUCGACUUGAUUUACUAGCUAGCAGUAAGUUGGAAUACUUUAAAUUGUUCAAGAAUAAAAAUAUAACACUAACAUGCUCUGUAUUCUCCAUCCAAUCAUUUUUCAGUUGUGAAGCCAACUAAUUGUUAUAAUUUCAUUGUGUACCCUCAUUUUAUCUGAUUGAUGAUAAAGGUGUAAUGUGAAAAAAAUUAAUGAUUGCCAUUAAACUGUGUUAUAGCUCGCAAUCUAAUUUUAGGAAAAUAUUCUAAUUCCUCCUAGUUUGGCUGGUCUAUAAUCAAAUUGCGGAACUUAUAAUCAAAGAAGCUAAAGGAAGCUAAGCUUAGUAACUUAGUUUACUAUUUACAUGAUAAUUAGUUGUAGUCUUCCUCUUCUACUUAAUAACCAUUUUAUCUAGAAGGUUCUUUUGUGAAGAUUCUCUAGUUCAUUCUAUAUUGUAUCAUAUAGUUGUUUUAAUUAUCACCUUACCAUAUAGGAAUUUAUUCUUGACAUUUCCGCAAUUGAUUUAUUAAAAAUUUGUAAUGCAGAUCAAGCUAUGAAGGAGAUGUAUUUAUCAGACCUCAAUGAUUUCUACAAGAGAAUUGCUUAUAAAGUGUUGCAGGUAUGUCAUCAACAUCCCCCUAAGUUCUUCAUCAAAGUUCCAAAUUUUGGUUGGCUCCCUUGCAAGUUUCGUAAAAUGACAGACCAUAAUUUGCGUAUAUCAUGAACCAAGGUUUAAUAGAUAUUGCAUUCGAUUUAUUAUUGCCUUAGUAGAGAAUCAUCAAAUUGGAACUAGUGCAGAAAGCUCAAAACACUAAAUUAGCGGUUUUUCUUCUUUGGUUCCCUUCAUGCGGAUUAUCUUAGAGGGACGAGAUUCUUUUAUUGAUUUUAUGUAGUUUUCUAUUUGCAGACUUUGUAUGUUAUGUCAUGCCCCGAGGCUAACCCAAGACGCACAAACUGGACCUAGGAUAACGAACGACCCCAAGUUAACCUUGUAACACCCAAAUUUGUUUCGAACUAAGACUUGAGGCGUUAGUCGUAGAGAGUGAGAGUUCCCCAAAGAAUUAAAUUUUUUUGAAGUACUAAGGUCAGUCACUAGAUGUAGCACCAAGAGUUUCAAAAAGAAUUUAAUGGAAAUAGAACACGGAGUGUAAAUGUCCUAGGAUGUCUAUGAAUUCGUGUCAGUAGGAUAUUUUUUAUGGUUCUGAGGGCCCCACUUCUAUGAAUGAGGUACUAUAGGCAUUUAAGAAAAGUUUCCCUUCUUUCAUACUCUUAAACGUGCAAAAGAGAUAAGUGACUAAGUGAUAGAGAUCUAUUCUAACUCGUGCGUUUUCAUAUUCAUUUGAGUACCAAUCAUACUAGAGGUGGUUUAAAAGUAAAGUUUAAAGAUUCUUAUGGAUGAGUUGUUUUUAGCAAGAGUCUUGAGAAAGUCAUGAGACAUUAGAGGUGCUUGAAAGGAACCCAAUAAUUGUUCAGUUUCAUAGUAAUGCACCCAUAUUCACAUCAAUCGUGCGUUUGAGCUAAAAAAGAGUUGCACUAUGUUCACUAAACCUUGUUUCAGCUGAGAUCUUUAUGAGAGAGCAUGUUUAGAGAUUGGCUAUGAUUUCACCCCCCAAAAAAGUAAUAUGAGCUAUGAGAUCAUGAGUAGUAGUAGUGAAAGAUCCCAUAGUUAGAGGAAAGUAUGCAGAGAGUUGGUAAUUUAAGGAAGGGGGAUGGUGUUGUGACAAACUAUGUUACAAUAGUCAUGUACCUAGUAAGUUGGUCAUAAAGAGUUUUCCCUUAUGAGUAGUCUAAUAAGUGAAGAGUUGUAAAGAUCUGAGGAUAGAGGUAAAGUAAGUAUUUGAAGUCAGCAUGAGUUAGGAUAUACCUUAACGAAAUAGGGGUUAUGAUAAUGUGUCAUUGUGUUAGUAAUGACCAAGUGCAAGUGGUGAAUCUAUAGAAGAGCCAGAAUAUUCACAAUGUGAUAGAUUAAUCUAGGCUUAUGAAUUUUGAUAGAAGAACUUCAGAGGAUUAUAGAGUUAUUUGAGAGGUAGUGCGCAGUAUGUGAGUAGGUAGCAUUUAAGUUGUGAAGUGGAAGAUGAUGGUCACUUGAGUAUGCAGACUGAGACGUAAAGAUUGGCUAAUUAUCAUGAAGUCGUAGUGGACAACGAUUCCUAAAUUUCCAUCAUAGUAAUGUGUUAUAGUAUAGUAGGUGAGCAAUCAUAUUGACAUUUGGGUUUAGUAAGGAACAUUAAGCUAGAACUUGAGAUGAGUGUCACGAUCCACAAAAAUGGCAAAAAAGGGCCAUGAUGUUAGUCUUGAGAUUUGAUAUGGUAGAUUUUACAUAGAAUAGGUAAGGAAUUGAGAUAGUUGUUGCAAUGAAUGCGAGUAGUAGAGAACGUAACCUUUAAAUAAGGGCAGUGGUGUGACUAAGUCAUAAGAGUAGAAAGAGCAUUAAUAUAAUGUAUACCAGUUAGAGAUGUGGAAUAGGUCCAUAGCUUUCAAGUGUUAGCUUUAGACCCAAGGGGAAGAUGAUACGAUGAGAAAUCAAGUAAACUGUUUAAAGAUUUCAUAAGGAGUUCAUUCAUAGGAGUUCAUGGAGUUGUUAGAUGUCUGAGCUUGAAUGUAGUGGUAAAGAGUAAUUGUUUGAGAUGAUAUUCCAUAUAGAGAAGUAUAUAAUAAAAACUUAAAAAUUUGAGUUUAACAUUGAAUAUAGUAAGAGUAGACCAUUAUAUGUGUACCUUAGUAAGAGUAAACCAUUCUAUACCGAGUUCAAUCUUCAUUCGAAGAUAAAUGAUCCCAAGGGAGGUGAUAUUGUAAGACCGCAGAAAAUCUGUUCGAACUAAGACUUGAGUCGUUAAUCAUAGUGAGUGAGAUUUCACGAAAAAGUUAAAAUUUUCUUAAGUAUUAAGGUCAGGUCACUAGAAGUAGAACCAUGAUUUCUAAAAAGAAUUUAAUUGGAAAUAGCAAAAUCUAAAAUUUUGCAACUUUAUCUAAGUAUGAGUUUUGGGUCAACUUCAAAAAGUCGUAUCAUCUAGAACAUGAUGAGUUAAGUAUGCUACAAGAUACAAUUGGACAUAUCUUUGAUUAUAUUUCCAACGCCGACGAGUUUGUUAUGUUUCGAGUUCAGAUGAGUGAGAUAUGACCUUCUGAUGUUAGUCUUUCCAAUUCAGGAAAGUUUGCCGAAAAUAUGAGGGGUAUUUCGGUUCUUUCCUUACCCAAUCAGAUUUAAUUCAUUUUUGAUAAUAUUUUAGGGUUAUAAUCCUUUUAAGUUCUGUUUUAAUAUGCUAAUAUACACCUAGGGUUUUAGUUGAUGUUUCAAGAAGACGCAAGAAAAGAAAAUAGGAGAAAAGAGACAAGGAUGAAGACAUUCGUCGAUGUUCUUGAGUUUAGUUGCGGAUUUUCGCCAUAGGUCUAAUCCGUAAUAGGUAUGUAAGAUUCCAUAGUGUUUGGUUUUUUCACCCACACGCCAAUCAUUUUUUUUUCUUAGCGAAAUUUCAUUCUUAAUGUUUAAUGAUUUGAGUUCUUGAUGAAUUUUUGAAGUUCAUUCUAAAUCUUUUUGUGUUAGGGUUUGAUGAUUUAUUGUGAUCAAAUUGAGUAAUUUUAGUGUUGUUUUCAGUAAAUUAGAGUGUAAUUAAGUUAAGUAAUCAAACCAAGUGAUUGGGGAAGAAAUCGUUCGAUUUUAGGCGAUUUAGGAUAAGAAAAUGAGCAAAAAUGCUCGGAAGAAUUUUUAGGGUUGGGUCCUUGGGUCAUGCUCCUUCCAGACCGCCCCAAACUCUUCUCUGUACUUCAGGGGUUGGUAGCCCGUGCAGUGGCGGGGGCAGGAUUAGCACACUAAUAAUAUACACAAAUAAGAGAGUCGGGUCAAAUAAAAGAGGGGCGGGCAAGUCAAUAUAAACGGGUCGGAUUUGAUUUAAGAAACUAAAAUUUGCAUUGAAAAAAUAAUAAUCAAGACGGAAUAAUAUCGCGAAAAAUCUAUGUUUUAUUUAUAAAUUUUUUAAUGAUUACACCUAUUUAUUUAAUCUUACUUAUAAUUAUAUAAUUCUUUUAUCAAAUAUAAAUGAAAUGUUUGACUUAAAAUGAGUAUAAGAUAGUGUUUUUUUAAAAUUUAAAUUACAUGAAAACUUAAAUUUUUUAUAAGUUUUACUUGAUGUUAUAAAAAUAGAAAAGAAAAAAUAACUAAAACUAUAAGAAAAUAAUGUUGUUACCGGGAUUCGAAAUCGUGCCCAUUUAUAAAUAAAAAAAUAAGAACAGAUGAAAGUUGAAAUUAUUAUAUUAAAAAAUGAUGCUAAUACACAGGUUCGAACUCGCCAAGUAAUCGAUGACCUUGUGAAAUCCUGAACCCUGUAACCACUAAGCCAAGCCCUUUCCUAGUGAUCAGGGGGUUCAUUUACUCAUAUAUAACUGCAAAUCAAAAUAUUUAUCCUAUAUAUGCAACAUAAUGUUUUUGACGAAGGGGGUUCGGAUGAACCCCUCUGCCCCAUGUACCUCCACCCUUGGCCCCGCACCACCCAUAUCCCCAAGGUCACCUGCCCAUCCAGUUUGCCUCUUGUUGCUUCGUUUAGCUAAUUUAAAGUGUAUCUUCCCUCAUUUUGAUUCUAAAUACUUUUAACUACUUGUAAACACUUUGAAAUCAUUCAUAACAUGAAUCAUAACCUUCAAAUUAUAAUUUAAAUUCAAGGUAAGGUUAAGAUUAAGUUUUGAGAGUUCUUCCAAACCUUUUGAGAGAAUUCCUUCGAGUCCUUUUGAGGAGUCUUCUACAAUUUCUAGUAAGUUGUUUCAACGCUCAAGUAAGUGAACAUGAGAGUGAGGAUAAUUUAUUCACGAGUCUACAUAUCACCUACAUCAUUCAUAUCAUGAACUAUAACUCUUGAAUUUAUAAUUUACAUUCAAGAGAGAGUUAAGAGUAGAGUUCAAGAAAGCCUUCAAGUUAAAUUGUGAAUUCUUUAAGAUCCAUCAUGAUUGAACUAAGUUUUGAGGAAGUAAACAAGAAAACGAGUAGAGUCAUAUACACGAAUUCAUGUAGUUAUGUAGUCCUUGAGUUGAAUUGUUCAGUCCCAUAAUUCUCGAGAACCUUAUGUGUCAAACAGUCUUGAGAUGAGAGGUACCCUUAAGUUAUCGAGUUAAGUAGUUCAUGCUGAGAUUUCUGCAUGAACCCUCCAAGUUGAAAUCAUGAAAUCAUUCAUAAAUAUGAGAUCAUAACACUUGAAUCCAUAAUUUAAUUCAACAAAAGUUAAGAUCAAAGUCAAAGAAGUUAAGAGUCUUGAACAAACCUUUUAACUUUGUUUUAAGACUCAAGUUACAAGUUAAGAGAGAGAGAGUAAAGAGUUGAGUUCAUUCUAAAAAUUUAUUAGUGGACUAAGUAAUCCUUAAGAGUUACAAAUGUUUUCACAUUUAAUCAAGUAAAGAUCCUACGAGCUAGUUUUCAGACAGAUGUAAUAGCUUAAGAUAAUGAAGCAUGCAGGGAAACUAUGAUUCCAAGAGAGCUUUUAAAGCUAUGUUUUGAUAACUAAUCUCAAACCACAUCAUCAAUAUGUUUUAAAAACAUAAGAGCCAGUAUAUUUUUUGAAGUAGUAUUGAGCAACGACGUGGGGAAGCUAGGUACAGAUUAACUCAAGUCUCCAUGAAAACUAUAUACUCUUCAUGGGUGGAAAAAGGAUUAUACUAUUUAGAUGAGUCCUUUUCACAGUUUAAUAGUGGAUCCAUUAAGAAGUUCAGGUCCUAUACUCUGGCAAUGUUAGGAUGACCGAGCAGCGUGGGCCAGUAACGUUGUAUCGUCACUAUAGCUCUUAAGUUAUGGUUGUCGCUUAUAGUAACUCCCACAGAAGUAAUAGUAUUUUUAUAUACACCAGUUAUUGUAUUUUCAUAUACAUUUCAGAGUUGUGCUGUACCCUUGCUAUACGCAGAGAGUUGAAAUCACGUUUUUAAACAACUUUUCUUUAUAUUGCACUUGUUUUAAACUGUAUUAUAUUGAAAUGAUUUCAGUUGAGUAUCAGGAGUUGAGUAUAUUGAGUUAAUUUUUGCUUCAUUGAGUCGAAUAUCAUAUCUUUGAAGUUUAGAAUCUAAUCCUCGAGUUGAGUAUCUGAUUCUUGAGUUGAGUUAAAAAAAGGUAUGUGUGUUUCCUUUUAAUCAAGUUCAAGCCUAUGUUUUAUGCUUUAGAUUUCCCCUUACAUUCUCUUUCAUUCCAUGUGUUGAGCCAAUUGGUUUGCAUCUUCUCAUGAUGCAGACACAUAUAUUCAGGAUGUUCAAUAGGAGCUUCGUUGAUACAUCGGAGAGUUCUAGAUAGCUAUAGUGAGCCUCCUAGCUUUCAGAGGACUUCAUGUACCUUUCAGUUUUGUCAGGAUGUCGUGGGUCUUGUACCGAGUUCCAUCUUUAUCAAUGAGAGGCUUCAUAUAUAAUCACUAUAGUUAAGGAGUCUGUAUUAAUCAUUUUUUUGAUUAAAUAUUUUAAAGACUAAAGUUUACUAUUUUGGCUAGUUUAAUAUAUUAUUUUUAUUCAAAGUUGUUCAUUUUAGUUUUAAGUUUUGUACGUUUAAGUUAGUUUCCACUUGUAAUCAGCCAGGAUGAGGGUUCUCUUGGGGACCAACAAUGGUUUUCGAGUGCCUGCCACGUCCAGGGUGUAGACUCGGGUCGUGACAAACCCUAAGUUGCAUAUCAUAAGUAUACUAAACGAUUACCGAAUAAUUAUACUAUGAGGAAGCUUAAACAUGAUAACUAAAAGUUGGGAAUGUCCAAUACUAAUUUGUAUACAUAAAAUAUUAUGAGUUUAAUAAUAACUGGAGGAUCAAACUCAAAACUGGACUAUCAGAGGGCCACGAUUGUUUUAUUGAUUUUAGGCCUUUUUCUAUUUUCAGACUUCUUAUGUGAUGUAUGGAUUACGUCCCAAUAUCUUUCUCUAUUGUCAAACUCUUUUGUAUGAAAUGCUAUCUUUUGAACUUCUUUACAUCUAUUAUCUUGUAUGAUGCAUUCUAAGUGGCUUGGAUAGGGACACUCGGGGUUCUAUUUGUUAUGUUAUGCCCAACGUCUAUUUUGGAUCAUGACAUGUAAUCUCUCUAAAUUCUUACAUUCUACUUUAAUAUUUUUCUCAUAUUUUUUCAGGCUUCAAAAAUCAACCCAUCUAGUGUACUUAUUGUAUCAUGAGAAAAGUGGGAUGUCCAUAAAUCUUAUCCUUAUAUUUCUCAUAAUAAUCAUUUUUAAUGUUUCUCAUAAUAAUAAUUUUCAAUGCAUACGACAAACAGAGAAAGAGUCUAUUCUAAUAAGAGAAAUAUGAUCCUACAUUGUGGGAUAAAAUAUCUACCGAAUUCUAUUACCAACAAACAUGGUUAAAAAGAAAUAGAAAAUGGUUAACCACCUCAAAAAUGACAAAUAUAACUAUAACCAAAAAAAUAUUGAAAUCAUGCAAGAACGUGGGUAGCAUUUACACCAACUAAUGCUUCCAUAUCUGAAAUAAAAUAAAAUAAAUAAUAACAUUAUUAUUAUUAAUAAUAAUAAUAAUAAUAAUAAUAAUAAUGAUAAUAAAAUAAAUAAAAUUAAUCUUUGAGAUGUAAUUAUGGUAUGAUUUAUGUUCUCUUAAUAUUUGACUAAAGCUAAAUAUUUGUUACAAAUUCAAACAUAGUCAUCAUAAAAAGUUCAGGUCAACACAAAUAAAGAGAAGGUAGUGAGAAAAUCUCACAAAAAUAAUACAAUUUUGACAUAAACAUUUCCUACAAUAAACUUGCUUUUCUCCUUCUCACAUUUUCAAAUCUCUAAUUCGUGCAUCAUUCAGAGCAUAUCUUCCCUGUCCAUGGAGAUUCAUCAACAGAAUUACCAAAUAGAAGACAAAUCAUGAAAUACAAAAAACAUACAACAAUAGAUGACAUCUCUAAAAAAAUAUAAAAAUGGAAAAAUUAUUUUAAGAACAAUUAUUUGUCUUUUCUUUUAAAAUUUGAACUUUUAAAAUGAUGUUCUAAAUUCACUAUUAUAUGUUAAUUUCACAUAUGUGUUGGAUUUUAUUUGCCCUGAUUUUCUUACCAUAAAUAGGUUAUCAUUUUAGGAAAAGGAAAACAGAAUAUCUCCAUAUUUGACUAGUCUUUAUAUUGUAGGAAAUGCUUAAGGACUCUAUAAAUAUAUGCUUGUUCUUCUAGCUUAAUUAGCAUUCACAAUGUAGUUCAAUGGAUUUUGAGAGUUUUUAUUAUGAGAGAGAAUUUGUGUACCUCCUUGUAUUCCGAGUAAAUUGUUUGAGGUUAUUACUCUCUAUAUUUUGUACUCACAUAUUCAUAUAGAAUUUCUCAUCUCCUUUGUGGAUGUAUGUUAAUUGACUUAACCACGUUAAAUCUUUGUAUAUUUUGGUGUAUUGAGGUUAUUACCACUUGUUAGACCACUGGUUCACAUAUUCAUAGCUUUUCUAGGGUAGCAAUCCCAUGGUUAAAAUCUUUACCCAUAAUCAAUUAUAUUGAAGUAAGAUUGACUACGGAGGAUAGUAUUACAUCUACCAACAAUCAUUGUCCAAAUUAAGUUCAUUCAUAACUUUGUCACGCUCUGAGCCUAUACCAUGGGCGGGAUUGACACUCCUAUAUCAUUGCUGGCCCUAACCAAACCCUUGGCUUGUCUAGACUUUCAGCAGAAGUCAUACCAUACAUAGAAUCUAUUUAAAGACAAUCUUAACUAAAUUGUCUAAAUAGAUAAACUUAAAAUAUUUUUAAAGUAAAAUCUUAGAAACUCAAGUCUUAAAACAAAACAACUAAAAUGAGCAACACUAAAGAACUAAUAACUAUCCAUCUAUGAAGCCUCUAAAACUAUGAGGCAUGUCGGGACAAGACCCCCAAUAAUCGUAACAACUGAAAUAACCAAGAAUACUAAAAGGGAUCCUUCGAAUAGCAAGAAGGCUCACCAAAAUGACUCAGAAGCUCAACUGGAUCAACGAAGCGCUAGAUGUUUAUCCUAGUUAGUUGUAUGGGCAUCAUAAAACGUUGCAGGCAAUGUACGAGCAUGCGAGGGGAAAACUAAACAUGACAUAAUCUUGAACUGAAAUAUAAAAGUAACACUUACCUUAUCUUUACUCAACUCAUGGAUACUAAACUCAAUGUAGAAAUAAACAACAAUAAAGAUAUAGUAGUAAAUAAUAUCUCAAAGUAUCGGAGAUACAAUAACAUCUCAGUUGUAUUUAAGAAUACGAAAAUAGACUGUUUGGGAUAUUCUCUAACCGACAACCAUCACUAUGAGUUAUGUGAUGAUACAUUAUCUCGCCCACGAGUCCAGAAUUUUGAUAUAACUUGUUUGGAUAUAGAACGUCUCAACUAAGUGGAUUCACUAGUCUAUGCUAAAAAGUAUUAAGGAAUUAUCUAAAAAGUAUGACCCUUUCUACCCACAUUGGGUACAUGGUUUAUGAAGACUUGAGUCAUUAUGAACUCGUCCCCAUAUCGGUGCUCAAUAGUAUUCCCAAAAUGUACUCAACUCAUAUGUUUAAAAACGUAACUCUAUCUUUGUGGCUUGAGGUUAUUACUCAAAAAUCUUAUCUCUUAAACGAGAUGAAACUCAAAACUACUCAUGAAAAAUCAUUUGGAAAUCGGUGUUUCCUCAUCUUAAAUGUGAAAAUAUUUGCUCUUUGAGGGUACUUAGUCCCCAUACAUCAAUUUGAAGAAAUGAAUUCGACUGUACUCUUUCUCAAACUCGAUGGUUAAGUCCUUUAACACAAGGUUUAAAUGAUUGUAAAAGACUUUUUAAAGACUCAAAGAACUCUUUGGACUUAAUUUAUAACUCUACCUUGAAUUUGAAUCAUUGAUUCAAGGGUUAUGAUCUCAUUUGAUAGAUGUUCUCUCGAUGUUUAAACGUGACUUAGAGUGUAAAAAACAACUAGAAAAUAUAGGCAUAAUUCAAGAGAACUCAAACAGAAAGAAGUAGGAAAGGGUAGAGGACCUGGAGACCCUAGCGUCGUACUGAACUAUAGAGUUUGGGUUGGGGCGACUGAGUAGCGUGACACCACAGAGCCCAAACUAUGACCUUUUUAUGCUGGCACGGAUUGCCAGCCCCUUGCCCGGAAAACUUACGAUUUUUUUUGUUCAUUUUUUGACCCUAACACGUCCAGAUUCGAUUAGUUUCUUCCACCAAACACUUAGAUUUGAAUAACCAACCAAAGUAUACAAUAAUUUGCUAAUAAACAAUCUUAAAUAUCAAAAAAUCACCUUAAGAACUACUCCAAAACCCAAAAAUCAAGAUUCAAACAGAACUUCAAAAAAAUCCAUCAAGAACUCAUAUACUCAAAUUUCCAAAAUGUGAAUACGCUGGAUUUAAUUAGGAUUGGUGUGUGGCUGAACGAGUCCAGCUUUAUGUGAUCUCACAUACCUCGUAGGGAUUAACCCUUGGCGAAAUCUCAAGAGUGCUACGAAACAUUGGUUUUUCUCCUCUUUUCUACUCUCUCAAAGCCCUAACAUAAUUUUGUAAUUGUCUAAAAUGAACCAAAUCAGUUUAUACCCAAAAAAAAUUACUAAAAACAAAUAAAACUAAUUGGGUGCUAAAAAGACCAAAACAUAGGUUUACUGUUUGGCUAGCUGUGCAUGAUAGACUUCUUACAAAAGAAAAAAUGCAAAGACUGAACGUACCUACAGGGAAUACGUAUUGUUGCUUAUGUGAUAAGCAGGCUCAGGAAACAAACAAACACUUGUUAUGGCAGUGUAAAUAUAUAAAGGCUGUAAAACAAGGUUUAGAAACAUAGACUGGGAUCAUGUUGAUUGCAGGGGAGAUGAGAGGAGUAUUACUAACUAUAAAAAGAAAGAGGUGCAACGAUUUCAAGAAGCAGAUAUUGGCAGUAACAUGGGGUGCAUGUACUAGAAAACUUGGAGGGCUAGGAAUUGGAAGCAAUUUAGAGGAGGCACUAUAAUGCCAAUGUGUCAUAACUCAGUUUGGAGACAACGCUGCUUCAGACUCCAAAGAGAAGUAGUCAUUUUUAAGAACAACUUACUUUCGAUAAAUCACAUGCCUUUUUCUGGCCAUGACGGAUUAGCCGAUUGGCUAAUAUUAUUUGAACAAAUCUGAGCAAAUGAUAUAGUUGUCUGAAUCUUGCUUAUUUGUUCAAUGUUGAUGAUAUUAUUGGGGGAAAACAUCAGUUGCCGUGCACACAUGAUGGUUCGUCAUCUUACUGCUACAAACGUUGUCUGAUCUCAUAAAUUCCUUUAUGGAUGAAUCGUCUGGGCACAAAGACCGUGAAGAAGUUAUCUCGACACACGCUGUGCAAGAGAUUUUGCAUGAAAACACUAGGCCAAAUACUAAUAAAAGAAUAGUUUCAAAGUUUUUGUGGUAUGAAGAAGAGUUGUUUUCCACUUUAUAUAUAUAAAAAAAGAAUACUGGACAAGCAAACAUUAAUGAUAAAUAAAACUUGCCUCACUGCAAGCAGUUCUGUUGAGUAAUUUUUGCUCUUUAAUCACUAAUAUUAUGAUAGAAGUUAUUUUUAGAAAAGAUGAUUUUUGAGAAAAUAAAUUCAUAAUCUGAAAGAACCAACACAUGUCAUCAUGACUGUAUAUCUAAUAGUUUACUCCUAUGUUUUUUUGUCCUUUUUUUGUUGUCUCCUUAAAGUUAUAUUGAUUAUUUUUCGAUGUGAUCUCAAUUGGACAAAACUUUCGUUCUUUAAUGUUUUUCCUUUUUCCCUUCUCAUUCAACUCUUCUAAAUAUUUUUUGUGUGAGUUAUGGCUAUUUUCGGCAAGCUUAAUUUGAAGAAUAUGAAACAAAAUAUGCUCUAAAUAAGAGUAAUAUCUUAAGCUACAAAAAAAUGUGUCUAGUAAUAUUGCAUUGUUGUCCUUGAUGUGUCAGGUCAUUGUUGAGCAUUUAUGAUAUCUAGGUUAGACUCAUUUUUUAAUUUUUUAAUGUUCAAGAAUAUUUAUUUACAUGAGUGUAGAAUCCAACACUUAGAUCUAUGUGUACUUUCAUAAUACAGUAGUUAUACAUACAUAUUUCUGAAAAAGUCUGUCACGACCCCAAACCGGGGCCGCGACUGCCACCCACACUUACCCUCCUAUGUGAGCGAACCAACCAAUCUAACCUUAACAUUUCAAUAUAAUAUCAAAAGAAAGUGAUGCGGAAGACUUAAACUCAUUAAAUAAAGACCAAUUCAUUAACUUCUAAAAUUCAACAUCUAUUAUUCCCCAAAAUCUGGAAGUCAUCAACACAAGAACAUCUACGAUCAAAUGACUAAACUAAGAGUAUUCUAAAAAGCUAAAACAAUUAAAAGCUAGUCCAUGCCAGAAGUUCAAGGCAUCAAGACAUGAAGGAGAAGAUCCAGUCCAAGCUAGAAGAAUUAGCUCACCCUGAAGAUCCGAUGUGACGAAGACUAGCUAGAGUUACUGUUGAGUCGAAGAUGACGGCACGUUUGCUACACUCCACAAUUAAACAAGAAGAAAACAAUAAAAGUAGGGGUCAGUACAAAGCACGGGUACUGAGUAGAUAUCAUCGGCCAACUCAAAAUAGAAAUCAAUAUAUAUCAAGUAAUAUCAUAAAAUCAACUAUGAUACUCAACAUGUAGCAACAACAAGCACUAUAUCAUUAACAAUUACCGUCAAGUUCACACAUGAGGACUCAAGCCUCAAUACCAUACUCAUUUGGGAAUCAUGUUCAUUAGAUUGAGUAUAUUAACAUCUUUCAAGAUUCAUUAUCUUUAUUUCUCUUGUGUCGGUACGUGACACUCCGCUCCCUCAUAUUCAUUAAUCCUCUUGUGUCGGUACGUGACACUCUGAUCCCCUAAAUCUACGUGUCAGUUCGUGACACCCGAUCCCCUAAAUCUACGUGUCGAUUCGUGACACCCGAUCCCCUAAAUCUACGUGUCGGUUUGUGACACCCGAUCCCCUAAUUCUAUGUGUCGGUUCGUGACACCCGAUCCCCUAAAUCUACGUGUCGGUUCGUGACACCCGAUCCCCUAAUUCUACGUGUCGGUUCGUGACACCCGAUCCCCUAAUUCUACGUGUCGGUUCGUGACACCCGAUCCCCUAAUUCUACGUGUCGGUUCGUGACACCCGAUCCCCUAAUCUCCUUCUAUCAAUUCAUCAAGCCUUCUUUCUUACCAAGGCAUCAUCAAUCCCAUUAUUUUAGUUCAUCACGCCUUCUUUUAUACCAAGGCCUCAUUAUUAACAAGGAGAUUUGUUUUUUAUCAAGAUUUGGGAUUCAAUAACUUCAUCAUGCUUAUAUAAUCACGAUUAUAUAAUUACAUUCAUGCAAGCAUACAAUUAAGCACUUGGCAGGGUUUACAAUAUUAUCAAUACAUACCAUUCUCUAUUAAGAGUUUACUACGAAUAUCGUAAGAGAAACCAUAACCUACCUCCACCGAAGAAUUGCGAUCAACAAGCUAUCUUCUCAAAAUCCUUGCUAUCCCCUUCGUUUCUCUCUCUCUCUACUCGUUCUCUUUCUUUUUCUGUCUCUCUUUGUCCUUUCUUAUUUUUCUUAUUCCAACCCUCUCUCUUUUACCCUAAUUAGUAUAUAAUUAAGAAUAAAAGAUGGCAAUAAUGCCCCACUAAUUAACUUAAGGUUACCUCUUUUAACCCCCAAGUAAUUAGACUUAUUAACAUUAACCCACUAACUUUAUAAUUAAGGCAAGAAUAGUAAAAAACGUCCCUUAAAACGUAUCAAGAAAUCCGACCCAGACUGGGAUUGCGCAACCUGCGACGGCCCGUCGUGCCUGCGAUGGUCCGUCCUGCAGGUCGUCGCAAGGGUCAGAGACUCAAUUUCCACUGAAUAAUCUGUGACGGUCCGUCACGCUUGUGACGGUCCGUCCUGCCAUUCCGUUACGAAGUUCAGAGAGUUGAUUUUCAGCACCCAAAUUUCAGAAUUUCUAAGUGUUUUGGGACGAGACACCCUCGACGGUCCGUCGUGCCCAUGACGUUCCGUCGUGGGUUCCGUCAUCUCAGCCUGUUUUCCAGAAAUAAAAUCUGCUGCUCAAAACGACUAAACAGGUCGUUACAUUAGAUACCAAUUUACCCAUUGUUCGUCCUCGAACGAUACAAGAAGUAGAAUAAGGGCGAAAAGGAGUACCUGAAUCUGUGAACAGGUGUGGAUAUCUUUCUCGCAUAUCAACCUCCUUCUCCCAAGUGGCUUCUUCAACGGGUCGAUUCUUCCAUUGAACUUUGAUGGAUGCAAUCUCCCUUGAUCUCAACUUGCGAAUUUCUCUAUCUAGAAUAGCAACAGGCUCCUCCUCAUAGGACAAAUUCCCAUCAAGCAAAACUGAAUCCCAACGGAUAAUAUAGUUUCCAUCCCCAUGGUAUCCUUUCAACAUCGACACAUGGAAUACCGGAUGUACCCCGGACAGCCCUGGAGGCAAGGCUAACUCAUAAGAGACCUCCCCUACUCGCUUGAGUACUUCAAAUGGUCUAAUAUACCUUGGACUUAGCUUACCCCUUUUUCCAAACCGCAUCACCCCUUUCAUGGGCGAAACCUUCAGCAAGACUUGUUCUCCCUCCAUGAACUCUAAGUCUCUAACCUUUCGAUCUGCAUAUUCUUUUUGUCUACUUUGCGCCGCUAGAAGCUUUUCUUGAAUAGAUUUCACCUUCUCCAUCGAAUCCCUCAAGAGAUCCGUACCCCAAGGUCUAACCUCGAACGCAUCAAACCAACCAAUGGGGGACCUACAUCUUCUACCAUACAAUGCUUCAAAUGGAGCCAUAUCAAUGCUCGAGUGAUAGCUAUUAUUGUAUGAAAAUUCCGCUAAGGGUAAGAAGCUAUCCCAAUGGCCACCAAAUUCUAUCACACACGUACGAAGCAUAUCCUCCAACACUUGAAUCGUUUGCUCAGACUGACCAUCGGUCUGAGGAUGGAACGCAGUACUAAGGUCCAACCUAGUACCCAAUUCCGCAUGCAAUGUUUUCCAAAACAUAGAAGUAAACUGCGUACCUCUAUCUGAUAUGAUGGAUAGUGGAACCCCAUGCAAUCGAACGAUUUUUGAGAUAUAGAUCUUGGCUAACUUCUCGGCAUUGUAAGUCACCUUAACCGGAAUAAAAUGAGCAGACUUAGUUAACCUAUCAACAAUCACACAAAUAGAGUCAUACCUACCCAUUGUCUUUGAAAGACCAACCACGAAAUCCAUUGCUAUUCUCUCCCAUUUCCAUUCCGAAAUGGGCAUUCUCUGAAGUGUUCCUCCGGGCCUUUGGUGUUCAUACUUUACUUGUUGACAGUUUGGACAUUUGGCAAUAAAAUCCACAAUAUCACACUUCAUUCUACUCCACCAAAAGUGUUUCUUUAUGUCACGGUACAUCUUGGUUGCACCCGGAUGUAUCGAAUACCUUGAACUAUGAGCCUCUGUCAGAAUAGUGUUGAUCAAAUCAUCAACACGGGGCACACAUACCCUUCCCUUGAUUCUCAAAACACCUUCCUCAUCGAUUUGUGCUUCCUUAGCCUCUCCUCGCAAUACCUUAUCUUGGAUUCUUCUUAGUUUCUCAUCAUCAAACUGUUUUCCCUUAAUCUUGUCAAGAAAGGAAGAUCUUGCCUCCACACAAGCAAACAACCCUCCCUUCUCAUUUACUUCUAAUCUCAUCAAGUCGUUAGCUAGAGUCUGAACCUCUCUAGCUAAUGGGCGUCUAGAGGCUUGCAAAUGAGCUAGACUUCCCAUGCUUCCCGCCUUUCUACUUAAAGCAUCCGCUACAACAUUCGCCUUCCGCGGAUGAUACAAAAUGGUGAUGUCGUAGUCCUUCAGUAGCUCCAUCCAUCUUCUCUGUCUCAAGUUCAAAUCUUUCUGAGUAAAGACAUACUGUAGGCUACGAUGAUCCGUAUAGACCUCACACUUAACCCCAUAUAAAUAGUGUCUCCAUUGCUUUAAUGCAAACACUAUCGCGGCCAAUUCCAAAUAAUGAGUUGGGUAGUUACGUUCAUGCACUUUUAAUUGUCUUGAAGCAUAAGCAAUCACAUUCUUCUCUUGCAUUAGCACUGCACCCAAACCCGAAUAGGAUGCAUCACAAUAGACAAUGAAAUUCUUACCUUCCACUGGCAAGGUGAGAAUGGGUGCGGUAGUCAACAAAGUCUUGAGCUUCUGAAAGCUUUCUUCACACUCAUCCGACCAUACAAAUGGAGCAUUUUGCUUAGUCAAGUUCGUUAGUUGGGAAGCAAUAGAAGAGAAUCCCUUGACAAAUCGGCGGUAGUAGCUAGCUAACCCAACAAAGCUCCUUAUUUCUAACACAUUAGUAGGUCUUACCCAAUUCUUUACUGUCUCAAUCUUAGAAGGAUCCACCAUCACUCCAUCCUUAGAAACCACGUGCCCCAAGAAGGACACUGCAUCUAGCCAAAACUCACACUUAGAGAACUUGGCAUAAAGCUUUUUCUCCCUCAACAUUUCCAAUACCAUCCUCAAAUGCUCCUCAUGUUCCUCCUUACUUUUAGAGUAUAUCAGUAUGUCAUCAAUAAAUACGAUCACAAAGAGAUCCAAAUAUGUCUUAAAACUCCCGUUCAUCAAGCUCAUAAACGCAGCAGGGGCAUUCGUAAGACCAAAAGACAUUACUACAAAUUCGUAAUGCCCAUACCUCAUUCGAAAAGCAGUCUUUGGCACAUCCGUUGCCCGUAUUUUCAAUUGAUGAUAACCGGAUCUCAAGUCAAUCUUAGAGAAGACACAAGCACCUUGUAACUGAUCGAACAAGUCAUCAAUGCGAGGAAGAGGAUACUUGUUCUUUAUGGUUACCUUGUUCAACUGUCGGUAGUCUAUGCACAUCCGAAAACUCCCAUCCUUCUUCUUUACAAACAAAACCGGAGCACCCCAAGGAGAUGCACUUGGUCUAAUAAAGCCUUUGUUUAACAACUCUUGAAGUUGGGCUUUUAACUAACUUAACUCCGCGGGAGCCAUUCUAUAAGGGGGUAUCGAAAUGGGGCGAGUACCCGGUUCAAGGUCAAUACAGAAAUCAAUAUCCCUAUCUGGUGGCAUACCAAGAAGAUCUGCAGGGAACACAUCCAGAAACUCACGGACCACCGAAACUGACUCAAUCGAAGGUACUUGGGUAGUGUCUUCCUUGAGAUGUGCCAAGAAAGCUAAACACCCUUUACUAACCAUUUUCUUAGCACGAAGAAAGGAGAUGCUACGCACCGGAUUGGAAGUGUAGUCACCCUCCCAAACUAACGGAUCUGUCCCAGGCUUGGCUAACGUCACCGUUUUAGCAUUACAAUCAAGAUCGCAAAUUGCGGAGAAAGCCAAGUCAUACCCAGAAUUACAUCAAAAUCAUCCAUUUCUAAGAUAACCAAAUCUACAUAAGUGUUGCUCCCCACAAAGUUCACCAAACAAGACCUAUAUACCUUUUCAACUACCACAGACUCACCCACCGGAGUAGAAACACGAAUAGGCAUAUCAAGUAAUUCACAAUGUAAAUUUAGACCAUUAGCAAAUGAGGAAGAUACAUAAGAAAAUGUGGAUCCAGGAUCAAACAAUACAGAAGCCAUGCAAUCACAAACCAGAAGAUUACCUGUAAUGACAGCAUCAGAUGCCUCCGCUUCAGACAGCCCAGGGAAAGCGUAACAAUGGGCCCUAUCGUUUGUCUGUCCAUUGCCCCUACCAUGUUGUGAUGUAGUGGCUCCAGUUUGCCCAUUACCUCGGCCAUUUUGGUGACCACCAUUACCUCGACCACCACGUCCUCCAGAAUAACGGCCUCUACCAUGACUACCUCUACCUCUAGCCAUUGGGGGUCUAUAACUCUGUUUUGGACAAUUUCUCCUAAUAUGUCCAGUCUCCCCACAUCCAUAGAACUCUCUAUAGUCAAGCAUAGGUCUCUCAGAGAAGUGUUGACCGGUUUGAGGUGGACCCCCAACUACAGUCUGUAGUGAAGACUGAAUUGGUCGAACUGAGUAACCUCCGGAACCCUGUCCUCUAGAGUAAGAACCAUUAAACUCACCUCCCUUUUGAAACCUCUUUGAUGUCGAUGCCAUGGUGAAUUCAUCUGGCUUCACUCCUUCCACCUCUACCACGAAAUCUACCACUUCUUGGAAGGAUUUGGUCGUAGCCACUACCUGUAAGGCUGAAAUCCGCAACUCUGACCUCAACCCCUUCACAAAACGACGAAUCCGCUCUUGUGGACUGAAAUAAAGUUGGGUGGCAUAUCUGGAUAGUGCACGAAACUUAGCCUCAUAUGCAUUGACCGACAUCCUGCCUUGCUCUAGGCUCAAGAACUCAUCUCUUUUCCUAUCCCUCAAUGUCCGAGGGAUAUACUUCUCCAUAAACAAGCUAGAGAAUGAGGCCCAAGUCAUAGGUGGUGCCUCUGUUGGUUGACACUCGAUAUGUGACUGCUACCACAUUUUGGCGUUCCCUUGAAACUGAUAACUCACGAACUAAACACCAAACCGUUCUACUAUACCCAUCUUGUGUAGUAGCUCAUGACAGUCAACCAGAGAAUCGUAAGCAUCCUCAGAUUCCGCACCCUUGAAGACUGGAGGUUUUAAUUUCAAGAACUUACUAAAAAGUUCAUGCUGAUCAUUUGUCAUUAUAGGCCCAGUAGUCAGACGUGGAAACGUGCCUAUGUCCAAUGAGCCAUCAAUACGAGGAGCCAUAGUGGCUGCAUGUUGUACCUCUGAAACUGGAGGUGUUGGUGCAGAAAACACUGGAGGGGCCUGACCCUGAUCAGACAACCCACUAAGAUAAGCGAGAACCUGAUUGAUCAUCUCUGGGGUAGGUUGGGGUGGCGAUUCCUCGUUUUGCUCUUGUUCAUUCUCCCCUUCCUCAUCCUCUCUUACCACUUCCUCAGUCGGUGGAGGAGUCACCGCCCUAGUAUCAGACGGGCUAGGUGCUCGUCCUCUUCCCCUAGAGGACGUCCUCCCACGACCUCUACCACAGCCUCUUUCCGCUGCUCUUCCUUGAGCUACAGCUCCAGUGGCUGGCUCAGACGCACCCUGUCCCGCCGGUGCUGGUGUUGGUGCUGGCGUAGUCGUUGCUCUAGUUCUAACCAUCUGUGAAAUAGAGUGAAGAUGGUCAUAUACCAAUUUGUAUCACCUAGAUACCAAUUGGACCCAAGUAAUAGCACGAAAGAAAGAAUGAAAGAAUGGAAUUUUCCUAAAGUCUUAUAGCCUCUUAAAGAUAAGUAAAGGCGUCCCCCUACCGUUCCUUAAGACUCUACUAGACUCGUUCUUGUGUGAUGAGACCAACGAACCUAUAGCUCUGAUACCAAGUUUGUCACGACCCCAAACCGGGGCCGCGACUAGCACCCACACUUACCCUCCUAUGUGAGCGAACCAACCAAUCUAACCUUAACAUUUCAAUAUAAUAUCAACAAAAAGUGAUGCGGAAGACUUAAACUCAUUAAAUAAAGACCAAUUCAUUAACUUCUAAAAUUCAACAUCUAUUAUUCCCCAAAAUCUGGAAGUCAUCAUCACAAGAACAUCUAUGAUAAAAUGACUAAACUAAGAGUAUUCUAAAAAGCUAAAACAAUUAAAAGCUAGUCCAUGCCGGAAGCUCAAGGCAUCAAGACAUGAAGGAGAAGAUCCAGUCCAAGCUAGAAGCAUUAGCUCACCCUGAAGAUCCGAUGUGACGAAGACUGGCUAGAGUUACUGUUGAGUCGAAGAUGACGGCACGUUUGCUGCACUCCACAAUUAAACAAGAAGAAAACAAUAAAAGUAGGGUCAGUACAAAGCACGGGUACUGAGUAGAUAUCAUCGGCCAACUCAAAAUAGAAAUCAAUAUAUAUCAAGUAAUAUCAUAAAAUCAACUAUGAUACUCAACAUGUAGCAACAACAAGCACUAUAUCAUUAACAAUUACCGUCAAGUUCACACAUGAGGACUCAAGCCUCAAUACCAUACUCAUUUGGGAAUCAUGUUCAUUAGAUUGAGUAUAUUUACAUCUUUCAAGAUUCAUUAUCUUUAUUUCUCUUGUGUCGGUACGUGACACUCCGCUCCCUCAUAUUCAUUAAUCCUCUUUUGUCGGUAUGUGACACUCCGAUCCCCUAAAUCUACGUGUCGGUUCGUGACACCCGAUCCCCUAAAUCUACGUGUCGGUUCGUGACACCCGAUCCCCGAAAUAUACAUGUCAAUUCGUGACACCUGAUCCCCUAAUUCUACGUGUCGGUUCGUGACACCUGAUCCCCUAAAUCUACGUGUCGGUUUGUGACACCCGAUCCCCUAAUUCUACGUGUCGGUUCGUGACACUCGAUCCCCUAAUUCUACGUGUCGGUUCGUGACACCCGAUCCCCUAAUCUCCUUCUAUCAAUUCAUCAAGCCUUCUUUCUUACCAAGGCGUCAUCAAUCCCAUUAUUUUAGUUCAUCAUGCCUUCUUUUAUUCCAAGGCCUCAUUAUUAACAAGGAAAUUAGGUUUUUAUCAAGAUUUGGGAUUCAAUAACUUCAUCAUGCUUAUAUAAUCACGAUUAUAUAAUUACAUUCAUGCAAGCAUACAAUUAAGCACUUAGCAGGGUUUACAAUAUUAUCAAUACAUACCAUUCUCUAUUAAGAGUUUACUACGAAUAUCGUAAGAGAAACCAUAACCUACCUCCACCGAAGAAUUGCGAUCAACAAGCUAUCUUCUCAAAAUCCUUGCUAUCCCCUUCGUUUCUCUCUCUCUCUACUCGUUCUCUUUCUUUUUCUGUCUCUCUUUGUCCUUUCUUAUUUUUCUUAUUCCAACCCUCUUUCUUUUACCCUAAUUAGUAUAUAAUUAAGAAUAAAAGAUGGCAAUAAUGCCCCACUAAUUAACUUAAGGUUACCUCUUUUAACCCCCAAGUAAUUAGACUUAUUAACAUUAACCCACUAACUUUAUAAUUAAGGCAAGAAUAGUCAAAAACUUCCCUUAAAACGUAUCAAGAAAUCCGACCCAGACUGGGAUUCCGCAACCUGCGACGGCCCGUCGUACCUGCGACGGCCCGUCGUGCCUGCGACGGUCCGUCCUGCAGGUCGUCGCAAGGGUCAGAGACUCAAUUUCCACUGAAUAAUCUGUGACGGUCCGUCACGCCUGUGAUGGUCCGUCCUGCCAUUCCGUUACGAUGUUCAGAGAGUCGAUUUUCAGCACCCAAAUUUCAAAAUUUCUAAGUGUUUUGGCACGAGACACCCUCGACGAUCCGUCGUGCCCAUGACGUUCCGUCGUGGGUUCCGUCGUCUCAGCCUGUUUUUCCAGAAAUAGAAUCUGCUGCUCAAAACGACUAAACAGGUCGUUACAAAGUCGAAAAGUUGCAUUGAUGAAGUAUCUGUAAGGGCCUUCAAAGCGGCACUUUAAUGAAGAAUGAUUUUCUAAAAGGGUCAACAAUAUUAUUUUGAUGUUGCAUAAAAGUUAUUUCUCUCAUUCUAUAAAUUUUGUUAGACUAACAAAGUAACAAUAACAAAAAUUGGUGAAUGUUUGACCUCACACAAGUAGAUUUUUAGAAGAAAAAAAAUUAUUCAUGUUCUUGUGCAGUACAUUUUUAACUGUUUUAAGUUAUUUAUAACUAAUAUUGAUUAUCAAAAAAAUUUAAAUUAUUUUUUUCCCAAGGAGUUAUUCUAACCAUAAAAUAAUCAGAUUAUAUAUUUUUUAAAAACACCAUUCAAUUCUAACAACACAAUUAUAUCAAACAUAUAUUAUGAUAAAUUAUGUAUAAGAAUAAAAAAAUUAUAUAUCAAUAUAACUUUAAUCAUUCAUUAUAUAUUUAGAAUUAUUGAAAUAUGUGAUAAUGUCAAAUCAUUUAAUUUUUAUUGAAAUGUUCUUAAGACAUACUAAAAUUUAUUUCUUUUUUUCUUAUUACAGUCGAUAAUUGGAAAGGUUGUUCAAAAGCAUUGAAAGAUUUUUAAUGCCUACGCGAAGCGCGUGUGAAUUAACUAGUAUAAAUAAAAUAGAAUAUUUUUUCAAGAUUAUUAUCAUUGCUUGAGUGACCUAAAUUUUACAAAAACCAAAGUUGAUAGAAAAUAUUACUACUCUCUCUGUCCUAUUUCAUAUGAGUUAGUUUGAUUUGUUAUAGAGUUUGAGAUUUUUUUGUUUUUGAAUAAUAUGUCUAAGAUAAAUGAUAGAUAUUUUUGUUGUUAUAACUCAUUUCAUCUAUAUAUCUAUAUUACCUUAAAAUCAUGAACUCCUAACUUGAAUGUUAAAUUAUUAUAAUAUCCCCAACUUAGAUUGUGACUUUUUCGAUGAGUUGUGGUUUUUCUAAGUUGUGACUUUUCUCAAAGGGUUGUGAAUUUUCGAUGAGUUGUUACUUUUCCAAAAACAUGUGCUUUUUCCAAAGAGUUGUGACUUUUUCAAUAAGUUUUGAUUUUUGGAAAGGGUUGUGACUUCUUGGAAAGGUCAUGAUUUUUCAUAUAAGAUGCAAAAAACACUUGUUCAUACUAUCCUUUGUUGACUAUAAAUAGAGGAGUUUCCUCUCAUUUUCAACCACAAUCUUUUUAAUCUUAUACUUUUCUUCGUGCAUUUCAAAAAUAUCGUGUGGUUAUUAUCGUUCAGGAUUUUGAUGUUAAGCGGAAUAUAAAUUACCACUAUUCUGAUGGCUUAAGUAAAUUGUUCUAUUCUAAGAGGAUAUGUCCCUUAACCUCGAGUACUUGAGGAAAUAAUUAUGAUGAUAUUAUAAUUGUUUCUUUCCUUAGUAUAUACAUUAGUAUGUAAUGUUCCAAUAUGUGAGGUUAACAUGAUGUAGUCUAAAAUCAUUUGUUUAUGUUAUCAAUUUCUGAAUAUCUUAUUGAAAAAUUAUUUAACUUCUCAAAAGUAAGAGAAUCGUCACGGUUUUUUUUUUAUGCUCAAGACAAAAUAAUGAUUUUAUUUAUGAACUCUACUUAUAUGAUUUUGACUGUCAGAGAGUUUGCUUCAAAAUAGUUAUUACCAUACAAUCAUUUUUCUUUUGUUUUACUGAUUUACUAUUUCUUAAUAUUUAAGUACUUUCGUCAAAGAAAUGUAUAUACGACUUGUAAUAAUGACAGUCGAAGUUUGUAUUAGUUUUUUGUUUUUGUUAACAAUUUCUCUUGUGUUAUACAUAUAUAGUUCUGAAUAUCUUUUUCCAAAACUAUUAGACUUCUCAAAGUUACAGAAUUGUCUCAAAUUCUUUUUUGAUGCCCUAGAUAAAAUAAUUACUUUAUUUAUCAAUGUUACUUAUGUCAUUUAGAUUGUAAGGAAGUUUGCUUCAAAAUAGUUAUUACUAUAUAUACAUUGCAAGACCCUUAACUUGACGUCAGCUGACAACUAUAACUUUUUAAACUUGGAUGUGCACAAUGGACACUUGUAUAAAAUUGAACCAAUAGAUACAUCCUACAUGUCACCCUACAUGGAAAUUUUGUGUCCGACAUGGCGUCCUACAUGUAUUAUGUCAUGUAAGACAUUUGUCUACUUAUUAAGUUUUAUACAAGUUUAAAUGUCUACUUUUCCAUACUCAAAGUUCGAGGACAUAAUUGUCCGUCGAAUCCAAGUUAAGAGUCAAGUUUAUGUAUUAUGCCUUUAUUUUACUUAUUUACCAUUUCUUAACAUUUCACAAUUUUUGACGAAGCAAAGUUCAUAUGACUUUUUAUUGUAGUCCAAAUUAAUUAAUUUUCUUAAUAUAUUUUUUCAAAAUUAUUGAACUUCUCAAGAGUAAGAGAAUUAUCACAUAUUUUUUUGAUUCUCAAGACAAAAGAAUGACUUUAUUUAUUAGUGUUAAUUAUGUGACUUAGAUUGUAAGGAAGUUUGAUUAAAAAUAGCUAUUACUCUAUAGAAAUUUCCCUUUAGUUUUACUAAUUUACUAUAUUUUUGUCGAAGAAAAAAAGUUCAUAUUUCAGCAUUUAUAUAUGUCACAGAUGUAUUAUCUAAUUAAGAAGAUUCCUAACUUCAUAACAUAUUAUUUUAAAAUUUUCUGAUUUCCUUUUUUUUAAAAAAAACUCACGAAAAUCUAAGAAUAUAUGAGUAUAUAUGAAUCGAAUGGCAUCUCCACAUGUUCAUGACAUCAAAAUAGAUUAAGUUGAAUACAUGUGCAAAUACAUCUGAUGAGAUUACCAGAAAAACAUACAACAAAUAUCGUUUAUAAGGUAAUAUUAGUGAGAUAAGGCUACUUACAAGAUUAAACCUUAUCAAAUUAAAAUAAAUAUGUACAUUAUUUCAUUUAACUAAUAAAAUUGUUCAUUUAUCAUCUUUGUAGGUUUGUGCGAAUAAGAAAUAUACAUGACCAUCCACAUUCACAAAAGAAUCUGUAAUAUUAUUUUGUGCAAAACUUAUUAUUCAAAUCUUCGCUUAAUUUUUUUGAAUUGAUAAUCACGUGUAAAAAAUCUAAUUAAGUAUAAAAGGGACAUUUUAAAUUGAAUUAUUACUUAACUAGGUAUUUGCCCGCGCUUCGCGCAGUCAUAAAUAAUAAUUGCAUUCAACUUGAAAAAAGUUUUUUUUCUAAUAUCCAUACAUUAAAAAUAAUGGAAAAAUAUGUUCUUAAAAAAUAUUAGCAACGUUUCAAAAUUAAUUUAAUUAUUUGUCGUUAUCGCAUAACUCAAGAACCUCUACUAAAUGAACUAAUCAUUAAAUAAUAAAUCAUUGGUUCUUUAAUCAACAUUAAAGGAAAAAAAGAAGUAAAUAAAAAUAUAUAUACAAAGGCAUUUUCUAAUAAAAAGAAACACUUAAGUUGCAUAGUGAUAUAUGUCUUAGGAGAAAAUUCAAAAAUGUUAGCAUAUUUAAAAAGGAAAUCAUGCUUGAACAUGAAAGCAAUUAAAACUUUUGAACUUUCAUAAUGAAUUUCUUCAAUUGAUAAGUGAGAAAAUUUAUAUCUAUGUAAAAAUUAGAUAAUAUGUAAGGUUAUAUAAAUACAUUUUUUUCUAAUAUCGAUACAUUACAAAUAAUGAAACACAGAUUCUUAACAAGAUAUUAGCAAUGUUCCAGCAUGAAUUUAAUUAUUUGUCGUUAUCUCAUAACUCAAGAACCUCUACUGAAUGAAUUAUUCACUAAAUAAUAAAUCGUUGGUUCUUUAAUCAACAUUCAAAGGAAUAUAAAGAAAAAAAUAAGAAUAUAUAUACACCGACAUUUCCUAAUAAAAAGAAACAUUUAUGUUACACAAAUUAUACAAUUGUGAUAUAUGUCUUAGGAGAAAAUUCAAAAAUGUUGACAUAUUUAAAAAGGAAAUCACGCUCGAACAUGAAAGCAAUUAAAAUUUUGAACUUGCAUAAUGAAUUUCUUCAAUUGGCAAAUGAAAAAUUUCAUGUCUAUGUAAAAAUAGAUAGUAUGUAAGGUUAUAUAUAGUACUUUUAAAUUAGAAUUAAAUAUAGAAUAUCACACCAUGAAUUCUUGAAACCGAGUACAAUAAUAAUUUUCUGCACAAUGAAUAUACGUACGAUAUGUGUAUAUGUUAAAUCUAACCGGAGAUAAUAACUUUGAAAAAACAUAAACAAUAGAGUUUAAAUAUGUACUCAAAAUCAACAAUUAAAUUCAUAAACAUAAAAUAAUUAGUGUAAAAAUACAUACCAAGAUAUGUAAAAAUAUAAUAAUAUAGAAACAAAAAAAAUGGAGUCACUUAAUGCACAAUGUACCCCUUUAAGAUAAAACUAUUCGCCUCCAAUACAAGAGGUUUAAGAUACAUCUUCUCAGGAUGGAAUGAUUUUAUUCACAAACUUACUGAUGCAAAAACAAUGGUGUUAGUAUGUUAUUAAACAUGAACAAAGUACACGAGUAUAUUAAAUUUUGCGCAUGUAUAGGAAGAAGAUCAGAAUUUUUGUUGUUUAAAAUUAAAGGAAAUCCCACUAUUUAUUGACAACAAAGGGUAGUGUGAACAAAUUUUUGUUGUGCCUUAUCAGAAAUGUCAAAACUUUUCGUUAAGCUGCAACUCUUUAUUAAAGUCGCAACUUUUCAUAAAAGUCAUAACUUUUGAUAAAAGUUGCAACUCUUCAUUAAAGUCAUAACUUUUCAUAAAAGUUUAAUUUUUUUUUAUAAAAGUACAACUCUUCAAUAAAAUCGCAACUUUUCAUAAAAGUCACAUUUUUUCAUAAAAGUUAUAAUUUUUAUAAAAGUCGUUACGCUUUACUAAAGUCACAAUUUUUCAUAAAAAUCACAUCUUUUCAUGAAAGAGGAAUGUUAAUUUUAGAAAUAAAUAAAUUUCAAAAAAGGAAAUUCUUGCUUUUGGUGAUGUCACACAGGCGUAUGGUUCUCGUUUAUAUAAAUAUAUGAUAUAAAAAUCUUUUUUCAUUUUCUAUAUUAACUAAAAAGAAAAGUAACACAUAGAUUGGACAGAAAUAGUAUUUGAGAAACUAUACAAAAAAUUAAAUCCAUAUAUAUACUAGGGUUCCAGUUAGAGGGCAAAAAGAUUGAUCAAAACGGAGAUGAAUAUUGAUAUUAACACUCUAGGUAGUGAGAUUUCUACUUUUUAUUGCGAUAGUUACUUGUACUUAUCUUUUUUUUUUCUUUUGCCAUUGAUUUUAAGCUAUUAGUAUUACUAGACGUUCGUAGAAUUGUAGAUAAUCUUCCAUUGGGAAUGUAGGAUUUGAAAUUAUCAUGUGUGGUUUGUGGGAUAACACACUGGAGCAUGGUUUAGUUUCUGCGAAUCCGGAGGUAAAUGUGUGGGUUUUGGUAUGGACAAGUUAUCUUUUCAGCAUCCCAAUUAGGAUCUUCGAUUGGAAAUGUAGGAUUUGAAAUUUUUACGUGUCGUUUGUGGGAUAUCACACUGCAGCGGGGUUUAGUUUAUGCAAACCCAGAGGUAGAAUGUGUGGGUUUUGGUAUGGACGAAUUAUCCUUUUAGGAUCACAAUUAGGAUCUGGCUGUAAGUUGCAAUUUUCAAAAGUAAAUCGUCUUAGGUUUUCGGGGACCAUUUUCUCUAACUUAUAUAAACUGAAAAAUGAAUGUCUAAUACAACAAAAGUGAAUUCUAAUUAAAUCUAAGAUAGCUAGAAGGAGUGGGCAUCCAUGCCGAAUAUGCAAAGGAGAAGAUCAAAAUUAUAGUAGAAGAGAGAAAAAAAUAAGGAAGGAAUUGAUUUACCAAAAGUUUAUUGUUGCAUUCUCUCUCCUUCUGCAUUGCAGUUCAAGUAGUUACUCUCCUUCCGAGAUUCAGCUUCGAAUAAAGCCAUACUAAGUAAUAUCAUUACGUAUACUCAAAUUCAUUAUCCUCUCAUUAUUAUUAUUAUCUAAUUAAAAUAAUACUAUAAUCUCGAUUAAUUGUCCUAGAUCCCUCGUACGUCUUAGUGUAAUCCUACUAGUGAAGUCUUUUCCUAGAUCUCAGUGUAAGAGUGGCACAUCUUACUUGAAUAUAGACUCUUGGCUCAAAAAAAAAGUAAAAAAAUUAAUUAUAAUAACAAUAUCAUCCAACAGAGGUGCAUAUACGAAUGGUAAUCAAAUUUUGCGUCGGUGGUUAGUACUUUUAUAAUUGUAUAGAUUAAAAGAUUAUUUUCUUAGACAAGUACAUUUGGAUGGAAGAGUGUGGUUUAGAGGUCAAUGAAGUGGUUGAAAAUCAUGAGGUCUAAUGUGUGAAUCCCAACAGAGAAGAAAAAAACUUGGUGACUUUUUCCAUCUUUUAUAGUCUUAGUGGACAGAGUUAUGUAGUACUUAUUGCUUAUGGGAGGUAGUAUGCUUGAAAUAUGUAACAAUGUCAUCAAUUUAUUCUUUACUUAAAGGUCCAUUUGCAUUCUCUUUACUUAUAACAUAUGUACAUUCUACAGUUCAGAAGGAAAACGCAAAAGGAGCUGAUUGGUAGGAAGAGCUUUACCAAAAGGUAUGUCUGUAAUGGUACUUUUUAUUUGUACUAGAUUUUGAAAACUAUGGAAAUUUGAUAUGUCGAUUUUGAUAAACUGGCUGGUUAUAACAUUAUAAGAAAUAAAAGAAUGUUUCAACAUAUUUCCUAUCAUUAUAGAGUAAUAGAAGACGUUUAACAUACCAAAUGAACAACUAAAUUCAUGACCAUACCCCUCCACGCAAGAUGCUUUAUGUAUUCCAUUUCUUAGAGGUAAUAGAAAUCUAAGCAUGUUAACAGGUAACUUCUUAGAAACGAACAUGAAUCCUCACUGUGAUGGUGCUCUGUAUAAGCCCGUCUUGGUCCCAUAUUCUUAAUGACAAAAAAUUAAUUUCACGUUCCCUGACAUAAUUUAGAAAUCAAGUAUAUUUUGAUAAAUUAACGGAUUACAAAAAAUUAAUUGUUGAAUGCUGAGAUCAUAUGUCUGUAAGUUCUGGUCAAAGUUCUUGAUGGCAUGUCACCAUUUUCUUUUGAGCAACUAAAUUCUUUAAUUGCUAAUAUGAGGGAUAAACCUAUUUCUGCAAGAAGUAUAUACAUGAAUAUAUUGCUAUAAGAUGUUUUCAGUGAAAAUAUAUCCGUUCAUUUGUAUUAAUACAAUUUUUCUGUUUUUAAUUUUAUUUCUUAUUAUAGAGAAAUCCAAUGCUUCUGUCUUCAAAACUCAGUCUUAUCUACUUACAUCCCUAACUUAGUGAGUAAUAAGUUGGAAUACUUCAAUUUCUCCAAGAAUAAACAUAUAAACAUUCUUUGUAUUCUCCAUCCCAUUGUUAUUCACUUAUGAAGCGAAAUACAAUGUUAUUAUUUCGUUGUUUACCCUGGUUUGACAUCAAUGAUUAUAAAGGUGUAAAGUUAAAAAAAAGAAAUGAUUGCAACCUAACUUUGAAAAAGUAUAUUCUAACUCCUCCUGGUUGGGCUGGUCUAUGAUCACAUUGCGGAAGUUUCAUUCUUGAUUUGAACACCAAGAGGAUAAAGGAAGCAAAGGUCAGUAAGGUGGUUCUACUUCACUUUUAACCUUUUUAUCUAGAAGGUUCUUUUGUGAAGAUUUUCUAGUUUUGUGUCUAUUGUAUCGUACAGUUGAUCUAAUUAUCACCUAACCACAUGAGAAUGCAUUCUUGACAUUUCCGCAAUUGACUUGUUGAACUUUUUAAUCCAUAUUAAGUCUAUGAAGGAGAUGUAUUUAUCAGACAUCAAUGAUUUAUACAAGAAAAUUACUUCUAAACUGCAGCAGGUAUGUCAUUCACAUCCCUCUAAGUUCUUCAUCAUUGUUUCAAAUUUUGGUUGGCUUCCUUGCAAGUUCCGUAAAAUGACACACCAUCAUUUGCAUAUUGCAUGCACCAAGGUGUAAUGCAUAUUGCAUUGUAUUGGUUAUUUCCUUAUUGGAAACUCCUCAAACCGGGAACUGAUGCAGAAAGCUCAGAACACUAUAUCAGCAUUUUUGCUUCUUUUGUUCCUUUCCUGUUGAUUGUCAUAUUGAGAAACAGUAAAGGAAUUAAGGCUUCCCUAGUUCUUUCGGUAAGCGCUUGAGUCAACAUUCUGUUGAAUUGUCUGAACCUUGCGCACUAUGUUAUUUGUCUCAUAACGUCAUUUCUUAAACUUAACUCCCUUUUUCGUUGCCGUGGGAGGAUCUUGAAGCAUGACAUUCAAAGGUUAGCAAAUGGACAAAAACAAGACUCACUGAACUGAUUUUUUUUCUCUUUAUUUUAUGCAAGACUCUCUUAAUCAGAGUCUUCCAAAUGAGAGAACUGAAAAUCUUAAGAUGUUCAAGAUGACGCUGGAACGCAUUAUGCUUUUCUUGCAGCUUAACAAACACGAUAUUAAUCUUCGUCACAAGGAGAAACUGCGUUCGGUUGAGAAGCACAUAAGUUUCUUUCUAAUAGGCAAAAAUCUGCACAAGCCUACUUCUUCUGCAUUGCAGGGGUAACUUCCUCAGGUUUCCAUCCAUACAAGUCAGAUAUGCAGUCCAAACUUGUUUGGAUAAUUAAAUUGUUUUCACCUUGUUGAUGUUUUUUUCCUCUUGUGUUAACAUGAAUCUACAUUUCGAGUAGAAUUUUUUCUUUCUUGAGGGGGGAGGUUGAUUACUUGGAACUUGUGAUUACUUUCCUAGUAUAAAUAUCUUAACUUAUGAUUGAUCUCUCGUGUUACUUCUAUUAUGUUCUAAGGUCUCAUGUGUUUAAUUAGGAAGGUAUGGAGAUAACACAUUUGAGUAGAAGGUUAGUAGGGAGUCGAGUAUUGUCGUAUUUCUAGUAGUAUGAUUUAGGUAGCUCAUAGUUUCUUUUUCUAACUACUGCUUGUAUUACUUGAAAAUAGGACUCAAUUACAACCGACCUUAUAUUAGAGAAUGCAACACAUCAAAAGUAACGAUAAAAGACUGAAAUAUAAGAUUCAGAAGAAAGGGGAUGAGAAGCUUCAGAUUUCUUAGAAUUGGGGAUAAGAGACUCAUAAAAUUUCAAUAACAAUAAAUCCCUAGAAUUUGUUACUACUAUCACUUCUUUUAUAAAUAACUAGGUAAUAUAACCGCACUUCGCGCGGGCAUAAAUAAUCAUUCUAAGCUUUUAAACAACCUUUCCAAUAAUCGACUAAUAUAAUUUUAAAAAAAAGAGUAAAUUUUAGUAGGUUUUUAGAACAUUUUGACAGAAAUAAAUGAUUUUACAUUAUUACAUAUCUAAAAAAAUUGUUAUUAUAUAAUUAAGUUCGCUGAAAAUAGUCAUAACUCACACAAGAAAUAUUUAGAACAACCGAAUGAGAAGGAAAAAAAGAAAAACAUUAAAGGAACGAAAAGUUUUGUUCUAGUGAAAUAAUAUACAUACCAAAUGAAUAGAGAGAAAAAACAUACACUAAAGGGAGUAAACUAUGAUAUAUCCAAUGAUUAUAACAAAUCAUUCUAAUUAGAAAAGUUUCUACAUUUUGGAAUAACAUACCACAAAAAAUUGACGGAUACUUCAAUCAACUUUCAAUCCUUAAUGUACUCUUAAUAUCCACUGAUAAAAAUUAAAAAAGUAAAUAGCAAAAACAUAAAAACAAAAAAAAACACGGGAAUGCAAAGUUAUUAACUAUUAGGGGAUCUUUUAAAGAACACAAAAUUGCAUCCUUGUAUAUGAAGGAAUGACGUUGGUGAUGAAUUAAUUAUAGAUUUGUAAGAUCUUUUUUUAUUAUAACUUCAUCAAUUUCGGUAGAGAAAACAUGCUUGGAUACCCAAUUGGCGUUUGUUAUUUAAUUUGUACUAAAAAAUACAUAUAACAUUAACUUUGCAUUAACAUAAACAACUAAGUUUAAAACAUGUACUCAAAAACAAUAAUUAAUAAUAUAAGCAUAUUUUACCAAAUGUAAAAAACAUACCAGGAUCUUCAAAAAUAUAGUGAAACAGAAUGGAAAAAUUCGAGUUCAUUGAAUGCACAUUGUCCCCUUAAAAAAUUAUUUCAUCUAGUACCCGAUGUUUAAAAGAAUAGAUCCUCUCAUGAUAGAAAGAUUCUAUACAUUGGUAUAUUGAUACAAUAACAAUAGUAUUAGUGGUUUAUUAAACAUGAGUAAAAUAUACAAAUAUUUAAUUGUGUUAGAAGAAGAACGUUGUUUUAAAAUGAGAGGGAAGUCCACUAUUUAUAGACAACAAAGGGUAAUGUGAACAAAUGAUUAUUGUGUCUUAUCGGAAAGGUUGCAACUCUUUGGAAAUGUUGCAACCCUUUGAAUAGGUCAUAACCUUUCAUAAAAGUCACAACUUUUCAUAAAAGUUACAACACUUCAUCAAAGUCACAACUUUUCAUAAAUGUCACAACUUUUCGAAACGGGAUAUCUGUCACACCCCGAGCUACCCGUGAGACGCAUACACGGAACCUAGGACCACAAGCGAUCCCAAGCUAACCCUGCUGGCAUGAUCAUGAGAAUACUACAGAUAAUAAACUGAUGUUGAAGCUAAAUCAUAAUUAAAUCUGAAAAGAUGGGGAAUACCCAUAUUCUAUAACUGAGAUAUUUGAAAACAACGAGUUUAAUACAAAAUGAAAUAUUAACUCUAUACUAAGCUGAAUCUAACUAUAUCUGAAAUAAGCCUCCAAACUGGACAAGAAAUACUGGUACAAGCCCCAGCUAAAUCUAGCAAAAACUGAAACUAAAUGACUAAAGACUGAAAUACACUGAUGAAUGUUAUCCUCGGAGAAUGAGGACUCACCACUGAAUCUAUUGAACUAGAGAUCGAAAAUCGAUCUAUGCGUGAUCUGGAUGCUGCGAACCUGAACCUACAUCGCGAGAUGAUGUAGCGCACGUAUGCAUCAGUACUUGAAAGGUUCUAAGCAAGUACGAUAGAGUAGAGAUGAAAUAAAACAUAACUGAACAAGCAUAAAAUCAAGUAUAAUAAUCUAACAUGAUAAACUGAAUUCUGAGCUAACUGAAUGCAAUGACCAAUUUAUAACAUGUUGAAACUGAAUACUAAAUAUACUGAUAAAUGGUCAAUGCGGAGAGUAUGAUUGAUCUGUGGGAGCUACUAAUAACCGAUAAUAAAACCACAUGAGUUAAAUGUGUAGUCCGAUGUAUACGCCCCAUCGAGAGGACCCAAUAUACCCUGCCAAAGGUAUAAAGGCAUGAUGGCUUCAUCACUAAAUUGAUUGCCCAUAGAGGGGACUUACAACCUACUUGGCUAGUAGUUCUGGGACUAUUGCAUAGGCUAAACCCUAGUCCAAGUCGAUAUUAUGCUAUUCCCAUUGAUUCUGUAAAUUUACUGAUUAUGUCUGUGUUUGUGUAAAUACUGGAUAGCUCGAAACUGAACAUGCAAACUGAGAAUGCAACAAUUAUUCUGAUAAUUAUGCAUUUAUAACCGAGGCAUAUAUUUAUGAAGUGUAUGAAAUAUCUGACCUAACAUGUGUGAUUCAAGAACUAAAGAAAUUACAAAGCUAGGGUUCUAAAAUUAAUGCGAUAAUCUGAGUAAUAACGUGAUAAUAUGAUUUGCUACAUAUAUUUAAUAAAUUCAUGAAGUUCUAACAAUGUCCUAGAAACCCUAGGUUUAAUCAUGAUAAGACAAUCAAGAACCUGACUCAAAACUAGGGACCCAAUAGGUGAGAGGAACCCACUAGUGAAAUCCACAUACCUGGUGAUGAAAUCCACAGAACAUUACUUAGGUUUCAGGGCUGGAACUGCUAAAACUUGUUGUCGAACCAAACGACGGUCAGGUCUGAUGGUGCGUCGUUUGAACGACGCCCUAUCGUUGGGUUCGUCGACUGAGCCUGUUCGAUAGACCUUUACUAAAAUUGGCAUAACUUUUUACUCGGAGUUAUGAGUUUAUCAAGGUCGGUGGUUAUGAAAAGAUAAUUCAAUUAUCUAUUUGUGUAUAGGUCAUAGGACACCUAAUUUAUUUUCUGCUAAGAGUUAUGACAAUUUGAAUUUGACCCAACUGCAUUUCCCCUUAACUGUCUGCACAUUUUCCACCUACGGAUCAUGCUUGUAAUCCGUAGCUCUUGUAAGAGAUUGGGUGAAUGGGGGUCUCAAUCGACGGCCACGGACUACGGACCAUCGAUCCGUCCGUUGAUCAAGACUUAGCCAAUUUUUUCCGGCUGAAUUUUUUAGAGUUUCUGAUCCCAUCAACGAUUGUGCAGGACGGACCGUUGUCUGUCCUACGGACGAUUCAACCGUUUGUUGCAGCUACAGAUUUUUCUAAAAAAUAAUUUUUGGUAUAUUUUGGCUACGUGGUGUUACAAUAUAACUCUUUGGAAAAGUGAUAACCCUUCUGAAAUGGUACAACAUUUCAUAAAAGAUACAUCUUUUCAUAAAAGUUACAACUCUUAAUAGAAGUCCCAAUUUUUCAUAAAAGUCACAACUCUUAAUGAAAGGAGAAGGCUAGGUUUGUAAAUAAAAUAAAUUAAAAGGGAAUCCUGGUUUGUGGUGGUUCCCCAAAGGCGGGCUUAGGGUUCUGUUAUAUAUACAUACAUACAUACAUACAUACAUACAUACAUAUAUAUAUAUAUACACACACAUAUACAUAUGAUUCAUAGUUUCCACAUUCUCUCGGAUUCCUUCAAAUGUCUUUUCCCAACCUUUUAUUUUAAAUCAGUUAAUGCUUUUGCCCUUCUCUUAACUCGGGUGAUGUGCCUAGCUGGCACAAUUCGUUCAGCCACAUUGGCCUUCACUUCACUAUUUUCAUUCAUCACAAUACUCUGUUCCUUAAUGAGAACCUUGUCCUCAAGGUUUGCGAUGGGGGGAUUAUAGUUUGUUAAGUUCAAAGGAGUACUUUUUGUGUUGGGCUGCCUACACAUCACUUUUUGCACAGAAACAUGAAAAAUAGUAUGAAUCCAGGAAGCCUCAGUAAUUCUAACUUGUAAGCAACUUCUCCAACUCGUUUAAGAAUUUGGAAAGGCCCAAAGAAACACAUUUCCAACAUGUGAGAGGGAAGCUCCCUGAGAUAAGUCUGAUCUGACAAUAAGGUUUUCACUUGACAUAUAGACUCAAUCGCCAACUGAAUAGGUUAGCUCCGUGUAGUUGGCAGCACUGAAUUUCUUCAUGCGAACUUGAGCCUUGCUAAGAUUCUAUUUAGCAAAGUCAAAUUUACAUCAUGGUGGACUAAAUCAGCUUCGACUAAGUCACUUGAAGUACUUCUCAAGAUGUAACAUUCUACUUAGGAGGUUCAUGGCCACAAAAAUCCCAAAAAGGGGUCAUGCCCACGAACAUUGAUAGUAUGUGUUGUACCAAUACUUGGCCUAUGGCAACCCAGUAAGUGGGAAAAUUAACAACAAAACACCUCAAACAUUUCUUAACACACUUAUUAAUAGCCUCUAGAUAGUCAGGUUGCCCGUCUGUUUGAGAAUGAUAGACGGUGCUCAUAGCAUGAGAGCUCUGCUGCAGUCUAUUGAUCUCUUGAUAGAAGUACUGUAGAAACUGAGGGCCCCUCUCAAUGACAAUACUGCAUGUAGGUCCAUGAAGACAAAUAAUUUGAGUCACAAAACCUUCUGCAACAGUAUUAGUGGUAUAAGUCGCUACUAAUGGAAUGAAGUGAACAUACUUAAAUAAACUAUGCAGAACUUUAAUAAUGGUGAAUCUUCCUUUGAAGAACUAGGCAAGCAUGUGAUCAAAUCCAUGGAGAUGUUCUCAAAGAUCAAUUUAGAAAUGAGGAGGGUCUAUAAGAGACCAGCAGGAAGCUUGUGAGAGCUUUUCAUUUUGUGGCAAACUUGGCAAGAAGCUAAGUAAGUCUGUCCCGUUUCUUGUGUAUCCAAAAGAACUUUGAUGCCAAUCGAUGAUAGGUAUGAGCUAUCCCAGCAUGUCCAUCUACCGAAGUGGAGUGAAACUGAUAUAGCAGUCAUUGGCAUAAAGGAGAGCCAUCCGAGAUAAACAGCUGAGUCAGAGUAUACUAUAGUGAGAAUUUGUUGAAUGGCUAAGAGGUCUGAAUGAUAUAGAUUCAAAACCUUUAGCUCAGUCCCAAGUAAAAAAUUUAGACAAAAAAGAGCAAAAAGAGUGGAGUUUGGUUGGCAAGUGAGCCUUUAAAAACCCCGAACAUCAUUCACCGACUUAGGUACUAUCCAUUGUGGAUAACUAUGAUUUUACCUUGAUCGACAAAGAGAUCAUUGUUAGAAUAAAAAAUUGUCGUUUGGCGAAUUAAACAUUUACUCCUUUUAGUCACCAAUUGGUGAGAGCAAAGAAGCUCUAGGACAGUUGUGAGAUGCUCCAAACGGAACUUGUAGUUUGUACUAUAUACAAGGAUAUCGUCGUAAACAGACAACACAAAACAGCAAAGACAAGGCCCAAAUACCUCAUUCAUAGUAGCCUAGAAAGCGGAGGGUGCAUUGGAUAAUCCAAAGGGCAUUAUCAAGAGCUCAUAGUGCCCCUCAUGAGUUCGAAAAGCUGUUUUCGUAAUGUCAUCAGGCAGGGCACUAAUCUGAUGGUAUCCAUACAAUAAGUAAAACUUUGAAAAAAAAUUUGUGCCAUGAAGUAAUGAAAUUCAAAGUAACCCACACAAAAAUGUCAUGUACCAUCCUACUUUGGUACUAGAAGCACAAGAGAUAAGAAAGGGUUGGUAUUUGGUCAAGUAAACUCCUUUAUUAAGCAUAUCUAUCACAAGUUGCUCCAUAAUUUGCUUCUAAAAAUAGGGGUAGAGAUAUGUAUUGACAUUUAUAAGCCCCGCUCAACUCGUUAAAUCUCUAGCAAGAUCUUGGAAUCUAAUAGUGUGGUAAGAUGAGGAUCUUUUAAAAACAUCAACAAAGAUUCCAAUAGAUACUUUAAUAGAAGAGGCUUAUCAAUGAGGGUUGUGUUCCUAGUAUUAGUUAACUUUAAGCAAUAAAAAGUAGCAAUGGCAUCUGUGGUGGCCAAACGUCACAAAAUAUGGAAUUGUACUCGUUGUAGCUCAGUUGGAGUGUCCCCCACCCAACGAACAAGAGAACCAUUCAAGGAGAACUCACAGAUGCAGGCUCCAUAGUCAGUGACAACUGGUACCAAUGUUGCUAACCACAAUACACCCAGAACCACGUCUACUCCAUGAAGAGAUAAAACAUAUAGAUCGAUAUGCAAAUCAUACCCCUGAAAAACAACCACAGAAAAACUAGGGAUGGAUUCAACCACCAUGUGCAAGUAAUUGGCGACCCUUGCUUGCAUAAGAUUAUGUGUACUACCCCAUAAAUAAGGAUUUGAAUGUGAGAACCAUUAACAAUGCCAAUUAAAUGUAAAGUAGUUGGUAAAUCUCCGCCAAACGAAGCUUGAUAAGAAAAAGAUUAAUGAUCUUGUACCUCCAAAAGUUUCAAGUCUUCGGCCAAAAAUUUAUAGAUUCCAAUGGUUCUGACCAGUCUAGCGAUGACUCCCAAUUAAGCAAUAGUAAUUUGGGUAGCGCCUUAAAUUUGUGAGAAGGAGAGUUUCUCAUCAGAACAGCAUAAGCCUCUUUCAGGACGACUGCGUAAUUCAAUAGGGAACAAACACUUUAAGGGAAUUCCAUUUGGGAGUGCAUGUGGUGGUGAAGUAGGGACUAAUGUCGAUAAGGAAGUUUUAAAGAAGUGGUGCAUCAAAGUAGGACUACGUAAAAUCAAAUUUGCUCAAGCAAAGGUGGUUCGGGUUGAGCCUUGCUGAGAGCUCAUCUGUUGUUCAUGCAUAAGGGCCACAGACAUAGCUCGAUCCAGUUUAGAAGGCUCAUGAUCCACCACUGUUGAUUUAAUUCGGCUCGAAGACCAGAAAUCCAAAAAUGUACAAACAACUGCUCACCGAUGGGAGUAGUGUCAUUCGUGAAAGCUUCUAGUCUACUCCAAUAUUUUUCCAUUGUAGUAAUUUGUUGUAUCUUAGCUGAACAUCCCUCUAUGGAGUCUAACUCAUGUUUUCAAUAUCGAUGAACAAAUUUAUCAGCAGAUUGGUUCAAAUUAAUCAACUGAUUAAUGUGAUAUAAUCAAUGAUACCAUUCAAGAGCUUCGUCGUCCACAUAGUGAAAGGUGCACGAGGAGGGGGGGAGGUUAAUUGCUAUUUUUUCAUUUUUCUUCUUUAAAUAGCCGAUUUUUGAGAUUCACUAGUUGAGUAUUAAAUCCAAAAGUAAACACUGAAAAUGAUAGUGUGGAAAAUAAGAUUGACACAAGAUGUUUACUGGUUAGGAUCCAAUGUGGAUAUUACGUCUAAUCCCCUUGGGCUGCGAUGCUAUUGUCUUCAAGCCUUUGGUAUCUUUGUUAUGAGUAAAAGUUUAGAUUAUAGUUCCUAUGUUUGCACUCAAUAUUUUUCUUCCUUUUUUUCUUUUGAUACACAUCCUACCAAAAAUGUUUUUUCUACUCUCUUUUUUGUUUACCCAGUAAAACUAAGUAGUACAAUGCUUGUUAAAAAGUAGAUUAGAGAACGUAUGAAGAAUCAGACUCGAUGUAUGUCUGAUUCCUCAGCUUUCUUCGAGCUUUUUAUAGAGAGUCAAGACAUGCAUCUUCUUUUCGUUAAGUGGUAGAAACCCAAGAGAAAUCAUUCUUGGAAAGAGGUAAUUGAGAAUCCUUCUAUCCAAGAAUAACAAAGAAUAAUGUCCUUUUUCGUAAUCUUCAACUUUCCUUUGAGUGAUAUUGAUAUCUAAAUAUACUCCAUAAUCUUCAGCUUUCCUUUGAGUGAUAUUGAUCUCUGAAUUUUCUCCUUGAUUAAUGUCUAUCCUUUCUUGAUAUUACAUUGAGGUCAGUUGCUUUAGAGUUGUUUUACAGAUCCUUUGAGUGAAGAUUUUGUAGCCGUUUCAAUUCCCUUGAAUAAAACUCAUGGUCUCAUGUUUACGAGAUUUGAUUCCCAUUGAUUAUGCCACAUGUUUGGUCUUGCUUGAUUCUUUCCUUUUAUCCUAAAAGGAUCAUAAUUUGUCACCGUUAAUACAAUUCUUGCACUAACAAUCUCCCUCUUUUUUAUGAUGACAAUAUGUAGUACUGAUACUUCCUUGUUUCAAUAGUGCACUGCUAGAGCUGACUGAGACUUAAUAAUCUAUGUUAUUUGCACAUAACAUACAUCAUGACACUUCUUGGAUAUGUAGUGUUAAUUCAUCCAUAACUAAGACAAAUAAGAACGGGCUAAUGUAUGCUUACCCGGGUCUUGAUAAUAUCAUAUAUUAUUAUAAAUGGGAAGCAUCAAAAUACUUAAAAUAUAUAUUCUUAAAUAAAAUAUAUACAUUGAAAAGAUAAUUAUUCAUUAAUAAUCUUCUAAAUAAACUAUUAUCUCUUUAUAUUCUCUACUAUGAACCUUGUCUUUUCAUUUCACAUAUGUAUAUCUUCUUGUUUUUUACAUUCUAUUUUAUUAUGAGUUUGAUGGAGCGCAUAGGAAAAUUAUCCUUUCUGAUGUUUGUGUAUGUUAUUUUAAGUUAUUUUUUAUUUUGUUUCUUAUCUUCUUACUUAUAAUAUAGUAUAUGAUGUUUGAUUGAUGUUUAAGAUUUUUAUCUCUAAUGUAAAAUAAAAUUUGUAAUUUUGUGUCAACAACUUAUUUAGAUGAUUUUUUUUUGUUACAUGAAAAAACAAUUGAUGAGAUGCUUCUGUGUCGAUCGCAUAAAACUGUAUUUUGAGUUGUGCCAAUACAAAUGGGGUAAGUGACAUUUCCUUCUAACAUAAUUUUUCUGUUAGCACAAUUCUUUGUCUGUUUUUUUUUAAUAUUAUUAUUAUUAUUAUUAUUUUAUUUUGUCAAUAGCAUGUCAAAUUUAUUGAAUUUUACAUAUACAUAUUCAUGUGAGUUGUUUGUGUAUAAAGCUAAUAUAGUAUUGGAUUUUGAAAAUAACUAUCAUAACCCAAUUAAAGUCAAAAAUGUAUUUAUAAGUUUUGACAUGUUGAGUGAUUUGAUAUUCAUUGCCUAUUAAGCUUCACUUUAUUUGUUUGAAUUUAAUUUUUUUAAUGGAGCUUUCAUCCAAAAGAAAGAAAGGAUAACAACCCAUGUUAAGAAAGAAAGGAAUGAUUACAAUAUCAUAUUUUGGUUAUUUUACCCAUGAAAUUAUAUUAACUUUCUUUGCUUUAAUUUUGGUUUAUUAUUUUAGUUAUUUGAUCCAUAGUUUAUCCUUAUCUUUCUCCUUCAAAAUUAAUAUUACUCUUCACUCACAUGUCGUAAUCGUAUUUUUUAUCAUGUCUUUUUGUUUCUCAAGUACAAUUUUAACAAUAUAGCUCCACAAAAUAUGAAAGAGAUAUUGAAUUUGUUUUCUAACUAAACUAUAUUAUAAUUGCGAUGAGUCACAUCAAAUGAAGUUCGUUUAGAAAGUAAUAUUGAUUCUGGUGGUAGGACAAGGGUUAAUUGAUGAUAUGAGUGUAUUAAGUUUGUAAUCUAUGGAUUUAAUUAACUUAAUUGUUUUUUUAACAAAACAUAAGAUCUAUAUAAAAAUUAUAAAAAUUUGACAAAUUCAUAUAAAAUUUUAACGAAUAAAUUUAAAUUAGAAUAAAUUUAGUACUAAUUAAGAAUCUUCAAGAUCCACACUUUAGAUAUUGGAUGUCAUUGAUUUUUGUAUAUAUUUAUUAUAUUUUGAUUCAAUUUUUUUGAAAUACUUAUGCUCACUGGAAAGGCAUACACGUGCAACGUGCGUGUCCAAUUGCUAGUUCUAUUAUAAAUGUCUGUGAUCUAUCUAAUUUAUGCUACGAGUACACCUCUAGCCUCAAAAAAUCUCCAUAGAACCCCUUACAAACUAUCGUAAGCGUUUUGUAGGUCGACAAACACCAUACGUAAGACCCUCUUUCUCUCCUUAUACAACUCCACCAAUAUCCCUUCGGGAAUGAAUUAAUUUUAUCGUCGAAUGGCUUCUAAUAAAUCUUAUUUGGUUAUCAGUAAUAAACACACACCUCCUCACCCUCAACUCCACCACCCUCUCCCAAACAUCCAUAGUGUGACUUAGCAGCUUUGAUAUCCCUAUAGGUAUUGCAAUUUUGAAUAUCACUUUUGUUGUUGUAGACUAGUAUCUUGUACUCCAUCUUCAUUCUUCUGGCAUUUGUCUUCCUAUAAAGAUGUUAAACAACCCUCUUGCUUUGGCAACCCUACACAACUUUGUCAAAGUUCCAACUUUUCUUCUUUGAGAAGGUAGCAUCAUCAUAGUUCCUACUUUUGGUCGGCUCCCUAGCAAGUUUCAGUCAUCAUUUGCAUAUAGCAUACGAACUCCUUGAUAUCCUUAACGUAGCCCUAGAAUAUUAUAAAAUUGACAGCUGAUGUAGAAAGUGCAAAACUGUAAAUUCUCAUUUUUGCAUCUUUGGUUCUUUUACUUUGAUCUUGAGAAACAGUACUCUUAUAGUGGUAAUAUAUUGUUGUGCGGUUAAUUCCUUCUCAUUUCUUGCAUCUCCAUGCAUUGUCUAUGUUGAAGAAUUUUGUAUGAUUUUGAAGUAGAGGUGGUGGUAGACAUCAUAAAAGGAGUAAAUUUCACGUAUCUUUGGUGAAAAUUGUAAUAUAGAUAUCAUUUUUAUGUUUGUUUCUUUGUAGAAAAUAUGGAAGGAGAAAUAAUAUCUUUAGAAAAUGCUCAAGUUUAUUAUAGGAUACUCAAGGCCACUUGAGAUAUUACAAUCAUCAACUACAUCAUUAUUUAUACUACUCAAAAUAAAAACAAAAAGUCUUGCACAAAUAACUAAAUACAUUCAUCACAAUUUACUAGAUACAUGUACUACGAAAUUCUAAAGAGACUUCUUGAAAAACUAAGAGACAAUUUCGGAAAACUAAACAUUGAUGCAUUAAUUCCAACAGUCCUUCUUAAUGCAUUUGUUUUAUAACUCCAAUGCAUCAAAAAUUUUCUCUAGAAAGUGCUUUGGUGAAAAUGUCAGCAAGUUGUUCUCCUGUCUGACAAUUAUGCAACAAAAUUUUCCCUUUCUCUUGUGCUUCUCGGAUAAAAUGAUACUUGAUGAAAAUAUGCUUUGAUCUUUCAUGGCUGACCGGAUUCUUGGAAAUCGCAACUGCUGAUUUGUUAUCAGAAUACAGAAUGGUCACUUUUUUUUUGUUUUUCACCAAUGUCUUCAAAUAUUCUCCUAAGCCAAAUAGCUUGAGAAGUAGUCUUCGAUGCUCAAAUAUAUUCUGCUUCACCAGAGGAUUGAGCAACAACACUUUGCUUUUUUGAUAACAAAAAACAAAUGCUUGAUCCAAAUGAGAAAGCAUAACCAGAAGUACUCUUCAUUUCAUCAAUACUUCCAGCACAAUCACUAUCAGAAUAAUCAAUUAAGUUCGAAUCUCCGCCAAAUUUGUACAUUAUCCCAUAAUCCAUUGUUCCUUGCAAGUAGCGUAGAACACGCUUUGCAGCUCCAAAAUGCACUUGGCUAGGUUCUUGCAUGAAUCUAGAUAAUAAACUAGAAUCAAACAUAAUAUCUGGCCUUGUUAAAGUAAAAUAUAGCAAAUUUCCAAUCAAACUCCUAAAAAAGUGAGCUAUUAACUUUUUUUCUCCAUCAUCUUUUCUAAACUUCUAAUUUGCUGCUCAUGGUAUGUCCACAGACCUGCAAUCCAUCAUUUUGAAUUUUUGAAGAAUACUUUUAGUAUACUUCUUUUGAGAAAUGAAAAUUCAUUCUUUCACUUCAGAAACUUUGAUGCCCAAGAAAUAAUUUAGCAACCCAAGAUCACUCAUUUCAUAAGCUUGCAUCAUAUCUUGUUUGAAAUUUUGCAUCAUCUUUACAUCAUUUCCUAUAAAGAGCAAAUCAUCCACAUAGAGACAAACAAUGAUAAUACUGCCAUGUUCUUUCUUCGCAUACAAAGUGGCUUCACUUUUACUUCUCUGAAAAUUAUUUUUCAGAAAGUAUGUAUCAAUUUCAUUAUGCCAGGCUCUUAGAGCUUGCUUCAGCCCGUAAAGAGCUUUUUUUUAGCCUAUACACCUUUUCUUAUCCCCUUUGAACAAAAAAUCCUUGAGGUUGCUCAAUAUAAAUCUCUUCAUCAUGUUUUCCAUUCAGAAAUGCUGAUUUAAAAUCAAGUCGAAAUAUCUUCCAUUUCUUUUUUGCAGUAACAUCAAUUACAGUUCUAAUUGUCUCAAGACGAGCAACUGGAGAGAAAUUUUCAUAAAAAUCAAUACCUGGUUUUUGCGUAAAGCCUCUAGCAACCAACCUUGCUUUGUGAUUUUGAAUAUCUCCUUCCUGAUUGAGUUUGAUUUUUGUAAAUCCAUUUUAGACUUACAAAUUCUCUUUCUCUAGGAAUAUCCUCAAGCUCCCAAGUAUUAUUUUUUUCAAUCAUUCGAAUUUCUUCUUCCAUGGCUUUCGUCCAAACAUCAUGAUUUAUUACUUCUUCAUAAUGUUCUAGCUCAACACCGACAAAAUUACAUCUUUGAUAAAUGUCAAUCAACAUUUUUGUUCCUCUUGGAGGUGGUUCUUUAUUAUCUGAAUAUGGGAUUUCUCCCCCUUGAGAGACAUCUCCAUCUUUCUCAUCCUCUUCUUGAUUUGAAGAUAUGAUAGCAGUAUUCUCUAUCUUUUUGUCCUCCCAAUUCCAUGUUGUUUUUUCUUAAAAAAUGACAUCUCUACUAACAAUAAGUUUGUUAGUUCUGACAUCGAGAAGCCUCUAUCUUUUUGUCACAUCACUAUAACCAAGAAAGACACAUUUUUUGCUUUUUCAUCCAAUGUUGUUCUUUUCUCAGCAGGUACAUGAGCAUAACAAAUACACCCAAAAAAUUUAAAAUGACUUAUAGAAGGUUUAAUUAUACUCCAAGCUUCAACUGGUGUCUUGUCCUUUAGUGCCUUUGUUGGACACUUGUUAAGGAUGUGAACUGUUGUAUGCACUGCUUCUGCCAAAAAAUAUUUUGACAGCCCUUUCUCAUUCAUCAUAGCUCUGGCCAUUUCAACAAUUGUUUUAUUUUUUCUUUCAGAUACACCAAUUUUUUGAGGAGUAUAUCCUGCUGUAAGUUGCUUCUGAACCCCUUCAUUUUUGUAAUAUUCAUUAAAUUCUCGACUUGUGUACUCACCACCUCGAUCACUGCAAAUGGUUUUGAUGCAACAACCUUUUUACUUCUCAAUAAGGACUUUAAAUUUCUUAAAUGUAGCAAAUGAUUCUGACUUUUCUUUCAAGAAAUAAACCGAAGUCAUUCUUGAGAAAUCAUCAAUAAAGAUUAGAAAAUACCUUUGACUUCCAAGAGAUGGAGUCUUCAUUGGUCCACAAAUGUCGGUAUGAAUUAGUUCCAAAAAUACACUUGCUCUCCAAGACACCCCUUUUGGAAAAGACUUCCUGUAAUGCUUUCCCAUUAUACAAUUUUCACAUGUAUCCACCUCACUGUGUAUCUCAGGAAGGCCUUGCACCAUGUCCUUUUGCUUGAAAAGCUUUAAACAAUGAAAAUUCAAGCGAAAAAAUCUUUUGUGCCAAAGCCAUGAAUCAUCUAAAAUUUUAUUUUUAAUGCAUUUUAAUGAAAUUGCAAAGGAAAGUUUCUUUUUAUCUUUUUUACUUCAACAAUGACUUGAUUUGGCUCAAUUUUAUCAUAAAUCUUGCAAUAUUAUCUCCAAACACAAGAGAAUAACCAUUUUACAUGAGUUUACCAACACUAAGAAAAUUUUCUUCCAAGUCAGGAACAUAAAGAACAUCAUGAAUUUGCUUACCGCAUCAUUUCAUGUUGAUCGAAAUUGUACCUUUACCUUUCGCAUCAACUAAGGCUCCAUUACCCAUCAUCACUUUAGUAGUGAUGCUAUUAUUAAUUGAGAGGAAAGCCUUUUAAUCUCAAGUCAUGUGAUUACUACAACCACUAUCAACAUACAAUUCAUUGCUUUUUGUUGAAGCAUCAGAUUUAGAAGCAAAAAAGGUUUUCUUCCUCUUGUUUUUCACAAAAAUUUUCUUGCUCCCGCUUCUUGUGCCAACAAUCCUUUCAACGCGGCCAAACUUUUUACAAAAGUUACAUUGGGGCUUGCCUUUGUGCCAACAUUUUUUAUUUUGCAUUGUGAUUAGUCAUUUUACAAACUUUACAAAAAAGACUAGAGUUUUUCUCACCUUUUUCUUCAACCUUCUUGGAAGAACCAUCAUGAUCCUACUUCUUUUUUGUCUUGUGUUUUCUCUGCUGAUGAUUUUUUGAGAAAUUUUGAAAAUUCUCAUUUGGUUUAGACUGGAAAGCCGUCUCUUUGGGUUGAUCUUCACAAAAAAUUAUUCGCUUCUCGUGUCCACAAAAUGAUCCAACUAGAUAUUUGAUGGAAGCUUAGAAAGAUCUUUCGUCUCCUCAGUGAUAGCAACAAUGUACUCAUACUCGUCUGUAACACUAAUAAGAAUAUUUUCCACAACUUGUUGGUCAGAAAUUGUAUCAUUAUGAUUUCUCAUUUCACUAACAAUAUUCCUUACUAUUGUACAAUAUCCAUCAAUAUUUUUCAGAUUCUAUCAUCUUUAAAUUUUGAAACUCUCUUCUAAGAGUUUGAAGAUUUAUUGUGUGUACCUUUUCGUCACCAUACACCUCAGUUUCCAGAAAAUCCCAAGCUUCCGUUGCAGUCGCACAAGUAGCAUUUUUUGCAAAAUAUGCACUUGAGACUCCCAUUGGGAUUUUUCUCAAAGCUUUUGCAUCUUGAUGAUACUUAGCCUCAAGUUUUUUCAUCUCUACUGCAGUAAGAUCACCAUCAUUGUCUGGCUCUUCAAAGCAUUGCAACAAUAGUCCACAAACCUUCAACUUUCAAAUGUGUUCUCAUUCUUAUCUUCCAGUAUUCAAAUUUAGUUCCAUCAAAAAAUAGAGUAAGAAUAACUGAAGAAUCUACACCUUCAUUUGUUUUGGAUGCCAUAUUUUUUUCUUCAGCUAACCCCAGACUAAGAGCGAAAAUCUGCUCUUGAUACCAAUUUGUAGGAUAUAUGGAAGGAAAAAUAAUAUCUUUAGAAAAUGCUCAAGUUUAUUAUAGGCUACUUAAGGCCACUUGAGAUGAUUACAAUCAUCAACUACAUCACUAUUUAUACUACUCAAAAUAGGAAAUAAAAAGUCUUGCACAAGUAACUAAUACAUGUAUCACAAUUUACUAGAUACAUGUACUACAAAAUUCUAAAGAGACUUCUUGAAAAACUAAGAGACAAUUUCUGAAGAUUAAACAUUUAUGCAUUAAUUCCAACAUUCUUUUCCUUUCGGUGAAAAAUCAAGAUCUUCUUAAUUCUUUGGGAGAGGACUUGAUUUUUCCGAACUUAAGAGCACUUAAAUCCCAAUCACGCUGAAUUGUGGGGUCUUUGCUAGCUAUGUUUUUGUCUCUUGAUGACAUUGCUUAAGUUUUCCUCCCUUUUUCUUUUCCAUGGGAGGUACUUAAAGCAUGACCCUUAAAGUUUGACAAGAGCAAGAAAUAGGACUGUGACUUCACUAUUUUUUUCUGAUUUUAAGCAUGAUUCUCUAUCUACAAAUGAGAACAUUGAAUAGCUCAAGAGGUUCAAGACGACGUUUGAAGAUAUUAUGGUUUUCUUGGGGUUUAACAAGCAGGAUAUUCAGGUUACACAAGGAGAAGGUGCUUUGGAUUGAGAAACUCAUAAGUUUCUUUCUUAGUUCCAUAAGAAAAUUAUGAGUUUCUCAAUCCAAAGCACCUCCUCCUCGUGAGUAACCUGAAUAUCAUGCUUGUUAACCCCCAAGAAAACCAUAAUAUCUUCCAACAUCGUCUUGAACCUCUUGAUCUUUUAAAUAUUCUCAUUUGUAGAUAGAGAAUCAUGCUUAAAAUCAGAAAAAAAACAGUUGUCAUAAUCAUGUUUCUUGCUCUUGGCAAACAAUAAAAGUCAUGCUUUAAGUACAUCCCAUGGCAAAGGAAAAGGGAGGAAAAGUUAAGUAUGGCAUCACGAGACAAAUAAUAUAACUAACAAGACCCCAAAAUUCAAUGUGAUUUAGACUCAAGUGCUCUUAAAGUUCAGAAAAAUCAUGUCCUCUCCAGAAGAAUUACGGAGAUCACCGAAAGAAAAACAAACCAACAUAAAAAUGAUAUAUAUAUCACAGUUUUCACCAAAGCUUUGUGAAAUUAACUCCUUUUAUGGUGUUUACCACUACCUCUACUUCACAAUCGUACAAAUGCUUCAACAUAGAUGAUACAUGGAGAUGCAAGAAAUGAGAAGCAAUUAGCCGCACAGCAAUAUAUUACCACUAUAAGAGUACUGCUUCUCAAGAUCAAAGGAAAGGAACCAAAGAUGCAAAAAUGAGAAUUUACAGUUUUGAGUUUUCUGCAUAAGUUCUCAGUUAGAUAAUAUUCUAGGGCUACCUUGGGCAUAUCAAGGAUUUAGUAUGCUAUAUGCAAAUGAUGACUGAAACUUGCUAGGGAGACGACCAAAAUAGGAAGUAUGAUGAUGCUACCUUCUCAAAAUAGAAAAGUUAGAACUAUGACAAAGUUGUGUAGGGUUGCCAAAGCGUAGAAUGACAAAAAAGCCUAAAGAAUGAAGGUGGAGUACAAGAUACCGGUCUACAACAACAAAAGUGAUAUUUAGAAUUGCAAUACCUAUAGGGAUAUCGAAGCUCCUAAGUCACACUAUCGAUGUUUCGGAGAGGGUGGUGGAGUUAAGGGUGAGGAGGAGUGUGUUUAUUACUGAAAACCAGUUAAGAUUUAUGCGAAUCCAGUCAACUAUAAAAGUCAUUCAUUCCCGAAUGGAGAUCGGUGGAGUUGUAUAAGGUGAUAAAGAGGGUCUUACAUAUGGUGUUCGUCGACCUAAAAAACUCUUACGACAGUUUCUAAGGGGGUUCUAUUGAGAUUUUUUGAUGCUAGAGGUUUACUCGUAGCAUACAUUAGAGAGAUUACAGACAUUUAUAAUAGAAUCAAGACCCGGGUAAGCAUACAUUAGCCCAUUCUUAUUUGUUUUAGUGAUGAAUAGAUUAACACUACAUAUCCAAGAGGUGUCAUGGUGUAUGUUAUGCGCAGAUGACAUAGAUUAUGAAGUCUCAGUCACCUCUACAGUACAUUAUUGGAGCAGGGAAGUAUCACUACUACAUCAAUAAAAAAAAAGGGGAGAUUGUUAGUGCAAGAAUUAUUUUAACAAUGAAAAAUUAUGAUCUUUUUAGGAUAAAGGGAAAGUCAAGCAAGACCAAACAUGUGGCAUAAUCAAUGGGAGUCAAAUCACAUAAACAUGAGAUCAAGAUUUUAUUCAAGGGAAUUGAAACGGCUACAAAAUCUUCAACCAAAGGAUCCAUAAAACAGCUCUAAAGCAAUUGGCCUCAAUCUAAGAAACAAUAGACAAUAAUCAAGGGAAAAAUUCAGAGAUUAAUAUCACUCAAACUAAAGUUGAAGAUUACGGCAUAAAUUUAGAUAUCAAUAUCACUCAAAGGAAAUUUGAAGGUUACGAAAAAGGAGCCGAAGAUUAGCCUUUGAUUUAUUCUUAGAUAGAAGGAUUCUCAAUUACCUCUUUCCAAGGAUUACUUCUCUUGGGUUUCUAUCACUUCACCAAAAGAAGAUGCAAGUCUUGACUCUCUAUAAAAAACCUCGAAGAAAGCCAAGGAAUCAGACAUACAUCGAGUGUGAUUCUUCACACAUUCUCUAUGUUACUUUUAACAAGCAUUACACUACUUAGAUUUACUAGAUAAACAAAAAAGAGAGGAGAGAAAAAUAUUGUUGGUAGGAUGUGUAUCAAAAGAAAAAAAAGAAAAAGAUUGAGUGUAGCCAUAGGAACUAUACUCUAAACUUGUACUCAUAACAUAUAAUCAAAAGGCUCGAAGAAAAUAGCCUUGAAGCCUAAGGGGACUAGACGUAAUAUCAACAUUGGAUCCUAACCAGUAAACAUCUUGUGUCAAUCUUAUUUUCCACACUUUUGAUUUUCAGUGUUUACUUUUGGUUUUUAUUUUCAACUAGUAAAUCUCAAAAAUUGGCUAUUUGAAGAAGAAAAAUGAAAAAAGAGCAAUUUAGCCCCCCCCCCCCCCCUCUUGCACCUUUGACUGUGUUGAUGGCGAAGCCCUUCCAAUGGUACCGUUGGUUAUAUCACAAUAAUAAGUUGAUUAAUUGGAACCAAUCUACUGAGAAAUCAGUUCAUCGAUAUUGAAAACGUGAGUUAGACUCACUAAAGGGAUGUUUGGCUAAGAUAGAACAAAUUACGACAAUGGUAAAAUAUUGGAGCAGACUUAAAGCUCUCACUAAUGAGACUACUCCCAUUGGUGAUCAUUUGUUGGUACAUUUCUAGAUUUUUGGUCUCCGAGCCAAAUUAAAUCAGCAGUGGUGGAUCAUGAGUCUUCUAAACUGGAUCGAGCUAUGUGUCACGGACUUAGAGUAUUAACUAAUGUUCUGUGCGGCCCUUAACAACUUACUCACUAAUCUUUCAAGGUCUUGUAAUCUCAAGGAAACCUUUUUGACUUGGUACGCUAAGAGAAUGCUUGGAAUUGACUUUGAGAGAACACAAGAAAGCUUUUGAAGAAGGUUUUGUAUUAUGCUUGGAGAAUGCUUUACAACUUGCUUUGUGCCUUUGCAAAUAAGGGGCACUUCUAUUUAUACUACUUCUUAAGGACUAAAAUGCAAUUAAUAUUUACUUGACAAGUCCCUAAGAUAUUUACACUUUGGUCCCCUUUCUAGAAGAUUCUACUAUGCUUUGGGACCUUCCCUAGCCUUCUUGAGACUUCCAAAAGGUUCUAGAGACCUCCGCACAACUCUAGAACGUUUUGUACCUAUCUGGAUGCAGAAUUAGGAUGGAAUUAUGGAGGGACGUCACAGGCUCCCCCACAUGAUGAUGCAAUGACCGCGGCGCAUUGCUGCAAAAACUCCUAGACUUUCGUCCUUGAAUUGCCACAAGUCUUCACAUUUAUCCCAUGUGGCCUCCUUUGGAGUUUGUCCCUUCGAAUUCACCACGAACAUGACGCUGGCUUGUUGACCUCACUUCCGUUUGGCUUGAUAAUCUAUGGUAGCCUCAAUCUCCCGGUUGUGCAAGGCAUUGAUAGUAAUGGGUGCCCGUUGUGAUCGAUUCCUUUUAGGAUCCUCCUUGUUCUCAUGGUACGGCUUGAGGACUCUCGCAUGAAACACCAUAUGUAUCUUGAUGUGUGGAAGUAACUCCAACAUGUACGAGAUCUUUCCCACCUUGGCAACGAUCUUGAAAAAAUCCUCAUAUUUGCGCACUAAAUUUUGAUAACGCCUCUUAGUGACUUGAAAUGUCUUGGGUUGAAUUUCACCAAGACCAUGUCGCCUUCUUUAUAGUCCAUAGGACGACACUUGUGGUCUGCAGACUUCUUCAUCCUUUUGGCUGCUUUGUCCAAGUAGGGUUUGGCAGUGUCAAGUUGCUCAUCCCAUCCCUUGUCAAAAUGGUAGGCACCCAAACUCUUUCCCUCAAAAGCAGUCGGCAAUGAAUACAGAGUUUGGAGUUCUUGGCCUAUCGCCAACUCAAAUGGUGUGCACCUGGGGACUCUCUCCUAUGCAAAUUGUAGGAAAACUACGCCAUGUCUAGGAGUUUGUCCCAAUCCUUCUAAUGUUCACUACCAUAAUGCAUGAGAUAGCACUCAAGUAGGGCAUUGACACGUUCCAUUUGGCCGUCGGUCCGCGGGUGGAAACUUUUGGAGAAGUGAAGUUCUGUGCUAAGUAUAUCAAACAACUCUCUCCAAAAGUUUCCAGUAAAGCGGGGGUCUCGAUCACUGAUGAUAUGACUUGGAAACCCCUAGUGUUUCACCACAUUCUUAAAUAAAAAUCGAGCGGUUUAAUUUGCGUUGCGACCGGGUGUGGCAGUCAUAAAUGUAGCAUACUUCGAAAAACUUUCCAUCACGACCAUGAUUGUAGCAAGAAUGUCAGAUUUUGGCAAGGAACUGAUGAAGUUCAUGGUCGCGCUCUCCCAUGGUAAUUAUGCUUCGGGUAGUGGCUCUAGUAACCCUCCUGAUUUCCUUUGGUCCACCUUGUCUUGUGGACACACAAAACAAGUCUGCAUAUAGCACAACACUCGAUGUCGUCCCGCAUGCGUGGAAAAAAAUAAAUAGCCUCGAUUAGCGCCUUUAUUCUUCACUUCCCUGGAUGCCCAGCCCACGGUGUGUCGUGGAUUUUCUUAAUGAUGUGCCGUCUGAUAGCCCCAAACUUGGGCACAUAUACGCUAUGACCGGUAGUGAGAAAGAAGUCCUCUUCUACCAAAAAGCGCCUAGUUUUGCCUUGGGCAGCCAACUCCAUCAACUUAUUUGCAUCUCGAUGGUAUUGCAUGCCAUCCCUGAUUGCAUCUUAAAUGUCACAGUGGGCUGUAGUGAUGGCAGCGAGAUCGGAUUUCCUACUUAGUGCAUCGGCCACGACGUUGCCUCUUCCUUGCUUGUACUCCAAGUUAUAAUCAAACUCUGCCAGAAAAUGUUGCCAUCUAUCUUGCUUCGGGGUGAUAUUCUUCUGUGAAUUGAAGUAGCUAGUGGCCACAUUGUUGGUCUUGACCACAAACUUGGAUCCUAUUAAGUAGUGUCUCCACAUGCUUAGGCAAUGCACAAUGGUCGUUAUUUCCUUUUCUUGCACUGUGUACCACCGUUUGGCCUCGUUUAGUUUGCGACUCUCGAAUGUUAUUGGGUGUCUAUCAUGCAUUAAGACUCCCCCAAUGGCAAAGUCUGAGGCAUUCGUAUGUAUUUCGAAGGUCUUGGAGAAGUUGGGCAGCAUCAAGACCAGUUUCUCUAUCACUGCGGCCUUGAGACCUUCGAAUGCUCUUUGGCACCCCUCGCUCCAAACCCACGUCUUAUUCUUCUUUAAAAACUCAGUCAGCGGGGUGUCUUUAGCAGAGUAGCCACUGAUGAACCUAUUAUAGUAGUUAGUAAUUCUAAGGAAGGAUCAAAACUCGAUCACCUUUAUAGGCGCCUCCCACUCCUAGAUCGCCCGGAUCUUCGUCUCAUCCAUACGUAGUUCACCUUGGCUGAUGAUAUGUCCUAAGAAAUGAACAUUGUGCUGGGCAAACUCGCACUUAUCCCGCUUGACAUAGAGUUGGUUCUCCCGUAAGACAUGGAAGACUCUUUUAAAGUGAUCCACUUGCUCUUCCAAGGUGUUGUUAUAGAUGGCUAUGUCAUCGAAAUACGCCACCACGCACUGGUCCAAGUAGGUAUGAAAGAUCUUUUUCAUCAGCGUGCAAAAGGUGGCGGGUGUGUUGGUUAACCCAAAAGGCAUCACCAACCACUCAUAUGAUCCAUAUCUUUUCAUGCAUGUUGUCUUUGGUUUUUCCCCCUCCGCGAUGCGCACUUGGUAGUAGCCUUUCCAGAGAUCCAUCUUGGUGAAGUACUUAGCCUUCCCAAGUCUAUCAAAAAAAUUUGCAAUUAGCGGGAUAUGAUACUUGUUCUUGAUUGUUACCUUAUUGAUCACUCGAUAAUCAAUGUGUAGGCGCAUUGAACUUCUUCUAGAAUAACAUUGGCACGCCAUACGAUGCCUUGGAUGAACGGAUUUGUUCGGCCUUGAGGAGCUCCUUCAACUGCUUCGUUAUCUCCUCAAAUUCAGGCGAAGCCAUGCUGUAAGGUGCAUGUGCGGGUGGCUUGGCUCCAACCUCCAACUCUAUCUUGUGGUCUACCUCUUGUCUCGAAGGUAGAGUAUUUGGCAGCUCGUCUGGCAUCACGUCCUUGAUCUCUUUAAGGACUUUAUCUAUGAUCGGUGGCAAGGAUUCCAUAGUACCAUUGUCUUCUCCCGUACUUGCAAUAGUAGCAAGGAACGUCGGUUCUCUUUUCUUUAGGCCCUUCACAAUCUGCAUGGCUGAUAAGUGGGUGUGUCCUUCCUUCUUUUGCACUUUCACUAGAGGUAUCAUGCAUAACCCUUCCAGCUCCAUGACCAUGAUUUGUUGAAGGUAGAGGUCGAUCAUCGUGUGGAAGCACCAAAAGAACUCUUUCCUAGAAUGAUAUCAAAUAUAUCUAGAGGAGCGACUACAAAGUUCGUCUUUCUUUGCCACUUCCCCAACGUGAUGCUUACUGCUUGGGUGACCCUGCACACAAGAGUCUACAGUGGCACGAGUUGGUCGUCCAUUAAGGGAGAUGUCUACAUAUUGCAUGCUGAAGUAUCCUGGCUUCUCAGUCUGCUUGGCAAUCACACCACAUAAUCCUACCAUGCCCAACUGCGUCAUGCGUAGAUCUUGCCCUUGCUUUUGUGCGUCCUUAUCCUUUCAUUCGCAAAGGAUGGCACCAAGGUUCUUCAUCUCGUGCCACCUGGCAUAGUCGUUAAUUUCACCGCAUAUGUAGCAACCAUAUCCUUUGUUGGUUUGUGCCCGUUUCUUCGUGUAAUUCUGGUGCACAAACCGCUUGUUGUCCAACUUGUGAAGGUCAUGCUGCUUGGGGUGUGCCUGGUGCUCCUUACCUCAGCCACGAUCUCCCCCACCUUUAUUAUGACUACUCUUAGCAUCCCUGCUCUUUGCCUUGUCAUGUCUUUCAUACUUGAAGUCCGUAGAGGACUCGACUUGUGUGAUGGAUUCAUCUAUGGUCUUGACCUGCCACCACUCGAACUCCUUCUUGUCCCAAUUUCUGUAGUCCUUCCAUGAAGUGAAACAACAUGUCCUCCUCUAUGAGGUUGGGAAUUUGAAGCGUUAGAGUUGUGAACUCCUUCACAUAUGCCCAAAUUCUUCCCAUUUGCUUCAAUUCACUGACUUAUGCUUAACCUCGUACACGACGUUGUUAGGGAAAAAGGUUUUCUUGAAUUCUUCGCGGAAUUGCUCCCAUGUUGAUGGUGCACGUCCCCUUCCCAAUCUCGGCCUUUUUGCACCUCUACCAUAUCAUAGCCAUCUUGGACAGAUAUAACACGACAAUUUUGAUCUUAUUUUCAUCGCUCCACACCCGACUACACUUGAAGUAAUUCUCCAAGUGCCAUAGAAAGUUUUCAAAGUCUUGAGCAUCACGGAUGCCCUUGGGUAUGGUUCACUUGGAGUAUCAACCCUGUCCUCAUGAUAAUGGUUGAGUGAUGUAGAUCCUCCAACCUCCACUCCUUCCUUGAGUGUUUUCACUUCGUCCUUCAGCGUCUCGAUCGUUCUAAGCGUGUUCAUAUGACAAAACUCCAAGGAAGUGAUAGCUUCCUUCAUCUUGAACUCGGCAUGCUGGAGACCAUCAAACUCUUUACGGAUGUUCUCAAUCUACUCAAGGGUCUUGAAUUUGUCGUCGGCUACAUUCAUGCGCUGACCUAAUAUCUUCACAACCUACAUUGCCACUUCCACCCUAGCGACCCAUUCUUCUACAAUGGUGAUGUCUAUGGCGUCUUCGCCCAAUUCAUCGUCACAUUCUUCGAUAGUAGAGGGUGGAAUGAGAUGUUAGCGCAUCGCUAGAUGUGGGACUGGGCAACACCUCACUAUUACCUUUUUUAUGUUUCUUCCCCUUUCGGUUCUUCGUUCCAGCAUCAAUACGGACGUUGCUGGUGCUAGCAUCAUUUAUGUCUUCUUUGGUAGCCAUUCCCUUAGUAUCAAACCUCACUUUGAUCCUACUAGUCACGGACUUAGACCAUUUUCUAAAGUUCUAUGCGGCCCUCGAGAACUUACUCACUAAUAUUGCAUGGUCUUGUAAGUUCAAGGAAGCCUUUAAGACUUGGAACGCUAAGAGAAUGCUUGAAAAGGACUUAGAAAAAACAACAGAGAACUUUAGAAGAAUGCUUUGUAUUAUGCUUGGAAAAUGCUUUACAACUUGCUUGGGGGCUUUGCAAAUGAGGGGCUAUACUACUUCCUAAGGACUAAAGUGAAAUUAAUAAUUACUUGACAAGUCCCUAAGAUAUUUACACUUUGGUACCCUUUCUAUAGAAUUCUACAGUGUUUUGGGACCUUCCCGAGCCUUCUUGAGACUUUCAAAAGGUUCUAGAGUCCUCAGCACAAAUCUAGAGUGUUCUGCCCCUAUCCGGAUGCGAAAUACUUUAAUUGUGGCGGGAAAUCACAUAUGUAUGUGACCCUUGUGCAUGAAGAAUUGAUAAGCUCUCAGCAAGGGUCAACCUGGACUGUCUUUGCUAAAAUAAAUCUGAUAUUACCUAGUCUUACUCUAAUGCACCACUCCAUUGAACCUUCCUCAUCAACAUUAGUCACUACUGCACAACCACAUGCACUCCUAAAUGGCAUACCCUUCAAAUGUCUAAUCCCUGUUGAAUUGCAUAGUCAUCAUGAACGAGGUUUAUGCUAUAAUUGUGAAGAGAAACUUUCUCCUUCUCACAAAUUUAAGUCGCUACCCUAAUUACUGUUGCUUAAUUCAGAGUCAUCACUAGUGUGGUCAAAACCAUUCGAAUCUAUAAAGUUUUGGCCAAAGAAUUGAAUCUUUUGGAGGCACAAGAUCAUUAUUCUUUUUCUUAUCAAGCUUCAUUUGGUGGAGAUUUACAAACUACUUUGCAUUUUAUUGGCAUUGUUAAUGGUUCUCCAAUUCAAAUCCUUAUGGAUGGGGCAGUGCACAUAAUUUUAUACAAGCAAUGGAAGCCAAUUACUUGCACAUGGUGGUUGAAUCCAUUCCUAUUUUUUCUGUGGUAGUUUUUCAGGGGUAUGAUUUGCAUUAUGGAUAUGUAUGUUUUAUCUCUUCAUGGAGAAGACGUGGUUUUAGGUCUCUUGUGGUUAGUAAUAUUGGGACCAGUUGUCACUGAUUAUGCAGCCCGUAUCCGCGAGUUCUCCAUGAGUGUUUCUCAUUUUCAUUGGAUGGGGGACUCUCUUACUAUGAGCACCGCCUAUCAUUCUUAAACAUACGGGCAACCUGACUAUCUGAGGCUAUUAAUAAGUGUGUUCAGAAUUUUUUUAGGUGUUUUGUUGUUAAUUUCCCCAGUGACUGGGUUUCCAUGGGCCAACUAUUGGUACAACACCUCCUAUCAAUGUUUGCAGACCUGACCCCUUUUCAGGCUUUGUGUGGCCGUGAACCUCCUACAAUAGCACAUUACUUCUUGAUAAGUACUUCUAGUUGAAAGUCAAGAGGGAGGGGGUGAAUUAAAAUCUCCUUCAAUUGACCUACCUUGCGCAACUAAUCGAGCCUUGUUUCUUAUCACUCCACCACAAUCAUUGAGUUUUUCUGUACACCCAUUUGAUUUCAUUAAUAGAAUUCUUUUUAGGUUUAGGAACCAAAGUAGAUACCUAGUUUUUGUCAAAUUGAUUCAGUUCUUCUUUGAUAUCCUUAAUGUAAUGUUCAUUUGUGACAACUUUAUUUAUCUGCUUAGGUUCUAACUGAGAGAUGAGAGCAACAUUUGCUUAAUUUCUUCUCGAUGCUCUAGUCUUCAUUCCUUCACUGAUCUCUGAUGAUGACCUUUCGUUUGGAACUGUUUCAUUAAUUUGUUUUAUAAAGAUUUCUUCAACAAUCGACUAUUCUAAGCAGUUUAUUUCCUUUUGGGUUGAUACUAUCAUUAGAUUUUCUUCUUCAUUUAUAUUGGGUCUAAUCUCAAUAUUUUUAUUGGAUUCAUAAAACAAAAAUGGAUUCUUCAAUGUUUAAGGUUCAUUUAUUAAAGAUCUAGAAGAUAUGCUAGAAUUUGAAUAUUACUUCGUGUAUCAAACUUACCAAUGUUUUGAACAAAAUACUCGCAUCAAAAUGGAUGAAAGUAUCCCAUGUUGGGUAAUAUACAAUUCCAUAAUUCGUAUGGAUUUUUCUUCAAAAUCGGUUUUAUAAGACAAUGAUUCGAUACAUAACAAGUUGUACUUAUAACCGCUUGUUCCCAAAACUUAGGUGGGAAAGAAUGUUCAAUAAUCAUAGUUCUUGAUGUACUUGUAGAUUCUAUUCUUCCGUUUUACAACCACAUUCGACUAGGGAGAUUAGAAUUUGUGAGAGUACCAUUUUUCAUUACAGAAAAAUUGUCAAACAACUUAUUUUGAAAUUCUCCUUUGUGAUCACUUCUUAUUGGUGUAAUGUAGUAUGCUUUGUCUCGUUGAACUUUGUCACAAAGAACUCAAAGUUUUUUAGAGUUUCAUCUUUAUGAGCUAAAAGUAUUACCAUGGUAAAAUGAGAAUAAUCAUCUAAAUUACAAAUGCGUACCUUUUUCCUCAAAUGUUUGUUUUUCUAGUAGGUCCAAAUAAAUCUACAUGUAGUAGUUGUAGAUGUUUAUUAGUGGAAACCAUACCUUUACCACAAAAUGAGUAUCUAGUUUGCUUACCCUUUUUACAUGCAUCACAAAUAUGUUCUUUUGCAUAGUCCAGCUUUGGUAGUCAAGUCCAAAUCAAGGGAUUAUCAGUCAUUUAAGCUAGGCAUAUAUGUUCUCCGGUACUUUUUACUGAGUCAAGGUUGUAAACAUUCUUCUCUCCGCUUCCUUAUAAUAGUUUGUUUUUGGAAAUAUCUUCUAUUAUUCAUUGAUUUUUUUGAAAACAAACUUCCACGUCCGAGUCUCACAGUUGACGGAUGCUUAGAAGAUUAUAGUUUAGUCCAGCCACUAGAUAUACAAUUAUGAGAUCACAAGAUUUAUUGAAAGAGAUUGUACUAAUACCAAUUAAUGCUCUUUUUGAGUUGUUACCAAAUCGAAUGUUUCCUAUUUUAUAUUCAACAACAUAUUUAAAUAAGUUCUUAUCUCAUGUUAUUAGAUUUGAACAUCCACUAACCAAAUACCAUUUUCCUUUUUUUUUUCUGCGGAGUUUUUGUAAAAUAAAGAAAUAAUCUUCUCUUAGGCAGGUUCUUUGAGGUUAGAAUGGUCAUGAUUUCUCUUGGGUUUCAAACCUAAUUACAAGUGUCAUGAUUAUUAAAUAUGCAAUUAAAACACAAGUGCCUAGACAUUUCACAGAAUUGCAAUUUUAAGGAAUGUGUUCUUUAGAGAUGGAGUUGCUACUAUUAGUUUUAGACCCAGUCCACUUAUAGGAUAAGUGUGAUUGAUCAUUUGCAACUAAAUUAGCUUCCAUUUGAGGAGUUUUUACAUCCGAAACCUUCUUGUGUUUAAAUGAGUUAUUAGAUGAAUCAGAUUUGUUUUGAAAAUUUUCAAGCAUGGCUUUUAUUUCAUGAAUCUCUUCAUGCAACAGAUCAUUUUCACCUUCGAUGAGUUCUAAUUUUUUUUCCAAAUUUCUUUUCUCAGUUUGAAGGUUUUUAAAAUUACUAAAGACUUGAUUUAUAUCAGAGACAGAACAAUCUAACAAUUUUUUUACUCAAUGUAAUCGUUACAUACCUUAGUGCUUGAUUCUUCAAUUACCAUGAAGCAAAUAUUUCCAAUUUAUUUAUUCUCAUUUUACCUCCUACCCUCCCCAGUUCCCACUUGUUUAAUUAUAUGGUUGUGAUGUUGAUGAUCUUCUUAGUUUUUUUUCUAAGAUUUGCAUGUAAAGUUAAUGAUCUCUCUUAAUUUAGUCUUAUGCUACUAAUCAUAUCUUGCACGUUUUAUCCUAUGCAGGCAUAAGGUAUACAUAUGCACACCAUCCGCCUAUGUUGGAUUCCCGUGGGCAAGGUAUUGCUUCUGAGUUUGAUAGGAUUCCAGAUUUAAUUUAUUAGAUGGUAGCUAUGAUGGAUUAUGUCAAGUAUGGAAUGGUAUUGAAAUGUUUGGUACUGAUAGAUUAUGUUCGGUACAAACCUUAAUGAGCAUUGAGAACAUGUAAAGUGUUCGUGAACCCAUGCACCCUCCAAAGAUUAUAUAAGUACUUGUGAACCAACUUAUGCACCCUUCCCUAAAUUAUGUAGAAAGUAUUGCAAAUAUUCUGAUAAAGUACAUAAAUUUUAUGUGGAAAUCGGACUAAAAUUUGAAAUAUUCAUCCCCAAAUUUUGUUUUGAAUGAGAUUGAUAAAUAUAUCGGUACAAAAAGUCAAUUGUAGUCUACUGAUGCACAUCAAUAAAUAUUCUUUUGUAGAAUUAUAUUAUUUAUAUACAUAUUUUUAAAAUUAAAUUUGACAUUAUCCACUAUCACUUGGCAUUAUGUUCAAAUAAGGUUGAAUGAUACAUUUGAUUGAAUGUUAUAUAAGUCAUUAUCCAAAACAACAGGGAUCAACUACCACUUGACAUUCUAAUUUUUCUCCUUUAUUUUUGAGAACACAAGUAUUUUAAAUAUGUUCACUGGUCUUGCAAUUGAUAGAAAUCUAUAGGUAUAAUAAAUAAUUUAUAGGUAUUCCUAAUUUUCACAUUUAGGUAUUAAGAUUCUAAUUAACUUUGCAUAUAUAUGACAUAGAAGUAUUGUUAUUUUUUAAAAUUUGGAUUUCUCAUCAUUUUUCUAUAUUAAAAGGUCUCAUUUCAAUAAUUUGCACCUCUUUAGUCUCAUAACCUGUUUUUUUAAUAAUCUCCAUAGUUUUAAUUCAUUUUUAUUUACAACCCCCAAAAUCAAAUGUGUAAAUUUCUGAUAAUUGUGUUCUUUCAUGUACCCCUAUAUAAAUGUAAAUAUGUAAUGUAAAUAUGUAAUGCAAGUUUUUGAACUAAAUAAUGAGGUAUAAUCGUUGACAUUUGUCACACAAAAAGAUUGUGUGUUAAUGGUUGUUUUUACGCUAUGAAUAAUUAGUGUAUUAUAUUUUACGAGCAUUAAUUUUGAAAUAGUUCAUCAAGUUAAUACCAUAUGAAAGGCUUUGUGCACUAUUAUUAUUACGUUUUUAACCUUUCUAUGUGAUAUAAAAUUUAUUCUAAUUUUAGGGGUUACAUAUUUUACAAAACAAUAGGUUGAUUGUUCAUAUAUUUCAAACUGUAUAUUUUUUGGUUUAAUGUUUCGUGAUACUUUGUAACACCCCGUAUCCAAAUCUAACUACAAAAAUCAACUUCUUAGAAAAAAACUACAAGUGCAAUCAAGGGUUACCAUCGACAGACCAUAGGCUGAACCACGGUCCGUCCUGCACAUCCGUCGAUUGAGUCAGAAACCCCCAAAAACUCGGUCCAAAUAAAUUUUGACUAAGUGUCGAACGACGGACGGACCUACGGUGCGUAGGUCAGAGUAUGAUCCAUAGUUUGUGCCCGUCGAUCAACACCCCAUUUAUCCACUCUCUGAAAUGAACCACGAUUUACCAGCAAAAACCAUCGUUCGAUCUACGGUCCAUAGGUCUAACCGUAGGUAGAAGUUAACAUACAGUUAGGUGGAAAUAAUUUGGGUCAACUUCAACUAAACAUAACUCUUAGGAAAAAAUGAAUUAGGUGUCUCAUUAUGUACCAACAGAUAGAUAAUUGAAUUAGCUUUCUAUAGCCAGUGACUUUACUAAAAUCAGAGCUCUGAGUAAAGAGUUAUGCCAGUUUUAGUAAGGCUUGUCGAACAGACCCAACCUACGGACUCAAAUGACGGACCGUUGAUUGAACGAGGGACCGUCAGUCCAGGUCGUUGUUUGACCGUCAGUCUAGGUCAUUUUUUUUUCUCUUUUUAUUAUUUUAAUAAAUUUCCACUUUAUUAUACAAUUAAUGUUAUAAAAAAAGAUGUUAUUUCACUUAUUUGCCAGAUAGUACCCACGUGGUACGAAGUGUGCAUAUUUUGUCCCAAAUGAGCAAAAAAUGUUCUCAAAUGUUGUUUUAACUUUUUUUUUAAAGUAAAGUCGUGGAAUAUCAAACACAACAUCUUAAUCGCAGAUAAAUAUAAGAUUUGCAUUUAAUUAUUUCAAAAGCUCAUUUGAUUAAUUUUAUAGAAUAUGAUAUUAUUAUUGUGAUAAAUACUCUUUUUUAUUUUUAUGAUCAUAUGAUAUUUUGAAUAUUGACCAACUAUAUGACUUAUUAUAUUCUAUGGGUUGGACCAUUUAAGAGGAAAACAUUAUGUGCAUGUAUUUUUUCGAUUUUAGCGUUCGUAUGAGUAAUUAUUGAUUAAGAACGGAGGAUUUUAAUCUAUUUUACUAGACUUUUGGUAAUCAAAUUUUUACUAAUGUUGAAGUUAUAUCGAUUUUGUUGCAAAGAGAUAUGGUGGAAACUAUAUAUAAUGUCAUUAAUGAAAUAACAGAGGCUCGAGAUAAAUUUAUUAGAAAUAUAAAUCUCAAUUACAUAUUAUGCAUACUAUAAUAAAAAGAUCCUAAAAUAUGUACCAAAUAAAUGACUUAUUCUUUUAUAAAGCACCUAAAAUCGAAGUUUAACAACAAUACGAUAAGAUUGUUUUGAGAAUGUAAUUAUUUGUGAAUAAGUCCAUAGGUCUACAUAUGAGUAUAUUUUAUUGUAUUUAUAUAAAAUAUAGCACUAUUUGUGUUAACUUUUGAUAAUAUGAUGUUUAAAAAUUCAUUACUCUAUUUGAAUAGUAAAUACAAUUAAUAUCUUUUAGUUUUCAAAUAUUAUUUAUGAUAAACAUUAUAAUAAAUUAAAAAAAAUAAGAAAAAAAAACACAAUUCAAUAAUAACAUUAAAUAUGUUUGUGACGAGUCAUGAAUAAUUUGAAGGAACAAAAUUACAAAUUCUAACUUAAGAGAAAAUUAUAAAGAUUUGGAAUAAAAUAUCUAAAGACAUAAAAUAUUAAAAUAUGUUCUCUAACUGAAUUCUUCAUCUUCAAUAAUUAACUGAAAAAUAAACAAUCCGUCAAAAAUUAAAUAGGAGAAGGAAAGACUCUUACGAUUAAAAAUGAUGAGUUUUAUAAUCUAAAAGCCUAUAUGUGAAAAAUGAGAAAAAAAAUAUUCCAUCAAAAAUUAAAUAGGAGAAGGAAAGACUCUUCUAAUUGAUAAUGAUGAGUUAUAUAAUCUAAAAGCCUAUAUGUGAAAAAUGAGAACAAAAAUAUUAUUUUUUUAUUUUAUUUUUUUGUGUGUGUGCGCGUGUGUGUACGUGCGUGUGCGCGUGCGCGUGCCUGACAUUUUGCCUGUGGAAUCUUAUAAACUUUCUUAUAUUCUUUGCUUACUAAGAAGCUUCCCAUAUUUCAAAUAUCUUCGAAAUGCAGGUUUGUAGUGCUUUGACACUUUUUAAUUUUAUUUAGUGAUUAUUUGUUGUACUUCUUUUAUCUUCAAUAAUCUGAUAGUUGUUGUCUUUCUUAGGUUAUUGAUGAAGAUGAUAGUGAUACUGAUGAAGAUAAAGAAUCUUUUUAACGCGAAACUUUGACAGACCUUACAUUUAAUCACCUUGUGAAAUUUCAGCUUGAAAGCUUUAUAGGAGGUACAUCGAAAAUGCACUUUAUCAAGCAUUUGUUAGCUAAUACUCCAGUGUUAGAGAUAUUGGUAAUCAAUCGACAGUUUCUAGAUGAGGAGACUCUCGACACAAGAGAAGAAAUAUUAACCGAGAUCUCAAAUUUUUCGCGUGCAUCACCUUAAGUAGAAAUCGUCUACAAUGAUUUUAGCUGAUCUUGAUCUUUGGCUUAGAAGAAUCAAAUUGACAUGCGAGAAAGAGACAUUUAUGUGGUAUUAUAAUUCUCUGUUUUACCUUGCUAUAACAUCUAUUUCGAAAAGUGAACAUUUCUUGGAUGGAUGUUUUGAUUAUGUUCUCAUUACAUUUAAGGAUUUCUACAUUUACUGUCUGUUCAUGAAUGAGUUAUAUAUCUAGGAGUGCUUUAUUUUUUUCAGUUUUUUGGAGGGACUGAGAAACUGAAUCAAUCUCAAAAUUUACUUAAUCAAACAAAAAAUGAUUUGUUGAUACACCCUUUUAAAGGAAAAACAUUAUCUGCACCGUGUGUUUUAUAUCAAAUCAAUAAAUAUAGUAGAAUGAGGGAAGAUUUUACACAAAAGCCUUUCUUCAUAGGUGUAAAUUUCAAGUAGCAAACUAUUAAGCAAAUAGUCUGACAUUGUUGGGGGAUUUUAGAGCAUUGGAAUAGUACUCACGAGUUAAUUUCUUGGAUGAUCGCUAAAUUUUUUAGUAUAUUUUGUUAUUUGUUAAAGUUAUUUUGUUUCUCUUUUGAGGCAAAGUUUAAAUAUCAAAUCGUAUUCGAUUCCUCAUUUUCUAAUAAAUGUAUAAGAAUUAUCUAUUUGAGAUAUGGUAAUUAAUUGGAGGACAAAACAAAAUAAUUUUAAAAGUAUUUGGUCUUUCAAAAGGAUUUUUCAAAAACUAAUUCAUUCUGCUAAUUAUCAUGCACUUUCUGUUUACAUAAUAAUAAUAAUUAGACAUUUAGAUUUAAAUUCAUUCCAUUAUCUUUUCCUCUUUGGCCAUCAUCUUUUCUUUGUUACACAUAUUCUUAAUAUGGUUAUUAAUAAACAAUACCAGCCUUAAUAAACAAAACCUACUGACCUAUUUAUCCAUCAAGAAAACAACUAGUAUACAUAUAUAUGGGCACGUACAUUGCAUGUUUACUUCAUAACGAUAAAUAUGAACUAUUAAACAAUAACAUAAUUUUUAAAAAAAUAAUAUUUGAGUUACAAUAAAAAUAUAAAAAAUAAAAUAUUAAAUAUUUUUAAUGUAUAAGCUUAUUAAUAAAAGGGGAAUGCACGAUUUAACUUUUUUUAAAAAUGUUUAUAGUGUAUAGUUAACUUAUAGAAGAUUUAAUUUUUUCAUUUAGUCCUCCCCUUAUUAUAAUUUCGAUAUAGAAAUUUUAUAUUUGUUUUAAAAGAAAAAUAAAGUAGCAAAAACAAACAUGGAGACAUACUAUUUUUUUAUUAACUUUCUUAAAAUGUCCUUUGUCUCAUAGAAAGAGUAAAAAUAUUGAAGUUCUUCCUUAAAAUGUCUCUCUUGUCUCAUAGAAUAGAAUGAAAGUGUUGAAAUUAAAUUAAUAGUUUCACAUGAUAUACAUUUCAAUAAGAUAAAAUGUUUGACAAUAAUUAGUAAAAGAUGAAAUUUUCCUUCUCAUUAAGUAAAAUGCAAUUAAUUAAUUUAAACUAAUAAAUAAGAAGACUUAUUAGAAGGAAAUAACUAAAGAUUUAAAGUUCAAUGAUUGAUAUUUAAAUUAUGCAAGUAUAUAAAUAACAGUUAAUAUUUAAUUAAAUAAGUCAAUUUUUAAUUUAAUGGAGAGCCAAAAUGACAAUUUUAAUAUUUUUACAGUUAAAAGUUCUUUAAAAUAUAUUUUACAUUUUUUUGUUAAAAAUUUAAUAGGAGCAAUAUUUGGUCGAUUGAUAAAAAUCUUCUAACUUCUUAAGCAUCUUGAUGUAUCAUUUUUUGGACUUUGGGAUUUUAAUCUCACGGUAAAUUUAAUAAAAAUUGUCUAAAAAAUAUAGAUUUUAUCCACAAGCAUAUGAAAGAAUAAUUCUUUACGGAUAUUUAAAUUUAAGAUGCAAAAAGUAAUUAUUAAUAAUUUAAAAUUCGAAUAAUAUUGGCAUGAAUUGUUUUACGUGUCUUGUACACUAUUUUUAUGAUUGUAUUGUCUUAUUUUCUAAAGCAAAAAAAAAUACACAUUCAAUCAACGGAGAAAGGCCUAAAAUGCCCUUAAAGUAUUAAAAAUGGUACAAAAUUACUCUUCAUCCACCUAUUGGCUCCAAAAUAUCCUUCUCACCCACCUAUUGGCUCCAAAAUACCCUUGUCAUCCACCUUUGAGUUCAAAAUUGACCACUUAUUUAACUCUUUUAAAUUUAAACUAUUUAAAUAUUUUUUUAAAUACAUGGCGCUCAACUAUUUGUUAUAAUUAACUUAUUAGUAUAAUUUAUAAAAUAAAUCCACUACCCACCCGUUGCUAAUUAAACCCCUCCAAAUUAAUAAACCCGUCAUAUUACUAAUGCAACAACAAGAAAGAUACUGCCAAUGAGUGUACUUAAAAAUUUGAAGUGAAAAUAUCUAUAGAAUUAAAUUAUCAUACAUUCAAGUGUCUAAAUAAAAAUUAUCGAUAAACUUAAAACUCUGACUAUGUUCAUCUUAAUUAUUCUUUCAUAUCAAUUAUAUGAUGUUACUUCAUAGAUAACUUUUUUUUUCAAAAUAAUAUAUUAAUGGUUUUAAAAAUAUCAUAAAUAUUUAUAAAAUUAUAUUUAAAAACGUGCAUGAGUUAAUUCGGGAUGUACUACUUUACUUUUAAUCAUAAAUUUCUAAUUAAAGCUUGAAAGAGAAUCCUAUUGAAAGUGUCCUCUUAAAUAAGCGGUUCAACCUAAAUUUAAUUGGGGUUUUGAUUCUGACUCGAAUAAUUUUGGAUGUCAUAUUUAGGAAUCUAUAAUUUCGUCGUGUUUUAGUAGUGUUUAUGACAAUUUCGAUAUUAUAAUUGGUUUGUUAAUUGGGUGGUGUUUAGAUAGUAAUGAUUGGAUAGUGGGUUGGUUUAUAAAUUACAUAAAUAAAUUAAAUUAUAACCAAUAGUUGAGAGCGAAAUAUUUUUAAAAAUAUUUAAACAGUUUAAGUUUAAAACAAUUAAAUAAGUGGUCAAUUUUGAACCGAAAGGUGGAUGACAAGAGUAUUUUUGAGCUAAUAGGUGGAUGAGAAGGGCAUUUUGGAGCUAAUAGGUGGAUGGAGGUAAUUUUGUACUAUUUUCAAUACUUCAAGAGUAUUUUAAACCCUUUUCCGUUGAAUCAAAUAUAUUUUUAAACGAAAUUAAAAAUAUAAAUAAAAAGUAUCAUAUAUAGGAGCAAGUUUAGUAUAAGGCUACCAAGGAAAAAUAGAAUAAUUCUAAGACAAUCGUUUUUUUUAUAAUGCAAUUGAAACAAAGUUACAGUAAUAAACAUUCAACCUUGACAAAAAAGAAUUAAAAUCUUUGAAGACAAGUUAAAGGAAAUGAUAUUCCACUACACAAAUGGAGUGGUCUUAUCAUAGUUAUGAUCUCGACAAAUAAGUAAAAAAAAAACAAAUACAUCAAGCUUUAAUAUUGUAGUAAUUAGAGUGUUAUCAGUCCCGUAAUCAUAUUAUGCAUUGUAAUCUUGACACAAAUCCUCUUGUCUUGAAAUUUUCUUAACUUUAUUAAAGUUUAUCUAGUCUUCCACAUACAAAAAUUAUAUCUCAUAUAAAUCUUUCUAUGAAAAUACUAUUGAAAGAUUUGUACUUAUAUAGCAUAUAUAUGAGGAUUCACUUACAAAGUUGAAAGGUCGAGUGUUACAAAAAUUAAAGACAAAUAUUUAUUAAGGAUAUAAAUAAGGUUGGACGAUGAAACACAUACAUAUAUCUAUUUAAAGGGAUAACUGUUAUUUUUAUUUUUAUUUUUCUAUUUAAUAUACUCACAUGUAUACCGACAAAAAAUAUUACAAAAAAUCUAGUAUUUACUAUUUAAUUAAUUAAAUAUUUUAACAACAUUUGAAUUUAGCAUAAGGGUAAAAUGAUAAUUCAACUUUUCUACCUUGAAAUUUUCUUCACUUGAUUAAAGCUUCUCUAGUCUUCCACACACAAAAAUUAUAUUACAUAUAAAUCUUUCUAUGAAAAUACUAAUUGAAUAACUUGUAUGUAUAGGAAAAAAUAUAACUUUGGAAUAUGAAGAUUCGCUUAUGAAUACAACAAAGUAAAGAAAAAUAUUUUUUAAAAACAUAACUUAAUUUGGAAGAUAAUACACAUAUAUCUAUCUAUUUAAAGGAAUAACUUUUAUUUUUACUUUUUUCUAUUUAAUUUACUCACACGUAUACCAACUAAAAAUAUUAUAGAAAUUCUACUAUUUACUAUUCAAUUAAUUACAUGUUUAAUAACAUCUGAAUUUAGUAUAAGGGUAAAAUGAUAAUUUAACUUUUUACUUUGGAGAUUUCAACUUAUAAUAAUAUAUGAUAUAUGAUAUGUUCAAUAAACCAAUCAAUUGUUCCUCAAUCCGAACCUAGUUGAAUGUACCUGAUAUAUGAUAUAUAUAUAUAUAUAUAGAUAUAUAUAUAGAUAUAUAUAUAUAUAUAUAUAUAUAUAAUAUAUAUAUAUAUAUAAGAUCUAAUGAGUGAUAAAUAUUGAUUUUGUGUUACCUGAUAUAUGAUCUAUAUUGUUCACUCAAUCAAUCAACUAUGCCUCAAUUUGAACCUAGUUAUAUUUACUGAUAUUGUUUUAGGAUUAUUCUGUCUACUUUGCAGAAUUAUGAUGAUUUUGGCUGAUUUUCAAUUAAUUUAGAUCUUUGAGGUUCGAUACAUGUUAGUUCUUAAUAAUAAAUUACUUCUUUUGUAUUAUUAAUUUUGAGUAUGAUGUUCUUUUCCUCUUCUUUUGUAUUGAAUUUGAUAUUGUUGCAUAUCUGGUUGCAGGGUUCUACUAAAGGAGUGUAAUCCUGUGUUUGAGUUGCGUUGUACGACUUGGUUGUGCUUGAUUGAUAUCGUCUCGAGAUGGAAAGAAAAGCUUUAGCUUUAGCUGAUUCUAGAAUCAUGCCAGCUUCCAUGAACGAAGAGGACUCAAUCUCAUUUCUUAUUUUCUAUUGAAAAUUGGUCUAACUGUGUAACAGAUUUGCUUUGUUUUUGUAAUACUAGUUUCUCAUAACGUACGUUGCAUGUUUGUUCCUUGCUAUUAUUAUAAUUUUUUAUUUAUUUAAAAGUGAGUUAGAAGAUAGAAAAUAUUGAAAUUAACAAUAUUAUUAUUACUAUUUAUUUUUUGUUCAUAAAAUAAAAUAGUGCAUUUGUUAUCAAAUUGGAACUAAUUAAGAGGAUAUAUGAGUAUGUCAAUGAAUUUCUUAUUGGAAAAUAAUAAUAAUAAAUGUAUAACUGGAAAGGUUGGAUCUACUAGAUGUAUAGAUUUUGAGCACCAAUUUAAGCGGAGAACUUUUAGAUAUAAAAUUUUACUCCCUCAAUAAGUAUACUCAACACGAAUUUUGAUUAGUGGGAUUAAUAGGAAUCAAAGACCAGAUUAUUAAAAAACAAUCGCACUUUAAUUCUAGAAAAAUUGAAAUCUAUUAUAUUAUAUUAUUGUGGUUGUUAUAGAUGUUGGACUCAAGUAGUAAACUUGACAUUGAAUAAAGCCUAGACCCAAAAAUUCAACCAACAUUGGUCCCACAAGACAGUGUCAUGUAGGUCGAAAAGGGAUAAAAACUAUUAAUAAAAUAAGUUUAGGGGUAAUAGGACCUUAUAUAGUCUAAGUGUGUCUCUGAGAUUUCGGACAUAGAUUGAGGGGGUACUUGUGCAUUAUUCCACAAAAAAGCAAACAUGAAAUUGUGCAAGAGUACAAAUUGAAGUGAAUUUGGCUGCAAAGCUACCCAACGAGUAAAGAUUAAUGAAGAAGGUGAAAUUAUAGGAGAAAUAAAAUACAAGCAGAAUAAAGUUCAAUAUGAUUACAUGCUCAAACAUGACUUUUGGGGAUGAUAUGAUCAUACUGUGCAAGACGGAGGUUGGAACAAUGAAAAUGAUUGGUGAGGUGCCUAACUACUAGAAAACAUGUAUGUUGCAGCACAAGAAUAAUGAUUGUCAUAGACUCAAACAGUGUUGCAAUUGAGUUAUGGCAACGAAAACUAGCGUGUUGCAUAUAAGGCUGUUGUGAUAUAUCAGUAGUAUCGGUUUACUAGCAACAGUUGAAAGUCAUUGCCACAGACCAUCUGUAGAAACAUUUAUUCUUUAGUCUAGGACAAAACUUUUCUGCAGCUAUUGCAACAGUUGUCGAACCGUUGCAAAAGAGUUUAUAGCGACGGUGAUAAACCGUUGCCAUACACUAUCCAAAACAACAAUUAUUUUUUAGUUUAGGACGAUACUUUUCUGCGAUUGUUGCAACAGUUGUGAACCAUUGCAAAAGGUUUGAUAGCAACAACUGUGAACUUUUGCAACACACUAUCUAUAGCAACAAUUAUUUUUUAUUCUAGGACGAAACUUUUCUAUAGUUUCUGCACAAGUUGCAAAUCGUUGCAAAUGACCUAUUACAACGGUUCUUCUUAACUAUUGCAAUGAUGUUAUUAAUGUUUUAUUUUAAAAAUAUACUAUUUGAUUAAAAAUGGUGUGAACAUGACUAAGUUUCAGAAAAUUAAUUAGUCUUAUUAUUUAAGAAAAAUCAACUUUCCAAAUUACGGAGUCGCCACUUUAUUUAUGAUAAAAUCAAGAAAAACUUUCAAAAGAUUUAGAAACAGAUUAAAUCAAUUGAAAAUGGCUCGAAGUUCAAUAUACAUCCCGAGAAGGUGUUAGGCCCUCGGGAUGCCCACUAACUUGCGGUUGACCGGCGAUUUUACUAAAAUGACCUUUUAAAUUUUAACUAAGUAAAGAAUUCGUUUUGAUGUAUUUUAUUCUAUUUUUUAUUCCUUAGUAUUUCUAAAGGAAAACAUUUAAAAGAAAUUAACUUAAGGAAAACUAAAUGGUGAUAAAAGUAAAUAAAAUAAAAUAAGUAAAUAAAAUAGUAAAAUUUAAAAUGAUGAAAAAAAAUUGCUGCCCUUUAGGAGAUUAUUAAAAUUCUACAAAAAUAUUAAUUAAUUUAAACAAAUAAAUAAAGAGAGAGAAAUAUUUGAACUUGGGCUUGAUUGCCCAAAUUCAUUCACUUGGGAUUUGGCCCACCUGUGCUAAACUAAUUUCAAAAUGUGGGCUUGGGCCCUUUUUCAACAAUUUAGAAUCCUGCGGAAAACAUUUAUGGCCUUUUGGGCCUAUCAAAAUUGUUGCUGAAAAUGGCCCUGGCCCAUUUCCUGAAAAAGAAGUUAAAGUAUACAAAUGAUGUAUACUGUAUAUAUCCAAUUCGUAUUGAACUUUUUGAACCCUGCACUUGUUUGAAUACGCGUUUUUCGCUUUUCACCCUGUAUUUCCCAUAUUAAUUCGGCGUAUUUGUACCUGUACAAUUUCUAAACCUGCUUAAAAAUUGUAUAUCGUCGCCCAUAAGAUGUAUACCAAUGUAUAUGGGCUGUAUCCUAUCCACGUAUUCAUUGCCAAUUCCCAUAUUUUAUCUUAUAUUGGCGUCCCUGUACGUUAACUUACAAUUCACAAUUUUUUACACAUAUUUAAGGUAUAGUGUCUAUGUAUAUCAGUGUAUACAGGAUGCAUAUCAGCCUAUUUUUUCAACUUUCGAAAGUUGAAAACUCCUUUUCAGCAGUGUAUCUGGACUGCUACAAACCCAGAUUUUAAAUUUGGAUCCACCUGUGUAUUUUAGACUUGUAUAUCAUGGUAUAACAUGUGUAUAUAGCAGGUAUACAGAUUUCUUCUACACCAGCAAACUAUAAUUUUCCAGCAGCCUCUGUUGGUUUUUCUGACCUUUACAUCAUUUCAGGAGGUUGACUGACUCGGUAAGGGUGUUUUGAGCCUUCAUGGCUCAACGAGGAAUGCAAAUAGAGGAGUUCAUGAUGAACUCGGGUUGAUUUCACAUGCAACAAACGGGAAGAAGAAACUUUAAAACAAAAUUAUCGAGGAAAUAACACAAAAAAUAGAAACUAAAAGGGAGAUCAUUACUAUUCUCGCAAACUACAAACACAUAAAAUCAAGCUAAAAUAAAUUGCAUGAUAGUUACCAUAGCUCAAUAUCAUAAAGACUAAAAAAAACAUAACUCAAGACACUCUUUGCACUUACACAAGAGCACCAUAAUCUUAAGGAAUAAGAGUUGAGACAAAACCAAACAACUAAGCUAGAAGGCCACUUCUUGAAUAACUUAGAAAGUGUACGCAAAGAAGUGAUUAUACUUACUCAAAAAACACACAUGAUAUUCAAGCAAACCAACAUUUAAGGAGGCAAUAAAGUAGGGACUUUACACUGCUACUUGUAAAGGAUACUACCUACUAAUUGGAAGGAAAAUUUAAGCAAAAUUAUGCUUAUGGCAGCCACUGUUAAUGGAAGUUCAAGAAUGAAACAAACGGGUGAACUGCCCCUUUAGGAAUUCUCUCCGAUUUCUUACAAGGAAGGAGACCCAUGGAUCAACAUAAGCAGCCAUGAGAUGCAAUACAUAAAAACAGAAGAUACACAUUUUAACUAUAACGGAGUAGAACCAAUCUUUUAGAUCACAAACUUUCGAAGAAAAAAAAAUACAACGAUUAUAGGCAAAAAUUCAGAGAACAUUGAAUCCUCAUAUGCAUUUCGAGCCAUAUUCUUAAAUCCAUCACUAUGAACGGGAGGAAAACAUGCUUGAAAGAUUUCAAAAUUAAUCCAACAAUAAUAGACCGUAUUUGAAUCAUAUAAACAAAAUCGACAAACCUCUCUUCUCAGCCAAAGAUCAAAAUUGCGAUCCAAAUAAAUCUCAAGAAUAGCAAAACCCACUUCACAUACAAGUCUGAUAAGAUUAAGAUUUAGAGCAAAUAUCACAGAAAUACAAGAUACUAGGUUAAUCAGUUUUGAAGAGUUCUAUGAAGAAAAUAUUUCAGUCAAACAUGGAAAAAAAUAAUUGAUUCUUCUCGUGUUGCAUAAAUUCCAGCGAGGUAUGAUUUUCCCGCCAUGCAUGAUUUUCCGCGAUGCAUGAUUUUUCACGAUGCAAACGCUGGUGAUCUCUGCAACGAUCUAGGUAGCUCAAUAAUUAUCCAACUGUAACAAGAUGAAUGCUCGAUAAUAUUUCAUCUAUAACGAGGCAGAUAGCUCGAUAAUAUUCCAUCUGUAAUGAGGUGGAUGGGUCGAUAAUAGUCCAACUGUAACGAGAUGGAUGCUCGAUAAUAUUUUAUCUAUAACGAGGUGGAUAUCUCGAUAAUAUUCCAUCAGUAACGAGGUGGAUGGCUCGAUAAUAGUCCAAUUGUAACGAGGUGGAUGACUCGAUAAUAGUCCAACUAUAACGAGGUGGAUGGCUCGAUAAUAUUUCAACUGUAACGAGGUGGAUGACUCGAUAAUAUUCCAACUGUAACGAGUUGGAUGACUCGAUAAUAUUCGAACUGUAACAAUGUGGAUGUCUGGAUAAUAUUCCAUCUAUAACGAAGUGGGUGGCUCGAUAAUAGUCUAUCUGUAAUGAGGUGGAUGACUCGAUAAUUGUCCAACUGUAACGAGGUGGAUGGCUCGAUAAUAGUCCAACUGUAAAGAGGUGGAUGGCUCGAUAAUACUCCAACUGUAACAAGGUGGAUGGCUCGAUAAUAUUCCAACUGUAACGAGGUGGAUGGCUCGAUAAUAGUCCAACUGUAACGAGGUGGAUGGCUCGAUAAUAGUCCAACUGAAACGAGGUGGAUGGCUCGAUAAUAUUCCAACUGUAACGAGGUGGAUGGCUCGAUAAUAUUCCAACUGUUACGAGGUGGAUGACUCGAUAAUAUUCCAACUGUAACGAGGUUGAUGGCUCGAUAAUAUUUCAACUGUAACGAGGUGGAUGGCUUGAUAAUAUUCCACCUGUAACGAGGUGGAUGGCUCGAUAAUAUUUCAACUGUAACGAGGUGGAUGAAUUGAUAAUAUUCCACCUGUAACAAGGUGGAUGGCUCGAUAAUAUUCCUGCAAGAUAAAAAGAAACUUGUUUAUAAAUCACUUGAGUAAAUAUAAAGAACUUGAGAUAAAAUGAGAUUGAAGAUUUUCUAGGUUUCGUUGAUGAGUCCACGAUGGGUGCAAGUGAUUCCGUUUUGUCAUUCUUGACAGCUUUAUAUAGCCAUUUUUGUGACUUCAAUGUUCUUGCAUCCAAAGAAAAAUUCUUAGUUUGAAGGACUGAUCUGUGUUGGUCUUGUCUCCAUGCUCCUUCUUGAAGUUGGCUUACACGCUCGUCCGUCCUUUAUAUGACAUAUUUGAUGGAACUUUUGAGGACCCUCCUCAAAAUUUUUUCUCGGUCUACAAUAUAUAAGAAAUCUCAUAACUUGCUCUGUUAACUUUGAGGUUGCUCAUUCUGGAAUUUUGAGGCUCCUCCUCAAAUUUUUUCCCAGUUUCCUUCAAUAAGUAACAAAUGACAUUUGAGGAAUUUUUGAGUUCAUCUCAAAAAUUCUGUCCCAGUUGCAAACUAGAUUAUCAUAAUUUUUGAGAUCCAUCCAAGGCUAACUUCGUAGAAUUUUGGUCUUCUGUUUAGACUUGUUAAAGAAGUCCAACUUCAAAUGAAUUUUUGAGAUCCUCUAAAAAAUUAUGUCCCAGUUUCCAGUAUGAAGAGAAAUGGAAAUGUUACUGGGUAUAUGACCGAGCCGUUGUGGCGCCUACAUAUCCUAUUGGGGCAGGAAUCAGGUCAAACGUAAUUCCCCUCUAAAGGAUUAACAAAAAUAGAAAGUUUUGAUAAAGAAACGACCGAGGCCGACAUAGGCCGCCUACGUAUCUCAUUCUUGAGAAAUCAGGUCGAACGUAGUUCAAACAAGAAAUGCGUGAUAAAAUUGGGGGAAAAGGGUUAAAUACAUUUCAAAAGAAAGGUAACAAAACUUUAUAUGAAAAUUUUGGAUAAUGUUGGGCAUUCUUCUUCUCGACCUUUGAUGAUGAAUAUCUUCAAAUGACUCAGUUCAGAAAUGUCUUGUACUCACUCUUGAGCAUCCAAUAUGUCAUCCAUUCAGCUGGUUUCCUCAAUAUUGAUCAUGUUUUUGUUGAUCAUGUUUUAUAUCUUGUGCUUUAGAGUUGAACAAUUAUCUGUGUCAUGUCCAACGACUCCUGAAUGAUAAGCACAUCUGUGGUCAGCUCUGUAAAAUUUUCCCAAAGGUUUAACUGGUCUUCCUUGUAUAGGAUAGAGCAUACCCAUUGCUUUCAUCCUUUCAUAAAGUUGAGUUUUAGAUUCCCUUAAUGGUGUAAAUACUUUAGGAGCCUUCCUAAAUUUUGGGCAAAAUUUUUUUUUUCUGAUUGACAUUAUGGUUUUGAUAUUCCCUUUGAGAAGCUGGCCUCAUACAGGUAGCCGUGACCAUACUUACCUCCUCCACUUUGCCUUUAGAUUUAUCCAUAUCACUAAUUCUGGUAGAUUUUCCAUUAUAUUUCAAUGUGGUAAGUUUGGUGAGCUUUCCAGUCUUGAAACCAUCUUCUAAAGCUUCUCCCACUUUGACAAUCUCGACAAAUUUUUGUCCCAUCAUACACAACAUUUUUUCAUAGUACUCGGGCUCUUGAGUUCGAAUAAACAUUUCAGUGAUCUCACGUUCGGACAUUGGAGGUUGAACUCUUGCGGCCUCUUUUCUCCAACGUAAAGCGUACCCUCGAUAAUUUUCUGUAGACUUCUGUUUGAUCUUCUCCAAGUAGUAGCGAUCUGGGGCAUCUUCUAUGUUAUCUCCAAAUAUUUCUGUGAAAUCCUUUGCGAGUGCAUUCCAACUUUUCCAUUGUUUCAACUCUUAUGAUGUAAGCCACUCAGAGCUUCUCCACUUAGAGUUCGAAUGAAGAGACACAUCAAUAAUGCUUUAUGUUUGCCAACUCCCACGAGUUGAUCACAAUAAACUUUAAGAUGAGCUAAAGGAUUUCCUGUUCCAUUAAAAGUGACAAACUUUGGCACUUUGAACCCUUCUGGGAGGUCGAGAUUCGGAUGGAUGCAUAAAUCCUUAUAGCUCAAUCCAUCGACUUCAAAAAUAUAGUGCAAACUCCUUCAUGGCUUUCCUGAUCUCUUCUUUCAUAUUCAGCUUGACUACCUCUUCUUUUGACCUCCACUCUCUCUCCUGUUCCUUAUAGUGAUCAAGCUCGUAACAGUCGGCAUAAGGUUCAUUUGAAGUUGCGAUUUGGAAAGUAGGAUUUGGAGGUAUGGGUGGAACAAUGGAGGGAUUUUGGGUAUUUUGAGUGGCUUGAUAAUUUUGGGGCAAAGUUUGAGGAUCGGUAUUUUGGUUUUGAAGAUGGGGGAAGGUUUGAGCAUUGUUCAUUUUUUGGUUUUGAGGGAGAUGGAGGAUUUGAAGGUUAGUAUUUUGUGGAUAAUGUGGUGCUUGACACGAUGUGGUGGCGUGACGGGGAUUGGAGGUAGUUAAGUCAAUGGUUGGAGGAUACUGAGCGGGGUUAGAGAGAAGGUUCUGAACCUGUUCCGUGCUUGAAAGUGGAGUGGAGGUCUUCCAUCUCUUGGAGGGUUGAAGGAUGAAAUUGGAUUAUACAAAUCUUGCAUUCUUUGAAUUUCGACACUCAUUUCGGCAAUCUGUUGCAUCAACUGCAUAAUCAAUUCAUUUUUAUCAGCGGCGGCGGGUUGAGCCACGAUAACGUCAUUCAUGUCAAUAUCAUCAUUGUUAUCCCUCAUUGUUGUCUUUUCUUUUUGCAAAUUUGAUUUGGGAAGGAAUCUUUAGGGGCCUUGGACCUUGUGAAAUACGGAUUAUCAACCAACUUAUCAACACAAAUCAGUUUUAAAUACCUGACAAAUGAAAAAACUCAAAAAACCAAUAUGGUAGUGCCUAGAGGUGGUAAAUAAUACAAAAUAUCACAUAUAGGUGUAAACACAUAAGAGUUGCUUUAUUCAGAAAUAAACCGACUCACAAAUAUAGAGAAACCAAUAUAGAGAAAUAGUUAAAUAUACAGGAAUUUGUCUACUUGAUUUUGGGAUUAGUGAAUAAAAAAUAUCGACUUGAGUCGAGACAAAGUUGACGGUAUCUUUCAUUGCCGUAGUUUGAUUUUAAUUGAGAUGUAACUCUAAUUUCCUUGUAAGAGUUGGAAAAGAUAAAUAUUUUCAAAAUAGGGGCCGAAUCUAGAAAGGUUUCCUGCGUAUCUCACAAAAAGGAAUUCAGGUCCUACGUAGUUGGACCCACUUAAAAUUCUUUUGGUUUGAAAUGAUUAAUCUUUUUCUGAUAUGAGAAUAGUACUAAAGAAAAAUGAAGUUCAAUUUUUUUUUGGGAAACUAAAGAUCCGAAGAGUAUUUGGACGCACUUUUGAUAGUGACUUGAUAUUUGUGCCUAGAGAUUUUAAACAAUUUUGAAGAAGUGUGAGCUAGAGUAUCUCCAGAUAAAACAACAUAUUCACAUAAGCAGUUAUAUCACAUAAACAAAUAUUGCGCGUUCUAAACAGAUAUCUGACCCUUUUGUGCCAAGGGUAAACCUAGCGAUUUGACGGAUGUAUACGUCAUAUGAAAUAUUUCAUUGCCCCAAAACUCUAAUUUAUACAAAUUUCAUGAAUAAAACUUAAUGGGGAUACAUAAAAGGGAAAUGUAUACAAAAUAAUCAGUCCCACGCAGGGGUACGACCUUAAACUAUGCUUCCACGAAAGAUCCUUCUUCUUUUCCUGACUUUUUGCAAUCUUUGGGUGCCAACGUCUUUGGAUGGACCAGUAGUUUUUAAAGCUCUUAUAUAAACUAUAAUCUAAUCUUUACCCUAUGAGACAAUGAUUUUCUCAAACAACGUAUACAUCCUUCAAAUUUAAACACAUAAGUAUGAACAUCCAUUUAGGCCGUGACCGUUUUGGACUCAAGGUGGUCUUAUAAUGGCCCAACACGCCUUGGGUAUUGGGUCAUCUUAGUUCAAAUGCGCUAUUUUUGGGAUUGAGUUUCGCUCUAUCGUAGUUGACUAUGAUAGUUUUCAAGAUGAUGGUUACCUGAGUCGGACAAACAUUGGGGUGAAGCUACCAAACAACGUCGGAUGACCGCAUUCCAAGUAUUUAUUUGAUACUUCCAAAUAAAUUCUUUGGUCUUUUUGAAGAAAGCCGUGGAAAGCCACAUAACUUUCAUUUUUCUAAUGCAUACUAUUUGCCGUUUAGCGGAAGAAUAUCAUGGAAAUGCAACAGUUUAUGAAAAAUUAAACACAUUCAGCACAAAUAAUAUUUUAACAAUCAAAACAAAUAAUCAAACAAUCAAAUCUUAUGGUUAGAACUUAAUUAAUCCCAGCGGAGUCGCCAUUUUUGUUUUAUUUUAAAAAUAUACUAUUUGCAUAAAAAUGGUGUAAGGAUGACUAUGUUUCGGAAAAUCAAUUAGUCUUAUUAUUUAAGAAAAAUCGACUUUUCAAAUUACGGAGUCGCCACUUUAUUUUUUAUAAAAUCAAGAAAAAAUUUCAAAAGAUUUAAAAACAGAUAAAAUCAAUUGAAAAUGGUUCGAAGUUCAAUAUACAUCCCGAGAAGGUGUUAGGCCCUCUAGAUGCCCGCUAACUUGCGGUUGACCGGCGAUUUGACUAAAAUGACCUUUUAAAUUUUAACUAAGUAAAGAGUUCUUUUUAAUGUAUUUUAUUCUAUAUUUUAUUCCUUAGUAUUUCUAAAGGAAAACAUUUAAAAGAAAUUAACUUAAGGAAAACUAAAUGGUGAUAAAAGUAAAUAAAACAAAAUAAGUAAAUAAAAUAGUAAAAUUUAAAAUGAUGAAAAAAAAUGGCUGCCCUUUAGGAGAUUAUUAAAAUUCUACCAAAAUAUUAAUUAAUUCAAACAAAUAAAUAAAGAGAGAAAAAUAUUUGAACUUGGGCUUGAUUGCCCAAAUUCAUUCACUUGGGAUUUGACCCACCUGUGCUAAAAUGAUUUCAAAAUGUGGGCUUGGGCCCUUUUUUAACCAUUUAGAAUCCUACGGAAAACAUUUAUGGCUUUUUGGGCCUAUCAAAAUUGUUGCUGAAAAGGGCCCUGACCCAUUUCUUGAAAAAGAAAUUAAAGUAUACAAAUGAUGUAUACUGUAUAUAUCCAAUUCGUAUUAGACCUUUUGAACCCUGCACUUGUUCGAAUAUGCAUUUCUCGCUAUUCACCCUGCAUUUCCCAUAUUAAUUCGGCGUAUUUUUACCUUUACCAUAUAUAAACCUUCUUAACAAUUGUAUUUCGUCGCCCAAAAGAUGUAUACCAAUGUAUACGAGCUGUAUCCUAUGCACUUAUUCAUUGCCUAUUCCCAUAUUUUAUCUAAAAUUGGCGUCCAUGUACGUAACCAUCAAUUCACAAUUUUUACACAUAUUUAAGGUACAACGUCUAUGUAUAUCAGUGUAUAUAGGCUGUAUAUCAGCGCCUGUUUUAUCAACUUUCGAAAGUUGAAAACUCCUUUUCAACAGUGUAUCUGGACUGCUACAAACCCAGAUUUUGAAUUUGGAUCCACAUGUGCAUUUUAGACCUGUAUAUCAUGGUAUAAUAUGUGUAUAUAACUGGUAUACAGAUUUCUUCAACACCUGCAAACUGUAAUUUUCCAGCAGCCUCUACUGAAUUUCAGACCUGUACAUCCUUUUAGGAGGUUGAAUGACUCCGUAAGGGUGUUUUGAGCCUUCAUAGCUCAACGAGGAACGCAAAUAGAGGAGUUCAUGAUGAACUCAGGUUGAUUUCACAUGCAACAAACGGGAAGAAGAAACUUUAGAACAAAAUUAUCAAGGAAAUAACACAAAAAACAGAAACUAAAAGGGAGAUCAUUACUAUUCUUGCAAACUACAAAUACAUAAAAUCAAGCUAAAAUAAAUUGCAUGAUAGUUACCAUAGCUCAAUAUCAUAAAGACUUAAAAAAAAUAACUCAAGACACUCUUUGCACAUACACAAGAGCACCAUAAUCUUAAGGAAUAAGAGUUGAGACAAAACCAAACAACUAAGCUAGAAGGCCACAUGUUGAAUAACUUCGAAAGUGUAGGCAAAGAAGUGAUUAUACUUACUAAAAAAAACACAUGAUAUUCAAGCAAACCAACAUUUAAGGAGGCAAUAAAGUAAGGACUUUACACUGCUGCUUAUCAAGGAUACUACCUACUAAUUGGAAGGAAAAUUUAAGCAAAAUUAUGCUUAUGACAGCCACUGUUAACGGAAGUUCAAGAAUGGAAACAAACGGGUGAACUACCCAUUUAGGAAUUCUCUCCGAUUUCUAACAAGGAAGGAGACUCAUGGAUCGACAUAAGCAGCCAUAGGAUGCAAUACAUAAAAACAGAAGAUACACAUUUUAACUAUAACAGAGUAGAACCAACCUUCAAGAUCGCAAACAUUCGAAGAGAAAAAAACACACAACGAUUAUAGGCAAAAAUUCAAGGAAAAUUGAGCCUCAUAUGCAUUUCAAAACAUAUUCUUAAAUCCAUCACAAUUAACGGGAGGAAAACAUGCUGGAAAGAUUUCAACAUCAAUCCAACAAUAACAGACCGUAUUCGAAUCAUAUAAACAAAAUCGACAGACCUCUCAUUCUCUUCUCAAUCUUCAUGGGUUUUUGAAGACGGGCAGCCCACAUCAACAACAUAUAUAUACCUUAAACACAAGACAAACUAUUCGAAACCAAACAAAAUUCUCAUCACUACUCAAUAUAAUUACAGAGAACGGAAAACAAACGAGCAAGAGGAGAGAAAAUCAACAGAGAAUUUCAAGCUCAUUGAAACAUGACAAACUAACAUAACGAGUGAGUAGAAAUUUAGGAAGUUCACCUUCCCCGGGGCAGCGAGCUGGAGACGAAACGAGCAGGGGAGGCAGCGAACACCCAAGCUUGACGUUAAACUCGGACACUUACGUAUAUCCUAUAUGUGUGUAUUUUAUGCUAUCAAUAUUUCUCGCACAAAAUUAUCUGAGAAAAGGAUGGAAUUUUCCAAAAAAAAGCCCCCUGGUAAUGAUCAACUGUAGUCAUUAUAUAGAAAAAAGAAGACGGGGAAGGCGGGAGAAAAUCCGAAUAAGCUUGGGGCAAAAUUGGGAUUCUAUCUCCCCUUUUGAAUUUGAAAUCCCCUAAAGGGAUAAGGAUGCAAGCUAUCGUAGUACAGACCUCCAACGGAACAAUCAAACGCAACCAUGAAUCCUCAAACAAGGACGAGUGAGCUCGAGAGAUUGAGACACCUGGCCUGCGGAAGAUGCUUUUCUUGUUGAAAUCGUACGAGAUUGCAGUGCUCGUUGCGUUGCUUCGUCUGGGUGCCGAUUCUCUGGGGAAUUUCUGCCUAUGACUCUUGUUGGAAAUUUCCUUGUGAAGAAGGAAGGAAAAAAAAAGGGAUGGGUCGACUUAGUUGUAGUUGGGCUGGAAUUAUUGGGCUGAAAAUAAAAAUGAAAUGGGCUGGGAAUUAAAAUAAAUAGAGUGAGCUUGGGAAUUUAAAGGGAAUUUGGGUUGAAGUGGGCUGGUAAGUUGGAAAAAGGCCCAAGAUUGAUUUCCAAAUGGGUUUAGAGGAAAAGGUUAUGUCUUAGAAUAGACAAAUUAAAUUAAUUUUAAGGAAUUUGACUAAGAUUUAAAUAACACAAAUUCGUAUCAAUUAAUCAACGAGCUUCUUAAUUUUAACAAAGUAAAAUAAUUAAUUUUAAUUAUAAGCUGGCAAUAAAUUAAAAAAAACAAAAAAAAAACACCAUAAUUUAAAACUAAAUUAGUUUAAUAGAAUACUUAAUAAAAAUUAAAAUAUUUUGAGAAAUAAUCAUAAAAUAUACCAAUUAUAUACAUAAUCAUGUAAAGUAUAUGCGCUAUCUAAAACUGCUAAGAAAAAUGAUAAAAGUAUCCAUAAUAACUCAAAAUUCAUAUGUUAUUUUUUUCCCCGCAAAAUUUAUAAAACUAACUAUUUUAAAUUAUUUAAAAAAUUUAAGAAUCUCGGGAACUAGUUCAUACUGAGGAGGGUCGAAAUUGUGUGUGAAAAAUUAAGCUAUUGCAGUAGACCUUUUUAAUGGUUAUUGCAGGCUAUUGUAGCCAUUUUUUCAAUAAACUAUUAUACAAUGAUAGAACAUAUUAAACCAAUAUGUACAUCAACUUGUAGCAUUCAUAUAUUAUAGAUAAAAAAACAUAUGAUCUUGAUUUACAAUUCAAGAGUUAACAUACAUUGAUGUUCACAAAAAUUAAGCCUAAAUAUUAAAAUAGUCCUAGAAUUUGUAAGUGUUGACAUUCAUUCAACUUCAAAAAUUAGGCCAAAAAGUAAAAAAUAGUGCUAGAAUGUUCAAGAGUUGGCAUUCCUUUAAGAUCACAAAAUUAGGCCAAAAAGUAAAAUAGUGCUAGAAUGUUUGUAGAAACCAAUUCUUUUUAAGUAAGGUCUUCGCUGCUUUCAUCCCCACUUUGCACAUCAUUUUGUUCACCUACAAUUUCAAAAGGGUCAACAAUUAGGAAAGAGGAAGUUCAAAAAUGAAAAGGUAAAAGAAGACGCACAAUUUAUAAUUUUUUCUAUUUCUGUCCAUGAUGAAAAUAACUACUUUGCCAACUCCAAGUGGAAUGUUUAGAUACUUGAAUACUUUUGUGAAUAGGUAUACAUAACCCAUUCCAUGCUUCCCCUUUCGCUCAAUUAGAAUCUUGUACAUGUGUUCAAGCAUGGGUGCUGGAAGGUCCAGUGAUUCGAACUUGCACAAGGAUUCCAUGAGAAACAGAUCAGAUGAAGUGUCAGAAGUCCUCUUCUCUGUUCUGGGAAGAAGAACCUUGUUGACAAAUUCAAAGACUAGCUGAUAUUCACUCUUCAUUAACUUUUUGAGAAGUCCAACAUGUCGAGUUGUAGGAACCUUGGAACAUACCUCGACAAAUUCAACAAAACAGGUCUUCCUAACCAUAGGCUUGAUACCUUCUCGAGGUACCCAUAAAAUGUUUCCCAGUAAUUCCUCAUCAAGAUAGACUUCUAUGUUUCCUACUCUUGUCUUGAUACUUCCAUCUUCCUGAAACUCGAUGUUGUAGAAGAACUCACGUACUUCUUCCUCAUAGAGAACAGGAGCCUUGGUGUCAAAUAAGUGUAUCCAUGACUGAAUCACCACAAUGUCAUAUAAAGUAUUCAUCCCAGGCUGCUUAACAAUAUUCAUAUCAAAAACUCUACCUGCCAAGACACUUUGUACACUCAGAUUGUCAACAAUUGUUUGCUUUUUGACAGCUGCGUCAUCCACAUGUACCUGUGGACCAAGUCCCUGUUCAGACUCUUCAGGUUCCACUUCAGAAGUUUCUCUCUUUAUUUUUCCUUUUCCCUUAGCGCCACCAACUUUCAUGCUUGCCGAAGCUUUAGUUUAUUCUUUGGGUUUCUUUCCGUCACCUUUCUUCUUUAAACUUUGUUUCAAGUCCUCAAUAAUUUCCUUAUCAGGUCCCUCUUCAGAUUCCGCACCUGAUACCUCCACCACAUCGGACAAUGGUAUUUGGAAUCUCGACACUUUAAAUGUUCUAUUCCUUCGAUUGUCAGCAUUAGAUUCUGCACUCACCUUCAUAGAAUCAUCCAUCAUUUUCUUGAAGUCAGAUCUGGUAAAAGGCCUCCUUCUUGACUCAACUUCAACAACCUUUUAUUUUCCCUUUUCUGAAGACGACAUCUCUCUUCUUUUCAACAGCCACUGAAUGGGAUGAUUGUCGUCAUCAGUGUUUGUAGAGUCGGAAGAAGGGUAUCUAUCUAAAUCUAGUGUUUUGUCAAACACAGGUUGGGUUUCUCUUAACUCGUCAUCCAUAAAACUUCCAUGUUCUUCAAGCAAAGCUUCUUAAAUAAUCUUGGUUAGACUUUCUAUAGCUAAAAUUUCACUGGCAGCCAGAAUAUUGGACUCAGGCGCUCUAUUUUUUGGUAGAUCUCCCUCAGAUAGAUGGUCUGACAACAUAUCCACAAGUGGAUCAGGUUGAGGGGAGAGAACAGGGUUGUUUAGAUCGAGAUGUGAGGACGGUUUCCAGACAACCUCUGAAGCAAUGUUGACUUGAUAAGAAGUCGAAUUUUUAGUCAGAGAUACAGAAGAAGAUAGAGUGUAAAAUGACGCUGGGUCGAUUUGGUUUAAAGAUGCAAGCAUCUUCUUCGAGGAUGAAGAAUGUUCAGACAUUUUUGGAAGGGAAGUAACUUUAGUACAAAACAAGAAGGAAAUGAGAAGAUGAAAGUUAGGGUUGUUCUAAGAAAGGAUUUAGGAGAUGUGAGUAGAGAAGUUGAGAGAAGAAGAGUUGUAUAAAAAGUGAUGAAGAGGUGUUAGGUCUCUUAGAUUAGACGUGUAGCUUGGAGUUAAUCGAUGAGACAACGUUAAGAAUAACUGAUGAUUGAGACAUGACCAUUUCAACGGGUUCAUUUUAAAUUAGUUUAAAACAAUGUAAAGAAAGUUAACCUUUACGAGGACAAGGUCCUUUCCUGCAAGUAAGAUUCCAUUCCUAAAUGGUUCUAGGCAUAUUUUUCUUUUGUAAUUUUUCAUGAAUGUAUACCUGCAAUAGGUACAAAAUUGAACUUAAUAAUAUAGUUUUUUACUAGUAAAGAGGAUACAUGUACUGCAAAUCAUAGCCAUCGGAGAAAUGUGAUGCUUUGGAGUAAAGUGGGAUCAGUUUGGAUUCAUCAUUACUAACUUCAAGCUAUUUCUUUCAAAUUGAUCUUUGCUGAGAGCUUUGGUGAACAUGUCUGCAAUUUGAUCCUCUGUUCUCUAAUGCUUCAAGACAAUAUUUUCCUUUUCAACAUUAUCUCUUAGGAAAUGAUGUCUCACAUCAAUAUAUUUUUUCCUAUUAUGUUGCACUGUAUUCUUCCCAUGCUAACAACACUAGUUUUAUGACACAUAAGAGGAAUAGCCUAUAUGCGCACUCCAAAAUCUUCUAGUCGUUGUUUGAUCCACAAAAGUUGAGCACAAAAAGAGGCGACUACUACAUAUUCAACUUCAGCUGUUGAAAGGGCUACUGAAUUUUGUUUCUUAGUUCCCCAAGAGAUGAGAGAGGAGCCAAGAAAAUGGGUCAUGUCUGACAUGCUCUUUCUGUCUACUUGAUAUCUUGCAAAGUCAGCAUCAGCAAACCUAACUAGAUUAAAGGAAUCACCAGUUGGGUAGAAUAGGACCAGGUCCACUGUUUUCCUCAAAUAUCUUAGUAUCCUUUUUGCAGAUUUUAGAUGUGAAUCUCUGGGACAUGCUUGAAAUCUAGCACACAUUCCAAAUAUCUUAGUAUCUUUUUUGCAGCUUUUAGAUGUGAAUAUCUGGAACAUGCUCGAAAUCUAGCACACAUUCCAGCACUGAACACAAUAUCAGGUCUGCUAGCAGUUAAAUAUAUCAAGGACCCGAUAAUACCUUUAUACAUGGUUUGAUUCACAAUAGAAUCAACUUUAUCUACUCCUAGUUUGGAAUUGGUUCCUAUAGGAGUGUCUAUAGGUUUAGAAUACAUCAUGUUGAAUUUCUUCUGCAGCUCCUUUGUAUACUUUUCUUGACAGACUGAGGUUCCAUCCGGUGAUUGUUGAUUUGCAGCCCCAAAAUGAAAGUUAGUUCUCUCAUCAUGCUCAUCUCAAACUCAUUUCCCAUCAGAGUAGAAAAUUUUACACAUAAAUGUUCAGAUAUAGCUCCAAAGAUUGUAUAAUCCACAUAUACUUGCACAAUGAGAAGUUCUUGUUCCCUUUUCACUAAAAACAAGGUGUUGUCAAUUUUCGUUCUUUUGAAUCCAUUUUUUAGCAAAAAUUUGGACAACCUCUCAUACCAAGCUCUGGGAGCUUGUUUCAGAUUGUACAAAGCUUUGUUUAAUUUAAACACAUAAUUUGGUAGCUCGACAUCUUCAAACCCAAGAGGUUGUUUAACAUAUACCUCUUCCUUUAAAUCUCCAUUCAAAAAAGUAAUUUUGACAUCUAUUUGAUAAAGCUUGAAUCUCAUAAAAGCAACAAAGGCUAUGAGAAUUCUAAUAGCCUCCAUUCGAGCAACUGGUGCAAAAGUCUCAUCAUAAUCUAUGCCUUCCUCCUGAUUGUACCCUUUGACAACCAAUCUGGAUUUUUUCCUUGUAAUUACACCACUCUCAUCAUGUUUAUUUCUAAACACCCAUCUGGUCCAUAUGAUGGUUCUGUCAGCAAGUCUUGGGACCAGUACCAUACAUUGCUUCUUUCAAACCGAUGCUAUUCAUAUUGCAUUGAGUUGAUCCAAUAUGCAUCACUCAGAGCCUCUUUCACAUUCUUAGGAUCGAUAGUUGAGUUGUGCUUCCAAUCCGACAUUGACUCUAAAGGUUGAAUUUGAUUUGUGUGAUCUUCUUCAUUCUCAGAAUCAUCAUUUUCAUGAGAAUGAGUUUCUGCUUGAUUUACAUUCUACAUAGGACCAGGUCCUUCUUCAGGCUUGUCAUUUUUCUUAGUUUUCUCUGAUGGAUCAGGAUCAACAUUAAUUUCCAAAUGUUCACAUGCUUAAGCCUUACUUCCUUCACUUUUCUGGACUUGGAACAACUCAUUCAAUUCAUCUUCAUCGUUUGAUUCCACCCUCUUCUGAUUACCGUCUUCAUCAAAUACCACAUGAAUACUUUCUUCAAUACAUUGAGUUCUUUUGUUGAAUACUUUGUAAGCCUUAAUGAUGAGUAUCCCACAAAGUUAUGAGGUUCAAACUUUCCAAUAUCAUCAUUCCCAUUGUUCAAAACAAAACACUUGCACCCAAACGCCCUUAGAUAACUCAACUUAUGUUUCUACUUGUUGAGUAGUUCAUAAGGAGUUUUUUUUCAGUAGCGACCUUAUCAAGCACCUGUUAGUAACAUGGCAUGCAGUGUUGACUGCUUCAGCCCAGAAAUUUUGAGGAAGAUUGACUCAAUGAGCAUGGUUUUGGCAAUAUUCACCAAAGUUCUAUUCUUUCUCUCCACCUCUCCAUUUUGCUGAGGAGUUCUUGGAGCUAAAAAGUUGUGACUUAUACCAUUUUCUAAACAGAAUUCCUUAAUCUUUACGUUUUCAAUCUCAGUUCCAUGAUCAGACGUAAUCCCAGCUAUCAGAUAAUUCAGUUUUGUUUGAAUCAUUUUGAAAAACACAAUCAGCACAUCAGGUGUCUCCACUUUUGAUUUUAGAAACCUCGUCCAUGUGAACCUUGAGUAAUCAUCAACAAUCACCAAAAUAUAUUUUUUUUCCGCUUCUGCUUUGAAUUUUCAGAGGUUCACAUAGGUCCAUGUGCAACAGAUCCAAUGUUCUUGAAGAGCUCACUUGCUUCUUUCACUUGAAGGAUGAUCUUGUUUAAUUUCCUUUCAGACAUGCUUCACACACUUUGCUUUCACUGAACUUCAAUUUUGGCAACCCCACGACUAGGUUACUAGAAGCCAGUUUAUUAAACAAAGAUGAACUCACAUGACCUAACCUUCGAUGCCAUAAAUCAGCAUUGUUACCCAGAGCACUUAGGCAUGUCAAGUCGUCACCAUGAGAUAUUUCUAGGUUUGCCACAUUCAUGUUUUUACAUGUUUGAGCAGUACGAACCACUUUCUUGGUAGUCAGAUUGACUUCAGUACAAUUUUCAAACGUGAACUUGACCUCAUUUCCCUUGUCACAGAUUUGAGAUACGCUGAAAAGACAAUACUAAUCCACUCAGAUGUUACACAUUUUCAAUGGAUUCUUCAACUGAUUUUCCAACCCUACCAACACCUAAUAUAUACCCCUUCUUUCCUUCACCAAAAGAGACACCUCCCCCUUGAAAUGCCUUGAGUGAGAGGAAAUUUUUGGUGUUCCCAGUCAUAUGCUUUGAGCACCCACUGUCCAUGUACCAACAUUGACUGCUAAUCCUCUCCCUCACCUACAAUACGCAUCACUUGUUAGACUUGGGAACCCAUUUUAGCUUGAGUUCCCAAAAGGCAGAUAAAUGAGUAAUCAAAGUGUUUCUUGCCCAGUGAGGUAAUUUUAAGUCUUUCUUUAUCAAUGAAUUUCGAGCGUGACCAGGUCCCCUUCUUGGUACCCUUUUCUAUUUUGUAUAAAUUGAUAAUCUUUCUCUUGAUUCUUUACAAGCCUUACACUCCCCUCUCAAAUGACCAUUUCUACCACAGUGAAGACACAACAAGUUAGCAGACACAUAAACAUACUUACUGUGAGGAUUCUAGAGAGGAGUAAUAUUUAAACUUCCUAGACCCUUUUUGUUGUUGUUGCUUUGACUGUCAUCUAAUGUACAAUGCUGAGUGUCAUAUAGGGUGCCAUGUAAGACGAAUGUUUCCAUUUUUUUUAAUUUUAUACAAGUUUAUGUGCAUUCUUGUACACACCCAAAGUUAAAUGUCUGAAAUGUCAGAUGAUGCCAAGAUCCAUAUUUAUGUAUUGUGUCAUAUAUUGUGUCCAUCUUCUUAUAGCCAUAUAUCAAAUAUAUACUUCUUGCACCAAUACGUUUAUCCCCCAAACAAUAAAGUAAAGAUUUUAGUUGCCAGGAAAUAAGGCAAAUUGGUGACAUGCCAUGGAUACUGUGGCACAUUCUUAUAUACAUAUUACCUCAUCAAUUUUUAGAUGAUAUGACCAAAACAUUCAACAACUAAUUUUCUAUAAUCAGUUAAUUAAUAGAUAAUACUUCAUUUCUCAAUUAUGUCGUGCUUCUGAAACUAUUUUGUUUUGUUGUUGACAAUAUUGAAUCAAUAAAAGUUUAAACACAAUGUCAUCUACAAUGAGAAUUCAUAUAUGCAACCUCAACUUACUUGGUAUUGAAAUGUAAAUACUAGUUUCUAACACCUUGUUGGGAGGGGUACGACCAUGAAUUUAACUACACACUAGGUAUGGUGUACCUCAGGUUACUCUAUAAUCAUAUUAAAUAUUUCAAAAUGUUCACCUAUUUGUUAUAAUGUUAUAACCACGGUACGGUUUGUAUCAAACUCCACAUGUCAAAUUUCCACAGUUCUCGAAAUCUUGUGCAGAAAAAAUACCAUUGCAAACAAUAGCCUUUCAAAAACCUCUUCCUGCAAGUUACUUCCAUUUGCAUUUGCAGUCUGAACUGCGGAAUCUGAAAUUUCUACAAACAAAACAAAAAUUAAGUAUAGCUGAAAUAUUAAGGAACUUCAUGAUUUACAUCAUUAAUAUUUCAGGCAAAUUUUGGGAAAUUGCUAAGGCAAAUACCAAGUAAGUUGAGGUUGCCUAUAUGAAUCCUUUUUGUAGAUGACGUUGUGUUUAAGCUUUUCUUGAUUCAAUAUUGUCAACAACAAAAAAAUAGUUUCAGAAGCACGACAUAAUUGAGAAAUGAAGUAUUAUUUGUUAAAUAACUAAUUAUAGAAAAUUAGCUGUUGAAUGUUUUGAUCAUAUUAUGUAAACAUUCAUGAGGUAAUAUGUACAUAAGAAUAUGUCUCAGUAUCCAUGCCAUGCGACCAAUUUGCCUUGUUUCCCGGAAACUAAAGUCUUUACUUUAUAGUUUGGGGGAUAAACGUUUUGGUUCAAGAAGUAUAUACUUGAUAUAUGGCUAUAAGAAGAUGGACAUAUUAAUCUAUAACAUAAUAAGUAAAUAUGAAUCUUAAUUUGGCGUCAUCAGACAACUCUGUUAACUUUGGGUGUGUACAAGAAUGCACUUAAACUUGUAUAAAAUUGAACAAAUGGACACGUUCAUCUUACAUGACACCCUAUAUGGCACCCUACUUUGUAUAUUUAGAUGACAAUCUAUAUUUAUUUAUACUAUAUUAUAAACACGAAUUCAACUUAAAAGUUAAAUUACUAAAAAUACCCUAUUAAAUAAUCUAACCUCAAGCCUACACCCCUUCCUUAACUUUCAAUAAUGUUUCAUAUUCAAUAAGUAUGUAAGGUUAAAAUUUGUUGUCAUAUCGAUGCUCAAUACUAUUCCCAAUAAUAUAACUCAACUCAUAUGUUUAAAAAUAUUUCAUCAUCCUCAAAUUUUGAGAUUAUUACUCAAAACAUUAUCUUAAAAGAGAUUAAAUUCAAAAACUCAUCAUGAACUCAUUUGAAAAUUACUCAUUUGAAAAUCGAUGUUUCCUCUCAUAUUAAAUGUAAAAAUAUUUACUCUUGGGAAUAUUUAGUUCCCAUAUAUUCAUUUAAAAAAAAAUGAAAUAUCAACUCUCCUAAUCCUUAUACUUAAAUACUCAAGUCUUAAGUUUUAAAAGAUUGUAAAAAAAUUCUCAAAAUGACUUGAAAGAACUUUGAAAGUCUUAACUCUACCUUGGGCAAUGAUUCUUGUUAUGAAGAAUCUCUCGAUGUUUUGAUGUAGUAUAGAGUAGUUAGAAUCGGAAAGGAGUUAAGGUACACUUUAAAAGAAUUUAGACGAAGAAAGUGAUGGAAAAUGAGAGGGGGCAGGCGGCCCAGGCUCUCUAAUGCCCCGGGGCGCCAACCCUUGAACUUAAGAGGGAUAAUUUUGGCUCACUAUAAGGGUGGCACGCCAUCCCUCCUAGCACAUUAAUUGCGGGCCGCACUACCCCUCCCCAAAACGACCCGACAAAAAUUUUCUUUUUGUUUUCCGAUCCUAAUUCACCUAAAUCGAUUAAAUUCUUUAAAUCUUUCUUAAAUUCAAUUACCUAAUUCAAGUACACGAGAAUCUACUCACUUUUCCUCAAGAGCAACCCUCAAAGAUCAAAAUCCUCUUCUCAUGAAUUCAUCGAAGUCCAUCAACAAAGCACGAAAACAAAACCGCAAAACAUUCAUCAAGACUUAAAAUCAUUCAACCUCAAUAACUAAAUUAUGGAUGAAAUUUACAUGAUUGACAUAUGGGUGAGCGAACCCAAAACUAUGAAAACCUGCAUACCUUAAUUUGGCAAAAUUCCUCGACAAAUCUGAAGAAUCUUGAUGAAUGCCUUAAACCUUUGCUCUUGAACUCCUCUCAAAAUCCUAAGAGUAAUUUACAGUUGUAAAGAUGAUUAAAAUUUGCUUAUACCUUUAAAUAUUACUAAAAAAUAUUUUUAUUGGGUAAGGAAAAGACCAAAAUACCCCUCAUUUGUUGGGUAAGUUUUCUUUACUUGACUGGUAGACUUCAAAUGGGCAUAUCUCCGUCAUCCGAACUCAAAAUUUAGAAAACUAGGUGGCGUCGGAAAGAGGAUUGAAAAAAAUUUCAUAUGAUAGCUUAUGGGCCACCUAACUCAUCAUGUUUUGAAAGUUAUGAUCGUUUGAAGUUGACCCAAAACUCACAACUUAAGUAUAUUAAUUUGGCUCAAUCCAAUUUAGUUCUUUCUAAAUUUAGCUCUUUGCAAAGGCUGAAGGUAACAAUAAUGAACAAAGGUUACUUCCUAAUGUACAUUCUAUGUGUUUUAUAAGAUGUUUAUUUUGCAUUGACCACAUUUAUGACUUUUUAUUUCUAAUAUGUUAUUUUAUUAUUUAGUUUGGUCAUUACAUGUCAUGUAAAAUAUUUUUACCAUGAUUUCAUGUCUCUUAUGCAUUCUUAUCAUAUUUGGUACGUGUAAGAGUUAGUUUUUCAAUUAAUUUUGAAACAAAUCCAUCCGUUUUGAAAUAACAUAUACAUGAAUGUGAGUUGUAACAUUCAUUUGUUUUAAUUCUAUGUUAUAAACAUUUGCAAGAUUUUUUUUAUAAUUCUACGUUAUGGGUUUUUGAAAGAUAAGUUUUUUGUUUUAAAUACAUGAACCUAAUACAUUCUAUUAAUUAAAAAUCUUUUUCUUGCAAAACUUUUUAUUCUAUAAAUUGAGUUUCCUUUGGUUGAAAAAGAUAAGCAUUUCAAACAAAAGUACUUUCCCUUGAAUACACUUGUGAGACAUUGAUCAAAAGGUGAAAUCACCAAUUCAAGAAUAGAAGAGCAACAUUCUUGAAUGCUACUUGUUUUGUGGCUUAGUUGAAUCCCGAAGUUAGAGUUGUUAUUUAUUCUUCCGAUUGCUCGUGGGAGAGACUCCAACUAUCUUCAAGAAACGUUUAACGUGCCUCUAUGCCAAGCGAGUUUUAUUUUGUAUUCCUUGUAAAUUUAUCAUUCUUGUUCAUUUGUUCUAACAGUACGUUCCAUGUUCUAAUGCAUAUUUGUGUCUGCAAUGCUUCACUAAUUUCGGGUACGACAAUUCCUACCCCAUACUCGUGGCUAGUUGAUCCUUUUGAGAUUUUGAAGAUUGUUGAGUCCUCAUGAUCAGAGGGUCGAGAAUAUUUUAUUGAUUUUUUUUCUAUUUUCAAACUUCUUAUGUGACCUAUGAGUUACCUUCAAAUAUCAUUCUCUAUGAUGUACUAGACUGCCUUAAGACUUGUGUUAUCUUUCCACUUUUGUCAAAAUCUUUUGUAUGAAAUGCUAUCUUUUGGACUCUUUACUUCUAUUAUAUUUUUUGAUGUGUGCUAAGUGACUUGAGAAGGGCUUCCCGAGGUUCUAUCCGUCAUGUUACGCCCAGGGUCUACUUUGGAUCGUGACAUAUAAUCUCAUUCAAUUCUUACAUUCUUCUUUAGAAUUCUUCUGAUAUUUUGCCAGCCUUCAAAGAUUAAUCCAUCAUGUGUACUUAAUCUGAUAUUUAUAACAUUAGAUUUUUUUUAGAAAGUCCAUAAAUCUAUCCUGAUCUUUCUCAUUAUAAUCAUUUUUAAAAAUAUGCCAAAGAAAGAAUCUCUUCUAAUAAGAGAAAUAUGAAUCCUAUAUUGUGGGAUAAAAGUUUUACCAAACAUUAUUACCAACAAACACGGUAAAAAAAGAAAGAAAGAAUGGUGAACCACUUAAAAAAUGACAAAUAUAACUAUAACCAAGAAAUAUUGAAAUCAUGCAAAAAUGUUGGUAGCAUUUCCACUAAUUAAUGCUUCUGAAACAAAGUUAAAUUAAUAAUAACAAUAAUGAUGAUGAUUAAAUAUUUAAAAUUAAUCUUUCUUAUUUAACUAUUGUUUGCAUUUUUUUGCUCUCUUAUGUCAGACUAAAGGUAAAUAUUUGUUACAAAUUCAAACUUAGCCAUCACGAAAAAUUCACGCCAACACAAAUAUAGAGAAAGGUAGUGAGAAAUAUCCACAAAAAUAGUACAAUUUUUGACAUAAACAUUUCCUACGAUAAAAUCAUUUUCUCCUUCUCAUAUUUUAAAAUCUCUAUUUCGUGUAUAUUUUUUGAAAAUCUCUUCCCCAUCCAUGGAGAUUCUUCAACAAACUAUCAUAUAGAAGACGAAUCAUGAGAUACAAAAAAACAUACAAUAAUAGAUGUCACUAAGGUGUAUUUUAAAUAAAACUUGACAAUGAAGAAACCUUUUGAAAACAAUUAUUUGUCUCUCCUUUCAAAAUUUGUGCUUUUAAAAUGAAGUUGUAAAUUUAGCAUUAUAUGUUAAUUUCAUUUAUGGUCAUGCACCCGGCCUUUCUAGUGGAGGUAUCUCAUGGUUACGAACGUUACCCAUCAAUCAUUUAUAUUGAAGUAAGAUUGCUUCCGGACAAUAGUCAUACAUACCAAUAGUCAUUGUGCAAAUUAAAUUCAUUGAUAAAAUGAUGUAAAGUUCUUGUGAACCCAUGCACCCCUCCCUGGAUUAUGUAAAGUACUUGCGAACCAACUUAUGCAUCCUUUCCUACAUUAUGUAAAAAGCACUGCAAUUAUUCUUGAUAAAUUAAUUAAAUUUCAUGUGGGAACCAGGCUAAAAAAUUUGAAAUAUCCAUCUCCAAAAUUUUCUUGUUUGAAUCUUUAGAACAUUACAAACAAAAGUCACAUUUUUUCCUCAAAAAAUUUAUGGUAUCUCUUUUUAGUAUUUUCUUCAAUUUAUUUCUCUUAUUUGUAAAGUGUGUUUUUGAAUAAUGAAGAUAUUUGAACCUUACCCUUAUAAAAGAUAAAAUUCAGCAUAAAGCUUUUAAAUGUGUCUUUCUUGGGUAUUCUCGUCUACAAAAAAGUUACAAAUGCUUUGAUCCCUCUACCAAUAAGUACUUGAUCUCUGCACAUGCUACUUUUUUCGAGACUUCUCUGUAUUUUUCUCCUAAUAUGGUAAAUUAGAAGGUCAUAGUAGUCCUUCCCAUCCAACUAUUCCAACCCCAACUCCACCUCCACCUCAAUACACAUGAUGUUAGUAGAGGAUGAAGAGGUAAUAUAAAUAUCUCUCUAGUGUCAUGGGUUACUCCAGCAUGCCGGCACAAUUCCGUGACCAGAAUUGGAAACGACAGAGAGGUCUGCUUUUGUUUGUCCCUCAUGUCCAUCUCUUGUGAAGUCAGCAGCCGCAAUUUGAUGUGAUAUGGACAUGAUACAACCAAAGAAAUUUGCCUUAGGAUAGUGCAAAAUUGACUCAUUCUGGGAUGACAUUAUGGUGCUGCUGAUGAAGCCGAACCAGAAUGUAGCUGCAAUGUUCAAAUUCCUCUUCUCAAUAGGGACUCCUACUCUGAUCCACUUCGGGGUGGUGUCAGAAAUCAAAGGAUCCAACCACAUCUUCAGGUCAUAUAUGGACUGAACAAUAGGCAAUCCCUCGACUAAAUUUAUCGGUCUAAACUCGUUUGCCUUGUUCUUAUUCCUUGGCACCAACUCCCCAUAAGCUGUGUAAAAUUCCCUAACCCAAGAAAGAAUGUAAGGUCCUCGGGACUUUUUGAACUGUUCGAACUCAUGGUAGCGGAGGGUAUCUAGAACAUUUGGAUAUUUGCCUUCUAGGCCCUACAUAGACAAUGAUUUGUACCCCCAUCACCUUUUAAUAUGUUCAGCAAUGUGGGUUGAAGAAUGGUAGGGAGUGCAGGGGCCACUGGAGGUGCCUGAGCUGGCACUGAAUUUGAUUCAGGAGGGGUGGCAACUGAGGGAAUUCUGGUGGAUGUAGAGAUCUAGCCUGGAAUUGAUUCUUUUGGUUGAUCAGAGGCUUCUCAUCUUAUGGUUUAGAGAAAUCUUCAUCUAUAGAUAUUCCUUUCCUAGACAUGUGCUUUUUCCUUUUGCCUUUGUCUCCCAGUGAGAGUUCUUGCUGUCUAUUUUCUGGGAGAUUUAAUCCCCCUUCGUUUAUCUUUAUGCCUUGUACUUUUGUUUUGGGUGACAUCGUUAGAUUUGUAUGCACUUACAUGUAAUUUAUUUAAAGAAAUUAUGAGAAAACCAACCAUAGUUGUAGAAAUUUUACUGAACCAUUGAACCACUCAGGGAAUCGUUGAACCUCUUGGCAAGAUAAGUCGGGCUCGCCAAAGUGGUUGACUUAGGGAUUAUGGAAAGUCGGUGAUAGGAAGACCAUUUUAGCGAAUCGCCAAUUUUUUUCAGGGAGAGAGGGUUUUUCCACCAAAAGUCAUAGUGCAAUAAGGGUUCAGGAGAGCAUGCGAAGGGUGAUCAAGAGUAUUUACGGUGAGUCGUCGAGUUCUUUCAGGAAGCAAAGGCUUCUCACCAAAAGUUACAGACUUACACAUCAUUUUACACGAGAUUAAGGGUGAGAUGGAGACAGUUGGCCAAUAGACGAGCAUUUAGGUGAGCUCGACCCAACUCACCACAAAUUGCCCAACGUGCCUAUUUUUGAGCCAUCUUCUUUAAUUUGACCUUGCAUUCCCCAAGCAUGAACUAACGUAACUAAAAUAAGACUCAUACUAUCCAUUACCUCGAAUACUCAAGAUUUUCCUAGUUUUGCUAAAUUUGGCCAUUUGACGAUAAUUUCUCUUAAGAAGGGUGUCACCCACUCUAUCAUUGAAUCAUUGAGUCAUUUAGAAAAAACAUGGGUUACUCAGGCUUCACCCAAUCGCACAACCCAAAACAUUUCGAUUCAUUUAGAGACACCAAAAUUACGGGCAUUUGAUGAUCAAAACAUUACGGGCAAGGUUUUCAAAUUUAAAUACGCAUUUGAAUAUUCUAAUUCUAUCAAAAAGGCCCAGCACACAACAAUACAAUACGAUCAUUGUAAAUGAGUACAAAAUUUUCAAAAGUAAACUCAGGGUUUCAGAUAACUAUCCAUUUUUGCGAUUAAAAUGUGAUUGAAAAGUUAGGCGGCCAUGCAAUCCAACUCCGAGCACAAGUCAACCAACAAAAAUACUUGUAAAACGUAAGAAUAUCAAAAUUACUACCUUAGUGUGAGUUUGUGAAGUUUAAAGGCGAGGAAAAGUGAAUAAGUUCAAAUUCUAAAACUUUUGGCCAUUAUAUACCAUCUAGUUUGUGUCCAUUUAGCGAAAUUAUUCGCGCUCGCCAAUCAACUCGGAGAUUUUCUUAGUGGUCACUUGCCUCGUCGAGUUUUACACGACCUUCAAUCAAAGUGAGGAUCCAAACGACGGUCUUAGUUGGGUACGCUGCACGGGUCGGUAAUUCAUCGACUGCCUGUUUUACUCGCCAAUCUGUACUUUUCAAACUCUCUCUGCUUUUAAACAUGUACCACUAACACACCAUUAUUUAUAAAAUUAAACUAGAGCAUUUAAAACCUUGGGUUGUCUCCCAAGAAGAAGUUUAGCUAAUUUCGUGGCAUGACGCGAGUCCUUACUCAAUCUUCGUUGGUGGGGUUGUUCCUAGUGAUACUGGGUUACCUCAACUGGUUGAGCGGGUUGAGAUGAAGCAUUACAUGACUCAUGAGUGUUUCUAUCUUCUUGAUGGAUCUAUAGUGAGACCAAUCAUUUGACUCAACAGUCUUACACUCUAUUUCAUCUAUUCCAUCACUCUACAAUGUUUAGAGAUCUGUUGGAGAGUGAUCAGUAGUGUGUCCUCAACACGACUGUCCUCCUCGUCUCUAGACCUUCUCUACUCAUGAGGGGUACAUACCUCCCUUGACACUUGCACUGGUUUUACACUUCUGAGAAUUUGGUGGCCAAGUCAUUUAGCUGAGUAACCAGUACAAUUAACAAGAAGUCACCCUUGACUUCUUGGUUCACCUCAGCAGACUUACCACCACUUUCCUCAGCCAUGCUUAAAGUUUCCUGCCUUACAACAACUACGUAAAAGGAAAAACAAAACAAAAAAUUUAAAGAUAGUAAAACUACAACUAACAAGAACAAAAAAUCUACUUAACUACAUAUUCUAACAUAACACCAAUGCUCGGCAGCGGUGACAUUUUGAUCGGUGAUAUCAUCAAAGAAAUAACACUCAAAGUAUCUACGAUCGUACCGUAGUAUAGUAACCCAACCAAUGGUUGGGUUCACUUCCACUGGGAGAGGUUGUGAGAAUUAAUAUAAAUGUAAAAUCUAGUUCUAAUUAGUCGUAGUUAAAGACAUUUCCGAUUAAAAACAUAUUAAAUCAAAGGGGGUGAAGCAAGAGUCAAUUGUCAAAUGGGGUUUUUGUCAUAAGUAAAUAAAAAUAGUGAAAUUAACAAAGAGUUCUGAAUAAGGUGAGGGCGAUUCUGGGAUGUGAUAGGAAUACGGGAUAAACGAGAUUAUCGGGUAGAAUUCAUAGAGUGAUUGUGGCAUAAGAUCUCUCUCGAUGAACUAACCCUCAAAUGGAUUCCUGUCAGACACCCACUUGCCGCAUGAAACAUAACCUCCACCUUAAACCACUCACUCUAUCGGGAUGAGUGUGUGGGAAGAAACUAGGGUGAACUCUCUUGAGUUGAAACUCAUGUCGACCCACUCCCACCAGUCAUCAAUUUAGUAGUCUUACUUUCACGAUCUUUUUCUCUAGCAUGUCAAAACACAUAUAUGAGAUUAUAUUAGCAACUAUAACCUCAUUAAAUUCAUCCAGAACUACUACACAAAAUCACAUUUAAACUACGAAUAAACAAUCAUCAAACAAGACCCAACAACUAAUUUAACCAUAUCCACAAAAUCACACCAAAAAAUUGGAGCUUUAGCUAGACAUGUACAAGAUAUAGAAACUUAUACCAAAAUGAGCUUGCAUUCAAAUGGGUAUGAAGAUUUAAGUCUUGUUACUGGCCAAAAGUGAAGAAUACAAGAGACCUAAGUCCAAAUACUUGGAGAUGAAACCCUUUGGAUCUUCAAGUUCUUGAAAAACUAUAAAUACUUGGAGAGGAUUUUUUAAGAACUUGAAGUAAAUAUCUGAUAUUACUUUGUAAAGUACGAUACUAAGCUAAGAAUAAUAACAAGUAUUUAUAGUUUUCAAGAAAUUGUGCUGCAAUGGAUGACUCGGAGACAUUAGUCGGAAUGGCCGAUUAACUCGUCCUUCGCCCAUUGGUAUAGAUCACCACCGUCUUGCACUAGCCUUCAACAUCAUAGUGCUUUGGAUCAUUGGGCGAUAUAGUACUGCUUUGUGGAACUACUCGGCGAUGCGCCGACUGCUCCUUUUCACCGCCGAUUUGAUCCUUUCUUUCAGUCUCAACACACUAGAAAAAAAGGCGAUCUUCAGUCCUAUCGUUGAUUCACCUAGUGGACCUAGCACAAAACAUGAGUUGGACCGACCAUCCUUGAACAGUUGCAUCAACUUAAAAUUAGUGAAAUAACAAAUUUGGGAUGGAAGUAGUAAAGAGGUUGAAAGGGUAAAGCCUAGAUCCAAAUUAAAAUACAUAUACUAAUUGAAGAACCACUAUACAUGUUUAAUGCAUAUUUGUUAUGUUUUUCUUGCUGAAUGGAUUGUGUAGGAGGAAUAACCAAGGUAUCAACAUCUAGAAUCCUUUAAAUAUCAUUUUUUGAAGAGACCUUGAUAGUCGUAAUCUAUUAUAGUUGGUUUGCUAGGCAGAGGUAGCGAUCAUCAUAAGUUUAAACUUCUUGAAGUUGUUCAUCAUCUUCUUCAUUUUGAUAUAAUUAUGAGCCAAAUCUAAAAUUACAAACAAUGAGUUCCUUACCCUAAUAAUUCCUUUGUGCUUUGGGUGCAUUGGACAUGGGAUCAAAGGCCUUAAGAUUUUGGCAUGAAACUGUUUUUGAAUAAUCACAAUUAUUCAAGGUCGUUUGUUGCACUUUUAUAAAUCGCUAUAUAUUUGAAUUAGGGUGUCGAAUUUUUAUGAAAGUAAUUAUUGAGCAAAUACAUUAAGUAAUUCAACUUAAAGGGUCUAAAAUAAGUACCCACCUAAAUCUCGAUCACAUUACUGCAGGCCAAAAAAUGAUUUGAAAGAAAAAGUCAGAAAACGUUGAGAUAAUACCUUUUUAGUGAAUUUUGAAGCAAUUUCCACAAGCUGUUGGCAAUGUUCUGGCUCUAGAGGAGUCGUUUGCAAUUAUAUGCCUCUAGAGGGAAUUUUUUCAAACUCUUUAUGGGUGUCAAAAUAAGUCUGACUUGUGCAGAUUUGGAAUACCUGUUGAGUGAACUUUGAAAGCCACAAGCCAUUGGCAAUGUGCCUCUAAACGGUAGUUUUUCAAACAUUUCAGAAGCCCUUAAGAUAAUGCCCGUUUAGUGAAUUUUGAAGCCCUUUCAGAAGUGGUUGGCAAUGUUCCUCUACAGGGAUUUUUUUAACACUUCAUGGGUGCCAAAAACACUUGCCACGGGCGUUCAAUUUUUUCACUGAGAAUGAACUUGAUAAUCACUUAUGAUCAUGUUGUUUACUAUUAAAGUGGUAACAAUCAAGAUGAUCUGAAAAAAAAACAAAAUGCAAAUAAAUGUAACAGAGAAAAUGAAGAUUGCACGGAGGGAAGCAAUUAACCAUUCAAACCUAAAGCAACCAAAAUAAUAAGAUUGAGAAGAAUAGUAUAAAUCAAGAGCGAGGAAAUAAAUAAACAAUAUAAAGAGACAAAAUAAUGCUAAGGGCUGAAAAGGUUUACUCGGAGAAGGAAGAAGGGGGACAAGACAUGUCACCAGAGGACGUGACUUAUGUUUUUCUUAAAAAAAAUUAAUCAAGGGCAUAAAUGGCAAAAGAAAAGGAAAUAUUGGAAUGCAGAAUUGUGGUGGCGCCACGUAACCAGUUGUGGGUUUCAUUAUAUAUAUAUAUAUAUAAAUAUAAAGAUUCCUCCUGCUGGAUUGUGAAGAUUCUCUAGUUUGUUCUUUAUUGUAUCAUAUAGUUGUUCUAACCACACGGGAAUGCCUUCUUGACAUUUUUGCAAUUGACUUAUUGAAAAUUUGUAUUCCAGAUCAAGUAUAUGAAGGAUAUGUAUUUAUCCGACCUCAAUGAUUUGUAUGAAAACAUUGCUUCUAAAGUGCAGCAGGUAUCUCAUUAACAUCCCUCUAAGUGCUUCAUCAUAGUUUCAAAUUUUGGUUGGCUCCCUUGCCAGUUCCGUAAAAUGAGACACCAUCAUUUUCAUAUAGCAUGCACCAAGGUGUAAUGCAUAUUGCAUUUUAUUGGUUAUUUCCUUAUUUGGAACUCCUGAAACUAGGAAUUGAUGCAGAAAGAUUAAAACACUAAAUUAGCAAUUUUGCUUCUUUAUUUCUUUUCCUAUUAGUUGUCAAUUGUUGUCUUGAGAAACAAUGCUCUCAUAGUGGGAAUAUGUUUUGAUGAGGCUUAAGGAAUUAUUGUUUUUUUUUUGCUUUCAGUCUAGGAAUUAAGGAUUCCCUUGUUCUUAGGGCAAGUGCUUGAUUUAUCUGAUUCUAAAGAACUUGAGUCAAUAUUCUGCUAAAUUGUGUGAACCUUGCGCACUAUGUUAUUUCAUUAUGCAUUUCUUAACCUUUCCACCCUUUCUUUUCGGUGGAAGGUUCUUGAAGCAUGAAUUUCAAAGGUUAGCAAAGGGCAAGAAACAAGACUCACUAAACAAAUUUUUUUCUCUAAUUUUAUGCAUGACUAUCUUAAUCAGGCUCUUCCAAAUGAAAGAACUUAAAAACUCAAGAUGUUGGAGAUGACGCUGGAACGCACUAUGAUUUUCUUGUGCCUCAACAAACCUGAUAUUAACUUGGUCACAAGGAGAAACUGCGGUCGGUUUAGAAUAAGUUUCUUUGUAAGAGGCAAAAAUAUGCACAAGCCUACUUUUUCUCUAUUGAAGGGAUAAAUUUCUCAGGCUUCCAUCCAUACAAGUCAGGUAUGCAGUCCGAACUUGUUUGAAUAAUAUAAGCCAAUUGUUUUCAGCUUGUUCAAGUUGUUUCCCUCUUGUGUUAACAAUCAUUUACAUUUCCAGUGGAGUUUUUUUUUUCUUUGGGUGGGGGAGGUUGAUAACUCGAAACUUUUGAUUAUUUUCCCACUAUAAAUCUUAUGUUAUGACUGAUCUCUCGUGUUACUUCUACUUUGUUCUAAUGUCUCAUCUUCUUACAUAAUCGAGAAGAAGGUAUGAAGGUCAAAGAUUUGAGUAGAAGGUUAGUAGGGAGUCGAGUGUUGUCUUACUUCUAGUAGUAUGAUUUAGGUUGCUCCUACUUUUUUUUUCAACGACUGCUUAUAUUACUUGAAAAUAUGAAUCAAGUAAAACUGACCUUAUAUUAGAUAUAAGAAAGUGAAGAAGGGGGAUGAGUAUUGGAACAUCACGAGUCAAUUUAGUUAUGUAGUCGUAUUAAUUUUGAGCAGUCCCUAUCCUUGUUUAAUUCUGAUUAUGUUUCAACAGUUAUUGUCUAGUUAGGUUAGGUUUAUUACAUUAGCUCGUUUAGGAGUCUUUCCACUGUAAUUCUAUUUAAGCACCUCUCUGUCAUUAUUAAUAUAAAUUAUCAUCUUUCAACUUAUAGACAGUCUUUAUAUGGUAUCAGAUCUCUUCACGCCCUAACGAGAACGGUCCAAUUUUUGUUCUUUUUUCCUUCUCCUCACAAAGAUCAACAAUGACCAAUCCAAUGGGAACAAUGAUGAAAAUAAUCCAACAGUUCUCAAUGCUGAUAACACAAUGGGCAACAACAUAAUCAUUCAGUUUAAUCCUGCUUCCCAACUACCCAUUAAACUAAGUGGUGGUCACAACUUCGCCACCUUGAAAUCCCAAUUUUCCAUGCUUAUGUAUGGCUAUCACCUCUUUUGCCAUCUUGAUGGGACCACUCCAGCCCCCAAUCUCAUUAUUUGCGCGCGGUACAAACAUAUCUCCUGGUCAUGCCUUCUUACCUUGGUUCUGCCAAAAUAAACUCAUCCAGAAUGCCCUUAUGGCUUCUGUUGAACCCACCAUUGCUUCUAUUGUUGCUACCGCUGACUCGGCUAAAUCAGCUUGGCAUGCUUUGCAUACCACUUCCGCGAAAAAGUCACAAACUCGUGUGUUGAGAAGCUCAGAUUUCUCAAAAUUGGGGAUGAGAGACUCGGUAAAUUUCCAUAAUAAUAAAACCCUACCUUUUGCUACUACUAUCACUUCUUUUAUAACUAAUUCAUAGUGCCCAUAUUUUCUCUGAUUUCUUCACAUGUUUUUUCCUAACCUUUUAUUCAAAAUUGGUUAGUGAUUUUGGCCUUCACUUAACUCGUGUGUUGUGCCUAGCUGGCAAAAUUAGUUCAACAACGUUGGCCUCAGCCUCACUAUUUUCAUUCAUAACAAUACUUUGUUUCUAAAUGAAAACCUUGUCCAUAAGGUUCAGUAUGGGAGGAUCACAGUUAGUUAAGUUCAAAGGAGUAGUUUUUUGUAUUGAUCUACCCACACUGCUUCUUUGCAUGGAAACAUGAAAAAUAGUAUGAACCCGGGUAGCCUUUGGUAAUUCUAACUUGUAAGCAACUUCUCCAACUCGUUUAAGAAUCUGGAAAGGCGUAAAAAAACAUAUGUCCAAAUUGUAGAGGGAAGCUCCCUGAGAUAAGUCUGACAAUUAGGUUUUAAUUUGACAUAGACCAAUCGCUGACUGAAAAGGUGACCUCUGUGCACUUGGCAUCAUCAAAUUUCUUCAUGUAAACUUGAGGCUUGCUAAGAUUCUGUUUGAGCGAGGUCAAAAUCUGAUCACUUUUCACUAAAGAGGCUUCAACUAAGUCACUGGAAUUACUUCUCAAGAUGUAAUGUGCUACUAUAGGAGGUUGACGACCGCACAAAGCCUGAAAAAGGGGUCAUGCCCGCGGAAGAUUAAUAGAUUAUCUUGUACCAAUACUCGGCCCAUGGAAGCAUGGCAACCCACUAAGUGGGACAUCAACAACGAAACACCUCAAAUAUUUCUCAACACACUUAUUAAGAGCCUUGAUUUCCCGUGUGUCUGAGAAUGGUAGAUGGUGCUCACAGCAAGCGACAUCCCCUACAAUCUAUUGAUCUCUUGCCAGAAGGAAUGUAAAAAAACCAAGGUCCCUCUCAGUGACAAUACUGAAAGGAGGUCCAUGAAGACAAAUAAUUUGAGUCACAAAACCUUCUACGGCAGUAUUACUAGUAAAAGUCGACGCCAGUGGAAAAGUGACUAUACUUAGAUAAUAUCCAAAACUGUCAUAACGGUGAAUCUUCCUUAUGAACUAGGAAAGAGAGUUAUGAAAUUGAUGGCAAUGUCCUCAAAGAAGCUCUAGGACAGUGGUGACAUGCUGCAACUGGGAAUUAUAAUUUGUACUAUAGACAAGGAUGUCACCGAAAACAACAACCACAAAAUGGCGAAGACAAAGACGAAGUACCUCAUUCAUAAUAGCCUGGAAAGUGGAGGAUGCAUUGGAUAACCCAAAGGGCAUUAGCAAGAACUCAUAGUGGCCCUCAUGAGUUCAAAAAACUGUAUUCAUAAUGUAUCAGGCUGAAAAAGAAUUUGAUGGUAAUACAGACAAUAAGGAACGCUUUGAAAAAUAAUUUUUUCCGUGAAGUAAUGAGAUUCAAAGUAACCAACACAAAAACUCCAUGCACCAUCCUUCUUUGUCUGGUACUUGGUCAAAUAACUCCAUUGUGGAGUAUAUCUGUCACAAGUUGCUCCAUAAUUUGGUUCUAAAAAUAGGGGUAGCAACACGACUUGACAUUUAUGGGCCCGGCCCCAGGCGUUAAAUCUAUAGCAUGAUCCUGGAAUUUCAUAGGUGGUAAGCUGGGGAGCUUUUAGAAAACAUCGGCAAAGGAUUCCAAUAGAGGCGUUAAUAGAAGAGGCUUAUCAAUGAGGGUUGUGUUCGUAGUAUUAGUUAAAUUUAAGCAAUAAAAAUAAGCAAUGGAAUAUGUGGUAGCCAAACAUCACAAACUAUGGAGUUGUACUCAUUGAAGCUCAAUUGGAGAGUCCCCCACCCAAUGAACAGGAGAACAAUUCAUGGAGAAUUCGAAGAUGCGGGCUGCAUAGUCAGUGAUAACUGGUCCCAAUGUUGGUAACCACGAGACAUCCAAAACUACAUCUUACCUAUUAGGAUAUAAAACAUACCGAUCCAUAUGCAAAUCAUACCCCUGAUUGUGCAAAGGAACUCCACGCACAACCCCAUCGCAACAGAGACAUUGGCAGGAAAUCUAGGACUGCAUUCAUCACUAUGUGAAAAUAAUUGGCAGCCCCUACUUGUAUAAAAUAUGCGUACUACCCCAUCCAUAAGGAUUUAAAUUGGAGAACCAUUAAAAAUGCCAAUAAAAUGCAAAGUAGUUGGUAAAUCUCCACCAAACAAAGCUUGAUAUGAAAUAGAAGAAUGAUCUUGUACCUCCAAAAGUUUCAAAUCUUUGGCCAAAACUUCAUAGAUUCGAAUGGUUCAAUCGAAUCUAGAGAUGACUUUGAAUCUUCAGUAAGAAACAAUAAUUAGGGUAGCGCCUAAAAUUUGUGAGAAGGAGAGAAUUUCUCAUCACAAUUGUAGCAUAAGCCUGUCCCACGACGACUAUGUAAUUCAAGAGGGGAUAGAUAUUUGAAGGGUUUCCAAUUCGGGAGUUCAUGUGGUGGUGCAGUAGGGACUAAUGCUAAUGAGGAAGGUUUGAAGGAGUGGUGCAUCAGAGUAGGACUAGGUAAAAUCGGAUUUGUUCUAGCAAAGGUGGGCUGGGUUGACCCUUUCUCAGAGCUCAUCCUCUUUUUAUGCAUAAGGGUCAGAGACAUAUCUCAGUCCAUCUUAGUAGAAUCAUGAUCCACCACUGAUGAUUUAAUUCAGCUCGGAACCCAAAAACCCAAAAAUGUACCAACUAGUACUCACCGAUGGGAGUAGUCUCAUUGGUGAGAGCUUCAAGUCAGCUCCAAUAUUUUGCCAUUGUCGUAAUUUGUUGUAUCUUAGCCAAACAUUUCUCUGUGCAUCUAACUCCCAUUUUAAAUAUCGAUGAACAGAUUUCUUAGCAAUGUGGUCCCAAUUAAUCAACUAAUAAUUUCUAUAUAACCAACGGUACCAUUCGAGAGCUUAGCCAUUGACAUAGUGAAAGGUGUAAGAGGGGGGAAGGUGAAUUGCUCUUUUUCAUUUUUCUUCUUCAAAAAGUUGACUUGUGAGAUUCACUAGUUGACUAUUAGUUCCAAAAGUAAAUACUGAAAAUGAAAGUGCAGAAUAUAAGAUUGACACUAGAUAUUUUUAUACUAGUUAGGACCCAAUGUGGACAUUACACCCAGUCCCCUUGGGCUUCAAAGGUAUUUCCUUCUAGCCUUUUGAAUCUUUGUAAUUAGUACAAGUUUAGAGUAUAGCUCCUAUGACUACACUCAACUUUUUCUUUCUUUUUUUCUUUUGAUACACAGCCUACCAACAAUAUUUUUCUCUCCUCUUUUUUGUUUAUACAGUAAAACUAAGUAGUACAAUGUUUGUUAUAAGUAGAGUAGAGAAUGUGAGAAGAAUCAGACUAGAGGUAUGUCUAAUUCCUUGUCUUUCUUCGAGCUUUUCAUAGAAAGUCAAGACUUGAAUAUUCUUUUUGUGAAGAGAUAGAAACUCAAGAAAAUUAAUCUUCGGAAAGAGGUAAUUGAUAAUCCUUCUAUCCAAGAAUAAAUCAAAGGCUAAUCUUGAGCUCCCUUUUCGUAAUCUUUUCCUUUGAGUGAUAUUGAUAUCGGAAUUUACUCCAUAAUCUUCAGCUUUCCUUUGAGUGAUAUUGAUCUGUGAACUCAAUCCUUGAUGGUUGUAUAUCAUUUCUUGAAAUUUGAUUGUGCCUAGUUGUUUUAGAGUUGUUUUACAGAUCCUUUGUUUGAAGAUUUUGUAGCCGUUUCAGUUCCCUCGAAUAAAAUCAUUAUUGUUGCGUUUAUAGGAUUUGACUCUCAUUAAUUAUGACUCAAGUUUGAUCUUGGUUGAUUCUUUCUUUUAUGCUAAAAGAAUCAUAAUUUUUCAUUAUCACAAUAAUUCUUGCACUAACAAUCUCCCUCUUUUUUAUGAUGUCAAUGUGUAGUAGUGAUACUUCGCUGUUUCUAUAGUCGACUGGUAGAGCUGACUGAGACUUCUUAAGUCCCCCCUUGAAUGGUACAACUAUUUCCACCCCCCCCCCGCGAACUUAUUGUGCCUCGUAGUAGUAUUCCCAUGUGGCUUUUAAGAUAGAGACAGGACAACCUCUAACAAAAGAGUUAGAAACAACACCCUAAUAGCAACAAAUAAAAUAACAGCAACACAUAUUAGUUCAAUAACUUAAUAACUGCAGAUAAUAGUUCAACAACAUUAUAGUUCAGUCAUUCUCCGUCAUUCGCAUCAGCAAAAAGGAAAGAAGAAAACAUAAAAAUAACAACAGUAUUAAAGAGAGGGCAACAAAGCCCUUUAUAAAACCAGCAGAGUAUCAUAAACACAAUAAAGACAAAUAAAUUAGAGAGGGUGCAAGAAGUAGGUAAGCGUGUUGACAAUAGUAGUGGACAUCUCCUCGAACCUGGAGGAAAGAGAGGUAGAAAUGGAUUUAGAGCCUGCCUAGACCUUAGUAGCAAUCUUAAUAACCUUUUUGGCAAUAUAGUUGAGCCUUAGACGAUGCCAGCCACUUCUGCACCAGUCUCUUGGUGACUUCCUUAACAACAUCUAUCUUGAAGUGAGAAGCAAGUAGUACAUCUUUGAGGCAGUCCACCACUUCUCUCAUUGCAGUCACAGAAGACAUAAGGUCGCUUACUUGAGUGACAGAUAUGGUUAGAGCAUCCAAUAUGACAUCUAUAUCAGUUAGCUGAUGUGAGCAUGUGCCACACACAUAUAUAUAUAGAUAGAUAGAUAGAUAGAUAGAUAGAAGAGUGAAGUAGGAGGACGACCAAGAGCAAAAAUGCAAUUUGACGCUAACAAAAAUCUAUCAAGAAAUAUAAUUAAUAAUUCUAGAAACAUCUCUUUAUAUAUUAACUAGAUAAUGAUCAAGGUCAGAAAUAUAAUUUCAUGCUAACAACUCUAUAAAGAAUGAUAACAAAAAAAAUUAAAUAUUUCUAGAAACAUCCUAAGUUAUUGUUAUUACCAUUAACUUAUUUUGUUUAAAGUUCACUUUGUUUUCUUUUAUGAGUUAUUGUGAUAUAUAUUUUAUUAUAACACUUUUUUACUAUUAAUUAACUUUCAUUUAAUUCUAAAUAUUUUUUUCUAUUCAUUAUGCUUAUUAAAAAUGCCUACUUUGUAUAUAAAAAUUUAUCAUGAAUUAAUUAUUUUCAUCGUUAUUUUGGAUCUUAUUAAUAUACUUGAAAAUAAAUAAGUGUGAUAAAAUUAAUAAUAUAUAUUAGAUUGAAAUUAAAGAAAAAUAUGUUGAAAAGUAAAUUUACAAAUAAAAAUGAAUAGGAUGAUAUAUUUGUAUUAAAGACAACUAAGAAUAAAAAUGUAAUUUUGUUUUAAUAAAAUCUAUCAAGAAUAAAUAAUUCUAGAAACAUCUUUCUAUUUAUGAAGUGAUUGAUUCUAGAAACAUCUUUUUAUAUAUGAAGUGAUUCAUGACCAAAUAUAAAAGUUUAAUUCCAUGCAAGUAAAAAUCUACCACAAACAAUAACAAGAAAAUUAAAUAAUUCUAGAAAUAUCUUUAGUUAUUAUUAUUAGUAUUACCUCAUUUUUGUUAUUUCUUCAUUUUAUUAUGAGUUAUUGUGAUAUCUAUUUAUUAUAUGAAAAUAAAUAAAUAAUGAUUACGGUUAACUCUUAAUAAUUAUAUAUCAAGUAUAAUUUUAGGUGGAAUCAAUCAAAACUAAAAUUAAAAUUUUUAUGUAUAUUAAAUUUUGUGUAUUGAAAUAAUUUUUUAAUUUUGUGAUCUUAAGUAUGCUAUAAAAAAAAAACUAAAACUCAGAAGUUAUUUUAUAUUUGAAAGAAAAUAAAGAAUAAGUUCAUAUAAAGCGAAAUGGAUGGAUUCAUAUAUUAAAAAUGAAAUCUAUAUGUGUUAUUAUUAAAAUAAACUUUCUUAAAUUUUUUUUAAAAAAAUCAUUUGACUUCCUUCUAUUAAUUUGGGCAUAUAGUUUUAAAGAUUUGAAUAUUUUAAUAUAGAAAUAUAAAUAUUUGAAAAUUUUAAUUCUUUUUAAUUUCUAAUUUGUUACAUAUUUGAAAAUUACAUAAAAAAAGAGGCUUAAAAACACAAUGUAACAAUUUAAGAUAUUUUUAGAAAAAGAUAGUUAAAAAACAUGAUGAAAUUUGGAGGACUCCCUUAUUUUUAUUGAAAAAAAAAAAGUUACAUAUGAACUAAAAAGUACUAUGAAUCCCAGUAAAAUAACAAUUCAAGAUAGUAAGAAUCAUAUAGGAAAUUUUGUUGACUUUCCUAAAAUCACUUGUAUCACAUAAAAUAAAAUGGAUGUAGUAAUAUAUAUUAUUUGAAAAAUGACAUAAAAGGUACAUAAAUUAAUAAUUUAAAAUAUUUUUUAAAAAAACACAUAAAAAAUUUAGUUUAUUUUUUCACAUUUCAUUUGAGUCACAUAAAUUGAAAGGAAAAAAACUAACAUACGUUGGGCCUGCGCUAGCGUGGGCACCUGAUAUCUAGUGUGUGUGGGUGUGUGCGUCUAUAUAUAUAUAUAUAUAUAUAUAUAUAGAUAUAUAUAUAUAGAUAUAUAUAGAGAGAGAGAGAGAGAGAGAGAGACAGAGAGAGAGUUGAUGAGACCAACUCUUGAAAGAAGAGUGGUUGCAACAAUAUAAGCGAUAGACCUAGUCUCAAAGGAGAGAUCUUUAGGACCAAGAUGGGAAGGACGAGGAUCAAAGGGAUCAAUAACAAGUUCACGCUUGGCCUGAUCAAAGGAGGCAACACACUUAGAAGGUCAAAAUUUUUUAGGAGUAUCCAUGAAAUCCGAACAAGAGAUACCAAAAACGGAAUCAAUUUUUUUGCAGUCGAGAAAGAUAAGCCUACAAAGAACAAAGGAUUCGAUUUCUGCUGCCUUAGGGGAUCGAAGAUUUGCAUAAAAGAGUCGAACUAGAGCUUCAUAAAAUUCCAUCGGAAUGGAGAAGAUAUUGGCCCAACCUUGAAAUUGAAAGAAGGGUUUCAUAAGACAGUCUAACAAGGAGAGAAUAUCAAGGUCGACUACAUUGCCAUGGACAUUGGUUUUUUCUUUCAAGGAAUGGAAAGGAGUUUCAUGGGAAGAUUUCAAGAAAUCUACUUUUUCAUCUAGGGUAUUGUCGAAAUCAAACUUGAACUUCUUCUUCGAGAAGCCAAUGUCAGCAGAGUCUAAGGCCAAGAGAGGAAGCAGCAGAGACUGCAGGCACCAUAUCAUAAGAACUGUUACAAAACGAGACAGAGAAACACAAGAAAACUUGGAGAAUUAAUAAUUAUAUCCGUCAUUCAAUAAAAGAGACGACAACCAUGUUUAUACACAGGAGAUUAAGAGGCAAAAUGAAAUAAACUAUCUAUAAUGUCUAAAUAUAUACUUUACCAUACUUAAUUUAUUUAAAUGUAUACUCUACCUAUACUUAGAAUGUCUAUACAAUAUUUACCAAAUUUUAACAUCCCCUCUCAAACUCAAGAUGGUUUAGAAUAAAUCAGAUUGAGUUUGGCCAGCAGAACUUGGAAACAUCUAGGAAGAUGAGGCUUGGCUAAAACAUUAGUUGGUUGAUCCAAGAACCCAAUAGAAGCUAAUUGAAUGGCACCAAGAUCAAUGUGUUGACGUGUAAAAUGACAAUCAAUCUCAAUAUGCUUUGUACGCUCAUGAAAUACAUAAUUAUGAGCAAUCUGAAUGGCACAUUGAUUAUCACAAUGAAGAGUAGUGGUAGAAGAUUAAGCAACAUUCAUAUCACCCAUUAACAGACGAAGCCAUAAUAUCUCAGCAAGUGUGCGAUAUUCUGAUUUGGUACAAGAUUGGGAUGGUAAGGUUUAUUUCUUUCUUCUCCACAAUAUAAGAGAAUCUCCUAGAAAAGUACAAUAAACUUUAGUAGAACGUCUAUCAAUGGGAUCACGUCCCCAAUCAACAUCAAAAUAUGUUUUUAAUUCAAGAGAAGAAUUGGCUGAAAAGUGAAGUCCAUGUAGCAUAGUACCUUUGACAUAACGAAGAAUCGAAGAACAACAAUAUAAUAAGUAGAGAGAGGUGCAGCCAUGAAUUGAAUAACUAUGUGAACAACAUAAGAAAUAUCUGGGCUGUCAGAUAGAUAAGACUACCUACAAGUGUCCGAUAAAGAGUGGCAUUGAUAAUAAAGUACCAUUGGUUGGUGAAAACUGCACAUUAGGCUCAAGUGGUGUGCUCAAUUUUAUCAUCGCUAAUACUUGCUUUUGAUAAAAAAAAACUAGUAGCAUACUUAAAUUAAGAUAGAGAAACACCAUUAUCAGAUGCGAGAAGUUUGAUGCCCAAGAAAUAGUUGAGAGACCCCAAAUCCUUCCUCUCAAAAUUAGUACUCAGAAAUUCUUUAACCUGUGAUAUAUCAACAAUAUCAUCACCAGUAAUAAUCAUAUCAUCCACAUAAAGAAUGAAAAGAAAAAUACCUUGUAUUGUCUUGCGUACAAAAAGAGAAGUAUCAUGUGGGAUAGAAGAGAAUCUCAAUUUGCACUACGAAGAGGACAUAUUUUAUUUGGAGGAAAAUUGUAUCCAGGUGGAGGUUUCAUAUAAACCUCCUCCUCCAAAUCUCCAUAAGGAAAAGAAUUGUUAACAUCCAUUUGAGAAAGUCUCCACCCUUUAGCUGAUGUAAUAGAAACAAGGGUGCAGAUAGAGGUGACACGAGCUACUGGAGCAAAGGUCUCCUUAUAAUCAAUUCCAUACUCUUGGGUAAAUCCUCGAGAACCUAAUUGAGACUUGUACGUUUCAACAAAGCCAUCAAUUCUUGUCUUGAUCUUAUCAAUCCAUUUGCAAUCAACAAGAUUUUUAUCAAAAGGAGGGUGAACUAAGUCCCAAGUAUGAGUUUUUUCAAAGGCCUGUAACUCUUCUUUCAUAGUGUGCUGCCAACAAGGAUAAUUGGAUGCCUCUUUGUAUGUACCAUGCUCACGUCAAUUAAGUAUGGUAAAAGAACAUUCAUUAUCACAAAGAUAACUAGAAGUAUUUUCUCUCUCUUCAUGAGUGGAUAGAUAAAGUGUUAUCAUGAAGAAGAGAAGUUGAGAGUACCUCAGAAUCAACAUUUCAUAUCAAGAGUGGAACUAUCAAUUAGAGAUUGAUCAUGAGAAUGGGAUGUUGUACCAUUUUCAUGAAUUGGACCAUGAGAUGGGCCUGCAUCAAGGGAAAUAGUUGAACCAUUGGGUGCAAUGUCUAAAUCACUAGAUGAACCUGCAUUAGUAUCACUUAGAAAAAGCUCAACAGACGAAUUAGAAAAGAAUGCCACUUCACUUGAUGGAAUAGACUCAAUUGUUAAUAGUGAGGAAAAUUUAAUAUGUUUUUAGAAGACAACAUGUCGAGAAAUACGAAUACGAUUAGACAUAGGAUCCCAACAAUGGUAACCUUUAUGUUCGAUCCCAUACCCUAGAAAGAAACAAACUCAAGCACUAGAUUCUAAUUUUGUAUGUUCAUGUGGUUGAAGAAGAAUAAAACAAGCAGAGCCAAAUACUUUAAGUAAUGUGUAUUCAGGAGCUACCUUGUGAAGACGUUCAUAAGGAGACAUAUUUCCCAGAACAGAAGAUGGGAGUCUAUUGAUAUUAAAAACUCCUGUAUGAGUUGCCACCCCCAAAAGCUCUUAGAAUAAGAUGAAGAAAUAAUCAUGGCGCGAGCAGAAUUAAGGAUAUGCCUAUGCUUAAUUUCAGCUCGUCCAUUUUGUUGGAAGGUACCGGGAGAAGAGAAUUCACAAAGUGUACCAUUUAAAGAUAAAAAAUUCAAAAGUUUAGAAUCACGAUAUUCCAUGUCACUUUCACGCUGAAAAACAUUGAUAAUUUUACCAAACUGAGCGUUGUACUUUUAGUAGUAUGAUUUAGGUAGCUCGGAGUUUCUUUUUCUCCUUGGUGUAUUAAUAUUUGUUGAUACACUUGUUUCUCACAUUGAUACUAUGUUCUCUCUUUGUCUUUCUUACUUUCAAGCGUUGGUUACAUUUCUUUUGAUCUGAGGGUCUAUCAGAAACAACCUAUCUACGGUAACGUUUGAUUAUAUCGUACCCUCCUUAGAUCCCACUUAUUGAAUUUUAUGGCGAUGUUGUUUAUUUCCUUUUUUUCUUUCUAAGAUUUUGUGUGUAAAGCGAAUGAUAUCUCAAAAUUUACUCUUAGGUUACUAAUCAUAUCUUCCAUGUUAUAUCCUUCAUAGGCAGAAGAUACAUAUGCACGUCAGCCACCUAUGUUGGAUUCAUAUGGGCGAGAUAUUGCUUAUGAGUUUGAUAGGCUUCUGUGUUUGAUUGAUUAGAUGGUAGUUAUGAUGUAUUGUGUUAAGUAUGGAAUGGUUUUGGUACGUUUGGUAUUGAUAGAUUGAGUUCUGGCACAAAACUUGAUGAGCGUUGAGAACAUGAAUGGUUUAUGUUAAGUGCUCAUGAACCUAUGCACCCCUUCCUGGAUUAUGUGAAGUACUUGUGAACCAACUUAUGCAUCCUUCUCUAGAUUAUGUAGAAAGCACUACAAUUACUUUUAAAUUAUUUAAAUUUUAUAUGGAAACAAGACUAAAAUUUGAAAUAUCCAUCUCCAAAAUUUUCUUUGUUUGAAUCUUUAGAAACACUACAAACAAAAGUCACAUUUUUUCCUCAAAAAAAUUAUGAUCGCUCUUUUUAGUAUUUCUUUCAAUUUAUUUUUCUGAAUAGUAAAGUGUGUUUCCUUAAAUAAUGAUGAUAUUUUAAUCAUUUUAAAAUAUAAAAUUUAAUAAGAACUAUUAUAAGCUGAUUUUUCUUUUGUGAUAAAACUAUUAAGCAGAGUCAUUGUUUUGGAAAACUUUUAUAGCAUUAGACCUCACGAUUGCUAGUAUUGUGCACUCAUUUACUUGCACUCUUGGAAAUGCCUCGAGGCUUAUAUUGAGGAAAAGGUUAGACAUGGUUGAGGAACAAUUUAGAGAAGAUUGAAACGCAUUCAAAAAUUAUGGAGACAGUAUUGGCUAAGAUUAACACAUAAAAAGGAAUUAUUUGAUAGGGAUAUGAACUCCUCGUGAAUAUGUACACAUAAUCGACUAAAGAGGAAACAUAAAGUUGUUGAAAAAAUAUGAUUAAUGGCUAUUCCUUGAGAUUUAUACUUAGCACCAAGAUGAUAUUUAGAUGGAAGGUCUCUCCUUAGUUGAGGUUGGGUUUCAAAUAGUGAUCUUCGUAUCAAAUAACUUUGUGCCACCAUAUGUUGUCUUAGAUAGGCAUUAACUUGUGGAUCUAGUUUAGCUUAAGAUUUAUUGUUCUUACCUUGGUAAUUAAGGAAAUAACUCUUCAAUAUAGGAUAGACAUUGGAUUCCAUGUUAUAUCUUACAUGGUCUAUGUCAGUUAAAGGUAAGCUUCCCACAAUAAUUAUCACGCUUGAGCCUACACCCUAGACAUGACCGAUACUCAAGAACCCUUUUUGGCCCCAAGCAAAUCCUUGGCAUGGAUCAACUCUUAGUGAAAGACGUGAUCAAUACAAGAUAAGCUCAAAUAUCAAGCUUUAACUCUAAAGUCUCAAAUCAUUAAUUUAUAAUAUAAUAGAAUAUUCUACUAGAAAGAAAUAGGAAAUUCACAUCUUUAAAACAUUCAAUAAAAGAAAGCGAAACAAACUUCUCAAACUCUACUAUCUAUCUAUGAAGCCUCUCAAUGGAAAAUAUGGAAGUCGGAAUAAGACCCACGAUAGCCUAUCAAAACUGAAAAAGUAACUAGAAUACUCUGGAAGCAAGCAGGCUAACCAAAGAUAGAAUUGUUGUGGUAUCAAUGAAGAGCCUAUUGAUGACCAUAAUCUCCACUAUAUGCAUCAUGAAAUGAUGCAGGCCAAAGGACAUCAGUACAUUGAAUGUACGAACAUGUAAAGUGACAUUGUAACAAAACAUUAAGCUUGAACCUAGAAAGAAGGAAACAUACUCACCUCAACUCUACUCAACUCAAUGUGAACUUAUGGAUACUCAACUCAAUACAGUAUGAAAACAACAAUCAAGACGCAAUUUAUAUAAAAUAUUUAAAAAGUAGAUAAAAACUCAAUGUAUUUAAAGUAUAAUAAUAAUUCUUAUUUGGGAUAUUCUCUAAAAGACAACCAUCACUAUGAGCUACGUGAUGAUACAUCGUCUCACCCACGUUGUAAGAACUAUAUUAUACGUUGUGGAAGUAUUAGACAUCCUCAACUAAGUGGCUUUACUAAGAUAUGCUUAUAAGAAAUAAAGACAUAUCUAAAAACUAUGACCCUUUUUAUCCACGUUGGGUACAUGAGGACUUUGGAUUGUUUGAAUUCAUUCCCAUACCGGUACUUGAUACUAGUACCAAUAAUAUAACUCAACUCAUAUGUUUAGAAACAUUUCCUUAUUCCAAACUUCUCCUAAUCCUCAUACUCGAGUACUCGAGUUUUAAAAUAAGUUUUAAGAUAUUGCAAAAGACGUCACAAAAUAACUCGAAAGAACUCUCAAGACUUUACUCUUAACACUAUCUUGAAUUUAAAUUAUGACUUGAAUGGUUAUAAUUUAUGUUAUUAAGGAUCUCUCGAUGUUUAUAUGUAUUUUAGAGUAGGUAGAAUCAGAAAGGAGUCAAGGUACACUUUAAAAAAACUGAGAGGGGGCAGGAGACCGUGCGCCAGAACUUCAGAGGGCUCAUUUUGGCGCACUGCAGGGGAGGCGUGCCAGCUCCUUGGCUCAUCAGUUAUGCGUCAAGCCACCCAUUCCCAAAAAAACCUGGAAAAUUUUUCUACUCAUUUUUUAACCCUAAUUUGACUAGAAUCGAUUGCUUUCCUCAAAUUUUACUUAUUAAUUACCCAAUACUAGUGCACAAGAAUCUACCCAUUUUUCCUCAAGGCUUGAUGAGCGUUGAGAACAUGAAUGGUUAUGUAAAGUGUUUUUGAUCCCAUGCACCCCUCCCUGGAUUAUGUAAAGUACUAUUGCACUUAUGCAUCCUUCCCUACAUUAUGUAGAAUGCACUGCAAUUAUUUUGAUAAAUUACUUAGAUUUUAUGUGGGAACCAGACUAAAAUUUGAAUUAUCCAUCACCAAUUUUUUAUUUAUUAGGAUCUAUAGCAACACUACAAACAAAAGUCACACUUUUUCCUCAAAAAACUUAUGGUCUCUCUUGUUAGUAUUUUAUUCAAUUUAUUUCUCUGAUUCGUAAAGUGUAUUCCCUUAAAUAACAAAAAUAUUUUAACCUUACCCUCAUAAAAGAUAAACUUCAGCACAACACUUUAAAAUGUGUCUUUCUUGGUUAUUCUUGUCAAGAAAAAGGUUACAAAUACUUUGAUCCCUCUAACAAUAAGUACAUGAUCUCUGCACAUGGUACUUUUUUCGAGACUUCUCUGUAUUGUCCUUCUAAUACGGAAAAUCAACAGGCCAUAUCAGUCCUUCCCAUUCUAAGUAUUCCAACCCCAAACCCACCUCCAGAUCUUAAGGUCUAUUCCCAAUGACUUUAAUCUCUUGCUGAACUUGUUAAUCCAGUUGGUAUUUGUAACUCUUAUAUAGGUGCAAAAAGCAAUAUUGGUGACUCAUUACCUACUCAAACAAUUUCUUCUGAUUCGGUCAAGGACUAAUGUGAUGAUAUUCCCAUUUCUCUUCAAAAAGGUACUAGAAUGACUGUCAAUCAGACUCCCAAUUAUUCUUAUUUAAGUUAUCAUCGUUUUUCACCUUCAUAUUAUGCCUUCCUUACUAGCUUUUCAUCAGUCAAAGUUUCUAUGACUGUGACAGAAGCACUGUUUCAUCCAGGUUUACAUCAAGAUAUGAUUGAAGAGAUGAUUGCUUUGCAUGAUAAUGGUACUUGGGAUCUUCCUCCUUAACCCAAAGGAAAAACCAAAUUUUGUCGUCAUUGGGUAUUCGUAGUUAAGGUAGGUUCAGAUUGAGCUAUUGAUCGUCUCAAAGCAAAGACUGGUUGCUAAGGGAUACACUAAGGUUUAUGGCAUCAAUUAUGUAGAUACAUUCUCACAAGUUUUCAAGAUGGCUUAUGUCCGUCUUCUCAUCCUUAUGGAAGCAAUGAGUCAUCGUCCCCUUUUUCAGUUGAAAUUAAAAAUGCAUUCCUACAUAGAGAGCUUUCGGAAGGGGUAUAUAUGGAGAAACCACCAGGGUUUAUUGCUUAGGAGGGAGACUAGACUAGUUUGUGAACUUUGUCAAUCCCUUUAUCGUCUUAAGAAGUCUCCCAGAGCAUGGUUAAGUAAUUUUUUAGAUGUUUUCCAAUAUUUUUGAAUGAUCCGAAUAGAAGUAAUCACUUGGUAUUCUAUAUGCAUUCAUUUCAUGGCAAUCUUUUUAAUUGUUUAUAUUGAUGAUAUUGUUAUCACAUGAGAUGAUUAGAUGGUUCACUUUACGUUUUUUGUUCUAAUUGGAGGAAAUCUAAUAUCAUGGAAAAGUAAAAAGCAAGUUGCAUAACUCGAUCAAGCGCAGAGGCAGAAUAUCGAGCUAUGGAACUAGAUACAUGUGAGCUUAUAUGUUUUAGACAACUUAUCCAAGAAUUGAAGAUGUGUGGAGUUGAUCCAAAGACAUUCAUUUAUGAUAACCAAGUUUCACUACAUAUCACUUCUAAUGCAAUGUUCCAUGAAAUAAAUUGUCACGUAACCGGAGAGAAGAUUGAGUACAAAUACAUCACAACAAGUUUUGUCAACUCAAAAGAUCAUCUGGCAGAUAUUUUCACAAAAUCACUUCAAGGAUCCAGAAUUUACUAUAUUUGUGGAAACUAGUAUCAUAUGACAUAUACAUUCCAGCUUCAGGGGAGUGCUAAUUAUGGUAUUUUUGGAUAGUGAAGAUAUUUUAAUCUUCAAAUAUGGUAUGAUUAAAUAAUAUAGAUAUGAGGAUAUUCCAUAAAUAUCUUUAAUAAGGUAGUUAGGAGAUUGGGUAAUAUUUUAUUAUCUUCUUUCCUUAUUUACACUAUCUGUAACAGUUAUUUAACCCCAUCAAAAUGAGGGAAUUAUCAAUCAAUUCAAUUCCCAAUAUCCCUUUGAAUUCACAUUAUUUUUAAUAUGUAAGCAUGUAUCUAUUUGCAUUUAUUCCUCUUCAUCCGCAUUCUUCGCCUGUUACUCUGUUCAAUUGAUUGAACUUCUCUUAAUGGCAUGAACAAGUCCAGUUUCACUUAGGUGUGAUGGAUCUUGAUUUGGCUCUGCUGAAUGACACACCUACUGCUAUUAUUGAUAAGAUCAAUGAGGAUGAGAAGUCUUUUUCAUAAAUAAUGAAUACGUUAUAAUAGACUGAGUCUUAUGUUCAUGCGAAUGACUGCUGCUAACAACAUUAAUAGUACUAUUUCACAAACAAAAUGUUUCAAGAAAUACCUUAAGAUUGUAAGAGAAUGUUUUUGUUCUGCUGAUCUCUGGUACACUAAUGGCUAAAUUCAGGACCAUGAAGUUUGAUGGAUCAUGUACUAUGCAAAAUCAUAUCACGGAGAUGACUAACAUUGCAGCAAGACCUUGGACUUCGUGAUGAAAGUGGAUGACACCUUCUUAGAUUAGUUUUUUAUGAACUCAUUGCCUCUUGAGUAUGGACCAUUCAAAAUUAACUAUAACAAUAUUAAGGAUAAGUAAGAUAUUCGUGAAUUGUCCAUAUGUUUAUUCAAGAGGAAUCAAGACUUAAAAGGAGGUCAUUUUAUUAACCUAGUGGGUCAAGGAGCUGGUAAAGAACUUAAAGUGAAAGCCAAGAAUUUUAAGAAAAAUAAAGCACCUGCUAAAGUUUCACAAGAUGCUUAUAAGGAACUUAAGGCUGAUGUAUGUCGUUUCUGUAAAAAGGAAGGACACUAUCUCAAAGAUUGCCUGAAAUGUAAAGCUUGUUUUGAAAAGAAAGGUACAUUUAGUGCCUUUGUAUGUUUCGAAUCAAAUUUAGUAGAAGUUUCUAUAAUAUUUGGUGUCUUGAUUCUGUUGCAACUACUCAUGUAUCUACUAUGUUGCAGGGAUUCACUACGUUCCAAAUUACGAAUCCAAAUAAAAAAAUUCUUGUUCAUGGGAAAUCGCAUGAAGGCUAAAAUUGAAGGCAUAGGAACUUAUGUUUGAUCUUGGAGACUGUACAUCACCUUGAUUUAACGGACUCUUUAUGUUCCUUUAAUUUCUAGGAAUUUGAUUUCUUUUUCAAGACUCAAUGUUUCUUGAUUUGAUUUUACGUUUGGACAUGGCUUUUUAAAUUUAUAUAAGAAUACUAUUUUUAUGGUUCUGGUGUUUUUUGAUGGUUUAUAUAAAUUUAAGCUGAAUUAUAAUUAGACGUGGUUCAUUGAAUGAAAAUUUUGCUUAUUUAUGACUUUGUGGCAUAAACAUUUCAGUCAUGUAUCCAAAGAAAUAUUAAAAAGGUUAGUAAAGAAUUAAAUUCUUCCUAAUCUUAAUUUUAUUGAUCUUAAUAUAUGUUUGGAUUGCAUUAAAGGAAAAUAAACCAAGCAUACCAAAAAAGGUGCCACACGGAGCACUCAACUUCUUGUAAUUAUACACAUAUUUGUGGACCCUUUUAUGUUCCAUAUUUUGGUGGGGAAAAAUAUUUUAUUACCUUUAUCGAUUUUUCACAUUAUGGAUUUAUCUAUUUUCUGAGAGAAAAAAAGUCAAACAGCGGACGCUCUAAAAGUGUACGUUAAAGAGCUUGAAAGACAAUUAGAUAAGAAAGUGAAAAUCAUUAAGUCAGAUAGAGGUAGUAAAUAUUAUGAAAAUUCUAAUUAAUCAAAACAAUGUCUAGGUCUAUUUGAAAAAUUUCUUGAAAAUGGUGAAGUUGGUGGGAGUGUUGAACAGCAAAGUUUGGAAAUUAAUGAGGUAAGGGUUAAUAUUUCAUUUCACAUGAAUGUAGUUAGAGUCGUCAAUAUGGGCUUGGCCUAUUGGUUCGGCCUUUCCUAACCCGGGAUUUAAUAGGGUUAGGCAAUGAUUUUUGGAGCCUAUUUGCGAAAAGGGAUUUUUAACCCGACCUGAAUAAGUCAACUUAUUUGUGGGGCUUGAGAAAAUCGAUAAGGUCGGCCCGUGGGCCAAUGAAAAUUAACUAAAGAUAUAGUAUAUUAUUAAAACUUAAAAUUAAAUAGAGUCCAAACUCAAAACAAUUAGAUUAAUAUUUCUAUUUAGAUAUUUAUACUUUUACUUGAAAAAAAAAUCUUAAUAAGCAUUAUAAAGUAAAUUUUAUUUGUGGAUUUGAUUAAAAAAAAGUAACAUUAACAUCAUGUAAUAUUGUUUUGUCGAUAUUUAUGAUAAUAUUUUUAAAGUAUAAUUUAUAGUUUAAUUUAAUAAUUCUAAAAAGAAUAUAAUAUUUUGAAAAGUGUGUUGGGCUGGCAAGCAUGUAGCCAUGUACUUGUGAGUUAGACCGGCCAUUUUCGGGCCCACACCGAAAUUGGUUAGCCUGGACUGACCCGUAAAAUGUUGAAGCCUGUAUGGGUUAGCCCGAAUGGGGUGGGCUAGCCCAUAUUGACAACUCUAAAUGUACCUACUUCCUCACCAAUCACAAAUGUUGUUCCUCUUGUUGGAGAAUACUUUAACAAUGUUCAACGGCAUUUGGGUGAACACUUAAAGAAGAAAAUAACUCACAAGUAUCUGAUGCAUAUGAACCACAAACAAUGUUAGAAAGAAAAUCGUCCAUUUCAGAUCAUAAUGUGAUUUAUUUGUAAGAGUCAGAUUUUGACAAUGAAAUAAAUAAGGAUUUGAUUUCAUUUUCACAUGACAUAGAAAACAAUGAGUAUGAUAAAUGGAUUGAUACCAUGAAGAUUUAAAAUCCAUGGAAUACAAUAAAGUCUGGGAUCUCAUUCAAUUACCAGAAAGUUCUAAAAUAAUCAAGUGGAGAUGGGUCCUAAAGAAAAAACCCGAUUAGAAUGGUAAUAUUGAACGAUAUAAAGCCAAACUUGUUGUCGAGGGAUACACUAAAAAAAGAGGCAUUGAUCAUAAAUUGAUCUUUCACUGAUUUCAAAGAAAGACUCAUUAAGAAUUAUUUUGACUUUUAGUCUUGUAUGUUGAUGACAUUUUACUUUUAGUGGGAGUAAGUUAAAUUUUUUAGUCUUGUAUGUUAAUGACAUUUUACUUGCUGCUAAUGAUUUUGACAUAUUGCAUGAGAGAAAAGACUUUCUCUCUGUGAACUUUGAAAUGGAAAAUACGGGUGAGACAUCCUAUGUGAUAGGGAUAGAAAUAUUCAAUGAUACAUCACAAGGAUUAUUGGAACUGUCUCAAAAAGGCUUUUAUAAAAAGAGUUCAGGGGAGAUUUAAUAUGUUCAGCAGGAAUAGUUCCUAUUAAAAAGGGAACAAAUUUAAUCUUAUGUGAUGCCCCAAGAAUGAUGUAGAAUGAAAGGAAAUGAUCUCAAUUCCUUAAUCUUCUACUGUUGGAAGUUAGAUGUAUGUUCAAACUUGCACAAGACCGUAUAUUAGCUUUGUGGUUGGAAUGCUAGGAAGAUAUCAAAGUAUUCGUGGAAUUGAUCACCAAAAACAUGCAAAGAAAUUCUAUGGCACUUUAUGAAGCCACAAUUUAUAUCUUAUGACGGCACUUGAGAUUGUUGACACCACUACCAAGCUGAAAGUUAUUUUAAUAAUGCAACAAUGUUCUUCGCCACGAAUGAUAAGUACUCCAAUUGUGCCAAACAUAUGAAAUCAUGUACUUUACUGUCAAGGAAGAAAUUCUGAAAAAGAGUGUUACUUAAGAAUAGAAUUGAUCUCAUGAUUUCAAAUCUUUUAGAAAAAUGCUUACAACCAAAGAUAUUUAAAGAACAUGCUCAAAGAAUAGGUCUUGGUUGUACUUAUGAUUGAUACAUUUAUGAUGUUUUACACUAGCUCAAAUUAUGUGUUUCUUAUAUACUUUAAUGAACAUCUUGUUUCUCAUAAUGGUGUACACAUUAUUGUUAUCACAAGGUAUGUCUAUACGAGACAUUAUUGUGGCCCAUAAAAUGUUAUAUGUUUUAUAGCUUAUGGACCUAGUAUGAUAAGUUGCUAAUGUAGCAUUAUGGAAGGAAGUAUGUAUAGCUUAAAAUUUAUGUACAACCGCCAUAACUCGCAUUAGUAGUUUGUUAUGUUGUGGUAUGUAUGAUGGAUAUUAUAGAAGAGAUUUAUUGUGUGCGCAACUAAUGUUCAUUAAAUAUUAAUGUCAUUGGGUGAAGUGGGAGAAUGUAAGAAUUAUUAUUUUUUAUUUCUUACUUAUGACCCAAGUUUACAUGUAAUCCAAGUAAUACCACAAAUAAUAUUUAAUAAGGAAUAGUCGCGUUUGUACGUUGGCUACUUGAUAGACGUACCAAAUUAAGUCAUGACUUCUAUAAAUUGAUCCUCCCUCAACCCAUUAGGGUUACCACAUAUUCUCUACAAUAAUUCUAUCGUUGACUGUUGUGGUAACAUAAAUUUAGGGCAACAAGGUAGAAAUCAAUUUAAGACUAACACUUACUUUUUUCUAUGUGAUGAUGUCUUCCUCAUCAAGUAUGUGCCCUUAACAAUCUCUAUGUAAAAUUAUCGUGUUCAAGAUCCUGAUAUUACGUUAUAAAGUAUUUAAUCUUACAAUGUGACCAUCAAACUUCUUUGCAAUAAGUAUAUUGAUUCUGUUAAUGUCCUGUGAUGUACUAAUGUGAUCAACUUCUUCGUUAACUAUAUAUGUAAUUCAUUAAUUUUCAAGAUACAAACCAGGGAUAAAGCUCAAACAUAUGGAAAAUGUCCAUUUGUCCAGAUUUGUUUUAAUGGUAUGUAAAUAGUAUGUAUUACUUAUAAAUUUGUAGUUUAAUAUUUUUUGCAUGUAUAAGUAGAGAAUAUUUUAGAUUGUUUUCUUUUAUUAUUAGGGUCUUUCUAAUAUUUCAUUUCUUUAAUAGGGAAAGCAUGACAAGAAGGUCAUAUGUUAUUAGAAUAACAAUAUUAAUAUAUGUAGAUUGUGACAAAGGAUUGCUAGAGUUACGUUGAUACAUUCACGAUAUUGUCAUAUGUUAAUAUCAAGUUUUUCUUCUUGAUUGAAGGGUAAACCUUUCACCUGAUAUUUUAUAUAACUAAAAUCUUUACGAAAUAUUGAGUUGUUUAAUUUUGCAAGUUUACACUAUAUCUAAUCACUCGUUCAAAAAAGAAGUAAUUUUAUAAAUCUAUUUGCUCAUCAAUUUCAGUUUGUAUUCUUAUUGCUUAAAACUUUACGUUUGUAUUGCAGUAAUUAGUAUGAUUUACAGUGUACGAGUAUGCACUACAUGGCUUAUACGUGCAAUGCGCGUGAAGUGUGAAGUUUCAAAGUGCAGAAUUUUACUGACCCUAUAACCAUUAAUUAGGUGACUUAUAUUCAUUGACACAAAAAAAGUGCAGAAUUUUAAAACUAUCAUCAUUAGGUGAUAAAAUAUAUAUUAUUUUAUAUUACAUUAAGUGAUAAUAUUAUCCAUUUAAUUGGCCAGAAUUUGGCCAGAUAUUUUUAAAAAACUGUAAUAUAUUAUUUAUUUUAAAAUAAGAUGGUCUUUUUUUCAUUUUUUAGUUAAAAUGUAUUAAAUUUUAAAGCGUAAAAAUAUUUAAAAAGAUAAAAUAACAUCAAUAAAAUACCAAUUUUUUUCACCAAAAGGAUUUUUCAUAUGUUUUUUCUGUAAAUCAGAUUUUGUCUUCCUCAAAUUUAGAGACCGACUCAAUGAUCUUCUUUAAAGUAAAUCUCAUAAACAAUUUUUAUUUUGUUUCCUUUAUCCAAUUUCAGGUGAAAUUCAGUACAAAGAUGUAUAUUUUAUUUUAUGUUAAUAAAUUUUGUUUUCUUAUUUUUUUCAGUAUCUUUCAUUAUUUAAUAGUAAAGUACUGCUUGAACUAAGGUUACAACUUGUCACAUCCCGAGCCUACACAGUGGUUUAUGACCGGUACUCAAUGACCAUUGCUGAUCUUGUGUGGACCCUUGUCCUGACUUGCUUAACUCAGCGGAAGACAACAAUCAAUAUUAUAAUGCUCAAAAGAACUGAACUAAACUGAAUAAUAAGAUAACUGGAAAGUUUUAAAGAUUUAAACAUUCAACUUGGCAAAAGUAGCAACCCAAGUCAUUAACAUAAGAAUGGUAAAGUAAAAAAUAUUGAACUACUAAUUGUCUAUCUAUGUAGCCUUCUAAAACUGUGAUGGAUACUGGGACAGACCCCCCAACAUCCUAUAAAAAGAGACUGCAAACAAUAAAUGUGUUCUCCAUAAUGCAAGGAGUCUUAUCAUUGACUCCGAGUGCUCAGAUAGAUCAACGAGGCGCGGGAUGAUACUGAUUUUGGUUACCUUCAUCUGCUUCAUCAUACGUGCAGGCGAACUAAUAUCACUACAUUGAAUGUACGAGUAUGCGAGUUGAAAUUCUAAACAACAUAGGCUAGAAAAAGAGUCGAAAGAAACACUUACAUUAGCUCUGUUCAACUCAUGAAUAACAUAACCAAAUAAUACUUACUCAUUUCAAUGUAAACUAAAUUUAAAACAUAUGUAAUAUGACGAAAAAAAUUGUUUGGAAACAUGUUGUGAGUUCUCAAUGUAUAUAAGAAUACUAUAAUUCAUAUAUGUAUGUAAAAUACAUGUAAAUUGAUGUAUAUAACCGUGGGAGUUUGUAUAAUCAAUAAACAUCAUUUAAGAGCUACAAUGAUGAUACAACGAUCUAUCUCACACUGCUAGUGCAUCCUAUAUCCGGCCAAUGGUAUAAGACCUGAACUGCUUAAUCGAUCCACUAGUCUACUUUGAAAAGGGUUCAUCUAAAAAGUAUGACCCUUUUCUACAAUAGUGGCUACAUGGUCUAUGUGGCUUGUGAGUUUUCUCAACUAUCCCCCAUAUCGGUGCACAAUGGUACUCCCAAAAAAUAUUGGCUCUUAUGUUCUAAAAACAUAUUGAUUCUGUUGUUUGAGAUUAGUUCUCAAAAUACUUAGCUCAAAGACUAUCUUGGGAAUAUCAAAUUCUUUAAUUGCUUCAGUUAGAAAACUAUUUCUCUUUUAACUGAAAACUAGCCCGGAAGCACUUUGAAAAUUUCAAUUUCCCUUCUAUUUAAAUGUGAAAACAUUUUAAGUUCUUUUGAGAAUACUUAGUUCUCAUAUACUGCUUUGAAGGAAUACUUCACUUUACUUUAAACUGAACCAGAGCUUAAGUCUUAAAACGACACUUGAAACGUUUUUGAGAGACUUAUGAAAACUUCAAAUGAACUUCUCUUUCUUAUAUUAGUCCUUAAUCAAACUGAUCGUUAAUUCUUAAAACAAGCUUAGAGUAUUUGAAAUAACUUCAUGCAAGGACUUAAGGAAAUCUCUAGACUUGACUCUAAUUUGAAAAUACCUUAUAGAGGCUUAAUCGAACUGAACUACGAAAAUUGGGCGAAGAACACCGAUUUGAGCGCAUUCGGGUAUGUCACGCAAUAUCCAUAGGUCUGAGGCACCAUUCUGGCACAGUAUAGGCACACCUCCCUAGGCCUUGUAGCGCAAAUGGGGUGCGCCACUCCUGAUGCUGCCCAGAUGCAUCUGACAAUUUUCUUAUCUCGUUUUCUGAUUCUAAAUCGCUUAUAUCUCCAUAGUUCUUUUUCCAAACCCUUAGGAUUAUUAGUAUCUUCAAUACACAAUAUAGAAAAAUCGAAAAAAAAACAUAAUUACGAAUCAACUUAACAAUAGGCAAUCAACAACUCAAACGAUAAAAUAUUUAACCAUGUCUUUCAAGAACUUCACUAUUCUCAUUCAACCAAUUCAAAAACCAAAGGAUUGAAGCAAGAUUGGACUGUAGGUGAACUGACCCAACACUAAAAUAUCUCACAUACCUUGAUAUGGAUUACCCCCGAUGAAUUCCACUCGCAAACCUUGGCGUUCUUGGCGAAUCGUUGGCUUUUUCUCAAUUUCAUCUUUUUUUCUCUCUUCUCCAAGCCCUAAGAGUGAUUUUGUUUUUUUUUCUAAUUUGAACUAAAACAUAAUUUUUACCCUAAAUAAAUCCUAAAAUUAAAUUGGAAAUUAAUUGAUAAAAAAAGUAGUUUGCCCUUCCUUAAAUGUGGAUUGGGACUUUCUUUACUUCAACAACCCAAUUUCUGAUAGGCAUAUUUGUCUGAUACGAUAUCGAAAAUGUUCAAACUCUGCAGCAUUGGAAAGAUAUCUCCAAGGGUUUUCCAACCAUAUCACUACUACCUCUAAUUCAUCAUGUGCUAGAAGUUAUGUCCAUUUGAAAAUGAUCAACACUCGCUCCAAAGUAGGCAAUUUUUUUAGAUUUUUCCCUUUCUUUCCAAAAAUGAAUAUUUUUAGUUUCUUAGCUAUUUCAAUUUGUGAGAAGUUACAAUAUCGCCCCCUUUGGAACAUUCGUCCUUGAAUGAGAUUUCUUUCACUAAGAUAAGGAUAGUAACAUCAAGUUCAAUACUCAACAAACAAAUGCAAGUAAGCACAUGCUUACUCAUAAUUUAUAAAGUACUAAGAAGAGAACUAGUACCUUGAUCUAUAUUCUCUAUGGAUUCAAAGAUAUGUGGAUAUCUCUACUUAUAUGCUCUUCAGGUUCCCAAGUCGCUUCUUCAACAAAUUGGUUCAUCCAAAGAACCUUGACUGAUGCAACCUCCUUUGUUUUCAACUUCCAAACUUGACGGUCUAAGAUCUGAACUAGAAUCUCCUCAUAGGAUAAGCUAUCCUUAAUCCCAAUAUUUUUAGUUGGCAUGAUCAAAUAUCGAUCGCCCAUGCACUUUUUCAAUAUGGAGAUGUGAAACACCGGAUGAACUAUUGUUAACUCUAGUGGUAGCUCCAACUUAUAAGUUACUGUCCAUCCUUUUGUCUAAGCAAUAAGGUGCAAUAUAUGGAGGGGGGGGGACUAAGUUUCCCCUUCUUACCGAACCUCAUAACACCCUUCAUGGGUGAAACCUUCAAGUAUACCCAAUCAUCCACUUCUAACUCCAAUAGCAUUAUCCUAACAUUUGUGUAGGAUAUUUGACGAAUCUAUGCCAUUUUUAAUCUCUCUUGAAUCACCUUCAUCUUCUCCAUCGUUUGGUGAACUAGAUCCGGUCCUAUAAACCCUGCUUCAACAAUUUCAAACCACCCAAUAUGAGAUCUGCCUCUUCUCUCAUAAAGAGCUUCAUAUGGAUCCAUUUGGAUGCUCGAAUGUAACUGUUGUUGUAAGAGAACUCAAUGAGUGGUAGGUGAUCAUCCCAAUUCCCCUUGAAAUCAAUCACACAAGCGCUCAACAUAUUUUCUAAGGUAUGGAUAGUACGCUCUUUUUUCUCAUCCGUCCGAGGUUGAAAAGCAGUGCUUAAGUUCACCUUCAAACCCAAACCUUUCUGGAAAGAUUUCCAGAAUUGUGCAGUAAAUUGUGCAACUCUAUCUUAAAUAAUUAAAACAGGGACUCCAUGAAGUCUCACCACUUACUAAAUAUAUAGUUUUGCAUAAUCCUCUACCGAAUGAGUGGUCUAUACGGCCAAGAAGUGGGACGAUUUUGUCAUUCUAUCGACAAUCACACAAAUUGAAUCAUGUUUCCUGCGAGACCUUGGUAACCUGUGAUGAAGUCCAUAUUAAUCAUCUCCUACUUCCAUUCUGGAAGUUCUAUAUUCUAAGACAACCCUCCUGGCCUUUUGUGCUUAACUUUUACUUGUUGGCAAUAUAGGCACUUGGAAACAAAUUUGGUAAUACCCUUCUUCAUACCAUUCCACUAAUAUAUUUCUCUCAAAUUACGGUACAUCUUUGUGGAACUCGGAUGAUGGAAUAUAUGGAGCUAUGAGAUUCCUCCAUGAUCAUCUUUUGGAGUCCAUCCACCAUAUGUACACACGAUCUACCUUGAUUUCUCAAUACACCAUCUCCCCCUUGUUCAAAACCUAAUACUCUUUGCUUAUGAACAUUUGCCUUCAAUUCAAGCAAAAUGGGAUCUUGGUCUUGAUUUUCUUUUACUCCUUAAAUUAAUUAUGACUCAGCCCCAUUCAUCACCACUAUCCCUCCUUAUCUAGAAUCCAUGAGUAGGACUCCUAGGCGUGUAUGUAUAUGCACUUAUUUCGCUAGUUCCUUAUUCUCUUCCUCAAGAUGGGUGGUACUACCCAAAGACAACCUUCUUAAGGCAUCAGCAAAAAUGUUAGUCUUACUUUGGUGGAAAAGAAUGUGCAUGUCAUAAUCUUUGAGAAAUUCCAACCAUCUACUUUAUCUGAUAUUAAGCUCUCUCUAAGGGAACACAUAUUGCAAGCUCUUGGGAUCAGUGAAGACAUCCACAUGAACAUUCUACAAAUAGUGGCGCCAUAUCUUCAAGGUGAAUACAAUAGCUGCCAACUAAAAGCCAUGGGUUGGAUAAUUUUUCUCAUAAACCUUCAACUUUCUGGAGGCAUAAGCUAUAACCUUGUAAUUCUGCAUUAACACGCAACCCAAAACAACUCUAUAUGCAUCACAAUCCAUCACAGAACCUUGAGUACCUUCUAGUAAGGUCAAGAUUGGAUCAAUAGUUGAUCUCUUCUUCAAUUCAUGGAAGCUUUUCUCACAAGUUUCAGACCAUUGAAACUUAAAUGAUCUUUGACUCAACCUGGUCAAAGGAGACGAGAUAGAUGAAAAACACUCAACAGACCUUCUACAGUAGCCAACCAAACCCAUGAAACUCCAUAUAUAAGUUGGAGACGUGGGUCUAGGACAACUCUGAACUGCUUCUAUCUUUUGGGUAUCAACUCUAAUCCAAUCCCAAAAACUAUGUGGCCCAAGAAUUCCACAAACUUAAGACAAAAUUCUCAUUUUGAGAACUUGACAUAUAACUCCUUAUCGUUCAAAGUCGAAAGGACUAUUUGGAGGUGACUAGCAGGAUCUUCUUCUUUCCUUGAAUAAAUUAAUAUGUCCACAAUAAGGACGAUAAAAAACAUAUCUAAAUAAGGUUUGAAGACGAUUACAUACAUAUCUAAAUAACGUUUGAAAACUCUAUUCAUAAGAUCCAUGAAUGUUGCACGUACAUUGGUUAACUUUAAGGACAUGAACAAAAGCUUAUAAUGCCCAUAUCUAGUUUCAAAAUCUGUCUUUGGAAUAUCACAUUCCACAACUAUUUAUUGAUGGUAAUCUGAUCUUAGAUCAAUUUUAAAGAAGCAGGAAACACCGUGAAGCUGAUCGAAAAGAUCAUCUAUCCUAGGAAAAUGAUACUUAUUCUAGGUGGUAACAUUAUUUAAUUGACAGUAAUCUAUACGCAUCCUAAGGGAACUAUCCUUAUUUCUCACAAAAAGACUGGAGCGCCCCACUGUUAGACAUUUGGUUAAAUUUAACCCUUAUCUAACAAAUCUUUCAACUGUUCUUUCAACUCUUUUAACUCUGUUGGUGCCAUCCUAUAUGGAUUAAUAGAGAUAGGACGAGUAUCUGGAACGAUGUCUAUGCCGAAAUAUAUUUCUCUCUCGGGUCCCUCCCGGGUAGAUCAUCAAUAAAGACUUAUUGAAACUCUCUUACUACUAGAACUGACUGAAUAAGAGGUAUCUCAACACUAGAGUCAUUAACUCAGACUAUGUGAUAGAUACACCUCUUAGAAACUAACUUCCUCGCUCUAAGGUACAUAAUGAAAUAACCCUUAGGCACUGCUGAAUUGUUUUUCCACUCUAAGAUUGGAUCAUUUGGAAACGGAAACUUGACUAUUCGAGUUCUACAAUAAACUGAGGCAUAAAAGGCAUGAAACCAAUCCAUACCAAGAAUGACAUCGAAUUCUACCAUGUCUAAUUCAACUAAAUCAGCCAUAGUACUCUUUUGACUGACGGAAACGGGACAACCCGAUAUAAUAUUUUUGCUAGAAUGGAAUCACCCACAAAUGUGGAGACACUAAAUUGUUCAUUAUAUUCCUCAGGAAUAAUAGCAAAGUUCAUAAAAACAUAUAUAGUUACAAAAGAUAAACUCGUUCAUGUGACUAUUAAUGCAUAAAAAGUAAAGUCAAAGACUUGAAUCAUACAAGUGACAACAUCUGGUGAGUUAUCAUUCUCUUAGAGAUUGUUUAGAGCAUAUAAGUGGUUUGUUCCUCCGCAAGUGUCGAAAGUAGACCCCGUAGGUGCAGCCCUAUCUGGUGGAGAAACAAAUGAAGAAUGGGAUUUAUUUCCCCCAUUACCAUAUACAUGCUAGUUGUUUGGACACUCUCUCAUGAAAUACCCGAUCAGAUCGCACUUGAAACAACUAGUGGAGCCCUCACGACAAACUCUGUAGUGGUUUCUACUACAUUUGGCGCUGGCAGGAGACGUAGUACCCCCUUGCGCCACACUAUCUAGUGAAUAUGCAUGUUUAGCUCUGGAAUUUUGACCGUAGUACCCACCGUUGUUUCUAGGUGCAUGUUCGUUAGCAGAUCAUAAAGCAGGACCCUUCUGUUUCUAUUUGAAGGAUGACCGAUUGGCAUUACUCUUCUGCUGCUUGGAUUCAUUCCUAGUCUCUGUUCCUCAACUUCUCCACUUCAACCUGCUGCACAUAAGCCAUCAACCUUGAUAUGUACAUGUCUCUUAUCAUCAUUGCAACUCUACCCUCCUUCUUUAAUGCACGACCCAAGCCAGCGACAAAAAGACUAAUCCUACUCCUCAUGUCCUUAACCAUAUCAGGAUCAUAGCAGGACAAAUAGAUAAACUUCAACACAUACUCAUGCAUACUCAAGAAGUUCUGCUUCAGGGUAAGAAACUCUAGUACCGUAGCCUCUUUCAAUUCUCUAGGAAAGAAAAUGCCCCAAGAAAGCCUCUUAAACACAAGCCCAACUCGGAUGUGGUGUAUCCUCAUCUCUGCCUUCCUUCCACUUAUCGAACCAAGUCCUAGCCACAUUUUUCUAUUGAAAUGCAGCUAGAUAACUUUUUCAACAUUAGUGACAUGCAUUACAUCAAACACCUUCUUUAGUUCCUCAACAAAAUUAUCCUCAUCCUCAAUGGUGCUCGAACCAGUGAAACUUGGAGGAUUCAUCCUCAGGAACGCACGAAUCCUUGAAGUGUUAGUCUCUUAUUGUCGAGCUCUUAUCUUCUGCCUAACUUGAUUGGUCACAUCUUGGCGGAGCAUCCUUAUUGCCUCUCUAAACUCAGCAUCAGAACCUUCUCCUUGUAGUUGCACUUCAGGUGCAUUGGGACCCUCUGGUUCAUCUACAUUCCUCCUACCUAGGCGACCUCUUGCUCUUAUUCGUGGAGGCAUGGUUAUGUGAAAUAACGUGGAAGCAUGAGUUAGAGAGAAACUUUAAGAUAUAAACUCUAGUGCACGAAAGAAAUAUGAAAGAAGUGAUGUAUUUCCUAAAUGUUACAGCCUCCUAAUUAUAGAUGUGGCGCGCUUCAAACCGAUAACUAGUAUCUACAGACACGGCUUCAUAGACACCUUAGGACUCUUAAGCUUUGUGUUCUAAUACCAAGUUUAUCACGCCCCGAGCCUACACCUUGGGCGUGGCCGACAUUUAAUGACCAUUGCUGGCCUUGAGCGGACCCUUGCCCUGACUUUCUUAACUCACAAGAAAACAACGAUCAAUACUAUAAUAAUAGAAGAACUGAAAUAAACUGAAUAAUUAGAUAAAUUCAAUGAUUAAAGAUAUAAACAUUCACCUUAGCCAAAGUGGCAACCCAAGUCUUUAACAUAAGAAUAGUAUGGUAAAGACUAAUGAACUACUAAUUGUCUAUUUAUGAUGUCUUCUAAAACUGAGAUGGAUGUUGAGACAGACCCCAUAACAUCCUAUAAAAAAAAACUGAAAGCAAUAAAUAUGUCUCUAGAAUGCAAGGAAGCUUACCACUGACUCUGAGUGCUCAGCUGGAUCAACGAGGCGCAUGAUGAUGCUGAUCCUGGUUACCCGCGUCUGAAUCAUGAUAUGAUGCAGCCUAACUGACUUAAGUACAUUGAAUGUAUUAGUAUGUGAGUUCGAAUUCUAAAGAACAUAAACAUGAAAAGUAGUCUGAACAAACACUUACCUUGGCUUUGUUCAACUCAUGAAUAAAAUAACCAAAUAAUAUUGACUCAUUUCAAUAUAAAACAAAUUUAAAGCAUAUGCAAUAUAAAGAAAAAAAAUGUUUGGAAACAUAUUUUAAGUUCUAAAUGUAUAUACAGAUACAAUAAUUUUGAGAUGUAUGCAAAAAUAAAAGUAAACUAAUGUAUAUAAAAUACAAUACUUCUGUGGAGUUUCUCUAAUCGACAACCAUCACUUAAGAGCUAUAGUGAUGAUACAACAAUCUACUUCAUGUUGCCAGCGCAUCCUAUACUUGGACGAAGGUAUAAGACCUGAAAUGUCUAAUGGAUCCACUAGUCUACUGUGGAAAGGAUUCAUCUAAAAAUUAUGGUCUUUUUCAACCCAUAGUGGCGACAUGGUUUAUGGGGGUUGUGAGUUGCCUGAAUUCUCCCCCAUAUCGGUGCUCAAUAUUACUCCCAAAACUUAUUAGCUCAUUUUUUAAAAAUAUAUUGAUUCUGUGGUUUGAGAUUAGUGCUGAAAAUACUUAGCUUGGAAAAAUAAAAUUCCCUGCUUGCUUCAUUUUGAAAGCAAUUUCUCUUUUAACCGGAAACUAGCCCGAAUGCUCUUUGAAAUCUCAGUUUCCCUUCUUUUUAAAUGUGAAAACAUUUUAAGUUCUUUUAGGAAUACUUAGUUCCCAUAUACUACUUUGAAGGAAUACUUUACUCUACUUUGAACUGAAUUCGAGCUUAAUUCUUAAAACAACACUUAAAAACGUUUUUGAAAGACUUAUGAAUGUACUCUUUUUCUUAUCUUAGAUUUUAAUCAAACAUAUCUUUAAGUCUUAAAAAAAGUUUAGAGUAUUUGCAAAAUACUUCAUGAAAGGACUUUAGGAAAUCUCUAGACUUGGCUCUAAAUUUUCCUUGAAUUUGGAGUUAUGGUUUCAAGGUUGUAAAUUCGUAUUUCUGGAUGAUUUUUAUAUGAGUAAAAGUCAUUUAGAGUAGUUAGAAUCAUUAGGAAUUGAUAAAACACCAUAGAAGGUCUUAAUCAGAUUGAACUACAAAAAUUGGGCAAAAAAUGUUGAUUUGGGCGUGUUUGGGGUGUCGCGCCAAACCCAUUAGUCUGAGGCACCAAUCUAGCACACUGCAGGCGCGCCUCCCCAGGCCUUCUGGAGAAGAUGCGGCACGCCUUGCUUGGUGCUUCCUAAUGCGUCUGAACAAUUUUCUUCUCUCGUUUUCUUAUUCUAAAUCACAUAAACCUCCAUAGUUAUUUUCCCAAACCCUUAGUAUUAUUAAUAUCUUCAAUAUCCAAUAGAUCUAACUAGAAAAAAACCCAAAAUUAAUCAUGGCAACAAUUGGCAAUCAACAACUCAAACAAUAAAGAAUUUAACUAUGACCUUCAAGAGUUUCACUAUUCUCAUUCAACCAAUUAGAAAAUAAAAGGAUUGAAGAGGUAUUGGUGUGGGGCUUUACUAACUCAACACUAAAAGAUCUCACAUACCUUGAUAGGGAUCAUCCCAAUGAAUUCCACUCAAAAAUCUUAGCGUUCUUGGCGAAUCCUUGACUCUUUCUCUUUUCUUCUUUUAUUCUCUGUUUUCCAAGCCCUAAGCGUGAUUUUAAUUUUUUCCUAACCUGAACUAAAACUAUUUUUACCCCAAAUAAAUCCAUAAAAUGAAAUAGGAAACUAAUUGGUGAAAAGACUAGUUUGCCCUUCCUUAAAUACGGAUUAGGAAUUUCCCUACUUCAACAAUCCAACUUCCGAUAAGAAUAUCUCUCUCAUACGAUAUCGAAAAUGCACAAACUUAGCGGUGUUGGAAAGAUCUAUCCAAUGGAUUUCCAACCAUAUCAAGAACUACCUCCAAAUCAUCCUGAUCUAAAAGUUAUGAUUAUUUGAAAAUGACCAAAAUUCUCUUUCUUAACCUAGGUAAUUUUUCCAGAUUUUCCUUUUUCUUUCCAAAAAUGGCUAUUUAUAGUUUCUUAGCUUAUCUCUUAGCUAUUUCAAUUUGUGAGAUGUUACACUACUUCUCUAUAUUUAUAUUUACAGGUUACAUAGUUUAAAUAAGGAUGCAUAUGUAUAAAUUUUUAAGACCUCACUUAUAUGAUUUCAUUGAAAAGGAACCCAAAAACCAUCGAAAAAGAAUGAUAUAAAGUUGGAAAUGGUUUUCAUUUUCCAAGGACACUUAUUGUAGCAAUUUAUUUUAUUUUUUAAAAUGAUGUGAGAUGAAUAACAACCUACAGGAAGUCUAUAACGUAAAAUUUUUAUAAAAUUGUAAGAAACUAAGGUGCAACGCACAUUCCUGAAACUAGUUAUACAAAAAGUAGAAAGUCACAAAUAUAAUAGUUGAAAUACUAUUUAACCCCUGUCUAAAUUCAAAAUGUUGUAAAAUUUCUAAUCAAUUAAAUAUAAAACUAUAUAUUUUAUCAUAUUAUAUUAAAUACCUAAACUACAAAGUGUGCUUUAAAACACAUUUUAAGAAUGUUUUUCCAUUCUCCAACAUAACUUUUGAGCUUUCUACAGAUUUCUAAGCAAUAUUUGUGCUUAUAAAUAUCAUGUGCAUGAGCUAAAAUUAUUAUUGAAAAACACAUAAUCUAAUUCGCCUUUCAUAGCUCAGAAGAAAAAUUAAAUUGAUUACAUCAAUUAUAGAAAAUGUUUAAGAAUGAAGAUCGCAGAUUGAGGUAGAAGCUUGUAGUGGAGCGCUCUCUUGCUAUCCUAAAGGUUUAGACUUAGUAGUGUGUAUCGUAGAAGUAUUUUUAUUCUUGUACUAUCUUUCUUUUACUUUCUUUGAUGCAAUUUCUUUUAUGGUGUUUCAGUUAUUGCACUUUUUUUUCUGUUGUUACUGUUUUAUUAAUAGUUGUUAUAUUAUAUUAUAUUCUCUUCACUGUCAUUUUUCUUUUUCAUAUUUACUAUGAUUGUCUAUAUUUAACUCGAGUUGAGGGUCUUCUAAAUUGAGAUAAGGUCUGUGCACACUCUAUAAUUGCUAGACGGAUUUCAAGAAAUAUGUAAUUAUUAUAAAAGACAUAGGUAUAAAAUCAGACAAUAGAUUUAAACGUUUGGGCUGAAUUGAUAAAUGUAUAUGUAUUUUGCUUUGUUAGCAAGUUUUGUUGAGAAACAUGUUUAUGCAUAUGUUUGAUAAGCUAUUGAUAUUUUUUAAGAAUUCUUUUAUCGUUAAAUUUCAAUUCUCUUAGUUAAUUCAAUAUUAAGAGUUUGAGGUAUUUACAUGCAUUUACAGUAAUCUAAAGCAAGAAAUUCAAACGGCAUAUUUCUAUAUGCCAUUAUGGAGCUAUUUUAUAGUGAUUUUCUUCACUUAUUUAUUUUUAGAUGAUAAAUGUAUUUGUCCGCUUUUUCGAGUUUAUCAAUAUAUGAAUAACUAAAGUAAUGAAUUACAGUAAACACAAUACAAGUUCAAAUUUUAAAUUCACAAAUUUUAAUGGCUCUCUGUAUCAUAACAACAAAUAUUUUCUCAAGUGAUGUAUCUUUUCAAAUAAAAUUUUGAUUUAUUAUUUUGUUAUACAAAUUUAACAUUAAUGUGUGUGUGCAUGCGUGCAUGUGUGUUGUGUGUGCAUGGGUGUGUGUGUUUGUACUUUUAUCAGAAAUAUGUAUUAUCUUAUUUAGGAGAAAAAUAUGAUGCAUACUUCGUUAUACAUAAUUCACAAAUUAUACUAUUUGUCUGUGCAAUUAAUUCCCUCUCAGGGUCUGUGCCUUUUGUUUUUCGGCUUUAAACUUGUAGCUUCCGAUUUCCCAAUAUGGAUAACUUAUUGAUUCUACAUUUAAUUUCUUUCUAUAAUCAAUAUUAAUAAUUUCUUGCGAAUGAUGUGUAUAUUUUAAUUAUUUUUCUUCAAUUUUUCGUAAAUUUUUUGUCUAUUAGACUUCACCAAUCUAAUUUUUAUGAAUUUUUUAUUAUUAUCGUAAGUAUGUAUUGUUAUUUGGCUUAGAUUAGUCAAUUGAAUUUAUAGGAAGUAUGUUAAAUACUAAAAAAAGUUAUAAAUUUAUCAAUAAUAUCUACAAAGGAAUUGAUUUUAAAUAUUACAAUGUGCCCUUAUUUGGUGUUUGUUGACACAUAAAAAUAUUACUCACUUCACAAGAUUUGCAUAAAAUUUUAACUGUUCUGAAGAAUCUAUCUAUAAAAAUCAAAUGGAACACGAUUGCAAUGCACGUGUCCAGAGACUAGUAUUACUAAAAGAAGAAACAAACAAAAGUUGAAAGUUGGAAUAUUAUUUUGCCCCUACACUAGAUUAAAAUAAGAUAAAUAUUUAUUUAAUUACAUAUUUAAAUAUUAGUGAUGAUCAAUUCUUAGAUUAAGUAAAUCUCUUAGUUAGGAAUGUGACAUCAAUAUUUUGUAUUGAUGUACAUUAGAUUGCAAACGAUAGUUAUACGUCCACCAACAAUCAAGAUUGAAAAAUUACAUAAAUCAAAAUCAUUGAUAAUUUUUCACCUUUGAAAAGAAGCAUGGAAACAAACUUUCUUGUGGAUCAAUAUGAUAAUUAGGAAUGUCCUACAUCAAUCUUUUCUAUCCAAGUACGGCUAACUACAGAUGAUAAUUAUAUGCCCAUCAACAGUCAAGAUUGAAAAAUUCUACACAUUAAUUUCUUUGAUAACUCAUCACUUUUGGCUAGAAGCAUGGUAAGAAAAAGAAUCAUGCUAGGGUCUUCUAAUGAAAGAUAAAAGAAUGAUAAUUUAAUAAAUAACCGUAGUUAAUUACUAGACUAACACUUGAAUCGGCUAUAACAAUAUCGAUUGGUGUGUCUUAAAUAUUUGAUCUUAAUGACAUUGAAUUGUCACGACCCAUAACGUGUCAUGAGUGGCACCCACAUUUAUCCUCCUAUGUGAGCGAACCAACCAAUCUAAACCCAACGUUUCAAACAUAAUAAAUAGAAAACAAUGUGGAAGACUUAAAACUAAUUAACAAAAUGAAUAAUCAACUUCUAAAUCUCAAAACUUAUCAUUAUCCCCAAAAUCUGGAAGUCAUCGUCACAAGAACAUCUAUCCUCAAAUUACUAAUCUAAGAGUAUCUAAGAAGUUAAAAUAAGUAAAAAGCUAGUCCAUGCCGGAAGUUCAAGGCAUCAAGACAUGAAGAGGAAGAUCCAGUCCAACCUAGAAGCAUUAGCUCACCCUGAAAUCCUGUGUAAUGAAGAAUGACUAGAGUUGCGGUUGAGUUGAAGAUGACGGAACGUUUGCUGUACUCCACAAAUAACAAAGAAAGAAACAUACAAGUAGGGGUCAGUACAAACGCAAGUACUGAGUAGAUAUUAUCGGCCUACCCAAAAUAAAAAACAGUAUAUAUCAGAUAAUAUCAUAAAGUCAACUACAAUACUCAACGGGUAGCAACAACAAGUACUAUAAUCAUUAAUAAGUACGCCAAGUCCACCCAUGAGGACGCAAGCCUCCACACCAUACUCAUUUGGGAAAUAGGUUCAUUAAAUUGAGUAUAUUAACAUCUUUCAAGAUUCAUUAUCUUUAUUUCUCUUGUGUCGGUACGUGACACUCCGCUCCCCUACUACUAUGUGCCGGAAUGUGACACUCCGAUCCCCUAAUUCUACGUGUCGGUUCGUGACACCCGAUCCCCUAAUUCUACGUGUCGGUUCGUGACACCCGAUCCCCUAAUUCUACGUGUCGGUUCAUGACACCCGAUCCCCUAAUUCUAUGUGUCGGUUCAUGACACCCGCUCCACUAAUCUCAUUCUAUUAAUUCAUCAAGCCUUCUUUUAUACCAAGACAUCAUCAAUCUCAUUACUUUAGUUCAUCAAGCCUUCUCUUAUACCAAGGCAUCAUCAAUCUCAUUACUUUAGUUCAUCAAGCCUUCUCUUAUACCAAGGCAUCAUCAUUAACAAGGUAAAUUUAGGAUUAGAGAUUCAAUAGACUCAUAAUGCUUAUUCAUCACAAUUAUAUAAUCACAUCAUGUAAGCACACAAUUAAGCAUAUAGAUGUUUUUAUAAUACUACCCAACACAUAUCAUUCCCUAUUAAGAGUCUACUACGAAUAGCAUAAAAACCAUAACCUACCUCUACCGAAGAUUCGUGAUCAAGCAAGCAAUUUCCCAAAGCUUUGUUUCCUCUUCGUUUCCCUCUUCUCUCGAUCGUUCUCUUUCACUCUCCUUGUUCUUUCUAUUUUUCUUAUUCAAACCCUCUUUCUUUUACCCUUAUUAGCAUAUAAUUAGGCAUAAAAGAUGGUGAAUUAAUCCAUUAAUUAAUUCAAGGUUAUCUCCUUUAACCCUCAAGAAAUUGGAUUAUUAAUAUUCAACCACUAACUUUAUAAUUAUAAGAAGGAAUAGUCCAAAACACCCCUUAAAACAUUUAAAGAAAUCCGACCCAGCCUAGGAUUACGCAGCCUGUGACGGUCCGUCGUGCCUGCGACGGUCCGUCCUGCUGCUUCCGUCACAGAGUUCAGAGACUCAAUUCCUUGAAGGGUCUGUGAGGGUCCGUCGUGCCGACGACGGUCCGUCCUGCCAUGUCGUCACGAAGUUCAGAGAGUCGAUUUCAGUACACAAAUUUCAGAAUUCUAAGUGUUUUGGAAUGAGACCCCCUCGACGGUCUGUCGUGCCUACGAUGGUCCGUCGUGGGAUCCGUCGACCAAGAUAGUUUUUCCAGAAUAAAAUUUGCUACUCAAAACGACUAAACAGGUCGUUACAAUAGAUACCAAUUUACCCAUCGUUCGUUCUCGAAUGAUCAUAAGAAGAAAAGCAAGAGCGAAAAGGAGUACCGGAAUCUGUAAACAGGUGUGGGUAUCUUUCUUGCAUAUCUUCCUCCUUCUCCCAUGUGGCUUCUUCGACUAGUUCAUCCUUCCAUUGAACUUUGAUGGAUGCAAUCUCCCUUGACCUCGCCUUGGCGAACUUCUCUAUCUAAAAUAGCAACAGGAUCCUCCUGAUAAGACAAAUUCUCAUCGAGCAGAACUGAAUCCCAACGGAUGAUGUAGUUUCCAUCCCCAUGAUAUCUUUUCAACAUAGACACAUCAAAAUACCGGAUGCACUCCUGACAGUGCUGGGGGCAAGGCUAAUUCAUAAGCUACCUCCCCCACGCGCUUCAGAACUUCGAAUGGACCAAUAUACCUUGGGCUUAGCUUACCUCGCUUACCAAACCACAUCACCCCUUUCAUGGGCGAAACCUUCAGGAAAACUUGCUCACCCUCAAUAAAGUCCAAGUCUCUAACCUUCCGAUCUGCAUAUUCUUUCUGUCUACUUUGAGCCACUAAAAGCUUUUCUUGAAUGCAUUUCACUUUAUCUAGCAAUUCCCUCAGAAGGUCAGUACCCCAAGGUCUAACCUCAAAUGCAUCAAACCACCCAAUGGGAGACCUACAUCUUCUCCCAUAUAGUGCCUCAAAUGGGGCCAUAUCAAUACUUGAGUGGUAGCUAUUAUUGUAUGAGAACUCUACUAAGGGUAAGAAAUUAUCCCAAUGACCACCAAACUCUAUCACACAUGCACGAAGCAUAUCCUCCAAAACCUGAAUCGUUCACUCAGACUAACCAUCGGUCUGAGGGUAAAAUGCGGUACUAAGAUCUAACCUAGUACCCAAUUCAGCAUGCAAUGUUUUCCAAAAGUUAGAAGUAAACUGCGUACCUCUAUCUGAUAUGAUGGAAAGUGGAACUCCAUGCAAUCGAACAAUUUCUGAGAUGUAAAGUUUGGCUAACUUCUCUGCAUUGUAAGUCACCUUGACUGGAAUGAAUUGAGCAGACUUAGUUAAUCUGUCAACAAUUACCCAAAUGGAGUCAUACUUACUUAUUGUCUUGGGAAGACCAACUACGAUGUCCAUUGCAAUUCUUUUCCACUUCCAUUCAGGAAUGGGCAUUCUCUGAAGUGUUCCUCCGGGCCUCUGGUGUUCAUACUUUACUUGCUGACAAUUUGGACAUUUGGAGACAAACUCCACAAUGUCACGCUUCAUCCUACUCCACCAAAAAUGUUGCUUUAGGUCACGAUACAUCUUGGUUGCACCAGGAUGUAUAGAAUACCUUGAGCUAUGAGCCUCUGUCAGAAUAGUGUGGAUUAAAUCAUCGACGCGGGGUACACAUACCCUUCCCUUAAUCCUCAAAACACCUUCCUCAUCGAUCGUUUCUUCCUUAGCCUCUCCUCGCAACACCUUAUCUCGGAUCUGGAUCAGCUUCUCAUCGGUGAACUGCUUUCCCUUAAUCUUGUUAAGAAAAGAAGAUCUUGCCUCCACACUGGCCAAAAAUCCUCCCUUCUCAUUUACUUCUAGCCUCAUAAAGUUAUUAGCCAGAGUCUGAACUUCUCUAGCCAAUGGGCGUCUAGAAACUUGCAAGUGAUCUAGACUUCCCAUGCUUCCUGCCCUUCUACUUAAGGCGUCUGCCACAACAUUAGCCUUUCCUGGAUGAUACAAGAUAGUGAUGUCAUAGUCCUUCAGUAGUUCCAUCCAUCUCCUCUAUCUCAAGUUCAAAUCUUUUUGGGUAAAAACAUACUGUAGGCUACGAUGAUCCGCGUAGACUUCACACUUAACCCCAUAUAAGUAAGGUCUCCAUUGCUGUAAUGCAAACACUACUGCAGCCAUUUCCAAAUCAUGGGUCGGAUAAUUACGUUCAUGCACCUUUAAUUGCCUUGAAGCAUAAGCAAUUACGUUCUUCUCUUGCAUUAGCACGCACCCAAACGCGAAUAGGAUGCAUCACAAUAGACAAUGAAAAUUCUUACCUUCCACUGGCAGGGUAAGGAUUGGUGCAGUAGUCAACAAAGUCUUGAGUUUCUGAAAGCUUUCCUCACAUUCGUCCGACCAUACAAAUGGAACAUUCUGCUUAGUCAAGUUCAUCAAUUGGGAUGCAAUGGAAGAGAAACCCUUGACAAAUCGACGGUAAUAGCUAACUAAACCAACAAAGCUCCUUAAGCUUUCCUCACAUUCGUCCGACCAUACAAAUGAAACAUUCUGCUUAGUCAAGUUCGUCAAUUGGGAAGCAAUGGAAGAGAAUCCCUUGACAAAUCGACGGUAAUAGCUAGCUAAACCAACAAAGCUCCUUAUUUCUGACACAUUAGUAGGUCUUACCCAAUUCUUCACUGUCUCAAUCUUAGAAGGAUCCACCAUCACCCCAUCCUUAGAAACCACAUGCCCCAAGAAGGACACUGCAUCUAGCCAAAACUCACACUUGGAGAAUUUGGCAUAAAGCUUUUUCUCCCUCAAAAUUUCCAAUAAAAUUCUCAAGUGCUCCUCAUGUUCCUUCUUGCUCUUUGAGUAUACAAAAAUAUCAUCAAUAAAUACAAUCACAAAGUGAUCCAGAUAUGGCUUAAAAAUCCCAUUCAUCAAGAUCAUGAAAGCAGCAGGGACAUUCGUAAGACCAAAAGACAUCACUACAAAUUCGUAAUGCCCAUACCUGGUCCGAAAAGCAGUCUUUGGCACAUCCGUUGCCCGUAUUUUCAAUUGAUGAUAACCGGAUCUCAAGUCAAUCUUAGAGAAGACACAAGCACCUUAUAACUGAUCGAACAAGUCAUCAAUGCGAGGAAUGGGAUACUUGUUCUUAAUAGUUACCUUGUUCAACUGCCGGUAGUCUAUGCACAUCCUAAAGCUUCCAUCCUUCUUCUUCACAAACAAAACGGGAGCACCCCAAGGAGAUGCACUUGGUCUAAUGAAGCCUUUUCUCAACAACACUUGAAGUUAGGCCUUUAACUCUCUUAACUCCGCAGGAGCCUUUCUAUAAGGGGGUAUAGAAAUGGGGCGAGUACCCGGUUCCAGAUCGAUGCAAAAAUCAAUAUCUCUAUCCGGUGGCAUACCAGGAAGAUCUGCAGGGAACACAUCCAGAAACUCACGGACUACCAAAACCGACACAAUUGAAGGUACUUGGGUAGUGUCAUCCCUGAGAUGUGCCAAGAAAGAUAAACACCCCUUACUAACCAUUCUCUUAGCACGAUAAAAGGAGAUAAUACGAACCGGAGUGGAAGUGAAGUCGCCCUCCCACAAUAACGGAUCUGUCCCAGGCUUGGCUAACGUCACAGUUUUAGCAUUACAAUCCAAGAUCGCAAAAUUCGGAGAAAGCCAAGUCAUACCCAGAAUUACAUCAAAAUCAACCAUUUCUAAGAUAACCAAGUCUACAUAAGUAUUGCUCCCCACAAAAGUCACCAAACAAGACCUAUAUACUUUUUCAACUAUCACAGACUCACCCAUCGGAGUAGACCCACGAAUAGGUAUGUCAAGCAAUUCACAAUGUAAAUUAAGACCACUAGCAAAUGAGGAAGAUACAUAUGAAAAUGUGGAGCUGGGGUCAAAUAACAGAGAAUCCAUACAAUCACAAACCAAAAUAUUACCUGUGAUAACAGCAUCUGAUGUCUCCGCUUCCAACCGCCCAGGAAGAGUCUGCGACGGUCCGUCGUGCCCACGAUAGUCCGUCCUACCAUGUCGUCACGAAGUUUAGAGAGUCGAUUUCAGUACCCAAAUUUCAGAAUUCUAAGUGUUUUGGAACGAGACCCCCUCGACGGUCCGUCGUGCCCAUGACGGUCCGUCAUGGGAUCCGUCGACCAAGACAGUUUUUCCAAAAAAAAAUAUGCUGCUCAAAAUGACUAAACAGGUCGUUACAAUAUUGAAUAGAGAAUCUAAAUGCUUGCUUGGACUGUGUAGUUCCUUAUAUGGUAAAUCAACAACAUUAGAGUUAGUUCUUUCUUCUUUUUCUAACUUUCCUUGGUUGAUUUGAUCUCUUUUCUAGCUAUAGCAUGGUUAAGUGAUUUUUCUAUUAUAUUAAAAAUAGAGUUAAAUAACUUUUUGAUAUAAUUUUCAUUUAUCGAGUGAGCUUUAUAUUACAAAAACUAUAUUGACUAACUUCUUAUUAAAAAUAUAUUAAGAUAAUUUUUAGAGACUUUAUUGACCAAUAUCUUAAAAAAAUAAAGUUGAUUAAAAAAUAUUACUCCCUUUGUUUUAAAAAGAGUGGUCUAAUUUGACUUAGGCGGAGUUUAAGAAAAUAAUGAAAAUUGUUAAAUCUUGUUGUCCUAAAUUAGAGUUAUGUUUAAUGGACAAAAUUGUUCUUUAUUAAUCCUUUGGCCUUAAACAUGUCACCUGGAAAGAUGAAAUUAAAAUGUUACCAAAAUAAGAAGAAAAGUCAAUCUUUUUUAAACAGACUAAAAUGGAAAGUGAGUCAUUCUUUUUAAAGGGUAUUUGAGUCUCUCUCUCUCUCUCUCUCUCUCUCUCUCUUCUCUCUCUCUCUCUCUCUCUCCCUAUGUAUAUAUAUAUAUAUAUAUACACACACACUAGGACUCAGCUUAGGGUGUCAAAAGGUUGGACUUCUUUUCAUCUUAUACUGCUGUUAAAUCUGAUGUGUAAAAGAUGGGUGUGGCGAGGUUAAGGUGUUUGGUGUUGGCACUAUUUGUUUGAAAACCAAUACUGGUUCAACGUUGGUCCGUCAGAAUGUCAAGCAUGCUCUAGACAUUCCAAUAAAUUUGAUCUUUAUAGGACAACUAGAUGAUGAUGGCUAUAAUAAUGACUUGUGUAAUGGCCAAUGGAAGCUCACCAAAGGAUCAUUGUUUCUAGCUCGAGGAAGAAAACAUUCAAAUUUAUACGUGACACAAGUAUCGAUUCUUGGUGACUCUAUAAAUUUGGUGGAGGGCGAGACUUUAUCAGAAUUGUGGCACAAGAGGCUUAGUCAUAUGAACGAGAGGGGGAUCACAUGUUUGGCUAAGAAAAAUUUGGUUGCUGGUAUAAAACAAACAAAGGUGAAAAAAUGUGUUUAUUGCUUAAUAGGGAAACAGAAUAGAGUUUCUUUUCACAGUCAUGCUCCUUUAAGAAAGUCUGAGCUAUUGGAGCUAGUACACUCAAAUUUGUGUGGUCCUCUCAAAGUGAAGUCUAAAGGUGGUAAACUUUACUUUGCUACUUUCAUUGAUGAUCAUUCUUGCAAGAUUUAGGUAUAUCCUUUAAAAUCCAAAGAGAGACAAACAGAAAGAAGUUUAAAUGUAUUAGCACUGAUAAUGGUGGUGAGUUUAUUUGUUCCUUUGAUAACUACUACAAAUCGCAAGGAGUUCGUCAUCACAAGACUCCUCCAAAAAUUCCUCAAUUAAAUGGUUUGUCAGAGAGGAUGAAAAAAACUUUAGUUAGGAGAGGUAGAUGUGUGCUUUCAUAGGCUAAACUUCCAAAUUCUUUUUGGACUGAAGCACUUAACAUUGUUGCUUAUGUUAUCAAUUAGUCUCCUGUUGUUGAUUAUAGUGAUGUUCCAAACAGAGUUUGGUUUGAUAAGGAUGUUUUUUAUGAUCAAUUGAAAGUGUUUGAGUGUAAAGCUUGUGUGCAUGUUCCAAAAGAUGAGAGGUCGAAAUUGGAUGUUAAAACUAAGCAAUGCAUCUUCAUUGGUUAUGGUCAAGAUGAGUUUCGAUAUCACUUUUAUGAUCCAAUUUAUAAGAAACUCAUUAGAAAUCGUGAUGUUGUGUUCUUUGAAGAUCAAACUAUUGAAGACAUUGACAAGACUGAGAAACUAGAUUCUCAUAUUGAUGAGAGCUUAGUUGAUGUUGAUCCAAUUCUUCUUAUUGAUAUAUCUUUUGCACAUGAUGGAACCCAAGGUAAUGAUCCAAAUAAUGAUUAGAGUGUAGAACAUAUAAAUGUUCCUACUUAUGAUGUUGUGGUUGAUAAUCAACCAACUCAUGGUGAGAUAACCACUUCGAAUGAUCCAGAAACCUCUUGUAGAAAAUCUACUAGAGAAAAGCGAAGAUCAACACGUUAUUCUCCUAAUGAGUAUAUCCUCUUAAGUGACAUGGGAGAACCUGAAGUUUAUGAUGAAGUUAUGUAGACACUCAUAGAGAUAUGUAGGUAUAAACCAUGGAAGACGAGAUGAAGUCACUUUACGAGAAUGGCACAUAUAAGCUAGUGGAGUUACCGAAAGGUAAGAAAGCUUUAACAAAUAAAUGGAUAUUUAGAUUUAAUCAAGAUCAACAUAUAUUUGCACCUUGAUACAAGUCUAGGUUAGUCAUCAAUGGUUUUGGUCAAAGAAAGGGGAUUGACUUUGAUGAAAUUUUCUCUCCUGUUGUGAAAAUGUCCUCUAUUCGUAUGGUUCUAGCCUUAGCCCCAAGUCUAGAUUUAGAGAUUGAGCAUAUGGAUGUCAAGAUUGCCUUUUUUCAUGGUGAUUUAGCAGAAGAGAUCUACAUGGAGCAACCUGAAGGUUUUGUAGUUAAUAGGAAAGAAAACCAUGUUUGCAAAUUGGGAAAGAUUUUGUAUGGCUUGAAACAAACUCCAAGGCACUGGUACUUAAAGUUUGAAUCUAUCAUUGAAAAUCAGGGAUACAAUAAAACUUCUUCAGAUAAUUUUGUAUUUUUUCAGAAGUUCUUUGAUGAAGAUUUUCUUAUCUUACUACUUUAUGUGGAUGAUAUGCUGAUUGUUGGCAAAAAUAAAUCUAGAAUUGCAGUCCUUAAGAAAGAGUUAAACAAUUCGUUUGCAAUGAAGGACUUGGGGCCAGCAAAAAAGAUCUUAAGCAUACAAAUAUAUCGAAAAAACACAAGAAGAAGUUCUCUCUAUCCCAAAAGAAUUAUAUUGAGAAAGUACUCAAGAGGUUCAACAUGACAGAGACAAAAGUGGUUAGUACACUUCUUGCUAAACACUUUAAGUUGAGUACGAGUCAAAGUCCAUCGACUAAUGAAGAGAAGAAUGAGAUGUUGAGUAUUCCAUAUUCUUCCGCGGUUGGUAGUUUGAUGUAUGCUAUGAUUUGCACUAGACCAGAUAUUCCACAUGUUGUUGGUAUCGUUAGCAGAUUUCUUUCCACUCCUGGAAAAGAACAUUUGGGUAAAGUGAAAUGGAUACUACGAUAUUUGAAGGGUAAGUAAGAUAUGGAGUUGUGCCUUGGUAGUGGCAAGUCUGAACUAGUAUGCUACACAGACUCUAAUUUGGGAGGAAAUCUUGACAAUUCAAAAUCCACUUCUGGCUAUUUGAUCACUUUUGGAGGGGGAGCUAUUUCUUGUCAAGUAAGACUUCAAAAGUGCAUAGCUCUAUCCACCAUAGAAGCCGAAUAUAUUGUCAUUACUGAAGGUACCAAGGAAUUUCUUUGGAUGAAGGAGUUUAUCAAAUAUCUUGUUUUUGAACAAUCAUGAUUUGUCUUAUUUUUUGAUAAUCAAAGUUCUAUUUAUGUCACCAAGCACUCUACCUUUCAUUCUAAGUCCAAGCAUAUUACUAGAAAAUAUCAUUAGAUUAGAAUGGCCCUAGAAGAGAAAUUAUUUGAGGUUGAGAAGUUACACACUGAUGACAAUCCUUCAUAUAUGCUUACGAAAGUGGUGAUCGUAGAUAAGCAUGAUUUUUGUAGAAGUGCGGCAUGCAUGAAGCCUGCCAAGAGAUCCUCCACUUGAAGUCUAUUGGGCCCCUUUGCUGGAGAGGAAUUUUGUUGGGCUAUUGCCCAUGUUCUAGGCAAAGUCCCAUGGCCUAAUCCUACUUGAAAAAGGAUUGGAAUUAUUCUCUUUAUUUGGUUUCCAAUUCUAUUAGGAAAAGGAUUGGAAUUGUAAUCUUAUUUGUAGUUGGUUUUGAGUCUAUAAGGAAAAACACAACUCUAUUAAUAGAGGAUGGUCUUGAGAGAAUAAUUAAUGGUCAUUGAUAUUGUCUUUGAGAGACAUUAGAACAUAAGAGAGUUUUUUUUAGAGAGCUUUCAACAAGAGAAAAGAAAGAAAGAAAAGGGUUCUUUUGCUGCAGUCUUUUUCUCCGACUAGAACCAUACAAAUAGAGGACAUUUUCACAACAUGAGAGAAAAUUUCAUCAAAGUCAAUCCCCUUUCUUUGACCAAAACCUUUGAUGACUAACCUAGACUUGUAUCUAGGUGCAAAUGUAUGUUAAUUUUUAUUUAAUCUAAAUAUCCAUUUAUUUGUUAAAGCUUUCUUACCUUUCGGUAACUCCACUAGCUCAUAUGUGCCAUUCUCGUGAAGUGACUUCAUCUCGUCUUCCAUGGCUUAUACCUAACUAUCUCUAUGAGUAUCUAAAUGAUUUCAUCAUAACAUUCAGGUUCUCAUGUCAGUCAAGAGGAUAUACUCAUUAGGAGAAUAACGUGCUGAGCUUCGCUUUUCUCUAGUAGGUCUUCUACAAGAGGUUUCUGGAUCAUUCGAAGUGGUUAUCUCACCAUGAGUUGGUUGAUUAUCAACCACAACAUCAUAAGUAGGAACAUUUAUAUGUUCUACACUCUGAUCAUUAUUUGGAUCAUUACCUUGGGUUCCAUCAUGUGAAAAAUAUAUAUCAAUAAGAAGAAUUGGAUCAACAUCAACUAAGCUCUCAUUAAUAUGAGAAUCUAGUUUCUUAGUCUUGUCAAUGUCUUCAAUAGUUUGAUCUUCAAAGAACACAACAUCACGACUUCUAAUGAGUUUCUAUAAAUUGGAUCAUAAAAGUUAUAUCCAGACUCAUCUUGACCAUAACCAAUGAAGAUGAAUUGCUUAGUUUUAACAUCUAAUUUCGACCUCUCAUCUUUUGGAAUAUGCACACAAGCUUUACACCCAAACACUUUCAAGUGAUCAUAAGAAACAUCCUUAUCAAACCAAACUCCAUUUGGAACAUCACUAUACAAAUCAACAACAGAAGAUAAAUUGAUAACAUAAGCAACAAUGUUAAGUGCUUCAGUCCAAAAAGAAUUUGGAAGUUUAGCCUCUGAAAGCACACAUCUACCUCUCCCAACUAAAGUUUUGUUCAUCCUCUCUUCCAAACCAUUUAAUUGAGGAGUCUUUAGAUGAGUCUUCUGAUGACGAAUUCCUUGCGAUUUGCAGUAGCUAUCAAAGGGACCAAUAUACUCACCACCAUUAUCAGUGCGAAUACAUUUUAACUUAUUUCCCGUUUGUCUCUCAGAUAAGGCUUGAUACUGUUUAAACACAUCAAGAACAUGAUCUUUAGAUUUUAAAGGAUAUACCCAAAUCUUGCAAGAAUGAUCAUCAAUGAAAGUAGCAAAGUAAAGUGUACCACCUUUUGACUUCACUUUGAAAGGACCACACAAAUCUAAGUGUAGUAGCUCCAAUAGCUCAGACUUUCUUAAAGGAGCAUGACUGCGGAAAGAAACUCUUUUUUUUUCCCUGUUAAGCAAUAAACACAUUUUUUCACCUUUGUUUGUUUCAUACCAGCAACCAAAUUCUUCUUAUCCAAACAUGUUAUCCCCCUCUCGCUCAUAAGACUAAGCCUUCUGUGCCACAAUUCUGAUGAAGUCUCGCUCUCCACCAAAUUUAUAGAGUCACCAAGAAUCGAUCCUUGUGUCACGUAUAAAUUUGAAUGUUUUCUUCCUCGAGCUAAAAUCAGUAAGCCUUUGGUGAGCUUCCAUUGUCCAUUACAAAAGUCAUUAUUAUAGCCAUCGUCAUCUAGUUGUCCUAUAGAGAUCAAAUUUAUUGGAAUGUCUGCAGCAUGCUUGACAUUAUGACGGACCAACGUUGAACCAAUAUUGGUUUUCAAACAAAUAUUGCCAAAACCAAACACCUUAACCUCACCGUUGCUGGUGAGGGUUACAAAUAUUCUUCUAAUGGCUACACAACAAGUGCAAAAAGAUAACAAACAUUAGCUAUACCAACAAAAGAUAAAUAGAAAGAAACAACACCCAAACUCAACUUCUGUUCGAGACCUAAAAAAGGAUCUUGCUAACCACCGAAUCCGAUCUCCUCCAUUCAAAUCAACCACCAAGAUGUCAAAAACACUCAAUCCAAAUUUUAACACAGUCCAACGGUUAGUUAAUCAGAAAACACGAUCUGAACGUUGUUGGUCGGAGAAAAAGACUGCAGCAAAAUAACUCUUUUCUUUGUUUCUUUUCUCUUGUUGAAAGCUCUCUCAAAAACCUCUCUUAUGUUCUAAUGUAUUUCAAAGACAAUACAAAUGAUCAAUUAAUUAUUCUCUCAAAACCAUCCUCUAGUUAUAGAGUUGUGCUUUUUCUAACAAAGCAAAAACCAACUACAAAUAGGAUUACAAUUCUAAUCCUUUUCCUAAUAGAAUUGGAAACCAAAUAAAGAGAAUAAUUAUAAUCCUUUUCCAAGCAGGAUUAGGCCAUGGGCCUUUGGCUGGACCAUGGUCAAUAGCCCAACAAUAACGUGUAGUAAUGUAAGAAACCAAGUUGUAUUAUUUGUUCAUCCAACCUAUGUCUGGACUAUUUUAGGAUUUAGUAGAAAAAGAAAGACCAAUAAUUCAGCUGAGUAUGAAAUACAUUGAUGUUAGGAGGUUAUAAACGCGUGGUUAUGUAAGAAACCAAGUUGUAUUAUUAGUUCAUCUAACUAUGUAUGUCUUAUUUCAGGAUUUAGUUGUCAACUAAAGUUUACCCUUGUUUUUUACGUCAUUGAUGAUAAAGGUGUAAAGUGAAAAAAAAUAGUGAUUGUUAUUAAACUGUGUUAUAUCUUCCAACUAACUUUACAAAAGUAUGUUUUAAUUUCUCCUGGUUGGGAUGGUCUACAAUCACAUUACGGAAGUUGUAUUCUUGAUGUAAGUACCAAGAAGUUAAAGGAAGCAAAGAUCAGUUACUUGUUUUACCGGAAUUGCAGUCUUCCUCUUCUACUUCAAUUUUAACCUUUUCAUCUUGAAGGUUCUUUUGUGAAGAUUCUGUAGUUUGUUCUCUAUUGCAUCAUAUAGUUGAUCUGAUUAUCCCUAACCAUAUGGUAAUGCAUUAUUGACAUUUCUGGAAAUGAGUAAUCAAAAUUUGUAUAUGUAGAUCAGGUAUAUGAAGGAGAUGUAUUUAUCAGACCUCAAUGAUUUAUACGAGAAAAUUGAUCAGCAAGUACAACAGGUAUGUCAUCAACACCCCCUUAAGUGCUUCAUCAUAGUUCCAAAUUUUGGUUCACUCCCUUUCAAGUUUCUUCAAAGGACGCACCAUCAUUUGCAUAUUGUAUUCUAUUGGUUAUUAGAAACACCUCCAACUGGGAACUGAUGCAAAGAGCUCAAGGCACUACAUUAUCAUUUUUGCUUCUUUAAUUUGGUUCCUUUCCUGUCGAUUGUCAUCUUUAGAAACAGUGCUUGCAUAGUUAUAAAGAGCCUAAUAUCUUUUAAUUUCUAGCAUCUGCAUUAUUAGUUUGUGUUGAAGCAUUGUGAAUGAUUGUAAAGUGGAGUUAGUAAUGCAUGGAUAUCAUAAAAGAGUUGUUUUCACAUGUAAUUUCUCUGUUGGUUUUUUUAUUUUGCUUUCGGGGAUGGAAUUUAGGCCUUCAUAGUUCUUCGGCCAAGGGCUAUAAUCAUCUGAAAAAGCACUUGAAUGAACAUUAUGUUGAAUUGUGUAAACCUUGUGAACUAUAUUAUGUGUCUCUUUAUGUCAUUUCUUGAACUUUACUCCCUUUUUCGUUGCCGUUGGAGGUACUUGAAGAAAAAUUUUUAAAAAUUUGCUAAGGACAAGAAACAGGACUGUGACUGAACUGAUUUCUUUUUACUGAUUUUAAGCACAACUCUCUUCAAAAGGAGAACAUUGAAAAGCUCAAGAUGUUCAAAGUGAGACUGGAACACAUUAUGCAUUUCUUGUGGCUUAAAAAGAAAGACAUUCAACUUAAUCACAAGGGCAAGCUGGUUACGGUUGAGAAGAAGAUAAGUUUCUUUCUAAGGUUCAAUUGGGAACGCAGUGUGACUUCUUCUUCUCUACAGCAGGGGGAACUUCAUCAUGAUAACAUAAGCUCAUUUAGUACACAAAGUGGAACGAACCUCGUACAGGCAAACCUCAAAUCUGUACAGCAAAAUUCAAGCGUGCUACCACAUUUACUUCCUAUACAGCCCGUGCAGCAAAUGAUGCCGAACAAACAAUUAAAACCUCUGUGCAACCGGCUGCUGAUACAGCAACAACUUCUUCGAAGUCAGCAGUUAAUGGAACAUCAGCAAGCUAUGAACUCACUGCAGCAGUUAAUGCAACGGAAUAAUUUGACCAACUUGCCACAUAAAUCCUUGUCUGGUGUAUCGACAAAUAUCAACACUGAGCUAUACAUGAUAAAUUCAGUAAAGCCUGGUUUCAAUUUCAAUAUGGGACUGAGUAAUUCUUUGAAAUCCCCGCAACAGAUGUCUACUGGAUUUAACAAUCUUCAACAUGGUAACAAAAGCUCAUUCAGAACACAAAGUGUAACGAAUCCCAUACAAGCAAACCUCGGUUCUCUAUAGAAAAAUUUGAGUGUCUGGCAGAGAAUGUCGUAGAGCCAGCAAACGUUGCAGAACCAACAAUUAAGACAGCAGUUACACAAUCGGCAUAUGCAGCAGCUACAUUUUCAUACACUGAAGUUAAUGCAACAGCAGCAAGCAAAGCAAGAGUAGACCACACUAUUGCCAAUCCACCAGAUGUCGCAGCUUCAUCAGUCUUCCAUGCUGCUUGAGCAACAACAAUCUCUUGAUGGAAGCAUUCCAACAAAACAAUAUUAUCGAUUUGCAACAUGAUUGUUUGGAUAAUUAAAUUGUUUAUGUUUUGUGCACUCGUGAACACUCCCUUCUUUAGAUUAUGUGAAGUACUGAAAUUAUUUUGAUAAAUUUCUAAAGUUUUUUUGUGGCAACUUAGGUUGAAAUUCGAAAUAUCCAUCUUCAAAUUUUUUUCUGUUUAAAUGUUUUGCAAAUUUUACAAACAGUCACAAUUUUUCACAAUUUUUUUUGUGAGUCAUUAUUUUUAAAAUAUAUAUAUAUUAUUGAUUCGUAAAGUGUGUUUCCUUAAAUAAUUAUACUAUUUAAAUUGGACUUCAAAUAAAAAUUUGUUAUACUAUCUUAAUGAUAGUUAUUGUUUUUUUUUUUUCCUUUAAAACCUUUAAGAUAGUUAUCACUGGCAAGAUUUUCCAAUAAGUCAGUAAAAUUACUCAUUUUGUGUUUUGUUCUAAGAUCUCAUGUGUUCAAAAUUAAUAAUCCCUUGCCAUAUAUGAAUCUUUUUAGUUAUUACUAAUUGUAUCUCAUACUUUGUACGAACCCUCUAUCUUAAGGAACAAUAUUGUUAUUAUCCCUCGUUAUUUUAUAUACCUAGACUUUUGACAAGUGCUUUGCACGUGAUUAUUAAUUAAAAAAAUUUAAGCUAAGAUUUGAAUGAUAAGCUUUGCACAAAAUAAUAAUACAGAUUAUUUUGUGAAUGUUCAAUGUGGAUCGUCAAAUAUAUCUCUUAUUAACACAGACCUAUAAUGAUGUUCAGUGAACAAUUUUAUUAAUUAAAUGAAAUAAUGUACAUAUUUAUUUGAAUUUGAUGAAUUUGUAUCAUGUAAGUAGUAGUCUCUUAACAAUAUUACCUUAUAAACGAUAUUUGUUGCAUGUGUUUCUAUCCAUCUAAUCUGAUGUGUUUUGCACGUGUAUUCAAUAUAAUCUCUUUAGAUGUCAUAUGCACAUGUAGAGAUGUCAUUUUAUUCAUAUAUAUUCACAUAUUUUUAGAUUAUCGUGAGUUUUAUUUUUAAAGAAAAAUUAAAAUAAUAUAUUUUGAAGUUAGAAAUCCUGUUAACUUGAUAAUACAUUUGUAACAUAUAUAAAUGCUAAAAUAUGAACUUUUUUCUUUGAUGAAAAUAUUGAAAUAUUAAGAAAGAGUAAUUUAGUCAAACUAAAUGACAAUUUUUACAUAAUAAUAAUUAUUUUUAAUCAAACAUCCUUACAAUCAAAGUCACAUAAGUAGCAGUAAUAAAUAAAAUCAUUCUUUCGUCUUGAUUAUCAAGAGAAUCAUAUCGUACAUACGUGGUGCCACCAAAACCAAGAAUUUCCUUUUAAAUCUAUUUAUUUCAAAAAUUAGCCUUCCGCUUUGAUGAAAAGAUGUGACUUUUGUGAAAAUUUUAUCAAAAGUGGCCAAAUUGAUGAAAAGUUAUGACUUUAAUGAAGAGUUGUGACUUUUAUGAGAAGUUGUGACUUUUAUCAAAAGUUGCGACUUAAUCAAAAGCUGCGACUUUUAUGAAAGGUUGUGAACAUUUCGAAGGGUUGUAAAUUUUCCAAAUAAUUGUAACCUUUGUGAUAAGGCACAAUAAAGAUUUGUUUUACAUUACCAUUUAGCAUCAUAUAUUAUUAUAAGUAGGAACCGCCUAACCCUAAAGUUGAUUUACCGUUUUGCCCCUACUUAUAUGAAUUAAAUAUUAAUUUAUUAAAUACAUAUAUUAGUUAAAUAUUAAAUUUUUAUAAAUUAAAUUAGCUGUCAGACCUAAUUUGAUUCUCCAGAAACGUAUAGUUGUUGUUCAAGCUCCCUCAAUCAUUGUAAUGACCCCUUUUUCCAAUGCUCAGUCUCCAUUGCAGCUAUUCCAAAACCUAGAUACUUCAUUGAUCUAUACAACUGUCUCCAACAUCAUUGUCAUUGUUCAAAAGCAGAUUUAGAAAGUGCCUUGGUGAGGGUGUCUGCUAUUUGAUCGGCACCAUGGAUAUGAACAACACGAACCCUUUUAAUGUCAAAACAGUGGCGAACAAAGUGAAAGUCCACAAUAGCAUGCUUAACACGACUAUGGAGGACAGAAUUGUUGCUCAAGAAUGUGGCUCCAAAAUUGUCACAAUAAAUUGUGGGUAGCUGAUGUACUGGAAAGCGCAACUCAUUUAGGAUAUUGGUGACCCAUAAAGUUUCAGAAACUGCAUUAGCCACUGCCCUGUAUUCGGACUCAGUGGAGGAUCGUGAGACAAUAUUUUGCUUCUUUGAUGACAACCUAAUCGGAUUGUUACCAAGAAAUAGGAUGUAAGCAGAUGUAGAAACUUUGUCAAUGAUGUCCCCACCCCAAUCUGCAUCAGAGUACACAUUUAGAUUGAAUUCAUCAAUGGGAGUAACGCGUAGGCCGAGUUGAACGGUACCCCGCAGGUAUCGAAGAACAUGUUUUACAGCCUUCCAGUGAAGGUCUGACGGUGCUUGCAUAAAUUGAGAAAGCUUGUUGACUGCAUAGGCUAUGUCAAGUCUAGUGAAGGAUAGAUAUUGAAGCCUAUCCAAGACUCGGCUAUAACGUGUAGCAUCAGUCAAGUGAGUUCCAUCGGAUAAGGUAAGUAGCUCAGAUGCACUCAUGGGCGUGUUAACACUAUUGCAGUCGGUCAUUAGUUCAUCAUUCAAAAUUUCAUUCACAUAAUUUGCUUGGGUGAGGAUCAAACCGUUGGAUCUGUGUAUCACUUCAACACCACGAAACUAGUGAAGAUUACCUAAAUCAUUAACAGAGAACUUAGAAGCAAGGGAAGUGAUAACCUGAUUGACACUUAAAGUAUUUCUCCCAGUGAUAAUAAUAUCGUCGACAUAGACGAGGACGAAGAACGUAUCACCUGCACCAUGUCUGACAAGUAGUGAGGCAUCAGAUUUUGUCUUAACAAAUUCUAUGGAUGAAAGAUAACCCGUGAGGGCAUUUUACCAUGCCCGAGGAGCCUGUUUCAAGCCAUAGAUUUCCUUACGUAGCCGACAUAUAUGCAUUGGUUUGUCAUCACUAGUAAGCCCCGGAGGUUGUGCCAUGUACACUUCCUCUUCAAGGUUGCCUUGGAGGAAGGCGUUAUUGACAUCUAGUUGGCGAAGGUAGGGGUGUGCAUCGAUCGGUUUAGUUCGGUUUUACAUAUAAUCGGUUUGGUUUAUCGGUUUUCGGUUUUAAAAUAUGCUAACCUAAUAAUAAACCAAUAAGAAACUUUUUAUCGAUUUAUCGGUUUUUGAUGUUAUCGGUUCGGUUUCGUUUAACCCAAUAAGAAAAUGUCGAUCAAAUAAUAUAUAAUAGUACGUAUGUUAUAAUUACAUGUUACCAACUUACCGCCAAAACAUAAUAGAAAACUUUGAAUGUUGAUCAAAUUACUAACAUUCACAAACUUGCAAAAGUUGUCGCCUACAAUUACGAACUAGAAUUAAAACUAAAACAAAAUAUUUCAAUGAGACAAUCUUGAACAGUUGCUUGAUCCACCAGAUAAUCAACAAAGUUCUCACCAAUUUCCUAACAAAAAAAUCACAUAGCCUGAAAAGCUAAUAUUGAAUCUAUUUAUGUAUUAAAUUAUGUAUAUUUAAUAUUGAGGAAGGUUAAAGUAGUAAAUAACUAUCGUCUUAUUGGGUUAUCGGUUUUUCCAAUAACCCAAUAUGAAAAAUCGAAACCGACCCAAUAACCCAAUAAUUAUUUUUUCUAAACCCAUUAAAAACCCAAUAACCUAAUAACCCAAUAACAUUUUAUCGGUUCGAUUUAUUGGUCGGUUCGGUUUUUGCACACCCCUAGGCGAAGGUGCCAGUUGUGACGAACUGCCACAGAGAAGACGAUGUGAACUGUGGUGGGGUUGACGACUGGGAUGAAUGUGGCAUGAAAGUCAACGCCUGGCCUCUGAGUAAAGCCUUUUGCAACUAGGCACGCUUUGUAUCUAUCGAUGGACCCAUCAACAUUUCUCUUGAUCCUUAAAAGCCACUUGCAAGAUACAAUGUUUUUGGUCGAGUCAGGAGGAACAAGUUCCCAAGUUUGAUUUUUAAUUAAAGCAUCAAAUUCCUGUUUUAUUGCAUAACGCCACUCUGGAUAUUUUUGUGCUUGUUUGACAGUAGUGGGUGUGACAGUGGGGUUCAAUUUGGCUAGGUAAUCAAAAAUCUUUUUUGGUUUUGUGAUAUUAUUUUGUGGUCGAGUGACAGCACAGGAACGAGGAGACGGACAUUGAGGCGGGGAAGGAGUGAGUUCUAAUUUGUUGGUAGGACAGGCUGGUUGAGGAGCCAUAUGUGUUGGUGGAUUGGUGUUUCUACGAUGAUAGACAAGGAGAGGAGACAAUUUGCUUUGUGUGUUAGUUGGUAUCGGCGUUUGAGAGUUUGUAGGGAAGCAUGAUAGUGCUAAAUGUUGGGCAGUAGAUAUAGAAAAGGUGUUCUGGGAAGCAGGAGUUAUUGAAGAUGAGGAAGACAAAAAUUUACCUUGUGAGGUAAACCUGUUGCGUCUGCCGCUGAUGCAUCGUCGGAUAAGGACUGCGAGUUUGAGUUGUCUCCGGACUGGGCUGGAGAGGAAGCAGAUUGUGAUGGAGAAUCUGUAAUAGUGUGUUUUGUUAUUUCUAAUGGAAUUGGCAUAUCUGUAACUAUGGGAAGUUUUGGUGUGGGGUUUGAAGAACUUGGCAUUGUUGAUGUUGCCCAUUCCAGGUGAGUUGAUUUAAUGGCAAUGUUGGAGAACAAUGUCUUAAAUGGAAAAACAUCCUCAACAAAUCGCACAUCUAGAGAUAAGUUAACCUUUGCAGAAAUUAGGUCAAAACACUAGUGACAUGAGAAUCCAAGAUAGACACAUAUGGGGUAGAUUUUGAUUCAAGUUUAUUUUUGGAGUAUGGUUUUAGCCAUGGAUAACAUAAACAACGAAAAAUUUGUAGGGAGUUAUAAAUAGGUGAUUUUCUAAGUAAUCUUUGGAAUGGGGAUUGAUUAUUGAGGUGAGAGGUUGGAAGACAAUUGAUGAGGUAGACAGUGUGAUGGCAUGCAAAAGACCUGAAUUGGGGUGGGAGAGACGCCUCAUGAAGAUUAUUCUUGCAGUUUCGACAAUAUGGCGAAGUCGUCGUUCUGCAAGUGCAACUCGUUGGGGUGUAUAGGGAGGGGUAGAGAGGUGUUGAAUGCCGUGAAGUGAAAGAUAGGAGUCAAGACUUUCAUACUCACCUCCGCCAUGAGUAUAUAGUGAUAAAAUUUUAGUGUCAAAAUCUUAUUCCAUCAUAGGAUGAAAUUUUUGAAAGAUAUCUUUAACUUCACUUUUCUGUGUUAGUGUGUAAAGCCAAGUUCACUUCGUAUAUUGGUCAAGAAAAAUACAAAAAUACAAUAAUACAAAUUUUUAUCAAGAGAUAAGACUGGUGAUGGCCCCCAUAAGUCACUGAAAAUAAUUUGAAGUGGUUUAGAGCUAGAAAACGAUAAUUGAGUAAAAGGAUGUCGAUGAGGUUUAUUAGAUAAACAUGAAUUACAAUGAAAAUUUUUGUCUCUCUCAUGAAACGGUAGCGAGAAUUUAAUUAAAAUAAACCUAGGAACUCUAGAGUGAGGAUGACCAAGACGUUGGUGCCAAGUAGUGAGAGGGCUGGAUGUGGAGAUAAUGUGAGCUUGGGGAUGUGAGACAGGCCACUCAUAUAGUCCAUUGUUAGUCCGACCGUGCGCCAGUGUCUACCAUGUUUUCAGAUCCUUCACAACAAAGUUAAAAGGAAAAAAUUUAAUAGACUUAAGAUUGUCUUGACAGAAUUUAGAAAUAGAGAUAAGCUUGUGUUUGAUUGAAGGGGCACACAAAGUGUGAGUUAUCUUAAAAACAUUUUUUGAUGCAUUUACUUUAGAAGAACCAGUGUGAUAGAUAGGAAUUUUGUUACCAUCACCCAUGGAGACAUCUUCGUUACCGCGGUAUGGUUGUAGGUUGUGUGGCUCUGUUGUGAUGUGAUGGGUGGCUCCUGAGUCAACUAUCCAGGGAUUGGUCUCCGUUGUAAGUCCAGCGGCAGAGAUGGCUUUUGCUUCGAAGUGAUUAUGAGAUCUCGAGCGGCAAACAUUGGCUGUGUGGACAAUUCUGUUACAUAGUUGAUAGCGAAUAAUACCGUUUGGAUUUGAAUUGGAUUGCCCCUAUGGUGGAGCAUUUGGACGCAAGUUGUGGCGCCAUUUUGAGAGUUGUUGGUCUGUCUACGGUUGAUGCAAUUAUUGGAGUUGAAUUUAGUGGGAGUAUCAGCUGCAGAAGUGAUGGUACUAGAUAGUUUCUUAGCAUCCUCGUGGCGGAGGAAGAGUUCAAAGUCUAGUAACUUUCCAAACAGUUCCUCAUAGGAGAUAUGCGUAUCGCGUGCAUGAAUGGCAAUAGAUAUUUCACGAAAUUCAGGACCUAGACCACUAAGUAUUUUGACAAUGAGUUCGGGAUUGGAAACAGGAGCACCAGCAGUGGCUAACUCAUCCAAAAAUGACCGAAUAGUAUGAAUAUAUUUAGUAAUGGAGCGAGAGUCCUUAGUGACACGAGCAAGCUGAUCACGCCGACUGAAGACUCGAGUUUGAGAUUUGUUCGCAUAAGUGGUAUGCAAGGCAUCCCAAGCUGAUUUAGCCGAGUCAGCAGCUGAACAGUAGGAGAAAUAGUAGGUUCGACAGAAGCCAUGAGAGCAUUCUGGAUGAGUUGAUCCUGACGGAACCAAGUUAUGAAGGCAGGAUUGGGAGAGAUAUUCGUGCAGAGGGUAAUCGUGCGACUAGGGGACGGACUAGUUCCGUCUAGAUGGCCAAAGUGGUUGUAGCCAUACAUAAGCAUGGAAAAUUGGGCUUUCCAGGUGGCGAAGUUGUGACCACCACUUAGUUUGAUGGGUAAUUGGGAUGCGGGAUUGAAUUGAAUGAUAAUAUUGGUGCUUGUCGUGUUAUCAACAUUGACAACUCUGGGAUUGUUGCCAUUGUUGUUGGUCAUUGAUGUUGAUCUGCGUGAGGAGAAAAAAAUACUGGAUCGUACUCUUUAGAGCGUGAAGAGCCCUGAUACCAUAUGAAGACUGAAUGUUCAUUUAUUAAUGAAGGCAACAAGUUAUUAAAUAGAGUUAGAACGAAAGUGGUAAGACUCCUAACGAACUGAACUAAAGUAAUCUAAUUAAAUAAUUACUGCUGAACUAGUAAGACAAUCCUAAUACAACUAAACUACUAACUGGCGUCCUAAGACCAGAUGUUCUAAUAUCAAUCUAAUACAUCUAUCAUUGGCAGGUAAAAAUAGAAUUUUCCUCCUUAUUUAUCAAAAGCUACUCUAUUUUCCCUAUUUACUGUGAGUCCUUAUGUAUCUUAUUUCUUUUCAUCUAUUUAUUAUUUUUAACAAGUUGGAUUCAUGCAUUGUUGUAUGUUUCUGCAUGUUCAAAAGCCAAGCAAACUCAUUUUGCUUUUCUGUAACGUUAUGCAUUGAGCAGCAGCCCCACAUAUAUAGAAUUACUAGGGAAGGCCCAUGGGAAUAGAAGUCAUACAUGUGCAAUCAGCCACAUAUUGCAUGAAUGGUGGAAUCAAAAGGCUAAAAACACGGUACAUGGUUUUGUUCUAUAAUCUGCCCCAAUAUUUGUGUGUUGGGAAAUAUGGAAGGAAAGUUGCAGUUGUAAAUAUGGUGGCAAGAGAAGCUUAAACGAACAUAUGAUGACUGAACACAUUUCUUUCUUGGAGUGUGGCAGCAGCUUAGACGCAGAGCAUUGGCAGAGCCCUCAAGGGGUUGGAUUUAUGCAUUUCAGCCACUUUUUCUUGGAAAACGACUCAAUAGUCUUCCAGAUGAUUGAAGGAAAAAGACAACCCAAUUACAAGCUCAAUCUCACCAUAGAGAAGAUUUGACAUAUAAUAAUUCAAGCCUAAGAGGGGACAAUAAGGUUGCGGAUAACUUGGACAAAAGGGCCUUAUCAAUUGGACAAAAGUCAAAUGCUAUCCAGUAGACUCAUAUACGACAAGGUGAAUUUUUUUUUAGCUAAUUUACUUUCUUAUUUGUGCGGGGAUUUAAGUCAUCAUAUCCUAACCCUCCUUUUGAAAGGAAAAAAGUUUUAUCCAUUGUGUUGUAUGUUGAGGUAAGUCCAAGCCCUCUUUUUGUACUUAUUCUCAUGAUAUAGAACACUCCUACUAACUAGCCGAAAUUUAAUUCAAAAAAUAGUUUCAACUAACUAAAUUUUGAAUUAGUUGAACUUGAUACAAGUUACAUGUAAUCUAUACUUUAGAUAUACUCCUUUUUUUUAUUGGCUUUGUUCUUUCUGGUGAUGGCGUGAAGGUGUGUGAGGUUAUUUAUUGGUGGCUUCAUAAAUGAUCCAUAAAUUAAAAUGUACAUAAGUUGGAAGUUUUCGGAGAACUAUUUAUUUCUUUGCUUAGAAGUAUUUUUUUGGUGAUAAUAAGUAAUUCUUGAUGUAGUCAAGCGGCUAUGCUGUGUUAACUUCUUUUAACAAGUCGUUUGAAUGCGUAUGUGAGUAUAUGGGAAUUGCUAUUUUUUCACCAUUAUUUCAUCCUCAUAUUCUGACUAUCUGUAUUUACUCAUUCCACUUGCAGUUCAAUAGUGCCUUGAGUAUUAUUAAGCACUUAUAUCUUGUUACGGUAACAUCACCUAAUCUUGGCAGAGUUAGUUGUAGUUCACCUAAAGAUAUAAAAGUAAUAUAUUCACAAAUAUAAUGAACUGAUUUCAGGAAAUAGUAGUCUGCAAAGGAAACAGAAAUCCAACAUAAUUUAAUUUAAUCAUCUGUUUGAAACUGCAAAAUUCCCGACAAUUAGACUUGUAGGCCAUUGUCUUUUGUGUGCAUCAUUCUUUCUCAAUUAUGUAGUGUUACAUCUCCUCUUAUCCUAUUUUAUGGGUUGUAGUAGCAAUAACUACUCAAAGAUGUCAUUUUACUAAUUAAAACUCUUACACAGUGAGGUUGGUAGCACAUAAUGAUUGGAGGAACAAUAAGAAUGAUACAACUUAACAAUGCUUACACGUGUAGCUCACGUGUCCAUGACUAGUUGUCUAUAGAUAUAGUGGGAUUUCCUCUCAUUUUUAACAACAGAAAUCCUGAUCUUCUUAAUCAACAUGCGCAAAAUUAAAUAUUUGUGUACUUUGUUCCUGUUGAGUAAUUUACUAACACCAUUAUUUUUACAUCAAUAAGUUGGUGAGUAAAAUCUUACAUCCCGAGAGGAUAUAUAUCUGUAAACCUCUUGUAUUGGAGGGGAAUAGUUUUCUUAAAGGGGACAUUGCGCAUUAAGUGGAGUCAAUUUUUUCUUUCUAUUUUGUUCUAUCUUUACAUAUUUUGGUGUGUUUUUUACACUCAAAAUUUUAUGCUUAUGAUAUUAAUUGUUGUUUUUGAGUACAUAUUUUAAACUCUAUUGUUUAUGUUUCUGCAAAGUUAUUAUCUCCGGUUAGAUUUAAUGUAUACACAUAUUGUACGUAUACUCGUUAUGCAGAAAAUAAUUAUUGUGCUCACUUUCAAGAAUUCAUGGAUUGAUAUUCUAUAUUAAAUUCUAUAACUUAAAAGUACUAUAUAUAACCUUAAAUCUUAUCUAUUAUUACAAAUAUAUGAAAUUUCUCACUUAUCAAUUAAAGAAAUUCAUUAUGCAACUUCAAAAGUUAUAAUUGCCUUCAUGUUCAAGCGUAAUUUCUUUUUUAAAUAUGUUAAUAUUUUUAAAUUUUCUCCUAAGACAUAUCACAAUUGUAUAAUCUAUGGAAUUUAAAUGUUUCUUUUUAUUAGGGAGUGCCUUUGUAUAUAUACUUAUUUUCUCCUUUAUUUUCCUUUUAAUGUUGAUUAAAAAACAAAUGAUUUAUUAUUUAGUGACUAAUUCAUUCAUUUUAGGUUCUUGAGUUAUGUAAUAAUGACAAAUAAUUAAAUUCAUGUUGAAAUAUUGCUAAUAUUUUUUAAGAACCUAUUUUCUUAUAAUUUUUAAUGUAUGUAUAUUAGAAAAAAAAUAUUUGCAAGUUCAAUUAACAUAUUAUUUAUGAUCGUGCAAAGCGCAGACAAAUUACCUAGCAUGUGAUAGUUCUCUAAUUCUGGAGAAGUUUAAUAAUUUUGAAAAAUAAUAUUCAAAAACAUAUAUCUACACCAUAAGGGAAGUUGAGAAUAAAACUAAAUUAAUUUAGUCUACAAUAAAAAUGAAAACAAUACAAACUUUCUCUGGAGUCAUUAUAAGAAAUAUGAACUUUGCUUCAUCAAAAAUAGUGAAAUAUUAAGAAAUAGUAAAUAAGCAAAAUAAAGGCAUAAUACAAAAACAUGAAUCUUAGCUUGGAUUCAACAGAGAAUUAUGCCCUCCAACUUUGUGUAUGGACAAGUGGAUACUUAAUUUGUACAAAAUUGGAUAUGUAGACACAUGUGUCGUACAUAACAUAAUACAUGUAGGACACCACAUAGGUCACAAAAAUUCCAUGUAGGGUGUCAUGUAGGACAGAUGUUUCUAUUUGUUCAAUUUUAUACAAGUUUAAGUAUCUACUUGUGCGCAUACAAAGUUAAAGGUUAUAGUUUCCAGUUAACAUCCAGUUAAGGGUCUUACAAUGUAUAUAUAUAAUAACUAUUUUGAAAAAAACCUCCUUACAAUGUAAACGACCUAAGUAAUAUUGAUAAAUAAAGUCAUUAUUUUAUCUUGGACAUCAAAAAAAGAAAUUGUGACAAUUCUCUAACUUCUGUGAAUUUUAAUAGUUAUGACUUUUUUUGGCAAGCUUAAUUUGAAGAAUAUGAAACAAAACAAAGUCUAAAUUAGAGUAAUAUCUUAAGAUACAAAAAAUUAUGUCUAUUAAUAUAGAUUUGUUGUCCUUAUGACUGUGUCAGGGCAUUGUUGAACAUUUGAGUUAUCUAGGUUAGACUCAUUUUUAAUUUUUUAAUGUCCAGGAAUAUUAUUUAACAUGAGUUUAGAAUCCAACAUUUUGAUCUAUGUGUACUUUCAUAAUGAAACAAUUUUACAUACAUAUUUAUGAAAAAGUCAUAAAGUUGCAUUGAUGAAGUAUCUAGAAGGGUCUUCAGAGCAGCAGUUUAAUGAAGAAUGAAUUUCUAAAAGGGUAAACAACAUUAUUUUGAUGUUGUUUCAAAUUUACUUAUCCCCUUCUAUAAAUUUUGCUAGAGUAAAAAAGUAAUAAUAAUGAAAGUGGUGAACGUUUGACCUUAGACAAGUACAUUGUAAGAAAAAAAUUUAUUCAAGAUCUUGUGGUGUACAUUUUUAACGCUAUUUCUUAUUUAUGACUAAUAUUUAUUAUCGAAAAUUUUUACAUUAUUUUUUUCAAUAGAAGUUAUUCAAACCAUAAAAUUAUUAGAUUAUAUAUUUUUCAUGUACAAAAAAAUAGAAUAAUUGUGUUUAAUCACUACAUAAAAACAUCACUCAGUUUUAACAACACAAUUAUAUAUCAUCAAACAUAUAUUAUGAGAAAUUAUGUCAAAUAUUAAAAAAAUUUAUUAGAUAUCAAGAUAAUUUUAAUCAUUCGUUAUAUAUUUAGAAUUCUUGAAAUAUGUGAUAAUGUCAAAUAAUUUAAUUUAUGUAAAAGUGUUCUUAAAACAUACUAAAAUUCAUUUCAUUUUUAUUAUAACAUUUGAUUAUCGGAACAAUUGUUCAAAAGCAUCGAGGGAUUUAAAUUACCUAGUAUAAAUAAAAUAAAAUAUUUUUUUUGAAGAAUAUUAUCAUUACUUGAGUGACCUUAAUUUUACAAAAACCAAAGUUGAUAGAAAAUAUUACUACUGCCUUUGUCCUAUUUCAUAUGAGUUGGUUUGACUUAUUACAGAGUUUAAGAAAAAAUGAAUUUUGAAUAAUACGUUCUAAAAUAAAUGAAAGACAUUUCUGUUGCUAUAGCUCAUUUCAUUAAGUAUAAAAGGAACACUUUGAAAUUAAAUUCUUAGUCAAUAUAAAAUUGUUUAUUCAUUUUUGGACUGGCUAAAAAGAAAAGUAACUUAUAUAUUGGACAAAGAUAGUAUUUGAGAAACUAUACAAAAAAUUAUCUCAAUAUAUAUUAUAGGGUUUUUGUUUAGUUCAUGAAACUAUACAAAAAAUUAUCUCAAUAUAUUCUUCUUUAUUGCCUAGUACUCAGACAGUACUACUAGCUCGUUCACUUGAAUCAUGUUUCAGUUCACUUGUUUACUUUCCAAGUUUCUAACUGUUUUGCAUAUUAACAAUCUUGCAUAGUCCUCAUUGGCUCUAUGAAGAGUUUGUGGCUGUUGCGAAUGCAAUGUCAUGAUUACAUAUAUAAUCACUAGCAUGUUUUCUGUUCUCAGACUAUCAAGUUACUCUGAAUUCGGAGUAGGAGAAAAAAAAGAACUUUUCAGCAUAUCUUUGUUUUAGAGGAUUUUUGCAAGACAGUUAUGGAGCUAUUUGCAGGAUCAAUUCAAAUAGAGAAACAUGGUAUUGUCGAUUCCAACUUGUUUGAAAUUGAGCCGCAGUAGUAGUAGUUAAUGUUUUAGUCUUUGUAUAAUGCUAUUUUUCAUUUUUUUUGGUUAUUUCCAUCCCAAUUUUACAUUAAUAGUCAGCUUUCUGCAAUCAUAUUAUGUAGAUAGGUGAAUUUUGUUUUAUUGAUAUGCCAAUUACGUACUGAAUCCCUUUAUAUACUUAAUCCAAUAUUUUCAUAUUAUGUUUUGUUAUCUCCGUCACCAAACUCACUGUUUUCCUCUAUUGGGGAUUAGGGCUCAUGCAUGAAAGAUUUAAGUAAUACACAUCAUCAUUAGUGGCAAAGCCCAAUAAAGUCAACUAUCACCAAUCCACUGAAAAAUGUAGAUACUAUGUGUUGUGUUGAAUCCCUAAAUAUUUUUUCAAAUGAUUAAGAUGAUCCACAUUCAUAUUUUUCUAUAAAAAUUAUCCCCCACAAAAAAGAAAAAAGAUUUUUGCAGAGUAUUUUAAAUAAGUCAUGAAGUCAUGUUAUGAAUUAAUAAAUGCAACUGAGUGAAUAUAUAUAUUGUAAUUAGAAGGAUUCUCAGUAUUUUGUUUUGUUAUUUCCAUCACAAAAUUCAUCAAUUUUACAAUAGUAAGCAGCAUACUGCGAUCAUCUUCCUCUAUUGUGGCUUAGCACUAAAAUCUUAUGCACAUAAAGUUUAAAUAAUAUUCAUCGUCAUCAAUGACAGAACAACAUGUAUUCAAAAGGUGUUAAGUUGACGAGCUCAAGAGUUAUGUUGCUUCACACAGGAGAUGCUACACUCAAUAUGGUACGAUUUCAGUUUACUACUUACACUCUCUGAUACUAUUCUUAAGAAUAAAAGUUAAUCACUAAGAAGAGAAAAAUAUUGAAUUCUCAUUUGUUGUGUAAAAUUUGCUAAUAAAUCAAGUUCGACUUUAAAUCUAGCUAUAAUAAGGUCUAAACUUCUCUUGAGUAGCUUUAUAACCACUAUUGUCUUGCCAGCAACCGAUUCAAUUGACAACAAUAUUUGUUUUACAAAAUGCCUAUUAUGAAAUGCUUAUUUGACAUCUAUCUGAUGCAUUUUCCGGCCACGUUGUGCAUAAGUAGAAAUAAUUAAGAAGCAAUCUGAUUGUGUCGAUCCUAGAAACUAGAGCAAAAGUGUAAAAAUAACCAUUGACUCCAAGCCUGGUUUUAUGCCUGUUGGUUGAACCAUCAACAUUUAGCUUCGCUCGAAAGUCUAGAGGCAUCUCUAAAACUGAACCAUUUAUAAUUAUGUAGAAGUAUCAUGUUAUUCGAUUCCUUCUUUGCUAACUUGGACAAAUUUUGAGCCUGUUGGUAGACUAGUUGCUAGGCUAAUGUGCUGAACAAGAGGAUUUUGUGGUGGAAGACACUUGGAAAAGUCCCGCAGGUAAUCGUUGUAAGCAGAAUAUUUGGCAUUAUAGUUAUAUAAUUUAUGUGAACUAAAUAUGGAUUUCCUAUUUAAUAUUGUAGAAAAAUUUUCAAGCAUUGUAACUUGAACUUAGUAUAGCGAUGUAUUUUGUUUGAACUAAUUAAGGAUGCCCUAUUCGUGAAGAAAAAAAAUCAAAUAUGGUUUGGACGUCUAUGAAAAUUUUUGGCAAAAAUGACGGCGGAUCACCACAAAAGAUGGUGAACUGUAGUACACGAAAAUUGUUAAAAUUGGGGGUUUACCUGCUCCGGGGCUCGUUUGACCUUGAAAACAAGUCGUUUUGCCGUUAGGGACAAAUGGCUUCAUACCUAACAUCUUAACAGAGGCUCUCGAAAAAUUUGGAAAAAAAUGACUACAGAAUUUUAUAUCACCAAAAAUCAAUGGACUAUAGCACGCAAAAAUUGACAAAAUGUGUGUGUGUGUGGGGGGGGGGUUACAUGCUCUAGGGAUCGUAUGAACUUGAAAAUGGAUCGUUUUGGCCUUCAGGUCCCACUAUCUCCAUAGAUAACGUGUUAAUGGACGUCCACAAAAAUUUUGAGAAAAAGUUACGUUUGAAUUCAGAAUCACCAAAAAUCCAUGCACUAUAGUACACGAAAAUUGGCAAAAUGGGGAUUUACCUGCUACAAGGCUCAUUUGACCUUGAAAAUGGGUCGUUUUGGACAUCAGGGCCAAUUGUCUCCAUAUAUAACAUUUCAAUGGACGUCAACAAAAAAUUGAGGAAAAAAUGACGGCGGAAAUCAUGAUGACCAAAAAAAUGGUGAACUAGCACACGCAAAUUGGCAAAAUGGGGUUUUUACGUACUCUAGGGCUUGUUUAACUUUUAAAGUAGGUCGUUUUAGCCAUCACGACCACUUGGCUCCAUUGAUAAUGUCUUAAAAACGUUCACAAAAAAUUUGGACAAAAUAAUGUCGGAAUUCCAAUUCACCGAAAACCCACAAACUAUUUUCAAAUGUUUUAGUCAAAAUCCAAUGACAGUAUUAAUAAAUACAAAAAAUUUGUAUAAAAUUAUCCAAAUCUCAGAUACGAAUAUUUUAUGUCACUAGUUUAGAUAUUUGAAUCCAUAGUUCAAAUAUGGCUUGUUAAAAUCCAAAUUAUCUUUCACACUGUCUGUAUUUAACUUCCGAAGAAUUUCUUGGAUAAAUGCAUAUGCAUGUAUAUUUAAAAAUAUUAUAAAAUGAUUAUUAAUUAUCUAAAUUUAAUAUUUUUCUAAAUAUAAAUGAUCCCACCCCGCCCAUAAUAAUAAUAAUUUAUUUCGUAGAAUGUUUUUAAAUAAUGUCCGAAGUCAUGUUUGAAUUAAUGAAAUACUAUUGUGUGAAUUUAUGUCAUAGUGAGAAGAUUUUUCAUAUUUUUUUUGGUUAUAUCCAGCAUUAAAUUCACCAGUUUUACGUUAAUAGUCAGUCAACUACAGUCAUAUUAUGUAGAUAGGGGAUUUUUUUAUAUUGAUAUACAUAUUAUGUAUUGAAUCCCUUUAUGUACUUACUCCUAUAUUUUCAUAUUAUGUUUUGUUAUCUCCGUCACCAGAUUCACCGUUUUCAUCUACUAGGGAUUCGAGCUUAAUGUUUAUGCACAUGUAAAGUUCAAGUAAUAUGAAUACACACCUUAUGGUAUAUAUAAACCUUAAAACAUGUCAUAUUUUUUUAUAUUCCCGUCACGGACUUCACUAGUCUUUUAUUUAUUGUUAGUCUACUGGAAUUAUUUUUCUUUAUCGAGCAUUAGGACUAAAAGAUCAAGCACGUAAAAUUUAGGCAUAAUACAUUUAUUGAACCCUAAACUUGAUUUGAAAUUUUAUCUUUGACCUCCAACUUUUAUAAUGCACAUACAUACACUUUAACUAUCCAACUUUUAAAUAAAUAAAUAAAUGAGUCCUACAUGACACAAUACAUGUAGGACACCACGUAGGACAAAAAAUGACAUGUAGGACAUGUGUGUAUAUUUAUUCAAUUUUAUACAAGCUUAAGUGUCUAUUUGUGCAUAUCCAAAGUUGUAGGGUAUAAAUGUGAUUUGAAGCCAAGUUAAACGACACAUUUAUGUAUUAUGCAUCAAAUUUAAGUAAUACACAUCAUCAUUAGCGACGAAGACUGAUAUAUUAAAAAAGCGUCAACUAUCACUAAUUAAAUGAAAAAUACAGAUAUUAUGUGUUAUGUUGAAUCCCUAAAUAUAUAUAUCAAAUAUUUAAGACGAUCAACAUUCAUAUUAUUUCUAGAAAAAUUUUUCCCUUAUAAAAAAAAAUAUUUUUCUAGAAUGUUUUAAAUAAGUCCUAAAAUCAAGUUAAGAAUUAAUAAAAUCUAAAAUCAUGUUAUGAGUUAAUAAAAUACUAUUGAGUGAAUAUAUAUAUUGUAAUUAGAAGGAUUUCUAGUAUUUUGUUUGUUAUUUCUAUCACAAAUUCACCAGUUUUUCAUGAACAGCAGGCCUGCUACAAUCAUAUUCCUCUAUCAUGUCUUAGCACUAAAAACUCAUGCACAUAAAGUUUAAAUAAUAUUUUGUUGUUCAUCUUCUAUUUCAAAUAUACUUAGAACAAAACAUUGAACAUCUUUGUGAGACAACAAAGUUUAAGAACAUUUUCACAACUAGAAAAUUAAAAACUAGCAGAGAAACUAGAAUCAGAAAUAAAUUUAAUAUGUGUCUAAAGAAUCUUACUGAUUCCAACAAACUUUGCAGAAACACAAAUUUACCAUGUUUAAUGAACCAGUAAAGAAAAAAAGAAAAGAAUAACUGAAAUUAAUUCACAAAUCUUAUAUUUGUAAAACACGUAUCAGAAUCUGGAAAACUUUUAAUAGGAAAAAUAUCAAGUCCACUGAAUUCACAGUGUCCCCUUAAGAAAAUUGUUCCCCUCUAGUAUCCGAGAUUUGAUUUGGAAUAUGACCUCCCAGGGUAAAAUGAUCUCAAUCACCAGAGUAUAGAUACCUAAAACUCCGGUGUCACCGAAUCACUCAACGGCAAUAAAGUGCACUUCGAAUACUAGAUUUAGUAGUUGAAGAAGAAGCCUAUGAAUUCUAUAUUAAAUGAGAAAAAAUUCCUCAAUUUAUAGAAAACAAAUGGUAGUACGAAAAGAUUCUUGUUGUGCCUUACCGGAAAGGUCACAAACCUUUGAAAAAGUUACAAUCUUUCAGAAAGGUCGUCACCUUUCAUAAAAGUCAAAAUUUUCCAUUAAAGUCACAAUUUUUCAUAAAAGUCGCAAACUUGUCAUAAAAUUCACAAUUUUUCAUAAAAGUCGCAACAUUUCAUAAAAGUCAUAACUCUUCAUAAAAGUGGCAACUCUUCAUUUUCUAUUCACACCUUUUUAAAACAAAAUAAUCCCCCGUAUGAAUGGGGAAUGACUCGAAGACAAAGAAACGGACAAGCAUGUGUACUUUACAAGCAAUAACUAAUUGCAUCUGGAUAAGAAGAUUUUUUCUUGGACUUUUCGUAGUGAACAUAUGUCGGACAUACUCGGUCAAUCGGUAGAUGCGAUAUCUUUGAACCGUCGAACUUUGGUGUAUACCUAGACAACUAUAUGUCACAAAAUUAACUCUUUACCAUUUAUGAUUCUUACGAUUGUGUUCGUUUUAGCCAUGAACACCUCCUGGUUUCAUGAGUGUAUAGAGAUAUGGGUUUUUGACAAUCAUUAUUCUUAAAGCAGCUUACACUUCACACUCACAUAGGUGAUUCCUAACCGUGUUAUCGCGUAGAUACACUUUUUGGUCAACUCUACUAAACUUAGAAAAUCAUUAAAACCAUUAAGCUUUAUUAAGUUAUUAACAAGCCUUAAUGUUGUAUCCUUUUCUCUGAGCAUUGUCUUCAUCAUGAGAAUGGAUUGAGUUUGUUGACAAUGUCGAACGGUCAUUCAUAACUUUAUUUUUCUCCUUGAAUCUAGAUCUUGGGAUCUCCAGUCUACUAGAUAGAGUUACCCCCAUGAUGACUUGUCCUAAGCCAUAAAUUUAUUCCCUUAGAUGAUCUUUUAACUUCCUCUCUAGUUAGGCCUUUUUGUAAGUGGAUCCGACACAUUAUCCUUUGACGUUACAUAGUUAAUUCUUAUAAUUUCACUAGAGAGUAGUUUUGAAAUGGUAUCAUAUCUAUGUCGUAUAUGACGAGACUUUACUUUAUACGUCAUGCUCCAUGCCCUACCUAUUGCAUCUUACUAUGAAAGUGUACGCAUACUAAUGACAAUGGUUUGAGCAAAACUAGAAUAUCUAUCAAGAAAUUCCGGAGUCUUUCAACUUAUUCACCGACAUUAUCUAGAGCACCUAGAUCAAAUAUCAUUGUAGAGCUAUCGAUACAUGUCUCUUUUGAAAUAUUUCUAAGAGACUGCUCCUCUACCAAUAGUAAAUACAUAUCCACUCAUGAAUUUUACUUCAUUCUUCCGAUGAGUCAAUUUGCAUCACUAUAUCUUUCAAUAUUGUUGGAUAUUGUUAUAAUCCAAGACAUAGUUUUAAGUAUUAUUUUAAGUACUCUAAAACUCUAUUUAUUGUCAUCUAAUGAAUUUAUUUGGGAUCACUUGUGAACCGACUUAGUUUAAAAUAGCAAAUGCUAUAUCUGAUCGCACACACUAUAUGAUAUAUACAUCAUGCUUCCCAGAACUCUAGCACUAUUCAAUUGUGAGUCACUUUUGUUUUCACUCUUUUGAAAUGCAAAGCUCACAUUUAUUGGAGACUUGACAAUAUUGACAUCCAAAUAUUUGAACUAGUUAAGUACCUUUUCAAUGCAAUGAGACCGUGAAAAUGCUAAACAUUAUGGAGUUCUACGAAUUAUUAUAUCUAAGAUCGCAUUAGCAACUUCAAUAAUUUUCAUUCCACUCUCUUUACAGCAUAGGUUUAGUAGCAUUUAUGUCAUUAGUGUCUAUUGAUGAUCAACAUAUCACCAAUAUACAAACAAACAAUGACCUUAUGAUUUUAAUGUGAACACAUUUAUCACUUCCAUCAUACUUCAAUCCAUUUGCCGACAUGGGUUGAUCAAAUUAUGUCAUUGUUUGGAUGCUUCCAUAAUGUGACUUAACAAGUUUACACACUUUCUUUUAUUUACCAGGAAUCACAAAACUCUCGGGUUGUUCCAUGUUAAUUUCUUCCUUCAAUUCUACAUUUAAGAAAGUUCUUUUCACAUUCAUUUGAUUAAAUUGGAGGUCAUAUACCACACUAAUAAUUUUUGCAUCCAAGUGGAUGUAAUUCUAAUUACUAACGAGUAAAUAUAUCGACAAGAUCAAAAUCUUGUUUUUUAUUUUGUCUAAAGUCUUUGACACAAAGUCUUGCUUUAUAUUUUUCAACAGUUCCAUCAACUGUUAUUUUCCUUAUCAUGAUUCACUUGAACCCAAAGGUUUAUUUUCUUGAAGAAGACUAAUUAAAUUCCAAUAUUGUUUAUUGACAUAAUCUUUCCUAAGAGUGAGUCUACAGAAGAUACAAGAAAUGUUACAAAAUCAUAUUCAAAGAAAGUAAAUGUCCUUUAACAUUUACUAAGCCUCUGAAUCUCUUUAUUAGUACAUUAUCUUUUUCAUUUCCUAGGACUUUUAGACCCUUCUCUAGACUACUCAAGUCUAAUUUUAUUGUCCACAGUCAUAGGUCCUAUUUUAAUUAUUUUAGGAAUACGAACUUGGACUUUGACUAGAUACCCCUACACUUUGAAAUAUUUCAAGUUGGAUUUCCUCCCUUUCCAUUUUUCAUAUGGAAAAGAUUGUAUUCUGAUCAAACAAAAUCACUUUCUUUCUAAAAAGACAAAAAAAAUUUGUUGUUCUCUUUUGUAGUAAGGAUAUUCGUCCACACACGUUUUGCGUAAACCCGAACUUAUAAAUAAUGCAUCCAUCAUUUCAUUCAACGUUCGGUUUUUCAUUAGAUUGAGGUGAAAAUGCUAGUAGUUUGAUGGAUAUUCCAUUUUUCAAACAUAUUUCUGCAUAAUGCGAUUUAUACUUUCCAUUCUUAUCACUUCUUAUAUUUUUUCCACACUGAUUUUCAACUUCGAUAUUACAUUGUGUAGACAUUUCUAUUUCUUCAUCCUUACCAUUCAGUAAAUAGACAUAGUCAUUUAUAAUGCAAUUCUCAAUAAAAGAAACAAAUACUUUUUCCCACCAUGAGAUGGUGUUAACUUCAUAUCACAAAUGUUAGUGUAAAUCAAUUCUAAGGGAUUAGAAUUCCUUUCAACAAAUUUAUAAGAAUUCUCAACAUACUUAGAUUCCACAAAAACUUGACAUUUUUAUUUAUUGCACUAAAAGUUAGGCAAAACUUCAAAGUUGAUCAUUUUUCAUACAAUGUUUUGUAAUUGACAUGACCCAAGUGUUCAUGUCACAAACAUUGACUCAAGCAAGUAAGUACAAAUAAAAAUAUUGAGUUUGAAAAGCUCUUUGCGAGGUAGAUUUUUCCUCACUAAUAUUUUGUUCCUAUUUCUUACAAUUUUGUGUGAUACAAACGUUGUUUAGAUUGUCAAAUGUCCUUUUCAGAAAGACAUUUCCAUACUUUCAAUGUGAUUGUUAUAGAACUACCGAUGAACAAUGUUUCAUCGGGUUCAGUAAAGACAAUAUAGACCAUAUGUUAUUUUUACAAAAACAUAACAAACGACUAUUCACCAAUAUUCAUGUCUAUGCAAAUACUUUUAUUAUAAUGGACAUAUUUUUUCACGAAAAAUCACAACAUUUGAAGUGAUUUUUUUUCAUAAAAGAACACAAUUAUUUUGAACAAGUAUAAAUAUAUAAUUUGGAUGUUUCAUACUAGUCACACUAUUUACUAGUAAUAGAGAAACUCAACAACGGCAAUACCGAUAUACUCCAAGAAUUUUGUGAGUAUAAUAUAAUACAAAAGUAUCAUUGAAUUUCAUAUCUUUUGCUCCAAAGUUAAAUUAGACACCAAGUCUAAUCAUAAACAAAUAACCCCAACAUUUCAAAUGUAACAUCAAAAAUAUUUUUCAAGUAUUUGAAAAUAAUUUUUCCACAUAUUUUAAUGUUGGAAACAUUAUUCUACGAAAAAAUUAUAGUGCUGCAAUUCUCUUUGACAAUGUUUACACAAUGUCAAAGUUCAUUCCAUAGAGACAAAAAAUCACAAAUUCUAAGUCACUGAUAUUUUUCCUCUAUCAUAAAUAGACAUACCACUUAGUAUUUUAAAUACUAACAAUAAGGACAAAAAAAUGAACAAUUUAUUUCUAUAUUAUAUUGAAGUUUAUAGAAGAUCAAAAGUACAACACUGACUUAGUAUGUGAUGUUUUCAUAUUCUUCAAACCUAUUUCAUAGUCCAAUUUAUACAGAGUAUAAAAUCACAAAAGUUAUUAAUCUAGAAAAAUCAGACACAUUAACAUUUCUCAUGGAGUACAAAACUACAAAAGUUUUUUUUUCCUCCAAACAAAACAACACAUAUUCUUUAUCACAUAGAAAUGUUUUUCUUAUCAAAUAGUCUUCCAACGAUAACAUUGUAACAUACUAUUUUAUGAAACAAAAAUAUGCAUUUCUCAUUUUUUGCAAACUAAAAAAUUUUAAAAGCAAAAAAAUUUGCGAAGUAAAAUUCAUUCCACAACAUGUGAUUUGUCGAUCUUUUUCCAAAGAGACACAUAAUAAAAAAAAUUAAAGAUGAUAACUCUUAGAAACUAUUUUCCUCCUUAGAUAAUUUAAUAAGAAAGUUACCUGAUAACCUUUAAAAAGAAUACCAUAAAAAUUUUCUGUUACAUUCUCAUUUCGACCUUACUAGACAAAGCAACAAAUUAUGGAGAAGUAAUGCAUUUAUUUUCUACUUCCAAGAUCAUAUUCUCUCAAUCAGUGGAAUACAAAAAAUACCAACAUUAUAAUAAUUUCCUUAAGAUUGUUGUUCAUGUUGUAUUCCAAACAUAUUUAGAACAAAAUUUUAAAUAUCUUUGUAAGACAACAAAGUUUAAGAACAUUUUCACAACUAGAAAAUUAAAACUAGCAGCGAAAUUAGAAUCAGAAACAGAUUUUAAAAAAAGUAUAUGAAAUAUUUUUCUUAAAGAAGAAUAGUUGUUAAUAUGUGUCUAAAGAAUCUUGCUAAUUCGAACGAACAUUGCAGAAAGUGAAGAACAAAAGAAUAGAAGAACUGAAAUUAAUUCACAAAUCUAAUAUUUGUAAAACACGUAUCAGAAUCUGGAAAACUUUUAUUAGGAAAAAGAUCAAGUCCACUGAACUCACAGUGUCCCCUUAAGAAGAUUAUUCCCCUCUAGUAUCCGAGGUUUGAUUUGGAAUAUGACUUCCCAGGGUAAAAUAAUCUCAAUCACCAGAGUAUAGAUACAAAAAACUCCGGUAUCAGCGAACCACUCAACGGCAGUAAAGUACACUUAGAAUACUAGAUUUAGUAGUUGAAGAAGAAGCCUAUAAAUUCUAUAUUAAAAUGAGAGGAAAUCCCUCAAUUUAUAUAAAACAAAUGGUAGUGCAAAAAGAUUCUUAUUGUGCCUUACCGGAAAUUAUGAAACAUUAAUGUGAAGAUACAAAAAAGAUUCUUUUCCAAUAUUUUGAUUUCGUUUAAAUUUCCCGAAAUUAUGAAACAUUAAUGUGAAGUUCAUGAAUCUGUCAAGCCCUUAGUAUAGUUUAUCUUUUACUAUAUAAUUAUAUAUGAAUUUAUCCCAUUAAUUUAAAUUUGUUAUUUCUUUUAGUUUUAAUCCGUUAGAAAACUUUUCAUGUACUCUAUUUAGUUUUAUCACAUAACAUUUUUUAAAAAAAUAUAGGAUGCAGUUUUAAUUGAUUUGCAAGUAAUUUUGAUAAGUGUAUUACUAUUCAAAUUAUAUCAUACAAUUGAAAACAUUCGAUUCUUAUAGUCGAUUGCAUAUUUGAGGCAACAAUGUCAAUGAACCAUUUCGUGGUAGUUUACCUAUCAGGUGAUGUUGAUUGAUUAGUUAAAAUUGUUGUGCCUUUAUUUUGUUAUUUUUUAAAUUUAUCUUACACUUUAAUAUUUUUAAGUGCAUGUAUUACUAUAGAAAAAAUAUGUUAUAUAUGACAUUAUAUACUUGAGGUUUAAUAAAAAAUUUGAAGUUAUUAGUUUAAUGUGUUGUUGCAAUGCAUGAAAAAUAUUGAUUGUCAUGUUACAUUCGAUAUAUAUAUAUAUAUAUAUAUAUAUAUAUAUAUACUAUUUUACUAAUUAUUUAUGUUAAAUUCAAAAAAGAAAUGACUCAGACGUUUAAAUCAGAUAAAAAGUAAUCUUCCUUUCAAAUUCAUAUAACUCAUAUUAUUUUCUUAAAAAAAUUACUUAACAUGAAAUAUACGUGCGUUGAACGUAUUCGAGAACUAGUGUAGAUUAUAAGAGCCAAAGCAAACAGGAAAUGAGUCCCAUAUAUAACUAUACGGACAUACUUUGUUGAAAGUUUGUAAGAGAAUUAUUUUCUUUGUUCAGUUUAUUGUGAGUUGAAAUAUCAUGUCAUUAUGAUAAUUUCUUUGACCCAUAAGAGGAAAAUAUACUACUAACAAACCUCUUUAAUUUCUUCUUUUAUAAAAACAACAAAUGCAAUAUUCAUUUAAUUAUAGCACCUAAAAGACAAAUUCAGCACCUUUAGUCAACAUUCAUUGACAUUAGUAUAUAAAAGAUGUAUAAAAUUUAUUCAAAGCUCAGUUACUAAUAUCUAAUGUCACUAUUAUAGAUAUUUGUCAUAGUUCAAAUAUGGCUUGCUAAAAUUCAAAUUAUCUUUCACAUUGUCUGUAUAUAUAACCUCCAAAGAAUUUCUUGAUUAACGUAUAUCCAUAUAUAUUUAAAAAUAUUAUCAAAUGAUUAAUAACAAUCUAAAUUUAUCUUUUUUUCUAAAAUAAACAAUCCCACCCCGCCAAAAUAAUAAUAAUUGAUUUUGUAGAAUGUUUUUUUAAUAAUGACUAUAGUCACGUUAUGAAUUAAUGAAAUACUAUUUAGUAAAUAUAUGUCGUAGUUAAAAGAAUUUUCAUAUUUCGUUUUGUCAUUUCCACCACUAAAUUCACCAGUUUUAUGUUAAUAGUCCCCCUAUUUCAAUUGUAUUAUGUAUAUAGGUGAAAGUUAUUAUUGAUAUGCAUAUUACAUAUUCAAUCCCUUUAUAUACUUAAUCCUAUAUUUUCAUAUGAUGUCAUGUUUUUUCCAUCACCAAAUUCAUUGUUUUCCUCUACUGGAGAUUAGGGCUUAAUACUUACGCAUACAUAAUUUUAAAGUACCAUCAAUAAUUACGUUAUGGUACAUUAUAAACCUUAAAUCAUGACAUAUUUUAGUUUGUUAUUCCCAUCACCAAAUUCACCAGUCUUUUAUUGAUUGUUAGCCUACUGCAAUUGUUUUUCUUUAUCGAGCCUUAGGACUAAAAGCUCAUGCACAUAAAAUUUAAGUAAUACACGUCAUCAUUAGUGGCAAUGCCCGAUAUAUUAAAAAAGAGUCAACUAUCACCAUUUCACUAAAAAAAUAUAGAUACUAUAUGUGUUGUGUUGAAUCCCUAAAUAUUAUGUCAAAUGAUUAAGACGAUCCACAGUCAUCUUUUUUCUAUAAAAGUUACCCCUCACAAAAAAAAAGAUUUUGUAGAUUAUUUUAAAUAAGUCUUGCAAUCACAUUGUGAAUUAAUAAAAUAGUAAUGAGUGAAUAUAUGUUGUAAUUAGAAGGAUUCUCAGUAUUUUGUUUUGUUAUUUCCAUCACAAAUUAAGCUGUUUUAUGUUAACAGUCUAACAUACUGCAAACAUCUCCUCUAUCGUGGCUUAGCACUAAAAUCUCAUGCACAUAAUGUUUGAAUAAUAUUCAGCAUCAUCAAUGACACAACAACAUGUAUUUAAAAGGUGUCAACAUAUACCACGGCAAUGCAAAUAUAUAUUGUGCUGAUAUGUGAAAAGUUUUAUCACAACAAUAAAAUCCGCUUUUAGCGACAAAAAAUGUACACAUUUACAAAAAAUGCAAAUAUAUUUACCAGUAUUAGUUAUUUUUCAUUAUAUCCAAUGUCGUUAAAUGCUUUAGGGACAUUUACAAAGAGUGUUAAUUGAUGCUAAGUGACAAUUAAGCUAUUGUGGUUAAUUAAUUGCAGCUAAAGAUCAUUUUUGGUGUACUGACAUAAAAUGUAUUGAAUCCCUUUAUAUAUUUACUCGUAUAUUUUUUCAAAUUUUGUUUUUGUUAUCUCCAUUACCAAAUUAGCGGAUUUUACGUUAGAAGUCAACCUACUGCAAUCGUUUUCCUCUAACAAGGAUUAGGAUUGAGCUCAUGUCUGUCCUGAUUUCAAUAUUUACCUUGUGGUACAAUAUUAACCUUUCAACAGGAUAUAUAUAGUUUUGUUAUUCCCACUAUCGAAUUCACCUAAUAUUUUUCAUUGACUAUUAUUCUAGUGCAAUUGUUUUUUUCUAUCAAGGCUUAGGACUUAAAACUCAUUCACGUAAAAUUUGAGUCAUAUACAUCAUUAUGAUCAAUAGCUAGCAGAGCCACAUGUAUUCAAAAAAAGUCAACUAAUACCAGUUCACAGAAAAUGUUUAUAUACUAUGUGUUGUGUUAAUCAAUAAAUAUUAUAUCAAAUGAUUAAUGACGAUUUAAUUUCAUAAUUUCAGUGCAUUAUCUUAAAAUUAACUUUCCAGGUAAGUAUUCAUUUGAUAAACCUCAAUAAUUUCUUCUUACUUAAAAAUAAAAAAGGGAAUAUUCAUUUAAUUAUUGCACUUAAAAGUCAAAUUCAACAACUUUAGUCAUAGUUCAAUUGAUUCUAUUAAUAAAUAUUAUAUCAAAUGAUUAAUGAUGAUUCAAAUUCAUAAUUUGAGUAAAUUAUCUUAAAAUUAACUUUUCACGAAAAAUAUUUAAUUAAUAAACCUCAUUAAAUUCUUCUAACUUAAAAACAACAAAGGCAAUAUUCAUUUAAUUAUUGGACUUUAAAGUCAAAUUCAGCAACAUUAGUCAAAGUUCAAUUGAUUCUGUUAAUAAAUAUUAUAUCAGAUGAUUAAUGACGAUUCGAAUUCAUAAUUUGAGUAAAUUAUCUUACUAUUAACUUUCCAAGAAAAAUAUUGAAUUAAUAAACCUCAUUAAUUUCUUCUUACUUAAAUUAAAAAAAAGGCAAUAUUCAUUUAAUUAUUUCAUAUAAAAGUCAAAUUCAGCAACGUUAGUAAAAGUUUAAUUGAUUCUAUUAAUAAAUAUUUGUAAUCUUUAGUAAAAUUUAUUCAACGCAUUACUAAAUUAUGUUAAAUAUCACUAUUUCAAUCUGUCUAUAUAUAACCUCCGAACCAUUUCUUGGAAAAACAUAUAUUUUUUUUAAAAAAAAUAUCAAAUGGAAGAUUCAACUAUCAUUGAAAGAGUAGAGUUGUUGGUUUCACCACUUGGUGGAAUUCCACAACGAAGAGUUUCCCAUUUUUUAGGCCCAAUUGCUACUUCGACUGAAGUACCAAAUUUGAAAUAUCAUUGAAUCCACUUUCCAUUUAAUCAAUCUGAGUAACCAUUGAAAGUCACGUUUCAUGGUUGCAAUGGAUGGAGGGAUCAACAAAAGAAAUGGAAAUAAUGGGUUGAAAUGAUAGCGUCUAUCCAUCUCUUGUAUUGAUAGUUGUAGGAAUUUAUGGAGCGCUAAAAGGUUCAACUUAUAGAGUCCAUACCGACGAAAAUUUAAUAUUUGGGUUGGUAGAGAGGUGUUCUUGUGAGACAAAUAGUUUAAUGUUUCCGUGGGGUGAAGCUACUAUUAGUCUUGAAGACAUUAUGGUUUUUGGAGUGUUUUCUACUUUGGGUGAUUGUGUUAUGUCCCCACCCUUCAAUCCCCUGAGUUGGUAGAGAUUGUAGAGUAUCUUGAGAAUGCGAGAGGAGAACUUAUCAUAUCAAAGAUAAAUAAUCGGAGUAGUUGGUUGAAUUACUUCAUGAAUAGUGGUAAGGACUACGAACACGAAGCUUUUCUUUCUCUUUGUUUAUCAAGAUUUGUGUUUCCAUGUAUAGUAGGUUCUCCUAUAUUCUCGAUAGAUGUUAAUAUGGCUAGAGGUAUGCGGCUAGUGCUUUCUCCUGGUGUUCUUCCUAGUAUAUAUAGGGACUUGGGGUUGUUGAGAAUGGUUAUGAUAGAGACAGGUAGAAGAAAUAAAGACAUAGUUGAGAUUCAUAAACUUAAUCUUUGGUUGUCAUUGUUCUUUGUUCAAGUCUGGGCUUGGGAGAGGAUAUCUUUGCAGCUAGAGCGCGCUCGAAAUUACAAUUUAGUUAGUGGGGUCAGAAUAGGAUAAUGGUACAAUGUGAAACAAACGGUGAAAUUAAUUUGAGGACUACUAUUGAUGCAGCUGGGGAAAUUUUUAUGUGAAGGGCAUACGCCUUGGCUGUGGAAGGUUAAUCAAUUUUUCCCAAGUUCUACAAGGAAAAUGAACAGUGGACAACAGUUGGAGGGCAAAAUUUGUAUCAAGAAAUGGAGUCUUACGUUUGAUGCUUGAGGGUGUCUGAGCUUGUGGGUGUAGAUUUUCAAGAGCCUUAUCGACCAAAUCGGGUAGCAAUGCAGUUUGGGUAUGAUCAAGACUUCCCGAAAUGGAUUCCAAGCUCGCCUUCAAGUUCAGAACUUGCCUGGUACAACUACAGCACACCUAUUGCUUCUGAUUUGAGGUUAUACUAUCCAUCUAGGCUGUUUGAACCGGAUGUAACAACACGAUAUUUGAAAUGGUGGAGAAACAAACUGAUCGACAAGUGGAGAAUUGCCUUGAUGUUCCUACUGGUAUUCCUCCCAAUUAUUGUUGGAAAAAUGACUAGAAGAAUUACCCUAAUGUUCCUCCUGGUUUUCCUCCCCAUUAGUGUUGGAAAAAUGACAAGAAGAACUACUCUGAUGUUUCUCCUCGUUCUAUGCAGAAGCAUAUUGCAGAGAAAACAGUCCACACAUCCAUUGAUGGCAGUGGGAGUAGCAGUGCAAGAAGCAUGGAAAGGAGCAAAGCUUUUGUUCUAACAACAACGUGUACCAAAAUAAGUGAAGGCAAUAUGGCAAUGGGAAACCAUGAAAAAGAGAGCGGUGCAUAUGAUAUGAUUGAUAUUCUUAAACUUUAGAGAAGGAUUAAAAACCUUGAAAACAUAACUUCUUUAAAGGUUCCAAUAUUCAGGACAAAGUGAAAGCAAGAUUAAGCUAAACUAUAGUGCUAAUAUAAAGUGUUUGUUUAGUUUAUGAAGUUAUAUAUUAUAUUCUUCUUUAUUUCCUAGUACUGAGACAAUACAAGUAGCUCAUUCUUCUGUUUAUAUCCUUUUGUAACUAUCUUAGCAUUAGUAAAAAACAUUCACUUGAAUAAUGUUUCAGUUCACUUGUUUACUUUCCAGGUUUCUAACUGUAUUGCCUAUUAACAAUCUUACAUAGUCCUCAUUUAGCUCUAUGAAGCGUUUGUGGCUGUUGCGAAUGCAAAGUCAAGAUUACAGAUAAAAUCACUAGUAUGUUUUUGUUCCCAGACUAUCAAGUUACUCAAAACUUGGAGUCGAAGAAAAAAACAGACUUUUGAGCAUGUCUUUGUAUAAGAGGAUAUUUGCAAGACAAUUAUGGAGCUAUUUUGCACGAUUAUUUCAAAUGGAGAAACAUGGUAUUGUCGAUUCCAACUUGUUUGAAUUGAGACGCAAUAGUAGUGUUGGAAUUAGUGCAUCAAUGUUUAGUGUUGUGAAUUUUUCUCUUAGUGUUUGAAGAAGUCUCUUUAGAAUUUCGUAGUACAUGUAUCUAGUAAAUUCUGAUACAUGUAGUUAGUUAUUUGUGCAAACUUUUUGUAUUCUAUUUUGAGUAGUAUAAAUAGUGAUGUAGUUGGUGAUUGUAAUCAUCUCAAGUGGCUUUAAGUAGCCUAUGAUAAACUUGAGCAUUCUCUAAAUAUACUAUUUUCCAUCAAUAUUUUCUACAAAUUUGUAUCAAGAGCAGGUUUUCGUUCUUCGUCUGGGGUUUGGUGAAGAAAAAGUAUGGAAUCCAAAACAAAUGAAAGUGUUGAUUCUUCAGUUGUUCUUAUUCCAUUUUUUAAUGGAACUGAUUUUGUAUACUGGAAGAUAAGAAUGAGAACACAUUUUAAAGCUGAAGGUUUGUGAAUUAUUGUUGCAAAUGGUUUUGAAGAGCAAGUCAACGAUGAUGAUCUUACAACAGUAGAGAUGAAAAAUCUUGAGGCUAAGUAUCGUCAAGUUUGAAAAGCCUUGAACAUAAUCCAAAUGGGAGUCUGAAGAACAUAUUUUGCAAAAACUGCUACUUGUGAGACUGCAAGGGAAGCUUGGGAUUUUUUGAAAACUGAGGUGCAUGGUGACAAAAAGGUACGCACUAUAAAUCUUCUAACUAUUAGAAGAGAGUUUCAAAAUUUAAAGAUGAUAGAAUCUAAAUUUUUUUUUGAUGAAUAUUGCACAAGAGUCAUGAAUAUUAUUAAUGAAAUGAGAAAUCAUAGUGAUAUAAUUUCUGGCCAAAAAGUUAUGAAAAAGAUUCUUAUUAGUUUCACAGAAAAAUAUGAGUACAUCGUUGCUAUCAUUGAGGAGACGAAAGAUUUUUCUAAGUUAUCCAUCAAAGACCUAGCUGGAUCAUUUUGUGCACAUGAGAAGUGGAGAUUUUUUUGUGAAGAUCAACCAAAAAAGACAACUUUCCAGUCUAAAACAAAUGAGAAUUAUUAAAAUUUCUCAAAAAAUCAUCAGAAGAAGAAUCACAAGCCAAAAAAGAAGCAGGAUCAUGAUGGUUCAUCCAAGAAGGUUGAAGAAAAAGAUGAGAAAACUAUAGUCUUUUUUAUUAAGUUUGCAAAAAGACUAAUUACAAUGCAGAAAAACGUUGGCACAAAGGCAAGCCCCAAAGUAACUUUUGUAUAAAUUUUGGCCACGUUGAAAAGGAUUGUUGGCACAAGAAAUGAGAUCAAUCAUAUUUUUAUGAAAACAGGAGGAAGAAAGAGAAGAAAACCUUUUCUUUGCUUCUAAAUCUGAUGCUUCAACAAAACGAAAUGAAUGGUAUGUUUAUAGUGGUUGUAGUAAUAACAUGACUGGAGAUUAAAAGGCUUUCCUCUCAAUUUAUAAUAGCAUCACUACUAAAGUGAAGAUGGGGAAAUUGAGCCUUAGUUGAUGCGAAAGGUAAAGGUACUAUUUUGAUCAACAUUAAACGAUGCAGUAAGCAAAUAAAUGAUGUUCUUUAUGUUCCUGACUUGGAAGAAAAUAUUCUUAGUGUUGUUCAACUCAUGGAAAAUUGUUAUUCUCUUGUGCUUAGAGAUAAUUAUUGCAAGAUUUAUGAUAAAAUUGAGCCAAAUCAAGUCAUUGUUAAUGUAAAGAAAAUAAAUAGAAACUUCCCUUUGCCAUUUCAUUACAAUGCAUUAAAAAUGAAAUCAUAGAUGAUCCAUGUCUUUGGCACAAAAGAUUUUGUCACUUGAAUUUUCAUGAUUUGAAGUUUCUCAAGCAAAAGUACAUGGUGCAAGGCCUUCUUAAGAUACAUACAUAGGUGGAUCCAUGUGAAAGUUGUAUAAUGGGAAAGCAAUACAGGAAGUCUUUUCCAAAAGGGAUUUCUAAUAUAGCGUGGUUUCACGGUAUUAUUAAUAAUUUUUCCUUAAGUUUAGUGUGUCCAAAAGCCUUUUUUUGUGCUAAUUUUUAUAUAAGUUUCUCUCUGUUUUGCAAGAUAUCUGUCAAAAGCUGUAUGCGGAGAUUUUGACUGAAGAAAUGCAGAAGAGACCACCUACGGAGCUUAUGACGGUCUGUAGGUGGCAGCGUAGUGUAGCUGCUGAAGGAAGAUGGGAAAGUCUGACCAAGUAUGGGAUUACGAAGCUUGUGACGGUCCGUCAUGGCUAUGACGGUCUGUCCUGCAGGUUCGUCGUGAAGUUCAGAGAAGUGAUCCCAGUAACCAGAUUCCAAGAGUUGAAGUGCUUUAGAACGAAGACCCUCGACGGACCGUUGUGCCUAUGAUGGUCCGUCAUACUUGCCGUCGAGGGGGAUGAAGAGAGCAGGAGAAGAAAUUGCACAAGUAUGGGACAACGGAGUCCAUGACGGUCCGUCAUGACCACGACGGUCCGUCGCGAGGUCCGUCGACCCAGUCGCGUUUUGGAAGAUUUCCAGCAAUUAGAAUCCUUGUUUAAUUAGGUUUUUAUUUUUUAUAAAUAGUUUGAAAAACCUCGUUUUUGAGGUUAGACUCUGUAUUGUUAGGGUUUAUAUUACUAGACUUUUGGAUUGUUGGAAUUUUUGAUUGUUGAUUAGUGUUAGAUUUUGAGAUUCUUACAAGUGAUUUUUGGUGAUUAAUCAAGCAAAUUUUCGGACUUUAUUCUUUCUCAUUGAAGUAAGUACAUGAAUUCUUAUUUAAUAUAUUUGAAUAUUGUGUUUAUGGCUUUGAGUAACUAAACUCCAUAACUAGGGUUGUGGGAACCAUAGGCAAAUAAUGAGAUAAACCCUAUCUAAAAUAACAAUUCUAGAAUAGUGUCUUGCAUGUAUUAAUAAUUCUUUCAUUUAGAAGUCUUUUUAACGGAUGGCCAACGUUACAACUCGCCUUAAUGCUACUUGCCGGACCAAGGAGGUAGAUAAUAGGAAAAAAAUUAUUAACAUAGAUUUAGUGUAUACUAUCUAAUAUGCUAGUAUUGAUUGAUACGAGGUAAUAACUUAGUCAAAUAUCAAAUACGAUGCUUAAUAUGAGGUAAGGAUAAGGGUUAGGAUAGCAACACACGUAGCCGGACCAAGGUGCGGAGUGAGAUUUUCUAGAUGUCGGACCAAGGACUUAGAAAUACAUAACUUAUCACUCUGCAUGCAAGAUACUAGGAAUGAAUUGUUAUAGUUAGAGUUAUCAAGUUAUGAACAUGUGGGGAACACGUAAACCCUAGUUACUUUGAUUAAUUGAUUAAAACCCAACAUUAAAAGCUGUCAAGUGUCACUUUCAAGUUCGUUAUUUAUUUUCACUUAUUUAGAGAUAGAAACCCCUCUUUUUAUGUUUUUACUUUCCAAGGAAGUCAUUGACCAAGCAAUAGUAAUAAUAGGUUGAAGUUAUAUCUAGACUAUUUUCCUCGUGGGAACGAUCCCAACGUGAAAUGAGGGGUUGGGUGGGUUUAAACGUUCUGAUUUUGAAAAAGGGUUCCACCAGGUUGGGUUGGAUAUACCUCAUUAAUCACGCGACGGUUUCCCAGGACGGACCGUCGCAGAUGUGACGACCCGUCGUUUGUUCUGUCGCGUGUGCCCUAGUUUCAAAAUAACUGAAAAACAUACCUUGUACGAUGGAUGCAUACGACGGUCCAUCGCAGGCGCGACGGUCCGUCAAUGUCUCCAUCAGUGACUGUUGCAGAGUAAUUUUCUGCAGAAUUUCCUGGUGAUGUGCCUGCAAAUUUUAAACCCAUUAGUAGAAAAUUGCUACCAUUACUAAAAAGACUAUAAGUAUUGGGUUGCCUCCCAAAGUGCCUGAUUUAAUGUCGCGGCACGACUGGGGAUCCUUGACUACUCAAAUUUCAUCAAGAUUGUAUGCCUCUAUUACUUUAUUCCCCGAUCUUUUAUGCCCAAAAUAGAGUUUUAUUCUAUCUCUAUUCCUCUUAAACCGCACUCCCUCCUUGGCUUUUAACUCAACUGCUCCAUGAGGGAAUACUUGGGUAAUCAAGUAAGGGCCAGUCCAUUUAGACUUGAGCUUUCCCGGAGGAAAAGGCACCCCAUAUUUGUCUACAACCACCAAAUCCCCAACCAUAAACUCUUAUUUUGCAUUUUUCUGUUCAGUCUCCUUCUUUAUCUUUUCUUUGUGGGAUAUGGCAGAUACCGAUUGGAGCUCACCACUCUGCCUCAUGGUCCUACAAAUGUUGAAGGUCGCUUCUUCAUUAUUCAAUCGAAAUGUCAUCUGUCCCUUCUCCAUAUAACCUAAUGCUCUACGUGUGGCAAGGAAUGGCCUCCCAAGAAUAAUAGGCACUUCAAAAUCAACCUCGCAAUCAAGAAUAACAAAAUCAGCCGGAAAGAUGAAUGACUCCACUUUUACUAGCACAUCAUGGAGUAUUCCUAUGGGCCGUUUCACUGUCCGUUCAGUCAUCAGUAGCUGCAUCGCAGUGGGUUUUGGAUCCCCCAAACCCAAUUUCUUGUAAAUCGAGAGGGGCAUGAGAUUUAUGCUUGCUCCCAGAUCACAUAAUGCUUUCGCAAAAUGUAAUGACCCAACUGUACAAGGAAUAGUGAAUGCACCAUGAUCUUCUUUCUUUUGUAUGAGGGAUCUUGUAGCAAUAGCACUACGAUUCUGCAGUCUAUCAUCAUCCUCGAAAGUGACUGAUCUUUUCUUGGUGACUAGAUCUUUCAUAAAUUUUGCAUAACCGAGCAUUUGUUCUAGAGCUUCUACCAAAGGGACAUAGAUAGAAAGCUGCUUCAACAUUGUUAUAAAACACCGGUAUUUACCAUCCUCGGUCUUUUUCACUAAUCUCUGAGGGAAGGGUGGUGGUGGCCUACGCAUGGGAAUUACCUUGAUAGGUACUUCUGCAUCUUUUCCAUUACUUUCCUCUGCUUCACCACUACCCUUUACCACAUUAUCAUUAUCCUUUUUCACAUUUUCCUCAGUAGAUGGCAUAGGUGGGUCAAUGGUUUGACUACCACCCUGAGUAGUGAUUGCCAUACAGUGCACAUCAUUCUUUGGAUUUUGGACAGUGUUGCUAGGAAGAGUGCCCGGUUGCCGGUGUUCACUGUCGCAGAUAAUUGGGCUAUUUGCAACUCGAUCUGCUUAAUCGAAAUUGCAGUGUAUCAACUUUUUUCCCAAUUCUAGCUAAAUCACACCUCAACUCUUUAAUGUGCUCAUCACUAGCAUCGAACCUCCUCAUCAUUUUGUGCAACAUAUCCUCAAAUGGCGCCAUACUAUCUCUACCAUCCCUAGGAGUAACUUCAUGAUUUUGAGGAGGGACAUAGGACCCAUUCCUGUCAUUUCUAUUAGCAUAGUUACCCGUGUUAAAGUUGUUGUCGCAGUUGUAAUUUUCAUCUCGGACAUAAUGAUCCUCACAGUUGUAGUUACCAUAGUUCCGACCUUGGUUCCCUUGACCUUGGCGCCAAUUAUCCUGAUUUGAGCCUUGGGCGCUUGGUCGGAAACCCCCAUCUGUUGAUUUACUGCAUAAGUGUCCUCCGGAUAAUAGAACUCAUCAUUACGAGGUGGUGGUUUAGCUAAGUAGUUGACUGCAUUUAUCCUUUCUUUACCCCCUGUGACAUGUUUUAGUACCAACCCAAGCUCAGUUCCCAUUUGAGCCAUUUCUUCCCGAAUCUCAUCUGUGGCUGGGUUGUGAGUGGACUGCACUGCGAAGGUGUUUCUCCCUGUAUCAGACUUCCUUGUACUCCAAGCUUUGUUAUUUCGGGAGAUUUUCUCUAAUUUUUCAGCAAUGUCAGCAUAAGGGCAUUCUCUAUAAGAUCCACCUACUAUAGUGUCCAACACCGCUUUGUUGUUAUCAUCCUGUCCCCGAUAGAAGUAUUCCUUAAGUGACUCAUCAUCUAUACGGUGAUUUGGAACACUUCUCAAUAAUGGGUUGAAUCUAACCCAAGAACUACUAACUGACUCUCCUGGUAGUGCCACAAAGUUAUUGACUCUGUCUUUGUGAUUUAGUUUCUUGGAGACUGGAUAGUAGCGUGCCAAGAAAACAUCCCUCAAUUGGCUGCAAGUGAAGAUUGAGUUGUAUGGGAGCUUAGUGAACCAUAUAGCAGCCUCUCCUAUCAGUGAGAGAGGAAACACUCUGACGCCUAUUACAUCUAGAUCCAAAUCCGGCCUCCACACACAACUUUUACACACUGCCCUUACCUUAGCUAUAUGGGCAUGUGGAUCCUCAGAAGGUAGCCCUGAAAACAAUCCUCUGGCAGUGAGCAUUUGCAUCAGGCUACAAGUUACUACAAAAGUGUGUCCUGUGGGUAGAGGGGGCAAGACAAGUGGCCCAUCCGAGUCUGCUAUGUUAUCAUACCCUCUAUAGUAUGCUUGGGGCCGUGGAACGGAAUUUUGUCCCCUCUGUUGAUGUUCACCCGGAGCAUCAGGUAACAUCUGACCAUGAACAUCAACCGGAGCUGGAAUGUUCUUGUUCGGAUCCUCAACAUUUAUUCCCAAGUUUCGAUUCAUAUUGCGCAGUGUACGCUAUAGCUCUUGAUCGUAGGGAAACAAGGGUUCUCUUCCUCUCCGUGUAUUUGGCAUACAAGGAGAAUAGUUCUGAAAAGAAAUCAAAAACAAUAAAACAAAGUAUAAUCAAGGAAAUAUCAACUAAACUAUAGUAAUAAGUUUAUGUUAAUCUAAAAGCUAAUUUCCACUACAACGGCGCCAAAAUUUGAUACGCUAAAACUUACUUCUCAAAUAAGAAGUAAAGCGGUCGUGUCAAGUAAAUAACCCAACUAAUGAGGUUGGGAUCGUUCCCACGAGGAAAAUAGUCUAGACUUAACUUCAACCUAUUAUUACUAUGGUUUAGUCAAUGACUUCCUUGGAAAGUAAAAACAUAAAAAGGGGGGGUUUCUAUCCUUAAAUAAGUGAAAAUAAAUAACGAAGUUGAAAGAGACACUUGACAACUUUUAAUGUUGGGUUUUAAUAAAUUAAUCAAAGUAACUAGGGUUUACGUGUUCCCUACAGGUUCAUAACUUGAUAACUCUAACUAUAAGAAUUCUUUCCUAGUAUCUUGUAUGCAAAGUGAUAAGUUAUGUAUUUCUAAAUUCUUGGUCCGGCAUGCUAGUCAGAGACUCUCCUUCAGGGUUCUCUAUUUAUACAGAGUCCAAGUAAAACACGACAGACCUCACGACAGUCCGUCAUAGUCACGACAAGCCAUCACCAGGCCUAUCGUGUGUCACUGUUUCUACAUCAAUUACAUAUUAUUUUCACUGUUUUAUUUCGUAUUGUUUCGCUUGUGUUGUUUGCCACUACUUGUACUAAUAGUGAUCCUUUGCAGGUACUAUCUAAAAUGGCACCCAAGCAAGACCGAACCUACACAUGCGGGCGAUAAGAGUCUGUUGCCCCGUUUGCACGAUUGAUCAUCGGCUCUGAUGAUGAGCAGGACCCUGAGUAUGUGCCUCCAGGCACUUCUACACCUUUCCGUGAUGCACGUGCUCCAUGAGCCACACCCAAAAAGGUGGCAUACGGCGUAGUCACUGCCUCCCAGUCUGAUGAGGAGCGCAUACUGACCGGCACACCCUCUGGGUCAGGCACAAAUGAGGAAGGAGCGUCUGGCUCCUUAGAAGUAUCAUGGUCCGAGGAAGCUUCUGGCUCUGCUGAGGUUCCCGCACCCACCACUGCUGCAGCAUUGGCCUCAUCUAAUGAGGCUGACACUUCAGACUCUACAUCUGGCGCACCAGCUCAGGUCCCCACCCCAGUCUCUGACCAGCCGAACCGGUGGUGUGUCGACGGCCAGUUUCAAGUUUACUCCGACGCCAAGUUCCUGACUGAUAAAGGAGUCAUGACUCGAACACUCACUUUGGAGCGACGGGUACUUACAAGGAGUCUCCCGACGAUGCCUGAGAUACACAACCUCUUCACCAAGCAUCACUUGGAGUGGACAACACGUCUGUUGGGAUGAUACAGAGAGGAAAUGGUCCGAGAGUUCUACGCAUCAUACGUAGCAACUCUACGAUCACAGAUCGAUAGGUGGGCUGCCCCCGCUAAACAAGCCCCACUGGAGCAGGUCCGAGUCAAGGGCCUACAGUUGACAUUUCCCUGCAAGCCAUCCAUCGGUUUUUAUACGGCGAGAGUGUUGAUGCUACUCGGACCCCCAUCACUGCCGAGUUUGACUACCGCUGGCAGAUAGUGAAGGAUGGCCAGUUCUUGCUCAAGCCAUUACUGAGAGAGACCACCAAGAGGUUGAUGGCCCUGCACCUAUCAGUAGGUGGAGAGGGUGCCAAUUGGGUGACUGAGCCGAAAGGGGCCAUCAAGAAGGUCAACCUCACGUUCACAGCAAAGUUCUUGUGGUUGCUUGUCCGUCACAGCCUUUCCCCCACAGUUCCUGAUAACAUCGUUACUUGGGAUCGAGCAGUGUUGAUGGCGGCGAUGAUAGCCGGAUUCGAGGUGGACUUCGCAUGGCUUCUCCAGGCAGUCAUGCACGAGAGGGCAUUCAAGGUCACUACUACCUACCAUUUCCCGUGCAUGAUCUUUGCCCUUUGCAGGUCCGCAGGUGUGCCUAUAUGGCACGUAUAUCAGCUGAAGACCCCGCUAGGAACUGUUGACGUCGGCCUCAUCAGAGACGAGGCCAAUGAGUUGGCUCCACGCAGCGGGCUCAGUCCAGAGCUGCCCCCACUUACUGAUGAUCUUGUUGAUACGGUAGCCCAGGUCCGCACCGCUACACAGGCGUCAACUGACACUACCCCGGUCGAGUCUAUCCCGGGUAGUAGCAUAGGCCCGAGCUCCUCUCGCACAGCCCCUCUAUCGGCACUAGUCCCGCUUGCUAGGGUCAAAAACCUAGAGGCACAAAUGGCCACUCUUCUGCAUCAUAUCCAGCAGUGGAUGCAGAAGUCGAUCACAGAGUCUGAAGAGCGUUUGAAGAGGAAAAUUCACCAGUCUUUUAUUGAUUGUUAGCCUACUGCACUUGUUUUUCUUUAUCGAGCCUUAGGACUAAAAGCUCAUGCAUAAAAAAUUUAAGUAAUACACAUCAUCAUUAGUGGCAAAGCCUAACAUAUUAAAAAAGAGUCAACUAUCACCAUUUCACUGAAAAAUUUAGAUACUGUAUGUGUUGCGUUAAAUCCCUAAAUAUUAUGUCAAAUGAUUAAGAUGAUCAACAGUCAUCUUUUUUCUAUUAAAGUUACCCCUCACAAAAAAAAUUAGAUUAUUUUAAAUAAGUCUUGAAAUCACGCUGUGAAUUAAUAAAAUACUAAUGAGUGAAUAUAUGUUGUAAUUAGAAGGAUUCUCAGUAUUUUGUUUUGUUAUUUCCAUCACAAAUUGAGCUAUUUUAUGUUAACAGUCUAACAUACUACAAACAUCUCCUCUAGCAUGGCUUAGCACUAAAAUCUCAUGCACAUAAUGUUUGAAUAAUAUUCAGCAUCAUCAAUGACAGAACAACAUGUAUUUAAAAGGUGUCAACAUAUACCACGUCACUGCAAAUAUUUAUCAUAUGGAUAUGUGAAAAGUUUUAUCACAACAAUAAAAUCUGCUUUUAGCGACAAAAAAUGUACACAUUUACAAAAAAUGCUAAUAUAUUUACCAGUAUUAGUUAUUUUUCAUUAUAUCCGAUGUCGGUAAAUGCUUUAGGGACAUUUGCAAAGAGUGUUAAUUGACGCUUAGUGACAAUUAAGCUAUUGUGGUUAAUUAAUUGCAGCUAAAGAUCAUUUUCUGUGUACUGACAUAGUACGUAUUGAAUUCCUUUAUAUAUUUACUCGUAUAUUUUGUCAAUUUCUUUUUUGUUAUCUUCAUUACCAAAUUAGCGGAUUUUACGUUAGUAGACAACCUACUGCAAUCGUUUUCCUCUAACAAGGAUUAGGAUUGAGCUCAUGUCUGUGCUGAUAUCAAUAUUUACCUUGUGGUACAAUAUUAACCUUUCAACAGGAUAUAUAUAGUUUUGUUAUUCCCACUAUCGAAUUCACCGAAUAUUUUUCAUUGACUAUUAUCCUAGUGCAAUUGUUUUUUUUUAUCAAGGCUUAGGACUUAAAACUCAUUCACGUAAAAUUUGAGUCAUUACAUCAUUAUGAUCAAUAGCUAGCAGAGCCACAUGUAUUCAAAAAAAGUCAACUAAUACUAGUUCACAGAAAAUGUUUAUAUACUAUGUGUUGUGUUAAUCAAUAAAUAUUAUAUCAAAUGAUUAAUGACGAUUUAAUUUCAUAAUUUCAGUGCAUUAUCUUAAAAUUAACUUUCCAGGUAACUAUUCAAUUGAUAAACCUCAAUAAUUUCUUCUUACUUAAAAAUAAAAAAGGGAAUAUUUAUUUAAUUAUUGCACUUAAAAGUCUAAUUCAGCAACUUUAGUCAAAGUUCAAUUGAUUCUAUUAAUAAAUAUUAUAUCAAAUGAUUAAUGACGAUUCAAAUUCAUAAUUUGAGUAAAUUACCUUAAAGUUAACUUUUCAGGAAAAAUAUUUAAUUAAUAAACCUGAUUAAAUUCUUCUAAUUUAAAAACAACAAAGGCAAUAUUCAUUUAAUUAUUGCACUUAAAAGUCAAAUUCAGCAACAUUAGUCAAAGUUCAAUUGAUUCUGUUAAUAAAUAUUAUAUCAGAUGAUUAAUGACGAUUCGAAUUCAUAGUUUGAGUGAAAUAUCUUACUAUUAACUUUCCAAGAAAAAUAUUGAAUUAAUAAACCUCAUUGAUUUCUUCUUACUUAAAUUCAAAAAAAAGGCAAUAUUCAUUUAAUUAUUUCAUAUAAAAGUCAAAUUCAGCAACGUCAGUAAAAGUUUAAUUGAUUCUAUUAAUAAAUAUUUGUAAUCUUUAGUAAAAUUUAUUCAACGUAUUACUAACUUACGUUAAAUAUCACUAUUUCAAUCUUUCUAUAUAUAACAUCCGAAGCAUUUAUUGGAAAAACAUAUAUUUUUUUUAAAAAAAAUAUCAAAUGGAAGAUCCAACUAUCAUUGAAAGAGUAGGGUUGUUGGUUUCACCACUUGGUGGAAUUCCACAACGAAGAGUUUCCCAUUUUUUAGACCCAAUUGCUACUUCGACUGAAGUACCAAAUUUGAAAUAUCAUUGAAUCCACUUUUUAUUUGAUCAAUCUUAGUAAACAUUGAAAGUCACGUUCCAUGGUUGCAAUGGAUGGAGGGAUCAACAAAAGAAAUGGAAAGAAUGGGUUGAAAUGAUGGAGUCUAUCUAUCGCCUGUAUUGAUAGUUGUAGGAAUUUAUGGAGCGUUAAAAGGUUCAACUUAUAGAGUCCGUACUGACGAAAAUUUAAUAUUUGGGUUGGUAGAGAGGUGUUCUUGUGAGACCAAAAAUUUAAUGUUUCCGUGGGGUGAAGUUACUGUUAGUCUUGAAGACAUUAUGGUUUUUGGAGGGUUUUCUACUUUGGGUGAUUGUGUUAUGUCCCCACCCUUCAAUCCCCUGAGUUGGUAGAGAUUGAAGAGUAUCUUGAGAAUGCGAGAGGAGAACUUAUCAGAUCAAAGACAAAUAAUAAGAGUAGGUGGUUGAAUUACUUCAUGAAUAGUUGUAAGGACAACGAACACGAAGCUUUUCUUUCUCUUUGUUUAUCAAGAUUUGUGUUUCCAUGUAUAGUAGGUUCUCCUAUAUUCUCGAUAGCUUUUAAUAUGGCUAGAGGUAUGCGGCUAGCGCUUUCUCCUGGUGUUCUUCCUAGUAUAUAUAGGGACUUGGGGUCGUUGAGAAUUGUUAUGAUAGAGACAGGUAGAAGAAAUAAAGACAAAAUUGAGAUUCAUAAACUUAAUCUUUGGUCGUCAUUGUUCUUUGUUCAAGUCUGGGCUUGGGAGAGGAUGAUAUCUUUGCAGCUAGAGCGCGCUCGAAAUUACAAUUUAGUUAGUGGGGUCAGAUUAGGAUAAUGGUACAAUGUGAAACAAACGGUGAAAUUAAUUUGAGGACUACUAUUAAUGCAGCUGGGGAGAUUUUUAUGUGGAGAGCAUACGCCUUGGCUGUGGAAGGUUAAUCAAUUUUUCCCAAGUUUUACAAGGAAAAUGAAGAGUGGACAAUAGUUGGAGGGCAAAAUUUGUAUCAAGAAAUGGAGUCUUACGUUCGAUGCUUGAGAGUGUCUGAGUUUGUUUGUUUAGAUUUUCAAGAGCCUUAUCGACCAAAUCGGGUAGCAAUGCAGUUUGGGUAUGAUCAAGACUUCCCGAAAUGGAUUCCACGCUCGCCUUAAAGUUCAGAACUUGCCUGGUACAAUUACAGCACACCUAUUGCUUCUGAUUUGAGGUUAUACUAUCCAUCUAGGCUGUUUGAAUCGGAUGUAACAACACGAUAUUUGAAAUGGUGGAGAAAGGAAACUGAUCGACAAAUGGAGAAUUGCCUUGAUGUUCCUCCUGGUUUUCCUCCCAAUUAUUGUUGGAAAAAUGACUAGAAGAAUUACCCUAAUGUUCCUCCUGGUUUUCCUCCCCAUUAGUGUUGGAAAAAUGACAAGAAGAAUUACUCUGAUGUUUCUCCUCGUUCUAUGCAAAAGCAUAUUGCAGAGAAAACAGUCCACACAUCCAUUGAUGGCAGUGGGGGUAGCAGUGCAAGAAGCAUGGAAAGGAGCUAAGCUUUAGUUCUAACAACAACGUGUACCAAAAUAAGUGAAGGCAAUAUGGCAAUGGGAAACCAUGAAAAAGAGAGCGGUGCAUAUGAUAUGAUUGAUUUUCUGAAACUUUAGAGGAGGAUUAAAAACCUUGAAAACAUCAAUUCUUUAAAGGUUGCAAUAUUCAGGACAAAGUGAAAGCAAGAUUAAGCUAAACUAUAUUUCUAAUAUAAAGUGUUUGUUUAGUUUUUGAAGGUAUAUAUUAUAUUCUUCUUUAUUUCCUAGUACUGAGACAAUACAAGUAGCUCGUUCUUCUGUUUAUAUCCUUUUGUAACUAUCUUAGCUUUAGUAAAAAACAUUCACUUGAAUCAUGUUUCAAUUCACUUGUUUACUUUCCAGGUUUCUAACAGUAUUGCAUAUUAACAAUCUUACAUAGUCCUCAUUUAGCUCUAUGAAGCGUUUGUGGCUGUUGCGAAUGCAAAGUCAAGAUUACAGAUAAAAUCACUAGCAUGUUUUUGUUCCCAGACUAUCAAGUUACUCUGAACUUGGAGUCGGAGAAAAAAACAGACUUUUGAGCAUGUCUUUGUUUAAGAGGAUAUGUCCAAGACAGUUAUGGAGCUAUUUGGCACGAUCAUUUCAAAUGGAGAAACAUGGUAUUGUCGAUUCCAACUUGUUUGAAUUGAGACACAGUAGUAGUGUUGGAAAUAAUGCAUCAAUGUUUAGUGUUGUGAAUUUGUCUCUUAGUUUUUCAAGAAGUCUCUUUAGAAUUUCGUAGUACAUGUAUCUAGUAAAUUGUGAUACAUGUAUUUAGUUAUUUGUGCAAACUUUUUGUAUUCUAUUUUGAGUAGUAUAAAUAGUGAUGUAGUUGGUGAUUGUAAUCAUCUCAAGUGGCUUUAAGUAGCCUAUGAUAAACUUGAGCAUUCUCUAAAUAUACUAUUUUCCUUCAAUAUUUUCUACAAAUUUGUAUCAAGAGCAGGUUUUCGUUCUUCGUCUGGGGUUUGGUGAAGGAAAAAGUAUGGAAUCCAAAACAAAUGAAGGUGUUGAUUCUUCAGUUGUUCUUAUUCCAUUUUUAAUGGAACAGUUUUUGAAUACUGGAAGAUAAGAAUGAGAACACAUUUUACAGCUGAAGGUUUGUGAAUUAUUAUUGCAAAUGGUUUUGAAGAGCAAGACAACGAUGAUAAUCUUACAACAGCAGAGAUGAAAAAUCUUGAGGCUAAGUAUCGUCAAGAUGCAAAAGUGUUGAACAUAAUCUAAAUGGGAGUCUGAAGAGCAUAUUUUGAAAAAACUGCUACUUGUGAGACUGCAAGGGAAGCUUGGGAUUUUUUGAAAACUGAGGUGUAUGGUAAUAAAAAGGUACGCACUAUAAAUCUUCAAACUCUUAGAAGAGAGUUUCAAAAUUUAAAGAUGAUAGAAUCUAAAAAAAAUUUGAUGAAUAUUGCACAAGACUCAUGAAUAUUGUUAAUGAAAUGAGAAAUCAUAGUGAUAUAAUUUCUGGCCAAAAAGUUGUGAAAAAGAUUCUUAUUAGUGUCACAGAAAAAUAUGAGUACAUCAUUGCGAUCAUUGAGGAGACGAAAGAUUUUUCUAAGUUUUCCAUCAAAGAUCUAGCUGGAUCAUUUCGUGCACACGAGAAGUGGAGAUUUUUUGUGUGAAGAUCAACCAAAAGAGACAGCUUUCCAGUCUAAAACAAAUGAGAAUUAUCAAAAUUUCUCAAAAAAUCAUCAAAAGAAGAAUCACAAGCCAAAAAAGAAGCAGGAUCAUGAUGGUUCAUUCAAGAAGGUUGAAGAAAAAGAUGAGAAAAACUAUAGUCUUUUUUGUUAAUUUUGCAAAAAGACUAAUGGCAAUGAAGAAAAACGUUGGCCCAAAGGCAAGCCCCAACGUAACUUUUGUAUAAAGUUUGGCCAAGUUGAAAAGGAUUGUUGGCAUCCUCUCAAUUAAUAAUAGCAUCACUACUAAAGUGAAGAUGGGGGAAUUGAGCCUUAGUUGAUGCGAAAGGUAAAGGUACUAUUUUGAUCAACAAACGAUGCGGUAAGCAAAUAAAUGAUGUUCUUUAUGUUCUUGACUUGGAUGAUAAUAUUCUUAGUGUUGUUCAACUCAUGGAAAAUUGGUAUUCUUUUGUGCUUAGAGAUAAUUAUUGCAAGAUUUAUGAUAAAAUUGAGCCAAAUCAAGUCAUUGUUGAAGUAAAGAUAAUAAAUAGAAACUUCCCUUUGCCAUUUCAUUACAAUGCAUUAAAAAUGAAAUCGUAGAUGAUCCAUGUCUUUGGCACAAAAGAUUUUGUCACUUGAAUUUUCAUGGUUUGAAGUUUCUCAAGCAAAAGUACAUGGUGCAAGGCCUUCUUAAGAUACAUACGUAGGUGGAUCCAUGUGAAAGUUGUAUAAUGGGAAAGCAAUACAGGAAGUCUUUUCCAAAAGGGAUGUCUGAUAUACCGUGGUUUCACGGUAUUAUUAAUACUUUUUCCUUAAGUUUAGUGUGUCCAAAAUCCUUUUUUUGUGCUAAUUUUUAUAUAAGUUUCUCUCUGUUUUGCAGGAUAUCUGUCCAACGGAGAUUUUGAGUGAAGAAAUGCAGAAGAGACCACCUACGGAGCUUAUGACGGUUUGUAGGUGGAAGCGUAGUGCAGCUGCUGAAGGAAGAUGGCGAAGUCUGACCAAGUGGGGGAUUAUGAAGCUUGUGACGGUUCGUCGUGGCUGUGACAGUCCGUCCUGCAGGUUCGUCGUAAAGUUCAGAGAAGUGAUCCUAGUACCCAGAUUCCAAGAGUUGAAGUGUUUUAGAGUGAAGACCCUCGAUGGACCGUUGUACCUAUGACGGUCCGUCAUACUUGCCGUCGAGGGGAAUGAAGAGAGCAGCAGAAGAAAUUGCAUAAGUAUGGGACGGUGGAGUCCACGAUGGUCCGUCGCGACGUCCGUCGACCCAGCCGCGUUUUGGCAGAUUUCCAGCAAUUAGAAUCCUUGUUUAAUUAGGUUUUUAUUUUUUUAUAAAUAGUUUGAAAAACCUCGUUUUUGAGGUUAGACUCCGUAUUGUUAGGCUCCAUAUUACUAGACUUUUGGAAUGUUGGAUUGUUGGAAUUUUUGAUUGUUGAUUAGUUUUAGAUUUUGAGAUUCUUACAAGUGAUUUUUGGUGAUUAAUCAAGCAAAUUUUUGGACUUUAUUCUUUCUCAUUGAAGUAAGCACAUGAAUUCUUAUUUAAUAUGUUUGAAUAUUGUGUUUAUGGCUAUGAGUAACUAAACUCCAUAACCAGGGUUGUGGGAACCCUAGGCAAAUAUUGAGAUAAACCCUAACUAAAAAAAACAAUUCUAGAAUAGUGUCUUGGAUGAAUUAAUAAUUCUUUCGUUUAGAAGUCUUUUUAACGGAUGGCCAACGUUACAACUCGCCUUAAUGCUACUUGCCGAACCAAGGAGGUAGAUAAUAGGAAAAGAAUUAUUAACAUAGAUUUAGUUCAUACUAUCUAAUUGGCUAGUAUUGAUUGGUACGAGGUAAUAACUUAGUCAAAUAUCGAAUACGAUGAUUAAUAUGAGGUAAGGAUAAGGGUUAGGAUAGCAACACACGUAGCCGGACCAUGGUGUGGAGUGAGAUUUUCUAGAUGACGGACAAAGGAUUUAGAAAUACAUAACUUAUCACUUUGCAUGCAAGGUAUUAGGAAAAAAUUGUUAUAGUUAGAGUUAUCAAGUUAUGAACCUGUAGGGAACACGUAAACCCUAGUUACUUUGAUUAAUUGAUUAAAACCCAACAUUAAAAGCUGUCAAGUGUCUCUUUCAAGUUCGUUAUUUAUUUUCACUUAUUUAGAGAUAGAAACCCCCCUUUUUAUGUUUUUACCAUCCAAGGAAGUCAUUGACCAAACAAUAGUUAUAAUAGGUUGAAGUUCAGUCUAGACUAUUUUCCUCGUGGGAACGAUCCCAACCUCACUAGUUGGGUUAUUUACUUGACACGACCACUUUACUUCUUAUUUGAGAAGUAAGUUUGAGCGUAUCAAUGUCUUGGAGAGCAAGUGUACUUUUGGAACUAAUCCAUACCGACAUUUGUGGACCAAUGAGGACUCCAUCUCUUGGAAGUCAAAGGUGUUGGGAUUUAGUAAGUGUGAAUGGGAAAAGAAAAGAGAGAAUAUGAAAAGUGAGGGAACUAAUUUGGAGGGAAAAUGAAAAGACUUUUUCAGAGUGCAAAUGAAAAGUCAUUUCUCCCAUAUCGGCAAAAGAAAGAGAAAUUGUUGUCCUUAUUGAAGGAAACAGUUCCAUUACUUCUUAAAGAGAUAAGAAUGAGAUGCCCCUCGCACCAUCGUCGCUCGCUCAGCUUCUGCUUCGGCUUCGGCUUCGGAUUUGGAUUUGGAUUUCCUUUUCUACAUUUAUUUUUCUCUCAAAUAAAAUCAAAGUGUCGAUUGACUGAGUCUUUGUGACAUGUUGUUGUUCUUAAGUUCGUUGAAGUUAAAGAAGUUUGAGGUACCGCUAUUUCUUUAACAGGUUUGAUCUGUUUUAUCUUGGGAGAAAUUAAUCUAUAACCUUGGGUACAGUGAGGUGAUUAAAUUUAACAGUUUCUGUAUUUGAGGUUUCUGGAGAUUAAAACCUUUAUGGUUUUCUACUCUCCUUGAAUUUUUAAAAUUCAUUCGAUUCACGAUUAAAAGAACAUAAAAACUUUAUCAUUAAAUCAGAAACAGUUUGUGUAAAUAUUUGUUCUUUACUGUUAGUAUUUUAAAUACUUAACUUAUCUUCCAUUUGUGACAGAAAAAAAAUGACUUAUUCAAGUAAAACAAAUGCUGGAACAGUAAGUGCUGUAACAACAACGGUUGCACAUAAUUGUUCAAAGGUUGCCUUAGCGCCAGUUGAGAUACCUGCAAAGUUUUUUGGAGUCAACUUUAAGAGAUGACAACAAAAGAUGUUCUUCUAUCUCACUACAUUGAGUCUGCAGAAGUUCAUUAAUGAGAAUGUUCCUGUUAUGUCAGAUAAAACUCCAGUUGAUGAACGAUUCUUGGUAACAUAAGUAUGAUACACUUAGAUUUUUUGUGUAAAAAUUAUAGUUUGAGUGGUCUUCAAGAUAAUCUGUACAAUUUGUACAGCAAUGCCAAAACCUCAAAAGAAUUUUGGGAUGUUUUAGAAAAGAAGUACAAAAUAGAAGAUGCUGAAGAAAUUAAUUGUGGCAAAAUUCUGGACUAUAAGAUGAUAGACAGUAAGACUGUCGUCACCUAAGUUCAAGAAUUGCAAGUCAUAAUCCAUGAUCUCCUUGCUGAAGGUGUAAAUUUAUUUAAUGCCUAUGUUAGAAAUACUAAGUUUUCCCUUAAUACUCACAUAAUCUUUAAUGUAGAAUUGAUUCUGAAUGAUGCUUUUCAAGUGACUGUAAUUGUUGAAAAGUUACCUCCAUUAUGGAAGGACUUCAAAAAUUACUUGAAACACAUAUGUAAGGAUAUGACUCUUUAAGAUCUCAUAAUAAGGUUGAGAAUCGAAGAGGAUAAUAAGGCUAGAAAAAAGAGGUCACGUGGUAAUUCAACAAUAUCUGGAGUAAAUUUUGUUGAAAAAUAUCCCAUAAAAUUAAAGAAAAGAAAGAAAGCAUCUGGUCCAAAAAGCAAUCCUCCUAAGAAGAAAUUCAAUGGAAACUGCUUUAAUUGUGGUAAACAUGGUCAUAGGGCUAAUGAAUGUCAGGUUCCUAAGAAGGUCAAGAAAACGAAGGAUCAAGCAAACUUGGCUGAAUUCAAAGGAGAAAUGGACGAUCUCUGUGCAAUGCUUUCAAAAUGUAACUUGGUUGGAAAUCUAAGAGAAUGGUGGAUAGAUUCUGGUGCCUCAUGUCAUGUUUGUACCUACAAAGAAUUAUUUUCAUCAUAUACUCCAGCACUUACAGAUAAAAAAUUGUUUAUGGCAAACUCUGCUGUUGCAAAGGUAGAACAAACUGGCAAAGUUCUAUUUAAGAUGACAUCAGGCAAGGAGGUGACUUUGAAUAGGGUCUCAUAUGUUCUAGAAUUGAGAAAUAAUUUAGUUUCAAUUCCAGUUCUGACCAAGAAUGGAUUUAAAUGUGUCUUUGUUUCUGAUAAAGUAGUAGUAAGCAAAACUUAUAUGUAUGUAGGAAAAGGCUACCUUAGUGAUGACCUUUUGUAAUUGCAGUUUAUAUGAAUAAAGAUUUUGCUUCUUCUUACUUGCUUGAGUCUAAAUGUUUAUGGAAUGAACGUUUGGGACACGUUCCAAAAUUUGAGUUCAAUAAAUCUAAAUGUCAAAUUUGUGUUGAAUCUAAGUAUGCGAAGCAUUCUUAUAAAUCUGUUGAAAAGAAUUCAAAUCCUUUAGAAUUGAUUCACACUGAUAUUUGUGACAUGAAGUCAACACCAUCACGUGGUGGGAAAAAGUAUUUCAUAACUUUUAUUGACGAUUGCACUGGAUAUUGUUAUGUCUAUUUGCUAAAUAGUAAGGAUGAAACAAUAGAUGCAUUUAGGCAAUAUAAAACUCAAAUUGAAAAUCAGUUAGAUAAAAAGAUCAAAAUGGUCAGAAGUGAUAGAGGUGGAGAAUAUGAAUCUCCAUUUGAAAAUCAGAUACAUAACAGAGUGUCUCACUCAAAGACAAAUGAAAUUCCAUAUGGGAAAUGGAAAGGUAGAAAACCCAAUUCUAAAUAUUUCAAAGUGUGGGGGUGUCUAGCCAAAGUCCAAGUUCCUAUACCUAAGAGGGUAAAAAUAGGACCUAAGAAUGUGGAUUGUGUAUACAUUGGAUAUGCCAAAAAUAGUAAGGCAUGUCGAUUUUUGGUUCAUAAGUCUGAAAAUCCGGAUAUUCAUCAUAAUACGGUAAUGGAAUCAGAUAGUGCUGAAUUUUUUUGCACAUAUCUAUCCGUAUAAAACUAGACUUGAGUCAUCUAGUGUGACCCAGAGACAACCAAAAGAGCAUGAACAAAAUGAAGAAAGUCCAAGACGCAGUAAACGUCAAAAGACAUCUACUUCAUUCGGAUCAGAUUUUGUAACAUUUCUUUUUGAAAGUGAGCCUUAAACAUUCAAGGAAGCAAUGUUGUCUAGCGACUCAACCUCUUGGAAGGAGGCUGCUAAUAUUGAAAUUGAAUCAAUCUGAAGCAAUCAUACUUGGGAGUUGGUUGAUCUUCCUCCAGGGAUCAAACCUUUGGGUUCAAAAUGGAUCUUUAAAAGGAAGAUGAAAGACGAUGGAACUAUUGACAAAUAUAAAGCAAGACUUGUUGUCAGGUUUUAGACAAAAAGAAGGUCUUGAUUAUUUUGAAACAUACUCUCCAGUGACUAGGAUUACAUCAAUUCGAAUGUUAAUUGCACUAGCUGCAGUAUAGGGUCUUGAAAUUCAUCCAAUGGAUGUGAAAACAACCUUCUUAAAUGGAGAGCUUGAAAAGGAAAUUUACAUUGAACAACCUGAGGGUUUUGUAGUGCCUGGUAAAGAAAAGAAAAUGUGCAAACUUAUUAAGUCACUUUAUGGACUAAAACAAGCACCAAAAUAAUGGCAUGCAAAGUUUGAUCAAACCAUGUUGUCAAAUGGAUUUAAGAUAAAUGAAUGUGAUAAAUGUGUUAACAUUAAAGAUACUCCAAAUCAGGAAGUUUUUUUAUUCCUAUAUGUAGAUGAUAUGCUUAUAAUGAGAAAAAACAUUGCUAAUGUAAAAGCUACAAAGUGUAUUCUUGCUAGUAAGUUUGAUAUGAAAGAUUUAGGAGUUGCCGAUGUGAUAUAACGAAUUAAAAUUCUUAAAAGUCCUAACGGUCUAGCAUUGUCUCAAACUCAUUAUAUUCAAAAGAUACUUGAAAAAUUCAAAUUUUUUAAUUUUAAAAGGGCAAAGACUCCAAUUGAUGUAAACCUUCAUCUUGCAAAGAAUAAAGGUGAAAGUCAGUCUCAAUUGGACUAUGCUAGCGUAUUAGGAAGCUUAAUGUAUGUCAUGAAUUGUACACGGCCAGACAUAGCUUGCGCUAUCAGUAGACUGAGUCGAUACAUAAGUAAUCCUAAUCAUAAUCAUUGGCUGGCAAUGAAGAGAGUUUUGGGAUAAUUAGAUGACACUCGACACUAUGCUUUACAUUACAACAAAUAUACAGCCGUUCUUGAAGGAUAUAGUGUUGCAAAUUGGAUUACUGGGUCAACUGAAACAAAAUCAACAAGUGGGUACGUUUUUACUAUUGGUGGAGGAUCAAUAUCUUAGAAGUCAUCCAAACAAACAUGUAUAACUCGCUCUACAAUAGAGUCUGAAUUCAUUGCUUUAGACAAGGCAGAUGAAGAAGUUGAAUGGCUCUGGAAUUUCUUAGAAGAUAUUCCAUUUUGGCCCAAACCAAUGGCCCCUAUAUGCAUACAUUGUGAUAGUCAAGCUUCAAUAGGAAGGGUUGGAAGCAUUAUGUAUAACGGCAAGUCUGGUCACAUAAGAAGAAGACAUAACUUUGUGAGACAGCCACUCUCUAGUGGAAUUAUCACAAUUGACUAUGUGAAGUCAAAAGAUAAUGUGUCGGAUUCACUUACAAAAAACCUAAAUAGAGAGGGAGUAGAGAAAUCAUCGACGGGAUUGGGACUAUGGCCAAAAACAGGUCAUCGUGGCGGUAACUCUACCUAGAAGACUGGAGAUCCCAAGAUCUAGGUUCAAGGAGAUAAAACAAAGUCAUUGAUGACGGUUCAACAUUGUCAAAGGAAAAAAUAUUAUUAUUUUAUGGUCCAUUUUCAUGAUGAGACAAUGUUUAGUAACCAGGAUAAAGACAUAAGGACUUUUUAAUGGUUUCUAUGUUUGAUAAAGGGAAUAUCAAAUGGUGUAUCUAUGAGAUAACACAUUUUGAAAUCACCUAUGUAAGUGUGAAGUGUAAGUCGCUUCAAGAAGAAUCCAGUAAGGCCAGUUCUUUAAGCACUUACUAUCCAAGAUGAGUUCAUGGCUGAAACGAACAAAACAAUGAGAACUAAGAACAAUUCAAGGGUUGAUUGUGUGACAUAUGUUGUCUAGGUAUACACCAAAGAUCGAUGGUUCAAAGAUAUCAAAUCUACCGUUUGACCGAGUAUAUCCGAUAUAUGUUCACUAUGGAAAGUUUAAAGGGAAACCUACUUAUCCAGAUACGAUUAACCUUUACCUACAAGACACACAAGUUUUUUCAUGCAUAUGUUUUAUCAAUAUACUUUCCCAUUCAUGAGGGGGAUUUUUGGGAUUUAGCAAGUGUGAAUGGAAAAAGAAAAGAGAGAAUAUGAAAAAUGAGGGAACUAAUUUGGAGGGAAAAUGAUGAGUCAUUUGCAAAGUGCAAAUGAAAAGUCAUUUCUCCCAUAUCGACAAAAUAAAGAGAAAUUGUUGUCCUUAUAGAAGGAAUCACUUCCAUUACUUCUUAAAGAGAUAAGAAGAAGAUGCCCCUUGCACCGUCGUUGUCGUCGCUCGCUCAGCCUCGACUUCAGCUUUGGAUUGGGAUUUGGAUUUGGUAAAUGAUAUGAUUGAUUGAUAAAUUUUUUGGACAAAAUUUAUUUAAUCAAUUUUUGUUAAAUCAAAUAAAUCCUGUUAAAAAUUAUCUCUUAUAAAUUUGUGGGUAAUGGUAACAUUCCAAAAAGUUAUUAUUCUUUCUGAAAAGUUGUUACUUUCAUAAAAGUCGUUAUUUUCCUAACAGACAUAAUUUUCCAAAAAGUUGUUAUUUUUUCCAAAAGACACAACUUUCUGGAUAAAAUGGGUCUGAACAGAUUUCACUGAACAGACACAUUCCUUGCUGAAAAUGGCUAUAAAAGGAAGUCAAUUUUCGAUUUUUUAAAACACUGGAAAAAUUUUCCUUCUCUGUAUUUAUUUUUCUCUCAAAUAAAAUCAAAGUGUCGAUCGACUGAGUCUGUGUGACUUGUUGUUGUUCUUAAUUUCAUUGAUAUUAAAGAAGUUUGAGGUAUCUCUGUUUCUUUAACAGGUUUAAUCUGUUUUAUCUUGGGAGAAAUUAAUCUAUAACCUUGGGUACAGUGAGGGGAUUAAAUUUCUUAAGGACACACAGUAAUUUCUGUGAACUCGGAUUAAUUUUUGUAUUUUAUUAAUUCUUUGCUUCAUCUACUUUCUGUUUCUGUUCAUUGGUUAACCUUAUAAAUAUAGGUUACUAUAAGAAUAACAAAAGGUAUUUUCUAAUCUUUAUUGAUGAUUUCUCAAGAAUGACUUGAGUUUAUUUCUUGAAAGAAAAUUAGAAGCAUUUGCUAUAUUCAAGAAAUUUAAAGCCCUUGUUGAGAAGCAAAAAGGUUGCUGCAUCAAAACCAUUUGCAAUGAUCGAGGAGGUGAAUACACAAGUCAAGAAUUUGAAGAAUAUUGCAAAAAUGAAGGCAUUCAGAAGCAACUUACAGCAGGGUAUACUCCUCAACAAAAUGGUAUAUCUGAAAGAAGAAAUAGAACAAUUGUUGAAAUGACAAGAAAUAUGAAUAAUGAGAAAGGGCUGCCAAAAUCUUUUUGGGCAGAAGUGUGCAUAUAUCAGUUCACAUCCUUAACAGGUGUCCAGCAAAGGCACUAAAGGACAAGACACUAUUUGAAGCUUGGAGUGGAAUUAAACCUUCUAUAAGUCAUUUUAAAAUUUCUGGGUAUAUUUGUUAUGCUCAUGUACCUGCUAAGAAAAGAACAAAAUUGGAUAAAAAAAAGUCAAAAAUGUAUCUUUAUUGGUUAUAGUGAUGUUACAAAAGGAUAUAGGCUUCUCGAUGUCAAAACUAAAAAACUUGUUGUUAGUAGAGAUGUCAUUUUUCAUGAAAAACAACAUGGAAUUGGGAGGAUAAAAAGAUAGAGGAUACUGCUAUCACAUCUUCAAAUCAGGAAGAGGAUGAGGAAGAUAAAGAUGUCUCUCAAGGGGGAGAAAUCCCAGAAUCAGAUGAUGAAGAACCGCCUCCAAGAGGAACAAAAAUGUUUAGUGACAUUAAUCAAAGAUGUAAUUUUGUCGGUGUUGAGCCAGAAAAUUAUGAAGAGGCAAUAAAGCAUGAUGUUUGGAAGAAAUACAUGGAAGAAGAAAUUCGAAUUAUUGAAAAAACUAAUACUUGGGAGCUUGUGGCUAUACCUAGAGAAAGAGAAGUUGUAAGUCUAAGAUGGAUUUACAAAAUCAAACUCAAUAGAAAGGAGAUAUUCAAAAGUACAAAGCAAGGUUGGUUGCUAGAGGCUUCACGCAAAAAUCAGGUAUUGAUUUUAUGAAACUUUCUCUCCAGUUGAUCUUGUUGAGACAAUUGUAACUCUAAUUGUUGUUGCUGCACAAAAAAAAUGGAAGAUAUUUCAACUUGAUGUUAAAUCAGUACUUAUUAAUGGAAAACUUAAUGAAGAGAUUAAUGUUGAGCAACCUCAAGGAUAUUUUGUUCAAGGGGGAGAAAAAAAGGUUUACAGGUUGAAAAAAUCUCUUUACAGGCUGAAGCAAGCUCCAAGAGCCUGGUAUAAUGAUAUUGAUACAUACUUUCUGAAAAAUAAUUUUUUAGAGAAGUAAAAGUGAAGCCACUUUGUAUGUGAAGAAGAACAUGACAUUAUUAUCAUUGUUUGUCUCUAUGUGGAUUAUCUGCUAUUUACAUGAAAUGAUGUAAAAAUUAUGCAAAUUUUCAAACAAGAUAUGAUGCAAGCUUAUGAAAUAAGUGAUUUUGGGUUGUUAAAUUAUUUCUUGGGCAUCAAAGUUUCUCAAGUGAAAGAAGGAAUUUUUAUUUCACAAAAGAAGUAUACUAAAAGUAUUCUUCAAAAAUUCAAAAUGAUGAAUUGCAGUUUUGUGGCCAUACCAUUAGCAGCAAAUAAGAAGUUUUCAAAAGAUGAUGGAGAAAAAAAAAGGUAAUAGCUCACUUUAUAGGAGUUUCAUUGGAUGUUUGUUAUAUCUCACUUCAACAAGGCAGAUAUUAUUUUUGCUGCUAGUUUAUUAUCCAAAUUCAUGCAAGAACCAAGCCAAGUGCAUUUUGGAGUUGCAAAUCGUGUUCUACGCUACUUGCAAGGAGCAAUGAAUUAUGGGAUAAUGUACAAAUUUGGUGGAGAUUUAAACUUAAUUGGUUAUUCUUAUAGUGAUUGGGCUGGAAGUAUAGAUGACAUGAAGAGUACUUCAGGUUAUGCUUUCUUAUUUGGAUCAAGUAAUUGUUCUUGGUUAUCAAAAAACCAACAUUGUUGUUCAAUCCACUACCGAAGAAGAAUAUGUUUCAGCAUCCAAGGCUACUUCACAAGCUAUUUGGCUUAGGAGAAUAUUUAAAGACAUUGGUGAAAAACAAAAAAAAGACUGUUCUACAUUGUGAUAGCAAAUCAGCAAUUGCAAUUGCCAAGAAUCCAGUCAGCCAUGAAAAAUCAAAGCAUAUUUCCAUCAAGUAUCAUUUUAUCAUACAAGCACAAGAGAAAGACAAAAUUCAGUUGCAUUAUUCUCAGACAGGAGAUUAACUUGCUAACAUCUUCACCAAAGCACUUCCUAGAGAAAAAUUUUGCUAUCUUUGAGAACGCAUUGGAGUUAUUAAGUAAAUGGUUCAAGGGGGAGUGUUGGAAUAAUUCAUCAAUGUUUAGUCUUCCCAAAUUGUCUCUUAGUUUUUCAAGAAGUCUCUUUGGAAUUUCGUAGUACAUGUAUAUAGUAAAUUGUGAUACAUGUAUUUAGUUAUUUGUGCAAGACUUUUUAUUUUCUAUUUUGAGUAGUAUAAAUAGUGAUGUAGUUGAUGAUUGUAAUCAUCUCAAGUGGCCUUAAGUAGCCUAUGAUAAAGUUGAGUAUUCUCUAAAUAAACUAUUUUCCUUCAAUAUUUUCUACUAGUAGUUAUUGUUUCACUCUUGGUAUAAUGUUAGUUUACAUAUUUUGUUUUGUUAUUUCCAUAACUAAGUUCACCAAUUUUACGUUAAUAAUCAGCCUACUGCAAUCGUAUUAUGUAGAGAGGUAAUUUUUUAUUGAUAUACGCCUUACGUGUUGAAUCCCUUUAUAUACUUUAUACUAUAUUUUCUUAUUAUGUUUUGUUAUCUCCGUCACCAAAUUCACUGUUUUCCUCAACUAGGGAUUAGGUCUUAAUGCUUGCGCAUUCGUAAAGUUCAAGUAGCAUCAAUUCGUACCUUAUGGUACAAUAUAAACCUUACAAUGUGACAAAUUUUGUUUUGUUAUUCCCAUCACCAAAUUCACUAUUCUUUGAUUGACUGUUAGCCAACUGCAAUUGUUUUUCUUUAUCGAGCCUUAAGACUAAAAGCUCAUGCACGUAAAAUUUAAGUAAUACACAUCAUUAUUAGUGGGUAAGCCCGAUAUAGUCAACCAUCACCAAUUCACUGAAAAAAUGUAGUUAUUAUGUGUUGCGUUGAAACUCUAAAUAUUUAUAUCAAGUGAUUAACACGAUCCACAUUCAUAUUUUUUCAAUAAAAAUUAUCCUCUCACAAAAAAAAAGAGAAGAAUUUUGUAGAGUAUUUUAAAUAAGUCAUAAAAUCAUGUAAUGAAGUAAUAAAUACAACUGUGUGAAUAUAUAUGUUGUAAUUAGAAAGAUUCUCAGUAUUUUGUUUUGUUAUUUCCAUAAAAAAUUCAUCAGUUUUACAUUAGCAAUUAGCAUAGUACAAUCAUCUUCCUCUAUCGUGGCUUAACACUAAAAUCUCAUGCAGAUAAUGUUUAAAAAAUAUUCAUCAUCAUCAACGAUAGAACAACAUGUAUUCAAAAGGUGUUAAGUUUACGCGCUCAAGAGUUACGCUGCUUUGCACAGGAGAUGCUACACUCAAUAUGGUACGGUUUCAGUUUACUGCUUACUCUGCUCACACACUCUGAUAAUAUUCUUAUGAAUAAAAGUUUAUCAAAAAGCAGAGAAACAUAUUAAAUUCUCAUUUGUUAUCUCAUAUUUGCUAAUAAAUCAAGUUCAACUUUAAAUCUAGAAAUACUAAGGUCUAAACUUCUCUUGAGUGGCUUUAUCAACCGCUAUUGUCUUACCAUCAAAUGAUUCAAUUGACGGUAAUAAUUGUUUUACAAAAAACCCAUUAAGAAGUGUUGAUUUUAUUGCAUCUAUCUAAUGCACUUUCUAGCCACGUUGUGCAUAAGUAGAAUUAAUUAAGAACCAAUCUGAUUGUGUCGAGCCUAGGAACUGGAACAAAAGUGUCAAAAUAACACUUAACUACAAGCCUUGUUUAAUGCUUGUUGAUUGAACCAUUAACAUUUAGCUUAGCUCGAAAUCAUAGAGGCAUGUGUAAAAGUGAAUCUUUUAUAAUUUUCUAGAAGUAUCAUGUUAUUCGAUUCUGUCUUUGCUAACUUGGACCAAUUUUGUGCAGGUUGGUAGAGCAGUCUAGGCUAAUGAUGUGACCAAGAGGAUUUUGUGGUGGAAGACACUCGAAAAAGCCCGUUAGAUAAUCGUUGUAACCUGAAUAUCUGGCAUUAUAGUUAUGUAAUUUGUGUGAACUAAAUGUGGAUUUCCUAUUUAAUAUUGAAGACAAAUUUUCAAGCAUCGUAACUUGAACUUAGUAUAGCGAUGUAUUUAUUUGAACUAAUUAAGGAUGCCCUAUUCAGGAAUAAAAAAUAUUUCAAAUAUGGUUUUAGACUUCCACGAAAAUUUUUGUCAAAAAUGACGGUGGAUCACCAAAAAAGAUGUUGAACUAUAGAUCACUAAAAUUGUUAAAAUGGGGGUUUUGCCUGCUCCGGGCUAAUUUGACGUUGAAAAUGGAUCAUUUUGAUCAUCAAGGCCAAAUGUCUCCAUAGUUAGCGUCUUAAAAAAGUCCCACAAAAAAUUUGGACAAAAAUAACAUCGGAAUUCUAGAUCACCAAAAAUCCACGGACUAUAACACAUUAAAAUCGACAAAAUUGGGGUGGGGUGGGGUGGGGUUACAUGCUCUAGGGCUCGUUUGACAUUGAAAAUGGAUCGUUUUGGCAGUUAGGUCCAAGUGGCUCCAUAGAUAACGUCUUAAUAGAUGUCUACAAAAAAUUUGGGAAAAAGUUACGUUUGAAUUGCGGAUCACCAAAAAUCCAUGUAGUGUUGUUCAGGAAAUUUGAUAAAAUGGGGGGUUUACUUGCUACAAGGCUCGUUCGACUUUGAAAAUGGCUUGUUUUGUCUAUCGGGCCAAUUGCCUCCAUAGAUAAUGUUUUAAUGGACGUCCACGAAAAUUAGGGCUAAAAUGACGGCAAAAAUCCAAAUCACCAAAAAAGAUGGUGAACUAGCACAUGGAAAUUGGCAAAAUGUGGUUUCUACCUUCUCUGGGCUGGUUUGACUUUUAAAUACGUUGUUUUGACCGUCAGGGUGAAUUGGAGCCAUUGAUAACAAUCAUAAAGACGUCCACAAAAAUUUGGACAAAAAUAAUGUUAAAAUUCAAAAUCACUGAAAAUCCUCGAACUAUAUUCAACAUUUAAGUCAAAAUUCAUUGACAGAUUAUAUAUGUAAAAAAUUUGUAUAAAAUUCUUCAAAUCUCAGAUACCAAUAUUUAAUGUCACUAUUUUAGAUAUUUGAAUCCAAACUUCAUAUAUGGCUUGCUAAAAUCCAAAUUAUGUUUCACACUGUUUGUAUAUCCGAAGACGUUCUUGGAUAAAUGUAUAUGCAUGUAUAUUUAAAAAUAUUAUCAAAUGAUUAAUGAUUAUCUAAAUUUAAUUUUUUUCCUAAUAUAAACGAUCCCACCCCGCCAAAAAAUAAAAAGAAUUUGUUUUGAAGAAUGGUUUAAAUAAUGUCUGAAGUUAUGUUAUGAAUUAAUGAAAUACUAUUGAGUUAAUUUGUGAGAAGAUUUUUCAUAUUUUUUUUAUUUCCAUCAUCAAAUUCAUAAGUUUUACUUUAAUAGUCAAGCUACGACAAGCGUAUUAUGUAGAUAGGUGAUUAUUUAUAUUGAUAUGCACAUCAUGUAUUGAAUCCCUUCAUAUACUUACUCCUAUAUUUUAAUAUUAUGUUUUGUUAUCUCUGUCACAAGUUUCACAGGUUUCAUCUACCGGAGAUUAGGGAUUAAUGUUUAUGCACAUGUAAAGUUCAAGUAAUAUCAAUACAUACCUUAUGGUAUAUAUGAACCUUAUAACAUGUCAUAUUUUAUUUAUUCCCGUCACGGACUUCAAUAGUGUUUUAUUGACUGUUAGCCUACUGCAAUUGUUUUCCUUCAUCGAGCCUUAUGACUAAAAGAUCAUGCACGUAAAAUUUAAGUAAUACACAUCAUCAUGAGUGGAAAAGCCCGAUAUAGUCAACUAUCACCAAUUCAUUGAAAAUAUGUAGAUACUAUGUUGUGUUGAAUCCCUAAUUAUUAUAUCAAAUGAUUAAGACGAUCCACAUACACAUUUUUUCUAUAAAAAUAAUCCCCUCACACACAAAAAAAGGAUGAUUUUUGUAGAGUAUUUUAAAUAAGUCAUGAAAUCACGUUAUGAAUAAAUAAAUACAAUUGAGUAAACAUUUAUGUUGUAAUUAGAAGGAUUCUCUGUUUUUUGUUUUGUUAUUUCCAUCACAAAUUCAUCAGUUUUACAUUAGCAUACUGCAAUCAUCUUCCUCUAUUGUGUCUUAGCACUAAAAUCCUAUGCAGAUAGAGUUUAAAUAAUAUUCAUCAUCAUCAAAUACAAAACAACAUGUAUUCAAAAGUUGUUAAGUUGACUAGUUCAAGAGUUACGUUGCUUGGCACAAGAUAUGCUACACUCAAUAUGGUACGAUUAAAGUUUACUGCUUACACUGUCUGAUAAUAUUCUUAAGAAUAUAAGUUUAUCACAAAGUAGAGAAACAUAUCAAAUUCUCAUUUAAAUCUAGAAAUACUAAUGUCAAGGACUUUUUUAUUCAGACAAGACUUCGUGCGGCACUUGACGGUUUACUCACGAUUCUUGCACGUUCUCGCAAACUCAAGUAAGCCUUUCACUCGGAUCGCUUAGAAAAUAAGAAGAAAGACAGAACAUUUGGAAGAAGGAACUUAUAUUACUUGAAAAAUGUUGGAUGCUUUACAAAUAAAAAUGACCUACUAUUUAUACUACUCUAAUGCCUAAGAGUUAGUAAAUGCUACACUAUACAAGUUCCUAAGUCUAUGCCUACAAGGCAUGCUUCUAAGUCUUCCAAAAAGGACUCCUAAAUGCUCCUAGCCUUCCCCAACGCCUUGAGGCCUUGAACAAGCCUCUUCAACGCUUGUAACUGCCGCCCCACCACCUGCUGUAACAGCUGUAACGACUAUAACUGCCGUAAUAGCUGAAACUGUUGUAACAACUGCCUCACCAACUGUUGCCUGCCCGUUUUCCUGCUGGCCAGCUUUGGCAGCCUGCCCCCUUGCGCCUACUGCUGGCUGCCUAGUUGAGUGGCGUUCUGCCUUGAUGGAUGGGAGGACGUCACGAUCUCCCUCGCCUAAUGAUGCGACAACCGCGACGCAUUGCUACAAGAACUCCUGAAUUUUGUCUUUAAACUGCCACAAGUCUUCGUACUUCUCCCAAGUGGCUUCUUCCGGAGUCUGUCCCUUCCAAUGUAUGAGAAACAUUGCACUAUCUUGCUGUCCUCAUUUCCGCUUAGCUUGGUAAUCUAUUAUAGUGUCAAUUUCUUGAUCAUGCGAGGCAGUAACAGUGAUAGGGGCCCGUUGUGAUUUGUUUUGGCUUGGAUCGUCCUUAUCCUCAUGAUAAGGCUUAAGAACGCUUGCAUGAAAGACUCGGUGGAUCCUUAAGUGUGGAGGUAACUCCAACUUGUAUGAAAUUUUACCCACCUUGGCAACAAUCUUGAACGGACUCUAAUAUUUCCGCACCAAGUUGUGAUGUACGCCUUUAAGUGCCUUAAACUGCCUAGGAUUAAACUUUACCAAAACCAUAUCACCUUCUUUGUAGUUGGUGGGACGACACUUGCGGUCGGUGAACUUCUUCAUCCUCCUUGCCGCCUUACUCAAAUAAGAUUUGGCAAGGUCAAGUUGUUCUUCCCAACCCUUGGCAAGAUUGUAAGUGCCCAAACUCUUCCCCUCGAACAAGGUUGGCAGUGAGUGUGGAGUUUGGGGUUGCUGGCCUGUUGCUAACUCCAAUGGUGUGUGCCCUGUAGAUUCACUCCUCUGCAAAUUGUAAGAAAAUUGCACCAUGUCUAGGAGCUUAGCCCAAUCUUUCUGAUGUAUAUUGACAUAGUGCCUAAGAUACCAUUCCAAUAUGGCGUUGAUGCGUUCCGUUUGGCCAUCAGUUUGGGGGUGGAAACUGGUGGAAAAAUGAAGUUUUGAACCAAGAAUUUCAAAGAGUUCACUCCAAAAGUUCUCAGUGAAACGAGGAUCCGGGUCGCUGAUGAUGAACCUCGGCAGCCCCCAAUACUUCUCAACAUUUUCGAAGAACAAUUGUGCAGCUUUCUUAGCAGUACAACCGGCUGUGGCAGGCAUGAAAGUCGCAUACUUGGAGAAUCUAUCAACUACGACCAUAAUUGUGCCAAACUCGUUUGACAUCGGCAAAGAAGUGAUGAAGUCCAUAGAUAUACUCUCCCAUGGACGAUCAGCUAUGGGUAGUGGCUCCAACAGCCCUCCGGGUUGCCUUUGCUCUACCUUGUCUUGUUGGCAUACAAGACAAGUCUGCACAUACUGCUCAAUCUCUUCCCGCAUUCGUGGCCAGAAAUAGAAGGCCUCAACUAAUGCCCUCGUUCUCUUCUGUCCCUGAUGCCCAGCCCACGGAGUGUCGUGGCUCUCUUUGAUAAUACUCCGCCUGAUGAAUCCAAACUUUGGUACAUAAACUCUCCAGCCAGUGGUAAUCAAGAAUCCGUCUUCUACCCAAAACCGUUUGGUUUGGCCUUGAGCAGCCAGCUGUAGAAUCUUCUUGGCUUCGGGAUCGCUUAUCAUACCAUCUUUGAUUGCGCCUUGGAAUUCACUACGGACUGAGGAGAUGGUCGCUAAAUCAGUCUUCCUUCUCAAUGCAUCGGCCACUACAUUGCCCUUUCCUGGUUUGUACUCCAAGAUGUAGUCGAAUUCUGCCAAGAAAUCCUGCCAACGAGCCUGCUUUGGUGUGAUCUUCUUCUGUGAUUGAAAAUAGCUAGUUGCAACGUUGUUGGUUUUCACUAAAAAUUUUGAGCCUAGUAGAUAGUGCCUCCAUGUGCGUAGACAAUGCACAAUGGCCGUCAUCUCCUUCUCCUGCACGGUGUACCGUCGUUCAGCUUCAUUCAGCUUCCGGCUUUCAAAAGCUAUGGGGUGCUUCUCCUACAUCAAGACUCCCCCAAUGGCAAAAAGAGAAGCAUCUGUAUGGAUCUCGAAGGUCUUGGUGAAAUCAGGCAGCAUCAAGACUGGUUCCUCAGUAACCGCAACCUUAAGACCUUCAAAUGCUUCUUGGCACUCCUCGCUCCACAGCCAAGUCUUGUUCUUCUUCAGCAGCUCGGUCAGUGGGGCAGCAAUAGCGAAGUACCCGCUAAUGAACCUGCGAUAAUAAUUAGCAAGUCCAAGAAAAUAACGUAGCUCGAUCACUUUUGUAGGUGCUUCCCAAUCUUGGAUCGCCUUUACCUUUGCCUCAUCCAUACGAUGUUCACCUUGGAUGAUCACAUGGACCAAGAAAUGUAUCUUUGGUUGGGCGAACUCGCACUUCUCCCGCUUGUCAUAAAGCUCAUUCUCCCGCAAGACAUUGAAGACCUUCUUCAAGUACUCUUCAUGUUAUUGCAAAGUGCUACUAUAGACGACUAGGUCAUCUAAGUACACUACUACGAACAGGUCCAAGUAGGUAUGUAAAAUCUUGUUCAUCAGCAUGCAAAAUGUGGCAGGUGCGUUGGUUAAGCCUAAGGGCAUUACCAACCUUUCGAAUGCUCUAUACCUGGUAACGCAUGCUGUCUUUGGCUCAUCCCCCUCUGCAAUGCGCACUUGAUAGUAGCCUUUCCGGAGAUCCAUCUUGGUGAAGUACUUGGCCUCUCCAAGACGAUCAAACAAAUCUGCGAUCAGCGGGAUUGGAUACUUGUUUUGAAUUGUGAUCUUUUUGAGCGCCCUGUAGUCAAUGCAUAGGCGCAUCGACCCAUCUUGUUUUUUUUGAAACAGCACCGGUGCUCCAUAGGGUUCCUUGGAUGGACGAAUGUGACUUGCUUCGAGGAACUCUUUCAACUGCUUCCUCAGUUUCUCUAACUCAGGCGGAGCCAUGCGGUAAGGUGCAAGCGCAUGUGGCUUGGCUCCCGCCUCCAACUCGAUCAUGUGGUCUACCUCGCGCCUUGGAGGUAGAGUUUUUGGCAGCUGCUCCGACAUCACAUCACUGUUUUCCUGCAAAACAGUCUCUAUGAUAGGUGGCAAUGGCUCCAUAGCACCAUGGUCUUCACCCAAACUUGCGAUGGUGGCUAAGAAGGUUGGUGCUCCUUUCUUCAGGCCCUUCACAAUCGGCAUGGCCGACAAUUGGGCAUAUAUGUCUUUCUUCGGCACCCUAACAUGAGGCACAAUACAAGACCCUUCCCCUUCCAUCACCAUGAGUUGUUGAAGGUAGAGAUCAAUCAUCAUGUGACAAUGCUGAAAGAAUUCCUGUCCAAGAAUAACAUCGGAUAUGUAUAGAGGAGCUACAAUAAAAUUUGUCUUACCUCUCCACCGUCCUAAAGUGAUGCUUACCCCAUGAGCAAUUCCACACACUGGGGUUGGUGGGGCGUUGACAGUCUUGAGGCUAUUGCUGCUUGGAACAAUUUUCAGUCCCAAUUUUUCUGCCGCCGUCUUGGUCAUGAUGUUGGCUUCAGCCCCGGAAUCUACCAUGGCCCGCACUGGUUGCCCAUUGAUGGAGAUGUCCACAUAUUGCGUACUGAAAUCCCCUGGGUUGUCGGCCUGUUUGGCUAUGGCUCCACAAAUUCCAACCAUACCCAACUGUGUAGUGUCUGCCGAUUUCGCCUUGUCUUGUGCCUCCUUUUCCUUCCCCUCGCGGGCGAUGGCGCUAAGGCUCUUCAUCUCUGGGAACCAGGCAUAACUGUGUGGUCCGCCACAUAUGUAGCACCCGUCUCCUAUGCUGGAAUGCGUCCACUUCUCCGAGUACUUCUGGCGCUCAAUCCGUCUGCCAUCGGGCUUGGGCGUGUCUUGCUGCAUGGGAUGUGCCGGCUGUUCUCUGCCUCGGCCACGGUCUCCCCCGCCUUUAGCUUGACUGCCCCUUGCCUCCUUGCCCUUCGCCUUGUCCAAACGAUCAUGUUUGAAAUCUGUCAAGGUUUCAGCUUGAGUGAUAGCCUCAUCGAUGGUUUUUACUUGAUGCCGCUCUAACUUGGUCCUCGCCCAAUUCUGCAGCCCGUCCAUGAAGGUGAACAGCAUGUCAUCUUCCGUGAGUUGGGGAAUUUGAAGGGUCAAAAUUGUGAACUCUUUCACAUAGGCCCUAAUACUUCCCGUCUGCUUCAACUCCCGGAAUUUGCGUUUUAUUUCAUAAACAGCAAUGUUGGGGAAGAAAGCUUUCUAGAAUUCCUCAAGGAAUUUUUCCCAUGUGUUGAUGGUGCAUGUGGCCGUCUUGAUCCAGGCAUCUUUGUGUUUCCACCAUAACAUGGCUACAUCAGAAAAAUACAUAACGGCAGUGUUGAUCUUGCUUGCAUCGCUCCUGACCCGAUUACACUUGAAAUAAUUUUCCAAGUUCCAUAGGAAAUUUCCCACCUCGAAGGCAUCACGGACACCUUUGAAUAUUCGUGGCUUCGGAACCUCGACUGUGGACUCCCUUUCCUGGCCAAGUGACGUUGAGGCAGCAACCUCCCUUUCUUCCUCGAGAAUUAGCACCUUAUUUUUCAGCGUCUCAAUCGCCGCAAGGGCGUCUAAGAACCUGAACUCCAAGGAAGUAAUGGUUUCCUUCAUUGCUAAUUCAGACCGCUUGCGCACAUCCAACUCCUUCCGGAGGGUGUCAAUUUCCUCGAGGGAAUGCUCCUCAAGGUCUUUGACGUCCCUGUUCAAUCCAUUCAAGCGCUGACCUAAAAUCUCAACAGCUAGCCUUGCCCUCUCGACGCUGGCGAUCCACUCAUGUCCAACAUUGACGUUUACGGUAUCUUCGCUGUCGUCGUCGUCACUUCCAUCGACAAUCUGUUGAGGGAAAGAUGUUUACCCUUCGCUUCGUGGUUGAUCGGUUGGUGGAGGAUCAGUUUGUGGAAGAUCAGUCAGAUUAGGUUCAUUAACCUUCUGCUGCUUCUUCCUUUUCUUGUUCUUCUUUUCUCCCCGAACGUUCGGGUUGUUGCUGCCGCUUCCGUCUCCUUUGUUCGUCAUUCUCUUAUGAUGAACCUGCUCUGAUACCAAUUGACACGGACUUUUUGAUUCGAACAAGACUCCGUGCGGCACUUGAUGGUUUACUCAUGAUUCUUGCACGUUCUCGCAAACUCAAGUAAGUCUUUCACUCGGAUCGCUAAGAAAAUAAAAAGGAAGACAGAACUUUUGGAAGAAGGAACUUCUAUUACUUGAAAAUUGUUGGAUGCUUUACAUGUAAAAAUGACCUACUAUUUAUACUACUCUAAUGCCUAAGAGUUAGUAAAUCUACACUAUACAAGUUCCUAAGUAUAUGCCUACAAGACAUGCUUCUAAGUCUUUCAAAAAGGACUCCUAGAUGCUCCUACUCUGCCCCAAUGCCUAGAGGCCUUGAACAAGCCUGUUCAAGGCUUGUAACUGCCGCCUCACCACCUGGUGUAGCAGCUGUAACGUCUGUAACUGCCGUAACAGCUGAAACUGCUGUAACAGCUGCCUCUCCAUCUAUCUGGUGCACUUUCCGACCAUGUUGUGCAUAAGUACAAUUAAUUAAGAAGUAAUCUAAUUGUGUCGAGCUAGCAACUUGAUAAAAGUGUCAAAAUAACCCUUAACUACAAGCCUUGUUUUAUGCUUGUUGAUUCAAACAUCAAUAUUUGGUUUAGCUCGAAAUCCUAGAGGCAUGUCUAAAACUGAACCGCUUAUCAUGUUAUUCGAUUCUCUUUUUGCUAACUUGGACCAAUUUUUUGCAGGUUGGUAGAGGAGUGCUAGGCUAAUGAUGUGAACGAGAGGAUUUUGUGGUGGCACACACUCAGAAAAGUCCUGCAGAUAAUCCUUGUAACCUGAAUAUCUUGCAUUAUAGUUAUGUAAUUUAUGUGAACUAAAUGUGGAUUUCCUAUUCAAUAUUAUUGACAAAUUUCAAGCAUUGUAACCUGAACUUAGUAUAGCGAUGUAUUUUGUUUGAACUAAUUAAGGAUUCCCUAUUCGUGAAGAAAAAAAUUUCAAACAAGAAAAUUUUUGGCAAAAUUGAUUGCGGAUCAGAAAGAAAUAUGGUGAACUAUAGCCCACGAAUAUCGGUAAAAUUGGGGAUUUACAUGCUAGGGGCUCGUUUGACCUUGGAAAUUGGCCGUUUUUACCGUCAAAGCAAAAUUUCUCCAUAGAUAACAUUUUAACAGACAUCCACAAAAAUUUUCAACAAAAAUGAGGUUGGAAUUCUAGAUCACCAAAAAUCCAUGGACUAUAGCACAUAAAAAUCGACAAAAUGGGGGUGGGGGGUUACAAGUUCUGGUGCUAGUUUGAUCUUGAAAAUUGAUUGUUUUGGUCAUCAGGGCCACUGACUCCAUAGAUAACGUCUUAAUGGACGUCUAUGGAAAAGUUAGGAAAAUCUGACAUCUGAAUUGCAGAUCACUUAAAAUCCAUGGACUAUAGUACUUCAAUAUUUGCAAAAUGGGGGAUUUACCUGCUUCGAGGCUCAUUUGACCUUGAAAAUGGGUCGUUAUGGCCAUCAGGGCCAAUUGGCUCCAUUGAUAACGUCAUAAUGAACGUCCACGAAAAAUUGAGGCAAAAAUGAUGGCGGAAAUCCAAAUUACCAAAAAAGAUGGUGAACUAGCACAAGGAAAUUGGCAAAAUGGGAUUUUUACCUUCUCUGGGGUUCGUUUGACUUUGAACAUAGACCGUUUUGGAUUUUAGGGCCACUUGGCUCCAUACCUAAUGUCUUAAAGGCGUCCACAAAAAAUUUGGACAAAAAUAAUGUAUAAAUUCAAAAUCACCAAAAAUCCAUAAACUAUAUUCAGUAGUAUUGGUCAAAAUUCAUUGAGAGUAUUAAUUAAUAUACAAAUUUUUUAUAAAAUUAUUCAAAUAUUAGAUAUACCAAUAUUUAAUGUCAGUAUUAUGAAUAUUUGAAUCCAUAGUUCAAAUAUGGCUUGCUAAAAUCCAAAUUAUCCUUCACAUUUUGUGUAUAUAACCUCCGAAGAAUUUCUUGGAUAAAUGUAUCUGCAUGUAUAUUUAAAAAUAUUAUCAAACGAUUAAUGAUGAUACAAAUUUAAUUUUUUUCUAAAUAUUAACGAUCCCACCGCACAAAAAAUAAUAAUAAUUGGUUUUGUAGAAUGUUUUUAAAUAAUGUCUGAAGUCAUCUUGUGAAUUAAUGAAAUACGAUUGAGUGAAUUUAUGUCAUAGUGAGAAUAUUUUACUUUUUUUUUGUUAUUUCCAUCACCAAAUUCAACAGUUUUACGUAAAUAGUCACCCUACUUCAAUUGUAUUAUGUAUAUAGGUGAAAUGUUUAUUGAUAUACACAUUACUUAUUGAAUCCCUUUAUAUACAUAAUCCUAUAUUUUAAUAUUAUGUUAUGUUAUCUCCUUCACCAAAUUCACCGUUUUCAGCUAGUGGGGACUAGGGCUUAACGCUUACACAUAUGUAAAUUUCAAGUAGCAUCAAUACGUACCUGUGUUAUGUUAUCUCCUUCACCAAAUUCACCGUUUUUAGCUAGUGGGGACUAGGGCUUAACACUUACACAUAUGUAAAUUUCAAAUAGCAUCAAUACGUACCUUAUGGUACAAUAUAAACAUUACAACAUGAAAUUUUUUGUUUUGUUAUUCCUGCCAUGGACUUCAAUAGACUUUUAUUGACUGUAAUCCUACUGCAAUUUUUUUUUCUUUAUCCAGCUUUGGGGCUAAAAACUCAUGCACAUAAAAUUUAAGUAAUAAACAUCAUCAUUACUGACAUAAAUUUUAAAUAAUGGUCAUCAUCAUCAAUUACAGGACAACAUAUAUUCAAAAAGUGUCAACUAAUAGACCAAUGGCGGAGCCAUCAUAUAUUUAGGGAUUCAUCCGAACCUUUUCGGUGAAAAAUUAUAUUAUUUUUAAGUAGUUAAAAUAAUUUUUUAGGUACAUAGAGUAGAUGUGGAACCCCCAAAUAAAUCUAUUUCAUGUGUCUAUUUCUCAGGAUUUUGAACCCCCUUAUAAAAAUUCUGGCUCCGCCUCUAUGAUCGAUACCACUCCAUUGAAAAAGUAUAUUAUGUAGUAAUGUGAAACGUUUUAUCACGAUAGUAAAAUCAGCUUUUAGCGACAAAAAAUAUGUACAUUUAUAAAGAGUGGUAAAGUCUUUACCGGCAUUAUUUAAGAUCCUUUCGAACCAAUAUCGUUAAAGACUUUAGAUACAUAUACAAAGAGUAUUAAUUAUCACUAAAAUUACAUAUAUCAUUUUUUAUGUAAUAAAUGUAAAUUUUAAGAGCCAAAACACACAGGGAAUGAUCCCCAUAUACAGAAAUACUUUGUUUUGUUUUGUGUUUCCAUCACCAAAUUCACAAGUUUAAACGCUAAUAGUCACCCUACUUCAAUGAUAUUAUGUAUAUACGUGAUUUUUUUAUUGAUACACAUAAUACAUAUUGAAUCCCUUUUUAUACUCAAUGCUAUAUUUUCAUAUUAUGUUCUGUUAUCUCUAUCACCAAAUUCACUGUUUUCCUCUACUAGGGAUUAGGGCUUAAUGCUUAUGCAUACGUAAAUUUUAAGUAGAACCAAUACGUACCUUAUGGUACAAUAUAAACUUUACAACAUGACAUGUUUUGCUUCGUUAUUCCCAUCGCCAAAUUCACCAGCCUUUUAUUGACUAUUAGCCUACUUCAAUUGUUUUUCUUUAUCGGGCUUUAGGACUAAAAGCUCAUGCACAUAAAAUUUAGUAUAUCUUACAUAAAUCCUAUAGUGUAAGAUCUAAAUUACAUUCUAUCCCUACUCUUUUCUAUUUUACAAAAAUCGCAUAAAAUAUCAAUCAUCUCGAUACAUAACUUUCAUCCGGAUACAUCAAUUGUGAUACAUUAUAAAACUUGUUUGUUGCGUUUAAUAUUGAUAUUAACAUAAAAUAGGAUUUAUUUCCCAUAAAUCAUGCAGAUCUAAUUUAUACCAAUCCAUUCCAAUCUGUAACAGCUUCACAAAAUUUAAAAUUUAGAUUUAUAUCUUUUCCGUCAAUUCAAAAUAAAUAAAUCUCCACAAGAGAAAUUUCUAAAGAGAUGAUGACUACUGAAUUAGAUAUUUUUCAAUCAACUAGGAAUGAUUUGAUCCUUGAUAGAGUACCUUAAAUAAAUCUAUUUCUUUCAUGGUUUAAAGGAAUAUUGGUGGAGACUAAUAUGGGCGUAGCAGUGAAUCUUGGAGAAAUCAUUAGAAAGUUGGAAAUUGUGACAGUAGGGCAAACCUUCAUCCAUCUAAUAUAGGUUUAUGAUGACGAGAAUCAUCAGUUGGUUACAAAUAGGAUCUAUAUAUUUGUGUCGCAUCUCGAUUAUUGUGAUUUCUUCAUCUGAUCUAUUAGUAUACAAAUAAUGCUCUGUAUUUCAACAUUAAUUUGGAGUUAUAGUUGUUGUGUGAAAAUUAUUCUCGGGAAGGAUACCUUAAGAUCAAGACCUCAUAGGUACAUCAUGGGGAAUAAAUGUGCAUGUAUAUAAGAAGAAAGAGUGGUUUGUCAUACCAUGUUUGUGUCAUUAAUUCAUUGGCCUCUUAUCAAACGAAGCAAAUUAUCUUUUUCAAUUAUCUUCUUAUCCAUCACUGACUAUUCAACCACUCCCUCCACCAUUCCAUCUGCCUCUCCGUCAUUGGUUUAUAGUUUCUUUUCAAUGUAUCAUUGCUAUAGUUUUGUUUUCUCGUUUUGAUGUGAAUAUGUAAGUCAUGAUACAUUAGUGGUAAAUGACUUGCGUGUAUUGUUAUUUGUAUCUAUAAAUUAUGAUGUGGUCAUUGUUUUGUAUUCGAAAGUGAUUUUUAUAAAAAUGUAUCAUCAUAAUAUAUUUUAUAUGAUUCAUGCAAUAAAUGAAUUAACAAUUGAUAUGGAUCAGAUUCAUUUUGAAUAUCGAGUGUGUGUAUCACAUAUUUUUAUAAUGUAUUAGGUUAUUAUUGUAUAUAUUAUACAUGUAAAUAGUGUAACAAUUAAGAUAUUUAAUUUACUUGUUUGAUCAAGACAAAUAUGGAUGAUACAUUAAUAUAUCAAUCUUGGAUUUUUGUGAGUGGUUGUAUCAUUGAAAAUUUUAAUGUACCUAGUACAUGUUACAAGAUGGUUAUAAAAUUUUAUCAAUAUGUGUUAGUUUUUUGUUAGAUAGGUGAUCCUUUGAAAAUUGAAAAAAUGUAUUUCAUAUGAUGUACUAUUGAAUUUUUAAAUGUUUGUAGAUUGUACCAUGCCAUAAGUUUUUAUGUAUCAAGAUUAUGAUGGGUAAUAUGUACAGAUACAUCACAUUCUAAGUUAGGUAGCACUGAACAAAUAUUAAAGAGUGUAGAUACAUAAUACACAAGCAUUUUUUCAUUGUGUAUAUAGCCUUUCAAAUUUGUAUAAGAUUUACAUGAUAUAUUGAAAAACUUGAUACAUGAAAAUUAUACAUUGAGAAGUGUUUAUGUAUUCAAGAACAUUUAUAUUGAACAUAAUAAAACAAGUAGAAGAUUCAACAACAUUAGAGUUAUGUAUCAACAUCUCAACUAUGAUUAUUAUACAUUGUAUAAAAAAAGGAUGAAUGGAUAAUAAGAUACAAUGGAGAAUCAUUGGUAUAAUGUUAUUUUCCAUAUUUUGUUUUUUUAUUUCAACCACAAAAUUCACCAAUUUUAAGUUAAUAGUCACCCUACUGCAAUCGUAUUAUGUUGGUAGGUGAUUUUUUUUAUUGAUAUACAUAUUACGUAUUGUAUCCCUUUAUAUACUUAAUCCCAUAUUUUCAUAUUAUGUUUUGUUAUAUCCGUCACCAAAGUCAUUGCUUUCCCCUACUGGGUAUUAGGGCUUAUUACUUACGCAUACGUAAAGUUCAAGUAGCAUCAAUACAUACCUUAUGGUACAAUAUAAACCUUACAACAUGACAUAUUUUGUUUUGUAAUUCCCAUCACCAAAUUCACUAUUCUUUUAUUGAUUAUUAGCCUACUGCAAUUGUUUUUCUUUAUCGAGCCUUAGGACUAAAAGCUCAUGCACGUAAAAUUUAAGUAAUACACAUCAUCAUUAGUGGCAAAGCUCGAUAUAGUCAAUUAUCACCAAUUCACUGAAAAAAUGUAGUUAUUAUGUGUUGUGUUGAAUCCCUAAAUAUUUAUAUCAAAUGAUUAACAGGAUCCACAUUCAUAUUUUUUCAAUAAAAAUUAUCCUCUCACAAAAAAAGAGAAAUUUUGUAGAGUAUUUUAAAUAAGUCAUGAAAUCAUGUAGUGAAUUAAUAAAUACAACUGUGUGAAUAUAUAUGUUGUAAUUAGAAAGAUUCUCAAUAUUUUGUUUUGUUAAUUCCAUAAAAAAUUCAUCAGUUUUACAUUAGCAAUUAGCAUAGUACAAUCAUCUUCCUCUAUCAUGGCUUAGCACUAAAAUCUUAUGCAGAUAAAGUUUAAAUAAUAUUCAUCAUCAUCAACAACAGAACAACAUGCAUUCAAAAGGUGUUAAGUUUACGAGCUCAAGAGUUACGUUGCUUUGCACAUGAGAUGCUACACUCAAUAUGGUACAGUUUUAGUUUACUGCUUACUCUGCUUACACAAUCUGAUAGUAUUCUAAUAAAUAAAAGUUUAUCACAAAGCAGAGAAACAUAUUGAAUUCUCAUUUGUUAUCUCAAAUUUGCUAAUAAAUCAAGUUCGACUUUAAAUCUAGCAAUACUAAGGUCUAAACUUCUCUUGAGUUGCUAUAUCAACCACUAUUGUCUUACCAUCAAACGAUUCAAUUGACAGUAAUAAUUGUUUUACAAAAAAAACCAUUAAGAAGUGUUGCUUUUACAUCUAUAUAAUGCACUUUCUAGUCACGUUGUGCAUAAGUAGAAUUAAUUAAGAACUAAUCUGAUUGUGUCGAGCCUAGGAACUGGAGAAAAAGUGUCAAAAUAACCCUUAACUACAAGCCUUGUUUAAUGCCUGAUGAUUGAACCAUCAACAUUUAGCUUAGCUCGAAAGCCUAGAGGCAUGUCUAAAAGUAAGUAUUUUAUAAUUUUGUAGAAGUAUCAUGUUAUUCGAUUCUGUCUUUGCUAUCUUGGACCAAUUUUAUGCAGGUUGGUAGAGAAAUCUAGGCUAAUGAUGUGACCAAGAGGAUUUUGUAGUAGAAGACACUCGGAAAAGUCCGUUAGAUAAUCGUUGUAACCUAAAUAUCUGGCAUUAUAGUUAUGUAAUUUGUGUGAACUAAAUGUGGAUUUCCUAUUUAAUAUUGAAGACAAAUUUUCAAGCAUCGUAACUUGAACUUAGUAUAGAAAUGCAUUUUAUUUGACCUAAUUAAGGAUGCCCUAUUCGUGAACAAAAAUUAUUUCAAAUAUUGUUUGGAUGUCCACGAAAAUUUUUGUCAAAAAUGACGGUGGAUCACUUUGAUCGUCAAGGAAAAAUGGCUCCAUAGCGAAUGUCUUAACAGAGGCCCAUAAAAAAUUUGGACAAAAAUGACAUUGGAAUUUCAGAUCACCAGAAAUCCACGGUCUAUAGCACACAAAAAUCGGCAAAAUUGGGGGUGGGGGUGGGGUUACAUGAUCUAAGGCACGUUUGACAUUGAAAAAGGAUCGUUUUUUCCGUUAGGUCCAACUGGCUCCAUAGAUAACAUCUUAAUGGACGUCUACAAAAAAUUUGGGAAAAAGUUGUGUUUGAAUUGCGGAUCACCAAAAAUCCAUGUACUAUUGUACACGAAUAUUGGUAAAAUGCGGGUUUACUUGCUACAAGGCUCGUUUGACCUUUAAAAUAGCUUGUUUUAUCCAUCAGGGGCAAUUGGCUCCAUAGAUACGUUUUAAUGGACGUCCACAAAAAUUGGGCUAAAAUGACAGCAGAAAUCCAAAUCACCAAAAAGAUGGUGAACUAGCACAUGGAAAUUGACAAAAUGGGUUUUUUACCUUCUCUGGGACUCGUUUAACUUUGAAGACGGGUCAUUUUAUCCGUCUGGGCCACUUGGCUCCAUAGCUAUCGUCUUAAAGACGUCCACAAAAAUUUGGACAAAAAUAAUGUCAAAAUUCCAAAUCACCGAAAAUCCACGAACUAUAUUCAACAUUUUAGUCAAAAUUCAUUGACAACAUUAUAUAUGUACAAAAUUUGUAUAAAAUUAUUCAAAUCUCAGAUACCAAUAUUUAAUGUAACUAAUUUAGAUAUUUGAAUCCAUACUUCAAAUAUGACUUGCUAAAAUCCAAAUUAUCUUUCACACUAUUUGUAUAUAACCUGUGAGAAUUUCUUGGAUAAAUUUAUAUGCAUGUAUAUUUAGAAAUAUUAUCAAAUGAUUAAUGAUGAUCUCAAUUUAAUUUUUUUCCUAAUAUAAACGAUCUCACCCCGCCAAAAAAUAAUAAUAAUUUUUUUUUGUAGAAUGUUUUUAAAUAAUGUCCGAAGUUUUGUUGUGAUUUAAUGAAAUACUAUUGAGUGAAUUUGUGAGAAGAUUUUUCAUUUUUUUUAUUUCUAUCAUCAAAUUCACCAGUUUUACAUUAAUAGUCAGUAUACUACAAUCGUAUUAUAUAGAUAAGUGAUUAUUUAUAUGGAUAUACACAUUAUGUACUGAAUCCUUUUAUAUACUUACUCCUAUAUUUUCAUAUUAUGUUUUGUUGUCUCCGUCACAAGUUUCACAGUUUUCAUAUACCGGGGAUUAGGGAUUAAUAUUUAUGCACAUGUAAAGUUAAAGUAAUAUCAAUACAUACGUUAUGGUAUAUAUAAACCUUAUAACAUGUCAUAUUUUUCUUAUUCCCGUCACAGACAUUAAUAGUCUUUUAUUUAUUGUUAGCCUACUGCAAUUUUUUUCCUUCAUCAAGCCUUAGGACUAAAAGAUCAGUACGUAAAAUUUAGGCAUAAUACAUAUAUUGAACCCUAAACUUUAUUUAAAAUUUUAUCUUUGACCUCCAACAUUUAUAAUGCACAUAUAGACACUUUAACCCUCCAACUUUUAAGUAAAUAAACAAAUGUGUCCUACGUGACAUAAUACAUGUAGGACACCACGUAUGACAAAAAAUGACAUGUAGGAUGACAUGUAGGUCAUGUGUUUCUAUUUGUUCAACUUUAAUCAAGUUUAAAUGUCUAUUUGUGCAUAUCCAAAGUUGAAGGGUAUAAAUGUGAUUUGAAGCCAAGUUAAACAACACAUUUAUGUAUUAUGCCUCAUAUUUAAGUAAUACACAUCAUCAUUAGCGGUCUGAUAUAUUAAAAAAGCGUCAACGAUCACCAAUUCACUGAAAAAUAUAAAUACCAUGUGUUGUGUUGAAUCCCUAAAUAUUAUAUCAAAUGAUUAAGACGAUCCACAUUCAUAUUAUUUCUAUAAAAAUUACCCCCUUGUAAAAGAAAAAGAUUUUGUAGAAUGCUUUAAAUAAGUCCUAAAAUCACGUUAUGAGUUAAUAAAAUACUAUUGAGUGAAUAUAUAUAUGUCAUAAUUAGAAGGAUUUCCAGUAUUUUGUUUUGUGAUUUCUAUUACAUAUUCACCAGUUUUACAUUAACAGCGAGCCUGCUACAAUCAUAAUCCUCUAUCAAGACUUAGUACUAAAGGCUCAUGCACAUAAAAUUUAAAUAGUAUUCAUCAUCAUCAAUGUCUGGAAAACGUGUAUUUUAAAGGUGUCAACUGAUCGACCAAUGGCGGAGCCAUCAUAUAUUUAGGGGUUUCAUUCGAACCCCUUUUGGUGAAAAAAUAUAUUAUUUUAAUAUGGUCAAAAUAAUUUUUAGGUACAUAGAGUAGAUGUCGAACCCCCUUUGGCUACUUUAUAUGUGUCUAUUUCUUAAGAUUUUGAAUCCCCUUACAAAAAUUUCUUGCUCCGCCUCUGUGAUCGAACCACUCCAUUGAAAAAGCAUAUUAUAUAGUUAUGAGAUAGGUUUUAUCACGAUAGUAAAAUAAAAUUUAGUGACAAAAAAUAUGCAUGUUUAUAAAGAGUGCUAAAUUCUUACCGGUAUUAGUUAAUUUUUUUUUGAUUCAAUGUCAUGAAAUGCUUUAAAGACAUUGACAAAGAGUGUUAAUUGCCGCUAUAUUUAGUGACAAUUAAGCUAUUGCAGUUAAUUAAUUGCAACUAAAGAUCAUUUUUGGUAUAUUGAUUAAUAUACAUAGAACGUAAUUAAUCCCUUUUAAUAUUUACUUGUAUAUUUUGUCGGAUUAUAUUUUUGUUAUUUCAGUUACCAAAUUUAUUCAUUUUAUGUUAGUAGUUAACCUAAUGCAAUCGUUUUCCUCUAAUGGGGAUCAAGAUUGAGCUCAUGCCUGUGAUGUUCAAGUAAUAUCAAUAUGUACCUUGUGGUACAAUAUUAACCUUUCAACAUGGUAUAUAUAGUUUUGUUAUUCCCACUAUCGAAUUCACCCAAUUUAUUCAUUGAGUAUUAGCCUAGUGCAAUUAUAUUUUUCAAUCAAGGCUUAGGAUUGACAAAUAAUUCACGUAAAAUUUCAGUAAUAUACAUCGUUAUGAUAAAUAGCAGAGCCACAUGUAUUAAAAAAGAGUCAACCAAUACCAGUUCAUGGAAAAAGUAUAUAUACUAUAUGUUGUGUUAAUACAUCAACAUUAUAUCAAAUGAUUAAUGACAAUUUAAAUUCAUAAUUUAAGUGAAUUAUCUUAAAAUUAACUUCCAGGUAAAUAUUCAAUCAAUAAACCUCAUUAAUUUCUUCUUUCUUAAAACCAAAAAAGGCAAUAUUCAUUUAAGUAUUGCACUUAAAAGUCAAAUUCAGCAACUUUAGUCAAAGUUCAAUUGAUUUUAUUAAUAAAUAUUUAUAAUCUAUAAUAAAAUCUAUUCAACACAUUGGUAACUUACAUUAAAGGGAAAAUGCACAAGUACCCCCUCCAAAAUCCCAGAUACACACUUUUCCUAUACUAAGGUCUUAUUACUCCCCUAAACUUAUUUUAUAAGUAAUUUUUUACCACUUUUCGGCCUACGUGGCACUAGCUUGAAAGAAAAAGUCAACCAGUGUUGGUCCCGCAAGAUAGCGCCACGUAGGCCGAAAAUCAUAGAAAAUUAUUUAUAAAAUAAGUUCAGGGGGUAAUAGGACCUUAGUAUAGUAUAAGUGUGUCUCUACGAUUUCAUUCAUAGGUUGAGGUUUCCUUGUGCAUUCCAUAAAUUAAAUAUCACUAUUUCAAUCCAUCUAUAAAUAUCCUUCGAAGCAUUUCUUGGGAAAACAUAAAAUUUUUUAAAAAUAUCAAAUGGAAGAUCCAACUAUCAUUUAAAGAGUAGAGUUGUUGGUUUCACCACUUGGUGGAAUUCCACAACGAAGAGUUUCCCCUUUCUUAGAUCUGAUUGCUACUUCGACUGAAGGACCAGAUUUGAAACCUCAUACAAUCCACUUUCCAUUUGAUCAAUCUGAGUGGCAAUUGAAAGUCAGGUUUCAUGGUUGCAAUGGAUGGAGGGAUCAACAAAAGAAAUUCAAAGAAUGGGUUGAAACAAUGGAGUCUAUCCAUCGCCCUGUAUGGAUAGUUGUAGGAAUUUAUGGACUGCUAAAAACUUCAACUUAAAGAGUUCAUACCGACGAAAAUAUAUAUUUGGGUUAGUAGAGAGGUGGUCUUAUGAGCUAACAGUUUAUGUUUCCGUGGGGUGAAUCUACUGUUAGUCUUGAAGACAAAAUGGUUUUGGGAGGGUUUACUGUUUUAGGUGACUGUGACAAGUCCCUCUUUCAAUGCCCUGAGUUGGUAGAGAUUGAAGAGUAUCUUGAGAAUGCGAGAAGAGAACUUAUCAGAUCAAAGACAAAUAAUCAGAGUAGGUGGUUGAAUUACUUCAUAAAUAGUUGUAAGGACUACAAACACUAAGCUUUUCUUUCUCUUUGGUUAUCAAGAUUUGUGUUUCCAUGUAAAGUAGGUGCUCCUGUUUUCUCGAUAACAGUUAAUCUGGCUAGAGGUAUGUAGCUAGCUCUUGCUCCUGCUGUUCUUGCUAGUAUAUACAGGGACUUGGACUCAUUGAGAAAGGAUAGGUAGAAGAAAUACAGACAUAAUUAAGAUCAUAAACAUGUUCUUUGGUCGCCAUUGUUCAUUGUUCAAGUCUUGGAUUGGGAGAGGAUGGCAUCUUUGCAGCCAGAGCGCGCUCGGGAUUAUAAAAUAGUUACUGGGGUGAGGAUAGGCCGAUGACACAAUGUGAAACAAACGGGUGAAAUUAAUUUGAGGACUACAAUUGACGCAGCUGGGGAGAUUUUUCUAUGGAGGCCAUACGCCUUGGCUGUGGAAGGUUUGGUCAAAUUUUCCCCAAGUUUUACAAGGAAAAUGAAGAGUGGACAAUAGUUGGAGAGCAAAAUUUGGAUCAAUAAAUGGAGUCUUUCUUUCGAUGCUUGAGGUGUCUGAGCUUGUUGAGGUAGAUUGUCAAGAGCCUUAUUGACCAAAUCGGGUAGCAAUGCAGUUUGGUUAUGAUCAAGACUUCCCUAAAUGGAUUCCUCACUCACUUUCUAAUCUAGAACUUGCCUGAUAAAAUUACAGCAGACCUAUUGCUUCUUAUUUGAGGUUAUACAAUCCGUCUAGGCUGUUUGAACCGGAUGUAACAACACGGUACUUGGAAUGGUGGAGAACAAAACUGAUCGUCAAAUGGAGAAUUACCUUGAAGUUCAUCCUAGUUUUCCUCCCAAUUAUUGUUGGAAAAAUGACAAGAAGAAUUACCCUGAUGUUUCUUCUGGUUUUCCUCCGAAUUAUUGUUGGAAAAAUGAAAAGAAGAAUCACCCUGAUGUUCCUCCUCGUUCUAAGCAGAAUCAUAUUGCAGAGGAAACAGUUCACAUAUUCAUUGACGGCAAUGGGAGUUGCAAUGAAGGAAGCAUGGAAAGAAGCAAAGCUUCAGUGGUAACGGUAACGUAUACCAAAAUCACUGAAGGCAAUAUAGCGAUGGGAAACCAUGAGAAAGAGAGGUGUAUAUAUGAUAUGAUCAAUAUUCUGAAACUUAAGAGGAGGAUUAGAAACCUUGAAAACAUCAAUGCUGGAAAGGUUUCAAUAAUCAGGACAAAGUGAAAACAAGCUAAAAUAAGCUAAACUAUAGUGCUAAUACAAAGUUUUGGUUUAGUUCAUCAAGUGGAUAUAUUCUUCAUUAUUGCCUAGUACUUAGACAUUGUUACAAGCUAGCUCGUUCUUCUAUUUAGGUCCUUUUGUAACUAUAUAUCUCAGCUUUAGUAAUAAAAAUUCACUUGAAUCAUGUUUCAGGUCACUAGUUUACUUUCCAGGUUUCUAACAAUUUAGCUCUAUGAAGCGUUUGUGGCUGUUGCGAAUGCAAAGUCAAGAUUACAGAUAUAAUCACUAACUAUCAUUUACUUGUUCCUAGACUAUCAACUUACUCUAAACUCGGAGUCGGAGAUUUCUUUUAAUUCUCUCGCCCCUUCAACUAAACCAAGUUGAGUGAAAAACAUCUUCUUUUAAGUGAGGAGAUUAGAGAAUAAAUUAACAAGAAAGGGAUGAGAUAAUAUUGAACUAAUUAAUUUGGUCAUAUUCUUGUCUGAGAAACUGUACUUAUUGCAGAUAGCCUUGACAAAAAAAAUAAACUUUUGAGCAUGUGUUUGUUUAAGGGGAUAUUUGCAAGACAGUUAUGGAGCUAUUUCGCAUGAUCAAUUUUGAUGCGUGGGCCAACAUGGUAUUGUCGAUUCCAACUUGUUUGAAAUUGAGAUGCAGUAGUAGUAGUUAUUGUUUCAGUCUUGGUAUAAUGUUAUUUUUCAUAUUUUGUUUUAUUAUUUCCAUCAUUAAAUUCACCAAUUUUACGUUAAUAGUCAGCCUACUGCAAUAGUAUUAUGUAGAUAGGUUAAUUUUUUUAAUUGAUAUGCGCAUUAAUUAUUGAAUCCCUUCAUAUAAUUAAUCCUAUAAUUUCAUAUUAUGUUUUGUUAUCUCCGUCACCAAAUUCAUUGUUUUCCUCUACUGGGGAUUAGGGCUUAUUGCUUACGCAUAUGUAAAGUUCUAGUAGCAUCAAUAUGUACCUUAUGGUACAAUAUAAACCUUACAACAUGACAUAUUUUGUUUUGUUAUUCCUAUCACCAAAUUCACUAUUCUUUUAGUGAAUGUUAGCCUACUGCAAUUGUUUUUCUUUAUCGAGCCUUAGGACUAAAAGCUUAAGCAUGUAAAAUUUAAGUAAUACACAUCAUUAUUAGUGGCAAAGCCCGAUAUAGUAAACUAUCACCAAUUCAGUAAAAAAUGUAGAUACUAUGUUGUGUUGAAUCCCUAAAUAUUAUAUCAAAUUAUUCAGAUGAUCCACAUUCAUAUUUUUUCUAUAAAAAUUAUCCCCUCACAAAGAAAAAAGAUUUUUGUGGAGUAUUUUAAAUAAGUCAUGAAAUCGUGUUAUGAAUUAAUAACUACAAUUGAGUGAAUAUAUAUGUUGUAAUUAGUAGGAUUUUCAGUAUUUUGUUUUGUUAUUUCCAUAACAACUUCAUCAGGUUUACAUUAGCAAUCAGCAUACUACAAUCAUCUUCCUCUAUCGUGGCUUAGCACUAAAAUCUAAUGCAGAUAAAGUUUAAAUAAUAUUCAUCAUCAUCAAUGACAGAACAACAUGUAUCAAACGGCAUUAAGUUGAUGAGCUCAAGAGUUAUGUUGCUUCACACAGGAGAUGCUAUACCCAAUAUGGUAUGAUGUCAGUUUACAUUUUACACUCUCUGAUAAUAUUCUUAAGAAUAAUAGUUUAUAAUAAAGCAGACAAACAUAUUGAAUUCUCAUUUGUUAUGUCAAAUUUUGCUAAUAAAUCAAGCCGACUUUAAAACUAGUUAUACUAAGGUCUAAACUUAUCUUGAGUGGCUUUAUCAACCAUUACUGUCUUACCAACAACCGUUUCCAUUGACAGUAAUAAUUGUGUUACAAAAAGCAUAUGAAAAUCAAUAAAAUGGGGGGGGAGGGUUUUACAUUUUUUGGGGCUCGUUUGACUCUAAAAAUGGGUCGUUUGGACCGUGUUGACAAACUGCAUCCAUAGAUAAGGUCUUAAAGGAUGUUUGUUUAAAAUACUGGCAACAAUGAAUUUGAAAUUAAGGUUGUUAAAAAAUAUGGUGGACUAUAGCAUAUGAAAAUCAGCAAAAUAGGGGUUUACUUGCUCUGGGGAUCGGUUGAACUUAAAAAGGGGUCGUUUUGGUCGUGGUGAACAACCGGCUCCAUAAAUAAGGUUUUAACGGAUGUCCAUGUAAAUAUUUGGCAAAACUGAACUUGGAAUUCUCGAUGACCAAAAAAUAUGGUCGACUAUAGCACACGAAAAUCAUCAAAUGGGGGGGGGGAUUUAUUAGCUCUCGACUCAUUUUUCCUUUAAAAUUGGUCAUUUUGGUCAUGCUUAUAAACCAGCUCCAUAGAUAAGGUCUUAACGGACAUUUGUGUAAUUUUUUAAUAAAAAGUGAACUCGGAAUAUCGGAUGACCCAAAAAGAUGGCUAAUUAUAACACAUGAAAUCAACAAAAUUGAGGGCUUAGCUUCUCUGGGGGUUUUUUGACUUUGAAAAUAGGACGUUUUAGACCUGAUGACCAACUGACUCCUUUGAUAAGGUCUAAACAGAAAUCCGUGCAAAUUUUUGGCAUUAAAAAAUUUGAAAGUUCGAUGACCAAAAAAAUAUGGUGGAGUAUAGCAUAAAGGAAAUUGACAAAAUGGGGGGCGGGGGGCGGGGUUACCUGCUCUGGGCUUGUUUAACAUUGAAAAUGGAACGUUUUGGCCAUGGUUACCAACCAACUCCAUAGAUAUGGUCAUAACAAAUGACCUUUUAAUUUUUUAGCGAAAAUGAACUCGGAAUUCCAAAUGACCAGAAAAGAUGGUGGAUUUGCAUACGAAAAUCGAUAAAAUUGGUGGUUUACCUUCUUUGGGCUCGUUUGACCUUGAAAAUGCAUCAUUUUGGUUGUGGUUACCAACCAGCUCCAUCUAUAAGGUCUUAUCAGAUGUCCAUGUAAUUUUUUUUUUGAAAAAGUGAUCCAGGAGCUGUGGAUGACUAAAAAAGAUUAUAGAAUAUAACACACGAAAAUCGAAAAAAUGGGGGAUUUACCUGCUCUGAAACUCAUUUUACCUUUAAAAUGAACCAUUUAAGCCGUGGUAACCAACCGGCUCAAUAGAUAAGGUCUUAACUGAUGUCCGUCUAAAUUUUUGAAAAAAAUGAACUCCGAAUUCUGGAUGACCAUAAAAGAUGGUGGUUUACCUGCUCUUGCUUGUUUGACCUUGAAAAUAUAUUAUUUUGUCCAUGCUGACCAACCGACUCCAUUGAUAAGGUCUGAAUGCAUGUCAGUUUUUAUUUUUGGCGUAAAUGAACUCAAAAUUUUGUAUAUUAAAAAAAAUGGUGGACUAUAGCACACAAAAAUCAGCAAAAUGGGGGGUUUACCAGCUCGGGGGCUCAUUUGAAGAUAAAAAUUGGCCUUUUUGGUUUUGGUGACCUAGCGGCACCAUAAAUAAAGUCUUAAGGGAAGUUCGUGUAAAUUUUUUGCAAAAAUGAACUUGGGAUUCUGGAUGACCAAAAAAGAUAGUGUACUAUAGCACACCAAAAUCAGCAAAAAGAACAUUUACAUGCUCUAGGGCUCGUUUGACCUUAAAAAUGGGUCAUUUUGGCCGUGGUGACCAAUCGGGUACAUAGAUAAGGUCUAAACGGAUGUCCGUGUAAUGUUUUGGCGAAAAAGAACUCAGAAUUUUUAUGACCAAAGAAGAUAGUUGACUAUACCAAAUAAAAAUCAGAAAAUUGGGGGUUUGGGGGUUUACCAUCUCUAGGCUCAUUUGACCUUGAAAAUGGAUUGUUUUGGCUGUGGUAACCAACCAGCUCUAUAUGUAAGGUUUUAUCUGACUUUGUGUAAGUAUAAGGUAAAAAUGAAAUCAGAAUUCUAGAUGACCAAAAAAGAUGGUGGAUAAUAGCACAUGAAAAUUGGUAAAAUUAAGGGGGAGUUACCUGCUCUCGGCUCGUUUGAACUUGAAAGUGAGUCAUAUUGGACGCGGUGCCAACUGACUCCAUGGAUAAGGUCUAAGCAGAAUUCCGUGUAAAUUUUUGUACAAAAAGAAAUCAGAGUUUUGGAUGACCAAAAAUGAUAGUGGACUAUAGCACACAAAAAAUGGCAAAUUGGGGGUUUACCGUCUCAAGGUCUCGUUUGACCUUAAAAAUGGACCGUUUUGGUUGUGGUGACCAACCUACUCCAUAGAUAAGGUCUUAACGGAUGUCCAUGUAAAUAUUUGGGAAAAAUGAACUCAAAAUUCUUGAUGACCAAAAAAGAUGGUGGAUUAUAGAAUACGAAAAUCGGUAAAAUGGGGGAUUUACCUUCUCUGAGCUCAUUUGACCUUAAAAAUGAGUUGCUUUUGCUGUGUGACCAACCAGUUCCAUAGAUAAGGUCUAAACGGGCAUCCGUCUAUGUUUUCUACAAAAAUGUUAUUGGAAUUCUAAAUGACCAAAAAGAUGCUCGACUUUAGCACACGAAAUUGGCAAAAUAGGGGGUUUACUAGUCUAGAACUUGUUUGACCUUUAAUAUGGUCUGUUUUGGCCGUGGUGAGUAACCGAAUCCAUAUAUAAGCUCCUAACGGAUGUUUGUGUAAAAUUUUGGCAAAAAUCAAUUUAGAAUUCUGGAAGAACACACACGAUGGUAGAUAUAGCACACGAAAAUCGGCAAAAUAGUGGUGUUUUAACUGCUCUGAGCUCAUUUGACCAUGAGAAUUUGCCUUUUUGGCCGUGGUGACCAACCAGCUUCAUAUAUAAAGUCUUAAUGGAUCUUCGUGUAAAUUUUUGGCAAAGAUGAACUCAGAAUUCUGAAUGACCAAAAAAUAUGAUGGACUAUAGCAUAGAAAAAUCGGCAAAAUGAAAGGUUUACCUGCUCUAAGGCUCGUAUGACGUUGACAUUAGGUCGUAUUAAACAUGGUGACCAACCAAAUCCAUAGAAAAGGAUAAAAAUAAACUCAGAAUUCUAGAUGACAGAAAUUGAUGGGGGACCAUAUCACAAAAAAAUGGGCAAAUUGGGGGUUUACGUGCUCUGAGCUCGUUUGACCUUGAAAAUGGGCCGAUUUGUCCGUGUGAACAACCAUCUCCAUAGAUAAGUCUUAAGCGUGAAUCUGUAUAAAUUUUUAGCAAGGAUGAAUUUGGGAUUCCGGAUGACAAAAAAAGAUGGUGGAUUAUGAAACACAAAAAUUGGCAAAAUUGGGGGUUUAUCUUGUCUGGGCUCGUUUGAUCUUGAAUAUAGGCCGUUUUGGAUUUUUGGAUGUGGUGACCAACUGGAUCCAUAUAUAAGGUCUAAGCUAACUUUUGUGUAAAUUUUAGGCAAAAAUGAUCUCAGAAUUCCGAAUGACCAAAAAAGAUGGUGGACUAUAGCACACAAAAAUUAGAAAAAUAGGGGGUUUACCUGCUCUAGGGCUCCUUUGACCUUUAAAAUGGGUCUUUUUUGAUGUGGUGACCAACCAGCUCAAGAGAAAAGGUCUUAACGAACGUACAUAUAAUAUUUUGGCAAAAGUGAAUUUGGAAUUCUGGAUGACCAAAAUAGAUGGUAAUGAUACCACAAAAAUAUUUGCAAAAUGGGGGUUUAACUACUCUAGAGCUUGUUUGACCUUUAAUAUGGGUCGUUUUGGCUGUGGUGACUAACCAGCUCUAUAGAUAAGGUUAUAACGGACGUCCGUGUGAGAUUUUUGUAACUACGAACUUGGAAUUUUGGAUGACCAAAAAAUAUAGCACACGAAAAUCGGCAAAAUAGGGGAGGUUUACCUUCUUUGGACUCAUUUGACCAUGAGAAUGGGCAUUUUUUACCAUGGUGACCAACCGUCUCAUAGAUAAAGUCUUAACGGAUAUUCAUGUAAAUUUUUGGCAAAAAUGAACUCAAAAUUUCGAAUAACCAAAAAAAAUGGUGUACUAUAUUGCACACCAAAAUUGACAAAAUGGAAGGUUUACCUGCUCUAUGACUCGUUUGACCUUGACAAUGAGUCGUAUUGGACGUGGUGACCAACCAGCUUCAUAGAAAAAGUGUUAAAAGAUUUCCGUGUAAAUUUUUGGCAAAAAUGUACUCAGAAUUCUGGAUAACCAAAAAAGAUGGUGGACCAUAGUACACUAAAAUCGGCAAAAUUGGAGGUUUACCUGCUCUGAGAACGUUUGACCUUCAAAAUGGGUUGUUUUGGCCGUUGUGACAAAAUGUCUCCAUAGAUAAGGUCUAAACGGACAUCAUUGUAAAUUUUUGGCAAGGAUGAACUCGGAAUUUCGGAUGACCAAAAAAGUGGUGGAUACAGAACACGAAAAAGGGUAAAAUAGGGUUUACCUUGUCUGGGGCUCGUUUGACCUUGAAAAUGGUUCGUUUUUUAUAUGGUGACCAACCUCUCCAUAGAUAAGGUCUAAGAAGAAUUUCGUGUAAAUCUUUGGAAAAGAUAAUCUUGAAAUUCCGAAUGACCAAAAAAUAUGGUGGACUAUAGCACACGAAAAUUAUGAAAAUAGGGGGUCUACCUGCUCUAGGGCUAGUUUGACCUUUAAAAUUGUUUUUUUGGUCGUGGUGACCAACUCUCUCCAUAGAAAAGGUCUUAACAUAUGUCCAUGUAAAUUUUUGGCAAAAGUGAACUCUGAAUUCUUGAUGACCAAACAAGAUGGUAACUAUACCACCCGAAAAUUGGCAAAAUGGGGGUUUAUCUGUUCUAGCGCUCGUUUGACCUUUAAUAUAUGUCAUUUUGACCUUGGUGAGAAAUAAAACCCAUAUAAAAGGCCUUUAUGGACAUCCACGUAAAUUUAUUGCAAAAAUAAACUCAGAUUUCCGGAUGACCAAAAAAGAUAGUGAACUAUAGCACACGAAAAUUGGUAAAAUGGGAGGUUUACCUACUCUAGGACUCGUAUGAUCUUGAGAAUGGGUUGUUUUGGUAGUGAUAACAAAAAAGAUCCAUAUAUAAGAUCUUAACAAACAUCUUUGUAAUGUUUGGGAUAAAAAAGAAAUCAGAAUUCUUGAUGACCAAAAACAAUGGUGGAAUAUAGCACACAAAAAUCGGCAAACUAAGGGGUUAUUUGCUCUUGGGCUGUUUUGACCUUGAAAAUGGACCGUUUUGGUCAUGGUGAAAACCGGAUCAAUAGAUAAGGUCUUAAAAGACGUUUGUCUAAAUAUUAGAAAAAAUGAACUCGGAAUUCUGGGCGACCAAUAAAGAUGGUGGAUAAAAGAACACGAAAAUAGGAAAAAUGGGGGGUUCACCUUGUUUAGGGCUCGUUUGACAUUGUAAUGGCUCAUUUUGGAUGGUGUGACCAACCGACUCCAUAUAUAAGUUCUAAACGGACGUUCGUGUACACUUUUGACAAAAAUGAUAUUGAAAUUCUUAAUAACCAAAAAAGAUGGUGAACUAUAGCACACGAAAAUUGGCAAAAUAGGGGGUUUACCUGCUAUAGAGGUCGUUUGACCUUGAAAAUGGGUCAUUUUGGCCGUGGUGAUCAACCGGAACCAUAGAUGAGGUCUUCAGAAAUGUCUGUGUAAAGUCUUGGAAAAAUUAAACUCGGAAUUUCGGAUAACCAAAAAAGAUGGUAACUGUACCACAUGAUAAUUGGCAAAAUGCUCUAGGGCUCAUUUGACCUUUAAUAUUGUUCUUUUAGCCGUGGUGACAAACCGACUUCAUAAAUAAGGUCUUAACGGAUGUUCGUGUAAAUUUUUUGCAAAAAUGAACUCGGAAUUAUGGAUGACCAAAAAAUAUGGUGGAUUAUAAUACACGAAAAUGGGAAAAUGGUGGGUUUACCUGCUAUGGGCUCGUUUGACUUUGAAAAUGGGUGUUUUUUUUUCGUGGUGACCAACCGGCUCCAUAGAUAAGGUCUUAACGAACAUCCGUGUAAAAUUUUGGAAAAUAUGAACUCAAAAUUUAGGAUGACCAAAAAAGAUGGUGGGCUAUAGCACACGAAAAUCGGCAAAAAAAUUGAAGGUUUACCUGCUAUGGGGCUCGUUUGAACUUGAAAAUUGAUCGUUUUGGCAAUGGUGACCAACCCACUCCAUAGAUAACGUCUUAACGGACGUCUGUGCAAAUUUUUGGAGAGAAUGAACUUGAAUUUAUGGAUGACUAAAGAAGAUGGUGGAGUAUAGCACACGAAAUCAACAAAAUAUAGGGUUGACCUGCUCUAGAGGUACUUUGACCUUUAAAAUGGGUUGUUUUCGUCAUGGUGACCAACCAAAUCUAUAUAUAAUGACUUCACGAAUGUCCGUUAAAAUUUAUGGCAAAAAUUAACUCAAAUUUCUAGAUGACCAAAAAAGAUGGUGGGACUAUACACGGAAAUCGACAAAAUAGGAGGUUUACCUACUCUAAGCUCGUUUGACCUUGAAAAUAGGUCAUUUUGACCGUGGUGACCAACUAGAUUCAUAGAUAAGGUCCUAACGAACGUCCAUGUAAAUUUUUGGAAAAAAUGAACUUGGAUUCUUGAUGACCAAAGAAGAUGGUGGAUUAUAGCACACGAAAAUCAGCAAAAUGGGGGUUUACCUGGUUUGGGGCUCAUUGACCUUGAAAAUGGGACGUUUAAGAUGUGGUGACAAACAGGAUCCAUAGAUAAGGUCUUAAUGGACGUACAUGUAAAUUUUUGUCAAAAAUAAUCUCAGAAUUCCGGAUGAACAAAAAAAUAGUGGACUAUAGCACACUAAAUCGACAUAAUGGGGGGUUUACUUUCUCUAGGCUCGUUGACCUUGAAAAUGAGUCAUUUUGGCUGUGGUGACCAACUGGCUCCAUAUAUAAGGUUUUAACAGACGUCUCUAUAAAUUUUUUGCAAAAAUAAACUCUAAAUUCAAGAUGACCAAAACAGAUAGUGGACAAUAACACAUGAAAAGGGUAAAAUGGGGGGUUUACCUGCUCGGGGGCUCAUUUGACCUUGAAAAUGGGACGUUUUGACCGUGGUGACAGACCAUAUCCAUAGAUAUGGUCUUAAUAAACGUCCAUGUAAAUUUUUGGCCAAAUUAACGAUUUUUGGAUGACCAAAAAAGAUGGUGGACUAUAGCACACGAAAAUUGAUAAAAUAGGGUUUUUGUUUCUUUGGGGAUCGUUUGACCUAGAAAAUGGGUCAUUUGGACCGUGGUGACCAACCAACUCUACAGAUAAUGUAUUAAACGGACGUCCAUGUAAUUUUUUGGCAAAAUUGAACUAAAAAUUCCGGAUGACCAAAAAAGAUAGUGGACAAUAGCACAUGAAAAUCAACAAAGUGGGGGAUUUAUGUGCUCUAUGGAUUGUUUGACAUUGAAAAUGGGCCCUUUUGGACCGGCUCCAUAAAUAAGGUCUUAAAGGACGUCUGCCUAAAUUUUUGGCAAAAAUAACAUUCGAAUUCCGGAUGAUAAAAAAGAUGGUGGAUUAGCAAAAUAGGGGGGUUUACCUACUCUAGGCUCGUUUGACAUGGUAAAUUGGUCGUUUUGGCCGUGGUGACCAACUAGAUCCAUAGAUAAGGUUUCAAUGGACAUCCCUAUAAAUUUUUGGCAAAAAUGAACUUGCAAUUCCAGAUGACGAAAAAAGAUGGUGGAUUAUAGCACACGAAAAUCGGCAAAAUGGGGGAUUUACCUGCUCUAUGUCUCGUUUGACCUUGAAAUUGGGUUGUUUUUGCCGUGGUGACAAACCGAAUCCAUAUAUAAGGUCUAACGGACGUCUGUAUAAUUUUUUGGCAAAAAUAAAAUCGGAAAAUCGGAUGACCAAAAAAGCUUGUGGACUAUAACACAUAAAAAUCAUUGAAAUAGGGGGUUUACCUGCUCUUUGACUCAUUUGACCUUGAAAAUGGAUUGUUUUGGCCUUGGUGACCUACCGGCUAUAUAAAUAAGGUCUUGACGAACGUCCGUGUAAAUUUUUAGCAAAAAUUAUUUUGGAAUUCUGGAUGAUGAAAAAAGAUGGUGAACUAUAGCACACAAAAAUCGGUAAAAUGGGGUGUUUACCUGCUUUGGGACUCAUUUGACCUUGAAAAUGAGUUAUUUUAGCCGUGGGUAGUAUUAGUGAGAUAAGAAUACUUACAUAAUUUAACCUCAUCAAAUUGAAAUAAAUAUGUACAUUAUUUCAUUUCAUUAAUAAAAUUGACCAUUAAACAUCUGUAUAGGUAUGUGCGAAUAAGAGAUAUACAUGACGAUCCACAUUAAUAAUUUACAAAAUAAUCUUUUAUAUUAUUUUGUGCAAAUCUUAUUAUUAAAAUUUUCGCUUAAAUUUUUUGAAUUGAUAAUCAAGUGCAAAACACGUGUCAAGAAUCUAGAUAAGAAUAAAUGGACAUUUUAAAAUUGAAUUAUUACUUAAUAUUAACAUAUUUUUUUCAUUUUUUUGACUGAUUAAAAACAAAAGUGACUAAUAUAUAUAUAUAUAUAUAUAUAUAUAUAUAUAUAUAUAUAUAUAUAUAUAUAUAUAUAUAUAUAUAUAUGACAAAGAUACUAUUUGAGAAACUAUACAAAAAAUUAUCUCCGUAUAUAUACUAGGGUUUCAGUUAGAGUGUAAAAAGAUUAAUCAGAAUGGAGAUGAACAUUGAUAUUAACAGUCCAGGUAGUGAGAUUUCUUCUUUUUAUUUUGAUCAUUACCUGUACUUAUCUUUUUUUAUUUUCUUUUACCUUUGAUUUUACACUAUUUGUAUUACUAGAUAUUCGUAGAAAAUUAUAGUGGAUUUUCCAUUGGGAAUGUAGGAUUUGAAAUUUUUAGGUGUGGUUUAUGGGGUAUCACUUUGGAGAAGGGUUUAGUUUAUGCGAACCCUGAGGUAGAAUGGGUGGGUUUUGGUAAGGAAAAGUUAUCCUUCAAGGAUCACAAUUACGAUCUUCCAUUGGGAAUGUAGGAUUUGAAAUUUUCAUGUGUGGUUUGUGGGAUAUCACACUGGAGCAGGGUUUAGCUUAUGCAAACCUGGAAGAAAAUGUGUGAAUUUUGUUAUGGACAAGUUAUCCUUUCAGGAUCCCAAUUAGGAUCAAACUGUAUGUUGCAAUUUUCAAAAGUAAAUCCACUUAGUUUUUUGGAGACCAUUUUCUCUAACUUAUAUAAAUUGAAAAAUGGAUGUCUAAUAUAAUAAAAUUGAAUACUAAUUAAAUCUAAGAUAGCUUGAAGGAUUGGAUAUCCACGUCGAAUAUGCAUAGGAGAAGAUCAAAAUUAGAGAAGAAGAGAGAGAAAAAUAAGGAAGGAAUUGAAUUACCAAAAGUUUAUUGUUACAUUCUCUCUCCUUCUGUAUUGCAGUUUAUAUCAACGUUCAGAUAAUAUGGCGAGAUCCUGACUCAUCAGCUUCAUUAACUGAGAUUUAAUCUUGUUCGGUUAUUUGCCUAGUAGUUACUCUCCUUCGGUGUUUCAGCUUCGAAUUAAGCUAUACUAAGUAAUCUCAAUUAGUUGUCCCAGAUCCCUUGUACAUCUUAGGUGUACUCCUACCAGUGAAGUCUCUUCCUAGAUCUCAGUGUAAUAGAGGCACAUCUUGCUUGAACAUAGACUGCUGGCUCAAAAGAAAAGUAAAAAAUUGAUUGUAUUAACAAUACCAUCCAACAAAGGUGCAUUUAUUAAGGGCAAUCAAAUUUUGUGAUGGUGGUUCGUACUUUUAUAAUAAUACAUAUUAAAAGAUAGAAGUAUUAAAAUAUUUCAAAAUUUCCAUAAAAGUGGAAGCUUAAUUUUCUUAGACAUGUACAUCUGGAUGGAAGAUUGUGGCGUAGUGGUCAAUGAAGUGGUUAAAAAUCAUGAGGUCUAAUGUGUGAAUCCCAGCAAAGAAGAAAAAACAUGUAAUGACUUUUUCCAUCUUUCAUAGCCUUAGUGGACAGAGUUACAUAGUACUUAUUGCUGGUGGGAGGUAGCAUGCUUGAAAUAUGUAACAUUGUCAUCACUUUUUUCUUUACUUAUAUCUCCAUUUGCAUACUCUUUUAUAGCAUAUGUACAUUCUAUAGUACAGAUGGAAAACACAAACAGAGCUGAUUGGCAGGAAGAGCUUUACCAAAAGGUAUGAUUUGCAAUGGUACUCUUUAUUUGUACAAGAUUUUGAAAACUGUGGAAAUUUGAUAUGUGGAUUUUGAUAAAAUGGGUGGUUAUAACAUUAUAAGAAAUAGAUGAAUGUUUCAAAAUAUCUCCUUUGAUUAUAGAGUAAUAGGAGAGGUUUAACAUACCAAAUGAACAACUAAAUUCCUUACCAUACCCCUCCACGCAAGAUGCUUUAUGUUCUUAGAGGUAAUAGAAAUCUAAGCAUGUUAACAGGUAACUUCUUAGAAACGAAGAUGAAUACUCAGUGUGCUGGUGCUCUGUAUAAACCCGUCUUGGUCCCAUAUUUUUAUCGACAACAAAUUAAUUUCACAUGCCCUAAAAUAAUUUAGAAAUGAAGUAUAUUUUGAUAAAUUAACUUAUUAGAGAAAAUUAUUUGUUGAGUGCUAAGAUCAUGUGUCGGUAAGUUCGGGUCAAAGUUCUUCAUGGCAUGUCACCACAAUCUUUAAUUGCGAAUUUGAGUGAUAAACCUAUUUGUGCAAGAAGUAUAUACAUGAAUAUAUUGCUAUAAGAUGUUUUUUGUGAAAAGACAUCCGUUCAUCUGUAUCAAUAUAUUUUUUCUAUUUUUUAAUUUUAUUUCUUAUUAUAGAGAAAUCCAAUUCUUCCGUCUUCAAUACUCAGUCUUAUCUACUUACAUCCCUGACUUAGCUAGUAAUAAGUUGGAAUACUUCAAUUUCUCCAAGAAUAAACAUAUAACACUAACAUUCUCUGUAUUCUCCAUCCCAUUGUUAGUCACUUGUGAAGCCAACUACAAUGUUAUUAUUUUAUUGUUUAUCCUCGUUUUACCUCAAUGAUGAUAAAGUUGUAAUGUUAAAAAAAGAAAUGAUUGCCAUUAAAUUGUGUUAUAUCUCGCAACCUAUUAAAAAAGUAUAUUCUAAUCCUCCCGGUUGUUCUGGUCUAUGAUCACAUUGUGGAAGUUUCAUUCUUGAUUUUAGCACCAAGAGGCUAAAGGAAGCAAAGUUCAGUAACUUAGUUCUACUUCACUUUUAACCUUUUUAUCUAGAAGGUUCUUUUGUGACGAUUUUCUAGUUUUGUUCUCAAUUGUAUCGUACCGUUGAUCUAAUUAUGACCUAACCAUGUGGGAAUGCAUUCUUGACAUUUAUGCAAUUGACUUAUUGAAUUAUUUAUGUAGAUUAAGUCUAUGAAGGAGAUGUAUUUAUCAGAUAUCAAUGAUUUAUACGAGAAAAUUACUUCUAAAGUGCAGCAGGUAUGUCAAUAACAUCCCUUUAAGUGUUUCAUCAUUGUUUCAAAUUUUGGUUGGCUCUCUUACAAGUUCAGUAAAAUGACACACCAUCAUUUGCAUAUUGCAUGCCCCAAGGUGUAAUUCAUAUUGCGUUGUAUUACUUAUUUCCUUAUUGGAAACUCCUCAAACUGGGAACUGAUGCAGAAAGCUCAAGACACUAUAUUAGAGUUAUUUCUUCUUAGGUUCCUUUCCUGUUGAUUGUCAUCAUGAGAAAAAGUAAAGAAUUAAGGAUUCCCUAAUUUUUUGGGCAAGCGCUUGAUUUAUCUGAAUCUAAAAGCACUCGAGUCAACAUUCUGCUAAAUUGUGUGAACCUUCCGCACUAUGUUAUUUUUCUCAUUAUGUAAUUUUUUCAACUAUGUUAUUUGUCCCUUUUUUUCUUGAUUUUAUGCAGGACUCUCUUUGUCAGAGUCUUCCAAAUGAGAGAACUGAAGAACUCAAGAUGUUCAAGAUGACUUUGGAACGCAUUAUGAUUUUCUUGCAGCUUAACAAAGAUGAUAUUAAUCUUUGUCACAAGGAGAAACUGCGUUCGGUUGAGAAGCACAUAAGUUUCUUUCUAAUAGGCAAAAAUCUGAACAUGCCUACUUCUUCUGCAUUGCAGGGGUAACUUCCUCAGGCUCCCAUCCAUACAAGUCAGGUAGGCAGUCCGAACUUGUUUGUAAAAUUCAAUUGUUUUCACCUUGUUGAAGUUGUUUUCCUCUUGUGUUAACAUGCAUCUACAUUUCGAGUAGAGUUUUUUCUUUCUUUAGGGGGAGCUUGAUUACUUGGAACUUGUGAUUAUUUUCCUAGUAUAAAUCUCUUAAGUUAUGACUGAUGUCUCGUGCUACUUCUACUUUAUUCAAAGGUCUCAUGUGUUCAAAUAGGAAGGCAUGGAGAUCAAAUAUUAGAGAAGGUUAGUAGGGAGUCGAGUGUUGUCGUACUUCUAGUAGUAUGAUUUAGGUAGCUUGUAGUUUCUUUUUCCAACUACUGUUUAUAUUACUUGAAAAUAGGACUCAAUCAAAACUGACCUUAUAUUAGAGAAUCAACAAAACAAAAGAACGAUAAAAGAAUGAAAUAUAAGAUAGAGAAGAAGGGGGAUGAAAAGCUCAAAUUUCUCAAAAUUGGGGAUGAGAGACUCGGAAAAUUUCCAUAACAAUAAAUCCCUACAUUAUGUUACUACUAUAAGAUUCCACAUUUUUUUCCCAACCUUUAAUUCGAAGUUAGUUAAUGUUUUUGGACUUCUCUUAACUCGUGUGAUGUUCCUAGCUGGCACAAUUGGUUCAGCCACAUUGGCCUCCACCUCACUAUUUUCAUUUAUAACACCUAUGUGUAUUAAUAUGUGUUGCUACACUUGUUUUGUACAUGCUACUUUGUUUUUUUCUUUCUUACUUUGUUGCGUUUGUUACAUUUUUUUGUGUCAGAGGUCUAUCAGAAACAACGGAUCUACUAUAAGAAUUGAGUACAUCCUACCCUCCCCAGAUCCCACUUGUUUAAUUACAUGGUUGUGAUGUUUUUGGUCUCCACAAUUUCGUUCUAAGAUUUUGUGUGCAAAUUUAAUGAUCUAUCAUAAUUUAUUUGUAUGUUACUCAUCAUAUCUUGCACGUUAUAUACAAUGCAGGCACAAUAUACAUAUGCACACCAUCUGCCUAGGCUGGAAUUCCGUGGGCAAGAUAUUGCUUCUGAGUUUGAUAGGAUUCUGCAUUUUAUUUAUUAGAUGGUAGUGAUGAUGUAUUGUGUCAAGUAUAGAAUGGUUUUGAAAUGUUUGGUAUUGAUAGAUUGAGCUCUGGUACAAAACUUGAUGAGCAUUGAGAACAUAUAAAGUGUUUGUGAACCCAUGCACCCUCCCUGGAUUAUGUAAAGUACUUGUGAACCAACUUAUGCAUCAUUUCCCUAAAUUAUGUAGAAAGUACUGCAACUAUAAUGAUAAAUUACUUAAAUUUUAUGUGGGAAUCGUACUAAAAUUUGAAAUAUCCAUCUCCAAAAUUUUCUUUUGAAUCUUUAGCAACACUACAAACAAAGGUCACAUUUUUCUUUAAAAAAAUUUGGCCUCUCUUUUUAGUUUUUUCUUCAAUUUAUUCUUAUAAUUUGUGAAGUGUGUUUCCUUAAAUGAUGAUGAUAUUUUAAUCGUUUUCAAAUAUAAAUUUCUUAACUAACCAUUAUAAGCUGAUUUUUCUUUUGUGAUAAUAAUAUUAAUUAUAGUUUACUUCUCAAGUCAUUGUUUUGGAAAAAAAUUAUAGCAUUUGUUACGCCCCCUAAAACUAAAGACUAAACUAGAGCCUAUAGUGACCUUAAUGGAGUCAAUCGUAAUGAGUACAGUCGUAAAAUAACCUCUAUUACUUAGUACUAAUGUUUUUGGGUAAAAAGUCAAGGCAUGACCCCCCAAGGAUCUCCACCCCUUGAGGGUCCUUGAGGAGAUCGGGGGGGGGGGGCUUCCAAAAGCUAGCAAAUUGCAGCCUUGACCUAUUGAUAGGGCACCCACAGUCUGUGGGUGGACCCACGCCCCGUAGGUUGGGGUCUUGGGUCGAGUGUUGGCCUCCUUGCAACCUCUAAGAUUAAGAGCCUAGCCACGUUUGUACAGCACGGAGUGUGAGCCCACCCACAGCCCGUAGGUGGGGAGUCGUGGGUCAGACAUGUAGGGUAUUUAAUUUGUUUUAGUUAGAGUUAAGGGAGGAUAUUAAGGUUAAUUAAUUAACAAAUUAGGGUCGGUUAAUACUAAUAAAAAUAUUUAUAUAAAAGAGAACCCUAAAUUCGCCUACGUGGUGCCACCACAAGCAAGAAUUUUCUUUUAAAUUUAUUUGUUACCAAAACUAGACUUUCUCUUUUAUAAAAAGACGUCACUUUUAUGAAAACUUGCGACUUUCAUGAAAAGUUAUUAUGUUUAUCAAAUUUUGUGACUUUUAUGAAAAGUUGUAACUUUAAUGAAGAGUUGCGACUUUAUGAAAAGUUAUGACUUAUAUGAAUGAUUGUGAACUAUUGAAUGGGUUGGAAAUUUUUCAAAUAUUUGUAAUCUUUCUGAUAAGACACAAUAAACAUUUGUUCACACUACCCGUUUGUCUAUAAAGAGAAGGAUUUUCUUUCAUUUUAAAAUAAGAAAAUUCUGAUUUUCUUCUUCCAAUUCCGCAAAAUUAAGUAUUUGUCUACUUUUGUCCUAUUGAGUGACUUACAAACACCAGUGUUUAGUAUCAAUAAGUUGGUGAAUCAAAUUGUUACAUCCAAAGAGGAUGUAAUUCUGUAAACCUCCCAUAUUAGAUGGUAAUAGUUUUAUUAAGGGAACAUUGUGCAUUUAGUGGACUCAAAUUUUUCCUUUCAAUUUCAUUCUAUUUCUACAUAUUCUGGUUUUCUUUACACUCAUUAAUUUGUGCUUAUGAUACUAAUUGUUUUUAGUGUAUUUUUUAAACAUUGUUGUUUAUGUUUCUUCAAAGUUAUUUUCUCUAUUUAUAGUGAACAUAUACACAUAUAGUAAACAUUUUCAUUGUGUAGAAAAUAAUUAUUGUAUUUAGUUCUAGGAAUUCAGGUUUUGAUAUUCUAUAUUAAAUUCUAUAUCUUAAAAGUACUAUAUAUAAUCUUAAAUAUUAAUCUAUUUUCACAUAGAUAUGAAAUUUCUCACUUCUCAAUUGAAAAAAUUCAUUAUACAAGUUCAAAAUUUAUAAUUGUUUUCAUGUUCAAGCUUAAUUUCUAUUUUGAAUAUGUUAACAGAUUUUUGAAUUUUCUAAGACAUAUAUCAUAAUUGUAUAAUCUAUAUGACUUAAAUGUUUCUUUUUAUUAAGAAAUGCCUUUGUAUCUUUAUUCUUAUUUUCUUCUUUAUUUUCCUUUUAGUGUUUAUUUAAGAACCAAUGAUAUUUUUUUCGUGAAUAAUUCAUUAAUUAGAGGUUCUCUAGUUAUAUGAUAAUGACAAAUAAUCAAAUUCAUGUUAGACUUUUGCUAAUAUUUUUUAAGAACAUAUUUUUUCAUUAUUUUUAAUGUAUGAAUAUUAAUUAUAAAAAAAUUACUUUCAACUUCAAUACAAUUAUUAUUUAUGACUGUGCGAAGCGCGAAAAAAUUACCUAGUUAAAACGAACUAUAAAUAGUUAAUAGACCCCUAAAAUAAUUCAAGGAGUUCACUCAUUCAAUAACCCAACACAAAUCUAUUUCCCUCUCAAAAUAUUCCUUAUAUUCAAUAACCCAAUAUAAGUACACAAGAAUCUACUCAUUUUCUUCAAGAAAAACUCUCAAAGAUCAAAAUCCUCACAUCAAGAAUUCAUUAAACUCCAUAACAAAGCAUGAAGAACAAAACCUCAAAAACAACCAUCAGAAAAUCAAAUCAUUCAACCUCAUUAACAAAAUUAUGGAUAAAAUUACAUAAUUGUCCGGUGGAUGAAUGAACCCAGCACUAUGAAACCUUACAUACUUUAAUUUAGCAAAAUUCCUCGACGAAUUUCAAGAAUCUCGAUGAACGCUUUGAACCUCUCCUUUUGAACUCCUCUAAAAAUCAGAAAGGUAAUUUAGAGUUGUAAAACUGAUCCACAUUAGUUUAUAUACCUAAAAUAUACUAAAAACAUUUAAAGCAGAUAGGGUAAGGAAAAGACCAAAAUAUUAAUCAUUAAUUCAGGUAAAUUUCCUCAACUGAACAAGCAAACUUCAAACGGGCACAUCUCCCUUAUCUGAACUUAAAAUUUAGAAAACUCGAUUGACUUGGAAAGAGGAUCCAAAGAAACUUUAUUUGAUAUCUUAUAUGCCACCUAACUCAUCAUGCACUGAAAUUUAUGAUCGUUUGAAGUUCACCCAAAACUCACAACUUAAGCAUAACUUGCAAAAUUCUUAAUUUUUCUUUUUCAAAUUUAGUUCUUUCUAAAUUUAGUUCUUUUCUAAGGUGGGAUGUUACAAUAAUGAACAAAAGUUACUUUCCUAAGUAUCUCACAUGUGUUUUAUAAGUUGUUUAUCUUGAAUUUACCACAUUUAUGAAUUUUUAUUUAUCACAUGUUAUUUUAUGAUUUAGCUUGUCAUUACAUGUCAUGUAAAGUCCUUUUAGGAUGAUUUCAUUACUGUUAUGCAUUGUUAUAAUACUUUUUUUGUUCCAUAUUAUAAUGCAUACUUGUGGCUACAAUGUUUCAUGAUAUAGGGUCCCAAAUCAUAUUCCCCAUUCUCGUUGCAAGUUGAUUCUUUUAUGAUUUUGAAGAUUUGUGAGUCCUCAUGAUCAGAGGGACAAUAUGAAUUUAUUGAUUUUAGGUCUUUUUCUCUUUUCAGACUUCUUAUGUGAUGUAUGAAUUAUGUGCCAAUAUAUUUCUCUAUGAUGUAGUAGAUUGUGUAGAGAUUUAACUUAGAUUUCCACUUUUCUCAAAUUCUUUUGUAUGAAAUGCUAUUUUUGAAAUCUUUACUUAUAAUAUCUUGUAUGUUGUAUGCUAAGUGGAUUGAUUAGGGCCUCCCGGAGUUUUAUCCGUCAUGUUAUGCCUAGGGUCUACUUUAGGUCGUGACAUGUAGUCUUUAAAUUCUUACAUUAUACUUCAAAAUUUUUCUGAUAUUUUGUCAUGCUUCAAAAAUUAAUCCAUCCAGUGUGCUUAUUGUGAUUAUUGUUGCAUGAGAAAAGUAGAAUGUCCAUAAAUCUUAUCCUUAUCCUUAUAAUAAUAAUCAUUUAUAAAACAUACGACAAAAAGAGUAAGACUCUCUUCUAAUAGAGAAAUAUGAAUCCUACAUUAUGGGAUAAAAUAUCUACUGGACAUUAUUAGCAACGAACACGGUAAAAAAGAUAGAGAAAAUGGUGAACCACCUCAAAAAUGACAAAUAUACCUAUAACCAAAGAAAUAUUGAAAUCAUGCAAAAAUGUGGGUAGCAUAUACACCAACUAAGGCUUCCAUAUCUGAAACAAAAUCAAAAUAAUAAUAAUAAUAAUAAUAAUAAUAAUAAUAAUAAUAAUAAUGAUAAUUAAAUUAUUAAAAUCAAUCUUUCAAAUUUAAUUAUUGUAUGAUUUUUUUUCUUAAUAUCAGACUAACAUUAAGUUCACAUGCCCUGGCAUUAUUAGAAAAGAAGUAUGUUUGGAUAAAUUCAUUGGACCAAAUACAUAAGCAGAUCCCUAAACUUAGUGAGUUUUUUCCCUCAGGUACCUCAACUACGUCAUUUUCCUAUUGAAUCAUUGAACCCCCAUAAUUUGUUCCGCUUAAACAAACACUGUUGUCUGAUGUGGAACCAGAUUUGUGAGGGAUAUUGAUAGAGAAUACAUAUGUUGUUCCAUAAAUCAUUAGUCUAAUUGAUAGUGAAAAUGUUUGAGAAUAAUUGUGUUUUACUUAAGUCAUUUGAACACAUUAGAAAACAAAUGAGACUAACACGGUUUGUCUUCAUUAGUUCAAUCAAAAUUAUAAUAAUUCGAAUAUAUUAAAGACAUUUAAAAUAUAAAAGCUAAUCAAAAAAUCAACCAACAGUAUUUUAAUGAAACAAAUUAUGGGUUGUUCGACAAUUCAAUUGAAAAAUGACGUAGUUGAGGUACCUGAGGGAAAAAAUGCAACAAGUUUAGGGAUUUUUUUAUGUAUUUGUCCAAUUAAUUGAUUUACAGAAAAGUAGUUUUUGAGUGAUGAUAUCAUAUUAACUUAUUUCAUGAGAUAGAUAAUAUAUCUAUAUGUUCGGGUCAAUGUUCUUCAUGGCAUGUCAACAAUAUGUUUUCCGGCAACUGAAAUUUGUAUUUGCUAAUUUGAGGGAUAAACCUAUUUGUGCAAGAAGUAUAUCCCUGAAUAUAUGGUUGUUUGAAACAAAUUCUAAAGCGAAAAAAAUAAAUUGCUAUCACUAAUUAAAUAUGAAGAAACGUAACUUUAUUGAUAAAUAUUGUGGGUACAAUACCAUUCCUCCCUUGAUUAUACUCUCCUAAGAUGUAUCAAUGAUUCGAGGAUCGUUUGUGGUGUAUUUCUCUAAUUAGGAUGAUAUAUAUUUGACCUUUAUAUGAAUUCCAUUAAUUUGAGGAAUAUUUGAGGUCUUGAUCUCUCUAUGGAAUUUCUAUGAUGCAUAUUAAGGGAAUUUAAUAUCCUUUAUAUUUGCAUAAACUAGGGUUUAAGGUUGAGCAGCAUCAAAGAGUCUUAAUUUGAGUUGAACACAAUUUGUAGAGUCUCCACUCGAAUUGAAUGCAUCUUUUAGAGUCCCACAAAAUUUCAAUGUGUACAAAUGCCCCUGCUUGAAGCCUUGUCGGAGUGUAGACUUGAUGAAACUCGAAGAUGUGGCUUGAAGUACUUAUUCUUCUCCAUUUGUAGCUUCCGAUUUUCAUAUUUGAUUUAAGAGAGAAGAGCUGAAGGGAAACUUUGGUCCCACUGGGCGUCACAAUUUAUUUGCAAUAAAUUUUAAAGCGACAGAAAAUAAAUUGCAAUCACAAAUAAAAUGUGAAGAAGCAUACCUUUAUUGAUGAAUAUUACAGGUACAAUUCUAUUCCUCCUUGAUUCUACUCUCCUAUAAUUUAUCAAUUAUUUGAGGGUAAUUUUUGACAUAUUUCUCGAAUUAGGAUGAUUUCGAUUUGACCUCUAUAUGAAUUUUCCAUAAAUUUGCGAAAUAUUCGAGGUCUUGAUCUCGCUAUAAAAUUUUUCGGAUGUCUUUUAAGAUAAAAUUAGUAUGUUUUAUCUAGUCAUAAACAAGGGUUGAGGGUUGAGUAGCCUCCAUGAAUCCUAGUUUGAGUUGAACACAAUUUGGAGAGUCCCGGCUUGAAUUGAACACAUCUUGUAGAGUCACAAAAAAUUUAAAUGUCUACAAUCUCUAUAAGAUGUUUUAUUGUGAAAAUACGUAUGUUCUUCUGUAUUUAUUGGUAUACAUUUAAUUUUUUAUUUUAUUUUAUUUCUUAUAUAGAGAAAUUCAAUGCUUCCAUUUUCGAAACUCGUCCUUCUUUACAUACAUCCUCGACUUGAUUUAUUAGCUAUCAAUAAGUUGGAAUACUUUGAAUUGUUCAAAAAUAAAAAUAUAACACUAACAUGCUCUAUAUUCUCCAUCCCAUCGUUUUUCACUUGUGAAGCCAACUAAUUGUUAUUAUUUCAUUGUGUACCCUUGUUUUAUCUCAUUGAUGAUAAAGGUGUACUGUGAAAAAAAUUAAUGAUUGUCAUUAAGCUGUGUUAUAGCUCGCAAUCUAAUUUUAGGAAAAUAUUUUAAUUCCUCCUAGUUGGGCUGGUCUAUAAUCAAAUUGCGGAACUUAUAAUCAAAGAAGCUAAAGGAAGCUAAUCUUAGUAACUUAGUUUACUAUUUACAUGUUAAUUAGUUGUAGUUUUCCUCUUCUACUUAAUAAUUAUUUUAUCUAGAAGGUUCUUUUGUGAAGAUUCUCUAGUUCAUUCUAUAUUGUAUCAUAUAGUUGUUUUAAUUAUCACCUUACCAUAUGGGAAUUUAUUCUUGGCAUUUCCGCAGUUGAUUUAUUAAACAUUAGUAAUGCAGAUCAAGCUAUGAAGGAGAUAUAUUUAUCAGACCUCAAUGAUUUCUACAAGAGAAUUGCUUAUAAAGUGUUGCAGGUAUGUCAUCAACAUCCCCCUAAGUUCUUCAGCAUAGUUCCAAAUUUUGGUUGUUUCCGUUGCAAGUUUCGUAAAAUGACACACCAUAAUUUGCGUAUAUCAUGAACCAAGGUUUAAUAGAUAUUGCAUUUGAUUUAUUAUUGCCUUAUUAGAAAAUCAUCAAAUUGGAACUGGUGCAGAAAGCUCAAAACACUAAAUUAGCGGUUUUUCUUCUUUGGUUCCUGUCAUGUGGAUUAUCUUAGAGGGACGAGAUUCUUUUAUUGAUUUUAUGUAGUUUUCUAUUUGCAGAAUUUGUAUGUUAUGUCAAGCCCCGAGGCUAACCCAAGACGCACAAACUGGACCUAGGAUAACGAACGACCCCAAGUUAACCUUGUAACACCCAAAUUUUUUUCGAACUAAGACUUGAGCCGUUAGUCGUAGAGAGUGAGAGUUCACCAAGGAAUUAAAUUUUUUUGUCACUAGAUGUAGCACCAAGAGUUUCAAAAAGAAUUUAAUUAGAAAGAGAACACGGAGUUUAAAUGUCCUAGGAUGUCUAUGAAUUCGUGUCAAUAGGAUCUUUUUUAUGGUUGUGAGGGCCCCACUUCUAUGAAUGAGGUACUAUAGGCAUUUAAGAAAAGUUUCCCUUCUUUCAUACUCUUAAACGUGCAAAAGAGAUAAGUGACUAAGUCAUAAAGAUCUAUUCUAACUCGUGCGCUUUCAUAUUCAUUUGAGUACCAAUCAUACUAGAGGUGGUUUAAAAGUAAAGUUUAAAGAUUCUUAUAGAUGAGUUGUUUUUAGCAAGAGUCUUGAGAAAGUCAUGAGACAUCAGAGGGGCUUGACAGAAACCCAAUAAUUGUUCAGUUUCAUAGUAAUGCAUCCACAUUCACAUCAAUCGUGCGUUUGAGCUAAAAAAGAGUUGCACUAUGUUCCCUAAACCUUGUUUCAGCUGAGAUCUUUAUGAGAGAGAAUGUUUAGAGAUUGGGUAUGAUUUCACCCCCCAAAAAAGUAAUAUGAGCUAUGAGAUCAUGAGUAGUAGUAGUGAAAGAUCCCAUAGUUAGAGGAAAGUAUGCAGAGAGUUGGUAAUUUAAGGAAGGGAAAGGUGUUGUGACAAACUAUGUUACAAUAGUCAUGUACCUAGUAAGUUAGUAAUAAAGAGUUUUCCCUUAUGAGUAGACUAAUAAGUGGAGAGUUGUAAAUAGCUGAGGAUAGGGGUAAAGUAAGUAUUUCAAGUCCACAUGAGUUAGGAUACACCUUAACGAAAUAGGGGUUAUGAUAAUGUGUCAUUGUGUUAGUAAUGACCAAGUGCAAGUGGUGAAUAUAUAGAAGAGCCAGAAUAUUCACAAUUUGAUAUAUUAACUCUAGGCUUAUGAAUUUUGAUAGAAGAACUUCAGAGGAUUAUAGAGUUAUUUGAGAGAUAGUGUGCAGUAUGUGAGUAGGUAGCAUUUAAGUUGUGAAGUGGAAGAUGAUGGUCACUUGAGUAUGCAGACUGAGAUGUAAAGAUUGGCUAAUUAUCAUGAAGUCCUACUGGACAAUGAUUCCUAAAUUUCCAUCGUAGUAAUGUGUUAUAGUAUAGUAGGUGAGCAAUCAUAUUGACAUUCGGUUUUAGUAAGGAACAUUAAGCUAGAAUUUGAGAUGAGUGUCAUGAUCCACAAAAAUGGCAAAAAAAAGGGUCAUGAUGUUAAUCUUGAGAUUUGAUAUUGUAGAUUGGCAUAGAAUAGGUGAGGAAUUGAGAUAGUUGUUGCAAUGAAUGUGAGUAGUAGAGAACGUAACCUUUAAAUAAGGGCAGUGGUGUGACUAAGUCAUAAGAGUAGAAAGAGCAUUAAUAUAAUGUAUACCAGUUAGAGAUGUGGAAUAGGUCCAUAGCUUUCAAGUGUUAGCUUUAGACCCAAGGGGAAGAUGAUAAGAUGAGAAAUUAAGUCAACUGUUUGAAGAUUUCAUAAGGAGUUCAUUCAUAGGAGUUCAUGGAGUUGUUAGAUGUCUGAGCUUGAAUGUAGUGGUAAAGAGUAAUUGUUUGAGAUGAUAUUCUAUAUAGAGAAGUAUAGAAUCAAAACUUUAAAAUUUGAGUUUAACAUUGAAUAUAGUAAGAGCAGACCAUUAGACGUAGACCUUAGUAAGAGUAAACCAUUCUAUACCGAGUUCAAUCUUCAUUCGAGGAUAAAUGAUCCCAAGGGGGGUGAUAUUGUAAGACCCAGAAAAUCUUUUCAAAUUAAGACUUGAGCCGUUAAUCGUAGUGAGUGAGAUUUCACCAAGAAGUUAAAAUUUUUCUUAAGUAUUAAGUUCAGGUCACUAGAAGUAGAACCAAGAUUUCUAAAAAGAAUUUAAUUGGAAAUAGCAAAAUCUGAAAUUUCGCAACUUUAGCUAAGUAUGAGUUUUGAGUAAACUUCAAAAAACCGUACCAUCUAGAACAUGAUGAGUUAGGUGUGCUACAAGAUACAAUAGGACAUAUCUUUGAAUUAUAUUUCCAACGCCACCGAGUUUGCUAUGUUUCGAGUUCAGAUGAGUGAGAUAUGACCUUUUGAUGUUAGUCUUUCCAAUUAAGGAAAGUUUGCCGAAAAUAUGAGGGGUAUUUCGGUUCUUUCCUUACCCAAUCACAUUUAAUUAAUUUUUUAUAAUAUUUUAGGGUUAUAAUCCUUUUAAGUUCUGUUUUAAUAUCCUAAUAUACACCUAGGGUUUUAGUUGAUGUUUCAAGAAGAGGCAAGAAAAGAAAAUAGGAGAAAAGAAGCAAGGAUGAAGACAUUCGUCGAUGUUCUUGAGUUUAGUUGCGGAUUUUCGCCAUAGUUCUAAUCCCUAAUAGGUAUGUAAGAUUCCAUAGUGUUUGGUUUUUUCACCCACACGCCAAUCAUUUUAUUUUUCUUAGCGAAAUUUCAUUCUUAGUGUUUAAAAAUUUGAGUUCUUGAUGAAUUUUUGAAGUUCAUUCUAAAUCUCGUUGUGUUAGGGUUUUGAUGAUUUAUUGUGAUCAAAUUGAGUAAUUUUAGUGUUGUUUUCAGUACAUUAGAGUGUAAUUAAGUUAAGUAAUCAAAUCCAAGUGAUUGGGUAGAAAAAGGAUUAUACUAAUCUCAAACCACAUAAUCAAUAUGUUUUAAAAACAUAAGAGCCUGUAUAUUUUUUGAAGUAGUAUUGAGCACCGACGUGGGGAUGCUAGUUACAGAUUAACUCAAGUCUCCAUGAAAACUAUAUACUCUUCAUGGGUAGAAAAAGGAUUAUACUAUUUAGAUGAGUCCAUUUCACAAUUUACUAGUGGAUCCAUUAAGAAGUUCAGGUCCUAUACUCUGGCAAGGUUAGGAUGACCGAGCAGCGUGGGCCAGUAACGUUGUAUCGUCACAAUAACUCUUAAGUUAUGGUUGUCGCUUAUAGUAACUCCCACAGAAGUAAUAGUAUUUUUAUAUACACCAAUUAUUGUAUUUUCAUAUAGAGUUGUGUUGUAUCCUUGCUAUACGCAGAGAGUUGACAUCACGUUUUUAAACAACUUUUUUUUAUAUUGCACUUGUUUUAAACUAUUUUAUAUUGAAAUGAUUUCAGUUGACUAUCAGGAGUUGAGUAUCUUGAGUUAAUUUGUGCUUCAUUGAGUCAAAUAUCAUAUCUUUGAAGUUUAGAAUAUAAUCCUCGAGUUGAGUAUCUUAUUCUUGAGUUGAGUUGAAAAGAGGUAUGUGUGUUUCCUUUUAAUCAAGUUCAAGACUAUGUUUUAUGCUUUAGAUUUCCCCUUACAUUCUCUUUCAUUGCAUGUAUUGAGCCAAUUGGUCUGCAUCUUCUCAUGAUGCAGACACAGAUAUUCAGGAUGUUUAAUAGGAGCUUCGUUGAUACAUCAGAAAGUUCUAGUUAGCUAUAGUGAGCCUCUUAGCUUUCAAAGGACUUCAUGUACCUUUCCGUUUUGUCAGGAUGUCGUGGGUGUUGUACCGAGUUCCAUCUUUAUCAGUGAGAGGCUUCAUAGAUAAUCACUAUAGUUAAGGAGUCUGUAUUAAUCAUUUUUUUAUUAAAUGUUUUAAAGACUAAAGUAGCCUAUUUUUGGCUAGUUUAAUAUAUUAUUUUUAUUCAAAGUUGUUCAAUUUAGUUUUAAGUUUUGUACGUUUAAGUUAGUAUUCCACUUGUAAUCGGCCAGGAUGAGGGUUCUCUUGGGGACCAACAAUGGUCUUCAAGUGCUUGCCACGUCCAGGGUGUAGACUCGGGUCAGGACAAACCCUAAGUUGCAUAUCAUAAGUAUACUAAAUGAUUACCAAAUAAUUAUACUACGAGGAAUCUUAAACAGUGAUAACUAAAAGUUGGGAAUGUCCAAUACAAAUCUGUACAUAUAAAAGAUUAUGAGUUUAAUAAUAACUGGAGGAUCAAACUCAAAACUGGACUAUCAGAGGGACACAAUUAUUUUAUUGAUUUUAGGUCUUUUUCUAUUUUCAGACUUCUUAUGUGAUGUAUGGAUUACGUCCCAAUAUCUUUCUCUAUGAUAUAAUAGACUGCCUUGAGACUUAUGUUAGAGCUCCACUAUUGUCAAACUCUUUUGUAUGAAAUGCUAUCUUUUGAACUCUUUACAUCUAUUAUCUUGUAUGAUGCAUUCUAAGUGGCUUGGAUAGGGACACCCGGGGUUCUAUUUGUUAUGAUAUGCCCAACGACUAUUUUGGAUCAUGACACGUAGUCUCUCUAAAUUCUUACAUUCUACUUAAAUAUUUUUCUCAUAUUUUUUCAGGCUUCAAAAAUCAACCCAUCUAGUGUACUUAUUGUAUCAUGAAAAAAGUGGGAUGUCCAUAAAUUUUAUCCUUAUAUUUCUCAUAAUAAUCAUUUUUAAUAUUUCUCAUAAUAAUCAUUUUUAAUACAUACGACAAACAGAGAAAGAAUCUCUUCUAAUAAGAGAAAUAUGAAUCCUACAUUGUGGGAUAAAAUAUCUACUGAAUGCUAUUACCAACAAACAUGGUAAAAAAGAAAUAGAAAAUGGUUAACCACCUCAAAAAUGACAAAUAUAACUAUAACCAAAAAAAUAUUGAAAUCAUGCAAAAACGUGGGUAGCAUUUACACCAGAGGGAAGAGUGUUAGUCGAAGCCGAAGUAGAAGUCGGAGCAAGAGCAAAAGCAAAUCUCCUAAAGUUAAGUCUUCAAAGCGCUCAAGAUCUCGUUCAAGGUCUGUGUCUUCUCAGUCUCGUUCUGGGUCAAAAGGACGUCCUGUCUCAAGAUCUCCAUCAAGGUCCAGAUCACCAGCACCAGCUCGUUCAAAACAAUUAAGUGAAAGUCCUAAAAGACGCACUCCCAGCAGUAGCCCCAAAAGACGCACUCCAAGCAGAAGCCCAAGCCGGAGUAGGAGCCAUAGCCGAAGUUUGUCCAGGUAAGAUUGCUGGAAUCAUCAGUGAUUGAGGGUGCCAUCAUGCUAUGUUUGAGCAGCCUGUCCACAGUUGGGAGUCUUAAGGGCCCGGAAGAGUCUGUUGCUCUGCUUACAUCAAAAUAUUUCUGUGUCAUCGAACCAUGUCAAGACUGUCAUAAUUAUUAUACUUAUUUUUGUAGCUCUUAAUCUUGGUAAAAGACUGCAAUAUAGUAGAUGAUAUUGUGAAAAACGGAAUUUAAUUUCCUUGAAUUGCAGAUUAUUGUUGGUCGAAAAAAAAAAUUAUGGUAUGAUUUAUGUCUCUUAAUAUCGGACUAAAGCUAAAUAUUUGUUACAAAUUCAAACAUAGUCAUCAUAAAAAGUUCACGUCAACACAAAUAAAGAGAAGGUAGUGAGAAAAUCUCUCAAAAAUAAUACAAUUUUGACAUAAACAUUUCCUACAAUAAACUUGCUUUUUCUCCUUCUCACAUUUUCAAAUCUCUAAUUCGUGCAUCAUUCAUAGCAUAUCUUCCCUGUCCAUGGAGAUUCAUCAACAGAAUUACCAAAUAGAAAACAAAUCAUAAAAAUGGAAAAAUUAUUUUAAGAACAAUUAUUUGUCCUUUCUUUAAAAAUUUGCACUUUUAAAAUGAUGUUCUAAAUUCACUAUUAUAUGUUAAUUUCACAUAUGUGUUGGAUUUUAUUUACCCUAAUUUUCUUACCAUAAAUAGGUUAUCAUUUUAGGAAAAGGAAAACAAAAUAUCUCCAUAUUUGACUAGUCUUUGUAUUGUAGGAAAGGCUUAAGGACUCUAUAAAUAUAUGCUUGUUCUUCUAACUUAAUUAACAUUCACAAUGUAGUUCAAUGGAUUUUGAGAGUUUUGAUUAUGAGAGAGAAUUUGUGUACCUCCUUGUAUUUCGAGUAAAUUGUUUGAGGUUAUUACUCUCUAUAUUUUGUACACACAUAUUCAUAGAGAAUUUCUCAUCUCCUUUGUGGAUGUAUGUUAAUUGACUUAACCACGUUAAAUCUUUGUGUAUUUUGGUGUAUUGAGGUUAUUACCACUUGUUAGACCACUAGUUCACAUAUUCAUAGCUUUUCUAUGGUAGCAAUCCCAUGGUUAAAAACGUUACCCAUAAUCAAUUAUAUUGAAGUAAGAUUGACUACGGUGGAUAGUAUUACAUCUACCAACAAUCAUUGUACAAAUUAAGUUCAUUCAUAACUUUGUCACGCCCCGAGCCUAUACCAUGGGCGGGAUUGACACUCCCAAAUCAUUGAUGGCCCUAACCAAACCCUUCGCUUGUCUAGACUUUCAGCAGAAGCCAUACCAUACAUAGAAUCUAUUUAAAGACAAUCUUAACUAAAUUGUCUCAAUAGAUAAACUUAAAAUAUUUUUAAAGUAAAAUCUUAGAAACUCAAGUCUUAAAACAAAACAACUAAAAUGAGCAACACUAAAGAACUAAUAAAUAUCCAUCUAUGAAACCUCUAAAACUAUGAGGCAUGUUGGGACAAGACCCCCAAUCAUCGUAACAAAUGAAAUAACCAAGAAUACUAAAAGGGAUCCUUCGAAGAGCAAGAAGGCUCACCAAAAUGACUCGGAAGCUCAACUUGAUCAACGAAGCGCUAGAUGUUUAUCCUAGUUAGCUGUAUGGGCAUCAUAAAACGUUGCAGGCCAAAUGACAUCAGAAUAUUGAAUGUACGAGCAUGCGAGGGGGACACUAAACAUGAUAUAAUCUUGAACUGGAAUAUGAAAGUAACACUUACCUUAUCUUUACUCAACUCAUGGAUACUAAACUCAAUGCAGAAAUAAACAACAAUAAAGAUAUAGUAGUAAAUAAUAUCUCAAAGUAUUGGAGAUACAAUAACAUCUCAGUUGUAUAUAAGAAUACAAAAAUAAACUGUUUGGGAUAUUCUCUAACCGACAACCAUCACUAUGAAUUAUGUGAUGAUACAGUAUCUCGCCCACGAGUCCAGAACUUUCAUAUAACUUGUUUGGAUAUAGAACGCCUCAACUAAGUGGAUUCACUCGUCUAUGCUAAAAAGUAUUAAGGAAUUAUCUAAAAAAUAUGACCCUUUCUACCCACUUGGGUACAUGGUUUAUGAAGACUUGAGUCAUUAUGAACUCGUCCCCAUAUCGGUGCUCAAUACUAUUCCCAAAAUGUACUCAACUAAUAUGUUUAAAAACGUAACUCUAUCUUUGUGACUUGAGGUUAUUACUCAAAAAUCUUAUCUCUUAAAAGAGAUGAAACUAAAAACUACUCAUGAAAAAUCAUUUGGAAAUCGAUGUUUCCUCAUCUUAAAUGUGAAAAUAUUUGCUCUUUGGGAGUACUUAGUCCCCAUACAUCAAUUUGAAGAAAUGAGCUCGACUGUACUCUUUCUCAAACUCGAUGGUUAUGUCCUUUAACACAAGGUUUAAAUGAUUGUAAAAGACUUUUUAAAGACUCAAAGAACUCUUUUGACUUAAUCCAUAACUCUACCUUUAAUUUGAAUCAUUGAUUCAAGGGUUAUGAUCUCAUUUGAUAGAUGUUCUCUCGAUGUUUAAACGUUCCUUAGAGUGUAAAAAACAACUAGAAAAUAUAGGCAUAAUUCAAGAGAACUCAAACAGAAAGAAGUAGGAAAGGGUAGAGGACCUGGAGACCCUAGUGUUGUACUGAACUACAGAGUUUGGGUUGGGGCGACUGAGUGGCGUGACACCCCAGAGCCCAAACUAUGACCUUUUUAUGCUGGCACGGAUUGCCAGCCCCUUGCCCAGAAAACCUACGAUUUUUUUUUGUUCAUUUUUUGACCCUAACACGUCCAGAUUCGAUUGGUUUGUUCCACCAAACACUUAGAUUCGAAUAACCAACAAAAGUAUACAAUAAUUUGAUAAUAAACAAUCUUAAAUAUCAAAAAAUUAUCUUAAGAACUCCUCCAAAACCCAAAAAUCAAGAUUCAAACAGAACUUCAACAAAAUCCAUCAAGAACUCAUAUACUCAAAUUUCCAAAAUGUGAAUACGCUGGAUUUAAUUAGGAUUGGUGUGUGGCUGAACGAGUCCAGCUUUAUGUGAUCUCACAUACCUCAUAGGGAUUAACCCUUGGCGAACUCUCAAGAGCGCUACGAAACAUUGGUUUUUCUCAUCUCUCAAAGCCCUAACAUAAUUUUGUAAUUGUCUAAUAUGAACCAAAUCAGUUUAUACCCCAAAAAAAUUACUAAAAACGAAUAAAACUAAUUGGGUGCUGAAAAGACCAAAACAUAGGUUUAUUGUUUGGCUUGCUGUGCAUGAUAGACUUCUUACAAAAGAAAGAAUGCAAAGACUGAACACACCUAUAGGGAAUACGUAUUGUUGCUUAUGUGAUAAGCAGGCUCAGGAAACAAACAAACACUUGUUCUGGCAGUAUAAAUAUAUAAAGGCUGUAAAACAAGGUUUAGAAACAUAGACUGGGAUCACGUUGAUUGCAGGGGAGAUGAGAGGAGUAUUACUAACUAUAAAAAGAAAGAGGUGCAACGAUUUCAAGAAGCAGAUAUUGGCAGUAACAUGGGGUGCAUGUACUAGAAAACUUGGAGGGCUAGGAAUUGGAAAAAAUUUAGAGGAAGCACUAUAAUGCCAACGUGUCAUAACUCAGUUUGGAGACAACGCUGCUUCAGACUCCAAAGAGAAGUAGUCAUUUUUAAGAACAACUUACUUUCGAUAAAUCACAUGCCUUUUUCUGGCCAUGACGGAUUAGCCGAUUGGCUAAUAUUAUUUGAACAAAUCUGAGCAGAUGAUAUGGUUGUCUGAAUCUUGCUUAUUUGUUCAAUGUUGAUGAUAUUAUUGGGGGAAAACAUCAGUUGUCGUGCACACAUGAUGGUUCGUCAUCUUACUGCUAUAAACGUUGUCUGAUCUCAGAAAUUCCUUCUUGGAUGAAUCGUCUGGGCACAAAGACCGUGAAGAAGUUAUCACGACACACGCUGUGCAAGAGAUUUUGCAUGAAAAUACUAGGCCAAAUACUAAUAAGAGAAUAGUUGCAAAGUUUUUGUGGUAUGAAGAGGAGUUGUUUUCCACUUUUAUAAAAAAAAAAAAAGAAUACUGGACAAGUAAACAUUAAUGAUAAAUAAAACUUGCCUCACUGCAAGCAGUUCUGUUGAGUAAUUUUUUAUUUUUAAUCACUAAUAUUAUGAUAGAAGUUAUUUUUAGAAAAGAUGAUUUUUGAGAAAAUAAAUUCAUAAUCUGAAAGAACCAACACAUGUAAAAAAUGAAAUGAAGGACCUAAGUAAAGAUUUAUUCAGUCAUGGAUCGGCUGAUUGUUGUUCUCCUAAUUUGGAAAUACUUCGGCUAAUUCAAGUUGUGCCCCUUGAGAAGCUUCCAGACCUUUGAGAAGUUGAGACUUUUAUGAAAAAUUGUCACUUUUAUGAAAAAUUAUCACUUAUAUGAGAAGUUGAGACUUUUAUGAAAAGUUACAAUUUUUAUAAAAGGUUGUGACCUUUUCGAAAGGUUGUAACUUUUACAAAGAGUUGUUACCUUUCUGAUAAGACACAAUAAACAUUUGUUCACACUACCUUAUAAAUAGAGGAAUUUCCUCUCAUUUUAAAACAACGAAAAUUUUAAACUUCUUCUUCUUCAUCUGGACAAUUAAGUAAUUGUGUACUUUACUCCUAUUGAAUGACUCACUGACACCAUUGUUUUUAUAUCAAUACACUGGCGAAUAAAAUUUUCUUCCCUGAGAGGAUCUAUUCCUUUAAAUCUGGGGUACAAGAAGGGAAUAAUUUCCUUAAGAGGAUAUUGUAAAUUCAGUGGGCUUGAUUUUUUCCCUUUUGUUUCAUUCUAUUGUUACAAAUCCUUUAUGUUUUGUACAAAUAUUAAUUUAUGCUUAUAUUAUUAAUUUUUAUUUUUCUAAACAUGUUUUAAAUUUUGUUAUUUAUGUUUCCGCAAAAUAAUUUUUAUAAGUAUUUUUUAAGUACAAAUUAAAUAACAAAAGUUAAUUGAGUAUUCAAGCAAGUUUUCUUCCUGGAAUUGUUAAAGGUACAACAAAAAAGCCCUUACAAAUUUCUAAUUUUUUUUUUUAUGACAAGGGAAACUCGCAGCCGCUACCUUUUGGAUGUGUGUGUUCUUUAGAAAAUCCUCUGAGAGUUAUCUAAUUUUGCAUGCUCAUCUUUUUGUUUUUAUUUAUUUAUCUAUUUUUUUUAUCACUGAAUAAUAUGAGUAGUUUUAAGAUUGAAAGUUGAUUGAAGUGGUAGUCAAUAUUUUGAGGUAUGCAAUUUAAAAACAUGAGAACUUUUAUAGUUAGAAUAAUUUGUCAUCAAGACUGUAUAUCUAAUAGUUUACUCCCUUUACUGUAUGUUUUUUUAACGUUGUUUUGUUGUCUCCUUAAAGUUAUAUUGAUUAUUUUUCAAUGUGAUCUCAAUUGGACAAAACUUUCGUUCUUUAAUGUUUUUCUUUUUUUCCUUCUCAUUCAACUCUUCUAAAUAUUUUUUGUGUGAGUUAUGACUAUUUUCGGCUAGCUUAAUUUGAAGAAUAUGAAACAAAAUAUGCUCUAAAUAAGAGUAAUAUCUCAAGCUACAAAAAAAUGUGUCUAUUAAUAUUGAUUUGUUGUCCUUUAUGUGUCAGGUCAUUGUUGAGCAUUUAAGAUAUCUAGGUUAGACUCAUUUUUAAUUUUUUAAUGUUCAAGAAUAUUUAUUUACAUGAGUGUAGAAUCCAACACUUAGAUCUAUGUGUACUUUCAUAAUACAAUAGUUAUACAUACAUAUUUCUGAAAAAGUCGUAAAGUUGCAUUGAUGAAGUAUCUAUAAGGGCCUUCAAAGCGGCAGUUUAACGAAGAAUGAUUUUCUAAAAGGGUCAACAAUAUUAUUUUGAUGUUGUAUAAAAUUUAUUUCUCUCAUUCUUUAAAUUUUUUUAGACUAACAAAGUAAUAAUAACAAAAAUUGGUGAAUGUUUGACCUCACUAUUUUUUUUUAUUUUAAGCAUGAUUCUCUAUCUACAAAUGAGAACAUUGAAAAGCUCAAGAGGUUCAAGACGAUGUUUGAAGAGACUAUGGUUUUCUUGGGGUUUAACAAGCAGGAUAUUCAGGUUACACAAGGAGAAGGUGCUUUGAAUUGAGAAACUCAUAAGUUUCUUUCUUAGUUCCAUAAGAAAAUUAUGAGUUUCUCAAUCCAAAGCACCUCCUCCUCGUGAGUAACCUGAAUAUCAUGCUUGUUAACCCCCAAGAAAACCAUAAUCUCUUCGAACGUCGUCUUGAACCUCUUGAGCUUUUCAAUGUUCUCAUUUGUUGAUAGACAAUCAUGCUUAAAAUCAGAAAAAAACAGUUGUCAUAAUCCUGUUUCUUGCUCUUGGCAAAAAUUAAAAGUCAUGCUUUAAGUACAUCCCAUGGCAAAGAAAAACGGAGGAAAACUUAAGUAUGGCAUCACGAGACAAAUAAUAUAACUAACAAGACCCCAAAAUUCAGUGUGAUUUAGAUUCAAGUGCUCUUUAAGUUCGGAAAAAUCAAGUCCUCUCCAGAAGAAUUACGGAUAUCACAGAAAGAAAAACAAACCAAAAUAAAAAUGAUAUAUAUAUCACAGUUUUCACCAAAGCUUUGUGAAAUUAACCCCUUUUAUGGUGUCUACCACCACCUCUACUUCACAAUCGUACAAAUGCUUCAACAUAGAUGAUACAUGGAGAUGCAAGAAAUGAGAAGGAAUUAACCGCACUGCAAUAUAUUACCACUAUAAGAGUACUGUUUCUCAAGAUCAAUGGAAAUGAGCUAAAGAUGCAAAAAUGAGAAUUCACAGUUUUGAGCUUUCUGCAUAAGUUCUCAGUUAGAUAAUAUUCUAGGGCUACCUUGGGCAUAUCAAGGAGUUAGUAUGCUAUAUGCCAAUGAUGACUGAAACUUGCUAGGGAUCCAACCAAAAGUAGGAACUGUGAUGAUACUACCUUCUCAAAAUAGAAAAGUUAGAACUAUGACAAAGUUGUGUAGGGUUUCCAAAGCGUAAAAUGACAAAAAAACCUGAAGAAUGAAGGUGGUGUACAAGAUACCGGUCUACAACAACAAAAUUGAUAUUCAAAAUUGCAAUACCUAUAGGGAUAUGGAAGCUGCUAAGUCACACUAUGGAUGUUUCGGAGAGGGUGCUGGAGUUAAGGGUGAGGAGGAGUGUGUUUAUUACUGAAAACUAGUUAAGAUUUAUGCGAAGCCAGUCAACUAUAAAAGUCAUUCAUUCCCGAAUGGAAAUCGGUGGAGUUGUAUAAGGUAAUAAACAGGGUCUUACAUAUGGUGUUCGUCGACCUAAAAAACUCUUACGACAGUUUCUAAGGGGGUUCUAUUGAGAUUUUUUGAUGCUAGAGGUGUACUCGUAGCAUACAUUAGAGUGAUUACAGACAUUUAUAAUAGAAUCAAGACCCGGGUAAGCAUACAUUAGCCCGUUCUUAUUUGUUUUAGUGAUUGAUAAAUUAACACUACAUAUCCAAGAGGUGUCAUGGUGUAUGUUAUGCGCAGAUGACAUAGCUUAUGAAGUCUCAGUCACCUCUACUGUACAUUAUUGGAGCAGGGAAGUAUCACUACUACAUCAUCAAAAAAAGGGAGAUUGUUAGUGCAAGAAUUAUUUUAACAAUGAAAAAUUAUGAUCUUUUUAGGAUAAAAGGAAAGUCAAGCAAGACCAAACAUGUGGCAUAAUCAAUGGGAGUUAAAUCGCAUAAACACAAGAUCAAGAGUUUAUUCAAGUGAAUUGACAUGGCUACAAAAUCUUCAACCAAAGGAUCCAUAAAACAACUCUAAAGCAAUUGGCCUCAAUCUAAGAAAGAAUAGACAAUAAUCAAGGGGAAAAUUCAGAGAUUAAUAUCACUCAAAGUGAAGUUGAAGAUUACGGCGUAAAUUUAGAUAUCAAUAUCACUCAAAGGAAAGUUGAAGGUUACGAAAAAGGAGCCAAAGAUUAGCCUUUGCUUUAUUCUUGGAUAGAAGGAUUCUCAAUUACCUCUUUCCAAGGAUUACUUCUCUUGGGUUUCUAUCACUUCACCAAAAGAAGAUGCAAGUCUUGACUAUCUAUAAAAAGCUCGAAGAAAGCCAAGGAAUCAGACAUACAUCGAGUGUGAUUCUUCACAUAUUAUGUAUGUUACUUUUAACAAGCAUUACACUACUUAGUUUUACUAGAUAAACAAAAAAGAGAAGAGAGAAAAAUAUUGUUGGUAGGAUGUGUAUCACAAGAAAAAAAAAGAAAAAGAUUGAGUGUAGCCAUAGGAACUAUACUCUAAACUUGUACUCAUAACAAAUUUUCAAAAGGCUCGAAAAAAAUAGCCUUGAAGCCUAAGGGGACUGGACGUAAUAUCAACAUUGGAUCCUAACCAGUAAACAUCUUGUGUCAAUCUUAUUUUCCGCACGUUCAUUUUCAUUGUUUACUUUUGGAUUUAAUUUUCAACUAGUAAAUCUCAAAAAUUGGCUAUUUGAAGAAGAAAAAUGAAAAAAGAGGAAUUUAGCUCCCCCCCCCCCUCUCUUGAACCUUUGACUAUGUUGAUGGCAAAGCCCUUCCAAUGGUACCGUUAGUUAUAUCACAAUAAUCAGUUGAUUAAUUGGUACCAAUCUACUGAGAAAUCAGUUCAUCGAUAUUGAAAACAUGAGUUAGACUCACUAAAGGGAUGUUUGGCUAAUAUAGAACAAAUUACGACAAUGGUAAAAUAUUGGAGCAGACUUAAAGCUCUCACCAAUGAGACUACUCCCAUCGGUGAUCACUUGUUGGUACAUUUUUAGAUUUCUGGUCUCCGAGCCAAAUUAAAUCAGCAGUGGUGGAUCAUGAGCCUUCUAAACUGGAUCGAGCUAUGUGUCACGUACUUAGAGUAUUCGCUAAUGUAACGUGCGGCCCUCAACAACUUACUCACUAAUCUUUCAAGGUCUUGUAAUCUCAAGGAAACCUUUUUGACUUGGUACGCUAAGAGAAGGCUUGGAAUGGACUUUGAGAGAACAAAAGAGAGAUUUUGAAGAAGGCUUUGUAUUAUGCUUGGAAAAUGCUUUACAACUUGCUUGGUGCCUUUGCAAAUGAGGGGCACUUCUAUUUAUACUACUUCCUAGGACUAAAAUGCAAUUAAUAUUUACUUGACAAGUCCCUAAGAUAUUUACACUUUGGUCCCCUUUCUAGAAGAUUCUACAAUGCUUUGGGACCUUCCCUAGCCUUCUUGAGACUUGCAAAAGGUUCUAGAGUCCUCCGCACAACUCUAGAACGUUUUGCACCUAUCCGGAUGCGUAAUUAAGAUGGAAUUGUGGAGGGACGUCAAAGGAUCCCCCACAUGAUGAUGCAAUGACCGCGGCGCAUUGCUUCAAAAACUCCUAGACUUCGUCCUUGAAUUUCCACAAGUCUUCACAUUUCUCCCAUGUGGCCUCCUUUGGAGUUUUUCCCUUCCAAUUCACCACGAAUAUGAUGCUGGCUUGUUGACCUCACUUCCAUUUGUCUUGAUAAUCUAUGAUAGCCUCAAUCUCCCAGUUGUGCAAGGCAUUGAUAGUAAUGGGUGCCCGUUGUGAUCGAUUCCUUUUAGGAUCCUCCUUGUUCUCAUGGUACGGCUUGAGGACUCUGGCAUGAAACACCUUAUGUAUCUUGAUGUGUGGAGGUAACACAAACAUGUACGAGAUCUUUCCCACCUUGGCAACGAUCUUGAAAAAACCCUCAUAUUUGCGCACUAAGUUUUGAUGACGCCUCUUAGUGACUUGAACUGUCUUGGGUUGAAUUUCACCAAGAUCAUGUCACCUUCUUUAUAGUCCGUAGGACGACACUUGCGGUCUGCAAACUUCUUCAUCCUUUUGGCUGCUUUGUCCAAGUAGGGUUUGACAGUGUCAAGUUGCUCAUCCCAUCCCUUGUCAAAAUGGUAGGCACCCAAACUCUUUCCCUCAAAAGCAGUCGGCAAUGAAUACGGAGUUUGGAGUUGUUGGCCUAUCUCCAACUCAAAUGGUGUGCACCCAAGGAAUCGCUCCUAUGCAAAUUGUAGGAAAACUACGCCAUGUCUAGGAGUUUGAUAGCACCCAAGCAGGGCAUUGACACGUUCCGUUUGGCCGUCGGUCCGCGGGUGGAAACUUUUUGAGAAGUGAAGUUCUGUGCUAAGUAUAUCAAACAACUCUAUCCAAAAGUUUCUAGUAAAGUGGGGGUCUUGAUCACUGAUUAUAUGUUUUGAAAACCCCUAGUGUUUCACCACAUUCUUAAAUAACAAUCGAGCGAUUUCAUUUGCAUUGCAACCGGGUGUGGCAGGCAUAAAUGUAGCAUACUUCGAAAACCAUUCCAUCACGACCAUGAUUGUACCAAGACCGUCAGAAUUUGGCAAGGAAGUGAUGAAGUUCAUGGUCACGCUCUCCCAUGGUAAUUAUGCUUCGGGUAGUGGCUCUAGUAACCCUCCCGGUGGCCUUUGGUCCACCUUGUCUUGUGGAAACACAAAAUAAGUCUGCAUAUAGCACAACACUCGAUGUCGUCCUACAUGCGUGGCAAAAAAUAAAUAGCCUUGAUUAGCGCCUUUAUUCUUCACUUCCCCGGAUGCCCAGCCCACGGUGUGUCGUGGAUUUUCUUAAUGAUGUGUCGUCUGAUAGCCCCAAACUUGGGCACAUAGACGCUCUGACCGGUAGUGAGAAAGAAGUCCUCUUCUACCAAAAAGUGCCUAGUUUUGCCUUUGGCAGCCAACUCCAUCAACUUCAUUGCAUCUCGAUGGUAUUGCAUGCCAUCCUUGAUUACAUCUUAAAUGUCACAGUGGGCUGUAGUGAUGGCAGCGAGAUCGGAUUUCCUACUUAGUGCAUCGGCCACGACGUUGCCUCUUCCUUGCUUGUACUCCAAGUUAUAAUCAAACUCUGCCAGAAAAUCUAGCCAUCAUUCUUGCUUCGGGGUGAUAUUCUUCUGUGAAUUGAAGUAGCUAGUGGCAACAUUGUUGGUCUUUACCACAAACUUGGAGCCUAUUAAGUAGUGUCUCCACAUGCGUAGGCAAUGCACAAUGGUCGUUAUUUCCUUUUCUUGCACCGUGUACCACCAUUUGGCCUCGUUUAGUUUGCGACUCUUGAAUGUUAUUGGGUGUCUAUCAUGCAUUAAGAAUCCCCCAAUGGCAAACUCUGAGGCAUUCGUAUGUAUUUCAAAGGUCUUGGAGAAGUCGGGCAGCGCCAAGACCAGUUUCUCUAUCACUGUGGACUUGAGACCUUCGAAUGCUCUUUGGCACCCCUAGCUCCAAACCCACGUCUUAUUCUUCUUUAAAAACUCAGUCAGCGGGGUGUCUUUAGCAGAGUAGCCACUGAUGAACCUAUUAUAGUAGUUGGCAAGUCCAAGGAAGGAUCACAACUCGGUCACCUUUAUGGGCGCCUCCCACUCCUAGAUCGCCCGGAUCUUCGUCUCAUCCAUACGUAGUUCGCCUUGGCUGAUGACAUGUCCUAAGAAAUGAACAUUGUGCUAGCCAAACUCGUACUUCUCCCUCUUGACAUAGAGUUGGUUCUCCCGUAAGACAUGGAAGACUCUUUUGAAGUGAUUCGCGUGCUCUUCCAAGGUGUUUCUAUAGAUGACUAUGUCAUCAAAAUACACCACCACGCACUGGUCCAAGUAGGGAUGAAAUAUCUUUUUCACCAGCGUGCAAAAGGUGGCAAGUGUGUUGGUUAAGCCAAAAGGCAUCACCAACCACUCGUAUGCUCCUUAUCUUUUCAUGCAUGUAGUCUUUGGUUUUUCCCACUCCGCGAUGCGCACUUGGUAGUAGCCUUUCCGGAGAUCCAUCUUGGUGAAGUACUUGGCCUGCCCAAGUCUAUCAAAAAAAUUUGCAAUUAGCGGGAUAUGAUACUUGUUCUUGAUUGUUACCUUAUUGAUCACUCGAUAAUCAAUGUGUAGGCACAUUGAACUUCUUCUGGAACAACAUUGGCACGCCAUACGGUGACUUGGAUGAACGGAUUUGAUCAACUUUGAGGAGCUCCUUCAACUGCUUCCUUAGCUCCUCCAAUUCGGGCGGAGCCAUGCGGUAAGGUGCCUGUGCGGGUGGCUUGGCUCCAACCUCCAACUCUAUCUUGUGGUCUACCUCUUGUCUCAGAGGUAGAUUAUUUGGCAGCUCGACUGGCAUCACGUCCUUGAUCUCUUCAAGGACUUUAUCUAUAAUCGGUGGCAAGGAUUCCAUAGUACCAUUUUCUUCUCUCGUACUUGCAAUAGUAGCCAGUAACGUCGGUUCUCUUUUAUUUAGGCCCUUCACAAUCUGCAUGGCUGAUAAGUGGGUGUGUCCUUCCUUCUUCUGCACUUUCACUAUAGGUACCAUGCAUAACCCUUCCAGCUCCAUGACCAUGAUUCGUUGAAGGUAGAGGUCGAUCAUCGUAUGGAAGCACCAAAAGAACUCUUCCCGAGAAUGAUAUCAAAUAUAUCUAGAGGAGUGACUACAAAGUUCAUCUUUCUUUGCCACUUCCCCGAGGUGAUGCUUACUGCUUGGGUGACCCCGCACAUGAGAGACGAUGGGGAGUUAACCGUCUUGAGGCGGGUGUUGCUUGGCAUGUAGUUCAGUCAUAACCUCCUUGCCGCCGUCUUGUCAUGAUGUUAGCUUCAUCCCCAGAGUCUAUAGUGACACGAGCUGCUCCUCCAUUAAGGGAGAUGUCUACAUAUUGCAUGUUGAAGUCUCCUGGCUUCUCAGUCUGCUUGCAAUCACACCACAUAAUCCUAUCAUGCCCAACUGCAUCAUGCGCGGAUCCUGCCCUUGCUCUUGUGCGUCCUUAUCCUUUCCUUCGCACAGGAUGGCACCAAGGUUCUUCAUCUCAUGCCACCUGGCAUAGUCAUUAAUUUCACCGCAUAUGUAGCAACCAUCUCUGUUGUUGGUUUGUGCCCAUUUCUCAGUGUAAUUCUGGUGCACAAACCGCUUGUUGUCCAACUUGUGAAGGUCGUGCUGCUUGGGGUGUGCCUGGUGCUCCUUACCUCAGCCACGAUCUCCCCCACCUUUGUCAUGACUACUUUUUGCAUCCUUGCUCUUUGCCUUGUCAUGUCGUUCAUACUUGAAGUCCGUAAAGGACUCGACUUGUGUGAUGGCAUCAUCUAUGGUCUUGACCUGUCACUGCUCCAACUCCGUCUUGGCCCAAUUCUGCAGUCCGUCCAUAAAGUGAAACAACAUAUCCUGCUCUAUGAGGUUGGGAAUUUGAAGUGUUAGAGUUGUGAACUCCUUCACAUAUGCCCAAAUGCUUCCCAUUUGCUUCAAUUCCCAGAACUUACGCUUAACCUAGUACACGACGUUGUUAGGCAAAAAGGUUUUCUUGAAUUCUUCACGGAAUUGCUCCCACGUGUUGAUGGUGCACGUCCCCUUGCCAAUAUCGGCCUUUUUGCGCCUCUACCAUAUCAUAGCCAUCUUGGACAGAUAUAACACGACAAUUUUGAUCUUAUUUUCGUCGCUCCACACCUGACUACACUUGAAGUAAUUCUCCAAGUGCCAUAGAAAGUUUUCAAAGUCUUGAGCAUUACGGAUGCCCUUUAAUAUGGGUCUCUUGGAGUAUCAACCAUGUCCUCACGAUAAUGUUUCAGUGAUGUAGAUCCUCCAACCUCCAAUCCUUCCUUGAGUGUUUUCACUUCGUCCUUCAGCGUCUCGAUCGUUCUAAGCGUGUUCAUAAGACGAAACUCCAAGGAAGUGAUAGCUUCCUUCAUCUUGAACUCGGCAUGCUAGAGACCACCAAACUUUUUACGGAUGUUCUCAAUCUCCUCAAGGGUGAAGUUCUCAAGGGUAUUGAACUUGUCGUCGGCUACAUUCAUGCGCUGACCUAAUAUCUUCACGACCUACAUUGCCACUUCCACCCUAAUGACCCAUUCUUCUACAGUGGUGAUGUCUAUGGCGUCUUCGCCCAAUUCAUUGUCACUUUCUUCGGUAGUAGAGGGUGGAAUGAGAUGUUAGCGCAUCGCUAGAUGUGGGACUGGGCAACACCUCACUAUUACCUUUUUUAUGUUUCUUCCCCUUUUGGUUCUUCUUUCCAGCAUCAAUAUCGACGUUGUUGGUGCUAGCAUCAUUUACAUCUUCUUUGGUAGCUAUUCCCUUAGUAUCAAACCUCACUUUGAUCCCACUAGUCUCGGACUUAGACUAUUUUCUAAAGUUCUAUGCGGCCCUCGAGAACUUACUCACUAAUAUUUCAUGGUCUUGUAAGCACAAGGAAGCCUUUAAGACUUGGAACGCUGAGAGAAUGCUUGAAAAGGACUUAGAAAAAAUAACAGAGAGCUUUAGAAGAAUGUUUUGUAUUAUGCUUGGAAAAUGCAUUACAACUUGCUGGGUGCCUUUGCAAAUGAGGGGCUAUACUACUCCUAAGGACUAAAGUGAAAUUAAUAAUUACUUGGCAAGUCCCUAAGAUAUUUACACUUUAGUCCCCUUUCUAUAGAUUUCUACAGUGUUUUGGGACCUUCCCGAGCCUUCUUGAGACUUUCAAAAGGUUCCAGAGUCCUCAGCACAACUCUAGAACGUUCUGCCCCUAUCCGGAUGAGAAAUAAGGCUUUAGUUGUGGCAGGACAUCACAUAUGUAUGUGACCCUUGUGCAUGAACAACAGAUAAGAUCUCAGCAAGGGUCAACCUGGACCUCCUUUGAUGAAAUAAAUCUGAUAUUACCUAGUCUUACUCUAAUGCACCACUCCAUUGAACCUUCCUCAUCAACAUUAGUCCCUACUGCACAACCACAUGCACUCCUAAAUGGCAUACCCUUCAAAUGUCUAAUCCCUGUUGAAUUACAUAGUCGUCGUGAAAGAGGCUUAUGCUAUACUUGUGAAGAGAAACUUUCUCCUUCUCACAAAUUUAAGGCGCUACCCUAAUUACUGUUGAUUAAUUCAGAGUCAUCACUAGUGUGUUCAAAACCAUUCGAAUCUAUAAAGUUUUGGCAAAAGAAUUGAAACUUUUGUAGGCACAAGAUCAUUAUUAUUUUUCUUUUCAAGCUUCAUUUGGUGAAGAUUUACAAACUACUUUGCAUUUUAUUGGCAUUGUUAAUGGUUCUCCAAUUCAAUUCCUUAUGGAUGGGGUAGUGUACAUAAUUUUAUACAAGCAAUGGCAGCCAAUUACUUGCACAUGGUGGUUGAAUCCAUUCCUAUUUUUUCUGUGGUAGUUUUUCAGGGGUAUGAUUUGCAUUAUGGAUAUGUAUGUUUUAUCUCUUCAUGGAGAAGACGUGGUUUUGGGUGUCUUGUGGUUAGUAAUAUUGGGACCAGUUGUCACUGAUUAUGCAGCCCGUAUCCGCGAGUUCUCCCUGAGUAUUUCUCCUUUUCAUUGGGUGGGGGACUCUCGAACUGAGCUGCAACGAGUACAAUUCCAUAGUUUGUGACAUUUGGCCACCACGAAUGCCAAUUAUUCCUUUUAUUGCUUAAAGUUAACUAAUACUAGGAACACAACCUCAUUGAUAAGCCUCUUGUAUUAAUGCCUCUAUUGGAAUCAUUGCUGAUGUUUUUAAAAGCUCCCCAGCUUACUACCUAUUCUAUUUUAGAAUCUUGCUAUAGAUCUAACACCUGGAGUGAGGCCUAUAAAUGUCAAUCCAUAUCGCUACCCCUGUUUUUAGAAGCAAAUUAUGGAGCAAAUUGUGAAAGAUAUGCUCAAUAACAGAGUUUAUUUGACCAAAUACCAACCCUUUCUUAUAUCUUGUGUAUUUUUGUUCAAAAGAAGGAUGGUACAUGAUGUUUUUGUGUGGGUUACUGAAUGUCAUUAAUUCAUGGGACAAAUUGCUUUUCAAAGCUUGACUUAUUGUCUAGAUACCAUCAGAUUUAUGUCUAGCCUGAUGACAUUAUGAAAAUAACUUUUCGAACUCAUGAGGGGCACUAUGAGCUUUUGAUAAUGCCCUUUGGGUUAUCCAAUGCACCCUCUACUUUCUAGGCUACUAUGAAUGAGGUAUUUCGGCCUUGUCUUUGCCGUUUUGUGUUGCCUAUUUAUAACGACAUUCUUGUCUAUAGUACAAACUGGAAGUCCCAUUUGGAUCAUCUCACCAUUGUCCGAGAGAUGCUUUUCUCUCAAUAAUUGGUGUCUAAAAGGAGUGAAUGUUUAAUUGGUCGAACGAGUAGUGAUUAUUUUAACAAAGGUCUCUUUGUCGAUUCAGGGAAAACCAUAGCUAUCCAACAACGACCAGUACCUAAGUCGGUGAAAGACGUUUGGGGUUUUUUAGGGCUCUCUCCCCGACCAAAUGACACUCUCUUUGAUCUUUUUGUCCAAACUUUUUUCUUUGGGACAUGAGCUAAAGGUUUUGAAUCAAUCUCAUUCAGACCUCUCACUUAUUCAAUAAACACUCACUAUACAAUCCUCUGACUCAACUGCUUAUCCCGGAUGACUCUCCUUUAUUCCAAUGAUUGCUAUAUGAGUUUCACUCAACUGUUGUAGAUGGACAUGAUGGUAUAACUCAUAGCUAGCAUCGAUUGGCAUCAAAUUUCUUUUGGAAACACAAGAGACAGGUUAUUUGGACUUACUUAUCUUCUUGCCAAGUUUCCAAGAAAAUGAAGAGCUCUCACUAGCUUCCUUCUGUUCUCUUAUAGACCCUCCUCAUUCCUCAAUUGCUCUUUGAGAACAUCGCCAUGAAUUUUAUCACUUGCUUUCCUAGUUUUAAAGGAAUAUUCACCAUUAUGACAAUUUUGGAUAGUUUAUUUAAGUAUGUUCACUUUAUUCCAUUGGCACCGAAUUUUACCACUAUUACUGUCGCAUAAGGUUUUUGGUGACUCAAAUUAUUUGUCUCCAUGGAUCUCCUUGCAGUAUUUUCAUUUAGAGGGACCCUCAAUUUUGAAAUUACUUCCGUCAAGAGAUCAAUAGAUUGCAGCGGACCUCUCUUACUAUGAGCACCGCCUAUCAUUCUUAAACAUACGGGCAACCUGACUAUCUGAGGCUAUUAAUAAGUGUGUUCAGAAAUUUUUUAGGUAUUUUGUUGUUAAUGUCCCCAGUGAUUGGGUUGGCAUGGGCCAACUAUUGGUACAACACCUGCUAUCAACGUUUGCAGACCUGACCCCUUUUCAGGCUUUGUGUGGCCGUGAACCUCCUUACAAUAGCACAUUACUUCAUGAUAAGUACUUCUAGUUGAAAGUCAAGAGGGAGGGGGUGAAUUAAAAUCUCCUUCAAUUGACCUACCUUGCGCAACUAAUCGAGCCUUGUUUCUUAUCACUCCACCACAAUCAAUGAGUUUUUCUGUACACCCAUUUGAUUUCAUUAAUAGAAUUCUUUUCAGGUUUAGGAACCAAAGUACAUACCUAGUUUUUUGUCAAAUUGAUUCAGUUCUUCUUUCAUAUCCUUAAUGUAAUGUUCAUUUGUGACAACUUUAUUUAUCUUCUUAGGUUCUAACUUAGAGAUGAGAGUAACAUUUGCUUAAUUUCUUCUCGAUGCUCUAGUCUUCAUUCCUUCACUGAUCUCUGAUGAUGACCUUUCGUUUGGAAAUGUUUCAUUAAUUUGUUUUAUAAUAAGUUUCUUCAACAAUCGAUUCUUCUAAGCAGCUUAUUUCCUUUUGGGUUGAUACUAUCAUUCGAUUUUCUUCUUCAUUUAUAUUGGGUCUAAUCUCAAUAUUUUUAUUGGAUUCAUUAAACAAAAAUGGAUUCUUCAUUGUUUAAGAUUCAUUUAUUAAAGAUCUAGAAGAUAUGCUAGAAUUUUAAUAUUACUUCGUGUAUCAAACUUACCAAUGUUUUGAACAAAAUACUAGCAUCAAAAUGGAUGAAAGUAUCCCAUGUUGCGUAAUCUACAAUUCCAUAAUUCGUAUGGAUUUUUCUUCAAAAUCGGUUUUAUAAGACAACGAUUCGAUACAUGACAAGUUGUACUUAUAACCGCUUCUUCCCAAAACUUAGGUGGGAAAGAAUGUUCAAUAAUUAUAGUUCUUGCGGUACUUGUAGAUUCUAUUCUUCCGUUCUACAACCACAUUCGACUAGGGAGAUUAGAAUUUGUGAGACUACCAUUUUUCAUUACAGAAAAAUUUUCAAACAACUUAUUUUGAAAUUCUCCUCUAUGAUCACUUCUUAUUGGUGUAAUGUAGUACGCUUUGUCUCGUUGAACUUUGUCACAAAGAACUCAAAGUUUUUUAGAGUUUCAUCUUUAUGAGCUAAAAAUAUUACCAUAGUAAAAUGAGAAUAAUCAUCUAAAUUACAAAUGCGUACCUUUUUCCUCAAAUGUUUGUUGUUCUAGUAGGUCCAAAUAAAUCUACAUGUAGUAGUUGUAGAUGUUUAUUAGUGGAAACCAUACCUUUACCACAAAAUGAGUAUCUAGUUGCUUACCCUUUUUACAUGCACACAAAUAUGUUCGUUUGCGUAGUCCAACUUAGGUAGUCAAGUGAAUAGUUCAUUCUUUGCAAGUUUUUCUAUCUGUCGCACACUUGCAUGUUCUUAUGCCAAAUCAAGGGAUUAUCAGUCAUUUAAGCUAGGCGUAUAUGUUCUCCGGUACUUUUUACUGAGUCAAGGAUGUAAACAUUCUUCUCUCCGCUUCCUUAUAAGAGUUUGUUUUUAGAGAUAUCUUCUAUUAUGCAUUGAUUUUUUUGAAAACAAACUUCCAUGUCCGAGUCUCACAGUUGACGGAUGCUUAGAAGAUUAUAGUUUAGUCCAGCCACUAGAUAUACAAUUAUGAGAUCACAAGAUUCAUUGAAAGAGAUUAUACUACUACCAAUUAAUGAUCUUCUUGAUUUGUUACCAAAUCGAAUGUUUCCUAUUUUAUAUUCAACAACAUAUUUAAAUAGGUUCUUAUCUCAUGUUAUUAGAUUUGAACAUCCACUGUCCAAAUACCAUUUUCCUUUUUUUUCUGCGGAUUUUUUGUCAAAUAAAGAAAUAAUCUUCUCUUAGGCAGGUUAUUUGAGGUUAGAAUGAUCAUGAUUUCUCUUUGGUUUCAAACCUAAUUACAAGUAUCAUGAUUAUGAAAUAUGCUAUUAAAACACAAGUGCCUAGACAUUUCACAGAAUUACAAUUUUAAGGAAUGUGUUCUUAUGAGAUGGAGUUGCUACUAUUAGUUUUUGACCCAGUCCACUAAUAGGAUAAGUGUGAUUGAUCAUUGCAACUAAAUUAGCUUCCAUUUGAGGAGUUUUUACAUCCAAAACCUUCUUGUCUUUAAAUGAGUUAUUAGAUGAAUCAGAUUGGUUUGGAAAAUUUUCAAGCAUGGUUUUUAAUUCAUGAAUCUCUUCAUGCAACAGAUCAUUUUCACCUUCAAUGAGUUCUAAUUUUAUUUCCAAAUUUCUUUUUUUAGUUUGAAGGUUUUUAAAAUUACUAAAGACUUGAUUUAUAUCAGAGACAGAACAAUCUAACAAUUUUUUUACUUAAUGUAUUCGUUACAUACCUUAGUGCUCGAUUCUCCAAUUACCAUGAAGCAAAUAUUUCCAAUUUAUUUAUUCUCAUUUUACCUCCUACCCUCCCAAGUUUCCACUUGUUUAAUUAUAUGGUUGUGAUGUUGAUGAUCUUCUUAGUUUUUUUCUAUGAUUUGUGUGUAAAGUUAAUGAUCUCUCUUAAUUUAGUCUUAUGCUACUAAUCAUAUCUUGCACGUUUUAUCCUAUGCAGACAUAAGAUAUACAUAUGCACACCAUCCGCCUAUGUUGGAUUUCCGUGGGCAAGAUAUUGCUUCUGAGUUUGAUAGGAUUCCAGAUUUGAUUUAUUAGAUGGUAGCUAUGAUGGAUUAUGUCAAGUAUAGAAUGGUAUUGAAAUGUUUGGUAUUGAUAGAUUAAGUUCGGUACAAAACUUAAUGAGCAUUGAGAACAUGUAAAGUGUUCGUGAACCCAUGCACCCUCCAAAGAUUAUAUAAGUACUUGUGAACCAACUUAUGCACCCUUCCCUAAAUUAUGUAGAAAGUAUUGCAAAUAUUCUGAUAAAUUACAUAAAUUUUAUGUGGAAAUCGGACUAAAAUUUGAAAUAUUCAUCCCCAAAUUUUGUUUUGAAUGAGAUUGAUAAAUAAAUCGAUACAAAAAGUCAAUUGUAGUCUACUGAUGCACAUCAAUAAAUAUUCUUUUGUAGAAUUAUAUUAUUUAUAUACAUAUUUUUAAAAUUAAUCUGACAAUAUCCAUUAUCACUUAACUUUAUGUUCAAAUAAGGUUGAAUGAUACAUUUGAUUGAAUGUUAUAUAAGUCAUUAUCCAAAACAACAUGGAUCAACUACCACUUGAAAUUCUAAUUUUUCUCCUUUAUUUUUGAGAUCACAAGUAUUUUAAAUAUGUUCACUGGUCUUGAAAUUGAUAGAAAUCUUAGUUAUAGUAAAUAAUUUAUAGGUAUUCCUAAUUUUCACAUUUAGGUAUUAAGGUUCUAAUUAACUUUGCAUAUAUAUGACAUAGAAGUAUUGGUUUUUUUUUUAAAUUUGGAUUUCUCAUCAUUUUUCUAUAUUAAAAGGUCUCAUUUCAAUAAUUUGCACCUCUUCAGUCUCAUAGCCUGUUUUUUUAAUAAUCUCCAUAGUUUUAAUUCAUUUUUAUUUACAACCCUCAAAAUUCAAUGUGUAAACUUCUGAUAAUUGUGUUCUUUCAUGUACCCCUAUAUAAAUGUAAAUAUGUAAAGCAAGUUUUUGAACUAAAUAGUGAGGUAUAAUCGUUGACAUUUGUCAUACGAAAAGAUUAUCUGUUGUCCAUAUUGACUUUUCUUGCUUUUUAUGAUGCCUAAAUAGAGUAGAAAAUUUCCAUAUCAUUAUACUGACGUGGCUUUAUAAUCACAUUUAAGAAAAAUAAUUUUGAUACUAUUUUCAUUAUUGUGUAAUAAUAGUUUUUUUACGCUAUGAGUAAUUAGUGUAAUAUAUUUUACGAGCAUUAAUUUUGAAAUAGUUCAUCAAGUUGAUACCAUAUGAAAGGUUUUGUGCACUAUUAUUAUCACCUUUUUCAACUUUUCUAUGUGAUAUAAAAUUUAUUCUAAUUUUAGGGGUUACAUAUUUUAAAAACAAUAGGUUGAUUGUUCAUAUAUUUCAAACUGUAUAUUUUUUUGUUUAAUAUUUUGUAAUACUUUGUAACACCCCGUAUCCAAAUCUAACUACAAAAAUCAAUUUCUUAGAAAAAAACUGCAAGUGCAAUCGACGGACCAUAGGCUGAACCACGGUCCGUCCUGCACAUCUGUCGAUUGAGUCAGAAACCCCCAAAAACUCAGCCCAAAAAAAUUUGACUAAGUGUCGAACGACGGACGGACCUACGGUGCGUAGGUCAGACUAUGAUCCAUAAUUUGUGCCCGUCGAUCAACACCCCAUUUAUCCACUCUCUGAAAUGAACCACGAUUUACCAGCAAAAACCAUCGUUCGAUCUACGGUCCGUAGGUCUAACCAUAGGUAGAAAUUAACAUACAGUUAGGUGGAAAUAAGUUGGGUCAACUUCAACUGAUCAUAACUCUUAGGAAAAAAUGAAUUAGGUGUCCCAUUAUAUACCAACAGAUAGAUAAUUGAAUUAGCUUUCUAUAGCCACUGACUUUACUAAAACUAGAGCUCUGAGUAAAGAGUUAUGCCAGUUUUAAUAAAGACUUUUCGAACAGACCCAACAUACGGACUCAAACAACGGAUCGUUGAUUGAACGAGGGACCGUCAGUCCAGGUCGUUGUUUGACCGUCAGUCCAGGUCGUUGUUUUUUUUCUCUUUUUAUUAUUUUAAUAAAUUUCCACUUUAUUAUUCAAUUAAUGUUAUAAAAAAAAGAUGUUACUUCACUUAUUUACCAGAUAGUACCCACGUGGUACGAAGUGUUCAUAUUUUGUCCCAAAUGUUGUUUUAACUUUUUUUUUAAAAGUAAAGUCGAGGAAUAUCAAAAACAACAUCUUAAUCGCAGAUAAAUAUAAGAUUUGCAUUUAAUUAUUUCAAAAACUCAUUUAGUUAAUUUUAUAGAAUAUGUUAUUAUUAUUGUGAUAAAUACUCUUUUUUAUUUUUAUGAUCAUAUGAUAUUUUGAAUAUUGACCAACUAUAUGACAUUAUAUUCUAUGGGUUGGACUAUUUAAGAGGAAAACAUUAUGUGCAUGUAUUUUUUUGAUUUAGCGUUCAUAUGAGUAAUUAUUAAUUAAGAACGGAGGAUUUGGAUCUAUUUACUAGACUUUUGGUAAUCAAAUUUUUACUAAUGUUGAAGUUAUAUCGAUUUUGUUGCAAAGAGAUAUGGUGGAAACUGUAUAUAAUGUCAUUAAUGAAAUAAUAGAGGCCCGAGAUAAAUUUAUUAGAAAUAUAAAUCUCAAUUACAUAUUAUGCAUACUAUAACAAAAAGAUUCUAAAAUAUGUACCAAAUAAAUGACUUAUUCUUUUAUGAAGCACCUAAAAUCGAAGUUUAACAAUAAUACGAUAAGAUUGUUUUGAGAAUGUAAUUAUUUGUGAAUAAGUCCAUAGGUCUACAUAUGAGUAUAUUUUAUUGUAUUUAUAUAUAAUAUAGCACUAUUUGUGUUAACUUUUGAUGAUAUGAUAUUUAAAAAUUCAUUACUCUAUUUGAAUAGUAAAUACAAUUAAUAUCUUUUAGUUUUCAAAUAUUAUUUAUGAUAAACAUUAUAAUAAAUUAAAAAAAUAAGAAAAAAAACACAAUUCAAUAAUAACAUUAAAUAUGUUUGUGAUGAGUCAUGUAUAAUUUGAAGGAACAAAAUUACAAAUUCAAACUCAAGAGAAAAUUAUAAAGAUUUGGAAUAAAAUAUCUAAAGACAUAAAAAUAUUAAAAUAUGUUCUCUAACUGAAUUCUUCAUCUUCAAUAAUUAACUGAAAAAUAAACAAUCCGUCAAAAAUAAAAUAGGAGAAGGAAAGACUCUUACAAUUAAAAAUGAUGAGUUUUAUAAUCUAAAAGCCUAUAUGUGAAAAAUGAGAAAAAAAAUAUUACGUCAAAAAUUAAAUAGGAGAAGGAAAGACUCUUAGAAUUGAUAAUGAUGAGUUAUAUAAUCUAAAAGCCUAUAUGUGAAAAAUGAGAACAAAAAUUUUUUUUUUUUUUUUGUGUGUGUGUGCAUGCGCGUGCGCGUGAGCGUGUGCGUGUGCGUGUGUGUGCGCGCGCGUGCCUGACAUUUUGCUUGUGGAAUCUUAUAAAAUUUCUUAUAUUCUUUGCUUACUAAGAAGCUUCCCAUAUUUCAAAUGUCUUUGAGAUGCAGGUUUGUAGUGCUUUGACAUUUUUUAAUUUUAUUUAGUGAUUAUUUGUUGUACUUCUUUUAUCUUCAAUAAUCUGAUAGUUGUUGUCUUUCUUAGGUUAUUGAUGAAGAUGAUAGUGAUACUGAUGAAGAUAAGGAAUCUUUUCAACGUGAAACUUUGACAGACCUUACAUUUAAUCACCUUGUGAAAUUUCAGCUUGAAAGCUUUAUAGGAGGUACAUCCGAAAUGUUGUUUAUCAAGCAUUUCUUAGCCAACUCUCCAGUGUUAGAGAUAUUGGUAAUCAAUCGACAGUUUCUAGAUGAGGAGACUCUCGACACAAGAGAAGAAAUAUUCACCGAGAUCUCAAAUUUUUCGCGUGCAUCACCUUAAGCAGAAAUCGUCUACAAAGAUUUUAGCUAAUCUUGAUCUUUGGCUUAGAAGAAUCAAAUUGACAUGCGAGAAAGACACAUUUAUGUGAUAUUAUAACUCUCUGUUUUACCUUGCUAUAACGUCUAUUUCGAAAAGUGAACAUUGCUUGGAUGGAUAUUUUGAUUAUGUUCUCAUUACAUUUAAGGAUUUCUACAUUUACUGUCUGUUCAUGAAUGAGUUAUAUAUCCAGGAGUGCUUUGGUUUUUUCAGUUUUUUGGAGGGACUGAGAAACUGAAUCAAUCUCAAAAUUUACUUAAUCAAACAAAAAAUGAUUUGUUGAUACACCCUUUUAUAGGAAAAACAUUAUCUGCACCGUGUGUUUUAUAUCAAAUCAAUAAAUAUAGUAGAAUGAGGGAAGACUUUACCCACAAGCCUUUGUUCAUAGGUGUAAAUUUCGAGUAGCAAACUAUUAAGCAAAUAGUCUGACAUUGUUGGGGGAUUUUAGAGCAUUGGAAUAGUACUCACGAGUUAAUUUCUUGGAUGAUCGCUAAAUUUUUUAGUAUAUUUUGUUAUUUGUUAAAGUUAUUUUGUUUCUCUUUUGAGGCAAAGUUUAAAUAUCAAAUCGUAUUCGAUUCCUCAUUUUCUAAUAAAUGUAUAAGAAUUAUCUAUUUGAGAUAUGGUAAUUAAUUGGAGGACAACACAAAAUAAUUUUAAAAGUAUUUGGUCUUUCAAAAGGAUUUUUCAAAAACUAAUUCAUUCUGCUAAUUAUCAUGCACUUUCUGUUUACAUAAUAAUAAUAAUUAGAUAUAUAGUUUUAAAUUCAUUCCAUUAUCUUUUCCUAUUUAGCCAUCAUCUUUUCUUUGUUACACAUAUUCUUAAUAUGGUUAUUAAUAAACAAUACAUGCCUUAAUAAACAAAACCUACUGACCUAUUUAUCCAUCAAGAAAACUACUAGUAUACAUAUAUAUGGGCACGUACAUUGCACGUUUACUUCAAAACGAUAAAUAUGAACUAUUAAAAAAUAACAUAAUUUUUAAACAAAUAAUAUUUGAGUUACAAUAAAAAUAUGAAAAGUAAAAUAAUAAAUAUUUUUAAUGUAUAAACUUAUUAAUAAAAGGGCAAUGCGCGAUUUAAAUGUUUCAAAAAAUGUUUAUAGUGUAUAGUUAAUUUAUAGAAGAUUUAUUUUUUUCAUUUAGUCCUCCCCUUAUUAUAAUUUCGAUAUAUAAAUUUUAUAUUUGUUUUAAAUGAAAAAAUAAAGUAGCAAAAACAAAAAUGGAGACACACUAUGUUAUGAUUAACUUUCUUAAAUGUUUUUUUUUGUCUCAUAGAAAGAGUAAAAAUAUUGAAGUUCUUCCUUAAAAUGUCUCUCUUGUCUCAUAGAAUAGAAUGAAAGUGUUGACAUUAAAUUAAUAAUUUCACAUGAUAUACAUUUCAAUAAGAUAAAAUGUUUGACAUUAAUUAGUAAAAGAUGAAAUUCUCCUUCUCAUUAAGUAAAAUGCAAUUAAUUAAUUUAAACUUAUAAAUAAGAAAACUUAUUAGAAGGAAAUAACUAAAGAUUUAAAGUUCAAUGAUUGAUAUUUAAAGUAUGCAAUUAUAUAAAUAACAGUUAAUAUUUAAUUAAAUAAGUCAGUUUUUAAUUUAGUGGAGAGCCAAAAUGACAAUUUUAAUAUUUUUACAAUUAAAAGUUCUUUAUUAAUAUAUUUUACAUUUUUUUGUUAAAAAUUUAAUAGGACCAAUAUUUGGUCGAAUGACAAAAAAUCUUCUAACUUCUUAAGCAUUUUGAUGUAUCAUUUUUUUGACAUUGGGAUUUUAAUCUCACGAUAAUUUUAAUAAAAAUUGUCUAAAAAAUAUAGAUUUUAUCCACAAGUACAUGUAAUAAUAAUUCUUUACGGAUAUUUAAAUUUAAGAUGCAAAAACGUAAUUAUUAAUAAUUUAAAAUUCGAAUAAUAUUGGCAUUAAUUGUUUUACUUGUCUUGUACACUAUUUUUAUGAUUGUAUUGUCUUAUUUUCUAAAGCAAAAAAAAAAAUACACAUUCAAUCAACGGAAAAGGGCCUAAAAUGCCCUUAAAGUAUUAAAAAUGGUACAAAAUUACUCUCCAUCCACCUAUUGGCUCCAAAAUAUCCUUCACACCCACCUAUUGGCUCCAAAAUACCCUUGUCAUCCACCUUUGAGUUCAAAAUUGAUAACUUAUUUAACGGUUUUAAAUUUAAACUAUUUAAAUAUUUUUUUAAAUACAUGGCGCUCAACUAUUUGUUAUAAUUAACUUAUUAGUAUAAUUUAUAAAAUAUAUCCACUACCCACCCGUUACUAAUUAAACCCCUCCAAAUUAAUAAACCAGUCAUAUAACUAAUGCAACAACAAGAAAGAUACUGCCAAUGAGUGUACUUACAAAUUUGAAGAGAAAAUAUGUAUAGAAGUAAAUUAUCAUACAUUCAAGUGUCUAAAUAAAAAUUAUCGAUAAACUUAAAACUCUGACUAUGUUCAUCUUAAUUAUUCUUUCAUAUCAAUUAUGUGAUGUUACUUCAUAGAUAACUUUUUUUUUCAAAAUAAUAUAUUAAUGGUUUUAAAAAUAUCAUAAAUAUUUAUAAAAUUAUAUUUAAAAACGUGCAUGAAUUAAUUCGGGAUGUACUACUUUACUUUUAAUCAUAAAUUUAUAAUUUAAACUUGAAAGAGAAUCCUAUUGAAAGUGUCCUCUUAAAUAAGCGGCUCAACCUAAAUUUAAUUGGAGUUUUGAUUCUGACUCGAAUAAUUUUGGAUGUCAUAUUUAGGAAUCUAUAAUUUCAUCGUGUUUUAGUAGUGUUUAUGACAAUUUUGAUAUUAUAAUUGGUGUAUUAAUUGGGUGGUGUUUAGAUAGUAAUGAUUGGAUAGUGGGUUGGUUUAUAAAUUAUAUAAAUAAAUUAAAUUAUAACCAAUAGUUGAGAGCGAAAUAUUUUAAAAAAUAUUUUAACAGUUUAAGUUUAAAAUAAUUAAAUAAGUGGUCAAUUUUGAACCCAAAGGUGGAUGACAAGAGUAUUUUUGAGCUAAUAGGUGGAUGAGAAGGGCAUUUUGGAGCCAAUAGAUGGAUGGAGGGUAAUUUUGUACUAUUUUCAAUACUUCAAGGGUAUUUUAGACCCUUUUCCGUUCAAUCAAAUAUAUUCUUAAACGAAAUUAAAAAUAUAAAUAAAAAGUAUCAUAUAUAGGAGCAAGUUUAGCAUAAGGCUACCAACGAAAAAUAGAAUAAUUCUAGGACAAUCAUUUUUUUUAUAAUGCAAUUGAAACAAAGUUACAGUAAUAAACAUUCAACCUUGACAAAAAAAAAAUUAAAAUCUUUGAAGAUAAGUUAAUGGAAAUGAUAUUCCACUACACAAAUGGAGUGGCCUUAUCAUAGUUAUGAUCUCGACAAAUAAGUAAACAAAAAAACAAAUACAUCAAGCUUUAAUAUUUUAGUAAUUGGAGUGUUAUCCAUCCCGUAAUCAUAUUAUGGAUUGUAAUCUUGACACAAAUCCUCUUGUCUUGAUAUUUUCUUAACUUUAUUAAAGUUUCUUUAGUCUUCCACAUACAAAAAUUAUAUCUCAUAUAAAUCUUUCAAUAGUAUUAUAUAAAUCUUUCUAUGAAAAUACUAUUGAAAGAUUUGUACUUAUAUAGCAUAUAUAUGAGGAUUCACUUACAAAGUUGAAAGGUCGAGUGUUACAAAAAUUAAAGACAAAUAUUUAUUAAGAAUAUAAAUUAGUUUGGACGAUGAAACACAUACAUAUAUCUAUUUAAAGGGAUAACUGUUAUUUUUAUUUUUAUUUUUCUAUUUAAUAUACUCACAUGUAUACCGACAAAAAAUAUUACAGAAAAUCUACUAUUUACUAUUUAAUUAAUUAAAUAUUUUAAUAACAUUUGAAUUUAGAAUAAGGGUAAAAUGAUAAUUCAACUUUUCUACCUUGGAAUUUUCUUCACUUGAUUAAAGCUACUCUAGUCUUCCACACACAAAAAUUAUAUUACAUAUAAAUCUUUCUAUGAAAAUACUAAUUGAAAAACUUGUAUAUAUAGGAAAAAAUAUAGCUUUGGAAUAUGAAGAUUCUUUUAUGAAUACAACAAAGUAAAGAAAAAUAUUUUUUAAAAACAUAACUUAAUUUGGAAGAUAAUACACAUAUAUCUAUCUAUUUAAAGAAAUAACUUUUUUUUUAUUUUUUUCUAUUUAAUUUACUCACAUGUAUACCAACUAAAAAUAUUAUAGAAAUUCUACUAUUUACUGUUCAAUUAAUUACAUGUUUAAUAACAUCUGAAUUUAGCAUAAGAGUAAAAUGAUAAUUCAACUUUUUACUUUGGAUAUCUCCACUUAUAAUAAUAUAUGAUAUAUGAUAUGUUCAAUAAACCAAUCAAUUGUGCCUCAAUCCGAACCUAGUUGAAUGUACUUGAUAUAUGAUCUAUAUAUAAGAUCUAAUGAGUGAUAAAUAUUGAUUUUGUGUUACCUGAUAUAUGAUCAAUAUUGUUCACUCAAUCAAUCAACUAUGCCUCAAUUUGAACCUAGUUAUAUUUACUGAUAAUGUUUUAGGAUUAUUCUGUCUACUUUGCAGAAUUAUGAUGAUUUUUGCUGAUUUUCGAUUAAUUUAGAUCUUUGAGGUUCGAUACAUGUUAGUUCUUAAUAAUAAAUUACUUCUUUGAUAUUAUUAAUUUUGAGUAUGAUGUUCUUUUCCUCUUCUUUCGUAUUGGAUUUGAUAUUUUUGCAUAUCUGGUUGCAGGGUUCUACUAAAGGAGUGUAAUCCUGUGUUUGAGUUGCGUUCUACGACUUGGUUGUGCUUGAUUGAUAUCGUCUCGAGAUGGAAAGAAAAGUUUUAGCUUUAGCUGAUUCUAGAAUCAUACCAGCUUCCAUGAACGAAGAGGACUCAAUCUGAUUUCUUAUUUACUAUUGAAAAUUGGUCGAACUGUGUAAAAGACUUGCUUUGUUUUUUUAAUACUAGUUUCUCAUAACGUACGUUGCAUGUUUGUUCCUUGCUAUUAUUAUAAUUUUUUAUUUAUUUAAAAGUGAGUUAGAAGAUAGAAAAUAUUGAAAUUAACAAUAUUAUUAUUACUAUUUAUUUUUUGUUCAUAAAAUAAAAUAGUGCAUUUGUUAUCAAAUUGGAACUAAUUAAGAGGAUAUAUGAGUAUGUCGAUGAAUUUCUGAUUGUAAAAUAAUAAUAAUAAAUGUAUAACUGGAAAGGUUGGAUCUACUAGAUGUCUUGAUUUUGAGCACCAAUUUAAGCGGAGAACUUUUUGAUAUAAAAUUUUACUCCCUCAAUAAGUAUACUCAACACGAAUUUUGAUUAGUGGGAUUAAUAGGAAUCAAAGACCAGAUUAUUAAAUAACAAUCGCACUUCAAUUCUAGAAAAAUUGAAAUCUAUUAUAUUAUAUUAUUGUGGUUGUUAUAGAUGUUGGACUCAAGUAGUAAACUUGACAUUGAAUAAAGCCUAGACCCAAAAAGUCAACCAACAUCCGUGCCACAAGACAGUGUCAUGUAGGUUGAAAAGGGAUAAAAAAAACUAUUAAUAAAAUAAGUUCCGGGGUAAUAGGACCUUAUUAUAGUAUAAGUGUUUCUCUGAGAUUUCGGACAUAGAUUGAGGGGUACUUGUGCAUUAUUCCACAAAAAAUCAAACACGAAAUUGUGCAAGAGUCCAAAUUGAAGUGAAUUUGGCUGCAAACCUACCCAACGAGUAAAGAUUAAUGAAGAAGAUGAUAUUAUAGGAGAAAUAAAAUCCAAGCUGAAUAAAGUUCAAUAUGAUUACAUGCUCAAACUUGACUUUUGGGGAUGAUAUGAUCAUACCGUGCAAGACGGAAGUUGGAACAAUGAAAAUGAUUAGUGAGGGGCCUAACUACUAGAAAACAUGUCUGUUGCAGCACAAGAAUAAUUAUUGUCAUAGACUCAAAGAGUGUUGCAAUUGAGUUAUGGCAACGAAAACUAGCGUGUUGCAUAUAAGGCUGUUGUGAUAUAUCAGUAGUAUCGGUUUACUAGCAACAAUUGAAAGUCGUUGACACAGACCAUCUGUAGCAACAUUUAUUCUUUAGUCUAGGACAAAACUUUUCUGCAGCUAUUGCAACAGUUGUCGAACCGUUGCAAAAGAGUUUAUAGCGACGGUGAUAAACCGUUGCCACACACUGUCCAGAACAACAAUUAUUUUUUAGUUUAGGACGACACUUUUCUGCGGUUGUUGCAACAGUUGUGAUCCAUUGCAAAAGGUUAUAUAGCAACAACUGUGAACAUUUACAACACACCAUCUAUAGCAACGAUUAUUUUUUAUUCUAGGACGACACUUUUCUACAGUUUCUGCACAUGUUGCAAAUCGUUGCAAACAACCUAUUACAACGGUUCUUCUUAACUAUUGCAAUGAGGUUAUUAAUGUUUUAUUUUUAAAAUAUACUAUUUGAUUAAAAAUGGUGUGAAGAUGACUAAGUUUCAGAAAAUCAAUUAGUCUUAUUAUUAUAGAAAAAUCGACUUUCCAAAUUACAGACUCGCCACUUUAUUUAUGAUAAAAUCAAGAAAAAUUUUCAAAAGAUUUAAAAAUAGAUUAAAUCAAUUGAAAAUGGUUCGAAGUUCAAUAUACAUCCCGAGAAGGUGUUAGGCCCUCGGAAUGCCAACUAACUUGCGAUUGACCGGCGAUUUGACUAAAAUGACCUUUUAAAUUUUAAUUGAGUAAAUAAUUCAUUUUGAUGUAUUUUAUUCAAUUUUUUAUUCCUUAGUAUUUCUAAAGGAAAACAUUUAAAAGAAAUUAACUGAAGGAAAACUAAAUGGUGAUAAAAGUAAAUAAAACAAAAUAAGUAAAUAAAAUAGUAAAAUUUAAAAUGAUGAAAAAAAUGGCUGCCCUUUAGGAGAUUAUUAAAAUUCUACCAAAAUAUUAAUUAAUUCAAACAAAUAAAUAAACAGAGAAAAAUAUUUGAACUUGGGCUUGAUUGCCCAAAUUCAUUCACUUGGGAUUUGGCACACCUGUCCUAAACUAAUUUCAAAAUGUGGGUUUUGGCCCUUUUUUAACAAUUUAAAAUCCUGCGGAAAACAUUUAUGGCCUUUUGGGCCUAUCAAAAUUGUUGCUGAAAAGGGCCCUGGCCCAUUUCUUCAAAAAGAAGUUAAAGUAUACAAAUGGUGUAUACUAUAUAUAUUCAAUUUGUAUUGGACUUUUUGAACCCUGCACUUGUUCGAAUACGUGUUUCUCACUAUUCAUCCUGUAUUUCCCAUAUUAAUUUGGCGUAUUUGUACCUGUACCAUUUCUAAACCUGCUUAACAAUUGUAUAUUGUUGCCCAAAAGAUGUAUACCAAUGUAUAUGGGCUGAAUCCUAUGCAUGUAUUCAUUGCCUAUUCCCUUAUUUUAUCUGAAAUUGGUGUCCCUGUAUGUUAACAUGCAAUUCACAAUUUAUUACACAUAUUUAAGGUAUAGCGUCUAUGUAUAUCAGUGUAUACAGGAUGUAUAUCAGCCUAUUUAUUCAACUUUCGAAAGUUCAAAUCUCCUUUUCAGCAGUGUAUCUGGACUUCUACAAACCCAUAUUUUGAAUUUGGAUCCACCUGUGUAUUUUAUACCUGUAUAUCAUGGUAUAACAUGUGUAUAUAGCUGGUAUACAGAUUUCUUCAACACCAGCAAACUAUAAUUUUCCAGCAGCAUCUGUUGGUUUUUCCGACCUGUACAUCCUUUCAGGAGGUUGAUUGACUCGGUAAGGGUGUUUUGAGCCUUCAUGGCUCAACGAGGAAUGCAAAUAGAGGAGUUCAUGAUGAACUCGGGUUGAUUUCACAUGCAACAAACGAGAAGAAGAAACUUUAGAACAAUAUCGAGGAAAUAACACAAAAAAUAGAAACUAAAAGGGAGAUCAUUACUAUUCUCGCAAACUACAAAUACAUAAAAUCAAGCUAAAAUAAAUUGCAUGAUAGUUACCAUAGCUCAAUAUCAUAAAGACUAAUAAAAACAUAAUUCAAGACACUCUUUGCACAUACACAAGAGCACCAUAAUCUUAAGGAAUAAGACUUGAGACAAAACCAAACAACUAAGCUAGAAGGUCACUUCUUGAAUAACAUAGAAAGUGUAGGCAAAGAAGUGAUUAUACUUACUCAAAAAAACACAUGAUAUUCAAGCAAACCAACAUUUAAGGAGGCAAUAAAGUAGGGACUUUACACUGCUGCUUGUCAAGGAUACUACCUACUAAUUGGAAGGAAAAUUUAAGCAAAACUAUGCUUAUGGCAGCCACUGUUAAUGGAAGUUCAAGAAUGGAAAUAAACGGGUGCACUGCCCCUUUAGGAAUUCUCUCCGAUUUUUAACAAGGAAGGAGACCCAUGGAUCGACAUAAGCAGCCAUGGGAUGCAAUACAUAAAAACAGAAGAUACACAUUUUAACUAUGACGGAGUAGAACCAACCUUUAAGAUAACAAACUUUCGAAGAAAAAAAAACACAACGAUUAUAGGCAAAAAUUCAGAGAAAAUUGAAGCCUCAUAUGCAUUUCGAGCCAUAUUCUUAAAUCCAUCACUAUGAACAGGAGGAAAACAUGCUUGAAAGAUUUCAAAAUCAAUCCAACAAUAACAGACCGUAUUUGAAUCAUAUAAACAAAAUCGACAAACCUCUCUUCUCAGCCAAAGAUCAAAAUUGUGAUCCAAAUAAAUCUCGAGAAUAGCCAAACCCACUUCACAUACAAGUCUGAUAAGAUUCAGAUUUAGAGCAAAUAUCACAGAAAUACAAGAUACCAGGUUAAUAAGUUUUGAAGAGUUCUAUGAAGAAAACAUUUCAGUCAAACGUGGAAAAAAUUAAUUGAUUCUUCUCGUGAUGCAUAAAUUCCAGUGAGGUAUGAUUUUUCCGUGAUGUAUGAUUUUCAACGAGGCAUGGAUUCUUCCCGUGAUGCAUAAAUUCAACCGAGGUAUGAUUUUUCCGUGAUGCAUGAUUUUCCGCGAUACAUGAUUUUUCGCGAUGCAAACUCUGGUGAUCUCUGCAACGAUCUAGCUAGCUCAAUAAUUAUCCAACUGUAACGAGGUGAAUGCUCGAUAAUAUUUCAUCUAUAACGAGGCAGAUAGCUCGAUAAUAUUCCAUUUGUAACAAGGUCGAUGACUCGAUAAUAGUCCAACAUUAACGAGAUGGAUGCUCGAUAAUAUUUAAUCUAUAACGAGGUGGAUAUCUCGAUAAUAUUCCAUCUGUAACGAGAUGGAUGGCUCGAUAAUAGUCCAAUUGUAACGAGGUGGAUGACUCGAUAAUAGUCCAACUGUAACGAGGUGGAUGACUUGAUACUAUUUCAACUGUAACGAGGUGGAUGGCUCGAUAAUAUUUCAACUGUAACGAGAUGGAUGACUCGAUAAUAUUCGAACUGUAACGAGGUGGAUGUGGAUAACAUUCCAUCUGCAAUGAGGUGGGUGGCUUGAUAAUAGUCCAUCUGUAACGAGGUGGAUGGCUCGAUAAUUGUCCAACUGUAAAGAGGUGGAUGACUCGACAAUAUUCCAACUGUAACGAGGUGGCUGGCUCGAUAAUAUUCCAACUUUAAUGAGGUGGAUGGCUCGAUAAUAUUCCAACUGUAACUAGGUGGAUGGCUCGAUAAUAGUCCAACUGUAACGAGGUGGAUGGCUCGAUAAUAGUCCAACUAUAACGAGUUGGAUGGCUCGAUAAUAUUCCAACUGUAACGAGGUGGAUGGCUCGAUAAUAUUCCAACUGUAACGAGGUGGAUGACUCGAUAAUAUUCCAAUUGUAACGAGGUGGAUGACUCGAUAAUAUUUCAACUGUAACGAGGUGGAUGACUCGAUAAUAUUCCACCUGUAGCGAGGUGGAUGACUCGAUAAUAUUCCUUCAAGAUAAAAAGAAACUUGUUUAUAAAUCACUCGAGGAAAUAUAAAGAACUAGAGAUAAAAUGAGAUUGAAGAUUUUCUAGGUUUCGUUGAUGAGUCCACGAUGGGUGCAAGUGACGCCCUUUUGUCAUUCUUGACAGCUUUAUAUAGCCAUUUUGUGACUUUAAUGUUCUUGCAUCCAAAGAAAAACUCUUAGUUUGAAGGACUGAUCUGUGUUGGUCUUGUCUCCAUGCUCCUUCUUGCAGUUGGCUUACACGCUCGUCCGUCCUUUAUUUGACAUAUUUUAUGAAACUUUUCAGGACCCUCCACAAAAUUUUGUCCUGGUCUACAAUAUAUAAGAACUCUCAUAACUUGCUCUGUUAACUUUGAGGUUGCUCAUUCUGGAAUUUGAGGCUCCUCCUCAAAAAUAUUCCCAGUUUACUUCAAUAAGUAACAAAUGACAUUUGUGGAAUUUUUGAGAUCAUCUCAAAAAUUCUGUCACAGUUGCAAAACUAGAUUAUCAUAAUUUUUGAGAUCCAUCCAAGGCUAACUCCGUAGAAUUUUGGUCUUCUGUUCUGACUUGUUAAAGAAGUCCAACUUCAAAUGAAUUUUUGAGAUCCUCUAAAAAAUUCUGUCCCAGUUUCCACUAUAAAGAGAAAUGGAAAUCUUACUAGGUAUAUGACCGAGCCGUUGUGGCGCAUACAUAUCCUAUUAGGGCAGGAAUCAGGUCAAAUGUGAUUCCCCUCUAAAGGAUUAACAAAAAUAGAAAGUUUUGAUAAAGAAACGACCGAGGCCGACAUAGGCCGCCUACGUAUCUCAUUCUUGAGAAAUCAGGUCGAACGUAGUUCAAACAAGAAAUGUGUGAUAAAAUGGGGGGGGGGGGAAGGGGUUAAAUACAUUUCAAAAGAAAGGUAACAAAACUUCAUAUGCAAAAUUUGGCUAAUGUUGGGCAUUCUUCUUCUCGACCUUUGAUGAUGAAUAUCUUCAAAUGACUCAGUUCAGAAAUGUCUUGUACUCACUCUUGAGCAUCCAAUAUGUCAUCCAUUAAGGUGGUUUCCUCAAUAUUGAUCAAGUUGUUGAUGAUCAUGUUUUGUAUCUUGUGCUUCAGAGUUGAACAAUUAUCUGUGUCAUGUCCAACGGCUGCUGAAUGAUAAGAACAUCUGUGGUCAGCUUUGUAAAAUUUUCCCAAAAGUUUGGCUGGUCUUCCUUCUAUAGGAUAGAGCAUACCUUUGCUUUCAUCCUUUCAUAAAGUUGAGUUUUAGAUUCCCUUAAUGGUGUAAAUACUUUAGGAGCCUUCCUAAAUUUUGGGUGAGAAUUUUUUCUGAUUGACAUUAUGGUUUUGAUAUUCCCUUUGAGAAGCUGGCCUCAUACGGGUAGCCGUGACCAUACUUACCUCCUCCACUUUUCCUUUUGAUUUAUCCAUAUCACUAAUUCUGGUAGAUUUUCCAUUAGAUUGCAAUGUGGUAAGUUUGGUGAGCUUUCCAGUCUUGAAACCAUCUUCCAAAGCUUCUCCCACUUUGACAAUCUCGACAAAUUUUUGUCCCAUCAUACACAAUAUUUUUUCAUAGUACUCGGGCACUACAUUUCAGUGAUCUCACGUUCGUACAUUGGAGGUUGAACUCUUGCGGCCUCUUUUCUCCAACGAAGAGCGUACUCUCGAUAAUUUUCUGUAGACUUCUGUUUGAUCUUCUCCAAGUAGUAGCGAUCUGGGGAAUCUUCUAUGUUAUGUCCAAAUAUUUCCGUGAAAUCCUUUGCGAGUGCAUUCCAAUUUUUCCAUUGUUUCUGCUUUUGUGAUGUAAGCCACUCAGAGCUUCUCCACAUAGACUUCGAAUGAAGAGACACAUCAAUAAUGCUUCAUUUUUGCCAACUCCCACUAGUUGAUCACAAUAAACUUUCAGAUAAGCUAAAGGAUUUCCUGUUCCAUUAAAAGUGACAAACUUUGGCACUUUGAACCCUUCCGGGUGGUCGAGAUUCGGAUGGAUGCAUAAAUCCUUAUAGCUCAAUCCAUCGACUUCGAAAAUAUAGUGCAACUCCUUCAUGGCUUUCAUGAUCUCUUCUUUCAUAUUCAGCUUGACUACCUCUUCUUUUGACCUCCACUCUCUCUCCUAUUCCUUAUAGUGAUCAAGCUCGGAACAGUCGGCAUAAGGUUCAUUUGAAGUUGGGAUUUGGAAAGUAGGCUUUGGAGGUAUGGGUGGAACAAUGGAUGGAUUCUGGGUAUUUUGAGUGUCUUGAUAAUUUUGGGGCAAAGUUUGAGGAUCGGUAUUUUGGUUUUGAAGAUGGGGGAAGGUUUGAUCAUUAUUCGUAUUUUGGUUUUGAGGGAGAUGGAGGAUUUGAAGGUUAGUAUUUUGAGGAUGAUGUGGUGCUUGACACGAUGUGAUGGCGUGACGGGGAUUGGGGGUAGUUAAGUCAAUGGUUGGAGGAUUCUGAGCGGGGUUAGAGAGAAGGUUCUGAACCUGUUCCGUGCUUGAAAGUGGAGUGGAGGUCUUCCAUCUCUUGGAGGGUUGAAGGAUGAAAUUGGAUUAUACAAAUCUUGCAUUCUUUACAUUUCUACCCUCAUUUCGGCAAUCUAUUGCAUCAACUGCAUAAUCAAUUCAUUUUUAUCAGCGGCGGCGGGUUGAGCCACGAUAACAUCAUUCAUGUCAAUAUCAUCAUUGUUAUCUCCCAUUGUUGUCUUUUCUUUUUGCAAAUUUGAUUUGGGAAGGAAUCUUUAGGGGCCUUAGACCUUGUGAAAUACGGAUGAUCAACCAACUUAUCAAACACAGAUUAGUUUUAAAUACAUGACAAAUGAAAAACUCAAAAGACCAAUAUGUUAGUGCCUGGAGGUGGUAAAUAAUACAAAAUAUCACAUAUAGGUGUAAACACAUAAGAGUUGCUUUAUUCAGAGAUAAACUGACUCACAAAUAUAGAGAAACUAAUAGAGAAAAAUUGUUAAAUAAACAGAAACUUGUCUACUUGACUUUGGGAUUAGUGAAUAAAAAAUAUCGACUUGAGUCGAGAUAAAGAUGACGGUAUCUUUCAUUGCCGUACUUUGAUUUUUAAUUGAGAUGUAACUCUAAUUUCCUUGUAAGAGUUGGAAAAGAUAAAAUUUUUCAAAAUAGGGGCCGAAUGUAGAAAGGCUGCCUGCGUAUCUCACAAAAAGGAAUUCAGGUCCUACGUAGUUGGACCCACUUAAAAUUCUUUUGGUUUGAAAUGAUUAAUCUUUUUCUGAUAUGAGAAUAGUACUAAAGAAAAAUGAAGUUCAAUUUUUUUUGGGAAACUAAAGAUCCGAAGAGUAUUUGGACGCACUUUUGAUAAUGACUUGAUAUUUGUGCCUAGAGCUUUAAAACAAUUUUGAAGAAGUGUGAGCUAGAGUAUCUCCAGAUAAAACAACAUAUUCACAUAAGCAGUUAGAUGACAUAAACAAAUAUUGCGCGUUCUAAACAGAUAUGUGACCCUUUUGUGCCAAGGGUAAACUUAGCGAUUUGAGGGAUGUAUACGUCAUAUAAAUAUUUCAGUGCCCCAAAACUCAAAUUUAUACAAAUUUCAUGAAUAAAACUUAACGGGGAUACAUAAUAGGGAAAUGUAUACAAAAUAAUCAGUCCCACACAGGGGUACGACCCUAAACUAUGCCUCCACGAAAGAUCCUUCUUCUUUUCUUGACUCUUUGCAAUCUUUGGGUGCCAAUGUCUUUGGAUGGACCAGUAGCUUUUAAAGCUCUUAUAUAAACUAUAAUCUAAUCUUUACCCUAUGAGAGAAUGAUUUUCUCAAACAACGUAUACAUCCUUCAAAUUUGAACACAUAAGUAUGAACAUCCAUUUAGGCCGUGGGCCGUUUUGGACUCAAGGUGGUCUUCUAAUGGGCCCAACUCGCCUUGGGUAUUUGGUCAUCUUAGUUCAAAUGCGCUAUUUUUGGGAGUGAGUUUCGCUCUAUCUUAGUUGACUAUGAUAGUUUUCAAGUUGAUGGUUACCUGAGUCGGACAAACAUCGGGGUGAAGCUACCAAACAACGUAGGAUGACCGCAUUCCAACUAUUUGUUUGAUACUUCCAAAUGGAUUCUUGGGUAUUUCUUAAGAAAGCCGUGGAAAGCCACGUAACUUUCAUUUUCCUAAUGCAUACUAUUUGCCGUUUGGCGGAAGAAUGUCAUGGAAAUGCAACAGUUUAUGAAAAAUUAAACACAUUCAGCAGAAAUAAUAUUUUAACAAUCAAAACAAAUAAUCAAACAAUCAAAUCUUAUGGUUAGAACUUAAUUAAUCCCCAGCUGAGUCACCAUUUCUGUUUUAUUUUAAAAAUAUACUAGUUGCUUAAAAAUGGUGUGAAGAUGACUAAGUUUCAGAAAAUCAAUUAGUUUUAUUAUUUAAGAAAAAUGAGUUUUCAAAUUAUGGAGUCGCCACUUGAUUUUUGAUAAAAUCAAGAAAAAAUUUCAAAAGAUUUAAAAACAGAUAAAAUCAAUUGAAAAUGGUUCGAAGUUCAAUAUACAUCCCGAGAAGGUGUUAAGCCCUCGGGAUGCCCGCUAACUUGCGGUUGACCGGCGAUUUGACUAAAAUGACCUUUUAAAUUUUAACUAAGUCAAGAGUUGGUUUUAAUGUAUUUUAUUCUAUUUUUUAUUCCUUAGUAUUUCUAAAGGAAAACAUUUAAAAGAAAUUAACUUAAGGAAAACUAAAUGUUGAUAAAAGUAAAUAAAACAAAAUAAGUAAAUAAAAUAGUAAAAUUUAAAAUGAUGAAUAGAAAUGGCUGCCCUUUAGGAGAUAAUUAAAAUUCUACCAAAAUAUUAAUUAAUUCAAACAAAUAAAUAAACAGAGAAAAAUAUUUGAACUUGGGCUUGAUUGCCCAAAUUCAUUCACUUGUGAUUUGGCCCACCUAUGCUGAACUGAUUUCAAAAUCUGGGCUUGGGCCCUUUUUUAAUGAUUUAGAAUCCUGUGGAAAACAUUUAUGGCCUUUUGGGCCUAUCAAAAUUGUUGCUGAAAAGGACCCUGACCCAUUUCAUAAAAAAGAAGUUAAAGUAUACAAAUGAUGUAUACUAUAUAUAUUCAAUUCGUAUUGGAUUUUUUGAACCCUGCACUUGUUCGAAUAUGCAUUUAUCGCGAUUCACCCUCCAUUUCCGAUAUUAAUUCGGCGUAUUUAUACAUGUACCAUUUCUAAACCUGCUUAACAAUUGUAUAUCGUUGCCCAAAAGAUGUAUACCAAUGUAUACGGGUUGUAUCCUAUGCAUGUAUUCAUUGAUUAUUCCCGUAUUUUAUCUGAAAUUGGUGUCCCUGUACGUUAACUCGCAAUUCGCAAUUUUUACACAUAUUUAUUUAAGGUAUAGCGUCUAUGUAUAUCAGUGUAUACAGGCUGUAUAUCAGACAGUUUUUUAAACUUUCGAAAGUUGGAAACUCCUUUUCAGUAGUGUAUCUGGACUACUACAAACCCAUAUUUUGAAUUUGGAUCCACCUGUGCAUUUUAGACCUGUAUAUCAUGGUAUAAUAUGUGUAUAUAACUGAUAUACAGAUUUCUUCAACACCUCCAAACUGUAAUUUUCCAGCAGCCUCUGCUGAUUUUUCCGACCUGUACAUCCUUUCAGGAGGUUUACUGACUUGGUAAGGGUGUUUUGAGCCUUCAUAGCUCAACGAGGAAUGCAAAUAGAGGAGUUCAUGAUGAACUCGGGUUGAUUUCACAUGCAACAAAGAGAAGAAGAAACUUUAGAACAAAAUUAUCGAGGAAAUAACACAAAAAAUAGAAACUAAAAGGGAGAUCAUUACUAUUCUCGCAAACUACAAAUACAUAAAAUUAAGCUAAAAUAAAUUGCAUGAUAGUUACCAUAGCUCAAUUCAUAAAGACUAAAAAAAAAUAACUCAAGACACUCUUUGCACAUACACAAGAGCAUCAUAAUCUUAAGGAAUAAGAUUUGAGACAAAACCAAACAACUAAGCUAGAAGGCCACUUGUUGAACAACUUAGAAAGUGUAGGCAAAGAAGUGAUUAUACUUACUCAAAAAAACACAUGAUAUUCAAGCAAACCAAGAGGCAAUAAAGUAAGGACAUUACACUGCUGUUUGUCAAGGAUACUACCUACUAAUUGGAAGGAAAAUUUAAGCAAAACUAUGCUUAUGGCAGCCAUUGUUAAUGGAAGUUCAAGAAGGGAAACAAACGGGUGAACUGCACCUUUUGGAAUUAUCUCCGAUUUCUAACAAGGAAGGAGACCCAUGGAUCGACAUAAGCAGCCAUGGGAUGCAAUACAUAGAAACAGAAGAUACACCUUUUAACUAUAAUGGAGUGGAACCAACCUUUAAGAUCACAAACAUUCGAAGAGAAAAAAACACACAACGAUUAUAGGCAAAAUUCAAGGAAAACUGAAGCUUCAUAUGCAUUUCGAACCAUAUUCUUAAAUCCAUCACUAUCAACAGGAGGAAAACAUGCUUGAAAGAUUUCAAAAUCAAUCAAACAAUAACAGACCGUAUUCGAAUCAUAUAAACAAAACCGACAGACCUCUCAUUCUCUUCUUAAUCUUCAUGGGUGUUUGAAGACGGGCAGCCCACAUCAACAACAUAUAUAUACCUUAAACACAAGACAAACUAUUCGAAACCAAACAAAAUUCUCAUCACUACCCAAUAUAAUUCACAGACAACAGAAAAUAAACGAGCAAGAUGAGAGAAAAUGAACAGAGAACUUCAUGCUCGUUGAAACAUGACAAACUAACAUAACGAGUGAGUAGAAAUUUAGGAAGUUCACCUUCUCUGGGGAAGCGAGCUAGAGACGAAACGAGCAGGUGAGACAACGAACAGCCAAGGUUGACGUUAAACUCGGACACUUACGUAUAUUCUAUAUGUGUGUAUUUUAUGCUAUCAAUAUUUCUCGCACAAAAUUUUCUGAGAAAAGGAUGAAAUUUUUCAAAAAAAAAUGCCCCCUGGUAAUGAUCAACAGUAAUCAUUAUAUAGAAAAAAGAAGACGGGGAAGGCGGGAGAAAAUCUGAAAAACCUUGGGGCAAAUCGGGAUUCUAUCUCCCCUUUUGAAUUUGAAAUCCCCUAAAGGGAUAAGGAUGCAAGCUGUCGUAGUAAAGACCUCCAACGGAACAAUCGAUCGCAGCCAUGAAUCCUCAAACAAGGAUGAGUGAGCUCGCGAGAUUGAGACACCUGGCCUGCGGAAGAUGCUUUUCUUGUUGAAAUCAUACGAGAUUGUAGUGCUCGUUCUGUUGCUUCGUCUGGGUGCCAUUCUCUGGGGAAUUUCUGCCUAUGACUCUUGUUGGAAAUUUCCUUGUGAAGAAGGAAGGAAAAAAAAGGGCUGGGUCGACUUAGUUGUAGUUGGGCUGGAAUUAUUGGGCUGAAAAUAAAAAUGUAAUGGGCUGGGAAUUAAAAUAAAUAGAGUGAGCCUGGGAAUUUAAAGGGAAUUUGCGUUGAAGUGGGCUGGUAAGUUGGAAAAAGGCCCAAGAUUGAUUUCCAAAUGGGUUUAGAGGAAAAGGUUAUGUCUUAGAAUAGUCAAAUUAAAUUAAUUUUAAGGAAUUUGACUAAGAUUUAAAUAACACAAAUUCGUAUCAAUUAAUCAACGAGCUUCUUAAUUUUAACAAAGUAAAUUAAUUAAUUUUAAUUAUAAGCUGGCGAUAAAUUUAAAAAAAAAACACCAUAAUUUAAAAAUAAAUUAGUUUAAUAGAAUACUUACUAAAAAUUAAAAUAUUUUGAGAAAUAAUCUUAAAAUAUACCACUUAUAUACAUAAUUAUGUAAAGUAUAUGCACUAUCUAAAACUUAUAAGAAAAAUGAUAAAAGUAUCCAUAAUAACUCAAAAUUCAUAUGUUAUUUUUUCCCCGCAAAAUUUAUAAAACUAACUAUUUAAAAUUAUUUGAAAAAUUUAAGAAGCUCGAGAACUAAUUCAUACUGAGGAGGGUCGAAAUUGUGUGUCAACACUUAAGCUAUUGCAGUAGACCUUUUUAAUGGUUAUUGCAGGCUAUUGUAGCCAUUUUUUUAAUAAACUAUUAUAAAAUGAUAGAACAUAUUAAACCAAUAUGUACAUCAACUUGUAGCAUUCAUAUAUUAUAGAUAAAAACAUAUGAUCUUGAUUUACAAUUCAAGAGUUAACAUACAUUGAUGUUCACAAAAAUUAAGCCUAAAUAUUAAAAUAGUCCUAGAAUGUUUAAGUGUUGACAUUCAUUCAACUUCAAAAAUUAGGCCAAAAAGUAAAAAUUAGUGCUAGAAUGUUCAAGAGUUGGCAUUCCUUUAAGUUCACAAAAUUAGGCCAAAAAGUAAAAUAGUGCUAGAAUGUUUGUAGAAACCAAUUCUUUUUAAGUAAGGUCUUCGUUGCUUUCAUCCCCGCUUUGCACAUCAUUUUGUUCACCUACAAUUUCAAAAGGGUCAACAAUUAGGAAAGAGGAAGUUCAAAAAUUAAAAGGUAAAAGAAGACGCACAAUUUCUAAUUUUUUCUAUUUCUGUCCAUGAUGAAAAUAACUACUUUGCCAACUCCAAGUGGAAUGUUUAGAUACUUGAAUACUUUUGUGAAUAGGUAUACAUAACCCAUUCCAUGAUUCCCCUUUCGCUCAAUUACAAUCUUGUACAUGUGUUCAAGCAUGGGUGCUGGAAGGUCCAGUGGUUCGAACUUGCACAAGGAUUCCAUGAGAAACAGAUCGGAUGAAGUGGCAGAAGUCCUUUUCUCUGUUCUGGGAAGAAGAACCUUGUUGACAAAUUCAAAGACUAGAUGAUAUUCACUCUUCAUUAACUUCUUGAGCAGUCCAACAUGUCGAGUAAUUCCUCAUCAAGAUAGACUUCUAUGUUUCCUACCUCGACAAAUUCAACAAAAUAGGUCUUCCCAACCAUAGACUUGAUACCUUCUCGAGGUACCCGUAAAAUGUUUCCCAGUAAUUCCUCAUCAAGAUAGACUUCUAUGUUUCCUACUCUUGUCUUGAUACUUCCAUCUUCCUGAAACUCGAUGUUGUAGUAGAACUCAUGUACUUCUUCCUCAAAGAGAACAGGAUCCUUGGAGUCAAAUAAGUGUAUCCAUGACUAAAUCACCACAAUGUCAUGUAAAGUAUUUAUCCCAGGUUGCUUAAAAAUAUUCAUAUAAAAAACUAUACCUGCCAAGACACUUUGUACACUCAGAUUGUCAACAAUUGUUUGCUUGUUGACAACUGCGUCAUCCACAUGUAUUUGUGGACCAAGUCCCUGUUCAGACUCUUCAGGUUCCACUUCAGAAGUCUCUCUCUUUAUUUUUCCUUUUCCCUUAGCGCCACCAACUUUCAUGCUUGCCGAAGCUUUAGUUUAUUCUUUGGGUUUCUUUCCAUCACCUUUCUUCUUUGAACUUUGUUUCAAGUCCUCAAAAAUUUCCUUAUCAGGUCCCUCUUCAGAUUCCGCACCUGAUACCUCCACCACAUCGGACAACGGUAUUUGGAAUCUCGACACUUUCAAAGUCUUAUUCCUUCGAUUGUCAACAGUAGAUUCUACAGUUACCUUCAUAGCAUCAUCCAUCAUUUUCUUGGAGUCAGAUCUGGUAAAAGAUCUCCUUCUAGACUCAACUUCGAAAACCUUUUCUUUUCCCUUUUUUGAAGACGACAUCUCUCUUCUUUUCAACAGCCACUGAAUGGGAUGAUUGUCGUCAUCAGUGUCUGUAGAGUCGGAAGAAGGGUAUCUAUCUAAAUCUAGUGUUUUGUCAAAUUCUCUUAACUCGUCAUCCAUAAAACUUCCAUGUUCUUCAAGCAAAGCUUCUUAUAUCAUCUUGGUUAGACUUUCUAUAGCUAAAAUUUCACUGGCAGCCAGAAUAUUGAACUCAGGCGCUCUAAUUUUUUGCUAGAUCUCUCUCAGAUAGAUGGUCUGACAACGUAUCCACAAGUGGACCAGGUUGAGGGGAGAGAAUAGGAUUGUUUAGAUCGAGAGGUGAGGACGGUUUGCGGACAAGCUCUGAAGCAAUGUUUACUGGAUAAGAAGUCGAAUUUUUAGUCAGUGAUACAGAAGAAGAUGGAGUGUAAAAUGACGCUGGGUUGAUAUCGUUUAAAGAUGCAAGCAUCUUCUUCGAGGAUGAAGAAUGUUCAGACAUUUUUGUAAGGGAAGUAACUUUAGUACAAAACAAGAAGGAAAUGAGAAGAUGAAAGUUAGGGUUGUUCUGAGAUAGGAUUUAGGAGAGAAGGUGAGAGAAGAAGAGUUAUAUAAAAAGUGAUGAAGAGGUGUUAGGUCUCUCAGAUUAGACUUGUAGCUUGGAGUUAAUCGAUGAGACAACGUUCAAAAUAACCGAUUAUUGAUACAUGACCAUUUCAACGGGGUCAUUUUAAAUUAGUUUAAAAACAAUAUAAAGAAAGUUAAAUUUUAGGAGGACAAGGUCCUUUCCUGCAAGUAAGAUUCCAUUCCUAAAUGUUUCUGGGCAUAUUUUGCUUUUGUAAUUUUUCAUGAAUGUAUACCUGCAAUAGGUACAAAAUUGAACUUAAUCAUCUAGUUUAUUACUAUUAAAGAGGAUAGCCAUCGGAGAAUUGUGAUGCUUUUGAGUAAAGUGGGAUCAGUUUGGAUUCAUCAUUACUAACAUCAAGCUAUUUCUUUCAAACUGAUCUUUACUGAGAGCUUUGGUGAAGAUGUCUGCAAUUUGAUCCUCUGUUCUGCAAUGCUUCAAGACAAUAUUUUCCUUUUCAACAUUAUCUCUUAGGAAAUGAUGUCUCACAUCAAUAUAUUUUGUCCUUUUAUGUUGCACUGUAUUCUUCCCAUGCUAACAACACUAGUAUUAUCACACAUAAGAGGAAUAGCCUAUAUACGCACUCCAAAAUCUUCUAGUCGUUGUUUGAUCCACAAAAGUUGAGCACAACAAGAGGCGACUGCUACAUAUUCAGCUUCAGCUGUUGAAAGGGAUACUGAAUUUUGUUUCUUAGUUCCCCAAGAGAUGAGAGAGUAGCCAAGAAAAUAGGUCAUGUCUGACAUGCUUCUGUAUACUUGAUAGCUUGCAAAGUCAGCAUCAGCAAACCUAACUAGAUUAAAAGAAUCACCAGCUGGGUAGAAUAGGACCAGAUCCCCUGUUUUCUUCAAAUAUCUUAGUAUCCUUUUUGCAACUUUUAGAUGUGAAUCUCUGGGACAUGCUUGAAAUCUAGCACACAUUCCAAAUAUCUUAGUAUCCUUUUUGCAGCUUUUAGAUGUGAAUCUCUGGGACAUGCUUGAAAUCUAGCAUACAUUCCAACACUGAACACAAUAUCAGGUCUGCUAGCAGUUAAAUAUAUCAAGGACCCGAUAAUACCUCUAUACAUGGUUUGAUUCCCAAGAGAAUCAACUUUAUCUACUCCUAUUUUGGAAUUGCUUCCUAUAUGAGUGUCUAUAGGUUUAUAAUACAUCAUGUUGAAUUUCUUCUGCAGCUCCUUUGUAUACUUUUCUUGACUGACUGAGGUUCCAUCCGGUGAUUGUUGAUUUGCAGCCCCAAAAAGAAAGUUAGUUCUUUCAUCAUGCUCAUCUCAAACUCAUUUCCCUUUAGAGUAGAAAAUUUUACACACAAAUGUUCAGAUGUAGCUCCAAAGAUAGUAUAUUCCACAUAUACUUGCACAAUGAGAAUUUCUUGUUCCCUUUUCACUAAAACAAGGUGUUGUCAAUUUUCACUCUUUUGAUACCAUUUGUUAGCAGAAAUUUGGACAACCUCUCAUACCAAGCUCUGGGAGCUUGUUUCAGACUGUACAAAGCUUUGUUUACUUUAAACACAUAAUUUGAUCGCUCGACAUCUUCAAACUCAAGGGAUUGUUUAACAUAUACCUCUUCCUUCAAAUCUCCAUUCAAGAAAGUAAUUUUGACAUCCAUUUGAUAAAGCUUGAAUCUCAUAAAAGCAACAAAGUCUAUGAGAAUUCUAAUAGCCUCCAUUCGAGCAACUGGUGCAAAAGUCUCAUCAUAAUCUGGUCCAUAUGAUGGUUCUAUCAGCAAGUCUUGGGACCAGUACCAUGCAUUGAUUCUUUCAAACCGAUGCUAUUCAUCUUGCAUUGAGUUGAUCCAAUAUGCAUCACUCAGAGCCUCUUUCACAUUCUUAGGAUCGAUAGUUGAAAUGAAACCUGAAAAUGCAACCAGAUUUCUUGUUUUUGAUCUAGUUUGCAUACCAGAGUUCAAUGGUGAAAUAAAAUUUUCAAGUGGAUGAGAUGAGUUGUGCUUCCAAGCUGACUUUGACUUUAAAGGUUGAAUUUUAUUUGUGUGAUCUUCUUCAUUCUCAGAAUCAUCAUUUUCAUGAAAAUGAGUUUCUGCUUGAUUUAUAUUCUGCAUAGGACCAGGUCCUUCUUCAGGCUUGUCAUUUUCCUUAGUUUUUUCUGAUGGAUCAGGAUCAACAUUAAUUUCCAAAUGUUCACACGCUUAAGCCUUACUUCCUUCACUUUUCUGGACUUGGAACAAUUCAUUCAAUUCAUCUUCAUCGUUUGAUUCCAGCCUCUUCAGAUUACCGUCUUCAUCAAAUACCACAUGAAUACUUUGUUCAAUACAUUGAUCUUUUGUUGAAUACUCUGUAAGCCUUAAUGAUAAGUAUCCCAUAAAAUUAUGAGGUUCAAAUUUUCCAAGAUCAUCAUUCCCAUUGUUCAAAACAAAACACUUGCACCCAAACGUCCUUAGAUAACUCAACUUAGGUUUCUAGUUGUUGAGAAGUUCAUAAGGAGUUUUUUUUUCAGUAGCGACCUUAUCAAGCACCUGGUAGAAACAUGGCAUGCAGUAUUGACUGCUUCAGCCCAGAAAUUUUGAGGAAGAUUGACUCAAUGAGCAUGGUUCUUGCAAUAUUCACCAAAGUUCUGUUCUUUCUCUCCACCACUCCAUUUUGCUGAGGAGUUCUUGGAGCUAAAAGUUGUGACUUAUACCAUUUUCUAAACAAAAUUCCUUAAUCUUUACGUUUUCAAACUCAGUUCCAUGAUCAGACGUAAUCCCAUCUAUCAGAUAAUUUAGUUUUGUUUGAAUCAUUUUGAAAAACACAAUCAGCACAUCAUGUGUCUCCACUUUUGAUUUUAGAAACCUCGUCCAUGUGAACCUUGAGUAAUCAUCAACAAUCACCAAAAUGUAUUUUUUUUCCGCGUCUGCUUUGAAUUUUCAGAGCUCCACAUAGGUCCAUGUGCAACAGUUCCAAUGUUCUUGAAGAGCUCACUUGCUUCUUUCACUUGAAGGAUGAUCUAGUUUGCUUGCCUUUCAGACAUGCUUCACACACUUUGCUUUCACUGAACUUCAAUUUUGGCAACCCUAGGACUAGGUCACUAGAAGCCAAUUUAUUAAACAAAGAUGAACUCACAUGACCUAACCUUCGAUGCCAUAAAUCAGCAUUUUCACCCAGAGCAAUUAGGCAUGUCAAGUCGUCACCAUGAGAUAUUUCUAGGUUUGCCACAUACAUGUUUUUACAUCUUUGAGCAGUAAGAACCACUUUCUUGGUAGUCAGAUUGACUACAGUACAAGAUUCAAACGUGAACUUGACCUUAUUUCCCUUGUCACAGAUCUGAGAUAUGUUGAGAAGACUAUACUAAUCCACUCACAUGAUACACAUAAUUAAUGGAUUCUUCAAUUUAUUUUCCAACCCUACCAACACAUAAUAUAUACCCCUUCUUUCUUUCACCAAAAGAGACACCUCCCCCUUGAAGUGCCUUGAGCGAGAGGAAAUUUUUGGUGUUCCCAGUCAUAUGCUUUGAGCACCUACUAUCCAUGUACCAACAUUGACUUCUAAUCCUCUCCCUCACCUACAGCAAGCAUCACUUGUUAGACUUGGGAACCAUUUUAGCUUGAGUUCCCAAAAGGCAGAUAAAUGAGUAAUCAAAGUGUUUCUUGCCCAGUGAGGUAAUUUUAAGUCUUUCUUUAUCAAUGAAUUUCGAACAUGACCAGGUCCCCUUCUUGGUACCCUUUUCUAUUUUUUAUAAAUUGAGAAUCUUUCUCUUGAUUCUUUCUAAGCCUCACACUCCCCUCUCAAAUGACCAUUUCUACCACAGUGAAGAGAAAACAAGUUAGCAGACACAUAAACAUACUUACUGUGAGGAUUCUAGAGAGGAGUAAUAUUUAAACUUCCUAGACCCUUUUUGUUGUAGUUGCUUUGACUGUCAUCUAAUGUACAAUGAUGAGUGUCAUAUAGGGUGCCAUGUAAGACGAAUGUUUCCAUUUUUUUUUAAUUUUAUACAAGUUUAAGUGCAUUCUUGUACACACCCAAAAUUAAAUGUCUGAGUUGUCAGAUGAUGCCAAGAUCCAUAUUUAUGUAUUGUGUCAUAUAUUGUGUCCAUCUUCUUAUAGCCAUAUAUCAAAUAUAUACUUCUUGCACCAAUAUGUUUAUCCCCCAAACAAUAAAGUAAAUAUUUAGUUGCCGGGAAAUAAGGCAAAUUGGUGACAUGCCAUGGAUACUGUGACACAUUCUUUUAUACAUAUUACCUCAUCAAUUUUUAUAUGAUAUGAUCAAAACAUUCAACAACUAAUUUUCUAUAAUCAGUUAAUUAACAGAUAAUACUUCAUUUCUCAAUUAUGUCGUGCUUCUGAAACUAUUUUGUUCUGUUGUUGACAAUAUUGAAUCAAUAAAAUUUUAAACACAAUGUCAUCUACAAUGAGAAUUCAUAUAUGCAACCUCAACUUACUUGGUAUUGAAAUGUAAAUACUAGUUUCUAACACCUUGUUGGGAGGCGUACGAUCAUAAAUUUAACUACACACUGGGUAUGGUGUACCUCAGAUUACUCUAUAAUCAUAUUAAAUAUUUCAAAAUGUUCACCUAUUUCUUAUAAUGUUAUAACCACGGUACGGUUUGUAUCAAACUCCACAUGUCAAAUUUCCACAGUUCUCAAAAAUUUGUGCAGAAAAAAAUACCAUUGCAAACAAUAGCCUUUCAUAAACCUCUUCCUGCGAGUUACUUCCAUUUGCAUUUGCAGUCUGAAAUGCGGAAUCUGAAAUUUCUACAAACAAAAAAAAAUUAAGUAUAGCUCAAAUAUUAAGGAACUUCAUGAUUUACAUCAUUAAUAUUUCAGGCAAAUUUUGGGAAAUUGUUAAAUAUUUCAGAUGUUAUAUUUUAACUUCCCUCUAAAUGUACUUGACUGAAACAUUUUAACUUCCAUCCAAACAUAAAUUUUUUUAUUACCAUUCCUGUGUUCAGUCUUUGUUGGAUAAUAUUGUAAUUACAAUUAAUUUUACAAAUCUAUGCCAGUUAUUUCACUAUGGAUCUAUCUACCCCACAAAGGUAGGUUAAGGAAUGCAUACAUCCUACCCUCACUAUCAAAAUCAAUAUUUUCACAUGAAAAAUAAUUUUUAACUGAUGUAUUUCAUAUAAACUUUUACAUAUGCAAUAUAAUUCUUCCCUGUAGGGUAACUGGUUGUCGUUCAUUUUAUGUGACUACGCCCCUCCCCAAACACCACAGACAUCACUAGUAGGAUAUAAGGAGUUGUUUAAUUUGAGAUAUAAAUUACUGUAAUAAUCUCAGGAUAAAAUGUGGGAUUCUUUUAUCCUGUAUUUUGAUGGAGGUAUUAGGUAGUCAUGAGAAUAUUGAUCCCACAAUUUAUACCUUAGUGAUGUGAUAAGUUUUUAUAUACAUGAAGUGAACAGAUAACUUAUCCCUCCCAACCAAAUUACCCCCAAGUAUGUUGUACUCUUUCUAUGAACACAAAAUUGAUAGUGAUCCAAUAAAAUUAAAGCAUCUAUAUCUUUGUUGUUCACUAUUUUUUACCAUUUUUAUAGCCAAGAAAUCCUUGCGGUCAAUGGCGUAGUCGCGCAGAGUUAGAAACUCAUAAGAAAAUGGGUUCACCCUCUAUCCUUCAUCACUUCCUUUUGUUUUUAUUUAUGAGAAGAGAACAACAAUCACUACUCUUCUUAGGGUUCACAAAGUAAAGCUUGUUUUACUCUGUGAACCCUAAGAAGAGUUGUGAUCGUGGUUCUCUUGUCAUAAAAAAAAAUUAAAAUGAAAUGAUGAAGGGUAGAGGCUGGACCCAUUAUCUUAUGAGUUUCUAACUCUAUGGGACUACGCCAUUGACCACGGGGAUUUCUUGUCUAUAAAAAGGGAAGAAUAUAGUAAGAAACUACAAUGACAUAGAUGCUUUUAUUUUAUUGGACCACUAUCAAUUCGUUAUUCAUUGAAAGAGGUCAACAACAUACUCAGGGGUCAUGUGGUUGGGAGGGAUACAUUAUCUCGCUACUUUAUCUACAUGGAUAAUUUAUUCCAUCACCAGGGCAUAAAUUAUGGGAUCAAUAAUCUCAUGACUACCUAAUACUCUAGCCAAAUAAAGGAUAAAAUUAUUCUACCUUUUCUCCUAGGAUUAUCAUACUUUAUACCUCAAACCAAAUAACUCCUUAGUAUUAUACAAUUAGUGUUUUCUGGGGAGGAGUGUAGCCACAUACAAUAAACGGUAGCUAGUUACCCUAUGGUGAAGAAUUAUAUUGCAUAUGUAAAAGUUUAUACUAAAUAUAUAAGUUACAAAUUAUUUUUCAUGUGAAAAUAUUAAUUUUUAACAAUGAGGGUAGGAUGUUUACCGUUCUUAUCCUACCUUUGUGGAGUAGAUAGACCCUCGGCUAAAUAACUAAUAUAGAUAUGUAAAAUUACCUGUAAUUACAAUAUUAUCCAACACAUAGUGCACGUAUAAUGGUAAUGAAUAUUUUAUUUUUUAGGGAAGUUAAAAUGUUUUAGACAAGUACAUUUAGAGGGAAGUUAAAAUGCAUUAACAUCUAAAAUAUUUACAAAUGUCCCAAAUAUUUGCUUGAAAUUUUAAUAAUUUAAGCAAUCUAAAUUCUUUAAUAUUUGUGCUAUACUACAUUUUUGUUUUGUUUGUAGCACUUUUAGAUUCUACAGUUUAUACUGAAAAUGCAAAUGGAGGUGAUUGGCAGGACGAGGUCUAUGAAAGAGUAUUGUUUGCAAUGGUAUUUUUUAUGGUCAAGAUUUUGAAAACUAUGGAGAUUUGACAUGUGAAAAUUUGAUUCACUGGCUAGUUUUAAUAUUAUAAGAAAUAGGUGACUAUUAUAAAAUAUUUCCUAUGAUCAUAGAGUAAUAUGAGGUUUACCAUACCAAGUGUGUACUUAGAUUCAUGAUUGUACCCCUCCCUGCAAGUUGUUAGAAACUGGUAUGUCAAUUGAGGAGUACCACUGCAACUACAUUUCAAUACCAAGUAAGUUGAUGUUGCCUAUAUGAAUCCUUUUUGUAGAUGAAGUUGUGUGUAGCCUUUCUUGAUUCAAUAUUGUCAACAACAAAAAAAAUAGUUUCAGAAGCACGACAUAAUUGAGAAAUGAAGUAUUAUUUGUUAAGUAAAUGAUUAUAGAAAAUUAGCUGUUGAAUGUUUUGAUCAUAUUAUGUAAACAUUCAUGAGGUAAUAUGUACAUAAGAAUGUGUCUCGGUAUCCAUGCCAUGCGACCAAUUUGCCUUGUUUCCCGGAAACUAAAGUCUUUACUUUAUUGUUUGGGGGAUAAACGUAUUGGUUCAAGAAGUAUAUACUUGAUAUAUGGCUAUAAGAAGAUGGACAUAAUAAUCUAUAACAUAAUAAAUAAAUAUGAAUCUUAAUUUGGCGUCAUCUGACAUCUCUUUUAACUUUGGGUGUGUACAAGAAUGCACUUAAACUUGUAUAAAAUUAAACAAAUGAACACGUUCAUCUUACAUGACACCCUAUAUGGCACCCUACUUUGUAGAUUUAAAUGACAAUCUAUAUUUAUUUAUACUAUAUUAUAAACACGAAUUCAACUUAAAAGUUAAAUACUAAAAAUACCCUAUUAAAUAAUCUAACCUCAAGCCAACACCCCUUCCUUAACUGUCAAUAAUGUUUCAUAUUCAAUAAGUAUGUAAGGCUAAAAUUUGUUACCAUAUCGGUGUUCAAUACUAUUCCCAAUAAUAUAACUCAACUCAUAUGUUAAAAAAUAUUUCAUCAUCCUCAAAUUUUGAGAUUAUUACUCAAAACAUUAUCUUAAAAGAGAUUAAAUUCAAAACUCAUCAUGAACCCAUUUGAAAAUCGAUGUUUCCUCUCAUUUUAAAUGUAAAAAUAUUUACUCUUGGGAAUAUUUAGUUCCCAUAUAUUCAUUUUAAAAAAAUGAAAUAUCAACUCUCCUAAUCCUUAUACUUAAAUACUCAAGUCUUAAGUUUUAAAAGAUUGUAAAAUAAUUCUCAAACUGACUUGAAAGAACUUUGAAAGUCUUAACUCUACCUUGGGCAAUGAUUCUUGUUAUGAAGAAUCUCUCGAUGUUUUGAUUUAGUAUAGAGUAGUUAGAAUCUGAAAGGAGUUAAGGUACACUUGAAAAGAAUUUAGACGAAGCAAGUGAUGGAAAAUGAGAGGGGGCAGGCGGCCCAUGCUCUCUGAUGCCGCGGGGCGCCAACCCUUGAACUUAAGAGGGAUAAUUUUGGCUCACUACAAGGGCGGCGCGCCAUCCCUCCUAGCACAUUAAUUGCGGGCCGCACUACCCCUCCCCAAAACGACCCGACAAAAAUUUUCUUUUCGUUUUCCGAUCCUAAUUCACCUAAAUCGAUUAAUUUCUUUAAUUUUUUCUUAAAUUCAAUUACCUAAUUCAAGUACACGAGAAUCUACUCACUUUUCCUCAAGAGCAACCCUCAAAGAUGAAAAUCCUCUCCUCAUGAAUUCAUCAAACUCCAUCAACAAAUCACGAAAACAAAACCUCAAAACAUUCAUCAAGAGUUAAAAUCAUUCAACCUCAAUAACUAAAUUAUGGAUGAAAUUUACAUGAUUGACAUGUGGGUGAGCGAACCCAACACUAUGAAAACCUGCAUACCUUAAUUUAGCAAAAUUCCUCGACAAAUCUGAAGAAUCCUGAUGAAUGCCUUAAACCUUUGCUCUUGAACUCCUCUCAAAAUCCUAUGAGUAAUUUACAGUUGUAAAGAUGAUUAAAAUUUGCUUAUACCUUUAAAUAUUACUAAAAAAUGUUUUGAUUGGGUAAAGAAAAGACCAAAAUACCCCUCAUUAGUUGGGUAAAAUUUCUUUACCUGACUGGUUGACUUCAAAUGGGCAUAUCUCCCUCAUCCAAACUCAAAAUUUACAAAACUAGGUGGCUUCGGAAAGAGGAUUGAAAAAAAUUUCAUAUGAUAUCUUAUGGGCCACCUAACUUAUCAUCUUUUGAAAGUUAUGAUCGUUUGAAGUUGACCCAAAACUCACAACUUAAGUAUAUCUUCAAAAAUUCUUAAUUUGGCUCAAUCCAAUUUAGUUCUUUCUAAAUUUAGAUCUUUGCUAAGGCUGAAUGUAACAAUAAUGAACAAAGGUUACUUCCUAAAGUACAUUCUAUGUGUUUUAUAAGAUGUUUAUUUUGCAUUGACCACAUUUAUGACUUUUUCUUUCUAAUAUAUUAUUUUAUUAUUUAGUUUGGUCAUUGCAUAUCAUGUAAAAUAUUUUUACCAUGAUUUCAUGUAUCUUAUGCAUUCUUAAGAUAUUUGGUACGUGUAAGAGUUAGUGUUUCAAUUAAUUUUGAAAUAAAUUCACCCGUUUUGAAAUAAAAAAUACAUGAAUGUGAGUUGUAACAUUCAUUUGUUUUAAUUCUAUGUUAUAAACAUUUGCAAGAAUUUUUUUUUAAUUCUACGUUAUGGGUUUUUGAAAGAUACGCUUUUUGUUUUCAAUUCAUGAACCUAAUAAAUUCUAUUAAUUAAAAAUCUUUUUCUUGCAAAACUUUUUAUCCUAUAAAUUGAGUUUCCUUUGGUUGAAAAAGAUAAGCAUUUAUAACAAAAGUACUUUCCCUUGAAAACACUUGUGAGACAUUGAUCAAAAGGUGAAAUCACCAAUUCAAGAAUAGAAGAGCAACAUUCUUGAAUGCUACUUGUUUUGUGGCUUAGUUGAGUCCCGAAGAUAGAGUUGUUAUUUAUUCUUCUGAUUGCUCGUGGGAGAGACUCCAACUAUCUUCAAAAAACGUAUUAACGUGCCUCUAUGCCAAGAAAGUUUUAUUUUGUAUUCCUUGUAAUUUUAUCAUUCUUGUUCAUUUGUUCUAACAGUACGUUCCAUGUUCUAAUGCAUAUUUGUGUCUGCAAUGCUUCACUAGUUUCAGGUACGACAAUUCCUACCCCAUACUCGUGGCUAGUUGAUCCUUUUGAGAUUUUGAAGAUUGUUGAGUCCUCAUGAUCAGAGGGCCAAGAAUAUUUUGUUGAUUUUAUUUUUUUUCUAUUUUCAAACUUCUUAUGUGACGUAUGAGUUACCUUCAAAUAUCUUUCUCUAUGAUGUACUAGACUGCCUUGAGACUUGUGUUAUCUUUCCACUUUUGUCAAAAUCUUUUGUAUGAAAUGCUAUCUUUUGGACUCUUUACUCUAUUAUAUUUUUUGAUGUGUGCUAAGUGACUUGAGAAGGGCUUCCCGAGGUUCUAUCAGUCAUAUUACACCCAAGGUCUACUUUGGAUCAUGACAUAUAAUCUCUUUCAAUUCUUACAUUCUUCUUUAGAAUUCUUCUGAUACUUUGCCAGGCUUCUAAGAUUAAUCCAUCAAGUGUACUUAGUGUGAUAUUUGUAACAUUAAAAAAAUUUAGAAAGUCCAUAAAUCUACCCUGAUCUUUCUCAUUAUAAUCAUUUUUAAAAAUAUGACAAAGAAAGAAUCUCUUCUAAUAAGAGAAAUAUGAAUCCUAUAUUGUGGGAUAAAAGUUUUACCAAACAUUAUUACCAAUAAACACGGUAAAAAAAGAAAAAAAAUGGUGAACCACUUAAAAAUGACAAAUAUAACUAUAACCCAGAAAUAUUGAAAUCAUGCAAAAAUGUUGGUAGCAUUCUCACUAAUUAAUGCUUCUGAAACAAAAUUAAAUUAAUAAUAACAAUAAUAAUGAUGAUUAAAUAUUUAAAAUUAAUCUUUAUUAUUUAAAUAUUGUUUGCAUUUUUUCUCUCUUAUGUCAGACUAAAGCUAAAUAUUUGUUACAAAUUCAAACUUAGCCAUCACGAAAAAUUCAUACCAACACAAAUAUAGAGAAAGGUAGUGAGAUAUAUCCACAAAAAUAGUACAAUUUUUGACACAAACAUUUCCGAUGAUAAAAUCAUUUUCUCCUUCUCACAUUUUCAAAUCUCUAUUUCGUGCAUAUUUUUUGAAAAUCUCUUCCCCAUCCAUGGAGAUUCUUCAACAGAACUACCAUAUAGAAGACGAAUCAUGAGAUACAAAAAAACAUACAAUAAUAGAUAUCACUGAGGUGUAUUUUAAAUAAAGCUUGACAAUGGAGAAACCUUUUGAAAACAAUUAUUUGUCUCUCCUUUCAAAAUUUGUGCUUUUAAAAUGAAGUUGUAAAUUCAACAUUAUAUGUUAAUUUCAUUUAUGGUCAUGCACCCGGCCUUCCUAGUGGAGGUAUCUCAUGGUUACGAAUGUUACCCAUCGAUCAUUUAUAUUGAAGUAAGAUUGCUUGCGGACAAUAGUCAUACAUCCACCAAUAGUCAUUGUGCAAAUUAAAUUCAUCGAUAAAAUGAUGUAAAGUUCUUGUGAACUCAUGCACCCCUCCCUGGAUUAUGUAAAGUACUUGUGAACCAACUUAUGCAUCCUUUCCUACAUUAUGUAAAAAGCACUGCAAUUAUUCUUGAUAAAUUCAUUAAAUUUUAUGUGGGAACCAGGCUAAAAAAUUUGAAAUUUCCAUCUCCAAAAUUUUCUUGUUUGAAUCUUUAGAACAUUACAAACAAAAGUCACAUUUUUUCCUCAAAAAAAUUAUGGUAUCUCUUUUUAGUAUUUUCUUCAAUUUAUUUCUCUUAUUUGUAAAGUCUGUUUUUGAAUAAUGAAGAUAUUUGAACCUUACCCUUAGAAAAGAUAAACUUCCGCAUAAAGCUUUUAAAUGUGUCUUUCUUGGAUAUUCUCGUCUACAAAAAGGUUACAAAUGCUUUGAUCCCUCUACCAAUAAGUACUUGAUAUCUGCACAUGCUACUUUUUUCGAGACUUCUCUGUAUUUUUCUCCUAAUACGGUAAAUUAGAAGGUCAUAGUAGUCCUUCCCAUCCAACUAUUCCAACCCCAACUCCACCUCCACCUCAAUACACAUGAUGUUAGUAGAGGAUGAAGAGGUAAUAUAAAUAUCUCUCUAGUGUCAUGGGUUACUCCAGCACACCGGCACAAUUCCGUGACCAGAAUUGGAAACAACAGAGAGGUCUGCUUUUGUUUGUCCCUCAUGUCCAUCUCUUGUGAAGUCAGCAGCCGCGAUUUGAUAUGAUAUGGACAUGAUACAACCAAGGAAAGUUGCCUUAGGAUAGUGCAAAAUUGACUCGUUCUGGGAUGACAUUAUGGUGCUGCUGAUGAUGCCGAACCAGAAUGUAGCUGCAAUGUUCAAAUCCCUCUUCUCAAUAGGGACUCCUACUCUGAUCCACCUCGGGGUGGUGUCAGAAAUCAAAGGAUCCAACCACAUCUUCAGGUCAUAUAUGGACUGAACAAUAGGCAAUCCCUCGACUAACUUUAUCGGUCUAAACUCGUUUGCCUUGUUCUUAUUCUUUGGCACCAACUCCCCAUAAGCUGUGUAAAAUUCCCUAACCCAAGAAAGAAUGUAAGGGCCUCGGGGAUUUUUGAACUGUUCGAACUCAUGGUAGGGGAGGUAUCUAGAACAUUGGGAUAUUUUCCUUCUAGGCCCUCCAUAGACAAUGAUUUGUACCCCCACCACCUUUUAAUAUGUUCAGCAAUGUGGGUUGAAGAAUGGCAGGGAGUGCAGGGGCCACUGGAGGUGCCUGAGCUGGCACUGAAUUUGAUUCAGGAGGGGUGGGAACUAAGAGAAUUCUGGUGGAUGUAGAGAUCUAGCCUGGAAUUGAUUCUUUUGGUUGAUCAGAGGCUUCUCAUCUUAUGGUUUAGAGAAAUCUGCAUCUAUAGCUAUUCCUUUCCUAGACAUGUGCUUUUUCCUUUUGCCUUUGUGUCCCAGUGAGAGUUCUUGCCAUCUAUUUUCUGGGAGAUUUGAUCCCCCUUCGUUUAUCUUUAUGCCUUGCACUUUUGUUUUGGGUGACAUCAUUAGAUUUGUAUGCACUUACCUGUAAUAUAUUUAAAGAAAUUAUGAGAAAACCAAACAUAGUUGCAGAAAUUUUACUGCAGACAGACUCAUUGAACCACUCAGCGAGUCGUUGAACCUCUUGGCAAGAUAAGUUGGGCUCGCCAAAGUGGUUGGCUUAGGGAUUAUGGAAAGUCGGUGAUAGGAAGGCCAUUUUAGCGAAUCUCCAAAUUUUUUCGUGGAGCGAGGGUUUUUCCACCAAAAGUCAUAGUGCCCUAAGGGUUCAGGAGAGCAUGCGAAGGGUGAUCAAGAGUAUUUACGGUGUGUCGUCGAGUUCUUUCAGCGAACCUAAGGCUUCUCACCAAAAGUUACAGACUUACACAUCAUUUUACACGAGAUUAAGGGUGAGAUGGAGACAGUUGGCCAAUAGACGAGCAUUUAGGGGAGAUCGACCCAACUCACCACAAAUUGCCCAACGUGUCUAUUUUUGAGCCAUCUUCUUUAAUUUGACCUUGCAUUCCCGAAACAUGAACUAACAGAACUAAAACAAGACUCAUACUAUCCAUUACCUCGGAUACUCAAGAUUUUCUCAGUUUUGCUAAAUUUGGCCAUUUGACGAUAAUUUAUCUUAAGAAGGGUGUCACCCACUCUAUCAUUGAAUCAUUGAGUCAUUUAGCAAAAACAUGGGUUACUCAGGCUUCACCCAAUUGCACAACCAAAAACAUUUCCAUUCAUUUAGAGACACCAAAAUUACGGGCAUUUAAUGAUCAAAACAUUACGGGCAAGGUUUUCAAAUUUAAAUAGGCAUUUAAAUAUUCUAAUUCUAUCAGAAAGGCGCAGCACACAACAAUACAAUACGAUCAUUGAAAUGAGUACGAAAUUUUCAAAAGUAAACUCAGGGUUUCAGAUAACUAACCAUUUUUGCGAUCAAAAUGUGAUUGAAAAGUUAGGCGGCCAUGCAAUCCAACUCCGAGCACUAAUCAACCAACAAAAAUACUUUUAAAAUGUAAGAAUAUCGAAAUUACUACCUUAGUGUGAGUUUGUGAAGUUUAAAGGCGAGGAAAAGUGAAUAAGUUCAAAUUCUAAAACUUUUGGCCAUUAUAUAACAUCCAUUUUGUGUCCAUUCGGCAAAAUUAUUCGCACUCGCCAAUCAACUCGGAGAUUUUCUUAGUGGUCACUUGCCUCGUCGAGUUUUACACGACCUUCAAUCAAAGUGAGGAUCCAAACGCGAUCUUAGUCGGGUACGCUGCACGGGUUGGUAAUUCAUCGACUGCCCAUUUUACUCGCCAAUCUGUACUUUCCAUACUCUCUCUGCUUUUAAACAUGAACCACUAACACACCAUUAUUUAUAAAAUUAAACUAAAGCAUUUAAAACCUUAAGUUGUCUCCCAAGAAGAAUUUUAGCUAAUUUCGUGGCAUGACGUGAGUCGUUACUCACUCUUCAUUGGUGGGGUUGUUCCUAGUGAUACUAGGUUACCCCAACUGGUCGAGCGGGUUGAGAUGAAGCAAUACAUGACUCAUGAGCGUUUCUAUCUUCUUGAUGGAUCUACAGUGAGACCAAUCAUUUGACUCAACGGUCAUACACUCUAUUUCAUCUAUUCCAUCACUCUAUCAUGUUUAGAGAUCUGUUGGAGAGUGAUCAGUAGUGUGUCCUCAACACGACUGUCCUCCUCGUCUCUAGACCUUGUCUGCUCAUGAGGGGUACAUACCUCCCUUGACACUUGCACUGAUUUUGCACUUCUGAGAAUUUGGUGGCCAAGUCAUUCAGCUGAGUUACCAGUACAACUAACAAGAAGUCACCCUCGACUUCUUGGUUCACCAUAGCAGACUUACCACCACUUUCCUCAGCCACGCUUAAAGUUCCUUCCUUACAACAACUACGCAAAAGGAAAAACAAAACAAAAAAUUUAAAGUUAGUAAAACUACAACUAACAAGAACAAAAAUUCUACUUAACUACGUAUUCUCGCAUAAUACCAAUCCUCGGCGGCGGUGACAUUUUGAUCGGUGAUAUCAUCAAAGAAAUAACAUUCAAAGUAUCUACGAUCGUACCGUAGUAUAGUAACCCAACCAAGGGUUGGGUUCAUUUCCACUGGGAGAGGUUGUGAGAAUUAAUAUAAAUGUAAAAUCUAGUUCUAAUUAGUCGUAGUUAAAGACAUUACCGAUUAAAAACAUAUUAAAUCAAAGGGGGUGAAGCAAGAGUCAAUUGUCAAAUGGGGUUUUUGUCACAAGUAAAUAAAAAUAGUGAAAUUAAGAAAGAGUUCUAAAUAAAGGUGAGGGGGAUUCUGGGAUGUGAUAGGAAUACGGGAUAAACGAGAUUAUCGGGUAGAAUUCAUGGAGUGAUUGUGGCAUAAGCUCUCUCUCGAUGAACUAACCCUCAAAUGGAUUCCUGUCAGACACCCACUUGCCGCAUGAUGCCUAACCUCCACCUUAAACCAUUCACUAUCUCGGGAUGAGUGUGUGGGAAGAAACUAGGGUGAACUCUCUUGAGUUGAAACUCAUGUCGACCCACUCCCACCAGUCAUUAAUUUAGUAGUCUUACUUUCACGAUCUCUCUCUCUAGCAAGUCAAAACACAUAUAUGAGAUUAUAUUAGCAACUAUAACCUCAUUAAAUUCAUCCAGAACUGCUAAACAAAAUCACAUUUAAACUAAGAAUAAACAAUCAUCAAGCAAGACCCAACUACUAAUUUAACCGUAUCCACAAAAUCACACCCAAAAAUUGGAGCUUUAGCUAGACAUGUACAAGAUAUAGAAACUUAUACCAAAAUGAGCUUGCAUUCAAAUGGGUAUGAAGAUUUAAGUCUUGUUACAGGCCAAAAGUGAAGAAUACAAGGUACCCAAGUCCAAAUCCUUGGAGAUGAAACCCUUUGGAUCUUCAAGUUCUUGCAAAACUAUAAAUACUUGGAGAGGGUUUUUUAAGAACUUGAAGUAAAAAUCUGAUAGUACUUUGUAAAGUACGAUAGUUUUCAAGAAAUUUUGAUGCAGUGGAUGACUCGGAGACAUUAGUCCGAAUGGCCGAUUAACUCGGCCUUCGCCCAUUGGUAUAGAUCACCACCGUCUUGCACUAGCCUUCAACAUCAUAGUGCUUUGGAUCAUUGGGCGAUAUAGUACUGCUUUGUGGAACUACUCGGUGAUACGCCGACUGCUCCUUUUCGCCAUCGAUUUGAUCCUUUCUUUCAGGCUCAAUAGACUAGAAAAAAAGGCGAUCUUCAGUCCUAUCGUCGAUUCACCUAGCGGACCCUGCAAUCCUCGUAUCUUCAUUUCUUCGUUUUUUUCAUCCUUUUUGCUCUUUUUUGACAAGUAGUGUCCAUGUUUUGCCUCAAACUAAAUAUACCUGAAACUCAAGGUUAUUCUUUAGUAAUUAAGGCAAAACAAGUAUUUGAGAACACUAUUGCAUCAAAAUAUAGCCCUAAAUGAGUCCAAUAUGUGGAGUCAUCAGCCACCCCUUCCUAGAACAAGCCGACAUAUUUUUCUUCUAGUUUUCUGAUCCUAAUUCGUGUAGAGUUGAUUGAUUUCCUCAAAAUUUUCUUAGAUUCAAUUACCCAAUAGAACAAAACAAGAAUAUAGUCACAUUUAUUCAAGAACAAUCCUCAAAUAUCGAAAUCCUCACAACAAGAAUUCAUCAAACUCCAUAAAUAAAGCAUGAAGAAUGAAGCCUCAAAAACACCCCUCAAGAAUUCAAAACAUUCAACCUCAAGAAAGAAAUAACGGUUGGAAUUUACUUGAUUGGCGUGUGGGUGAACAAACCCCACACUAUGAAAAUUACAUACAUUAAUUUAGCGAAAUUCCUACACAAAUCUCAAGAAUCUUGAUGAUCACCUUCAAUCUCUCCUCUUGAACUCCUCUCAAAACCCUAAGAGUAAUUUAGAGUUCUAAAACUGAUCCAAAUUAUUUUAUACCUAUAAAAUAUAAUAAAAAUUGUUUAAAGUUGAUGGAGUAAGAAAUAAAAAAAAUACUCCUCAUUAAUUCAGGUAAAUUUUCUUAACUGGAAAGAAUGACUUGAAACAAACAUAUCUUCCUUAUUCAAACUCGAAAUUUAGAAAACUCGCUGGUGUUGAAAAAAGGAUUGAAAGAAAUUUCAUUUGAUAUCUUAUGGGAAAUCUAACUUAUCGUGUUCUGAAAGUUAUGACUGUUUUAAAUUGACCCAAAACUCAUAAACUAAGCAUAACUUGUAAAAUUCUGAAUUCGGCUCUUUCUAAUUUAGUUUUUUAUUUCUUAAUUUAGCUCUUUGCUAAGGCGAAAUGUUACAAUAUUGAAAAAAAGGUUACUUUCUUAAGUAUCUCAUAUGUGUUUUAUUAGAUGUUUAACUUGCAUUGACCACAUUUAUGACUUUUGAUUUCUAACAUGUUAUUUUAUUAUUUAGCUUGGUCAUUGAAUGUCAUGUAAAGUACUUUUAGCAUGAUUUCAUAACUUCUAUGCAUUGUUAUCAUAGUUGAUAUAUUCCAUGUUCUAAUGCAUAUUUGUGUCUACAAUGUUUCACUAAUGUCGGGUUCGACAAUCCUUUUCCCCAUGCUUGUGGUUGGUUGAUCUUUUUGAGCUUUUGAAGAUUGGUGAGUCCUCAUGAUCAGAGGGCCGUUAAUAUUUUAUUGAUUUUAGUUUUUUAAGUUCCAAUAUAUUUAUCUAUGAUGUAAUACACUGCCUUGAGGUUUAAAUUAGAUUUCCAUUUUUGUCGAACUCUUUUUUAUGAAAUGCUAUCUUCUGAACUCUUUACUUCUAUUAUAUUGUUUGAUGUACGUCAUCAUGUUAUGCACAGGAUUUACUUUGGAUCGUGGCAUGUAAUCUCUUUCAAUUCGUACAUUCUACUUUAGAAUUUUUCUGAUAUUUUGUCAGGCUUCAAAAAUUAAUCCAUCAUGUGUACUUGGUGUGAUAUUUGUAGAAUGAAAAAAAAGUAGAAUGUCCAUUAAUCUUAUCGUUGUCUUUCUCAUAAUAAUCAUUUUUAAAACAUACGACAUACAGUGAAAGAAUUUGUUCUAAUAAGAGAAAUGCGAAUCCUAUAUUGUGGGAUAAAAUAUCUAUCGAACGUUAGUACCAACAAACAUGGUCAAAAACAAAGAGAAAAUAGUGAACCAUCUAAAAAAUGAUAAAUAUACGUAUAACCAAGAAAUAUUGAAAUCAUGCAAAAACGUGAGUAGCAUUUACACCAACUAAUGCUUCCAUAUCUUAACAAAAUUAAAUAAAUAAUAAUAAUAAUAAAGACGAUUAAAUCAUUAAAAUUAAUUUUUGGGAUUUAAUUAUUGUAUGAAAUAUUUGUUACAAAUUCAAACAUAGCCCUCACGAAAAAUUCACGUCAACACAAAUAAAGAGAAAGGUAGUGAGACGGACCCACAAAAAUAGUACUAUUUUUGACAAAAACAUUUCCUACAAUAAAAUAGUUUUUCUCCUUCUCACAUUUUCAAAUCUUUAUGCCGUGCAUUUUUUAGAGCAUCUCUUCCCUGUCCAUGGAGGUUCUUCAACAAAACUACCAAAUAGAAGACAAAUCACGAAAUACAACAAAUAUAUAAUAAUAGAUGGCAUUGAGGUGUAUUUUAAAUAAAAUUGAACAACGGAGAAACUUUUGAAAACAAAUAUUUGUCUUUUCUUUCAAAAAUUUGUUCUUUUAAAAUGAAGUUAUAAAUUCAGUAUUAUAUGUUAAUUUCAUAUAUGGUUAUGCAUCCGGCCUUUCUAGUGGAUGUAUCUCAUAGAACGUUACCCAUCAAUCAUAUAUAUUCAAGUAAGAUUGACUGCGGAAGAUAGUCAUACAUCCACUAAUAAUCAUUGUACAAAUUAAAUUCAUUAAUAACUUAUCGCCUGUGGGUAAAAGCAUGGUAAUAAAGGGAAAAACACCAGGGUCUUCUAAUAAAAGAUAUAGGAAUGGUAAUUGAAUCAAUAAUGCUAGUUCUAGACUAGAACUUAAAUUAGUUGUGAUAAUAUCAGUUGAUGUGUCUCAUAUAACUUUGAUUUUAACGAGCUUGAAGAGAGGAUGUUAAUAUUGCUUGGAGGAAGCAAUUCCUUAUGUGAUAAAUCAAUAACAUUAGAUUUAGUUUUUUCCUUAUUUCUUACUUUCAUGGGUUAAUAUGCCCGUUUUUAGCUAAAACAUAAAUAAGUGAUUUUUUUACUAUAAAAUAGAGUUGAACAACUUGUUGAAAUAAUUAAUUAUUAGUUGAGUGACAUUAAUGUUACAAAAUAAAAAUUGACUGACUUUUUAAUAUAAAAUAAAAUAUUUUCUUGAAGAAUAUUAUCAUUACUUGAGUGACCAUAAUUUGAAAAAAUUCAAAGUUGAUAAACAAUGUUACUACUCUCUUUGUCCUUUUUCAUAUGAGUUAGUUUGACUAGUUACAGAGUCUAAAAUAAAUUUGAAACUUAUGAUCUAGAAUAAAUAAUAGGUAUUUGUGUCACUAUAACUCAUUUCAUUAAGUAUAAAUGAAUAUUUUAUAAUUAAAUUAUUAUUUAAUAUAAAAUGUUUAGUCUUUCUUGGACAGACGAAUAAGGGAAGUAACUGAUAAAUUGGACAGAGAUAGUAUUUGAGAAACUAUAAAAGAAAAUUUAAGUCCAUAUAUACACUAGGGUUCAAGUUAGAGGGACAAAAGAUUGCUCAGAAUGGAGAUGAGCAUUAAUAAUUGCACUCCAGGUAGUGAGAUUUCUUCUUUUUAUUCCAUUCGUUACCUUUACUUAUCUUUUUUUCUUCUCUUUUGUUAAUAUGAUUUUACACUAUUAGUAUUACUAGAUAUUCCUAGAAUUGCUAUGGAUCUUCCACUGGGAAUGUAGGAUUUGAAAUUUUCCUGUUUGGUUUUGUGGGAUAUCAUACUGGAGCUAGGUUUACUUUAUACGAAACCGGAUGUAGAAAGUGUGGGUUUUGGUAUGAACAAGUUAUUCUUUCAGGAUCUCAUUAGGAUCUGACUGUAAAUUGCAAAUUCAAACGUAAAAUCAAUUAGUUUUUUUGGACCAUUUCCUCUGAUCUAUAUAAACUGAAAACAUGGAUGUCGAACACAACGAACUUGAGUACUAAUUAAAUUUAACAUAAUUGGAAUGAGUGGGUAUCCAUGUCGAAUCACAAAGGAGAAGAUCAGAAUUAGAAAAGAAGCGAAUAGAAGGGAAGAUGGAAGAGAAAUAAGGGAGGAAUUGAUUUACCAGAAGUUUUUUGUUGCAUUUUCCUCCUUUUGCAGUUAUAACAACCUUCAGAUAAUGUGGCAAGAUCCUAAGUCUUAUGCCUAAUUAAUUGAUAUUUAUUCUUGGCCGUUUAUUUGUCAAAUAGUUACCAUCCUUCCGUGAUUCAGCUUCUCAUUAAGCUAUACUAAGUAAGAUCAUUUCAUAUCUCGAAUUAAUUAUCCUCUCAGUACUGUCUUUCAAUAAAAAUAACACUAAAAUCUCGAGUAGUCUCGAAUUCCUCGUACGUCUUUAAUGUAGUGAGGUCUCUUUCGAGUUCUUAGUGUAAGAGAGGCACAUCUUACUUGUACGUAGACUCUUGGAUCAAAAGAAGUGUAAAACUUAAUUGUGAUAACAAUAUUAUCCAACAGAGGUGCACUUAUGAAUGGUAAUCAAGUUUUGUACCGGAGGUUCGUACUUUUAUAAUAGUACUAGUUCUUUGAAAUGUGUAUUACACGUUUCCCCCCUAUUAUCAUAUUAAUUUAUACAUGCCUAAUCUCAUAUUGAUAAUUAUUUAUCAGAUAGUAUUGAUUAUAUAUAGAGCUUAAAUUUCCAUCCUAGAAAGUAAAAGUAAAAAUAAAUACUAAAUGAAAAUUUUUCUUGGUUGAAUAUUAUUUUUGUCAGUACAAUUACAAUAAUUGUUUUAGUGAAGUUACAAUAUCUAUUUAAUAACUAAAUAUAUAAGUUUUGUUUAGUGAAAGUAUACUUUUUUCAUAAGUUUUAUAGAGAUUCAAUCAAUAUGACCUUAUGGUGGAUAGUAUAUAAAUCAUUGUGGAUUGUCGGUAUGUAUUGAGAAUUUACUAUUUAAUAUUUAAUUCAUUAGAUGUUUUAUAACAUUAUUACUUAGAUAAUAUAUAAGAUUAUAUAUAUUAUUAAAAGUGGAUAGUAGGAAUAAAAUGAUAAUUCAACUUUGGAUUUUGGAAUAUUCUGGUUUACUGCUAUUUUUGUUGCCUUUAAAAAUGGUUCAAUGUCUCAUCAUCUAAACAAACAUUUAUAGGAGAUGACAACACAAGCAAACUAUUGAAAAACAUAUAAUGAUAUGAUUAUAUAUAUAUAUAUAUAUAUAUAUAUAUAUUAUUACUAUAUAACAGUUAAUUUGUUUGAUAUUUUAUUAUAUUUUAAUUUAUAUUAAAGACAAAAUUGUCAUCUAACGCUAAAGGUAAGAAGCUCACACUUUUGGUGUAAUACAAGAAUCAUUAGAAAUUGCAUCUCCCAUGAAUUUAAUAUUGGGUUUUAAUUGCCCUAAAUUUCUUACCAUAAAUAGGUUUUCCUUUUAGGAAAAGGAUUUGGAUUAAGUAAUCCUUUUUCUUGUAGGAAAAGGAUUAGGACUCUAUAAAUAUAGGAAUAUUUCUUCUAACUUAAUCAACAUUCACAAUGUAGUCUUAAGGGCUUCGAGAGUUUUGGUUAGCGGGAGAAUUUGUGGGUCACAAGCAUGAUACAUUAUCACUUGUGUGAACCUCCCAUGUAUUCCGAAUGAAUUGGUUGAGGUUGUUUCCCUCGGUAUUUUGUACUCUCAUAUUUAUAGUGGAUUUCUCAUCUCCUUUGUGGACGUAGGUCGAUUGACCGAACCACGUUAAAUCUAUAUGUCUUUUGGUAUAUUUCUCGUUAUCUUCUUACUCGUGGUCUUUCGAGGUUUGCUUUGCUAGCUUCCGCGUUACACCUGCUUAUUUACGGUCAUAACAUUUAAUAGUCUUUAAUCACAAUGAUCCUACAAUUUUGUAUCAAGACCAGGAUCAUUGUGAAAUAUUAUAUUAUAUUUUAUCUUAGAAAAACAAUUAAUAAAUCAAACAGUGCAAAGAUAUGAAUUACGAUGCACUAAAGGAAUUAGAUUUGCAUGUCAAAAUUCUAUGGAAAUUCUUUUUUCCGAUUUGUAGGAUAUAUGUGUAGCUUAUAAUAAGUACUCCUUAAUAAAAUCUCUUUCAACUUAGUGGAGGAAUAUCUUUUGUAUGAUUGACCCUUGUAUGAGGAUGGAGCUAAAGAAAAAAAAAAGAAGACAAGAGCAUUUACAUCCAUAAAAAAUUAUAGAAUUGCUUGAGUCAACGGAGCAGUACUCAACGAGAGGGAGUUGCUCGGAUGGUAAGCACCCCGUACUUUCAACCCGAAGAUUGUGAGUUUGAGUCACCAAAGGAGCAAAAGGGGUGGAAGCUCCUAAGGACAGUUAAAAAAAGAGAAGUACUUCGUCUACAACCCUCAAAUCUUCAAGAUAUCAAGUUCUCAACAAACAUAGCCAAGAAAGUUCAAAAAAUGAAUGUGAAAGACAUCAAAAUUCAAUUCUCCGCCUUCUUGACAAACUUAAAUCCAACAUCACAAAAUCAACAGAAACCUAACUUGAGUAAAGGGUUCAUACAAUGUGUUAGUAGAAGUAGCAAAAUGACACCAACAUUAAAAAACAUAUAACAUAAUGUAACUUACAUUGAAAGUAUAACUUAAGAGGAAGAUUAAAAAGAGUACAAUUUUCAUCAAAAUCUGACAUUGCAUGCAUAAUUAAUGGGUAGUGGAAAAGACUCAACAAAAUUAUUUUUAUUAAUUCACAAUAUUAUUGAAAUUUUAGAUUAGAUAGAUAUGAUUUAAUUAGAUUAUCACUUAAUGUAAGGGUAAAGUGCUAAUCCAAUUUUAAAUGUUGGAGCUUCCCACUUAUAAUAAUACUAGAUUCUGAGAACAUGUCUUACACGUUUGUCCCUUAUUAUUAUUAUUAAAUUUUUAUAUACUAAAAAGUUAAGUAAUUAAAAAGAUUCUUAAAUUAACAAUAGUAAUUUAACCAUUUAUAUUUUAUUCGCUAAAUAAUAACAAAUAUAAUAUGAAGAACAUUAAAUAGAUGAUAUAUCUAGUUAUUUUUUUGUUAUCCUUCUCUCAUUAUCUUUUCUUCUCAUUUUGAAUAGUGUAAUUUCCUUCCUAUGAUAAUAUCAAUCUUAGUAAUUGGUUCUUAAAAAGCAUAUUAAAAAUUUAAUUCUCAAAGUGUUUUUACAUAAAUAGUGGAGAAUGACUCUUCACAUUGAGCUUUUAAUUUUUUAAAAAAAUGUGUAUGAGAAAAUUAUUAACAUUCAAUAAUUAGGCAGAAGAAUAUCACAUUAUCAUAAAUAAAAUAAUAUCUCUAAGUCAAAAGUAGACAUUCUAGUUCGGAAAAUAAUUACUACUAACUAUUUAUGGGUCCAGCUCCAAUCAAUAAUCUAUAUAUGGGAGUUUGACAAUUUUCCAGCUAUAGUUAAAAUUUUACAUUAACAAUAAAUAGCUUAUUAUCACAGUAGAUAAACGUUUGAUGCAUAAAAUUUAUAAAUGCUAAAAGAUUUUGUCAAUGUAGUACAUAUGCAAACUUAUGAUAAAAACACUUGGUAUAUUACAAAACACACUUGAAGUCAUUACCAUGAUUAAUACGUAAAUUAUUUUUAUCAGUAUAUCACAUAUACGUCUUCCUUUUAACCUUAAAAAGUAUUGUACACAUGAUUUAUGAAGAGAAAAGAAUAAUACUCCUUUUUUCAUAACAUUACUCUUUCAAUAAUUAAUAUAAAUUGAGCAAUAUAAACUUUUCAAAAUGACUUAUUCUAGAUAUAUGAUCAAUUUGAGGAAUGAAUGUUCGAAAAAACAAUAAUAGACUAAUAAGAUCAAUAAAUUAUACAUAUAAACGAAAAGUUUAAGUAAAAAUACAACCUCAAAAUCACAUAUAUACUAUGUAGAGUAUGAUCCAUUCUUUAUCUCCAAUUAGGUGGGCCAUUUAUUUUAGUUCAUAUAUAUAUAUAUGAUUUCUCAUUUAGUCAUUAUUCUCACUACUCAUAAAUAAUAAUUUCAAAAAUAUAUUUAUACUAAAAUAGAACACUCUAUCGAGAGCCAAAUAAGCAUGUCGAAUGAACUGAUUAAACUUUCAUUGAUAUGAAUUUCAUCAGUAAUUAAGAUACAUAGUAGAACAUGAAUUGUAUAUUACUAUUUUCUUCAUGUAGGAUACAAAAUAUUCUAAUAAAAAAAACAAAAUCAUAAGAAAAUACAUCAACAUAUAUAAAAAGAAAUAUAUAAUACUUAGGACGGACAAAAAGGAGCGAUAAAAAUAAUAAUUAAUUACUGCACAUACAAAAUGAUUUGCAAAGUUCAUUUUUGCAUGAUAAUAUCUCAUCCUCUUCUUGUCAUUUACAUGAAAAUCAUGCUAGGUAAUUUAUAGAAGUAGCUAUGAUGACCUAUGAGUAGAUAAUUAAUUUGCAUUAAAUUAGUUCAAUGGUUUUAGUCCAUAUCAAAUUUGUUUAAUGGAAAAACUUUUCAAAUACUCCUGAUUUUCACAAUAGAGUAAUUAAUUAUUGAUGUGUACUUGAUUUUCAAAAUAGAGUAAUUAAUUAUUAAUGUGUACCUGAUUUUCACAAUAGAGUAAUUAAUUAUUAAUGUGUAUUUGUUUAAUUAUUUUAAUAUAAGGAUAAAAUAAUAAUUCAACUUUGAGCUUUGAAUCUUCCCGCUUAUAAAAUAAUAUGAUAUGAUAUACUAGAUUUACCGCACGUGCUGCACGUGGUUUGUUUUUCUUAACAUUGAUUCAUGUAUGAUAAUUUGCAUUUUUUUUUGUUUUUGCGUUUGGUGUCAUUUGUGUUGUAGUUUAUUUUUUUCCCUGUUAAACGCCUAACCACCCCCCCCCCCAACCCAAUAAUUAAUUUGACUCUGCCUUAAUCUGUGUAGUCUAUGUAGUGAACAUUAAGCCUACUAAAUUUCCAUUUAAGCGGUCCUUAUGUUAUUUAGUAUUUCCUUACAUUCCUUGACCCCUAUUUUUUUACCACAGGUGGAUUAUGUGUGGCAUCAUUUAAUAGAUGGUCCUAUAAUAUUUCUUACCAUUUUAAACUGGUUAACAUACAAUUUUGUUUUUGAUGGCUACUACCUGUUUUAAUUUAUAUUUAUGUCUGUGAAGUGCAUUCUUCAUGCUGUAGUGUACUUUAUGUUUUGAAUUUUUAUUUUGAAACGCCAGGUUACUGUUUUGUCAUUUACGCCAUGUCUUCUUUACAAUAGUGUAUGAUCAUUUUACUGUAUAUUUACAUAAUUGAAUACUGUCUAAAGUAAUGUCUUAUUUGGUAGUCUUCUAAUGUAGUUCAUAGAGUCUUUUCUUCCACCAAACUAAUUAUUUCAUCCACCAAUCGUUCAUUAGCUUCAUUUUGUGCGUAUGAUUAUCCAUGUUUAAUUAGUUUCCAUGUUUGUAUUGAUGAAAUAUCUCCUAAAAAUUCCCUGUAGAAUAUUUCUUGUGUAUGUCCCUUAGUGCUGCUCUGGUUGUUCAGUCAUGAUCAAUAUUUUUGUUGUUGACAUCGAUAUUCCUCUGGAUAGUGUCACGUACAUUUGACCAUGUGAGAAAACAUGUUGGGAUAGGUACAAUCCAACAAUUGGUAUUGUUUGACCUUGUGCCUUAAUUAUUAUCAUUGCAAAACACGGGCGUAUUGGAAAUUAUUUCCGAAUAAAUUUGAAAGGAUAUCCCUCUUUCUUCGGUGGUGAUAGUUUUAUUCUUGGAACAAACGUUUUGUGGCAUAUUCUCCUGUUGUUAUUUCUGUAUGUAUGACAUUCCUAUCAAAACCUCUAUAAAGCAAUCAUGUCCCAUUGCACAACCCAUUUGAUGGGUCUAGAUUCCUCAACAUCAUAAUGGGUAUGUUUUCUUUUAGGACCAACCAAUCAUAUAUAAUUUAACGAUCCAUCAAUUUUUUUUGUAAUUUAGUUGUAAUUUUUUGUAUAUGUGUUAUGAGUUUAUAUUAUAAUAACAAAUAUGUAUAUUUUAAGUUGUAUUGAUAACUUACCUAUGCGGCGGUAGGCUAUUCGGUGUUAAGGUCUUGAUCUUCUUGAUAGUAGUUGUUUGUAUAAUCUUCCGUCAAAGCUGAUGUAUGUUUUUGUCUCUCCUGAGAAUUUUUCAAUCAUCAAUUCAUUUAGCUUAUCUACAAAUUCAUUUCUAGUUGCUAAGAUGGCCUGUUCUGUUAUAUACUACGCGGAUCUGUAAUUUUGUUCAAGUGUUGGGUAAAUUUCCCUCACCAAUGAUUCUCCUGGAUUUCCAUCAUUACUUUGUUCGACAAUCAUCUGUUGUGGAAUCGCUAUCAAGUUUUCUUUUAUUGUGUAUUCUUCUCUGUUUUCAAUAUGAAGCAAUAACUUACUUAAAGUUGUAUCUUUUCUUUCUCACAUAUUUGUCGUUAGUUUUAUUUUUUCCAUUAAAGGCCAAAAAUAUGACCUCACUAUACUUGCAUCUACCGUCUCUGCUCUUGUAGAUUUUGGUAGUACUUGUCGAAAGUCGCCUCCAAAUACCAUGACUUUACCUCCAAAUGGUGCACCUUUAUCCAUUAUAUCACGAAAGCUUCGGUCCACUGUUUCAACCGUGUGUCGCUUUGCCAUUGGUGCUUCGUCCCAUCUUAUUAAUUUUGCCUGUCUUAUUAGUUUUGCCCCGGCGCCUUGCUUCGACAUGUGUGUCAUAGUUGUCUCAUUUGCUUGUAGUGGUAUGUCAAAUCUUGAGUGUCCCGUGCGCCCUCCAGGCAAUAGUGUGCUGCCACACCAUUGCUUGCACAAGCCAAUGUUAUCAUGCCUUUUGAUCUCACCUUGGCUAGUAGUCCCCGAUAUAGGAAAGUUUUACCGGUUCCCCCAGGCCCAUCUACAAAGAAUAAACCUUCUGUUUCUGAAUUGACCCUUCCUAGUAUUGUAUCAAAAGUUUGUAUUUGUUGUUGAUUCAACUUGGAUUGGGCGUCUGCAUCCUCAACUAACACCUUAACAUUCAUUUCUUCUAUUAUUUCUCUACAGUGACGUGUGUCUAUUUGAUGUAAUUAUUUUUGGGAAAAGGGUUUAAUAUACGCCUCAAUUUUGUCAUUUGGAGCUGAUAUACCCUCCUUAUAAAAGUGGAUCAUAUAUGUCCUUACCGUUAUACAAACGGCUCACAUAUACCCCUAUUGUUACAAAAUGGCUUACAUAUGCCCUUUAUUUAACGAAAGUUAAAAAAUUAGUUUUAAAUUUAUAUUUGUUACUUCUAUUUUUUUAAAAAAAAUUAUUUAGGCGUAUAUAAGAUUAUUCUAUCAAAGAUCAAGGUGUAUUUUAUUUUUUUCAUACAUAAAUUAUUUUUGACUUCUUUUAUUAUAAUUAUUUGAGUUUCUUAUUCUUAUAUUUUUUCUUUGAUUCCUUAGUUUAAAGGAAAAAAUUUAAACUAUUUUUUUCUGUGUUUGUAAUUUAAUUUCGUAUUCGAAGAAAAAAUUUGAUCAUCUACAAUAAAUUUUACAAGAAUAUUAGUGAAACAUAAAUAAAUUUGAUUAUCAAAAUAAUAAUUAUAAAUUAGUCAUUGAAAUAAAAAAAAGUCAAAAAAAAUGUUUGACGAGGAUUAGAUUUACUCAUAUGGGAUUAUAUUUUUUAGAAAAAAAUAAUAAUAAUUUAGAUUAAAAUUAUUAUUUCUUCCAUUUCCAUUAGAGGAAAAGGGUAUAUGUGGGUCAUGUGUCUACAAGUAGGGGUAUAUAUGAGCCACUUUUAUAACGAGGGGUAUAUCAACUCUAAAUGACAAAGUUGAGAGGUAUAUCAGAUCCUUUUCCCAUUAUUUUUUUACUUUUGGUAUGUCAUAUUUGUCGACACUGUCCCAUGCUCUCCAAGUAAUAAUUAAUACUUUUCAAGUUUCUUUGGAGUUGGUGUUCAGUUGUGGUUGAAUGUCUCUUUUUAAAGUCUUCAGACAUCCCCGUAAAAUGUGUCCAAUAGACUUCUCACAUCCAUAGGGUUGCAAUGAACUAAUAUUGUAGCAAACAAACAUCAUAGUGCUUUUGGCAUCUUGAAUGUGACAGCCUCGCGUAAACAUUCUGAAAUGUUGUAAUCUGAUUCUAAUAACCCUCUUUCUUUUGCUGUCUCAUUAAAAGUUAGACACUGCUUUCCAUUAUGAAUUAGUAACUUUUCAAAUUAAGUGGCUCCUCGUGCGUGAUUCAGCAAUAGUCUUUCAUAUUACCUUUCUCCUUCUCUAGAAUUGGCUGUUAUAUUUAGUAUCUUUAUUGUAUGUGAUUAAUUAACAUGGAGAGUAGUUGUAAUUGACUUACCAAUAUUUAUGUGGCCAAUAACCGUGCGUGAUUUUAUUUUGUCCAUAUUUUUGAUAGUGAGUUCCAUGCAUAAUGCUCACGGAACUCUCUGUAAAGAUAAUUGUGAGCCUCCAUGUCUAUAGAGAGCAUCCUGAAAUACUUUGUAAGCAUAGUUUGUUGUACAAAGUCUGAUUGCACGAUAGUUUGUAGAUUUUGCUUCUUCUUGCAGCACAUACAUAUGUUUUAGUAAGCAUAACAUAAAGUAAUGUUCUAUAUAGUGCACAAAUUGUAAUUGUAAAUGUAAUAUUUGUCCAUAAAUUGUAAAAUACUUUUUUUGUUUUUUUGGAAGAUGUAAUUGUAAGUUGAUAACUGCCGGUUGCAUUUCUUUUAGGUUAAAUUCAUAUAUUCUCCACAUAACUUCUGGAGAUGAUACCCAACAUGCAUCCUGGAAACUUUUGAUUUCAUCAAUGAAUUUUUCCUAUCGUCGGAUUCUAUAUGAUGGCACAUUUAUAGUGGCCUUUAUAUAUAUAUAUAUAUAAAGAUAUUUUAUUGCUUUAACUCCUAAGAAGACUUCAACAUUAAUGUAACAGUUAUAUCUGAUCAACAAAUAUGGAUUAUAAGGUACAACCCAUUAAUUAUUCAUGUUCAUUUCACGAACCUCACUUGUUCUCCUGUCAUUUCUUCUUCUGUAAAUCGGAAAUACAUCCCUUCCUUGUAUUGUUUUGUUGUUGAAUGUUCUUUGAUAGUGAAAUUUACAUUGUCCAUUUUUCAUACAUGGACUUGUCUUACGUUUCUCCUCGCAAGGUCCUUGUAUCAUAUGCUUUAUAACUAAUGUGCUUAAUCUUGGAUGUGUGUCUUUUUUAGGGAUUCUUCACUAAUGUAUCUAUUAUACUCAUCUGGAGAUCGUAUCUUAUUUCCUUCUUUAAAUAUUAGAAGUAGGUGUAUAUUUGGUAAGCCUCCCUUCUUGAAUUCUACAACAAAAACAUAUGCUGCGACGGUUCCAAAUAUUUCUUUCUUUAAAAUUUGAUCUUUCAAGUCUUGCAAUUUUUCCCAAAACACUCUAGUCACCAAAUCGGGUCUGUCUUGAGGUAGUUGUCCUGGACACAAUUGUUUUUGAAUUUCAACCCAAUCUGGGUUACAUGUCAUGGUGAUGAAAAGAUCUGGUCAUCCAAACUCCUGAACCAAAGCCAUUGCAUCCAUAUAUCGGCGUCGUAUAUCCCUAGGGCCUCCAAUGAAUGAUCGUGGUAGUAAUACCUUUGUCCUACCUUGUCUACUCUACACUCACUUGCACUAACACUAUCAACAAUACCUUCGAGUAUUUCCCUUCGAUAAUUUGAUUGUUCGAAUCUAUAAAAUUCUAGUCUAGUUCUUUCUAUCUUAAUGUAUAUGUCAACCACAAAUUGCUGCAACAAUAUCCCGCACAUUAAAAGUAUUGAUUUGUCACCAGUUCUUACUUGUAGUCUGUAACAAUACUACACCCUACAUGAAACACAACCUUUGGAUUCACGUCGCAAAGCUACAUCAGUUUUAUAUAAUUACAGUUAGAUAAAUUUUCCAUAUAAGAUAAUUAGUAGCCAUAUAUUUGUUAUUAAAACUUGUAAUAUGAUAGUACAAUGUAUUUAUAUAUUUUUUUGGGUAUAUUGAAAUGUUCUUACCUUGUGCUUCAUUGGCCAACAACCCAGCAGCAGUUGUGGAUGAUAAUCUACCCGAUUCGGAAAUUGUAUUUGUAUGUGUUUGGCUGUUGUUUAUCUGGUUGCGUCAUUUUUGUAUUCCUUGAAACCUCCUUCUCCUUUAGGUAGAAUUAUCGGAUAUUGAAGCGGAUAACAACAACCCUAAUAAUGUUGUACUCGAUGUUUAUUUCCUUAAUGUUCAUGUACAAUAAUAUAUCUUACAAAUGGUGUGUUUGGAUUGUUUCUGUCUACCCAAAUUUCCGCUACCUGAUCCACAUAUGGUCUGUUAUAGACUCGUUUCCAUUUAUGUUUAUUUCAAGAUUUUAUAAGUUUGUAUGUUCUUUUAGUAGGGUGAAGAAUUCUGCAUACGGAUUCCCCUUCAUUAUAUUUCGUAAUUUUGUCAUGACUUCCUCUGACAAAUUGGCAUCUUGUAGUACCGACAUUAUUUUGGCUAUUUCAUGGUCAGUAUUAUAGAAGUAUAGUUGAAAGUACCGUGGUCCAUUCUUGUUUGGAAUUCAGGGACAAAGUUAAUAAUUUUCGUCAAGUUUAGAGAUAUCUUCAAUAUAUUUCAAGAAAGGAAAAAAGAAUAAAAAAUUAAACACACAUGAACUAUCAUUCUUUUGUAAAGUUUUGCAUUUUGAUUAUCAGUUGUUUUAUUUUUCCUACCUAAAUUAUCAUGUAUAUAUGUAUUAAAACACAUCUAUUUGAACAAAUAUCGAGAGUUAAAAUAGAAAAGGGAAUAAAUCCUUCCUAGAAUAUGCUAAUUCUUUGUCCAACUUAACUCCAAAUGACGUGAAAGCAAAUAUGUUAUUAUAUGCACGUAUAUUUUUUCAAAAUAAUUUUGCGUUUGCUACAUCCGCCACAAAUAAUUCAUAAUAGUCAUCUGCGACUUGAUUGGGUGCUAAAUUGACAUAUCCACCUGCGCAACAGAUUGGUGACUCAUAUUCAAACGUCAUAGAAUGACAAUGGUGGCAGUCUUUGUUUUUUUUUUCAAUUUAUGAGUUGAGGCUGGACUGAAGUUUGCAUGUGUAAGCCCUAUAUUAAAAACCAUAAUAAUACAUAGUUGGAGAAUGUUAUUUUAUGUCUAAAAAUCUUUUUUUGUAUACCUUUAUGUAUAGAAAAUAUGAUCAAAUAUGCCUCCGUCAACAUUUGGGUCAGAUAUAGCAAGGCGCUUAAUUUUUUUGCCGCUUCUUCAUUUGUGGUUCAUGAACAUGGCCAUCUUCAAUUUGAUCAGUCGCUGACAUAUUUUUUUUUCCAACUUUUGGAACGCAUUCUCUACAUCCGGCUGUAUUUUGCGCUUGACAUCUGGUGCAGAAGAUGUUACAAUUUGUACCUUUUGUCUGGCAGAUAGUUGAAAGUUGGCAUUAAAAUGACAUUUUGCUCAACAUACCUUUUUCUUGCGGCAAGUUGUAGUGAACUUCCAAUUUUUAUUGGUAGCACUUAUUAAGGAAAUUAGAUAAUUUUGGUCAUGUGUGCAUGGACUUAAUAUUUAUCUUAUUAGGUGUUAUAUAUUUCAUUCAUAAAUUAGUCUUAUAUAUUAUAUUAAUCUAGCUUAUUGCUAUUAUAUUUUUACCAUUUUUGUUAUUUGAAACUGUAUCAUAUUAUUGUAAUAAUAUUCAAACGUGUUAUUGAAGCCUGUUAUUGAAAAUUGAUUAAAAAAAUUAUUGAAUGAUGUGCAUCUAAAUAAUGUCAUAACAACACCAUUGUUUCAUUUUUCACAAAAUGAGAAAGAAGUUUCACAAAGAGUAAAAAAUAACAUCAAUUUGUAUUCAUAGCUUAAUAUAACUGUAUUAGUUUUUAAACUAAUAUAUUUCACUUUGAAAUAAAAGAACUACAUAUUUCAAAUACUUAAAAAAGUUAAAAAAAAAAACAAACAAACUACAUCUUUCAAAUAUAACAAUCAACUAUAACUGAACGGAAUUAUCAUUAAUGGUGUUUAUUAAGUAUAAUAUAGCUUAGUGUGCCAGAAUUGUUUUACGUCUUAUAGGUUGUCAAGUUCUCCUAAUAUAUACAUAAUUGUAUUACAUCUUGCUCAGGAUUUUUGUUGUCUUCAAUGUUAUCUUUUUAUUUACUGACGGAAAUAUAUAUUUAAUCUCCAUCAUACACUAGACCUAAGAAUGUAUGACGAAGUCAUACAUGGAUGAAGGGAAUGCCAUUCUUGUGUGUAGUUUACAGUGCAUGCUAAUUUGUCCCUUGGCUAAUAUGUUCAGUUAAUUAAAGUGAACUUACAGUGUUUAUUAUGCAAUGCGUGACGUUGCUGUGUGACUUUGACCUCUUGCAGGUGGUCUAUAAUGUUAAAAAAAAUAGUAGAUUGUGCAAAUUGAAUUUACAGAUGCUGCGACUAUAUGAAUGUGUGACUUUUUCAUAAUGUGUUGGUAUUGUGUAUCGAUGGAACAAUGGUAUGUGUUGGGUUCAAUAUUCUGAAAUAAACAUAAAAAAUUGAUGAAGGUGUAAACUUUUGGUAUUUAUUUUACUGUGAUGCUGUCAUGCUGGAGUAUAAUUGUGUUUCUAAGAUAGGUGUGUUUAAGCAGUUACAAUGAUUGAAGAGGCAUCUUUUGUAGCAUGUUGCAAUUAUAGACCAGAGAGCUGUGAUGUUCCAGAAAGUUGUGAUUUUUUAGUGAAGGUGUGACUUUUCACUGAUGGAUCGCUGCUCGUGAAGCGUCGUAUUAGUUGGUGCCGUUUCAAUUUUUUUUAUAAUUGGUUUUGAAAGUGUAACGAUUAUGUUUUGCAGGAUUAUAUAUUUUCCUUUAAUGAAUAUUUUUUUUGCACAAUAUGCACAAUGCGGAAUUAUACAUCUUUUGCUCAACAGGGGAUAUUAACUAACGGAUUCCUUAAAUGAUGUUUGUUUAUUGAUCAAUAUCAUAAAUCGAGGUGAUUGUAUUAGAGUAGAAUAAAUUUUAAUACCGUCGCUAUAAUAUUUAGUGAUCGGGCAUAAACUAAAUACAUAUUAUCAUCCAUUCAAAGUCAAAUUUGUUACAAUUAGUAUCGGCUAUUUCUGAUAUUUUAUGCAUACAAACGAUAAUUUAAUCAUAACCAAAGUUGAAAUUCGUUUAAUGAAGUAUUUUAAUCGUACUUAAUAUUGUUUGAAUAUUUCAUUAGUCCUAACAUUUGACACAAACAUCUUUCAUGGGAACUCUGCCUAAUGCACAAGGAAGACGCUAUUUCUAUACCAAUUGAAAUAGCCCAAUUAGGUAGUCAAUAAAUUAUCAUCUGAUGGAUAAAUACGGCAGAGACAGUGGCAGUAAACAAUAUAUUAAGAAGAGUAAUACUUGUAUUUUACACUAACGAAUUGAUUUUUCAUUUUAAUUAGAUAUAAAAUUAGCAAUUAGUAAUUAGUUACGAAGAUGCACAAACAUUGUAUAUGGAGUUAAAGCUCCACAUUAUUUACAUACAUAUUCCAGAGAAUACAUCUACUUUCUAUUGCCUUUUUGUUUCUUUUGUUUGAUUUCAGCCGCUCCUUCUGUGUUUUUCUUGGCCCUCUUCUUGUACAUCCUUACUGAUUUGGCUUUGUCAUCUACAAUUAGUGGCGCUUCGUCUUCCACCUCAUGUAUUUCUUCAGCAAUUAAGCUAUGUCGUGGGCUUGAGUCAUUCAUAUCAAUUUUUACAAGGAAGUUUAAUUGCUUGCCUUUACAUAACACCAACUUGUGGUAGUAGUAACAUUCUUCCUUCUUGAUAAGAUGUAAAGAAUUGGAUUUGUUAGUAGGAAAGGUUGUCAUCACGCUAGAGAUUACACUAAUAAAUGUCUCCUUACAUUUAUUCAACUCUAUACAUUAAGUUCAUACCUUUACUAAGUUUGAUUUCAUGUACUCUUGCACGUUGCAGCCUAAUAUAUAUUUAGCCGCUGCAAAAAGGAUGACUAGAGCCCGUCGCUCUCCAUUCCACACCUCAAGUCGUAAACAAUACCUUCAAAAUAGGUGGCUGUAACUUUAAUAUAAUGUGUUUAGUAAUUAGUAAUAUUGAAUCCCGUUAAAACAAAGUAUAACCUAAUAUUAUAUUCGAAAUUGUGGCUAUUGCUAUUGUUACAAUCGGCAGUGACUUCUAUAAAAUUCACUUUUUUGUGGCACGUUUUGCAAGUCGAGUACCAUGCUCAUCUUUAUUGAGUAUUUCUUCAAUUGUUGCUUUGAACUUGUACAUACAAUCCUACAAAUCGCCAACACAACAUAGUAGAGAAUAUACAUUGAACAUACAAAUGAGUUUAUUUUACGUAUAGAUGAAGUAUAAGUUAGUAUGUACCUCUAAAUCAACGCACAUACCAACUAGAAUUUUGGAUAAUGGAACUUCUAUGGCUCUUCUCAUUACCUUAGUAGGCGUUAUUGAAUGAUCUUUGAUAUCGGCCUUUAUGAUUUCACGUCUAUAUUUGCAAUAUGGUUAGCUGAAGGUAGCACCCAUUUAGAGUUAGGUUUGUACGGUGUAUUGUAUUGUCAUUUUUAUGGUCAUACUAAAAUGCAAGUUUUGAACAAUCAUAAUUGUGAAAAAUAUGUACUGUUAUAGCAAUGUUCAGUAACAGUUGAGAGUCGUGAUAGAUGGGUUGAACUAACAAUUGAGAAUAUAUUUGUGAAGUAUGUAACGUACCAUGCUCGAAGGUCGUUUGCUUUUUGGAAUAUUGGAUUGAUCAAGACGCGCAGCUCACAGAAAUAGUACAGAUCCCAAAUCGGCCUAGUAUGAUAAGAGCAUUUAAACCUUUAGUAAUAAUGACUAUAUGAAGUUUGUAAUUGAUAAAUAUCUAAAAUACACUGUUAAUACCUUUAAAGAUUGAUACUUUGACGUCACAUAAGCCUAGUAUAGGCUUAUCAUCUUGCAGCUUCCCGAGGAAUGCACCAUCAUUUUCAGCAAAAUCUCCCGUAGUGUGAAGGUUGUAUGAUCCAUGCUGGAUUAAUAAGUAGAAGUGGAAAGUAAAUACAUCAUCUUAUCUACAUACACAUGGUAGUAUAUGCAUCAUUGAAACUUACAACUAAUUUGUAACGACUAUUUCCCGUCUUUUGGAAUUGACAUUUUGAAUGAGGGGAUUCAUCGAAACUAAGAUGCAAAUUAAGUCUGGAAAUAUAUUACUUAAAUUAGAGAAUAGAAUAACGUAAUGUGGCAUGACAACAACACAUUAGUUGUGUGGAUAGUCACCUAGAAUAGCACUAUUAGGUAAUUUAUCAGCAUGUUCCAAUGAUAAAAACCCAUCAGAGAAUUUAUCGAUUGAAACUGUGUGCUCAGUCUCUUGUAUGAUUGUGUUUUCUGUAAAGGCCAAUCAAACUUCUUUGUGCACAGAAGAGUAGUUCGGAUUGACGCGAUCUAAGCUGCCUUUGGUGGUGUAGUAACUCUUUUCUGGCUUCAAAUUAAGAAUCCUUCCAUGUAUUAAACAGUGGAGGGAUGGAAUAAGUUCAUCAAACAUGAACUAUUGUACAAUAAAGUAGGUAAAAGUGUCAAUGUUGUUACCUCUUCAUCUACUAAUAUUAUAGUUCAUAAAGUUCAUUCAUUCCUUGAAUUCUUGCAAUGUAUUAUUGAACCCCUUCGAAUAACUAAGACCCGCAUAACCGAGUCAACAAGGUAUUUUGGUAUAUUGUUGAUCAAUAUACUCAGUUUUGCUAGUUUCGUUUCAGUCACCAUUUCAGUUAAAUAUGGAUGAAUGCAGGUACUUAAGGAAAUAAGUGAAACAAUGUUAACAUUGGACAUAAAUAUGUAUGGGCACUCUUGAUGAGGACACCUUGUUGUAAUAGUAUGCAACAUUUGGGGGAAAUUUCCUGGAGUUAAGACAUUAAUAUAUAUAUAUAUAUAUAUAUAUAUAUAUAUAUAUAUAUAUAUAUAUAUAUUUACAUAUGUUAAUAGUAAUAAGAUGUAAAGAUGCGAAGACUAUGUUUUGAAGUAUCCCAAAUAUAGGAAUUUUGUAGGUGCAAAAGGCAGGGAAUUCUGUAUGUGCAGGCGAGGCAGUCGUACUGGUGCAGCAAGGGGGAGGAUCAAAGUGAAUGUUUGGAUUGUUCUUGGAGCCAUUUUUCUGUUGGGAAAACGUGGACAAGCACAAAAGUAUAUAUGGUAAAAGUAAUGGAAAUAAAAUGGGAAAAUAACGACACAAAGAAUUUUACGUGGAAAUUCUCCUGAAUAAGGGAAAAAACCACGGGCCAAGAGGUGCAAUUGAUAUUACUAUAUUAAGGAAUUUUACACAAUGUAGUCACAAAUACAAUAAUCAAAGUGACUACUACACACUGAAAAGGAACAACACCCUUUUGAUUUCCGUCUUACUAAAAUAUCGCUCAUACUCUAUCUUUCUUCACAGGCUAUUUUCUUGUAUAGUCUAUGGAAUACCUCACUUUGCUAUCAAAAUGGUUUUUCUCUCUAACUUGGUGUGUUCUAUAAAUGAGCAAGAAUGCUCUAUUUAUGGAAGGAUAAAAUCAUGCUUAUGUCACUAAAGACAUAUGUAAACAUAGCAAAGUCAAGAAUGGUUGCAAAUCUUACCAAUUUGCCAACUAGCAAAUCUCUUAUUUUCAACUCCAAUUACUAUUCCUUUUUAACAAUUGCUUGUACCAAUUGAAUAGCUAAAGUUGGCUAAAAAUGGGAUGAAUUCAACAAAUCUCCCCCUCUAGUCCCAUUUACUAGAAGAAGGUUUCUUCAACUUCAUUAGAGAGAGCUCAUAACCACAAGUUAUUUGCAUAACUCAAAUUUGUCUUUCGGUAUCAUCUUGGUCAACAUCUCUGCAGGAUUUUCACUUGUGUGAAUAUUUUUGACGUGAAAUGAUUCAUUCUCCACUUCCUCACGAAUCCAAUGAUAUCUGACGUCGAUGUGUUUUGUUCUUGCAUGGUACAUGGAGUUCUUGCUCAAGUCUAUUGCACUCUGACUGUCAUAAUAGACAACAUACUCCAUCUGAUUCAAACCAAGCUCUUGAAGAAAUCUCUUUAGCCAUAUCAUCUCCUUGCCGGCUUCAGUAGCUGCAAUAUACUCGCUUCAGUUGUAGAUAGUGCAACACUCCUGCAACUUUGACUGCCAUGAUAUAGCUCCCCCUGAAAAAGUAAACAAAUAUCCAGUAGUGGAUUUUCUGUUAUCAAGGUCACCCCGAAAAAUUUUUCUUCUCAUUUUCUAACCCUAAUUUGACUAGAAUCGAUUGCUUUCCUUAAAUUUUACUUAGAUUUAAUUACCCAAUACUAGUGCUUUUGAUCCCAUGCACCCCUCCUUGGAUUAUGUAAAGUACUAUUGCACUUAUGCAUCCUUCCCUACAUUAUGUAGAACGCACUGCAAUUAUUUUGAUAAAUUACUUAGAUUUUAUGUGGGACCCAGACUAAAAUUUGAAAUAUCCAUCUCCAAAUUUUUCUUUAUUUCUAUCUUUAGCAACACUACAAACAAAAGUCACAUUUUUUCCUCAAAAAACUUAUGGUCUUUCUUGUUAGUAUUUUAUUCAAUUUAUUUCUCUGAUUCGUAAAGUGUAUUCCCUUAAAUAACGAAAAUAUUUUAACCUUACCCUCAUAAAAGAUAAACUUCAGCACAACACUUUAAAAUGUGUCUUUCUUGGGUAUUCUCGUCUACAAAAAGGUUACAAAUUCUUUGAUCCCUCUAACAAUAAGUACAUGAUCUCUGCACAUGUUACUUUUUUUGAGACUUCUCCGUAUUGUCCUCCUAAUACCGAAAAUCAGAAGGCCAUAUCAUUCCUUCCCAUUCUAACUAUUCCAACCCCAAAUCCACCUCCAACUCUUAAGGUCUAUUCCCAAUGACCUCAAUCUCUUGCUGGACUUGCUAAUAGAGUUGGUAUUUGUAACUCAGAUAUAGGUGCAAAAAACAAUAUAGGUGACUCAUUACCUACUCAAACAAUUUCUUCUGAUUCUAUCAAAGGACUUAUGUGAUGAUUUUCCCAUUUCUCUUCAAAAAGGUACUAGAAUGACUGCCAAUCAGACUCCCAAUUAUUCUUAUUUAAGUUAUCAUCGUUUGUCACCUUCAUAUUAUGCCCUCCUUACUAGCUUAUCAUCAGUCAAAGUUCCUACGAUUGUGACAGAAGCACUGGUUCAUCCAGGUUUACAUCAAGAUAUGAUUGAAGAGAUGAUUGCUUUGCAUGAUAAUGGUACUUGGGAGCUUGUUCCUUAACCCGAAGGAAAAACCAAAUUUUGUCGUCGAUGGGUAUUCAUGGUUAAGGUAGGUUAAGAUUGAGCUGCUGAUCGUCUCAAAGUAAUGACUGGUUGCUAAGGGAUACACUCAGAUUUAUGGCAUCAAUUAUGGAGAUACAUUCUCACAAGUUUUUAAGAUGGCUUAUGUCAGUCUUAUCAUCCUUAUGGAAGCAAUGAAUCAUUGCCCCCUUUUUCAAUUGAAAUAAAAAAUGCAUCCCUACAUAGAGAGCUUUCUGAAGGGGUAUAUAUGGAGAAACCACCAGGGUUUAUUGCUUAGGGGGGAGUCUAGACUAGGUUUUAAACCUUGUCAAUCCCUCUAUCGUCUUAAAAAGUCUCCCAUAUCACGGUUUAGUAAUUUUUGAGAUGUUUUCCAAUAUUUUGGAAUGAUCCGAAAAGAAGUAAUCACUCAGUAUUCUAUAGGCAUUCAUGUCAUGGCAAAUAUAUCUUUUUAGUUAUUUAUAUUGAUGAUAUUUUUAUCACAUGAGAUGAUUAGAUGGUUCAAUUUAGGUUAUGUGUUCUAAUUGGAGGAAAUCUAAAAUCAUGGAAAAGGAAAAAGCAAGUUGCAUAACUCGAUCAAGCGCAGAGGCAGAAUAUCGAGCUAUGGAACUAGAUACGUGUGAGCUUAUAUGGUUAAGAAAACUUAUCCAAGAAUUGAAGAUGCGUGGAGUUGAUACAAAGACAUUCAUUUAUGAUAACCAUGUUUCACUACAUAUCACUUCUAAUGCAGUGUUUCAUGAAAGAGCGAAGCACAUUGAGAUAAAUUGUCAUGUAACUGGUAGAAGAUUGAGUACAAAUACAUCACAACAAGUUUUGCCAACUCAAAAGAUCAACUGGCGGAUAUUUUCACAAAAUCACUUCGAGGAUCCAAAAUUUACUAUAUUUGUGGAAACUAGGAGCAUAUGACAUACACUUUCAAGCUUGAGGGGAGUGCUAAUUAUGGUAUUUUUGGAUAGUGAAGAUAUUAGAAUCUUUAAAUAUGGUAUGGUUAAAUAAUUUAGAUAUGAGAAUAUUCCAUAAAUCUUAAUAAGGUAGUUAGGAGAUUGUGUAAUAUUUUAUUAUCUUCUUUCCUUAUUUACACUAUCUAUAACAGUUAUUUAAUCCCAUCAAAAUGAGGGAAUUAUCAAUCAAUUCAAUUCCCAAUAUCUCUUUGAAUUCACAUUAUUUUUAGUAUGUAAGCAUGUAUCUAUUUGCAUUUAUUCUUCUUCAUCCGCAUUCUUCGCCUGUUACUCUGUUCAAUUGAUUGAACUUCUCUAAAUGGCAUGAACAAGUCUAGUUUCACUUAGGUGUGAUGGAUCUUGAUUUGGCUCUGCUAAAUGACACACCUACUGCUAUUAUUGAUAAGAGCAAUGAUGAUGAGAAGUCUUUUAAUAACUAAUGAAAACAUUAUAAUAGACUGAGUCUUAUGUUCAUGCAAAUGAUUGUCGCUAACAACAUUAAUAGUACUAUUUCACAAACAAAAAGUUUUAAGAAAUACCUAAAGUUUGUAAGAGAAUGUUUUUGUUCUGCUGAUCUCUGGUACGCUAAUGGCUGAACUCACGGCCAUGAAGUUUGAUGGAUCACGUACUAUGCAAAAUCAUAUCACAGAGAUGACUAACACUACAACAAGACCUUGGACUUCGUGAUGAAAGUGGAUGACACCUUCUUAGAUUAGUUUGUUAUGAACUCAUUGCCUCUUGAGUAUGGACCAUUCAAAAUUAACUAUAACACUAUUAAGGAUAAGUAGGAUAUUCGUGAAUUGUCUAGUAUGCUUACUCAAGAGGAGUCAAGACUGAAGAAACAAGGAGGUCAUUCUAUUAACCUAGUGGGUCAAGGAGCUGGUAAAGGACUUCAAGUGAAAGCCAAGAAUUUUAAGAAAAAUAAAGCACCUGCUAAAGUUUCACAAGAUGCUUAUAAGGAACUCAAUGUUGAUGUGUGUCGUUUCUGUAAAAAGGAAGGACACUAUCUCAAAGAUUUCCUGAAACGUAAAGCUUAUUUUGAAAAGAAAGGUACAUUUAGUGCCUUUGUAUGUUUCGAAUCAAAUUUAGUAGAAGUUUCUAUAAUACUUGGUGGCUUGAUUUUGUUGCAACUACUCAUGUAUCUACUACGUUGCAGGGACUCACUACGAAUCCAAAUUAAAAAAAUUCUUGUUCAUGGGAAAUCGCAUGAAGGCUAAAAUUGAAGGCAUAGGAACUUAUGUUUGAUCUUGGAGACUGGACAUCACCUUGAUUUAACAGACUCUUUAUGUUCCUUCAAUUUUUUAGGAAUUUGAUUUCUUUUUCAAGACUUAAUGUUUCUUGAUUUGAUUUUACGUUUGGAUAUGGAUUUUUUAAUUUAUAUAAGAAUACUAUCUUUAUGGUUCUGGUGUUUUUUAUGGUUUAUAUAAAUUUAAACUCAAUUAUAAUUAGACGAGGUUCAGUAAAUGAAAAUUUUGGUUAUUUAUGACUUUGUGGCAUAAACAUUUAAGUCAUGCAUCCAAUGAAAUAUUUAAAAGGUUAGUAAAGAAUGAAAUUCUUCCUAAUCUGAAUUUUAUUGAUCUUAAUAUAUGUUUGGAUUGCAUUAAAGGAAAACAAACCAAGCAUACCAAGAAAGGUACCACACGGAGCACUCAACUUCUUGAAAAUAUACACACUAUUUGUGGACCCUUUGAUGUUCCAUAUUUUGGUGGAGAAAAAUAUUUUAUUACCUUUAUCGAUUUUUCACAUUAUGGAUUUAUCUAUUUUCUGAGAGAAAAAAAAUCAAACAGCGGAUGCUCUAAAAGUGUACGUUAAAGAGGUUGAAAGACAAUUAGAUAAGAAUGUGAAAAUCAUUAAGUCAGAUAGAGGUAGUGAAUAUUAUGAAAAUUCUAAUGAAUCAAAACAAUGUCUAGGUCUAUUUGAAAAUUUCUUGAAAAUGGUGAAGUUGGUGGGAGUGUUGAACGACAAUGUUUGAAAAUUAAUGAGGUAAGGGUUAAUAUUUCAUUUCCCAUGAAUGUACCUAGAGUCGUCAAUAUGGGCUAGGCCUGUUGGGUCGGCCUUGCCUAACCCGGGAUUUAAUAGGGUUAGGCAAUGAUUUUUGGAGCCUAUUUGCGAAAAGGGAUUUUUAACCCGACCUGAAUAAAUCUGCUGAUUUGUGGGGCUUGAGAAAUAUCGAUAUGGUCGGCCCGUGGGACAAUGAAAAUUAACUAAAAAUAUAGUAUAAUAUUAAAAUUAAAAAAUUAAACAGAGUCCAAACUCAAAACAAUUAGAUUAAUAUUUCUAUUUAGAUAUUUAUACUUGUACUUGAAAAAAUAACUUGAUAAGUAUUAUAAAGUAAAUUUUAUUUGUGGAUUUGAUUUAAAAAUAGUAAUAUUAACAUCUUGUAAUAUUGUUUUUGUGGAUAUUUAGGAUAAUAUUUUUAAAGUAUAAUUUAAUAAUUCUAAAAAGAAUAUAAUAUUUUGAAAAGUGUGUUGGCCCGGCAAGCCUGUAACCAUGUACUUGUGAGUUAGACUGGUCAUUUUCCGGCCCACACCAAAAAUUCGCUAGCCUGGACUGACCCAUAAAAUGUCGAAGCCUGUAUGGGAUAGCGUGGGGUGGGCUAGCCCAUAUUGACAACUCUAAAUGUACCUACUUCCUCACCAAUCACAAAUGUUGUUCCACUUGUUGGAGAACACUUAAACAAUGUUCAACGACAUUUGGGUGAACACUUCAAGAAGGAAAUAAUUCACAAGCAUCUGAUGCAUAUGAACCACAAACAAUGUUAUAAAGUAAAUCGUCCAUUUCAGAUCAUUAUGUGAUUCAUUUGUAAGAGUCAGAUUUUGACAAUGAAAUAAAUAAGGAUUUGAUUUCAUUUUCACAUGCCAUAGAAAACAAUGAGUAUGAUAAAUGGAUUGAUAGCAUGAAGAAUUAAAAUCCAUGGAAUACAAUAAAGUCUGGGAUCUCAUUCAAUUACAAAAAGUUCUAAAAUAAUCGAGUGGAGAUGGGUCCUCAAGACAAAACCCGAUUAGAAUGGUAAUAUUGAACGAUAUAUAGCCAAAUUUGUUGUGGAGGGAUACACUAAAAAAAGAGGCAUUGAUCAUAAAGUUACCUUUCACGGGUUUCAAAGAAAGACUCAUUAAGAAUUAUUUUACCUUUUAGUCUUGUAUGUUGAUGACAUUUUACUUUUAGUGGGAGUAAGUUUAAUUUUUUAGUCUUGUAUAUUAAUGACAUUUUACUUGCCGCUAAUGAUUUUGACAUAUUGCAUGAGAGAAAAGACUUUCUCUCUGUGAACUUUGAAAUGAAAAAUUUGGGUGAGACAUCCUAUGUGAUAGGGAUAGAAAUAUUCAGUGAUACAUCACAAGGAUUAUUGGAACUGUCUAAAAAAAAAGGCUUUAUCAAAAGAGUUACGGGGAGAUUUAAUAUGUUUAGCAGGAAUAGUUCCUAUUAAAAGGGAACAAAUUUAAUCUUAUGUUAUGCCUCAAGAAUGAUGUAGAACGAACGGAAAUGAUCUUAAUUCCUUAAUCUUCUACUGUUGGAAGUUUGGAAGUUAUAUGUAUGUUCAAACUUGCACAAGACCGUAUCUUAGCUUUGUGGUUGGAAUGCUACGAAGAUAUCAAAGUAUUCGUGGAAUUGAUCACCAAAAAGAUGCAAAGAAAUUCUAUGGCACGUUAUGAAGCCACAAUUUAUAUAUUAUGACUGCGCUUGAGAUUGUUGACACCAUUACCAAGCUGAAAGUUAUUGUAAUAAUGCAACAAUGUUCUUCGCCACGAAUGAUAAGUAAUCCAAUUGUGCCAAACAUAUGAAAUCAUGUACUUUACUAUCAAGGAAGAAAUUCAGAAAAAGUGCAUCACUUAAGAAUAUUAGAAUUGAUCUCAUGAUUGCAGAUCUUUUAACAAAAUGCUUACAACCAAAGAUAUUUAAAGAGCAUGCUCAAAGAAUAGGUCUUUGUUGUACUUAUGAUUGAUACAUUUAUGAUGUUUUACACUAGCUCAAAUUAUUUUUUUCUUUUAUACUUUAAUGAACAUCUUGUUUCUCAUAAUGGUGUACACAUUAUUGUUAUCACAAGGUAUGUCUAUACGAGAGAUUAUUGUGGGCCAUAAAAUGUUAUAUGUUUUAUAGCUUAUGGACCUUGUAUGAUAAGUUGUUAAUGUAGCAUUAUGGAAGGAAGUAUGUAUAGCUUAAAAUUUAUGUACAACCGCCAUAACUCGCAUUAGUAGUUUUUAUGUUGUGGUAUGUAUGAUGGACAUUAUAGAAGAGAUUUAUUGUGUGUGCAACUAAUGUUCAUUAAAUAUUAAUGUCAUUGGGUGAAGUGGGAGAAUGUAAGAAUUAUUAUUUAUUAUUUCUUACUUAUAACCCAAGUUUACUUGUAAUCCAAGUAAUAUCACAAAUAAUAUUUAAUAAGGAAUAGUCGCGUCUGUACGUUGGCUACUUGAUAGACGUAUCAAAUUAAGUCAUAACUUCUAUAAAUUGAUCCUCCCUCAACCCAUUAGGAUUACCGCAUAUUCUCUACAAUAAUUCUAUCGUUGACUGUUGCGGUAACAUAAAUUUAGGGCAACAAGGUAGAAAUCAAUUUAAGACUAACACUUCCUCUUUUCUAUGUGAUGAUUUCUUCCUCAUCAAGUAUGUGCCCUUAACAAUCUCUAUGUAAAAUUAUCGUGUUCAAGAUCCUGAUAUUACUUUAUAAAGUAUUUAAGCUUACAAUGUGACCAUCAAACUUCUUUUCAAUAAGUAUAUUGAUUCUGUUAAUGUCCUGUGAUGUACUAAUGUGAUCAACUUCUUCGUUAACUAUAUAUGUAAUUCAUUAAUUUUCAAGAUACAAACCAGGGAUAAAGCUCAAACAUAUGGAAAAUGUCCAUUUGUCCAGAUUUGGUUUAAUGGUAUGUAAAUAGUAUGUAUUACUUAUAAAUUUGAAGUUCAUAUUUUUUGCAUUAUAAGUAGAGAUUAUUUUAGAUUGUUUUCUUUUAUUAUUAGGGUCUUUCUAAUGUUUCAUUUCUUUAAUAGGGAAAGCAUGACAAAAAGGUCAUAUGUUAUUAGAAUAACAAUAUUAAUAUACGUAGAUUGUGACAAAGGAUUGCUAGAGUUACGUUGAUACUUUCACUAUAUUGUCAUAUGUUAAUAUCAAGUUUUUCUUCUUGAUUGAAGGGUAAACCUUCCACCUGAUAUUUUAUAUAACUAAAAUCUUUACGAAAUAUUGAGUUGUUAGAUUUUGCAAGUUUACACUAUAUCUAAUCACUCGUUCAAAAAAGAAGUAAUUUUAUAAAUCUAUUUGCUCAUCAAUUUCAGUUUGUAUUCUUAUUGCUUAGAACUUUACGUUUGUACUGCAGUAAUUAGUAUGAUUUACAGUGUAUGUGUAUGCACUACAUGGCUUAUACGUGCAAUGCGCGUGAAGUGUGAAGUUUCAAAGUGCAGAAUUUUAAUGACCCUAUAACAAUUAAUUAGGUGACUUAAAUUCAAUGACACAAAAAAAGUGCAGAAUUUUAAAACUAUCACUAGGUGAUAAAAUAUAUAUUAUUUUAUAUUACAUUAGGUGAUAAUAAUUUCCAUUUAAUUGGCCAGAAAUUUUUAAAAAACUGUAAUAUAUUUUUUUAUUUUAAAAUAAACAGAUCUUUUUUUCAUUUUUUAGUUAAAAUGUAUUAAAUUUUAAAGCGUAAAAAUAUUUAAAAAGGUAAAAUAACAUCGAUAAAAUACCAAUUUUUUUCACCAAAAGCAUUUUUCAUAUGUUUUUUCUGUAAAUCAUAUUUUGUCUUCCUCAAUUUUAGAGACCGAAUCAGUGAUCUUCUUUAAAGUAAAUCUCAUAAACAAUUUUUAUUUUGUUUUCUUAUUUUUCUCAGUAUCUUUCCGUAUUUAAUCGUAAAGUACUGCUUGAACUAAGGUUACAACUUGCCACAGCCCGAGCCUACACAGUGGUUUGUUACCGGUACUCAAUGACCAUGUGGUCUUGAGUGGACCCUUGUCCUGACUUACUUAACUCAGCGGAAGACAACAAUCAAUAUUAUAAUGCUCAAAAGAACUGAACUAAACUGAAUAAUAAGAUAACUGGAAAGUUUUAAAGAUUUAAACAUUCAACUUGGCCAGAGUAGAAACCCAAGUCAUUAACAUAAGAAUGGUAAAGUAAAAAAUAUUGAACUAUUAAUUGUCUAUCUAUGUAGCAUUCUAAAACUGUGAUGGAUACUGGGACAGACCCCUCAACAUCCUAUAAUAAGAGACUGCAAACAAUAAAUGUGUUUUCCAUAAUGCAAGGAGUCUUAUCAUUGACUCCGAGUGAUCAAAUAGAUUAACGAGGCGCGGGAUGAUACUGAUUCUGGUUACCUUCAUUUGCUUCAUGAUACGAUGCAGGACAACAAAUAUCACUACAUUGAAUGUACGAGUAUGCUAGUUGAAAUUCUAAACAACAUAGGCUAGAAAAAGAGUGGAAAGAAACACUUACAUUAGCUUUGUUCAACUCAUGAAUAACAUAACCAAAUAAUACUGACUCAUUUCAACAUAAACCAAAUUUAAAGCAUAUGUAAUAUAACGAAAAAAAUUGUUUGGAAACAUCUUGUGAGUUCUAAAUGUAUAUAAGAAUACUAUAAUUCAUAGAUAUAUGUAAAAUACAUGUAAAUUGAUGUAUAUAACUGUGGGAGUUUGUAUAAUCAAUAAACAUCAUUUAAGAGCUACAAUAAUGAUACAACGAUCUAUCUCAUACUACUAGCGCAUACUAUAUCCGGCCAAAGGUAAAAGAACUGAACUGCUUAAUGGAUCCACUAGUCUACGUUGAAAAGGGUUCAUCUAAAAAGUAUGAAUCUUUUUUAGCAAUGGUGGCUACAUGGUUGAUGUGGGCUAUGAAUUUUCUCAAUUAUCCCCCAUAUCGAUGGACAAUGCUACUUCCAAAAAAUACUGGCUCUUAUUUUUUAAAAACAUAUUGAUUCUGUUGUUUGAGAUUAGUGCUAAAACUACUUAGUUCAAAGACUAUCUUGGAAAUAUCAAAUUCUUUAAUUGCUUCAUUUAGAAAACUAUUUCUCUUUUAACUUAAAACUAGCCCGGAAGCACUUUGAAAAAUUCAAUUUCUCUUCUUUUUAAAUGUGAAAACAUUUUAAGUUCUUUUGAGAAUACUUAGUUCCCAGAUACUGCUUUGAAGGAAUACUUCACUUUACAUUAAACUGAACCAAAGCUUACAUCGUAAAAUGACACUUAAAAUGUUUUUGAGAGACUUAUGAAAACUUCAAAUGAACUAUUCUUUCUUAUCUUAGUCCUUAAUGAAACUGAUCGUUAAUUCUUAAAACAAGCUUAGAGUAUUUGAAAAUACUUGAUGAAAGGACUUAAGGAAAUCUGUAGACUUGACUCUAACUUUUCCUUGAAUUUGGAGCUACGGAUUCAACGUUCAAAAUUUGUGUUUUUAGAUGAUUUAUAUAUGAUUAGAAGUCAUUUAGAGUAGUUAGAAUCACUAGGAAGUGAUAAAAUACCUUGUAGAGUCUUAAUCGGACUGAACUACAAAAAUUGGGCGAAGAACACCAAUUUGAACGCGUUCGGGUAUGCCGCGCCAUAUCCAUAAGUCUGAGGCACCAUUCUGGCACACUGUAGGCACAUCUCCCUAAGACCCGUAGCGUAGAUGGGGUCUGCCACUCCUGAUGCUGCCCAGAUGCAUUUGAACAAUUUUCUUAUCUCAUUUUAUGAUUCUAAAUUGCUUAUAUCUCUAUAGUUUUUUCCCAAACCCUUAGUAUUAUUAGUAUCUUCAAUACAAAAUAUAGCAUAAUCGAAAAAAACCAUAAUUACGAAUCAACUUAACAAUAGGCAAUCAACAACUCAAACGAUAAAAUUUUUAACCAUGUCUUUCAAGAACUUCACUAUUCUCAUUCAACCAAUUCAAAAACCAAAGGAUUGAAGCAAGAUUGGACUGUAGGUGAACUGACCCAACACUAAAAGAUCUCACAUACCUUGAUAUGGAUCACCCCCGAUGAAUUCCACUCGCAAACCUUGGCGUUCUUGGCGAAUCGUUGGCUUUUUCUCAAGUUCUUUUUUUCCUCUUUUCUCCAAGCCCUAAGCGUGAUUUUGAUUUUUUUUUCUAAUUUUAACUAAAACUUAAUUUUUACCCUAAAUAAAUCCUAAAAUUAAAUUGGAAAGUAAUUUAUGAAAAAAGUAUUUUGCCCUUCCUUAAAUCUGGAUUGGGACUUUCUUUACUUCAAUAACCCAAUUUCUGAUAAGCAUAUUUGCCUCAUAUGAUAUCGAAAAUGUGCAAACUCUGCGAUAUUGGAAAGAUAUCUCCCUUCAGCCAGAUCACCACUACCUCUAAGAAAAUAAGGAAAACUGUUAAAUCUUGUUGUCCUAAAUUAGAGUUAUGUUUAAUGUACAAAAUUAUUCUUUAUUAUUCCUUUGGCCUUAAACAUGUCACCUGGAAAGAUGAAAUUAAAAUAUUACCAAAAUAAGAAGAAAAGUCAAUCUUUUUUAAACAGACUAAAAUGGAAAGUGAGUCAUUCUUUUUAAAAGGGUAUUUGAGAGACUCUCUCUCUCUCUCUCUCUCUCUCUCUCUCUCUCUCUAUAUAUAUAUAUAUAUAUAUAUAUAUAUAUAUAUAUAUAUAUAUAUAUCUUAGGGUGUCAAAAGGUUGGUCAGGAUGGAGAUAAAUAUUGAUAAAAAUAAUACUCAAGGUGAUGAUUUUUCUUCUUUUUUUCAAUCUUUAGCUGUACUUUGUUUGUCUUUUGUUUUGUCAAUGAUUUUACAUUACUACUUUAAAAAUUGUUUAUUUUUGAUGUGUGGUUUGUGGGCUAUCACCCUGGAGAAGAGUAUACUAUAUGUGAACCCUAAUUAGCAAGUGUGGGUUCUGGUUGGGACAAGUUAUCUUUUCAGAUCCCAAUUUGGAUCUCACUGUAAAUUGCAUUUUCAAAAGUAAAUCAACUUAGUUUUUUUUGGGACAAUUUUCUAUGAUUUAUAUGAACUAGAAAAUGGAUGUCUAAUACAACAAAUUGAAUAGUAGAGAAUUCUAAGAUAGUGAGAAUGAGUGGGUAUCCAUGGAAGAUCUCGAAUCUAAAUAUAGAAGAAAAGGAGAAUAACAGAAUUAGAGAAGAAGAGAAUAGAUAAAUGAGGGAGAAUUUCAUUUACCCGAAACUUGUUGUUGCCUUCAAAUAACAUGGCGAGAUACUGACCCUUGUGCCUCAUCAAUUGGGAUUUAAUCUUUGUUGUUUAUCUUGUGAAGUAGUUACUCUUGUUUCGUAGUUCAACUUUGAUAUAAGCUAUACUAAGUAAGAUCAUUACAUAUCACAAAUUAUUUAUCUUAUCCAUGAUUUUUAUUCAAUGAAAAUAACACUAUAACCCAAUAAUUAUCCUCGUUUGCUACGAGUUCUUAGUAUAAUACUACAGAUGAGAUCUCUUCGUAGAUAGAAUUUUAGCUUAAAAGAACACUACAACAACUAUGAUCAUUAGUGACAUUUAAUUCUUAAUUGCCGCUAAAUAUGUAUUUUUAGCGGCAAUGGUCACUCUUUGUAUAUGUCCCUAAAGCCUUUAGCGACAUUGUUUCUUAAUGACACUUAACUAAUAUCGGUAAAGGCUUUACCACUCUUUAUUAGUGUUAAUAUUUAAUGGCGCUAAAAGUUGUUUUUGUUGUAGUGGAAGUAUUAUCAUUAAUUGUAAUAAAAAUAUUAUCCAGCUAAUGUGCAAUUAUGAAUGGAAAUCAAAUUUUGUAGUGGAGAUUCAUACUUUUAUAAUAGUAUAGAUUAUAAGAUGGAAGUAUUAACAUAUUACCAAAUACCCAAUAAAAGUGGAAAUCACUUAGCUCUGUUAGACAAGUACAUUUGGAGGUAAGGAUGUGGCGUACUUGUCGAUAAAGGUCGAGAAUCAUAAGGUCUUAGGUUUUAAUCUCAUGGGAGACAAAAAAAACACUAGCUGAUUCAUAAACUGGAAAAAACUAGCCGAUUCUUCUGAUCUUUCAUAGUAUUAGUGAAUAGAGUUAGCUAGUACUUAUUGUUGGUGGGAGGUGCUUGGACUCCACAGACAUUAAAAAAAUUGUAAUAAUAUGCCUGAAAUAUGUAACAUUUGUUGUAAAAUUUUCUUGAAUUUUAAUGAUGUAAGCAAUCAAGUUCUUUAACAUUUGUGUUAUCUUUAAUUUUUUCUUUACUUAUAACACUUUUAUAUUUUAUAGGUGAGAUGGAAAAUGCAAAUGGAGCUGAUUGGCAGGAAGAGGUUUAUCAAAAGGUAUGAUUUGCAAUAGCACUUUUAAUUUGCACAAGAUUUUCAAAACUGUGGAAAUUUGAUAUGUGGAUCAUGAAACCAAGUGUUGAGAUCAUAUUAAAUUAACUCAUGAGAUAAUUUGUUGGUAAGUUUAUAUAAAAGUCUUCAUGGUGUGUCACCAAUUUGUUUUCUUUCCCAGCGACUAAAAUCUCUAAUUACUAGUUUAAGUGAUAAACAUAUUUUUGCAAGAAGUAUAUAUAUGUGAAAAAGGCAUUUGUUCAUUUGCAUUAGUUGGUAUACUUUUUUUUGUUUUUUAUUUUUUAUUUCUUAUAAUAGAUAAUUUAAUGCUUUCGACAUCGAAAAUCAUCCUUCUCUACUUACGCGUCUUGGUUUACUAGCUAGUAAUGCGCUGGAAUAACUUUGAUUUCUCCAAGAAUAAAACAUAUAACAUGCUCUAUAUCUCCAUUUUAUCGUUUUUCACUUGUGAAACAAACAACGUCAUUAUUUCUUUUUGCUAAUACUGUAAAUUAUCACUAACAAACAAAGAACAUUACCCAUAAGGUCACCUAUCAUCUCAGCCACUUUCUAGGAAGCAUAGGUUUCCAACUAGAGAAGAAAAAUAAUUAGGCACCUAUAUUUGUUGCUAGCUUUCUUAGAUCCUAUACGUAAGUCCAAUCUUUGUAUAACGUAUUUCUUAAUCUGUACUAAUGCUAUAUCAAUAUUCACCGAUGAUCCUCUAAAAAUAUUCCAGUUCCUUGCUUUGCAUGUAUGAUAGAUCACUGUUUCCAGUUCUUCCUCCUUGUGCCUUCCAGAACUUUCUGAACCCAUUAUUGGAUGCCAUCUAUUGAUAUUGUUGGGAUAUUGCCCAUGUUGCAGCAAAAAACUCAUGGCUUAAUCCUACUUGAAAAAAGGAUUGGAAUUAUUCCCUUUAUUUGGUUUCCAAUUCUUUUAGGAUAAUGUUGGAAUUGUAAUCGUAUUUGUAGUUGGUUUUGGCUUUGUAAGAAAAAGCACAAUUUUAUAAAUAGAGGAUGGUCUUGAGAGAAUAACUAAUUACUCAUUAAUAUUGUCUUUAAAAGACAUUAGAACAUAAAAGUGAUUUUUUGAGAGAGCUUUCAACAAGAGAAAAGAGAUAAGGAAAAGGGUUCUUUUGCUGCAGUCUUUUUCUCCGACCAGCAACGUUCAUAUUGUGUUUCCCGAUUAAGUAAGCGUUGGAUCCGUAUGAAAUUUGGACUAAAUAUUUCCAACAUAUUGGUGGUUGAUUUGAACGAUGGAGAUCGAAUUCAGAGGUCACAAAGAUCCUGUUUAAGGUCCCGAACAGAAUUUUGGGUUUGGGUGGUGUUUCUUUCUAUUUAUCUUUUGUUGGAAUAGCUAUUGUUUGUUCUCUCUUGACACUUGUUGUGAAUCCAUUAGAAUAUAUUUGUAACCCUCUUAUUGGUAUAGUGAAGCAAUUUAGAUCUUGUCGAUCCCCUGGUGGUUACCUUUGGUUUGAAGGGUUUUUCCACGUCAAACUUGGUAUUCUUUAUUGUUAGAUUUUUUGUUUCAUCUUUUUGUCACAACAAGUGGUAUCAGAGCUAAGGUUAUUGAUAUGGAGGGGAAUAUGAUCAAGAGAGUAUGUCUAAUUGGAAGAAUCUACAACAUAUGGAAAAUCAAGAUGAAAGAUCUAUUGUUCGUGAUGAAGAUAUAUCUCUCGGUUUUUUCUACUCAUAAACCCGAGAAUGUGACCGAUGAAAAUUGGGAAUUUGAGAACCAUCAAGCAUGUGGAUACACAAGAAAACGGAUAGAAGAUAAUGUUCGCAACCAUAUAGUGAAUGAGACACAUGCUAGAACAUUGUGGGACAAGUUGGAGACACUUUACGCUUCAAAAACUGACAAUAACAAGUUGUUCUUGUUAAAACAAUUGAUGACCUUUAAAUACAAGGAGAACAGUCCUAUUCUUUAUCAUAUAAAUGGUUUUUAGGGUAUUCUUAAUCAGCUAUCAGGAAUGGGUGUGAAUUUUUAUGAUUAAAUACAAGGACUUUGGCAUCUUAAUACUCUACCGAAUUUUAGGGAAACUCUUCAUGUUUUUUUUUUAAAUUCUACCACUUGUGGAAAGGUGACUAUGGAAUAUGAAAAGAGUGGUGUGUUGAAUGAAGAGGUUAGAAGGAAAUCUCAAGACACAUCUUCACAUUCAGAUGUUCUAUAUACAGAAGAUCGAGGGAGACAUAAGACAAGAGAUCCGAGGAGUAGAGGUAAAAGCAGAAGCAAGUCAAAAUUUAAGAAUCCAAAUAUUAUAUGUUAUCAUUGUGGAAAGAAAGGACAUAUUAAAAGAUUUUGUAAACAAUUGAAGCAAGAUUUUAAAGAAGGGAAGAAGGAAGAAAACAAUGAAAAUAAUGUUCUUGUUGUUGUCCAAGAUGACCUUCUCUUCGCUUGUGAUAAAGACGUCAUCAAUUUUGUAUCUCAAGAUACAAGUUCGAUAGUAGAUUCUAGAGCCACAUCACAUGUCACACCAAGAAAAGACUUCUUUUCAUCUUAUACUUAUGUUAACUCUGAGAUGUAAAAAAUGGGUAAUGCUGGUGAGGUUAAGGUGUUUGGUGUUGGCACUAUUUGUUUGAAAACAAAUAUUGGUUGAAUGUUGGUCCGUCAGAAUGUCAAGCAUGCUCCAUACAUUCCAAUAAAUUUGAUCUCUGUAGGAAAACUAGAUGAUGAUGGCUAUAAUAAUGACUUGUGUAAUGGCCAAUGGAAGCUCACCGAAGGCUCACUGAUUUUUUAGCUCGAGGAAGAAAACAUUCAAAUUUAUACGUGACACAAGGAUCGAUUCUUGGUGACUCUAUAAAUUUGUUAGAGAGAGAGACUUUAUCAUAAUUGUGGCACAAGAGGCUUAGUCAUAUGAGCGAGAGGGGGAUCACAUGUUUGGCUAAGAACAAUUUGCUUGCUGGUAUGAAACAAAAAAAGGUGAAAAAAAUGUGUUUAUUGCUUAAUAGGGAAACAGAAAAGAGUUUCUUUUCACAGUCAUGCUCCUUUAAGAAAGUCUGAGCUAUUGGAGCUAGUACACUUCAGAUUUGAGUGGUCCUUUCAAAGUGAAGUCAAUAAAUGGUACACUUUACUUUUCUACUUUCAUUGAUGAUCAUUCUUGCAAGAUUUGGGUAUAUCCUUUAAAAUCCAAAGAUCAAGUUCUUGAUGUGUUUAAACAGUAUCAAGCCUUAUCUGAGAGACAAAGGGGAAAGAAGUCAAAAUGUAUUCACACUAAUAAUGGUAGUGAGUAUAUUGAUCCCUUUGAUAACUACUGCAAAUCGCAAGGAAUUCGUCAUCAGAAGACUCCUCCAAAGACUUCUCAAUUAAAUGGUUUGGCAGAGAGAAUGAACAAAACUUUAGUUGGGAGAGGUAGAUGUGUGCUUUCAGAGGCUAAACUUCCAAAUUCUUUUUGGACUGAAGCACUUAACAUUGUUGCUUAUGUUAUCAAUUUGUCUCCUGUUGUUGAUUUUGAUAGUGAUGUUUCAAAUAGAGUUUGGUUUGAUAAGGAUGUUUCUUAUGAUCACUUGAAAGUUCUUGGGUGUAAAGCUUGUGUGCAUGUUCCAAAAGAUGAGAGGUCGAAAUUGGAUGUUAAAACUAAGCAAUGUAUCUUUAUUGGUUAUUGUCAAGUUGAGUUUGGAUAUCACUUUUAUCAUCCAGUUGAUAAGAAACUCAUUAGAAGUCGUGAUGUUGUGUUCUUUGAAGAUCAAACUAUUAAAGAUAUUGACAAGACUGAGAAACUAGAUUCUCAUAUUGAUGAGAGCUUAGUUGAUGUUUAUCCAAUUCUUCUUAUUGAUAUAUCUUUUGCACAGGAUGGAGCCCAAGGUAAUGAUCCAAAUAAUUAUUAGAGUGUAGAACAUAUAAAUUUUCCUAAUUAUGAUGUUGUGGUUGAUAAUCAACCAACUCAUGGUGAGAUAACAACUUCGAAUGAUCCAGAAACCUCUUGUAGAAGAUCUACUAGAGAAAAGCAAAGCUCAACGCGUUAUUCUCCUAAUGAGUAUAUCCUCUUGACUGACAUAGGAGAACCUAAAGGUUAUGAUGAAAUUAUGUAGAUACUCAUUGAGAUAGGUAGGUAGAAGCCAUAAAAGACGAGAUGAAUUCACUUCACGAGAAUGGCACAUAUGAGCUAGUGGAACCGAAAGGUAAGAAAGCUUUAAAAAAUAAAUGGAUAUUUAGAUUAAAUCAAGAUCAACAUGCAUUUGCACCUAGAUUCAAGUCUAGGUUAGUAAUCAAAGGUUUUGGUCAAAUAAAGGGGAUUGACUUUGAUGAAAUUUUCUCUCCUAUUGUGAAAAUGUCCUCUAUUCGUAUGGUUCUAGCCUUAGCCCCAAGUCUAGAUUUAGAGAUUGAGCAGAUGGAUGUCAAGAUUGCCUUUUUUCAUGGUGAUUUAGAAGAGAAUAUCUACAUAGAGCAACCUAAAGGUUUUGUAGUUAAUAGGAAAGAAAACCAUGUUUGCAAAUUGAGAAAGAUUUCGUAUGGCUUGAAACAAGCUCUAAGGCACUGGUACUUAAAGUUUGAAUCUGUCAUUGAAAAUCAGGGAUACAAGAAAACUUCUUCAAAUCAUUGUAUAUUCUUUCAGAAGUUCUCUGAUGAUGAUUUUAUUAUCUUACUAACUUAUGUGGAUGAUAUGAUGAUUGUUGGCAAAAAAUAAAUCUAGAAUUGCAGUCCUUAAGAAAGAGUUAAGCAAUUCGUUUGCGAUGAAGGGCUUGGGGCAAGCAAAAAGGAUCUUAGGCAUGCAAAUCUAUCGAAAAAAACACAAGAAGAAGUUCUCUCUAUCCCAAAAGAAGUAUAUUGAGAAAGUACUCAAGAGGUUCAACAUGACAGAGAAAAAAGUGGUUAGUACACCUCUUGCUAAACACUUUAAGUUGAGUACGACUCAAAGUCCAUCGACUAAUGAAGAGAAGAAUGAGAUGUCGAGUAUUCCAUAUGCUUCCGCGGUUGGUAGUUUGAUGUAUGCUAUGAUUUGCACUAGACCAGAUAUUGCACAUGUUGUUGGUACUGUUAGCAGAUUUCUUUUCAAUCCUGGAAAAGAACAUUGGGGUGCAUUGAAAAGGAUACUUCGAUAUUUGAAGGGUACGUCAGAUAUGGAGUUGUGCUUUGGUAGUGGCAAGUCUGAACUAGUAUGUUACACGGACUCUAAUUUGGGAGGAAAUCUUGAAUAUUCAAAAUCCACUUCUGGAUAUUUGAUCACUUUUAGAGGGGGAGCUAUUUCUUGUCAAUUAAGACUUCAAAAGUGCAUAGCUCUAUCUACCACAAAAGCAGAAUAUAUUGUCAUUACUGAAGGUGCCAAGGAAUAGCUUUGGAUGAAGGAGUUUAUGAAAUAUCUUGAUUUUGAACAAUCAUGAUUUGUCUUAUUUUGUGAUAAUCAAAGUGCUAUUUAUCUCACCAAGCACUCUACCUUUCAUUCGAAGUCCAAACAUAUUAGUAGAAUAUAUCAGUGGAUUAGAAUGGACCUAGAAGAGAAAUUAUUUGAGGUUGAGAAGAUACACACUGAUGACAAUUAUUCUGAUAUGCUUACGAAAGUGGUUAUCGUAGAUAAGAAUGAGUUUUGUAGAAGUGCGGCAGGCAUGCAGCCUGCCAAGAGAUCAUCCACUUGAAGUCUAUUUGGCUUCUUGGCUGGAGAGGAAGUUUGUUGUGCUAUUGCCCAGGUUCUAGCCAAAGUCCCAUGGCCUAAUCCUACUUGAACAAUGAUUGGAAUUGUUCUCUUUAUUUGGUUUUCAAUUCUAUUAGGAAAAGGAUUGGUAUUGUAUUCCCUUUUGUAGUUGGUUUUAACUUUGUAAGGAAAAGCACAACUCUAUAAAUAGAGGAUGGUCUUCAGAGAAUAAUUAAUUGGUCAUUGAUAUUGUCCUUGAAAGACAUUAGAACAUAAGAGAGGUUUUUUUAGAGAGCUUUCAAAUAGAAAAAUAGAGAAGGAAAAGGGUUCGUUUGCUGUAGUCUUUUUCUCCGACUAGCAACAUUCAGAUCAUGUUUCCCGAUUAACAAACCGUUAGAUCAGGCUGAAAUUUGGACUGAGUGUUUCUAACAUCUUGGUGGUUGAUUUUAACCAUGGAGAUCGGAUUCAAGAUCCUGUUUUAGGUCCCUAACAUAAGCUGGGUUUGGGUGGAAAAAUAGGAUCUUGAAUCCGAUCUCCACCGUUAAAAUCAACCAUUAAGAUGUCAGGAACACUCAGUCCAAAUUUCAGCCUGAUCUAACGGUUCGUUAAUCGGGAAACAUAAAGUAGUAAGAUAAUAAAAUCAUCAUCACAGAACUUUUGAAAGAAUACACAAUGAUUUGAAGAAGUUUUCUUGUAUCCCUGAUUUUCAUUGACAGAUUCAAACUUUUAAAUACCAGUUCCUUAGAGCAUGUUUCAAGCCAUACAAAAUCUUACUCAAUUUGCAAAUAUGGUUUUCUUUCCUAUUAACUACUAAACCUUUAGGUUGCUCCAUGUAGAUCUCCUCUUCUAAAUCACCAUGAAAAAAGGCAAUCUUGACAUCAAUCUGUUCAAUCUCUAAAUCUAGAAUUUGGGCUAAGGCUAGAACCAUACGAAUAGACGACAUUUUCACAACAGGAGAGAAAAUUUCAUCAAAGUCAAUCCCCUUUCUUUGACCUAAACCUUUGAUGUGUAACCUAGACUUAUAUCUAGGUACAAAUGUAUGUUGAUCUUGAUUUAAUCUAAAUAUCCAUUUGUUUUUUAAAGCUUUCUUACCUUUCGGUAACUAGCUCAUAUGUGCCAUUCUCGUGAAGUGAUUUCAUGUCGUCUUCCAAGGAUUCUACCUACCUAUCUCUAUGAGUAUCUUCAUAACUUUAUCAUAAUAUUCGGGUUCUCCAUGUCAGUCUAGAGGAUAUACUCAUUAGGAGAAUAACGUGUUGAGCUUCACAUUUGUCUAGUAGAUCUUCUCUAAAAGAGGUUUCUGGAUCAUUGGAAGUGGUUAUCUCAACAUGAGUUGGUUGAUUAUCAACCACAACAUCAUAAGUAGGAAAAUUUAUAUGUUCUACACUCUGAUCAUUAUUUGGAUCAUUACCUUGGGUUCCCUCAUGUGAAAAAGAUAUAUCAAUAAGAAGAAUUUGAUCAACAUCAACUAAGCUCUCAUCAAUAUGAGAAUCUAGUUUCUCAGUCUUGUCAAUAUCUUCAAUAGUUUGAUCUUCAAAGAAAACAACAUCACGACUUCUAAUGAUUUUCAUAUCAAUUAGAUCAUAAAAAUGAUAUCCAAACUCAUCUUGACCAUAACCAAUGAAGAUACAUUGCUUAGUUUUAAUAUCCAAUUUCGACCUCUCAUCUUUUGGAACAUGCACACAAGCUUUACACUCAAACACUUUGAAGUGAUCAUAAGAAACAUCCUUAUCAAACCAAACUCUCUUUGGAACAUCACUAUCCAAAUCAACAACAGGAGAAAAAUUGAUAACAUAAGCAACAAUGUUAAGUGCUUCAGUUCAAAAAGAAUUUGGAAGUUUAGCCUCUGAAAGCACACAUCUACCUCUCUCAACUAAAGUUUUGUUCAUCCUCUCUGCUAAACCAUUUAAUUGAGGAGUCUUUGGAGGAGUCUUCUGAUGACGAAUUCCUUGCGAUUUGUAGUAGUUAUCAAAGGGACCAAUAUACUCACCACCAUUAUCAGUGCGAAUACAUUUUGAACUUCUGCCCUGUUUGUCUCUCAGAUAAGGCUUGAUACUGUUUAAAAACAUCAAGAACUUGAUCUUUGGAUUUUAAAGGAUAUACCCAAAUCUUGCAAGAAAUAUCAUCAAUGAAAGUAGCAAAGUAAAGUGUACCACCUUUUGACUUCACUUUGAAAGGACCACACAAAUUUGAGUGUACCAGCUCCUAUAGGUGAGACUUUCUUAAAGGAGCAUGUCUGUGAAAAGAAACUCUUUUCUGUUUCCCUGUUAAGAAAUAAACACAUUUUUUUACCUUUGUUUGUUUCACCUCAGCAAGCAAAUUCUUCUUGGCCAAACAUGUGCUCCCCCUCCGCUCAUAUGACUAAGCCUCUUGUGCCACAAUUCUGAUAAAAGCUCGCUCUCCACCAAAUUUAUAGAGUCACCAAGAAUCGAUCCUUGUGUCACGUAUAAAUUUGAAUGUUUCUUCAUCGAGCUAAAUCAGUGAGCCUUUGGUGAGCUUCCAUUGGCCAUUACACAAGUCACUAUUAUAGCCAUCAUCAUCUAGUUGUCCUACAGAGAUCAAAUUUAUUGGAAUGUCUGGAGCAUGCUUGACAUUCUGACUGACCAACGUUGAACAAGUAUUGGUUUUCAAACAAAUUGUGCCAACACCAAACACCUUAAACUCACCAACAUUACCCAUCUUUUACACCUUAGAGUUAAUAGAAGUAUAAGAUGAAAAGAAGUCUUUUCUUUGUGUGACAUGUGAUGUGGCUCUAGAAUCUACUAUCCAACUUGUAUCUUGAGAUACAAAAUUGAUGACGUCUUUAUCACAAGCGAAGAGAAGUCCAUCUUUGACAACAGCAACAACAUUAUUUUCAUUGUUUUCUUCCUUCUUCCCUUCUUUAAGAUCUUGCUUCAAUUGUUUACAAGAUCGUUUAAUAUGUCCUUUGUUUCUAGAAUGAUAACAUAUAAUAUUUGGAUUCUUGAAUUUUGACUUGCUUUUGAUUUUACCUCUACUCAUUGGAUCUCUUGUCUUAUGUCUCCCUCGAUCUUCUGUAUAUAGAACAUCUGAAAGUGAAGAUGUGUCUUGAGAUUUCCUUCUAACCUCUUCAUUCAACACACCACUCUUUGCAUAUUCCAUAGUCACCUUUCCACCAGUGGCAUGAUUUGUUAAAAAAACACGAAGAGUUUCCCAAAAAUUUGGUAGAGUAUUAAGAAGCCAAAGUCCUUGUAUUUCAUCAUAAAAAUUCACACCCAUUCCCCAUAGCUGAUCAAGAAUACCCUAAAACCAUUUAUAUGAUCAAGAAUAGGACUGCCCUCUUUGUAUUUAAAGGUCAUCAAUUGCUUUAACAAGAACAACUUGUUAUUGUCAGUUUUUGAAGCGUAAAGUGUCUCCAACUUGUCCCACAAUGUUCUAGCAUGUGUCUCAUUCACAAUAUGGUUGCGAACAUUAUCUUCAAACCAUUGUCUUACAUAUCCACAUAGUUGUUGGUGCUCAAAUUCUCAAUUUUCAUAAGUCAAAUUCUCGGGUUUAUGAGCAGAAAAAAUUGAAAGAUGCAUCUUCUUCACGAACAAUAGAUCUUUCAUCUUUCUUUUCCAUAUGUUGUAGUUUCUUCCAUUUGGACAUACCAUCUUGCUCAUAUUCCCCUCCAUAUAGAUAACCUUAGCUCUGAUACCACUUGUUGUGACGAAAAGAUGAAACCAAAAAUCUAACAAUAAAGAACACCAAGUUUAACGUGGAAAAACCCUUCAAACCGAAGAUAAACACCACGGGAUCGACAAGAUCCGAAUUGCUUCAUUAUACCAAUAAGAGGGUUACAGAUAUUCUUCUAAUGGCUACACAACAAGUUCCAAAAGACAACAAACAAUAGCUACACCAACAAAAGAUAAAUAGAAAGAAACACCACCCAAAUCCAGCUUCUGUUCGGGACCUAAAAAAGGAUCUUGCUGACCAUCGAAUCUGAUCUCCACCAUUCAAAUCAACCACCAAGAUGUCAGGAACACUCAAUCAUAAUUUCAACACAGUCCAACGGUUAGUUAAUCGGAAAACACGAUAUGAACAUUGCUGGUCGGGGAAAAAUACUAUAGCAAAAGAACUCUUUUCUUUCUUUCUUUUCUCUUGUUGAAAGCUCUCUCAAAAACCUCUCUUAUGUUCUAAUGUAUUUCAAAGACAAUAUCAAUGAGCAAUUAAUUAAUCUCUCAAAACCAUCCUCUAUAUAUAGAGUUGUGCUUUUUCUUACAAAGCCAAAACCAACUACAAAUAGGAUUACAAUUCUAAUCCUUUUCCUAAUAGAAUUGGAAACCAAAAAAAAGAAUAAUUACAAUCCUUUUCCAAGUAGGAUUAGGCCAUGGGCCUUUGGCUGGACCAUGGUCAAUAGCCCAACAAUAACGUGUAGUAAUGUAAGAAAUCAAGUUAUAUUAUUUGUUCAUCCAACCUAUUUCUGUACUAUUUUAGGAUUUAGUAGCAAAAGAAAGACCAAUAAUUCAGCUGAGUAUGAAAUACAUUGAUGUUAGGAGGUUAUAAAUGUGUGGUUAUGUAAGAAACCAACUUGUAUUAUUAGUUCAUCUAACUAUGUAUGUCUUAUUUCAGGAUUUAGUUGUCAACUACAUCUUUAUUAUUUCAUUGUUUACCCUUGUUUUUUACGACAUUGAAGAUAAAGGUGUAAAGUGAAAAAAUAGUGAUUGCUAUUAAACUGUGUUAUAUCUUCCAACUAACUUUACAAAAGUAUGUUUUAAUUUCUCCUGGUUGGGAUAGUCUACAAUCACAUUAUGGAAGUUGUAUUCUUGAUGUAAGUACCAAGAAGCUAAAGGAAGCAAAUAUCAGUUACUUGUUUUACCAGAAUUUUAGUCUUCCUCUUCUACUUCAAUUUUAACCUUUUCAUCUUGAAGGUUCUUUUGUGAAGAUUCUGUAGUUUGUUCUCUAUUGCAUCAUAUAGUUGAUCUGAUUAUCCCUAACCAUAUGGUAAUGCAUUAUUGACAUUUCCGGAAUUGAGUAAUCAAAAUUUGUAAUGCAAAUCAAGUAUAUGAAGGAGAUUUAUUUAUCAGACCUCAAUGAUUUAUACGAGAAAAUUGAUCAUCAAGUGCAGCAGGUAUGUCAUCAACACCCCCUUAAGUGCUUCAUCAUAGUUCCAAAUUUUGGUUCACUCCCUUUCAAGUUUCGUCAAAAGGACGCACCAUCAUUUGCAUAUUGUAUUCUAUUGGUUAUUAGAAACUCCUUCAACUGGGAACUGAUGCAGAGAGCUCAAGGCACUACAUUAUCAUUUUUGCUUCUUUAAUUUGGUUCCUUUCCUGUCGAUUGUCAUCUUUAGAAACAGUUCUUGCAUAGUUAUAAAGAGGCUAAUAUCUUUUCAUUUCUAGCAUCUGCAUUAUUUGUUUGUGUUGAAGCAUUGUGAAUGAUUGUAAAGUGGAGGUGGUAAUGCAUGGAUAUCAUAAAAGAGUGUUUUCACAUGUAAUUUCUCUGUGUUUUUUUUUUUGCUUUCGGGGAUGGAAUUUAGGCCCCCAUAGUUCUUCGGCCAAGGGCUAUAAUCAUCUGAAAAAGCACUUGAAUGAAUAUUAUGUUGAAUUGUGUAAACCUUGAGAGCUAUGUUAUGUGUCUCUUUAUGUCAUUUCUUAAACUUUACUCCCUUUUUCGUUGCCGUUGGAGGUACUUGAAGCAUAAAUUUUUAAAGUUUGCUCCCUUUUCGUUGCCGUUGGAGGUACUUGAAGCAUAAAUUUUUAAAGUUUGCUAAGGACAAGAAAAAGGACUGUGACAGAACUGAUUUCUUUUUACUGAUUUUAAGCAUAACUCUCUUCAAAAGGAGAACAUUGAAAAGCUCAAGAUGUUCAAAGUGACACUGGAACACAUUAUGCAUUUCUCGUGGCUUAAAAAGCAGGACAUUCAACUUUAUCACGGUUGAGAAGAAAAGUUUCUCUCUAAGGUUCAAUUGGGAACGCAGCGUGACUUCUUCUUCUCUACAGCAGGGGAGACUUCAUCAUGAUAACAUAAGCUCAUUUAGUACACAAAGUGGAACGAACCUCGUACAGGCAAACCUCAAAUCCGUACAGCAAAAUUCAAGCGUCCUGCCACAUUUACUUCCUAUACAGCUCGUGCAGCAAAUGAUGCCGAACAAACAAUUAAAACCUCUGUGCAACCGGCUGCUGAUACAGCAACAACUUCUUCGAAGUCAGCAGUUAAUGGAACAUCAGCAAGCUAUGAACUCACUGCAGCAGUUAAUGCAACGGAAUAAUUUCACCAACUUGCAACAUAAAUCCUUGUCUGGCGUAUAGAAAAAUAUCAACACUCAGCUAUACAUGAUAAAUUCAGUAAAGCCUGGUUUCAAUUUCGAUUUGGGACUGAGUAAUUCUUUGAAGUCCCCGCAACAGCUGUCUACUGGAUUUUUGCAACAGCUGUCUACUGGAUUGAACAAUCUUCAACAUGGUAACAUAAGCUCAUUCAGAACACAAAGUGUAACGAAUACCAUACAAGCAAACCUCGGUUCUCUACAGAAAAAUUUGAGUGUCUGGCAGAGAAUGUCGCAGAGCCAGCAAAUGUUGCAGAACCAGCAAUUAAGACAGCAGUUACACAAUCGGCAUAUGCAGUAGCUACAUUUUCAUAGUCUGAAGUUAAUUCAACAGCAGCAAGCAAAGCAAAAGUAGACCACACUAUUGCCAAUCCACCAGAUGUCGCAGCUUCAACAGCCUUCCAUGCUGCUUGAGCAACAACAAUCUCUUGAUGGAAGCAUUCCAACAAAACAAUAUUAUCGAUUUGCAAUAUGAUUGUUUGGAUAAUUAAAUUGUUUAUGAUUGUGCACUCGUGAACACUCCCUUAUUUAGAUUAUGUGAAGUACUGAAAUUAUUUUGAUAAAUUACUGAAGUUUUAUUGUGGCAACUUAGGUUGAAAUUCGAAAUAUCCAUCUUCAAUUUUUUUCUGUUUAAAUGUUUUGCAACAAUUUUACAAAGGUUCAAAAUUUUUUUUGUGGUCUUUAUUUUUUAAAAAAAUAUAUUUUCUUGAUUCGUAAAGUUUGUUUCCUUAAAUAAUUAUACUAUUUAAAUUGGACUUCAAAUAAAAAAAUUUGUUAUACUAUCUUAAUGAUAGUUAUUGUUCUUUUUGUUCUAAGAUCUCAUGUGUUCAAAUUAAUAAUCCCUUGCCAUAUAUGAAUCUUUUUAGUUAUUACUAAUUGUAUCUCAUACAUUGUAUGAACCCUCUAUCUUAAGGACCAAUAUUGUUAUUAUCCCUCGUUAUUUUAUAUACCUAGAUUUUUGACAUGUGCUUUGCACGGGAUUAUCAAUUCAAAAAAUUUAAGCUAAGAUUUGAAUGAUAAGCUUAGCACAAAAUAAUAAUACAGAUUCUUUUGUGAAUGUUCAAUGUAGAUCGUCAAAUAUAUCUCUUAUUAACACAGACCUAUAAUGAUGUUCAGUGAACAAUUUUAUUAAUUAAAUGAAAUAAUGUACAUAUUUAUUUCAAUUUGAUGAGGUUGAAUCAUGUAAGUAGUAGUAUCUUAACAAUAAUACUUUAUAAACGAUAUUUGUUGCAUGUGUUCUUGUCAUCUAAUCUGAUGUGUUUUGCACGUGUAUUCAACAUAAUCUUUUUAUAUGUCAUAUGAACAUGUAGAGAUGUCAUUUUAUUCAUUUAUAUUCACAUAUUUUUAGAUUAUCGUGAGUUUUAUUUUUAAAAAAUCAAAAAAAUUUAAAAUAAUAUAUUUUGAAGUUAGAAAUCUUGUUAACUUGAUAAUACAUUUGUAACAUAUAUAAAUGCUGAAAUAUGAAAUUUUUUCUUCGAUGAAAAUAUUGAAAUAUUAAGAAAGAGUAAAUUAGUAAAACUAAAGGAUAAUUUUUACAUAAUAAUAAUUAUUUUUAAUCAAACAUCCUUACAAUCCAAGUCACAUAAGUAGUGGUAAUAAAUAAAAUCAUUCUUUAGUCUUGAGUAUCAAGAGAGUCAUAUCAUACAUAUGUGGCGCCACCAAAAGCAAGAAUUUCCUUUUAAAUUUAUUUAUUUCCAAAAUUAGCCUUCCGCUUUGAUGAAAAGAUGUGACUUUUAUGAAAAUUUUGUCAAAGUGGCAACAUUGAUGAAAAGUUAUGACUUUAAUGAAGAGUUGUGAGUUUUAUGAAAAGUUGUGACUUUUAUCAAAAGUUGCGACUUAAUCAAAAGUUGCGACUUUUAUGAAAGGUUGUGAAAUUUCUGAAGGGUUGUAAAUUUUCCAAAUAAUUGUAACCUUUGUGAUAAGGCACAAUAAAGAUUUGUUUACACUACCAUUUAGCAUCAUAUAUUAUUAUAAGUAGGAACCUCCUAACCCUAAAGUUGAUUUACCGUUUUUCCCCUACUAUAUGAAUUAAAUAUUAAUUUAUCAAAUACAAAUAUUAGUUAAAUAUUAAAUUUUUAUAAAUUGAAUUAGCUGUCAGACCUAAUUUUAUUCUCCAGAAAUGUAUAGUUGUUCAAGCUUCCUCAGUCAUUGUAACGACCCUUUUUCCAACGGUCAGUCUCCAUUGCAGCUAUUCCAAAACCUAGAUACUUCCUUGGUCUAUACAAAUAUCUCCAACAUCAUGUCAUUGUUCCAUUAAUUUGCUUUUUUCUGUGUCUCAAUUAUGAAGACUGAAUGUUCAUUUAUUAAUGAAGGCAACAAGUUAUUAAAUAGAGUUACAAUGAAAGUAAUAAGACUCCUAAACGAACUGAACUAAAGUAAUCUAAUUAAAUAAUAACUGCUGAACUAGUAAGACAAUCCUAAUACGACUAAACUACUAACUGGCGUUCUACGACCAGAUAUUCUAAUAUGCCCCCUCAAGUUAGACGAUGUGUCACUAAGCCUAACUUGAACAAAUUAGACUCAAAAGUAGAUUUAGAAAGUGCCUUGGUAAGGGUGUCUGCUAUUUGAUCGGCACCAUGGACAUGAACAACACGAACCCUUUUAAUUUUUAAAAAUAGUGGCGAACAAAGUGAAAGUCCACAACAACGUGCUUAACACGACUAUGGAGGACAGGAUUCUUGCUCAAGAAUGUGGCUCCAAAAUUGUCACAAUAAAUUGUUGGUAGCUGAUGUACUGGAACACAACUCAUUUAGGAGAUUGGUGACCCAUAAAGUUUCAGAAAGUGCAUUAGCCACUGCCCUGUAUUCGGACUCAGUGGAGGAUCGUGAGACAAUAUUUUGCUUUUUUGAUGACAAACUAAUCGGAUUGUUACCAAGAAAUAGGAUGUAACCAUAUGUAGAAACUCUGUCAAUGAUGUCCCCACCCAAUCUGCAUCAGAGUACACAUGUAAAUUGAAUUCAUCAAUGGGAGUAACGCAUAGGCCGAUUUGAAUGGUACCCCGCAGGUAUCGAAGAACACGUUUUACAGCCUUCCAGUGAAGGUCUGACGGUGCUUGCAUAAAUUGAGAAAUCUUGUUGACUGCAUAGGCUAUGUCAAGUCUAGUGUAGGAUAGAUAUUGAAGCCUAUCCAAGACUCGGCGAUAACGUGUAGCAUCAGCCAAGUGAGUUCCAUCAGAUAAGGUAAGUAACUCAGAUGCACUCAUGGGCGUGUUGACACUCUUGCAGUCGGUCAUUAGUUCAUCAUUCAAAAUUUCAUUCACAUAAUUUGCUUGGGUGAGGAUUAUACCGUUGGAGCUGCGUAUCACUUCAACACCACGAAAGUAGUGAAGAUUACCUAAAUCUUUAAUAGAGAACUUAGAAGCAAGGGAAGUGAUAACUUGAUUGACAGUUAAAGUAUUGCUCCCAGUGAUAAUAAUAUCAUUGACAUAGACGAGGACGAACAAUGUAUCACCUGCACCAUGUCUGACAAGUAGUGAGGCAUAAGAUUUUGUCUUAACAAAGCCUAUGGAUGAAAGAUAACCCGUGAGGGCAUUGUACCACGCCCGAGGAUCCUGUUUCAAGCCAUAGAUUGCCUUACGUAGCCGACAUAUAUGCAUUGGUUUGUCAUCACUAGUAAACCCCGGAGGUUGUGCCUUGUACACUUCCUCUUCCAGGUUGCCUUGGAGGAAGGCGUUAUUGACAUCUAGCUAGCGAAGGUGUCAGUUGUGACGAACUGCCACAGAGAGGACGAUGUGAACUGUGGUGGGCUUGACGACUAGGCUGAAUGUGGCAUGAAAGUCAACGCCUGGCCUCUGAGUAAAGCCUUUUGCAACUAGGCGCGCUUUGUAUCUGUCGAUGGACCCAUCAACAUUUCUCCUGAUCCUGAAAAGCCACUUGCAAGAUACAAUGUUUUUGGUCGGGUCAGGAGGAACAAGUUCCCAAGUCUGAUUUUUAAUUAAAGCAUCAAAUUCAUGUUUUAUUGCAUAACGCCACUCUGGAUAUUUUUGUGCUUGUUUGACAGUGGUGGGUAUGACAGUGGAGUUCAAUUUGGCUAGGUAAUCCAAAAUCUUUUUUGGUUUUGUGAUAUUAUUUUGGGGUCGAGUGACAGCACAGGUAAGAGGAGACGAACAUUGAGGCGGAGAAUGUGGGAGUUCUAUCUCGUUGGUAGGACAGGCUGGUUGAGGAGCCAUAUGUGUUGGUGGGUUGGUGUUUCUACGGUGAUAGGCAAGGAGAGGAGACAAGCUGCUUUGUGUGUUAGUUGGUAUCGGCGUUUGAGAGGUUUUAGGGAGGCGUGGUAGUGCCAAACGUUAGGCAGUAGAUAUAGAAGAGGUGUUCUAGGAAGCAGGAAUUAUUGAAGAUGAGGAAGAAAAAAAUUUACCUUGAGAGGUGAAUCUGUUGCGUCUGCCGCUGAUGCAUCAUCGGAUAAGGACUGCGAGUUUGAGUUGUCUCCGGACUGGGAUGGAGAGGAAGCAGAUGGUGAUGGAAAAUCUGUAAUAGUGUGUGCUGCAAUUUCUAAUGGAGUUGGCAUAUCUGUAACUAUGGGAAGUUUGGGUGUGGGGUUCAAUGAACUUGGCAUUGUUGGUGUUGCCCAUUCAGGUGAGUUGAUUUACUGGCAACGUUGGAGAACAAUGUCUUAAAUGGAAAAACAUCCUCAACAAAUUGCACAUCUCGAGAUAAGUAAACCUUUACAGAAAUUGGAUCAAAACACUAGUGACAGUGAUGGGAUGGUGAGAAUCCAAGAUAGAAACAUGGGUUAGAUUUUUAUUCAAGUUUAUUUUUGGAGUAUGUUUUUAGCCAUAUAUAACAUAAACAACCAAAAAUUCGUAGGGAGUUAUAAAUAGGUGAUUUUCUAAGUAAUCUUUGGAAUGGGGAUUUAUUAUCGAGGUGAGAGGUUGGAAGACGAUUGAUGAGGUAGAAAGUGUGAUGGCAUGCAAAAGACCUGAAUUGGGGUGGGAGAGAUGCCUCAUGAAGAGUGUUCUUGCAGUUUCGACAAUAUGGCGAAGUCGUCGUUCUGCAAGUGCAACUCGUUGGGGCGUAUAGGGAGGGGUAGAGAGGUGUUGAAUGCCGUGAAGUGAAAGAUAGGAGUCAAGCUUUCAUACUCACCUCCACCAUUAGUAUAUAAUGAUAAAAUUUUAGUGUCAAGAUGUUUUUCCAUCAUACGACGAAAUUUCUGAAAGAUAUCUUUAACUUCACUUUUCUUUAUUAGUGUGUAAAGCCAAGUGUACUUCGUAUAUUGGUCAAAAAAAAUACAAUAAUACAAAUUUUUAUCAAGAGAUAAGACUGGUGAUGGCCCCCAUAAGUCACUGAAAAUAAUUUGAAGUGGUUUAGAGCUACACAAUGAUAAUUGAGUAAAAGGAUGUCGAUGAGAUUUAUUAGAUAAACAUGAAUUACAAUGAAACAUUUUGUCUCUCUCAUGAAACGGUAGCGAGACUUUAUUCAAAAUAAACCUAAGAAAUCUAGAGUGAGGAUGACCAAGACGUUAGUGCCAAGUAGUGAGAGGGCUGGAUGUGAAGAUAAUGUGAGCUUGGGGAUGUGAGACAGGCCACUCAUAUAGUCCAUUGUUAGUUCGACCGUGCACCAGUGGCUACCAUGUUUUCAGAUCCAUCACAACAAAGUUGAAAGGAAAAAAUUCAAUAUACUUAAGAUUGUUUUGAGAAGAUUUAGAAAUAGAGAUAAGCUUGUGUUUGAUGGAAGCGGCAAACAAAGUGUGAGUUAGCUUAGAAACAUUAUUUGAUGCAUUUAAUUUAGAAGAACCAGUGUGAGAGAUAGGAUUUUUGUUACAAUCACCCAUGGAGACAUCUUGGUUACCGCGGUAUGGUUGUAGGUUGUGCGGCUCUGUUGUGAUGUGAUGGGUGGAUCCUGAGUCAGCUAUCCAGGGAUUGGUCUCCGUUGUAAGCCCAGCGGCAUAGAUGGCUUUUGCUUCAAAGUGAUUAUGAGAUCUCGAGCGGCAACAUUGGCGGUGUGGCCAAUUUCGUUACAUAGUUGACAGCGAAUAAUACCGUUUGGAUUUGAAUUGGAUUGGCCUUGUGGUGGAGCGCUUGGACGCAAGUUCUGGCUCCAUUGUUGAGAGUUGCUGUUUUGUCUACGGUUGUUGCAAUUAUUGGAGUUGAAUUUAGUGGGAGUAUCAACUGCAGCAGUGAUGGUACUAGAUAGUUUCUUAUCAUCCUCGUGGCGGAGGAAGAGUUCAAAUUCUAGUAACUUUUUAAAUAGUUCCUCAUAGGAGAUAGGUUUAUCGCGUGCACGAAUGUCAACAGAUAUUUCACGAAAUUUAGGACCUAGACCACUAAGUAUUUUGACAAUGAGUUCAGGAUUGGAAAUAGGAGCACCAGCAGUGUCUAACUCAUCCGAAAAGGACCGAAUAGUAUGAAUAUAUUAAGUAAUGGAACGAGAGUACUUAGUGACACAGGCAAGCUGAUCACGCAGACUGAAGACUCGAGUUUGAGAUUUGUUCGUAUAAGUGGUAUGCAAGGCAUCCCAAGCUGAUUUAGCUGAGUCAGCGGCUGAAAAAGUAGGAGAAAUAGUGGGUUUGACAGAAGCCAUGCGAGCAUUCCGGAUGAGUUGAUCCUGAUGGAACCAAGUUAAGAAGACAGGAUUGGGAGAGAUAUUCGUGCCGAGGGUAUUCGUGCGACUAGGGGACGGACUGGUUCCAUCGAGAUGGCCAAAGUGGUUGUAGCCAUACAUAAGCAUGGAAAAUUGGGCUUUCGAGGUGGCAAAGUUUUGACCACCACUUAGUUUGAUGGGUAAUUGGGAUGCGGGAUUAAAUUGAAUGAUAACAUUGGUGCUUGUCGUGUUAUCAACAUUGACAACUCUGGGAUUGUUGCCAUUGUUGUUGGUCAUUGUUUCUAAUGUGCGUGAGGAGAAAAGAAUACGGGAUAGUACUCUUUAGAGCGUGAAGAGACCUGAUACCAUAUGAAGACUGAAUGUUCAUUUAUUAAUGAAGGCAGCAAGUUAUUAAAUAGAGUUACAACGAAAAUGAUAAGACUCCUAAACGAACUGAACUAAAGUAAUCUAAUUAAAUAAUAACUGCUGAACUAGUAAGACAAUCCUAAUACGACUAAACUACUAACUGGCGUCCUAAGACCAGAUGUUCUAAUAUUAAUCUAAUAUAUCUAUCAUUGGCAGGUAAAAAUAGAAUUUUCCUCCUUAUUUAUCAAAAGCUACUCUAUAUUCCCUAUUUACUAUGAGUCCUUCUGUAUCUUAUUUUUUUUCAUCUAUUUAUUAUUUUUAACAAGUUGGAUUCAUGCAUUGUUGUAUGUUUCUGCAUGUUCAAAAGCCAAGCAAACUCAUUUUGCUUUUCUGUAACGUUAUGCAUUGAGCAGCAGCCCAACAUAUAUGGAAUUACUAGGGAAAGCCCAUGGGAAUAGAAGUCGAACAUGUGCAAUCAGACACAUAUUGCAUGAAUGGUGGAAUCAAAAGCCUAAAAACACGGUACAUGGUUUGGUUCUAUAAUCUGCCCCAAUAUUUGUGUGUUGGGAAAUAUGGAAGGAAAGUUGCAGUUGCAAAUAUGGUGGCAAGAGAAGCUUAAACAAACAUAUGAUGACUCAACACAUUCUCUGGAAUAUCCAAAGUGCUAUGAAUAAGGCCAGCCUUGACAUUACCUUAGAUCACAUUUUGUGAAAAUCUUCUCAAACUAGAACCAAUUGUCAAAUGUGUAUCCAUUUGCUGGUAAUUUCCUAUAAAUGGAGCAUUGAAAAUGAACACAGGCGCGAGCUAUUGCACACUAUCUGGAAGAUCGGACAUGGGAGGUAUCUUAAGAGAUGAUUUGUUAUGGCAUUCUCUUCUUUCUUGGAGUGUGGCAGCAGCUUAGAGGCAGAGCAUUGGCAGAGCCCUCAAGGGAUUGGAUUUACGCAUUUCAGCAACUUUUUCUAGGAAUCGACUCAAUUCUCUACCAGAUGAUUGAAGGAAAAAGACAACCCAAUUACAAGCUCAAUUGGACAAAAGUCAAAUGCUAUCCAUUAGACUCAUAUACGACAAGGUGAAUUUUUUUGUUAGCUAAUUUACUUUCUUAUUUGUGCGGGGAUUUAAGUCAUCAUAUCCUAACCCUCCGUUUGAAAGGAAAAAAGUUUUAUCCAUUGUGUUGUAUGUUGAGGUAAGUCCAAGCCCUCUUUUUGUACUUAUUCUCAUGCUAUAGAACACUCCUGCUAACUAGCCGAAAUUUAAUUCAAAAAAUAGUUUCAACUACCUGAAUUUUGAAUUAGUUGAAAUACAAGUUACAUAUAAUCUAGACUUUAGAUAUACUCCUUUUUGUUAUUGGCUUUGUUCUUUCUGGUGAUGGCGUGAAAGUGUGUGAGGUUAUUAAUUGGUGGCUUCAUAAAUGAUCCGUAAAUUAAAAUGUACAUAAGUUGGAAGUUUUCGGAGAACUAUUUAUUUCUUUGCUUGGAAGUAUUUUUUUGGUGAUAAUAAGUAAUUCUUGAUGUAGUCAAGCGGCUACGCUGGGUUAACUUCUUUUAACAAGUCGUUUGAAUGCCUAUAUUAGUAUGUGGGAAUUGCUAUUUUUUCACCAUUAUUUCAUCCUCAUAUUCUGACUAUCUGUAUUUACUCAUUCCACUUGCAGUUCAAUAGUGCCUUGAGUAUUAUUAAGCACUUAUAUCUUGUUACGGUAACAUCUCCUCUUAUCCUAUUUUAUGGGUUGUAAUAGGAAUAACUACUCAAAGAUGUCAUUUUACUAAUUAAAACUCUUACACAAUGAGAUUGGUAUCACAUAAUGAUUGGAGGAACAAUAAGCAUGAUACAACUUAACAAUGCUUACACGUGCAGCUCAUGUGUCCAUGACUAGUUGUCUAUAGAUAUAGUGGGAUUUCCUCUCAUUUUUAACAACGGAAAUCCCGAUCUUCUUCUUCUUCAUGCGCAAAAUUAAAUAUUUGUGUACUUUGUUCCUGUUGAGUAAUUUACUAACACCAUUAUUUUUACAUCAAUAAGUUGGUGAAUAAAAUCGUCCAUCCCGAGAGGAUAUAUAGCUUUACACCUCUUGUAUUGGAGGGGAAUAGUUUUCUUAAAGGAGACAUUGCGCAGUAAGUGGAGUCAAUUUUUUCUUUCUAUUUCAUUCUCUCUUUACAUAUUUUGGUGUGUUUUUUACACUCAAAAUUUUAUGCUUAUGAUAUUAAUUGUUGUUUUUGAGUACAUAUUUUAAACUCUAUUGUUUAUGUUUCUGCAAAGUUAUUAUCUCCGGUUAGAUUUAAUGUAUACACAUAUUGUACGUAUACUCGUUAUGCAGAAAAUAAUUAUUGUACUCCCUUUCAAGAAUUCAUGGGUUGAUAUUCUAUAUUAAAUUCUAUAACUUAAAAGUACUAUAUAUAACCUUAAAUCUUAUCUAUUAUUACAAAUAUAUGUUUCUCACUUAUCAAUUAAAGAAAAUCAUUAUGCAACUUCAAAAGUUAUAAUUGCUUUCAUGUUCAAGCGUAAUUUCUUUUUUAAAUAUGUUAAUAUUUUUAAAUUUUCUCCUAAGACAUAUCACAAUUGUAUAACCUAUGGAAUUUAAAUGUUUCUUUUUAUUAGGGAGUGCCUUUGUAUAUAUACUUAUUUUCUUCUUUAUUUUCCUUUUAAUGUUGAUUAAAAAAUCAAUGAUUUAUUAUUUAGUGACUAAUUCAUUCAGUUUAGGUUCUUGAGUUAUGUAAUAAUGACAAAUAAUUAAAUUCAUGCUGAAAUAUUGUUAAUAUUUUUUAAGAACCUAUUUUCUUAUUAUUUUUAAUGUACGUAUAUUAAAAAAAACUAUUUUCAAGUUCAAUUAACAUAUUAUUUAUGAUCGUGCAAAGCGCAGACAAAUUACCUAGUAUGUGAUAAUUCUCUAAUUCUGGAGAAGAUUAACAAUUUUGAAAAAAUAUAUUCAAAAACAUAUAUCUACACCAUAAGGGAAGUUGAGAAUAAAAAUAAAUUCAUUUAGUCUACAAUAAAAAUGAAAACAAUACAAACUUUCUCUGGAGUCAUUAUAAGUAAUAUGAUCUUUGCUUCGUCCAAAAUAGUGAAAUAUUAAGAAAUAGUUAAUAAGCAAAAUAAAGGCAUAAUACAUAAUCAUGAAUCUUAGCUUGGAUUCAACAAAGAAUUAUGCCCUCCAACUUUGAGUAUGGACAAGUGGAUACUUAAAUUUGUACAAAAUUGAAUAUGUAGACACGUGUCGUACAUGACAUAAUACAUGUAGGACACCACAUAGGACACUAAAAUUUCAUGUAGGGUGCCAUGAAGGACGGAUGUGUAUUUAUUCAAUUUUGUACAAGUUUAAGUGUCUACUUGUGCACAUACAAAGUUAAAGGUUAUAGUUUCCAGUUGACAUCAAGUUAAGGGUCUUACAAUGUAUAUAGAGUAAUAACUAAUUUGAACUAAACCUCCUUACAAUCUAAACGACCUAAGUAACAUUGAUAAGUAAAGUCAUUAUUUUAUCUUGGGCAUCAAAAAAAGAAAUUAUGACAAUUCUCUAACUUCUGUGAAUUUUAAUAUUUGUGACUUUUUUUGGCAAGAUUAAUUAGAAGAAUAUGAAACAAAACAUACUCUAAAUUAGAGUAAUAUGUUAAGAUACAAAAAAUAUGUCUAUUAAUAUAGAUUUGUUGUCCUUAUGACUGUGUCAGGUCAUUGUUGAACAUUUGAGUUAUCUAGGUUAGACUCAUUUUUAAUAUUUUUAAAGUCCAGGAAUAUUAUUUAACAUGAUUUUAGAAUCCAACAUUUUGAUCUACGCGUACUUUCAUAAUGCAACAAUUUUACAUACAUAUUUAUGAAAAAGUCAUAAAGUUGCAUUGAUGAAGUAUCUAGAAGGGUCUUCAGAGCACCAGUUUAAUGAAGAAUGAAUUUCUAAAAGGGUAAACAACAUUAUUUUGAUGUUGUUUCAAAUUUACUUAUCUCCUUCUAUAAAUUUUGUUAGAGUAACAAAUAAAUAAUAAUGAAAGUGGUGAACGUUUGACCUUAGACAAGUAGAUUGUAAGAAAAAAAUUUAUUCAAGAUCUUGUGGUGUACAUUUUUAACGCUAUUUCUUAUUUAUGACUAAUAUUGAUUAUCGAAAAUUUUUACAUAAUUUUUUUCAAUAGAAGUUAUUCAAACCAUAAAAUUAUCAGAUUAUAUAUUUUUCAUGUACAAAAAAAUAGAAUAACUGUGUUUAAUCACUACAUAAAAACAUCACUCAGUUUUAACAAUACAAUUAUAUAUCAUCAAACAUAUAUUAUGAGAAAUUAUGUCAAAGAUUAAAAAAUUUAUUAGAUAUCAAGAUAAUUUUAAUCAUUCAUUAUAUAUUUAGAAUUCUUGAAAUAUGUGAUAAUGUCAAAUCAUUUAAUUUAUGUAAAAGUGUUCUUAAAACAUACUAAAAUUAAUUUCAUUUUUAUUAUAACAUUCGAUUAUCGGAACAAUUGUUCAAAAGCAUCGAGGGAUUUAAAUUACCUAGUAUAAAUAAAAGAAAAUAUUUUCUUGAAGAAUAUUAUCAUUACUUGAGUGAACUUAAUUUAACAAAAACCAAAGUUGAUAGAAAAUAUUACUACUGCCUUUUUCCUAUUUCAUAUGAGUUUGUUUGACUUAUUUCAGAGUUUAAGAAAAAAAAUUUUGAAUAAUAUUUUCCAAAAUAAAUGAAAGAUAUUUCUGUUGCUAUAGCUCAUUUCAUUAAGUAUAAAAAGGAACACUUUGAAAUUAAAUUCUUACUCAAUAUAAAAUUGUUUAUUCAUUUUUGGGCUGGCUAAAAAGAAAAGUAAUUCAUAUAUUGGAGAAAGAUAGUAUUUGAGAAACUAUACAAAAAAUUAACUCAAUAUAUAUUAUAGGGUUUUUGUUUAGUUCAUGAAGUUAUAUAUUAUAUUCUUCUUUAUUGCCUAGUACUCAGACAGUACUACUAGCUCGUUCACUUGAAUCAUGUUUCAGUUCACUUGUUUACUUUCAAGGUUUCUAACUGUUUUGCAUAUUAACAAUCUUGCAUAGUCCUCAUUUAGCUCUAUGAAGAGUUUGUGGCUAUUGCUAAUGCAAAGUCAUGAUUACAGAUAUAAUCACUAGCAUGUUUUUUGUUCUCAGACUAUCAAGUUACUCUGAAAUCGGAGUAGGAGAAAAAAAAGAACUUUUGAGCAUAUCUUUGUUUUAGAGGAUAUUUGUAAGACGGUUAUGGAGCUAUUUGCAGGAUCAAUUCAAAUAGAGAAACAUGGUAUUGUCGAUUCCAACUUGUUUGAAAUUGAGACACAGUAGUAGUAGUUAAUGUUUCAGUCUUGGUAUAAUGUUAUUUUUCAUUUUUUUUUGGUUAUUUCCAUCCCAAUUUUACGUUAAUAGUCAGCUUACUGCAAUCAUAUUAUGUAGAUAGGUGAAUUUUUUUUAUUGAUAUGCCCAUUACGUAUUAAAUCCCUUUAUAUACUUAAUCCAAUAUUUUCAUAUUAUGUUUUGUUAUCUCCGUCACCAAACUCACUGUUUUCCUCUACUGGGGAUUAGGGCUCAUGCAUGAAAAUUUUGGUAAUACACAUCAUCAUUAGUGGCAAAGCCCAAUAUAGUCAACUAUCACCAAUGCACUGAAAAAUGCAGAUACUAUGUGUUGUGUUGAAUCCCUAAAUAUUAUAUCAAAUGAUUAAGACAAUCCACAUUCAUAUUUUUCUAUAAAAAUUAUCCCCUCACAAAAAAGAAAAACGAUUUUUGCAGCGUAUGUUAAUUAAGUCAUGAUGUCAUGUUAUGAAUUAAUAAAUGCAAUUGAGUAAAUAUAUAUAUAUAUAUAUAUAUAUAUAUAUAUAUAUAUAUAUAUAUAUAUAUAUAUAUUGUAAUUAGAAGGAUUCUCAGUAUUUUGUUUUGUUAUUUCCAUCACAAAAUUCAUCAGUUUUACAUUAGUAAGCAGCAUACUGCAAUCAUCUUCCUCUAUUGUGGCUUAUCACUAAAAUCUUAUGCACAUAAAGUUUAAAUAAUAUUCAUCAUCAUCAAUGACAGAACAACAUUUAUUCAAAAGGUGUUAAGUUGACGAGCUCAAGAGUUAUGUUGCUUCACAUAGGAGAUGCUACACUCAAUAUGGUACGAUUUCAGUUUACUGUUUACACUCUCUGAUAAUAUUCUUAAGAAUAAAAGUUAAUCACUAAGAAGAGAAAAUUAUUGAAUUCUCAUUUGUUGUGUCAAAUUUGCUAAUAAAUCAAGUUCGACUUUAAAUCUAGCUAUACUAAGGUCUAAACUUCUCUUGAGUAGCUAUAUCAACCACUAUUGUCUUGCCAGCACCCGAUCCAAUUGACAACAAUAUUUGUUUUACAAAAUUUCCAUAAUGAAAUGCUUAUUUGACAUAUAUCUGAUGCAUUUUGCGGCCACGUUGUGCAUAAGUAGAAAUAAUUAAGAAGCAAUCUGAUUGUGUCGAUCCUAGCAACUGGAGCGAAAGUGUCAAAAUAACUAUUAACUCCAAGCCUGGUUUUAUGCCUGUUGGUUGAACCAUCAACGUUUAGCUUAGCUCGAAAGUCUAGAGGCAUGUUUCAAAUUGAACCAUUUAUAAUUAUGUAGAAGUAUCAUGUUAUUCGAUUCCGUCUUUGCUAACUUGGACCAAUUUUGAGCAUGUUGGUAGAGUAGUUGCUAGGCUAAUGUUGUGAACAAGAGGAUUUUGUGGUGGAAGACACUUGGAAAAGUCCCGUAGGUAACCGUUGUAACCAAAAUAUUUGGCAUUAUAGUUAUAUAAUUUAUGUGAACUAAAUAUGGAUUUCCUAUUUAAUAUUGUAGACAAAUUUUCAAGCAUUGUAACUUGAACUUAGUAUAGCGAUGUAUUUUGUUUGAACUAAUUAAGGAUGCCCUAUUCGUGAAGAAAAAAAAUCAAAUAUGGUUUGAACGUCUAUGAAAAUUUUUGGCAAAAAUUACGGCGGAUCACCACAAAAGAUGGUGAACUAUAGCACACGAAAAUUGUUAAAAUUGGGGGUUUACCUGCUUUGGGGCUCGUUUGACCUUGAAAACAAGUCGUUUUGCCCUUAGGGCCAAAUGGCUUCAUACCUAACGUCUUAACAGCGACUCUCAAAAAUUUGGAUGACUACAGAGUUUCAUAUCACCAAAAAUCAAUGGACUAUAGCACACAAAAUUCGACAAAAUGUGUGUGUGGGGGGGAGGGUUACAUGCUCUAAGGCUCGUAUGACCUUGAAAAUGGAUCGCUUUGGCCGUCAAGUCCAACUAGCUCCAUAGAUAACGUGUUAAUGGACGUCCACAAAAAUUUUGAGAAAAAGUGACGUUUGAAUUGCGAAUCACCAAAAAUCCAUGCACUAUAGUACACGAAAAUUGGCAAAAUGGGGGAUUUACCUACUACAAGGCUCUUUAACCUUGAAAAUGGGUCGUUUUGGACAUCAGGGCCAAUUGUCUCCAUUUAUAACAAUUUAAUGGACGUCCACAAAAAAUUGAGGCAAAAAUGACGGCGGAAAUCAUGAUGACCAAAAAAAUGGUGAACUAGCACACGGAAAUUGGUAAAAUGAUGUUUUUACGUGCUCUGGGGCUUGUUUAAAUUUUAAAAUAGGUCGUUUUGGAAAUCACGACCACUUGGCUCCAUUGAUAAUGUCAUAAAAACGUUUACAAAAAAUUUGGACAAAAUAAUGUCGGAAUUCCAACUCACCGAAUACCCACGAACUAUAUUCAAAUGUUUUAGUCAAAAUUCAAUGACAAUAUUAAUAAAUAUACAAAAUUUGUAUAAAAUUAUCCAAAUCUCAGAUACCAAUAUUUUAUGUCACUAGUUUAGAUAUUUGAAUCCAUAGUUCAAAUAUGGCUUCCUAAAAUCCAAAUUAUCUUUCACACUGUCUGUAUAUAACCUCCGAAGAAUUUCUUGGAUAAAUGCAUAUGCAUGUAUAUUUAAAAAUAUUAUCAAAUGAUUAAUGAUGAUAUAAAUUUAAUAUUUUUCUAAAUAUAAACGAUCUCACCCCGCCAAAAAUACUAAUAAUUUAUUUCGUAGAAUGUUUUUAAAUAAUGUCUGAAGUCACGUUUGAAUUAAUGAAAUACUAUUGAGUGAAUUUAUGUCAUAGUGAGAAGAUUUUUCAUAUUUUUUUUGGUUAUAUCCAGCAUUAAAUUCACCAGUUUUACGUCAAUAGUCAGUCAACUACAGUCAUAUUAUGUAGAUAGAUGAUUUUUUUAUAUUGAUAUACAUAUUAUGUAUUGAAUUCCUUUAUGUACUUACUCCUAUAUUUUCAUAUUAUGUUUUGUUAUCUCCAUCACCAGAUUCACCAUUUUCAUCUACUAGGGAUUCGAGCUUAAUGUUUAUGCACAUGUAAAGUUCAAGUAAUAUGAAUACAUACCUUAUGGUAUAUAUAAACCUUAAAACAUGUGAUAUUUUUUUAUUCCCGUCACGGACUUCACUAGUCUUUUAUUUAUUGUUAGUCUACUGGAAUUAUUUUCCUUUAUCGAGCAUUAGGACUAAAAGAUCAAGCACGUAAAAUUAAGGCAUAAUACAUUUAUUGAACCCUAAACUUGAUCAAAUUUUAUCUUUGACCUCCAAUUUUUAUAAUGCACAUACAGACACUUUAACUAUCCAACUUUUAAAUAAAUAAACAAAUGAGUCCUACAUGACACAAUACAUGUAGGACACCACGUAGGACAAAAAAUGACAUGUGUGUAUAUUUGUUCAAUUUUAUACAAGUUUAAGUGUCUAUUUGUGCAUAUCAAAAAUUGUAGGGUAUAAAUGUGAUUUGAAGCCAAGUUAAGCGGCACAUUUACGUAUUAUGCAUCAAAUUUAAAUAACACACAUCAUCAUUAGCGACGAAGUCAGAUAUAUUAAAAAAGCGUCAACUAUCACCAAUUAAAUAAAAAAUAUAGAUAUUAUGUGUUGUGUUGAUUCCCUAAAUAUAUAUAUCAAAUAUUUAAGACGAUCCACAUUCAUAUUAUUUCUAUAAAAUUUACCCCCUUAUAAAAGAAAAAGAUUUUUGUAGAAUGUUUUAAAUAAGUCCUAAAAUCAAGUUAUGAAUUAAUAAAAUCUAAAAUCACGUUAUGAGUUAAUAAAAUACUAUUGAGUGAAAAUAUAUAUUGUAAUUAGAAGGAUUUCUAGUAUUUUAUUUUGUUAUUUCGAUCACAAAUUUACCAGUUUUACAUGAACAGCAAGCCUGCUACAAUCAUAUUCCUCUAUCAUGUCUUAGCACUAAAAACUCAUGCACAUAAAGUUUAAAUAAUAUUUUGUUGUUCAUCUUGUAUUUCAAACAUACUUAGAACAAAACAUUGAACAUCUUUGUGAGACAACAAAGUUUAAGAACAUUUUCACAACUAGAAAAUUUAAUACAAGUAGCGAAACUAGAAUCAGAAAUAGAUUUCAAAAAAAUAUACGAAAUAUAUUUCUCAAAAACAAAAUAGUUGUUAAUAUGUGCCUAAAGAAUCUUACUGAUUCCAACAAACUUUGCAGAAACACGAAGUUACCAUGUUUAAUGAACCAGUAAAGAAAAAAAGAAUAGAAUAACUGAAAUUAUUUCAAAAAUCUAAUAUUUGUAAAACACGUAUCAGAAUCUGGAAAAUUUUUAAUAGGAAAAAGAUCAAGUCCACUGAACUCACAUUGUCCCCUUAAGGAAAUUGUUCCCCUCUAGUAUCCGCGGUUUGAUUUGGAAUAUGAUCCCCAGGGUAAAAUGAUCUCAAUCACCAGAGUGUAGAUACCAAAAACUCCGGUGUCACCGAAUCACUCAACGGCAAUAACGUACACUUAGAAUACUAGAUUUAGUUGUUGAAGAAGAAGCCUAUGAAUUCUAUAUUAAAAUGAGAGGAAAUUCCUCAAUUUAUAGAAAACAAAUGGUAGUACAAAAAGAUUCUCAUUGUGCCUUACCGGAAAAGUCACAAAUAUUUGGAAAAGUUACAAUCUUUCAGAAAGGUCGUCACCUUUCAUAAAAGUCACAAUUUUCCAUUAAAGUCACAAUUUUUAAUAGAUUUCGCAAGCUUUUCAUAAAAGUCACAUUAUUUCAUAAAAGUCACAACUUUUCAUAAAAGUGGCAACUCUUCAUUUUCUAUUCACACCUUUUUAAAACCCAACAUAUUCAUCAUCAUUAAUGACAGGACAUGUAUUCAAAAGGUGUCAACUGAUUGACUAAUGGCGGAGUAAUCAUAUAUUUAGGGCUUCAUCCGAACCCCUUAAGGCGAAAAAUUAUAUUGUUUCAUAUGGUUAAAAUAAUUUUUUAGGUACAUAGAGUAGAUGCCGAACCCCCUUCGGCUAGUUCAUGUGUGUAUUUCUCAAGAUUUUGAACCCCCUUAUAAAAAAAUCUGGCUCCGCCUCAGUGAUCAAUACAACUCCAUUGAAAAAGUAUAAUGUAGAUAUGUGAAACGAGUUAUCAUGUUAGUAAAAUCAGCUUUUAGCGACAAAACAUAUGCACAUUUAUAAAGAGUGCUAAAGUUUUUACCGUAAUUAGUUAAGCUCCAUUUGAACCAAUGUCGCUAAAGACUUUAGAGACAUAUACAAAGAGUGUUAAUUAUCACUAAAAAAUACAUAUAUCAUUUUUGAUGAGUGUAUGCAUAUUAUAAGAGCCAAAGCAAACAGGAAAUGAUCCCCAUAUAUAACUAUACGGACAUACUUUGUUGAAAGUUUGUAAGAGAACUAUUUUCUUUGUUAAGUUUAUUGUGAGUUUAACCAUCGUGUCAUUAUGAUAAUUUCUUUGACCCAUAAGAGGAAAAUAUACCCCUAACAAACCUCUUUAAUUUCUUCUUUUAUAAAAACAACAGAUGCAAUAUUCAUUUAAUUAUAGCACCUAAAAGACAAAUUCAGCAGUUUUAGUCAACAUUCAUUGACAUUAGUAUAUAAAAUAUGUAUAAAAUUUAUUAAAAGCUCAGUUGCUAAUAUCUAAUGUCACUAUUAUAGAUAUUUGUCAUAGUUCAAAUAUGGCUUGCUAAAAUUCAAAUUAUCUUUCACAUUGUCUGUAUCAAUAACCUCCAAAGAAUUUCUUGGUUAACGUAUAUGCAUAUAUAUUUAAAAAUAUUAUCAAAUGAUUAAUAACAAUCUAAAUUUAACUUUUUUUUCUAAAAUAAACAAUUCUACGCCGCCAAAAUAAUAAUAAUUGGUUUUGUAGAAUGUUUUUUGAAUAAUGACUAAAGUCGCGUUAUGAAUUAAUGAAAUACUAUUUAGUAAAUAUAUGUCGUAGUUAAAAGAAUUUUAAUAUUUCGUUUUGUCAUUUCCACCACUAAAUUCACCACUUUUACGUUAAUAGUCCCCAUACUUCAAUUGUAUUAUGUAUAUAGGUGAAAGUUUUUAUUGAUAUGCAUAUUACAUAUUAAAUCCCUUUAUAUACUUAAUCCUAUAUUUUCAUAUUAUGUCAUGUUAUUUCCAUCACCAAAUUCAUUGUUUUCCUCUACUGGAGAUUAGGGCUUAAUACUUACACAUACAUAAUUUUAGAGUAGCAUCAGUAAUUAAGUUAUGGUACAAUAUAAACCUUAAAUCAUGACAUAUUUUAGUUUGUUAUUCCCAUCACCAAAUUCACCAGUCUUUUAUUGAUUGUUAGCCUACUGCAACGGUUUUUGUUUAUCGAGCUUUAGGACUAAAAGCUCAUGCACAUAAAAUUUAAGUAAUACACAUCAUCAUUAGUGGCAAAGCCCGAUAUAUUAAAAAAGUGUUAACUAUCACCAUUUCACUGAAAAAAUAUAGAUACUAUAUGUGUUGUGUUGAAUCCCUAAAAAUUAUGUCAAAUGAUUAAGACGAUCCACAGUCAUCUUUUUUCUAUUAAAGUUACCCCUCACAAAAAAAAGAUUUUGUAGAUUAUUUUAAAUAAGUCUUCAAAUCACGUUUUGAAUUAAUAAAAUACUAAUGAGUGAAUAUAUGUUGUAAUUAGAGGGAUUCUCAGUAUUUUGUUUUGUUAUUUCCAUCACAAAUUCAACUGUUUUAUGUUAACAGUCUAACAUACUGCCAACAUCUCCUCUAUCGUGGCUUAGCACUAAUAUCUCAUGCACAUAAUGUUUGAAUGAUGUUCAACAUCAUCAAUGAUAGAACAACAUGUACUUAAAAGGUGUCAACAAAUACCACUUCACUGCAAAUUUAUAUUAUGUAGAUAUGUUAAAAGUUUUAUCACAACAAUAAAAUGCGCUUUUAGCGACAAAAAAUGUACACAUUUACAAAAAAUGCUAAUAUAUUUACCAGUAUUAGUUAUUUUUCAUUAUAGCCAAUGUCGUUAAAUGCUUUAGGGACAUUUACAAAGAGUGUCAAUUGACGCUAAGUUACAAUUAAGCUAUUGCGGUUAUUUAAUUGCAGCUAAAGAUCAUUUUUGGUGUAUUGACAUAGUACGUAUUGAAUCUUUUAUAUAUUUUCUCGUACAUUUUGUCAAAGUUUUUUAUGUUAUCUCCAUUACCAAAUUAGCGGAUUUUACGUUAGUAGUCAACCUACUGCAAUCGUUUUCCUCUAACAAGGAUUAGGAUUGAGCUCAUGUCUGUCUUGAUAUCAAUAUUUACCUUGUGGUACAAUAUUAACCUUUCAACAGGAUAUAUAUAGUUUUGUUAUUCCCACUAUCGAAUUCACCUAAUAUUUUUCAUUGACUAUUAUCCUAGUGCAAUUGUUUUUUUAUAUCAAGGCUUAGGACUUAAAACUCAUUCACGUAAAAUUUGAGUCAUAUACAUCAUUAUGAUCAAUAGCUAGCAGAGCCACAUGUAUUAAAAAAAAGUCAACUAAUACCAGUUCACAGAAAAAGUUUAUAUACUAUGUGUUGUGUUAAUCAAUAAAUAUUAUAUCAAAUGAUUAAUGACGAUUAAUUUCAUAAUUUCAGUGCAUUAUCUUAAAAUUAACUUUCCAGGUAAUUAUUCAAUUGAUAAACCUCAAUAAUUUCUUCUUACUUAAAAACAAAAAAGGGAAUAUUCAUUUAAUUAUUGCACUUAAAAGUCAAAUUCAGCAGCUUUAGUCAAAGUUUAAUUGAUUCUAUUAAUAAAUAUUAUAUCAAAUGAUUAAUGACGAUUCGAAUUCAUUAUUUGAGUAAAUUAUCUUAAAAUUUACUUUUCAUGAAAAAUAUUUAAUUAAUAAACCUCAUUAAAUUCUUCUAACAUUAAAACAACAAAGGCAAUAUUCAUUUACUUAUUGAACUUAAAAGUCAAAUUCAGCAACAUUAGUCAAAGUUCAAUUGAAUCUGUUAAUAAAUAUUAUAUUAGAUGAUUAAUGACGAUUCAAAUUCAUAAUUUGAGUGAAUUAUCUUAAUAUUAACUUUCCAAGAAAAAUAUUUAAUUAAUAAACCUCAUUAAUUUCUUCUUACUUAAAAACAAAAAAAGGCAAUAUUUAUUUAAUUAUUUCACAUAAAAGUCAAAUUUAGCAACGUUAGUCAAAGUUUAAUUGAUUCUAUUAAUAAAUAUUUGUAAUCUUUAGUAAAAUUUAUUCAACGCAUUACUAACCUACGUUAUUUCAAUCUGUCUAUAUAUAACCUCCGAAGCAUUUCUUAGAAAAACAUAUAUUUUUUAAAAAAAUAUCAAAUGGAAGAUCCAACUAUCAUUGAAAGAGUGGAGUUGUUGGUUUCACCACUUGGUGGAAUUCCACAACGAAGAGUUGCCCAUUUUUUAGACCCAAUUGCUACUUCGACUGAAGUACCAAAUUCGAAAUAUCAUUCAAUCCACUUUCCAUUUGAUCAAUCUGAGUAACUAUUGAAAGUCACGUUUCAUGGUUGCAAUGGAUGGAGGGAUAAACAAAAGAAAUUGAAAGAAUGGGUUGAAAUGAUUGAGUCUAUCCAUCGCCUGUAUUUAUAGUUGUAGGAAUUUAUGGAGCGCUAAAAGGUUCAACUUAUAGAGUCCAUACCGACGAAAAUUUCAUAUUUGGGUUGGUAGAGAGGUGGUCUUGUGAGACCAACAGUUUAAUGUUUCCAUGGGGUGAAGCUACUGUUAGUCUUGAAGACAUUAUGGUUUUUGGAGGGUUUUCUACUUUGGGUGAUUGUGUUAUGUCCCCACCCUUCAAUUCCCUUGAGUUGGUAGAGAUUGAAGAGUAUCUUGAGAAUGCGAGAGGAGAACUUAUCAGAUCAAAGACAAAUAAUCAGAGUAGGUGGUUGAAUUACUUCAUGAAUAGUGGUAAGGACUACGAACACGAAGAUUUUCUUUCUCUUUGUUUAUCAAGAUUUGUGUUUCCAUGUAUAGUAGGUUCUCCUAUAUUCUCGAUAGCUGUUAAUAUGGCUGGAGGUAUGCGACUAGAGCUUUCUCCUGGUGUUCUUGCUAGUGUAUAUAGGGACUUGGGGUCGUUAAGAAAGGUUAUGAUAGAGACAGGUAGAAGAAAUAAAGACAUGAUUGAGAUUCAUAAACUUAAUCUUUGGUCGCCAUUGUUCUUUGUUCAAGUCUAGGCUUGGGAGAGGAUGAUAUCUUUGUAGCUAGAGCGCGUUCGAAAAUACAAUUUAGUUAGUGGGGUCAGAAUAGGAUGAUGGUACAAUGUGAAACUAAUGGUGAAAUUAAUUUGAGGACUACUAUUGAUGCAGCUGGGGAGAUUUUUAUGUGGAGGGCAUACGCCUUGGCUGUGGAAGGUUAAUCAAUUUUCCCCAAGUUUUACAAGGAAAAUGAAGAGUGGACAAUAGUUGGAGGGCAAAAUUUGGAUCAAGAAAUGGAGUCUUACGUUCGAUGCUUGAGGGUUUCUGAGCUUGUUGGUUUAGAUUUUCAAGAGCCUUAUCAACCAAAUCGGGUAGCAAUGCAGUUUGGGUAUGAUCAAGACUUCCCUAAAUGGAUUCCACGCUCGCCUUCAAGUUCAAAACUUGUGUGGUACAAUUACAACAGACCUAUUGAUUCUGAUUUGAGGUUAUACUAUCCAUCUAGGCUGUUUGAACCGUAUGUAACAACACGGUAUUUGAAAUGGUGGAGAAACGAAAUUGAUCGUCAAAUGGAGAAUUACCUUGAAGUUCCUCCUGGUUUUCCUCCCAAUUAUUGUUGGAAAAAUGACUAGAAGAAUUACCUUGAUUUUCCUCCUGGUUUUCCUCCCCAUUAUUGUUGGAAAAAUGACAAGAAGAAUUACUCUAAUGUUUCUCCUCGUUCUAUGCAGAAGCAUAUUGAAUAGGAAACAGUUCAUAUUUCCAUUGAUGGCAGUGGGAGUAGCAGUGCAAGAAGCAUGGAAAGGAGCAAAGCUCUAGUUCUAACAACAACGUGUACCAAAAUAAGUGAAGGCAAUAUGGCAAUGGGAAACCAUGAAAAAGAGAGCGGUGCAUAUGAUAUGAUUGAUAUUUUGAAACUUUAGAGGAGGAUUAAAAACCUUGAAAACAUCAAUUCUUAAAAAGGUUCCAAUAUUCAGGACAAAGUGAAAGCAAGAUUAAGCUAAACUAUAGUACUAAUAUAAAGUGUUUGUUUAGUUUAUAAAGUUAUAUAUUAUAUUCUUCUUUAUUUCCUAGUACUGAGACAAUACAAGUGGCUCGUUAUUUUGUUUAGAUCCUUUUGUAACUAUCUCAGCUUUAGUAAAAAACAUUCACUUGAAUCAUGUUUCAGUUCACUUGUUUACUUUCCAGGUUUCUAAUUGUAUUGCAUAUUAACAAUCUUACAUAGUCCUCCUUUAGCUCUAUGAAGUGUUUGUGGCUGUUACGAAUGCAAAAUCAAGAUUACAGAUAAAAUCACUAGCAUGUUUUUGUUCCCAAACUAUCAAGUUACUCUGAACUUGGAGUCGGAGAAAAAAACAGACUUUUGAGCAUGUCUUUGUUUAAGAGGAUAUUUGCAAGACAGUUAUGGAGCUAUUUUGCACGAUCAUUUCAAAUGGAGAAACAGGGUAUUGUCGAUUCCAACUUGUUUGAAUUGAGACGCAGUAGUGUUGGAAUUAAUGCAUCAAUGUUUAGUGUUUCGAAUUUAUCUAUUAGUUUUUCAAGAAGUCUCUUUAGAAUUCCGUAGUACAUGUGUCUAGUAAAUUGUGAUACAUGUAUUUAGUUAUUUGUGCAAACUUUUUGUAUUCUAUUUCGAGUAAUAUAAAUAGUGAUGUAGUUGGUGAUUGUAAUCAUCUCAAGUGGCUUUAAGUAGCCUAUGAUAAGCUUGAGCAAUCUCUAAAUAUACUAUUUUCCUUCAAUAUUUUCUACAAAUUUGUAUCAAGAGCAGAUUUUCGUUCUUCGUCUAGGGUUUGGUGAAGAAAAAAGUAUGGAAUCCAAAACAAAUGAAAGUGUUGAUUCUUCAGUUGUUCGUAUUCCAUUUUUUAAUGGAACUGAUUUUGAAUACUGGAAGAUAAGAAUGAGAACACAUUUGAAAGCUGAAGGAUUGUGAAUUAUUGUUGCAAAUGUUCUUGAAGAGCAAGACAACGAUGGUGAUCUUACAACAGCAGAGAUGAAAAAUCUUGAGGCUAAGUAUCGUCAAGAUGCAAAAGCCUUGAACAAAAUCCAAAUGGGAGUCUGAAGAGCAUAUUUUACAAAAACUGCUACUUGUGAGACUGCAAAGGAAGCUUGGGAUUUUCUGAAAACUGAGGUGUAUGGUGACGAAAAGGUACGCACUAUAAAUAUUCAAACUCUUAGAAGAGAGUUUCAAAAUUUAAAGAUGAUAGAAUCUAAAAAAAUUGAUGAAUAUUGCACAAGAGUCAUGAAUGUUGUAAAAGAAAUGAGAAAUCAUAGUGAUAUAAUUUCGGGCCAACAAGUUGCGAAAAAGAUUCUUAUUAUCAUCACAGAAAAGUAUGCGUACAUCGUUGCUAUCACUGAGGAGACAAAAGAUCUUUCUAAGUUUUCCAUCAAAGAUCUAGCUGGAUCAUUUCGUGCACACGAGAAGCGGAGAUUUUUUUGUGAAGAUCAACCAAAAGAGACAGCUUUCCAGUCUAAAACAAAUGAGAAUUAUCAAAAUUUCUCAAAAAAUCAUCAGAAGAAGAAUCACAAGCCAAAAAAGAAGCAGGAUCAUGAUGGUUCAUCCAAGAAGGUUGAAGAAAAAGGUGAGAAAAAUUAUAGUCUUUUUUGUUAAGUUUGCAAAAAGACUAAUCACAAUGCAGAAAAAUGUUGGCACAAAAGCAAGCCCCAAAGUAACUUUUGUAUAAAGUUUGGCCACGUUGAAAAGGAUUAUUGGCACAAGAAAUGAGAUCAAUCAUAUUUUUAUGAAAACAGGAGGAAGAAAGGGAAGAAAACCUUUUCUUUGCUUCUAAAUCGGAUGCUUCAACAAAAAGAAAUGAAUGGUAUGUUAAUAGUGGUUGUAGUAAUCACAUGACUGGAGAUGAAAAGGCUUUCCUCUCAAUUAAUAAUAGCAUCACUACUAAAGUGAAGAUGGGGAAUUGAGCCUUAGUUGAAUGCGAAAGGUAAAGGUACUAUUUCGAUCAACAUGAAAGGAAGCGGUAAGCAAAUAAAUGAUGUUCUUCAUGUUCCUGACUUGGAAGAAAAUUUUCUUAGUGUUGUUCAACUCAUGGAAAAUUGUUAUUCUCUUGUGUUUAGAGAUAAUUACUGCAAGAUUUAUGAUAAAAUUGAGCCAAAUCAAUUCAUUGUUGAAGUAAAGAUAAUAAAUAGAAACUUCCCUUUGAAAUUUCAUUACAAUGCAUUAAAAAUGAAAUUGUAGAUGAUCCAUGUCUUUGGCACAAAUGAUUUUGUCACUUGAAUUUUCAUGGUUUGAAGUUUCUCAAGCAAAAGUACAUGGUGAAAGGCCUUCCUAAGAUACAUACAUAGGUGGAUCCAUAUGAAAGUUGUAUAAUGGGAAAGCAAUACAGGAAGUCUUUUCUAAAGGGGAUGUCUUGGGGAGCAAGUGUACUUUUGGAACUAAUCCAUACCGACAUUUGUGGACCAAUGAGGACUCCAUCUCUUGGAAGUCAAAGGUGUUGGGAUUUAGCAAGUGUGAAUGGGAAAAGAAAAGAGAGAAUAUGAAAAGUGAGGAAACUAAUUUGGAGGGAAAAUGAAAAGUCUUUUGCAAAGUGCAAAUGAAAAGUCAUUUCUCCCAUAUCGGCAAAAGAAAGAGAAAUUAUUGUCCUUAUUGAAGGAAACAAUUCCAUUACUUCUUAAAGAGAUAAGAAGAAGAUGCCCCCUCGCGCCGUCGUUGUCGUCGUCGCUCGCUCGGCUUCGGCUUCGGCUUCGGAUUUGAAUUUCCUUCUCUGCAUUUAUUUUUCUCUCAAAUAAAAUCAAAGUGUCGAUCGACUGAGUGUGUGUGACUUGUUGAUGUACUUAAGUUUGUUGAAGUUAAAGAAGUUUGAGGUACCGCUAUUUCUUUACCAGGUUUAAUCUGUUUUAUCUUGGGAGAAAUUAAUCCAUAACCUUGGGUACAGUGAGGUGAUUAAAUUUCUUAAGGACACACAGUAGUUUCUGUGGACUCGGAUUAAUUCUUGUAUUUUAUUAAUUUUUUGCUUCAUCUUGUUUUUGUUUCUGUUCAUUGGUUAACUUUAUAAAUACAUGUUACUAUAAGAAUAACAAUCUUAAGAAAUUUAACAGUUUCAGUAUUUAAGGUUUCUAGAGAUUAAAACCUUUAUGGUUUUCUACUCUUCUUGAAUUUUUAAAAUUCAUUCGAUUCACGACUAAAAGAACAUAAAAACUUUAUCGUUAAAUCAGAAACAGUUUGUGUAAAGAUUUGUUAUUUACUGUUAGUAUUUCAAAUACUUAACUUAUCUGCCAUUUGUGACAGAAUAAAAAGUGACUUACUCAAGUCAAACAAAUGCUGGAACAUUAAGUGUUGUAACAAUAACGUUGCACAUAAUCGCUCAAAUGCUGCCUUAGCGCCGGCUGAGAAACCUGCAAUGUUUUUUGGAGUCGACUUUAAGAGAUGGUAGCAAAAGAUGGUCUUCAAUCUCACUACUUUGUAUCUGCAGAAGUUCAUUAAUGAGAAUGUUCCUGUUAUCUCAGAUGAAACUCCGGCUGAUGAACGAUUCUUGGUAACAGAAGCACGGAAACACUCAGAUUUUUUGUGUAAAAAUUAUAUUUUGAGUUGUCUGCAAGAUGAUCUGUACAAUGUGUACAACAAUGCCAAAACCUCAAAAGAACUUUGGGAUGUUUUAGAAAAAAAGUACAAAAUAGAAGAUGCCGGAAUGAAGAAAUUCAUUGUGGCAAAAUUUCUGGACUAUAAGAUGAUAGACAGUAAGACUGUCGUCACCCAAGUUCAAGAAUUGCAGUUCAUAAUCCAUGAUCUCCUUGCUAAAGGUAUAAAUUUAUUUAAUGCCUAUGUUAGAAAUACUAUGUAUUCCCUUAAUACUCACAUAAUAUUUAAUGUAGGAUUGAUUGUGACUGAUGUUUUUCAAGUGGGUGCAAAUAUUGAAAAGUUAACUCCAUUAUGGAAGAACUUCAAAAAUUACUUGAAACACAAACGCAAGGAGAUGACUGUUGAAGAUCUCAUAGUAAGUUUGAGAAUCGAAGAGGAUAAUAAGGAUGCAAAAAAGAGGUCACGUGGUAAUUCAACAAUAUGUGGAGUAAAUUUUAUUGAAGAAGAUCCCACAAAAUAAAAUAAAAGAAAGAACGCAUUUGGUUCAGAAAGCAAUCCGCCUAAGAAGAAAUUCAAUGGUAAUUGCUUUAAUUGUGGUAAACAUGGUCAUAGUGCUAAUGAAUGUCGGGGUCCUAAGAAGGACAAGAAAAAGAAGGAUCAAGCAAACUUGGCUGAAUUCAAAGGAGAAAUGGACGAUCUCUCUGCAAUGCUUUCAGAAUGUAACUUGGUUGGAAAUCCAAGAGAAUGGUGGAGAGAUUCUGGUGCCUCAUGUCAUGUUUGUGCCAACAAAGAAUUAUUUUCAUCAUAUACUCCAACACUUACAGAUGAAAAAUUGUUUAUGGCAAACUCUGUUGUUGCAAAGGUGGAAGGAAUUAAAGAUGACAUCAGGCAAGGUGGUGACUUUGAAUAGGGUCUCAUAUGUUCCAGAAUUGAGAAAGAAUUUAGUUUCAAUUCCAGUUCUGACCAAGAAUGGAUUUAAAUGUGUAUUUAUUUCUGAUAAAGUAGUAGUAAGCAAAACUGAUAUGUAUGUAGGAAAGGGCUACCUUAGUGAUGGCCUUUUCAAACUCAAUGUAAUUGCAGUUGUUAUGAAUAAAAAUUUUGCUUCUUCUUACUUGCUUGAGUCUAAAUGUUUAUGGAAUGAACUUUUGGGACACGUUAAUAACAAAACCUUGCAAAAACCGAUUAACUUAUAUAUUUUGCCAAAAUUUGAGUGCAAUAAAUCCAAAUGUCAAAUUUGUGUUGAACCUAAGUAUGCUAAGCAUUCUUAUAAAUCUGUUGAAAGGAAUUCAAAUCCUUUAGAAUUGAUUCUUACUGAUAUUUAUGACAUAAAGUCAACACCAUCAUGUGGUGGGAAAAAGUAUUUCAUAACUUUUAUUGACGAUUGCACUAGAUAUUGUUAUGUCUAUUUGCUAAAUAUUAAGGAUGAAGCAAUAGACGCAUAUAGGCAAUAUAAAACUGAAGUUGAAAAAUCAGUUAGAUAAAAAGAUCAAAAUGAUCAGAAGUGAUAGAGGUGGAGAAUAUGAAUCUCCACUUGCAGAAAUAUGUUUAGAAAAUGGAAUAAUCCAUCAGACUACUGCUCCCUACACUCCUCAGUCUAAUGGAAUUGUAGAAAGGAAAACCCGAACUUUAAAAGAAAUAAUGAAUGCAUUACAUAUAAGUUCAGGUUUACCACAAAACUUGUGGGGGGAAGCUAUCCUUACAGCAAAUCAGAUACUUAACAGAGUGUCUCACUCAUAGACAAAUGUAAUUCUAUAUGAGAAAUGGAAAGGUAGAAAACCCAAUUUGAAAUAUUUCAAAGUGUGGGGGUGUCUAGCCAAAGUCCAAGUUCCUAUACGUAAGAGGGUAAAAAUAGGACCUAAGACUGUGGAUUGUGUAUUCAUUGGAUAUGCCACAAACAGUAAGGCAUGUCGAUUUUUGAUCCAUAAGUCUGAAUAUCCAGAUAUUCAUGAUAAUACGGUAAUGGAAUCAGAUAGUGCUAAAUUUUUUUGAACAUAUCUAUCCGUAUAAAACUAGACUUGAGUCAUCUAGUGGGGGAUCUAAACAACCCAGAGAACAACCAAAAGAGAAUGAACAAAAUGAAGAAAUUCCAAGACUCAGUAAACGUCAAAAGGCAUCUACUUCAUGUGGAUCAGAUUUUGUAACAUUUCUUCUUGAAAGUGAGCCUCAAACAUUCAAGGAAGCAAUGUUGUCUAGCGACUCAACAUCUUGGAAGGAGACUGUUAAUAGUGAAAUUGAAUCAAUCUUAUGUAAUCAUACUUGGGAGUUGGUUGAUCUUCCUGCAGGGAACAAACCCUUGGGUUCAAAAUUGAUCUUUAAAAGGAAGAUGAAAGACGGUGGAACUAUUGAAAAAAUAAAGCAAGACUUGUUGUCAAUGGUUUUAGACAAAAAGAAGGUCUUGAUUAUUUUGACACAUACUUGCCAGUGACUAGGAUUACAUCAAUUCAGAUGUUAAUUGCACUAGCUGUAGUAUAGGGUCUUGAAAUUCAUCAAAUGGAUGUGAAAACAACCUUCAUAAAUGGAGAGCUUGAAGAGAAAAUUUACAUAGAACAGCCUGAGGGUUUUGUAGUUCCUGGUAAAGAAAAGAAAAUGUGCAAACUUAUUAAGUCACUUUAUGGACUAAAACAAGCACCAAAAUAAUGGCAUGAAAAGUUUGAUCAAACCAUGUUGUCAAAUGGAUUUAAGAUUAAUGAAUGUGAUAAAUAUGUUAACAUUAAAAAUACUCUAAAUCAGGAAGUUAUUUUAUGCCUAUAUGUAGGUGAUAUGCUUAUAAUGAGCAAAGACAUUGCUAAUAUAAAAGCUACAAAGCGUAUGCUUGCUAGUGAGUUUGAUAUGAAAGAUUUAGGUGUUGCGGAUGUGAUAUUAGGAAUUAAAAUUCUUAAAACUCCUAACGGUCUAGUAUUGUCUCAAACUCAUUAUAUUCAAAAGAUACUUGAAAAAUUAAUUUUUUUUAAUUUUAAAAGUGCAAAGACUCCAAUUGAUGUAAACCUUCAUCUUGCAAAGAAUAAAGGUGAAAGUCAGUCUCAAUUGGACUAUGCUAGCGUAUUGGGAAGCUUAAUGUAUGUCAUGAAUUGUACACGACCAGACAUAGCUUGCGCUAUGAGUAAACUGAGUCGAUACAUAAGUAAUCCUAAUCAUAAUCAUUGGUUGGAAAUGAAUAGAGUUUUGGGAUACUUAGAUGACACUCCAAACUAUGCUUUACAUUACAACAAAUAUCCAGCCGUUCUUGAAGGAUAUAGUGAUGCAAAUUGGAUUACUGGGUCAACUGAAACAAAAUCCACAAGUGGGUACGCUUUUACUAUUAGUGGAAGAGCAAUAUCUUGGAAAUCAUCCAAACAAACAUGUAUAGCUCGCUCUACAAUGGAGUCUGAAUUCAUUGCUUUAGACAAGGCAGGUGAAGAAGCUGAAUGGCUCCGGAAUUUCUUAGAAGAUAUUCCAUUUUGGCCCAAACCAAUGGCCCCUAUAUGCAUACAUUGUGAUAGUCAAGCUGCAAUAGGAAGGGCUGGAAGCAUUAUGUAUAACGGCAAGUCUCGUCCCAUAAGACGAAGACAUAACUAUGUGAGACAACUACUCUCUAGUGGAAUUAUCACAAUUGACUAUGUGAAGUCGAAAGAUAAUGUGUCGGAUCCACUUACAAAAGGACUAAAUAGAGAGGGAGUUGAGAAAUCAUCGACAGGAAUGGGACUAUGGCCGAGAACAAGUCAUCGUGGCGGUAACUCUACCUAGAAGACUAGAGAUCCCAAGAUCUAGGUUCAAGGAGAUAAAACAAAGUCAUUGAUGGCGGUUCAACAUUGUCAAAGAAAAAAAUAUUAUUAUUUUAUGGUCCAUUCUCAUGAUGAGACAAUGUUUAGUAACCAGGAUAAAGACAUAUGGACUUUUUAAUGGUUUCUAAGUUUGAUACAGGGAAUAUCAAAUGAUGUAUCUAUGGGAUAACACAUUUAGAAAUCACCUAUGUAAGUGUGAAGUGUAAGUCGCUUUAAGGAGAAUCCGGUAACGCUAGUUCUUUAAGCACUUACUAUCCAAGAUGUGUUUAUGGCUGAACCAAACAAAACAAUGAGAACUAAAAACAGUUCAAGGGUUGAUUGUGUGACAUAUGUUGUCUGGGUAUACACCAAAGCUCGACGGUUCAAAGAUAUCAAAUCUAUCGUUUGACCGAUUAUAUCUGAUAUAUGUUCACUAUGGAAAGUUUAAAGGGAAACCUUCUUAUCCAGAUACGAUUAACCUUUACCUACAAGACACACAUGUUUUUUCAUGCAUAUGUUUUAACAAUAGCCUUCCCCAUUCAUGUGGGGGAUUUUUGGGAAUUAGCAAGUGUGAAUGGGAAAAGAAAAGAGAGAAUAUGAAAAGUGAGGGAACUAAUUUGGAGGGAAAAUGAAAAGUCAUUUGCAAAGUGCAAAUGAAAAGUCAUUUCUCCCAUAUCUGCAAAAGAAAGAGAAAUUGUUGUCCUUAUAGAAGAAAAACACUUCCAUUACUUCUUAAAGAGCUAAGAAGAAGAUGCCCCCUCGCACCGUCGUCGUCGUCGCUCGCUCGGCCUCGGCUUCGGCUUUGGAUUGGGAUUUGGAUUUGGCAAAUGAUGUGAUUGAUUGAUAAUUUUUUUUGGACAAAAUUUAUUUAAUCAAUUUUUGUUUAGUCAAAUAAAUCCUGUUAAAAUUAUCUCUUAUAAAUUUGUGGGUAACGGUAACAUUCCGAAAAGUGAUUACUCUUUCCGAAAAGUCGUUACUUUCGAAAAAGUCGUUAUUUUCCUAACAAACACAAUUUUUUAAAAAGUUGUUAUUUUUUCCAAAAGACACAACUUUCUGGAUCAAAUGGGUUUGAACAGAUUUCACUGAACAGACACAUUCCUUACUGAAAAUGGCUAUAAAAGGAAGUCCAUUUUCAAUUUUUUAAAACACUGGAAAAAUUUUCCUUCUCUGCAUUUAUUUUUCUCUCAAAUAAAAUCAAAGUGUCGAUCGACUGAGUCUGUGUGACUUGUUGUUGUUCUUAAGUUCUUUAAAAUUAAAGAAGUUUGAGGUACCGCUAUUUCUUUAACAGGUUUAAUCCAUUUUAUCUUGGGAGAAAUUAAUCCAUAACCUUGGCUAUAGUGAAGGGAUUAAAUUUCUUAAGGACACUUAGUAGUUUCUGUGGACUCGGAUUAAUUCUUGUAUUUUAUUAAUUUUCUGCUUCAUCUUGUUUCUGUUUCUGUUCAUUGGUUAACCUUUAAAUAUAGGUUACUAUAAGAAUAACAAAAGGUAUUUUCUAAUCUUUAUUGAUGAUUUCUCAAGAAUGACUUGAGUUUAUUUCUUGAAAGAAAUUUAGAAGCAUUUGCUAUAUUCAAGAAAUUUAAAGCCCUUGUUGAGAAGCAAAAAGGUUGCAGCAUCAAAACCAUUUGCAAUGAUCAAGGAGGUGAAUUCACAAGUCAAGAAUUUGAAGAAUAUUGCAAAAAUGAAGGCAUUCAGAAGAAACUUACAGUAGGGUAUACUCCUCAACAAAAUGGUAUAUGUGAAAGAAGAAAUAGAAUAAUUCUUGAAAUGACAAGAAAUAUGAUUAAUGAGAAAGGGCUGCCAAAAUAUUUUUGGGCAGAAGGGUGCAUACAUCAGUUCACAUCAUUAACAGGUGUCCAACAAAGGCACUAAAGGACAAGACACUAGUUGAAGCUUGGAGUGGAAUUAAACCUGCUAUAAGUCAUUUUAAAAUUUCUGGGUGUAUUUGUUAUGCUCAUGUACGUGCUGAGAAAAGAACAAAAUUGGAUAAAAAAAAGUCAAAAAAUGUAUCUUUCUAGGUUAUAGUGAUGUUACAAAAGGAUAUAGGCUUCUUGAUGUCAAGACUAAAGAACUUGUUGUUAGUAGAGAUGUCAUUUUUUAUGAAAAACAACAUGGAAUUUGGAGGAUAAAAAGAUAGAGAAUACUGCUAUCAUAUCUUCAAAUCAGGAAGAGGAUGAGGAAGAUAAAGAUGUCUCUCGGGGGAAGAAAUCCCAGAAUCAGAUGAUGAAGAACCGCCUCCAAGAGGAACAAAAAUGUUGAGUAACAUUUAUCAAAGAUGUAAUUUUGUCGGUGUUGAGCCAAAAAAUUAUGAAGAAGCAAUAAAGCAUGAUGUUUGGAAGAAAUACAUGGAAGAAGAAAUUCGAAUUAUUGAAAAAAAUAAUACUUGGGAGUUUGUGGCUAUACCUAGAGAAAGAGAAGAUGUAAGUCUAAAAUAGAUUUACAAAAUCAAACUCAAUAGAAAGGAGAUAUUCAAAAGCACAAAGCAAGGUUUGUUGCUAGAGGCUUCACGCAAAAAUCAGGUAUUGAUGUUUAUGAAACUUUCUCUCCAGUUGCUCGUCUUGAGACAAUUAUAACUGUAAUUGUUGUUGCUGCACACAAAAAUGGAAGAUAUUUCAACUUGAUGUUAAAUCAGUAUUUCUGAAUGGAAAACUUAAUGAAGAGAUUUAUGUUGAGCAACCCUCAAGGAUAUUUUGUUCAAGGGGGAGAAGAAAAGGUGUACAGGCUAAAAAAUCUCUCUACGGGCUGAGCAAGCUCCAAGAGCCUGGUAUAAUGAAAUUGAUACAUACUUUCUAAAAAAUAAUUUUUAGAGAAGUAAAAGUGAAGCCACUUUGUAUGUGAAGAAGAACAAGACAUUAUUAUCAUUGUUUGUCUCUAUGUGGAUUAUUUGCUAUUUACAUGAAAUGAUGUAAAGAUUAUUCAAUUAUCAAACAAGAUAUGAUGCAAGCUUAUGAAAUAAGUGAUUUUGGGUUGCUAAAUUAUUUCUUGGGCAUCAAAGUUUCUCAAGUGAAAGAAGGCAUUUUUAUUUCUCAAAAUAAGUAUACUAAAAGUAUUCUUCAAAAAUUCAAAAUGAGGGAUUGCAGGUCUGUGUCCAUACCAUUAGCAGCAAAUAAGAAGUUUAGAAAAGAUGAUGGAGAAAAAAAAGCUAAUAGCUCACUUUAUAGGAGUUUCAUUGGAAGUUUGUUAUAUCUUACUUCAACAAGACAAAUAUUAUGUUUGCUGCUAGUUUAUUAUCCAGAUUCAUGCAAGAACCAAGCCAAGUGCAUUUUAAAGUUGCAAAUCGUGUUCUACUCUACUUGCAAGGAGCAAUGAAUACAAAUUUGGUGGAGAUUUAAACUUAAUUGGUUAUUCUUAUAGUGAUUGGGCUGGAAGUAUAGAUGACAUGAAGAGUACUUCAGGUUAUAUUUUCUUAUUUGUAUCAAGUAACUGCUCUUGGUUAUCAAAAAACCAAAGCAUUGCUUCUCAAUCCACUACCGAAGCAGAAUAUGUUUCAGCAUCCAAGGCUACUUCCCAAGCAAUUUGGCUUAGGAGAAUAUUUAAAGACAUUGGUGAAAAAAAAGAAAAGAUUUUUCUACAUUGUGAUAUCAAAUCAGCAAUUGCAAUUGCAAGGAAUCCAGUCAGCCAUAAAAGAUCAAAGCAUAUUUCCAUCAAGUAUCAUUUUAUCAGACAAGCAUAAGUGAAAGGCAAAAUUCAGUUGCAUUAUUGUCAAACAGGAGAUCAACUUGCUGACAUCUUCACCAAAACACUUCCUAGCGAAAAAUUUUGCUAUCUUUGAGAACGCAUUGGAGUUAUCAAGCAAAUGGGUCGGGGGGAGUGUCGGAAUAAUGCAUCAAUGUUUAGUCUUCCGAAAUUGUCUCUUAAUUUUUCAAGAAGUCUCUUUAGAAUUUCGUAGUACAUGUAUCUAGUAAAUUGUGAUACAUGUAUUUAGUUAUUUGUGCAGGACUUUUUAUUUUCUAUUUUGAGUAGUAUAAAUAGUAAUGUAGUUGAUGAUUAUAAUCAUCUCAACUGGCCUUAAGUAUCCUAUGAUAAACUUGCGUAUUCUCUAAAUAUACUAUUUUCCUUCAAUAUUUUCUACUAGUAGUUAUUGUUUCAGUCUGGUAUAAUGUUAUUUUACACAUUUGGUUUUGUUAUUUCCAUCACUAAGUUCACCAAUUUUACGUUAAUAGUCAGCCUACUGCAAUCGUAUUAUGUAGAGAGGUGAAUUUUUUUAUUGAUAUACGCAUUACGUGUUGAAUCCCUUUAUAUACUUUAUCCUAUAUUUUCUUAUUAUGUUUUGUUAUCUCCGUCACCAAAUUCACUGUUUUCCUCUACUGGGGAUUAGGGCUUAAUGCUUGCGCAUUCGUAAAGUUCAAGUAGCAUCAAUACGUACCUUAUGGUACAAUAUAAACCUUACAACGUGACAAAUUUUUUUAUAUUAUUCCCAUCACCAAAUUCACUAUUCUUUUAUUGACUGUUAGCCUACUGCAAUUAUUUUUCUUUAUCGAGCCUUAGGACUAAAAGCUCAUGCACGUAAAAUUUAAGUAAUACACAUCAUCAUUAGUGUCUAAGCCCGAUAUAGUCAACCAUCACCAAUUCACUGAAAACAUGUAGUUAUUAUGUGUUGCGUUGAAUCCCUAAAUAUUUAUAUCAAAUGAUUAACACGAUCCACAUUCAUAUUUUUUCUAUAAAAAAUAUCCUCUCACAAAAAAAGAGAAGAAUUUUGUAGAGUAUUUUAAAUAAGUCAUGAAAUCAUGUAAUAAAUUAAUAAAUACAACUGUGUGAAUAUAUAUGUUGUAAUUAGAAAGAUUCUAAGUAUUUUGUUUUAUUAUUUCCAUAAAAAAUUCAUCAGUUUUACAUUAGCAAUUAGCAUAUUACAAUCAUCUUCCUCUAUCGUGGUUUAGCACUAAAACCUCAUGCAGAUAAAAAAGUUUAAAUAAUAUUCAUCAUCAUCAACGACAGAACAACAUGUAUUUAAAAGGUGUUAAGUUUACGAGCUCAAGAGUUACGUUGCUUUGCACAGGAGAUGCUACACUCAAUAUGGUACGGUUUCAGUUUACUGCUUACUUUGCUUACACACUCUGAUUAUAUUCUUAUGAAUAAAAGUUUAUCACAAAGCAGAGAAACAUAUUGAAUUCUUAUUUGUUAUCUCAAAUUUGCUAAUAAAUCAAGUUCGACUUUAAAUCUAGCAAUUCUAAGGUCUAAACUUCUCUUGAGUGGCUUUAUCAACCACUAUUGUCUUACCAUCAAAUGAUUCAAUUGACGAUAAUAAUUGUUUUACAAAAAACCCAUUAAGAAGUGUUGAUUUUACAUCUAUCUAAUGAACUUUCUAGCCACGUUGUGCAUAAGUAGAAUUAAUUAAGAACCAAUCUUAUUGUGCCGAGCCUAGGAACUGGAGCAAAAGUGUCAAAAUAACCCUUAACUACGAGCGUUGUUUAAUGCUUGUUGAUUGAACCAUCAACAUUUAGCUUAGCUCGAAAGCCUAAAGGCAUGUCUAAAAGUGAAUCUUUUAUAAUUUUGUAGAAGUAUCAUGUUAUUCGAUUCUGUCUUUGCUAACUUGGACCAAUUUUGUGCAGGUUGGUAGAGCAGUCUACGCUAAUGAUGUGACCAAGAGGAUUUUUUGGUGGAAGCCACUCGGAAAAGUUCGUUAGAUAAUCGUUGUAACCUGAAUAUCUAGCAUUAUAGUUAUGUAAUUUGUGUGAACUAAAUGUGUAUUUCCUAUUUAAUAAUGAAGACAAAUUUUCAAGCAUCGUAACUUGAACUAUAUAACGAUGUAUUUUAUUUUAACUAAUUAAGGAUGCCCUAUUCAUGAAGAAAAAAUAUUUCAAAUAUGGUUUUAGACGUCCACGAAAAUUUUUGUCAAAAAUGACGACGGAUCUCCAAAAAAUAUGUUGAACUAUAGAUCACUAAUAUUCAUAAAAUGGGGGUUUUACCUACUCCGGGCUAUUUUGAACUUGAAAACGGACCAUUUUUAUCGUCAAGGCCAAAUGGCUCCAUAGUUAGCAUCUUAAAAAAAGGCCCACAAAAAAUUUGGACAAAAAUAACAUCAGAAUUCCAGAUCACAAAAAAUCCACGGACUAUAACACAUUAAAAUCGACAAAAUUGGGGUGGGUGGGGUUACAUGCUCUAGGGCUCGUGUGACAUUGAAAAUGGAUCGUUUUUGCCGUUAGGUCCUACAUGCUCCAUAGAUAACGUCUUAAUAGAUGUCUACAAAAAAUUUGGGAAAAAGUUACGUUUGAGUUGCGGAUCACCAAAAAUCCAAGUACUAUUGUUCCUGAAAUUUUAUAAAAGGGGGGGUUCACUUGCUACAAGGCUCGUUUGACUUUGAAAGUGACUUCUUUUGUCCACCAGGCCUAUUGCCUCCACAGAUAAUGUUUUAAUAGACGUCCACGAAAAUUGGGGCUAAAAUGACGGCAAAAAUCAAAAUCACCAAAAAAGAUGGUGAACUAGCACAUGGAAAUUAGCAAAAUGUGGUUUUUACCUUCUCUGGGCUGGUUUGACUUUUAAAAUACGUCGUUUUGACCGUCAGGGUGAAUUGGAGCCAUUGAUAACAAUCAUAAAGACGUACACAAAAAUUUGGAUAAAAAUAAUGUCAAAAUUCCAAAUCAUCGAAAAUCCAUGAACUAUAUUCAACAUUUUAGUAAAAAUUCAUUGACAAGAUUAUAUAUGUACAAAAUUUGUAUAAAAUUAUUCAAAUCUCAGAUACCAAUAUUUAAUUUCACUAUUUUAGAUAUUUGAAUCCAUACUUCAAAUAUGGCUUGCUAAAAUCCAAAUUAUGUUUCACACUAUUUGUAUAUCCGAAGACUUUCUUGGAUAAAUGUAUAUGCAUGUAUAUUUAAAAAUAUUAUCAAAUGAUUAAUGAUGAUCUAAAUUUAAUUUUUUCCCUAAUAUAAACGAUACCACCCCGCCAAAAAAUAAAAAUAAUUUGUUUUGUAGAAUGUUUUAAAUAAUGUCUGAAGUUAUGUUAUGAAUUAAUGAAAUACUAUUGAGUGAAUUUGUGAGAAGAUUUUUCAUAUUUUUUUUAUUUCCAUCAUCAAAUUCACCAGUUUUACUUUAAUAGUCAAGCUACUACAAUCGUAUUAUGUAGAUAGGUGAUUAUUUAUAUUGAUAUACACAUUAUGUAUUGAAUCCCUUCAUAUACUUACUCCUAUAUUUUCAUAUUAUGUUUUGUUAUCUCCGUCACAAGUUUCACAGUUUUCAUCUACCGGAGAAUAGGGAGUAAUGUUUUUGCACAUGUAAAGUUCAAGUAAUAUCAAUACAUACCUUAUGAUAUAUAUGAACCUUAUAACAUGUCAUAUAUUUUUUAUUCCCGUCACGGACGUCAAUAGUCUUUUAUUGUUUGUUAGCCUACUGCAAUUGUUUUCCCUUAUCGAGCCUUAGGACUAAAAGAUAAAGCACGUAAAAUUUAAGUAAUACACAUCAUCAUGAGUGGCAAAGCCCGAUAUAGUCAACUAUCACCAAUUCCUUGAAAAAAUAUAGAUAUUGUGUUGUGUUGAAUCCCUAAUUAUUAUAUCAAAUGAUUAAGACGAUCCACAUACACAUUUUUACUAUAAAACUAAUCCCCUCACACACAAAAAAAAAGAUGAUUUUUGUAGAGUAUUUUAAAUAAGUCAUGAAAUCACGUUUAUGUUGUAAUUAGAAGGAUUCUCUGUAUUUUGUUUUGUUAUUUCCAUCACAAAUUCAUCAGUUUGGCAUUAGCAUAUUGCAAUCAUCUUCCUCUAUUGUGUCUUAGCCCUAAAAUCUUAUGCAAAUAUAGUUUAAAUAAUAUUCAUCAUCAUCAAAGACAAAACAAAAUGUAUUCAAAAGUUGUUAAGUUGACUAGUUCAAGAGUUACGUUGCUUGGCACAGGAGAUGCUACACUCAAUAUGGUACGAUUAAAGUUUAUUGCUUACAUUGUCAGAUAAUAUUCUUAAGAAUAAAAGUUUAUCACAAAGUAGAGAAACAGAUCAAAUUCUCAUUUAAAUCUAGUUAUACUAAGGUCUAAACUUCUCUUGAGUGGCUUUAUCAACCACUAUUGUCUUACCAGUAGCCGAUUCAAUUGACAAUAAUAAUUGUUUUACAAAAAGCCCUUUCAGAAAUACAGAUUUCGCAUCUAUCUGGUGCACUUUCCGGCCACGUUGUGCAUAAGUACAAUUAAUUAAGUAAUCUGAUUGUGUCGAGCUAGCAACUGGAUAAAAGUGUCAAAAUAACCCUUAACUACAAGCCUUGUUUUAUGCUGGUUAAUUUAAACAUCAAUAUUUGGCUUAGCUCGAAAUCCUAGAGGCAUGUUUAAAACUGAACCGCUUAUCAUGUUAUUCGAUUCUGUUUUUGCUAACUUGGACCAAUUUUGUGCAGGUUGGUAGAGCAGUGCUAGGCUAAUGAUGUGAACAAGAGGAUUUUGUGGUGGCACACACUCGGAAAAUUCUUUCAGAUAAUCCUUGUAACCUGAAUAUCUGGCAUUAUAGUUAUGUAAUUUAUGUGAACUAAAUGUGGAUUUCCUAUUCAAUGUUAUUGAAAAAUUUUCAAACAUUGUAACCUGAACUUAGUAUAGCGAUGUAUUUUGUUUGAACUAAUUAAGGAUUCCCUAUUCGUGAAGAAAAAAUUUUCAAACAUGGUUAGGACAUCCAUGAAAAUUUUUGGCAAAAUUGACGGCAGAUCACAAAGAAAUAUAGUGAACUAUAGCCCACGAAAAUCAGUAAAAUUGGGGAUUUACAUGCCAGGGGCUCGUUUGACCUUGGAAAUUGGCCGUUUUUGCCGUCAGGGCCAAAUUUCUCCAUAGCUAACGUUUUAACAGACGUCCACAAAAAAUUUCAACAAAAAUGAAGUUGGAAUUCUAGAUCACCAAAAAUCCAUGGACUAUAGCACAUAAAAAUCGAAAAAAUGGGGGUGGGGGGUUAUAUGUUCUGGUGCUGGUUUGAUCUUUAAAAUUGAUUGUUUUGGUCAUCAGGGCCACUGACUCCAUAGAUAAUGUCUUAAUGGACGUCUAUGGAAAAUUUGGGAAAAAGUGACGUCUGAAUUGCGGAUCACUUAAAAUCCAUGGACUAUAGUACUUCAAUAUUUGCAAAAUGGGGGAUUUACCUGCUGUGAGGCUCAUUUGACAUUGAAAAUGGGUCGUUUUGGCCAUCACGGCCAAUUGACUCCACUGAUAAUGUCAUAAUGAACGUCCACGAAAAAUUGAGGCGAAAAUGAUGGAGGAAAUCCAGAUUACCAAAAAAGAUGGUGAACUAGCACAAGGAAAUCGGCAAAAUGGGGUUUUUACCUGCUCCGAGGCUCGUUUGACUUUGAACAUAGACCGUUUUGGACGUUAGGGCCACUUGGCUCCAUACCUAAUGGCUUAAAAGCAUCCACAAAAAUUUGAACAAAAAUAAUGUCAAAAUUCAAAAUCACCAAAAAUUCAUGAACUAUAUUCAGCAAGUAUUAGUCAAAAUUCAUUGAGAGUAUUAAUAAAUAUACAAAAUUUUCAUAAAAUUAUUCAAAUCUCAAAUAAACCAAUAUUUAAUGUCAGUAUUAUAAAUAUUUGAAUCCAUAGUUCAAAUAUGGCUUGCUAAAAUCAAAAUUAUCUUUCACAUUGUGUGUAUAUACCCUCCGAAGAAUUUCUUGGAUAAAUGUAUCUGCAUGUAUAUUUAAAAAUAUUAUCAAACGAUUAAUGAUGAUAUAAAUUUAUUUUUUUCUAAAUAUGAACUAUCCCACCCCGCUAAAAAUAAUAAUAAUUGGUUUUGUAGAAUGUUUUUAAAUAAUGUCUGAAAUCAUGUUGUGAAUUAAUGAAAUACGGUUGAGUGAAUUUAUGUCAUAGUGAGAAGAUUUUACAUAUUUUUUUUGGUUAUUUCCAUAGCCAAAUUGAACAGUUUUAUGUUAAUAGUCACCCUACUUCAAUUGUAUUAUGUAUAUAGGUGAAAUUUUUAUUGAUAUACACAUUACAUUUUGAAUCCCUUUAUAUACUUAAUCCUAUAUUUUCAUAUUAUGUUAUGUUAUCUCCUUCACCAAAUUCACCGUUUUCAGCUAGUGGGGACUAGUGCUUAACGCUUACACAUAUAUAAAUUUCAAGUAGCAUCAAUAUGUACCUGUGUUAUGUUAUCUCCUUCACCAAAUUCACCGUUUUCAGCUAGUGGGGACUAGGGCUUAACGCUUGCACAUAUGUAAAUUUCAAGUAGCAUCAAUACGUACCUUAUGGUACAAUAUAAACCUUACAACAUGAAAUAUUUUUUUUUGUUAUUCCUUUCACGGACUUCAAUAGACUUUUAUUGACUGUAAUCCUACUGCAAUUUUUUUUCUUUAUCCAGCUUUGGGGCUAAAAACUCAUGCACAUAAAAUUUAAGUAAUACACAUCAUCAUUACUGAGAUAAAUUUUAAAUAAUAGUAAUCAUCACCAACUACAGGACAACAUAUAUUCAAAAAGUGUCAACUGAUCGACCAAUUGCGGCGCCAUCAUAUAUUUAGGGCUUCAUCCGAACCCCUUUGGGUGAAAAAUCAUAUUUUUUUUAUGUAGUUAAAAUAAUUUUUUAGGUACGUAGAGUAUAUGUCGAACCCCCUUCGGCUAUUUCAUGUGUCUAUUUCUCAGGAUUUUGAACCCCCUUAUAAAAAUUCUAGCUUCGCCUCUGUGAUCGACACUAAUCCAUUGAAAAAGUAUAAUAUGUAGAUAUGUGAAACGUUUUAUCACGAUAGUAAAAUCAGCUUUUAGCGACAAAAAGAUAUGUACAUUUAUAAAGAGUGGUAAAGUCUUUAUCGGCAUUACUUAAGAUCCUUUCGAACCAAUAUAGCUAAAGACUUUAGAGACAUAUACAAAGAGUGUUAAUUAUCGCUAAAAUUAGAUAUAUCAUUUUUUAUGUAAUGUAUGUAAAUUUUAAGAGCCAAAGCAAAAAGGGAACGAUCCCCAUAUACGGAAAUACUUUGUUUUGUUUUUCCAUCACCAAAUUCACCAGUUUUACGUUAAUAGUCACCCUACCUCAAUGGUAUUAUGUAUAUAGGUGAUUUUUUUUAUUGAUAUGCAUAUUACAUAUUGAAUCCCUUUUUAUACUCAAUGCUAUAUUUUCAUAUUAUGUUCUGUUAUCUCUAUCACCAAAUUCACUGUUUUCCUCUAUUAGGGCUUAAUGCUUAUGUAUACGUAAAUUUUAAGUAGCAUCAAUAUGUACCUUAUUGUACAAUAUAAACUUUACAACAUGACAUGUUUUGCUUCGUUAUUCCCAUCGCCAAAUUCACCUGCCUUUUAUUGACUAUUAGCUUACUUCAAUUGUUUUUCUUUAUCAGGCUUUAGGACUAAAAGCUCAUGCACAUAAAAUUUAGUAUAACUUACAUAAAUCCUAUAGUGUAUGAUCUAAAUUACAUUCUAUCCCUACUCUUUUCUAUUUUACAAAAAUCCCAUAAAAAAUCAAUCAUCUCGAUACAUAACUUUCAUCCGGAUACAUCAAUUGUGAUACAUUAUAAAACUUGUUUGUUGCGUUUAAUAUGGAUUUUAACAUAAAAUUGAUUUUAUUUCCAAUAAAUCAUGCAGAUCUAAUUAAUACCAAUCCAUUCCAAUCUUUAACAGCUUCACAAAAUUUAAAAUUUAGAUUUAUAUCUUCUCCCUAAAUUCAAAAUAAAUAAAUAUCCACAAGAGAAAUUUCUAAAGAGAUGAUGACUACUGAAUUAGGUACUUUUCAAUCUACUAGGAAUGAUUUGAUCCUUGAUAGAGUACCUUAAAUAAAUCUAUUUCUUUCACAGUUUAAAGGAAUAUUGGUGGAGACUAAUAUGGGCGUAGCAGUGAAUGUUCUUGGAGAAAUCAUUAGAAAGUUGGAAAUUGUAACAGCAGGGCAAACCUUCAUCCAUCUAAUAUAGGUUUAUGAUAACGAGAAUCAUCAGUUGGUUACAAAUGGGUAUAGAUUUGUGUGGCAUCUUUGUUAUUGUGAUUUCUUCAUCUGAUCUAUUAGUAUACAAAUAAUGCUCUGUAUUUCAAUAUUAAUUUGGAUUUACAGUUGUUGUGUGAAAAUUAUUCUCGGGGAGGAUACCUUAAGAUCAAGACCUCAUAGGUACAUCAUGGGGAGUGGAUGUGUAUGUAUAUAAGAAGAAAGAGUGGUUUGUAUUCCGUGUUUGUGUCAUUAAUUCAUUGUCUUCUUAUCAAAAAAAGCAAAUUAUCUUUUUCUAUUAUCUUCUUAUCCAUCACUGACUACUCAACCACUCCCUCCACCAUUCCAUCUGCCUCUCCGUCAUUGGUAUAUAGUUUCUUUUCAAUGUAUCAUUGCUAUAGUUUUGUUUUGUAGUUUUGAUGUCAAUAUGUAAGUCAUGAUACAUUCGUGGUAAAUGACUUGAGUGUAUUGUUAUUUGUAUCUACAAAUUAUGAUGUGGUCAUUGUUUUGUAUUCGAAACUGAUUUUUAUAAAAAUGUAUCAUCAUAAUAUAUUUUAUAUGAUUCAUGCAAUAAAUGAAUUAAUAAUUGAUAUGGAUCAGAUUCAUUUUGAAUAACGAGUGUGUGUAUCACAUAUUUUUAUAAUAUAUUAGGUUAUUAUUGUGUAUAUAUUACAUAUAAAUAGUGUAACAAUUAAGAUAUUUAAUUUACUUGUUUUGAUCAAGACAAAUAUGGAUGAUACAUUAAUAUCAAUCUUGGAUUUUUGUGAGUGGUUGUAUCAUUGAAAAUUUUAAUGUACCUAGUACAUGUUACAAGAUGGUUAUAAAAUUUUGUCAAUAUCUGUUAGUUUUUUGUUAGAUAGGUGAUCCUUUGAAAAUUGAAAAAAAGUAUUUCAUAUGAUGUAUCAUUGAAUUUCUAAAUGUUUGUAGAUUGUACCAUGACAUAAAAGUUUUUAUGUAUCAAGAUUAUGAUGGGUAAUAUGUACAUAUACAUCAUAUUCUAAGUUAGGUAGCACUGAACAAAUAUUAAAGAGUGUAGAUACAUAAUACACAAGUGAUUUUUAUUGUGUAUAUAGCCUUUCAAGUUUGUAUAAGAUUUACAUGAUACAUUGAAAAACUUGAUACAUGAAAAUUGUACAUGGGAAAGUGUUUAUGUAUUCAAGAACAUUUAUAUUGAACGAUACCAAUUUGGGGGGUGGAAGCGGAUUUAUGAAUUGAGAGUAGAGAGUAGAGAGUAGAUUGUUAGAUGAAGGAUUGAUGAUUUUAUUUAUGAGGGGAAACCCUCUAUUUAUACACAAAAUUUACAGACUUUUGGCCAAAAAUGGCCGACACAUACUUUACACUUGGCCUCUUUAUAUUCGGCCGACACAAGAAAACAAAAUACUUACUAUUACUACUUUACAUAAUGGCCUCUUCUUUAUUUAUGGCCGACAUACACACUAUUUUCUUUAUGAUUUUUACAAUUGGCUUUUUACAGCCGACAUAACACGACAAAAAUAAAAACUAUUACUUUUUACAUAUGGCUGAUAUUCAGCCGACACAAAAUAACAAAAUACAAAAUACAAAAUAAGAUUCAACAACAUUAGAGUUAUGUAUCAACAUGUCAACUAUGAUUAUUAUAUAUUGUAUAAAACAAGGAUUAAUGGAGAAUCAGAUACAAUGGAGAAUCAUUGGUAUAAAGUUAUUUUUCAUAUUUUGUUUUUUUAUUUCAACCACCAAAUUCACCAAUUUUAUGUUAAUAGUGAGCCUACGGCAAUUGUAUUAUGUUGGUAGGUGAUUUUUUUUAUUGAUAUACGUAUUACGUAUUGUAUCCCUUUAUAUACUUAAUCCCAUAUUUUCAUAUUACGUUUUGUUAUCUCCGUCACCAAAUUCAUUGUUUUCCUCUACUGGGUAUUAGGGCUUAGUACUUACGCAUAUGUAAACUUCAAGUAGCAUUAAUACAUACCUUAUGGUACAAUAUAAACCUUACAACAUGACAUAUUUUUUUUUGUUAUUCCCAUCACCAAAUUCACUAUUCUUUUAUUGAUAAUUAGCCUACUGCAAUUGUUUUUCUUUAUCGAGCCUUAGGACUAAAAGCUCAUGCACAUAAAAUUUAAGUAGUACACAUCAUCUAGUGGCAAAGCCCGAUAUAGUCAACCAUCACCAAUUCACUAAAAAAAUGUAGUUAUUAUGUGUUGCGUUGAAUCCCUAAAUAUUUAUAUCAAAUGAUUAACACGAUCCACAUUCAUAUUUUUUCAAUAAAUAUUAUCGUGUCAUAAAAAAAAGAGAAGUUUUUUGUAGAGUAUUUUAAAUAAGUCAUGAAAUCAUGUAAUGAAUUAAUAAAUACAACUGAGUGAAUAUAUAGGUUGUAAUUAGAAAGAUUCUCAGUAUUUUAUUUUGUUAUUUCCAUAAAAAAAUUCAUCAGUUUUACAUUAGCAAUUAGCAUAGUACAAUCAUCUUUCUCUAUCGUGGCUUAGAACUAAAAUCUCAUGCAGAUAAAGUUUAAAUAAUAUUCAUCAUCAUCAACAGCAGAACAACAUGUAUUCAAAAGGUGUUAAUUUACGAGCUCAAGAGUUACGUUGCUUUGCACAGAAGAUGCUAUACUCAAUAUGGUACGGUUUCAGUUUAGUGCUUACUUUGCUUACACACUCUGAUAAUAUUCUAAUGAAUAAAAGUUUAUCACAAAGCAGAGAAACAUAUUGAAUUCUCAUUUAUUAUCUCAAAUUUUCCAAUAAAUCAAGUUGGACUUUAAAUCUAGCAAUACUAAGGUCUAAACAUCUCUUGAGUGGCUUUAUCAACCACUAUUGUUUUACCAUCAAACGAUUCAAUUGACAGUAAUAAUUGUUUUACAAAAAAACCAUUAAGAAGUGUUGAUUUUACAUCUAUCUAAUGCACUUUCUAGCCACGUUGUGCAUAAGUAGAAUUAAUUAAGAACUAAUCUGAUUGUGUUGAGCCUAGGAACUGGAGAAAAAGUGUCAAAAUAACCCUUAACUACAAGCCUUGUUUAAUGCUUGAUUAUUGAACCAUCAACAUUUAGCUUAGAUCGAAAGCCUAAAGGCAUGUCUAAAAGUGAAUAUUUUAUAAUUUUGUAGAAGUAUCAUGUUAUUCAAUUUUGUCAUAGCUAUCUUGGACCAAUUUUGUGCAGGUUGGUAAAGCAAUCUAGGCUAGUGAUGUGAUCAAGAGGAUUUUGUAGUGGAAGAAACUCGGAAAAGCCCGUUAGAUAAUCGUUGUAACCUGAAUAUCUUGCAUUAUAGUUAUGUAAUUUGUGUGAACUAAAUCUGGAUUUCCUAUUUAAUAUUGAAGACAAAUUUUCAAGCAUUGUAACUUGAACUUAGUAUAGCGAUGUAUUUUAGUUUAACUAAUUAAGGAUGCCCUAUUCGUGAACAAAAAUUAUUUCAAAUAUGGUUUGGAUGUCCACGAAAUUUUUUGUCAAAAAUGACAGCGGAUCACCAAAAAAGAUUGUGAACUAUAGAUCACUAAAAUCGUUAAAAUGGGGGGUUUACCUGCUCCGGGCUCGUUUGACCUUGAAAAUGGAUCACUUUGAUCGUCAAGGAAAAAUGGCUCCAUACCUAAUGUCUUAACAGAGUCCCAUGCAAAAUUUGGACAAAAAUGACAUCGGAAUUUCAGAUCACAAGAAAUCCACGGACUAUAGCACACAAAAAUCGGUAAAAUUGGGGGGGGGUUACAUUCUCUAGGGCUCGUUUGACAUUAAAAAAGGAACGUUUUGUCCGUUAGGUCCAAGUGGCUCUAUAGAUAACAUCUUAAUGGACGUCUACAAAAAAUUUGGGAAAAAGUGGCGUUUGAAUUGCGGAUCACCAAAAAUCCAUGUACUAUUGUACACGAAAAUUUGUAAAAUGGGGGGUUUACUUGCCACAAGGCUUGUUUGACCUUGAAAAUAGCUUGUUUUGUCCAUCAGGGGCAAUUGGCUCCAUAGAUAACGUUUUAAUGGAUGUCCACGAAAAUUGGGGCUAAAAUGACGACAGAAGUCCAAAUCACCAAAAAGGAUGGUGAACUAGCACAUGGAAAUUGACAAAAUGGGGUUUUUACCUUCUCUGGGGCUCGUUUAACUUUGAAAAUGGGUCAUUUUGGCCGUCUGGGCAACUUGGCUCCAUAGCUAACGUCUUAAAGACGUCCACAAAAAUUUGGACAAAAAUAAUGUCAAAAUUCCAAAUCACCGAAAAUGUACGAACUAGAUUCAACAUUUUAGUCAAAAUUCAUUGACAGCAUUAUAUAUGUACAAAAUUUGUAUAAAAUUAUUCAAAUCGCAGAUACCAAUAUUUAAUGUCACUAUUUUAGAUAUUUGAAUCAAUACUUAAAAAUAUGUCUUGAUAAAAUCCAAAUUAUCUUUCACACUGUUUGUAUAUAACCUCUGAGAAUUUCUUGGAUAAAUGUAUAUGCAUGUAUAUUUAGAAAUAUUAUCAAAUGAUUAAUGAUGAUCUAAAUUUAAUUUUUUUUCCUACUAUAAACGAUCUCACCCCGCCAAAAAAUAAUAAUAAUUUGUUUUGUAGAAUGUUUUUAAAUAAUGUUUGAAGUUAUGUUAUGAAUUAAUUAAAUACUAUUGAUUGAAUUUGUGAGAAGAUUUUUCAUAUUUUUUUUAUUUCCAUCAUCAUAUUCGCCAGUUUUACGUUAAUAGUCAGUCUACUACAAUCGUAUUAUGUAGAUAGGUGAUUGUUUAUAUUGAUAUACACAUUAUGUAUUGAAUCCCUUUAUAUACUUACCCCUAUAUUUUCAUAUUAUGUUUUGUUAUCUCCGUCACAAGUUUCACAGUUUUCAUCUACCGGGGAUUAGGGAUUAAUGUUUAUGCACAUGUAAAGUUAAAGUAAUAUCAAUACAUACAUUAUGGUAUAUAUAAACCUUAUAACAUGUCAUAUUUUUCUUAUUCCCGUCACGGACUUCAAUAGUCUUUUAUUGAUUGUUAGCCUACUGCAAUUGUUUUCCUUUAUCAAGCCUUAGGACUAAAAGAUCAGUACGUAAAAUUUAGGAAUAAUACAUAUAUUGAACCCUAAACUUUAUUUCAAAUUUUAUCUUUGACCUCCAACAUUUAUAAUGCACAUAUAGACACUUUAACUAUCCAACUUUUAAGUAAAUAAAUAAAUGUGUCCUACGUGACAUAAUACAUGUAGGACACCACAUAGGACAAAAAUGACAUGUAGGUCAUGUGUGUCUAUUUGUUCAACUUUAAAUAAGUUUAAAUGUCUAUUUGUGCAUAUCCAAAGUUGAAAGGUAUAAAUGUGAUUUGAAGCCAAGCUAAACAACACAUUUAUGUAUUAUACCUCAAAUUUAAGUAAUACACAUCAUCAUUAGCGGUCUGAUAUAUUAAAAAAGCGUCAACGAUCAGCAAUUCAGUGAAAAAGUAUAAAUACCAUGUGUUGUGUUGAAUCCCCAAAUAUUAUAUCAAAUGAUUAAGACGAUCCACAUUCAUAUUAUUUCUAUAAAAAUUACCCCCUUGUAAAACAAAACGAUUUUGUAGAAUGCUUUAAAUAAGUCCUAAAAUCACAUUAUGAGUUAAUAAAAUACUAUUGAGUGAAUAUAUAUGUUGUAAUUAGAAGGAUUUCAAGUAUUUUGUUUUGUUAUUUCUAUUACAUAUUCACCAGUUUUACAUUAACAGCGGGCCUGCUACAAUCAUACUCCUCUAUCAUGGCUUAGCACUAAAAGCUCAUGCACAUAAAGUUUAAAUAGUAUUCAUCAUCAUCAAUGAAUGGACAACAUGUAUUUAAAAGGUGUCAACUAAUCGACCAAUGGCGGAGCCAUCAUAUAUUUAGGGGUUUCAUUCGAACCCCUUUCGCUGAAAAAUUAUAUUAUUUUAAUAUGGUCAAAACAAUUUUUUAGGUACAUAGAGUAGAUGUCGAACCCCCUUUGCCCUCUUCAUAUGUGUCUAUUUCUUAAGAUUUUGAACCCCUUGACAAAAAAUUCUUGCUCCGCCUCUGUGAUCGAACCACUCCAUUGAAAAAAUAUAUUAUAUAGUUAUGUGAAAGGUUUUAUCACGAUAGUAAAAUCAAAUUUAAGUGACAAAAAAUAUGCACGUUUAUAAAGAGUGCUAAAUUCUUACCGGUAUUAGUUCAUUUUUAUUAGAUUCAAUGUCAUUAAAUGCUUCAGAGACAUUGACAAAGAGUGUUAAUUGCCGCUAUAUUUAGUGACAAUUAAGCUAUUGCAGUUAAAUAAUUGCAACUAAAGAUCAUUUUUGGUAUAUUGAUUAAUAUACAUAGAACAAAAUUAAUCCCUUUUAAUAUUUACUUAUAUAAUUUGUCGGAUUAUGUUUUUGUUAUUUCCAUUACCAAAUUUGUUGAUUUUAGUAGUUAACCUAAUGCAAUCGUUUUCCUCUAAUUGGGAUCAAGAUUGAGCUCAUGCCUGUGAUGGUUAAGUAAUAUCAAUAUGUACCUUGUCGUACAAUAUUAACCUUUCAACAUGGUAUAUAUAGUUUUGUUAUUCCCACUAUCGAAUUAACCCAAUUUUUUCAUUGACUAUUAGCCUAGUGCAAUUAUAUUUUUCUAUCAAGUCUUAGGAUUGAAAAAUCAUUCACGUAAAAUUUAAGUAAUAUCCAUCGUUAUGAUCAAUAGCAGAGCCACAUGUAUUAAAAAAGAGUCAACCAAUACCAGUUCAUGGAAAUAGUAUAUAUACUAUGUGAUGUGUUAAUACAUCAAUAUUAUAUAAAAUGAUUAAUGACGAUUUCAAUUAAUAAUUUAAGUGAAUUAUCUUAAAAUUAACUUCUAGGUAAAUAUUCAAUUAAUAAACCUCAUUAAUUUCUUCUUUCUUAAAACCAAAAAAGGCAAUAUUCAUUUAAGUAUUGCACUUAAAAGUCAAAAUUCAGCAAAUUUAGUCAAAGUUCAAUUGAUUUUAUUAAAAAAUAUUUAUAAUCUAUAAUAAAAUCUAUUCAACACAUUGGUAACUUACAUUAAAGGGAAAAUGCACAAGUACCCCCUCCGAAAUCCCAGAUACACACUUUUCCUAUACUAAGGUCCUAUUACUCCCCUAAACUUAUUUUGUAAGUAAUUUUUUACCCCUUUUCGGCCUAUGUGGCACUAGCUUGAAAGAAAAAUUCAACCAGUGUUGGGCCCACAAGAUAGCACCACGUAGGCCGAAAAUCAUAGAAAAUUAUUUAUAAAAUAAGUUCACGGGAUAAUAGGACCUUAGUAAAGUAUAAGUGUGUCUCUAAGAUUUCAGGCAUAGGUUGAGGUUUCCUUGUGCAUUCCAUAGAUUAAAUAUCACUAUUUCAAUCCAUCUAUAGAUAUCCUCCGAAGCAUUUCUUGGAAAAACAUAAUUUUUAAAAAAUAUUUAAUGGAAAAUCCAACUAUCAUUUAAAGAGUAGAGUUGUUGGUUCCACCACUUGGUGGAAUUCCACAACGAAUAGUUUCCCCUUUCUUAGAUCUGAUUGCUACUUCGACUGAUGGAUGAGAUUUGAAACCUCAUUCAAUCCACUUUCAAUUUGAUCAAUCUGAGUGGCAAUUGAAAGUCAAGUUUCAUGGUUGCAAUGGAUGGAGGGAUCAACAAAAGAAAUGCAAAUAAUGGGUUGAAAUGAUGGAGUCUAUCCAUCGCCCUGUAUGGAUAGUUGUAGGAAUUUAUGGAGUGCAUAAAAAUUUCAACUUAUAGAGUUCAUACCGACGAAAAUUUAUAUUUUGUUAGUAGAGAGGUGGUCUUGUGAGACUAACAGUUUUAUGUUUCCGUGGGGUGAAGCUACUGUUAGUCUUGAUGACAAAACGGUUUUGGGAGGGUUUACUGUUUUGGGUGACUGUGACAAGUCCCCCUUUCAAUGCCUUGAGUUGUUAGGGAUUGAAGAGUAUCUUGAGAAUGCGAGAAGAGAACUUAUCAGAUCAAAGACAAAUAAUCAGAGUAGGUGGUUGAAUUACUUCAUAAAUAGUUGUAAGGACUACAAACACUAAGCUUUUCUUUCUCUUUGGUUAUCAAGAUUUGUGUUUCCAUGUAAAGUAAGUGCUCCUGUUUUCUCGAUAGCAGUUAGUCUGGCUAGAGGUAUGUGGCUAACUCUUGCUCUUGCUGUUCUUGCUAGUAUAUACAGGGACUUGGACUCAUUGAGAAAGGCUAUGAUAGAGACAGGUAGAAGAAAUAGAGACAUAAUUAAGAUGCAUAAACUUAAUCUUUUGUCGCCAUUGUUCUUUGUUCAAGUCUGGGCUUGGGAGAGGAUGGUAUCUUUGCAGCCAGAGCGCGCUCGGAAUUAUAAUAUAGUUAGUGGGGUGAGGAUAGGACGAUGACACAAUGUGAAACAAACGAGUGAAAUUAAUUUGAGGACUACAAUUGAUGCAGCAGGGGAGAUUUUUCUAUGGAGGUCAUACGCCUUGGCUGUGGAAGCUUUGGUCAAAUUUUCCCAAAGUUUUACAAGGAAAAUGAAGAGUGGAAAAUAGUUGGAGAGCAAAAUUUGGAUCAAUAAAUUGAGUCUUUCUUUCGAUGCUUGAGGGUGUCUGAGCUUGUUGGUUUAGAUUGUCAAGAACCUUAUUGAUCAAAUCGGGUAGCAAUGCAGUUUGGGUAUGAUCAAGACUUCCCUAAAUGGAUUCCUCGCCUUCUAGUCCAGAACUUGCCUGAUACAAUUACAGCAGACCUAUUGCUUCUGAUUUGAGGUUAUACUAUCCGUCUAGGCUGUUUGAACCGGAUGUAACAACACGGUACUUGGAAUGGUGGAGAACAAAACUGAUCGUCAAAUGGAGAAUUACCUUGCAGUUCAUCCUGGUUUUCCUCCCAAUUAUUGUUGGAAAAAUGACAAGAAGAAUUACCCUGAUGUUCCUUCUGGUGUUCCUCCCAAUUAUUGUUGGAAAAAUGAAAAGGAGAAUUACCCUGAUGUUCCUCCUCGUUCUAAGCAGAAUCAUAUUGCAGAUGAAACAGUUCACAUAUUCAUUGACGGCAAUGGUAGUAGUAGUGAAGGAAGCAUGGAAAGAAGCAAAGCUUUAGUGGUAACAGUAACGUAUACCAACAUCAUUGAAGGCAAUAUAGCGAUGGGAAACCAUGAGAAAGAGAGGUGUACAUAUGAUAUGAUCAAUAUUGUGAAACUUAAGAUGAGGAUUAGCAACCUUGAAAACAUCAAUGCUGGAAAGGUUCCAAUAAUCAGGACAAAGUGGAAACAAGCUAAGAUUAAGCUAAACUAUAGUGCUAAUACUAUGUUUUUGUUUAUUUCAUCAAGUUAUAUAUUCUUCGUUAUUGCCUAAUACUUAGAAAGUGCUACUAGCUAGCUCGUUCUUCUAUUUAGGUCCUUUUGUAACUAUAUAUCUCAGCUUUAGUAAUAAAAAUUCACUUGAAUCAUGUUUCAGUUCACUUGUUUACUUUCCAGGUUUCUAACUAUUUAGCUCUAUGAAGCAUUUGUGGCUGUUGCGAAUGCAAAGUCAAGAUUACAGAUAUAAUCACUAACUAGCAUUUACUUUUUCCUAGACUAUCAACUUACUCAGAACUCGGAGUCGGAGAUUUUUUUUAAUUCUCUCGCCCCUUCAACUAAACCAAGUUGAGUGACAAACAUCUUCUUGUAAGUGAGGAGAUUAGAGAGUAAAUUAACAAGAAAGGGAUGAGAUAAUAUUGAACUAAUUAAUUUGGUCAUACUCUUGUCUCAAACUGUACUUAUUGCAGAUAGCCUUGACAAAAAAAUCUGAACUUUUGAGCAUGUCUUUGUUUUAGGGGAUAUUUGCAAGAAAGUUAUGGAGCUAUUUUGCAGGAUCAAUUAGAUGCAUGGACCAACAUGGUAUUGUCGAUUUCAACUUGUUUGAAAUUGAGAUGCAGUAGUAGUAGUUAUUGUUUCAGUCCUGGUAUAAUGUUAUUUUUCAUAUUUUGUUUUGUUAUUUCCAUCACCAAAUUCACCAAUUAUACAUUAAUAGUCAGCCUACUGCAAUCGUAUUAUGUAGAUAGGUGAUUUUUUUUAUUGAUGUACGCAUUAUGUAUUGAGUCACUUUAUAUACUUAAUCCUAUAUUUUCAUAUUAUGUUCUGUUAUCUUCGUCACCAAAUUCACUGUUUUCUUCUACUGGGAUUAGGGCUUAAUGCUUACGCAUACGUAAAUUUCAAACUAGCAUCAAUACGUACCUUAUGGUACAAAAUAAACUUACAACGUGACGUAUUUUGUUUUAUUAUUCCCAUCACCAAAUUCACUAUUUUUUUCUUGACUGUUAGCCUAUUGUAAAUGUUUUUCUUUAUCGAGCCUUAGGACUAAAAGUUCAUGCACGAAAAAUUAAGUAAUACACAUCAUCAUUUGUGGCAAAGCCCGAUAUAGUCAACUAUCUCCAAUUCACUGAAAAAAUUGAGAUACUACGUGUUGUGUUGAAUCCCUAAAUAUUAUAUCAAAUGAUUAAGACGAUCCACAUAAAUAUUUUUUCUAUAAAAAUUAUCCCCUCCCCAAAAUAAGAUUUUGUGGAGUAUUUUAAAUAAUUCAUGAAAUCACAUUAUCAUAUAUUAUUAUAAGUGGAAAGCUCUAAAGUGAAAAGUUUAAUUACCAUUUUACCCCUACACUAAAUGAAAAGGCUAUAAAAUAUUUAAUUAAAUUCAUCUAAUAUAAUUAAUUAAAUAUUUUUGUCUUUAAAUGAAGAAAAUACCUCUUUAAAUAAAUGCUAAGUAUCAUAUUGACUACAAUACAAUAAAUGUUUUAACAAUUUAUAAAAUGAUUCUUCAUAUUCUUAUAUGUGUAUUAGUACAUAUAUUGAAUAAUUAUACUCAAAUGCUUCACCUUUAAAUAUUAACUACAAAUUUGGAUUUUAGUAGUUUUGGAAAUCUAACCAUUUCCAAAGGAUAAAAUAUAAGUGUCCUUUCACUUCUUCAAUAAAGAAAUUUAAUGAUAUUUUCAUUAUCUUUUUAUAACUUGACUUUUGACUUUCUAUAUAUCUUAGCUAUCAAUACCAUUGUGUGCUUCACUAAUUUUUCGAUCUGUAAAUUGUGUCAUGAUAUAUGUCGUCUUAGUUUUGAUGAAUGCUACUUCUCUUAACUCCUUGUAUCUUAAUAUUUGUUUGAUAAUUUUAUUGUAGAUUAACUAUGAUCUGCUUAGAUUUCUCUUCUAUGUGUUCAAGUGAAAUUUUUAUUUUGUGUUAUUAUAUUAGAAAUGAAGAUGUUAUACAUUUGUUGAUGUUCCUUAAUAAUAUAUUUGUUACUUUCAUUGUUCAUCCAUGAAAUGGGUUAAUGACAUAUUCAUGAGAAUCCUUUAAGUCCCUCAAUCAUAUCUUAUCCGAAGAGAUUUUGAAUAAUUGGAAGAGGAUAAAGAAAGUUGUCAUCUCUUAUCUCUCUACAUUUUUUCUACUUUUUUCUUUCACAUUUUCACUUUUAGAUCAUUUUAUAAUAUUUUUGUUGAUUUCUUUAGAGGUAUUCUUUUAUUUACCAUUUAAAAAAAAUCUCUAUUUUCUUUUCCGAGUCAAUUCCUAUUUGAUAAAUAUAUAACUACAAAUAAAAAAUAAUUGUACGCAAUAAGACUUCGAAUUUUAUAAUUUAAGCCUUUUUGCAUGGUUGAUAAUUGUUAUUUCUUUGGUGAUCACAAAUGUAAGUUGUAUAGCUUUUAAAUUACUUUUUCCUGGUUUACUAUUUUAUUGGGAAAAUGCACAAGUACCCCCUCAACCUAUGCCCGAAAUCCCACAGACACACUUAUACUAUACUAAGGUCCUAUUACCCCCCUGAACUUAUUUUAUAAGUAAUUUUCUACCCCUUUUUAGCUUACGUGGCACUAGUUUGAAAAAAAAAGUCAACCAUCGUUGAGCCCACAAGAUAAUGCCACGUAGGCUAAAAAGGGUUAAAAAAUUAUUUUAAAAAAUUUGUUCAGGGGGAUAAUAGGACCUUAGUAUAGUAUAAGUGUGUCUCUGAGUUUUCGGGCAUAGGUUGAGGGGGUACUUGAGCAUUAUCCCUUAUUUUAUUUUACAAAUUUUGUAGUAAAAAAAUAGAACUAUUAGUUCUAUAAAAGUGUGAAGCAAGAAAGUUAAAGGUUGGAUUACUAAAAUAAUACUAUAAAUUUGUAUAGAGUAUAACACUCUUUAAAAAUAGAGAAUUUGAAGGGUUCUGAAUAAUUAAAUACACUUAAUUAAAUAUAUUUACCAUAUUCAUCUACUAAAAGCCUCUAGCUGCCGGUGAAAUAUGUAAAGAUGUUUGAGACUUUGAUUCCCCUCAUUCACUUUCUUUCAUUUAAUUUAUUUUAUUAUAACAUGAAAUUAAGUUCAAAUUAUCCAAUUUAAUUUAUUAUUUUUCUCUUAUUUAAGUUAAGAUCCAUCUUUACAAGAAAAAAGUACAUGUAUCUUCCAUUACAAAAUAAAGGUUUUGUUGAUUUUCUUUUAAAGAAAAUUUGAGAUAGUUGCAAUAUGAAUAUGCCUUCUAUCUUUCCUAAUAUUUCUUGUAUAUCUGAAAAUUCUCUACAUAUAUUUUUCUUAAUUAAUUAUUGUAAUUUGUAACUAUUUUUUUGUUGAUCUACUUUUUAUUCUAUCAGUAAACUACUGAAUCAAAAUUUACACGAUCUUUCUUUAACAAUAUUCGUGGUUUCUUCGUCUUUAGUAUCAAAGAUGCAACACAAACACAUCAUUACAACAACUUCAUGCAACUUAGCCUGGGGCACACGUCCAACGCACGUGCCCAAAACUAGUGAAUUAAUAAAUACAAUUGAGUAAAUGCAUAUGUUGUAAUUAGAAGGAUUCUUUGUAUUUUGUUUUGUUAUUUCCAUCACAAAUUCAUAAGUUUUACAUUAGGAAUCAACUUACUGCAUUCAUAUUCCUCUAUUAUAGAUUAGCACUAAAAUCUUAUGUAGAUAAAGUCGAAAUUAUAUUCAUCAUCAUCAAUGACAGACCAACAUGCAUUCAAAAGGUGUUUAGUUGACGAGCUCAAGAGUUAUGUUGCUUCACACAGGCGAUGCUACACUCAAUAUGGUACGAUUUCAGUUUACUGCUUACACUCUCUGAUAAUAUUCUUAAGAAUAAAAGUUAUCACAAAGAAGAGAAACAUAUUGAAUUCUCAUUUUUUUUCUCAAAUUUGCUAAUGAAUCAUGUUCUACUUUAAAUAUAGCUAUACUAAGCUCUAAACUUCUCUUGAGUAGCUUUAUCAACCACUGUUGUCUUACCAGCAACCGAUUCAAUUGACAAUAAUGAUUGUUUUACAAAAAGCCCAUUAAGAAAUGUUGAUUUGACAACUAUCUCAUGCACUUUUCGGUCACGUUGUGCAUAAGUUGAAUUAAUUAAGAAGCAAUGUAAUUGUGUCGAGCCUAGUAACUUGAGCAAAAGUGUCAAAAUAACCCUUAACUACAAGCCUUGUUUUAUGCUUGUUGAUUGAACCAUCAACAUUUAGCUUAGCUCGAAAUCCUGGAGGCAUGUCUAAAACUGAAUCGCUUAUAAUUAAGUAGAAGUAUCAUGUUAUUUGAUUCUGUGUUUGCUAAACUUUGCUAAUUUUGUGCAGGUUGGUAGAGCGGUGAUAGGCUGAUGAUGUGAACAAGAGGAUUUUGUGGUGGAAGACACUCGAAAAAGUCCGAAAGAUAAUCGUUGUAACCUGAAUAUCUGGCAUUAUAGUUAUGUAAUCUCUGUGAACUAAAUGUGGAUUUCCUAUUCAAUAUUGUAGACAACGUUUCAAGCAUUGUAACUUGAACUUAGUAUAGCGAUGUAUUUUGUUUGAACUAAUUAAGGAUGCCCUAUUCGUGAAGAGAAAAUUUUCAAACAUGGUUUGGACGUCCACAAAAAGUUUUGGCAAAAAUGAUGAAACAUCGCCAAAAAAGAUGGUGAACUAUAGCACAGGAAAAUAUCUGUAAAAUUGGGGGUUUACUUGCUCCGGGGCUCGUUUGACCUUUAAAAUGGGCUGUUUCGACCGUUAGGCCAUAUGACUCCAUAGUUAACGUCUAAAAAGACUUCCACAAAAAAAUUAGACAAAAAUGACAUCAGAAUUCCAGAUCACCAAAACCCCAUGAACUAUAACACACAAAAAUCAACAAGAUGGGGGGGUGGAUUACAUGCUUUGGGCUCGUUUGACAUUGAAAGUGGAUUGUUUUUCAGUUAGGGUCAUAUGGCUCCACGGAAAGCGUCUUAAUGGACGUCCAUGAAAAAGUUGGGAAGUGACGUUUGAAUUGCGGAUCAACAAAAAUCCAUGGACUACACAAAAAUUGAUAAAAUGGGGAAUUUACCUACUGUGAGGCUCGUUAGACUUUCAAAAUGGGUCAUUUUGACCAUCAGGGCUGAUUGGCUCCGUCAAUGAUGUUUUAAUAGACGUCCACAAAAAUUUUAGGCAAAAAUGACGACAGAAAUCUGGAUCACCAAACAAAUUGUGAACUAGCACAUGAAAAUUGGCAAAAUGGGGUUUUUACCUGCUAUGGGGCUCGUUUAACUUUGAAAACGGGCCAUUUUGGCCUUCUGGGCCACUUGGCUCCAUAGAUAACGUCAUAAAGACGUCCACCAAAAAUUUGGAUAAAAAUAAUGUCAAAAUUUCAAAUCACCGAAAAUCCACGAACUAUAUUUAACAUUUUUAGUCAAAAUUCAUUGACAAUAUUAAUAAAUGUACAAAAUUUGUAUAAAAUUAGUCAAAUCUUAGAUACCAAUAUUUAAUGUAACUAUUUUAGAUAUUUGAAUCCAUACUUCAAAUAUGGCUUGCUAAAAUCCAAAUUAUCUUUCACACUGUCUGUAUAUAACCUCCGAAGAAUUUUUUGGAUAAAUGUAUAUGCAUGUAUAUUUUAAAAUAUUAUCAAAUGAUUAAUGAUGAUCUAAAUUUAAUUUUUUUCCCUAAUAUAAACGAUCCCACCCCGCCAAAAAAUAAUAAUAAUUUGUUUUGUAGAAUAUUUUAAGUAAUUCCUGAAGUCAUGUUAUGAAUUAAUGAAAUACAAUUGAGUGAAUUUGUGAGAAGAUUUUUCAUAUUUUUUUUAUUUCCAUCAUCAAAUUCACCGAUUUUACGUUAAUAGUCAGUCUACUACAAUCGUAUUAUGUAGAUAGGUGAUUAUUUAUAUUGAUAUACACAUUAUGUGUUGAAUACCCUUAUAUACUUACUCCUAUAUUAUCAUAUUAUGUUUUGUUAUCUCUGUCACAAGUUUCACAGUUUUCAUCUACCGGGGAUUAGGGAUUAAUCUUUAUGCACAUGUAAAGUUCAAGUAAUAUCAAUACAUACCUUAUGGUAUAUAUAAACCUUAUAACAUGCGAUAUUUUUUUUUAUUCCCGUCACGGACUUCAAUAGUCUUUUGUUGAUUGUUAGCCUACUGCAAUUGUUUUUCUUUAUCUAGUUUUAGGGCUAAAAGCUCAUGCACAUAAAAUUUAAGUAAUACACAUUAUCAUUAGUGACAUAAAAUUUAAAUAAUAUACUUCAUUAUCAAUGACAGGACAACAUUUAUUCAAAAGGUGUCAACUUAUCGACCAAUGGCAGAGCCAUCAUUAUAUAUUUAGGGCUUUAUCUGAACCCCUUUCGGUGAAUAAUUAUAUUAUUUUUAUAAGGCUAAAAUAAUUUUUUAGAUACAUAGAGUAGAUGUCGAACUCCCUUUGGCUACUUCAUGUGUCUAUUAAUUAAGAUUUUGACCCCAAAAAUUUCUGGAUCCGCCUCUAUGAUCGACACCACUCCAUUGAAAAAGUAUAUUUUGUAGAUAUGUGAAACGUUUUAUCAAGAUAGUAAAAUCAGCUUUUAGUGACAAAAAAUAAACACAUUUAUAAAGAGUGCUAUUUGUCACGACCCAAAAAUGGACGUGAUGGCACUCAUCUUAUCCCAUCAAGAAAAGUCAGCCUAAAAUUCAACCAUUACAAUAAAAUUGCGGAAAAUUUACUAUCAACUUACAUUAUACCCCAAAAACCUGGUAGUCACAUGUACAAACCUCUACUGUAUUACAAUUGAUUCAAAAGAAAAACUCAAGUCUCAAAUGAACUUGUUUCUAGAAUAGAACAAGAUCAUAAUUAUGGAGAAGUGUAACGACCUGUUUAGUCGUUUUGAACAGCAGAGUUUAUUUCUGGAAAAACAGGCUGAGGCGACGGACCCCACGACGGACCGUCAUGGGCACGACGGACCGUCGCAGGGUCUUGUUUCAAAACACUUAGAAAAUCUUAAAUUGGGUACUGAAAAUCGACUCUCUGAACUUCGUAACGAAAUGGCAGGACGGACCGUCACAUGUGUGACGGACCGUCACAAAGUCUUCAGUGGAAAUCCAGUCUCUAAACCUUGCGACGACCUGCAGGACGGACCUUCGCUGACACGACGGGCCGUCACAGGUUGCGUAAUCCUAGUCUGGGUCGGAUUUCUUAUACGUUUUAAGGGACGUUUUUGACUAUUCCUGCUUUGAUUAGAAAGUUAGUGGGUUAAUGUUAAUAAGUCUAAUUACUUGGGGGUUAAAAGAGGUAACCUUAAGUUAAUUAGUGGGUUAUUAUUGCCAUCUUUUCUUCUUAAUUAUAUGCUAAUUAGGGUAAAAGAAAGAGGUUUUGAAUAAGAAAAGUAGAAAGAACAAAGAGAGAGAGAGGAUCGAACGAGGAAGAGAGAAAACGAAGAACAAAGCUAAGGGAAAUUGCUUGCUUCAUCACUAAUCUUUGGUGGAGGUAGGUUAUGGUUUUUAUACUAUUCGUAGUAAACUCUUAAUAGCGAAUGAUAUGUAUGAGAAGUAUUGUAAACCCUUCUAUAUGCUUAAUUGUAUGCUUGCAUGAAUGUGAUUAUGUAUUUGUGAUAAAAUAAGCAUGAUGAAGCUAUUGAAUCCUAAAUCUUGAAAAAGAAACCCUAAUCUACUUUGUUAAUAAUGAUGCCUUGGUAUAAAGGAAGGCUUGAUGAACGGAAGUAGUGAGAUUAGGGGAUCCGGUGCCACGCUCCGGUACCACGAUAAAAUAUGGAUCGGGGUGUCACAUUCCGACACCAAGAUAGAAUGAGGAUCGGAGUGUCACGUUUCGACACCAGGAUAGUAUAUGAGGAUCGGAGUGUCACGUUCCGACACCAAGAUAGUAUAUGGAUCGGGUGCCACGUUCCGAUACUAGGAUAGAAUAUGGAUCGGGUGUCACAUUCCGACACCAGAAUAGAAUGAGGAUCAGAGUGUCACGUUCCGACACCAGGAUAGUAUAUGUGGAGCGGAGUGUCACGUACCGACACGAGAGGAAUAAAGAUAAUGAAUCUUGAAAUAUGUUAAUAUACUCAAUCUAAUGAACCUAAUUCCCAAAUGAGAAUGAUGAGGAGGCGUGAGUCCUCAUUGAUGAGCUUGGUGUUGUAACCAAGGGUUAUGGAAAUUGUAAAUGCUGCAUGCUAAGGAUAUUAGUUGAUUUUAUGAUAUUUCUUAAUAUAUACUGUUUUCUAUUUUGAGUUGGCCGAUGAUACCUACUCAGUACUUUUGUUUGUACUGACCCCCUACUUUUAUGUUUUCUUCUUGUUUAUUGGUAGAGUGCAGCAAACGUACCGUCAUCUUCAACUCAACCGCAAUUCUAGCCAGUCUUCGUCACAUCGGAUCUUCAGGGUGAGCUAAUGCUUCUAGCUUGGACUGGAUCUUCUUCCUCAUGUCUUGAUGCCUCAAAGUUCCGGCAUGGACUAGCUUUUACUUGUUUUAGCUUUUAGAAUACUCUUAGUUUAGUAAUUUGAUCAUAAAUGUUCUUGUGAUGAUGACUUCCAGAUUUUACGGAAUAAUAGAUGUUGAAUUUUAGAAGUUAAUGAAUUGGUUUUAUUUAAUGAGUUUGAGUCUUCUGCAUUAUUUACUGUUGAUAUUAUAUUGAAAUAUUAGAGUUUAGAUUGGUUGGUUCGCUCACAUAGGAGGGUAAGUGUGGGUGCCAGUCACGGCCCGGAUUUUGGGUCGUGACAAACUUUGGUAUCAGAGCAUUAGGUUCGUUGGUCUCAUCACACAAGAACAAGUCUAGUAGAGUCUUAAGGAACGGUAGGGGGACACCUUUACUUUUCUUUGAGAGGCUAUAAGACUUUAGGAAAAUUCCAUUCUUUCUUUCUUUCUUUCGUGCUACUACUUGAAUCCAAUUUGUAUCUAGGUGAUACAAAUUGGUAUCUGACCAUCUUCACUCUCUUUCGCAGAUGGUUAGAAGUAGAGAAACGACUACGCCAACACCAACACCAGCACCGGCGGGACAGGGUGCGUCUGAUCCAGCCACUGGGGCUGUAGCUCAAGGAAGAGCAGCGGCAAGAGGUCGUGGGAGGACGUUCUCUAGGGGAAGAGGACGAGCACCUAGCCCAUCUGAUACUAGGGCAGUGACUCCUCCACCGACUGAGGAAGUAAUAAGAGAAGGGGAGGAUGGGGAAAAUGAACAUGUGCAGAAUGAGGGAUUGCCACCCCAGCCUACCCCAGAGAUGAUAAAUCAGGUGCUCGCUUAUCUUAGUGGGUUGUCUGAUCAGGGUCAGGCACCUCCAGUGUUUUCUGCACCAACACCUCCGGUUUCAGAGGUACAACAUGCAGCCACUAUGGCUCCUCGUAUGGAUGCCUCAUUGGACAUAGGCACGUUUCCACGUCUGACUACUGGGCCUAUAAUGACAAAUGAUCAGCAUGAACUUUUCAGUAAGUUCUUGAAAUUGAAGCCUCCAGCCUUCAACGGUGCUGAAUCUGAGGAUGCUUACUAUUUUCUGGUUGACUGUCAUGAGCUACUACACAAGAUGGGUAUAGUAGAAAGGUUUGGUGUUGAGUUUGUGAGUUAUCAGUUUCAAGGGAACGCCAAAAUGUGGUGGCGGUCACAUGUUGAGUGUCAACCAACAGAGGCACCACCUAUACUUGGGCCUCAUUCUCUAGCUUGUUUAUGGAGAAGUAUAUCCCACGAACUUUGAGAGAUAGGAAAAGGGAUGAGUUCUUGAGCCUAGAGCAAGGUAGGAUGUCGGUUACUGCAUAUGAGGCUAAGUUUCGUGCAUUAUCCUGGUAUGCCACCUAACUGUAUUUCAGUCCACAAGAGCGGAUUCGCUGUUUUAUGAAAGGGUUGAGAUCAGAGUUGCGGAUUUCAGCCUUACAGGUAGCGGCUACAGCGAAAUCUUUCCAAGAAGUGGUAGACUUUGUGGUAGAGGUGGAAGGAGUGAAGUCAGAUGACUUCACCAUGGCAACUACAUCAAAAAGGUUUCGAAAGGGAGGUGAGUUUAAUGGUUCUUACUCUAGAGGACAGGGUUAAGGAGGUUACUCAGUCCGACCAAUUCAGUCUUCACUACACACUGUAGUUGGGGGUCCACCUCAGACCGGUCAACACUUCUCUGAGAGACCUAUGCUUAAACCCAGAGAGUGUUAUGGAUGUGGGGAGAUCGGACACAUUAAGAGGUAUUGUCCAAAACAUAGUUACAGACCUUCAAAUGUUAGAGGUAGAGGUGGUUAUGGAAGAGGUCGUCAUUUUGGAGGACGCGGUGGUCGAAGUAAUGGUGGUCACCAAAACGGUCGGGGUGAUGGGAAAAGUGGAGCCACUACAUCACAACAUGGUAGGGGCAACGGACAAACAAACGAAAGGGCCCAUUGUUACGUUUUUCCUGGGCGGUCAGAAGCGGAGACAUCAGAUACUGUCAUCACAGGUAAUCUUUCGGUUUGUGAUUGCAUGGCUUCUGUAUUGUUUGAUCCUGGAUCUACAUUUUCUUAUGUAUCUUCUUCAUUUGCUAAUGGUCUAAAUUUACCUUGUAAAUUACUUGACAUACCUAUUCGUGUUUCUAUUCCGGUGGGUGAGUCUGUGAUAGUUGAAAAAGUAUAUAGGUCUUGUUUGGUUAAUUUUGUGGGGAGCAACACUUAUGUAGAUUUGGUUAUCUUAGAAAUGGUUGACUUUGAUGUAAUUCUAGGUAUGACUUGGUUUUCUCCGAAUUUUGCGAUCUUGGAUUGUAAUGCUAAAACGGUGACGUUAGCCAAGCUUGGGGACAGAUCCGUUACUUUGGGAGAGUGACUACACUUCCAAUCCGGUGCGUAUCAUCUCCUUUCUUCGUGCUAAGAAAAUGGUUAGUAAAGGGUGUUUAGCUUUCUUGGCACAUCUCAAGGAUGACACUACCCAAUUACCUUCGAUUGAGUCGGUCUCGGUGGUCCGUGAGUUUCUAGAUGUGUUCCCUGCAGAUCUUCCUAGUAUGCCACCAGAUAGGGAUAUUGACUUCUGUAUAGAUCUUGAACCGGGUACUAGCCCCAUUUCUAUACCCCCUUAUAGAAUGGCCCCCGUGGAGUUAAGAGAGUUAAAAGCCCAACUUCAAGGGUUGUUGAUCAAAGGCUUCAUUAGACCAAAUGCAUCUCCUUGGGGUGCUCCGGUUUUGUUUGUGAAGAAAAAGGAUGGGAGUUUUCGGAUGUGCAUAGACUACCGGCAGUUGAACAAGGUAACCAUAAAGAACAAGUAUCCUCUUCCUCGCAUUAAUGACUUGUUCGAUCAGUUACAAAGUGCUUGUGUCUUCUCUAAGAUUGACUUGAGAUCUGGUUAUCAUCAAUUGAAAAUACGGGCAAUGGAUGUGCCAAAGACUGCUUUUAGAACCAGGUAUGGGCAUUACGAAUUUGUAGUGAUGUCUUUUGGUCUUACGAAUGCCCCUGCUGCUUUCAUGAGCUUGAUGAACGGGAUUUUUAAGCCAUAUCUUGAUCUCUUUGUGAUCGUAUUCAUUGAUGAUAUAUUGGUAUACUCAAAGAGCAAGAAGGAACAUGAAGAGCAUUUGAGAAGGGUAUUGGAAAUGUUGAGGGAGAAAAAGCUUUAUGCCAAAUUCUCCAAGUGUGAGUUUUGGCAAGAUGCAGUGUCCUUCUUGGGGCAUGUGGUUUCUAAGGAUGGGGUGAUGGUUGAUCCUUCUAAGAUUGAGACAGUGAAGAAUUGGGUAAGACCUACUAAUGUGUCAGAAAUAAGGAGCUUUGUUGGGUUAGCUAGCUACUACCGCCGAUUUGUCAAGGGAUUCUCUUCUAUUGCUUCCCAACUGACGAACUUGACUAAGCAAAAUGUCCCAUUCGUAUGGUCGGAUGAGUGUGAGAAAAGCUUUCAGAAGCUCAAGACUCUGUUGACUAGUGCACCAAUUCUCACCUUGUCGGUGGAAGGUAAGAAUUUCAUUGUCUAUUGUGAUGCAUCCUAUUCGGGUUUGGGUGCAGUGCUAAUGCAAGAGAAAAAUGUGAUUGCUUAUGCUUCAAGACAAUUAAAAGUGCAUGAACAUAGCUAUCCAACUCAUGAUUUGGAAUUGGCCGCGGUAGUGUUUGCAUUAAAGCAAUGGAGACACUAUUUAUAUGGGGUUAAGUGUGAGGUCUAUACGAAUCAUCGUAGCCUACAAUAUGUCUUUACUCAGAAAGAUUUGAACUUGAGACAGAGGAGAUGGAUGGAACUACUGAAGGACUACGACAUCACUAUUUUGUAUCAUCCGGGGAAGGCGAAUGUUGUAGCGGAUGCUUUAAGUAGAAAGACGGGAAGCAUGGGAAGUCUACCUCACUUGCAAGCUUCUAGACGCCCAUUGGCUAGAGAAGUUCAGAUUCUGGCUAACGACCUUACGAGAUAAGAAGUAAAUGAGAAGGGAGGAUUUUUAGCUUGUGUGGAGGCAAGAUCUUCCUUCCUUGACAAGAUUAAGGGAAAGCAGUUUAAUGAUGAAAAAUUGAUAUGGAUCCGAGAUAAAGUGUUGCAAAGAGAGGCUAAAGAAGCGACAAUCGAUGAGGAAGGUGUUUUGAGGAUUAAGGGAAGGGUAUGUGUACCCCGCGUCGAUGAUUUGAUCAACACUAUUCUGACAGAGGCUCAUAGUUCAAGGUAUUCGAUACAUCCGGGUUCAACCAUGAUGUACCGUGACCUAAAGCAACACUUUUGGUGGAGUAGAAUGAAGCGUGAUAUUGUAGAUUUUAUUGCCAAAUGUCCAAACUUUCAACAAGUAAAGUAUGAACACCAAAGGCCCGGAGGAACACUUCAGAGAAUGCCCAUUCCUGAAUGGAAGUGGGAAAGGAUUGCAAUGGAUUUCGUGGUUGGUCUUCCGAAGACAUUGGGAAAGUUUGAUUCUAUUUGGGUAAUUUUUGAUAGGUUAACUAAGUCUGCUCAUUUCUUUCUGGUCAAGGUGACUUACAAUGCAGAGAAGUUAGCCAAACUUUACAUCUCGGAAGUGGUGCGAUUGCAUGGGGUUCCACUCUCCAUUAUAUCAGAUAGAGGUACGCAGUUUACUUCUAAGUUUUGGAAAAUGUUGCACGCGGAAUUGGGUACUAGGUUGGACCUUAGUACUGCGUUCCACCCUCAGACCGAUGGUCAGUCUGAGCGAACGAUUCAAGUGUUGGAGGAUAUGCUUCACGCAUGUGUGAUAGAAUUUGGUGGUCAGUGGGAUAGCUUCUUUCCCUUGGCAGAGUUCUCCUACAACAAUAGCUAUCACUCAAGCAUUGAUAUGGCCCCAUUUGAGGCACUAUAUGGGAGAAAAUGUAGGUCUCCCAUUAGGUGGUUUGAUGCAUUUGAAGUUAGACCUUGGGGUACUGACCUUCUGAGGGAAUCGUUAGAUAAAGUGAAAUCUAUUCAAGAAAAGCUUCUAGCGGCGCAAAGUAGACAGAAGGAGUAUGCAGAUCGGAAGGUUAGAGACUUGGGAUUUAGGGAGGGUGAACAAGUCUUGUUGAAGGUUUCGCCAAUGAAAGGGGUGAUGCGGUUUGGUAAGCGAGGUAAACUUAGCCCAAGGUAUAUUGGUCCAUUUGAAGUACUUAAGCGAGUAGGGGAGGUGGCUUAUGAGUUAGCCUUGCCUCCAGGGCUGUCCGGAGUGCAUCCGGUAUUCCAUGUGUCAAUGUUGAAAAGAUACCAUGGGGAUGGAAACUACAUUAUCCGUUAGGAUUCAGUUUUUCUUGAUGAGAACUUGUCUUAUGAAGAGGAACCAGUUGUCAUUCUAGAUAGAGAAAUUCGCAAGUUGAGAUCAAGGGAGAUUGCAUCCAUCAAAAUUCAAUGGAAGAAUCGACCCGUUUAAGAAGCCACUUGGGAGAAGGAGGCAGAUAUGUGAGAAAGAUACCCACAUCUGUUUACAGAUUCAGGUACUCCUUUUCGCCCUUGUUUUCCUUCUUGUGAUCGUUCGGGGACGAACAAUGGGUAAAUUGGUAUCUAUUGUAACGACAUGUUUAGUCAUUUUGAACAGCAUUUUAUUUCUGGAAAAAUAGGCUGAGGAGACGGACCCUACGACGGACCGUCAUGGGCACGACGGACCGUCGCAGGGUCUCAUUUCAAAACACUUAGAAAAUCUGAAAUUUUGGGUACUGAAAAUUGACUCUCUGAACUUCGGAACGAAAAGGCAGGACGGACCGUCACAGAGUCUUCAAUGGAAAUCCAGUCUCUGAACCUUGCGACGACCUGCAGGACGGACCGUCGCAGACAGGACGGGCCGUCACAGGUUGCGUAAUCCCAGUCUGGGUCGGAUUUCUUAUACGUUUUAAGGGACGUUUUUUACUAUUCCUGCUUUAAUUAUAAAGUUAGUGGGUUAAUGUUAAUAAGUCUAAUUACUUGGGGGUUAAAAGAGGUAACCUUAAGUUAAUUAGUGGGUUAUUAUUGCCAUCUUUUCUUCUUAAUUAUAUGCUACUUAGGGUAAAAGAAAAAGGUUUUGAAUAAGAAAAGUAGAAAGAACAAAGAGAGAGAGGAUCGAACGAGGAAGAGAGAAAACAAAGAACAGAGCUUGGGGAAAUUGCUUGCUUGAUCACUAAUCUUCGGUGGAGGUAGGUUAUGGUUUUUAUACUAUUCCUAGUAAACUCUUAAUAGCGAAUGAUAUGUAUGGGUAGUAUUGUAAACCCUUCUAUAUGCUUAAUUGUAUGCAUGCAUGAAUGUGAUUAUGUAAUUUUGAUAAAAUAAGCAUGAUGAAGCUAUUGAAUCCUAAAUCUUUAAAAAGAAAACCUAAUCUAAUUUGUUAAUGAUGAUGCCUUGGUAUAAAGGAAGACUUGAUGAACGAAAGUAGUGAGAUUAGGGGAUCGGGUGCCACGCUCCGGUACCAGGAUAGAAUAUGGAUCGGGGUGUCACGUUCCGACACCAGGAUAGAAUGAGGAUCGGAGUGUCAUGUUCCGACACCAGGAUAGUAUAUGAGGAUCAGAGUAUCACGUUCCGACACCAGGAUAGUAUAUGGAUCGGGUGCCACGUUCCGGUACGAGGAUAGAAUAUGGAUCGGGUGUCACGUUCUGACACUAGGAUAGAAUGAGGAUCGGAGUGUCACGUUCCGACAACAGGAUAGUAUAUGAGGAGCGGAGUGUCACGUACCGACACGAGAGGAAUAAAGAUAAUGAACCUUGAAAGAUGUUAAUAUACUCAAUCUAAUUAACCUAAUUCACAAAUGAGUAUGAUGAAGAGGCGUGAGUCCUCAUUGAUGAGCUUGGUGUUGUAACCAAGGGUUAUGGAAAUUGUAAAUGCUGCAUGCUAAGGAUAUUAGUUGAUUUUAUGAUAUUUCUUAAUAUAUACUGUUUUCUAUUUUGAGUUGGCCGAUGAUACCUACUCAGUACUUUUGUUUGUACUGACCCCCUACUUUUAUGUUUUCUUCUUGUUUAUUUGUGGAGUGCAGCAAACGUACCAUCAUCUUCAACUCAACCGCAAUUCUAGCCAGUCUUCGUCACAUCGGAUCUUCAGGGUGAGCUAAUGCUUCUAGCUUGGACUGGAUCUUCUUCCUCAUGUCUUGAUGCCUUGAAGUUCCGGCAUGGACUAGCUUUUACUUGUUUUAGCUUUUAGAAUACUCUUAGUUUAGUAAUUUGAUCAUAGAUGUUCUUGUGAUGAUGACUUCCAGAUUUUAGGGAAUAAUAGAUGUUGAAUUUUAGAAGUUAAUGAAUUGGUUUUAUUUAAUGAGUUUGAGUCUUCCGCAUUAUUUACUGUUGAUGUUAUAUUGAAAUGUUAGAGUUUAGAUUGGUUGGUUCGCUCACAUAGGAGGGUAUGUGUGAGUGCCAGUCACGGCCCGGAUUUUGGGUCGUGACAAGAAGAAAGUCUGCUGAGAUGGAAAUAACUACCUCACAAAUCUCCAAGAAGCCUCGGAAAAGAAGAGAAUGACAAAUACAAUAAAAAUCCAGGCUCAUAACCUACAAAAAUUUGUAGAAGCAAGGGGUGGGUACCAAACCACACGGUACUCAGCAAGUAAACGUCUAAUUACAAGCUAAGGGGAUGAAAUACGGGUACCCCUACCUCCCCAACCGAACCUCCACAACUACAACCUGCAUAAAAUUCAGUCUAACCUAACAGUUCAUAUUUACAUAGCACGUAACUCUACAACAACACUUAUACAAAUUAUAUAUAUAUCCUCCACAACCACACUCUAUCAAAUUACAUAUCCUCAAUAACAAGCUUAGUAUUAUCAAUCACAAAUUUCACAGAAAGACAAUCACAAGAUCAGCAAAACACAACAUCAAGUUCCCCAAUGAUAAGAAUGUGUAAUGCAAUGUCAAGUAUAAUGAUGCAUGUCUGACCUAGUGAUACACACCCGCUGUCUCUCAGUCCGGGACCCAUGGGGGACAUAUCUGUCCAUGCAUCUGUUGUGGCGCACGACACGACCCUCGAUAAUAGUAACCAUCGCAGCGCGAUACGUCCCUCGAAAUACAGUAUCCAUCGCGACGCGCGAUACGUCCCUCGAAAUGAUACAUCCUCUUUAAGUUCUCAUUCUUUCUCAAUGCACAUAACACUUUCACAACCAUGUCUCGGAAUAAUGCAAAUGACAUGUUCACACAAAUAAUGAGGAUAUGACCAUUUUCACAACACUGCACAAUUCACAACAACAUCAACAAUGAUUCAACAAACUUUUCAAAUUAUUCUUUAUUAUCAACACAUCACACACAAGCAAUUAUUCACAUUGCCUUUUAUCACCCUUUUUUUCAUCAUUAGAAUUAUUCAAUGUGGACAAGUCAACCCAUCACCAAGUCUCAUUACUCCCAAACAUAUACCACAUAUACCACAAGGAAAUACACUCAUUCCAUACACUUAACAAUAGUUUAGAAAUUCACUUGCCUGAAUCAAAUAAGAAUUUACUCCGGAACAUGAGCCUUCCUUAUUCGUUGAACUUCCAACUCAAAGAAAUCUAUUCAAAUAAAUAAUCACAAUAAGAUUUUAAGACUAACAACACUUAUAUUACUAUAUGUCUAACUUAGACCCAUUAACUCGCACAAAUCUAUAAAAUACAAUUAGUUCGUGAUUAAAUGACCCUAUAGACAACAACAUUGAUAUACUUCAACCUCGUACUCCAAAAAUCACUUAAAACCCCUAAAGUCCACAUUUAUAAUCAAGUUCUUACUCUUGAUACAAGUGAAUAUACAAACUUUCAAAAUUUCGAAACUUCAAGCCUAGGGUUAAGUCUUUAUUCUUUCAAAUAUAAAAGUCAAUUGACAUUCACCAACCACAAUGCACCUACUGUUUAAUUAGGUAUCUUAAUAUGUCAAACCUUGAAUUUUAAGGCGAUAACCAUAUGAAAACUUUUAUAAUCGAAGAUAAAAAUAUUCCUAGUAAUUUAACAUAACAUACAAUACCUAAACCAAAUCUACUCCACUUAUAUAAAACAAAAUCUAGCUACCAGACCAAUGGCAAUCUAACUAAUGUGAAUAGUUAGUUAACUAUGUGAAAUACUCCACUAUCUAAAAGGGAUUUCAUUCAUCUUUUGACUUUUAUAGAAAAUUUCAAUAUCACAAAAUUCCCUAAUUGCUAUAUAUUCAUAUAAAAUAUAAAUUAGACCACUACAACGUGCAAUUGGAACAGAUUGUUCCUUAACAUUCUGGUAAGAGCAAAUUGAAUAAGACAUUAAUAAAACUAACACAUGGCAUAUCAUCAUUGUACCUAUACAUAUAUCACAUGUACUUUAUUCCAAAACUCCUAUUUCAAUUCAAUUAUAAUAUAAUACUAUUACAUACAUACAUACAUAUAUAUAUAUACAUACAUAUAUAUAUAUAUAUAUAUAUAUAUAUAUAUAUAUAUAUAUAUAUAUAUAUAUAUAUAUAUAUAUAUAUAUAUAUAUAUAUAUAUAUAUGCAUCAAUUAUGAUGGAAUAUGCACUAUGAGGAACAAUUUAUGAAUGCCCAGGAGAACAUGAAAAAGAAUUGUCCUUACGAUAAUGCAGUUUGUUCUCCUUUCCUCAGACAUUCGUCUGGUCAGGUAAGUUUUCGUCACUUCGCUCUUUUUCUUUAUUUUAUCUGAUUAAAAUAAUUAUGUAUUAUAUGUGACAAACCCUAGUAAAUUAUUUUUGAUAAAUAUGUAUUAAAUAUUAUAAGGUGUUAAAUAAAUUAUCACUUUAACUCAUUAAAUAUCAAUUAAGUCAAUUAUCUACAAUUACUCAUUAAUUAAUUAACUCAAGUUAAAAAAAUAAUCAUUUUUUUAAAUGACCUUCCAGGUCAUUACACUAUUACCGUCAUUAGUUAAGCUUCAUUUGAACCAAUGUCGAUAAAGACUUUAGGGACAUAUACAAAGAGUGUUAAUUAUCGCUAGAAAUAAAUAUAUCAUUUUCGAUGUAGUGUAUGUAGAUUAUAAGAGCCAAAUAAAAUAGGUAAUGAGCCCCAUAACUUUACGGAAAUACUUUGUUGAAGGUUUGUAAGAGAACUAUUUUCUUUGUUCGGUUUAUUUUGAGUUUAAAUAUCGUGCCAUUAUGAUAAUUUAUUUGAAAUUACUUUUCCAUAUUCUUACAUAAAAACAAAAGAUGCAAUAUUAUAUCAAAUGAUUAAAACGAUCCAUAUUCAUAUUGUUUCUACAAAAAUUACCCCUCAUAAAAAGAAUUUGUCGAAUACUUCAAAUAAAUCCUUAAAUCACGUUUUGAAUUAAUAAAAUACUAUUGAGUGAAUAUAUGUUUUAAUUAGAAAGAUUCUCAGUAUUUUGUUUUAAUAUUUCCAUCACAAAUUCAGCAGUUUUACGUUAAUAGUCAACAUAUAUACUGUAACCAUCUUCCUCUAUCGUGGCUUAGCACUAAAAUCUCAUGCACAUAAAGUUUCAAUAAUAUUCAUCAUCAUUGAUGACAUACCAACAUGUAUUUAAAAGGUGUCAACUGAUACCACUUCACUGAAAAAAUAUAUUAUGUAGAUAUCUGAAAAGUUUUAUCACGACAAUAAAAUCAGCUUUUAGCGACAAAAAUAUACAAAUUUACAAAAAAUGCUAAAAUAUUUACCUGUAUUAGUUAUUUUUUAUUAUAUCCAAUGUCGUUAAAUGCUCUAGGACAUUUACAAAAUGUGUUAAUUGUCGUUAUAUUUAGUGGCAAUUAAGCUAUUAUAGUUAAUUAAUUGCAGCUAGAGAUCAUUUUUGGUGUACUGACAUAGUACGUAUUGAAUUCCUUCAUAUAUUUACUUGUAUAUUUCGUCAAAUUUUGUUUUUGUUAUCUCCACUUACAAAAUUAGCCGAUUUUACAUUAGUAGUCAACUUACUGCAAUCGUUUUCCUUCAACAAGGAUUAGGAUUGAGCUCAUGCCUGUCGUAAUAUCAAUAUUUACCUUGUGGUACAAUAUUAACCUUUCAACAUGGUAUAUAUAGUUUUGUUAUUCCCAUUAUCAGAUUCACCAAAAAAAUUAUUGACUAUCAACCUAGAGCAAUUGUUUUUUUCUAUCAAGCCUUAGGACCAAAACUCAUUCUCAUAAAUAUUAAGUGGUAUAAUGCACAAGUAACCCCUCAACCUAUGCCCGAAAUCUCAUCGACACACUUAUAACAUACUAAGGUCCUAUUACCAUUUGAACUUAUUUUAUUAAUAAUUUUCUACCCUUUUUAGGUCUACGUGGCACUAUCUUGUGUGUCCAAUGCUGGGUGACUUUUUCUUUCAAGAUAGUUCCACGUAGGCCGAAAAUGGGUAGAAAAUUACUUAUAAAAUAAGAUUAGGAGGUAAUAGGGUCUUAAUAUAGUAUAAGUGUGUCUCUGAGAUGUCGGGCAUAGGUUGAGGGGGUAUUUAUGCAUUUUCCCAAUAUUAAGUAAUACACAUUCUUAUGAGUGGCAAAGCCACAUGUAUUCAAAAAGAGUAAACUAAUACCAGUUCACGAAAAAGGUAUAUAUAUUAUGCGUUGUGUUAAUCCCUAAAUAUUAUAUCAAAUGAUUAAUGACGAUUCAAAUUCAUAAUUUGAGUGGAUUAUCUUAAAAUUAACUUUCUAGGAAAAUAUUCAAUUAACAAACCUCAUUAAUUUCUUCUUACUUAAAAACAAUAGAGGCAAUAUUCAUUGAAGUAUGGCACUUAAAAGUCAAAUUCAACAACUUUAGUCAAAGUUCAAUUGAUUGAAUUAAUAAAUAUUAUCCCAAAUGAUUAAUGACAAUUUGAAUUCAUAUUUGAGUGAAUUAUCUUAGAAUUAACUUUCCCGGAAAAAAAUUCAAUUAAUAAACCUCAUUGAUUUCUUCUUACUUAAAAACAAAAAAAGGCAAUAUUAAUUUGAUUAUUGCACUUAAAAGUCAAAUGUAGCAACUUUAGUCAAAGUUCAAUUGAUUUUACUAAUAAAUAUAUAUAAUAUGUAAAAAAAUUUAGUCAACACAUUAGUAACUUAUAUUAAAUAUCACUAUUUCAACCCAUCUUUAUAUAACCUCCGAAACAUUUCUUGGAAAAAAUAUAAUUUUAAAAAAAAUAUCAAAUGGAAAAUCCAACUAUCAUUGGAUGAGUAGAGUUGUUGGUUUCACCACUUAAGUGAAUUCCACAAUGAAGAGUUGCCCCUUUUUUAGAUCCAAUUUCUACUUCAACUGAAGGACCAAAUUCGAAAACUCAUUUAAUCCACAUUUCAUUUGAUCAAUCUGAGUAGCCAUUGAAAGUCACAUUUCAUGGUUGCAAUGGAUGGAGGGAUCAACAAAAUAAAUGGAAAGAAUGGGUUGAAAAGAUGGAGUCUAUCCAUCGCCCUAUAUGGAUAACUACAGUAAUUUAUGGAGCACUAAAAGGUUCAACUUAUAGUCCAUAUCGACGAAUAUUUAAUAUUUGGGUUGGUAGAGAGGUGGUCUGUGAGACUAACAACUUUAUGUUUCCGUGGGGUGAAGCUACUGGUGGUCUUGAAGACAUGAUGGUUUUGGGAGGGUUUUAUGUUUUGGGUGACUGUGUUAAGCCCCCCUUCAAUCCCCUGAGUUGGUAGACAUUGAAGAGUACUUGAGAAUGUGAGAAGAGAACUUAUCAGACAGAAGACAAAUAAUAAGAGUAGGUGGUCGAAUUACUUCAUGAAUAGUGGUAAGGACUACGAACACGAAGCUUUUCUUUUUCUUUGGUUAUCAAGAUUUGUGUUUCUGUCUAAAGUAGGUGCUCCUAUUUUCUCGAUAGCUGUUAAUAUAGCUAGAGGUAUGCGGCAAGCGCUUGCUCCUGCUGUUCUUGCUAGUAUAUAUAGAGACUUGGGCUCGUUGAGAAAGGCUAUGAUAGAGACAAGUAGAAGAAAUAGAGACAUAAUUGAGAUUCGUAAACUUAAUCUUUGGUUACCAUUGUUCUUUGUUUAAGCCUGAGCUUUGGAGAGGAUGGUACCUUUUCAACAAGAGCUAUCUCGGAAUUACAAUAUAGUUACUGUGGUUAGAUCAGGCCGAUGGCACAAUGUGAAACAAACGGGUGAAAUUAAUUUGAGGACUACUAUUGACGCAUCUCGGGAGAUUUUUCUGUGGAGUCCAUAGGCCUUUGCUGUGGAAGGUUUGUCAAUUUUUCCCAAGUUUUACAAGGAAAUUGAAGAGUGGGCAAUAGUUGGAGGGUUAAAUUUUACUCAAGAAAUGGAGUCUUUCGUUCAAUGUUUGAGGGUGUCUAAGCUUGCUGGUUUAGGAUGUCAAGACCCUUAUCAACCAAAUCGGGUAGCAAUGCAGUUUGGAUAUGAUCAAGACUUCCCUAAAUGGAUUCCUCACUCGCAUUCAAGUCCAGAACUUGCCUGGUACAAUUACAGCAUACCUAUUACUUCUGAUUUGAGGUUAUACUAUCCUUCUAGGCUGUUUGAACCGAAUGUAACAACACGGUAUUUGAAAUGGUGGAGAAACGAAACUGAUCGUCAAAUGUAGAACUACCCUGAAGUUCCUCCUUGUUUUCCUCCCAAUUAUUGUUGGUAAAAUGACAAGAAGAAUUACCCUGAUUCGAAGCAUAUGCAUAUUGCAGAGAAAACAAUUCACACAUCCAUUGACGGCAAUGUAAUCCCCCCGCCAGGAAGUAUGUAAAGGAUCAAAGCUUCUGUGGUAACAGAAACGUAUACCAAAAUAACUGAAGGCAAUAUGUCGAUGGGAAACCAUGAGAAAGGGAGUGGUACAUAUGAUAUGAUCGAUAUUAUGAAACUUGAGAGGAGAAUUAGAAACCUUGAAAACAUCAAUUCUUGAAAGGUUCCAAUAUUCAGGACAAACUGAAAAUAAGAUUAAGCUAAAAUAUAGUGCUAAUACAAAGUUUUUGUUUAGUUCAUGAAGUUAUAUAUUAUAUUCUUCUUUAUUUCCUAGUACUCAGACAGUACUACUAGCUCGUUCUUCUGUUUAGGUCCUUUUGUAACUAUAUAUCUCAGGUUUAGUAAAAAAAAUUCACUUGAAUCAUGAAGCGUUUGUGGUUUCUAACUAUUUAGCUCUAUGAAGUGUUUGUGGCUGUUGCAAAAGAUAUAAUCACUAGCAUGUUUUUGUUCCCAUACUAUCAAAUUACUAUGAACGCGGAGUCGGAGAUUCUUUAGAAUUCUCUCCCUCCUUCAAUUAAACCAAGUUGAGUGACAAAGAUCUUCUCUUAAGUGUGGAGAUUAGAGAAUAAAUUAACAGGAAAGGGAUGAGAUAUAAAUUAACAGGAAAGGGAUGAGAUAAUAUUGAACUAAUUAAUUUGGUCAUAUUCUUGUCUGAAAUUGUACUUAUUGCAGAUAGCCUUGACAAAAAAAAAUUAACUUUUGAGCAUGUGUUUGUUUUACGGGAUAUUUGCAAGACAGUUAUGGAGCUAUUUCGCAUGAUAGGCGAAUUUCUUUUAUUGAUAUACGCAUUAAUAAUUGAAUCCCUUCAUAUACAUAAUCCUAUAUUUUCAUAUUAUGUUUUGUUAUCUCCGUCACCAAAUUCACUGUUUUCCUACUGGGGAUUAGGGCUUAAUACUUACGCAUAUGUAAAGUUCAAGUAGCAUAAAUAUGUACCUUAUGGUACAAUAUAAACCUUACAACAUGACAUAUUUUGUUUUGUUAUUCCCAUCACCAAAUUCACAAUUCUUUUAGUGACCGUUAGCAUACUGCAAUUGUUUUUCUUUAUCGAGACUUAGGACUAAAAGCUUAAGCAUGUAAAAUUUAAGUAAUACACAUCAUUAUUAGUGGCAAAGCCCGAUAUAGUAAACUAUCACCAAUUCACUGAAAAAAUGUAGAUACUAUGUGUUGUAUUGAAUCCCUAAAUAUUAUAUCAAAUUAUUCAGAUGAUCCACAUUUAUAUUUUUUCUAUAAAAAUUAUCCCCUCACAAAGAAAAAAGAUUUUUGUGGAGUAUUUUAAAUGAGUCAUGAAAUCACGUUAUGAUUUAAUAAAUACAAUUGAGUGAAUAUAUAUGUUGUAAUUAGUAGGAUUUUCAGUAUUUUGUUUUGUUAUUUCCAUAACAAAUUCAUCAGUUUUACAUUAGCAAUCAGCAUACUACAAUCAUCUUCCUCUAUAGUGGCUUAGAACUAAAAUCUAAUGCAGAUAAAGUUUAAAUAAUAUUCAUCAUCAUCAAUGACAGAACAACAUGUAUUCAAACGACAUUAAGUUGAUGAGCUCAAGAGUUAUGUUGCUUCACACAUGAGAUGCUAUACCAAAUAUGGUACGAUUUCAGUUUAUAUUUUACACUCUCUGAUAAUAUUCUUAAGAAUAAAAGUGUAUAACAAAGCAGAUAAACAUAUUGAGUGGCUUUAUCAACCAUUACUGUCUUACAAACAACCGAUUCAAUUGACAGUAAUAAUUAUUUUACAAAAAGCAUAUGAAAAUGAGUAAAAUGGGGGGGGAGGGGUUUACCUUUUUUUGUCCUCGUUUGACUCUAAAAAUGGGUCGUUUUGACCGUGUUGACAAAUCAGAUCCAUAGAUAAGUUCUUAAAGGACGUUUGUUUAAAAUACUGGCAAGAAUGAAUUCGAAAUUAAGGUUGUUAAAAAAUAUGGUGGACUAUUGCAUAUGGAAAUCAGCAAAAUAGGGGUUUACUUGCUCUGGGGAUCGGUUGAACUUAAAAAGGGGUCGUUUUGGCUGUGGUAAACAACCGGCUCCAUAAAUAAGGUUUUAACAGAUGUCCAUGUAAAUAUUUGGCAAAACUGAACUCGGAAUUCUGGAUGACCAAAAAAUAUGGUCGACUAUAGCACACGAAAAUCAUCAAAUAGAGGGGUGGGAUUUAUUAGCUCUCGGCUCAUUUGACCUUUAAAAUUGGUCAUUUUGGUCAUGCUUAUAAACCAGCUCCAUAAAUAAGGUCUUAACGGACGUUUGUGUAAUUUUUUAAUAAAAAAUGAACUCGGAAUAUUGGAUGACCCAAAAAGAUGGCUAAUUAUAACAUAUGAAAUCAACAAAAUGGAGGGUUUGGCUUCUCUAGGGCUUGUUUGACUUUGAAAAUAGGACGUUUUGGACCUGAUGACAAACUGACUCCUUUGAUAAGGUCUAAACAAACAUCCGCGCAAAUUUUUGGCACAAAAAAUUUUGAAAUUUCGAUGACCAAAAAAUAUGGUGGAGUAUAGCAUAAGGAAAUCGACAAAAUGGGGGGGGGUUACCUGCUCUGGGCUUGUUUGACAUUUAAAAUGGAACGUUUUGGCUGUGGGUGACCAACCAACUCCAUAGAUAUGGUCUUAACAAACGACCCUAUAAUUUUUUGGCAAAAAUGAACUCGGAAUUCCAAAUGCCCAGAAAAAAUGGUGGAUUUGCAUAUGAAAAUCGAUAAAAUUUGUGGUUUACUUGCAUUGGGCUCGUUUGACCUUGAAAAUAGAUCAUUUUGGUUGUGGUUACCAACCAGCUCCAUCUAUAAGGUCUUAACGGAUAUCCAUGUAAAUUUUUGGGAAAGUGAUCCCGGAGUUGUGGAUGACUAAAAAAGAUUAUAGAAUAUAACACACGAAAAUUAAAAAAAUGGGGGGUUUACCAGCUCGGGGGCUCGUUUGAAGAUAAAAAUGAGCCCUUUUGGUUUGGGUGACCUAUCGGCACCAUAGAUAAAGUCUUAAGUGAAAUUAGUGUAAAUUUUUGGCAAAAAUGAACUUGGGAUUCCGGAUAACCAAAAAAGAUAGUGUACUAUAGCACACCAAAAUCAGCAAAAAGGAAAAUUUACAUGCUCUGGGGUCGUUUGACCUUAAAAAUGGGUCAUUUUGGCGUGGUGACCAAUCGGGUACAUAGAUAAGGUCUAAACGGAUGUUCGUGUAAUUUUUUGGCGAAAAAGAACUCAGAAUUUUUAUGACCAAAGAAGAUAGUUGACUAUAGCAAAUAAAAAUUAGUAAAAUUGGGGGUUUGGGGGUUUACCAUCUCUAGGCUCAUUUGACCUUGAAAAUGGGUCGUUUUGGCUGUGGUGACCAACCAGCUCUAUAUGUAAGGUUUUAUCCGACUUUGUGUAAAUAUAAGGUAAAAAUGAAAUCAAAAUUCUAGAUGACCAAAAAAGAUGGUGGAUAAUAGCACAUGAAAAUUGGUAAAAUUAAGAGGGGGGGGGGUUACCUGCUCUCGGCUCGUUUGAACUUGAAAAUGAGUCAUAUUGGUCGUGGUGCCAACUGACUCCAUGGAUAAGGUCUAAGCAGAAUUCCGUGUAAAUUUUUGUACAAAAAGUAAUAAGAGUUUUGGAUGACCAAAAAUGAUACUGGACUAUAGCACACAAAAAUUGGCAAAUUGAGGGUUUACUGUCUCAAGGUUUCGUUUGACCUUAAAAAUGGGCCGUUUUGGUCGUGGUGACAAACCGACUCCAUAGAUAUGGUCUUAACGGAUGUCCAUGUAAAUUUUUGGGGAAAAUGAACUCAAAAUUUUGGAUGACCAAAAAAGAUGGUGGAUUAUAGAACACGAAAACCGGUAAAAUUGGGGAUUUACCUUCUCUGGCUCAUUUGAUCUUGAAAAUGGAUCAGUUUGGUUGUGUGACCAACCGGUUCCAUAGAUAAGGUCUAAACGGGCAUCCGUCUAUGUUUUCUACAAAAAUGUUAUCAGAAUUCUUAAUGACCAAAAAAGAUGCUCGACUUUAGCACACGAAAUUGGCAAAAUAGGGGGUUUACAUGCUCUAGCGCUCGUUUGACCUUUAAUAUGGUCCGUUUUGGCUGUGGUGAGCAACCGAAUCCAUAUAUAAGGUCUUAACCGAUGUUUGUGUAAAAAUUUGGCAAAAAUCAAUUUAGAAUUUUGGAUGAACAAAAACGAUGGUAGAUAUAGAACACGAAAAUCGGCAAAAUAGUGGUGUUUUAACUGCUCUGAGCUCAUUCGACCAUGAGAAUGUGCCUUUUUGGCCGUGAUGACCAACCAGCUUCAUAUAUAAAGUCUUAACGAAUCUUCGUGUAAAUUUUUGGCAAAGAUGAACUCAGAAUUCCAAAUGACCAAAAAAUAUGGUGGACUAUACCAUACAAAAAUCGGCAAAAUGAAAGGUUUACCUGCUCUAAGGCUCGUAUGACGUUGACAUUGGGUCGUAUUAACCAUGGUAACCAACCAGCUCCAUAGGAAAGGUUUUAAUAGACAUCCGUGUAAAUUUUUGAUAAAAAUAAACUCAUAAUUCUAGAUGAGAGAAAUUGAUGGUUGACAAUAUCACACAAAAAUGGGCAAAUUAGAGGUUUACCUUCUCUGAGCUCGUUUGACCUUGAAAAUGGGCCGAUUUGGCCGUAGUGAACAACCAGCUCCAUAGAUAAGUUUUAAGCGUGAAUCUGUGUAAAUUUAUAGCAAGGAUGAAUUCGGGAUUCCGGAUGACAAAAAAAGACGGUGGAUUAUAAAACACAAAAAUUGGCAAAAUUGGGGGUUUAUCUUGUCUGGGCUCGUUUGAUCUUGAAUAUAGGUCGUUUUGUAUGUGGUGACCAACCGGAUCCAUAUAUAAGGUCUAAGCUAACAUUUGUGUAAAUUUUAGGCAAAAAUGAUCUCGGAAUUCCGAAUGACCAAAAAAGAUGGUGGACUAUAGCACACAAAAAUUAGAAAAAUAGGGGGUUUACCGGCUCUAGGGCUCCUUUGACCUUUAAAAUGGGUCUUUUUGGACGUGGUGACCAACCGGCUCAAUAGAAAAGGUCUUAACGAACGUCCACAUAAAUUUUUGGCAAAAGUGAACUUGGAAUUCUGGAUGACCAAAAUAGAUGGUAAUGAUACCACACGAAUAUUUGCAAAUUGGGGGUUUAACUACUCUAAAGCUUGUUUGACCUUUAAUAUGGGUCGUUUUGGCUGUGGUGACCAACCAGCUCUAUAGACAAGGUUAUAACGGACGUCCGUGUGAGAUUUUUGUAAAUAUGAACUUGGAAUUCCGGAUGACCAAAAAAGAUAGCACACGAAAAUCGGCAAAAUAGGGGGGUUUACCUGCUUUGGACUCAUUUGACCAUGAGAAUGGGCAUUUUUUACCGUGGUGACCAACCGGCUCAUUGGUAGACUAUUGCACACCAAAACUGAAAAAACGGAAGGUUUACCUGCUCUAUGACUCGUUUGACCUUGACAAUGAGUCGUAUUGGACGUGGUGACCAACCAGUUUCAUAGAAAAAGUGUUAAAAGAUGUCUGUGUAAAUUUUUGGCAAAAAUGAACUCAGAAUUCUGGAUAACCGAAAAAGAUGGUGGACCAUUGUACACUAAAAUCGGCAAAAUAGGAGGUUUCCCUGCUCUGAGAACGUUUGACCUUCAAAAUGGGUUGUUUUGGCCGUUGUGACAAAAUGUAUCCAUAGAUAAGGUCUAAAAGGACAUCUUUGUAAAUUUUUGGCAAGGAUGAACUCUGAAUUUCGGAUGACGAAAAAAAGUUGUGGAUACAGAACACGAAAAAGGUAAAAUAGGGGUUUACCUUGUCUGGGGCUCGUUUGACCUUCAAAAUGAUUCAUUUGGGAUAUGGUUAUCAACCUCUCCAUUAGGUAAGGUCUAAGCAGACUUUUGUGUAUAUUUUUGGAAAAAAUAAUCUUGAAAUUCCGAAUGACCAAAAAAGAUGGUGGACUAUAGCACACGAAAAUUAUGAAAAUAGGGGGUCUACCUGCUCUAGGGCUCGUUUGACCUUUAAAAUUGUUUUUCUAGCCGUGGUGACCAACUUUUCCAUUAAAAAGGUCUUAACAGAUGUCCAUGUAAAUUUUUGGCAAAAGUGAACUCAGAAUUCUGGAUGACCAAACAAGAUGGUAACUAUACCACACGAAAAUUGGCAAAAUGGGGGUUUAUCUGUUCUAGGGCUCGUUUGACCUUUAAUAUGCGUCGUUUUGGCCAUGGUGAGAAAUAAAACCCAUAUACAAGGUCUUUACGGACAUCCACGUAAAUUUAUUGCAAAAAUAAACUCGGAUUUCCGGAUUACCAAAAAAGAUAGUGAACUAUAGUACACGAAAAUUGGUAAAAUGAGAGGUUUACCUGCUCUAGGACUCGUUUGAUCUUGAGAAUGGGUUGUUUUGGUUGUGGUAACAAAAAAUAUCCAUAUAUAAGAUCUUAACAAACAUCUUUGUAAUGUUUUGGAUAAAAAAGAAAUCAGAAUUCUUGAUGACCAAAAACAAAGGUGGAAUAUAGCACACAAAAAUUAGCAAACUGAGGGUUUAUUUGCUCUUGGGCUCUUUUGACCUUGGAAAUGGACCGUUUUGGUCAUGGUGAAAACCGGCUCCAUAGAUAAGGUCUUAACAGACGUUUUUCUACAUAUUAGAAAAAAUGAACUUGGAAUUCUGGGAGACCAAUAAAGAUGGUGGAUGAUAGAACACGAAAAUAGGCAAAAUGGGGGGUUCACCUUGUUUGGGGCUCGUUUGACAUUGAAAUGGCUCAUUUUGGAUGUUGUGACCAACCGAAUCCAUAUAUAAGUUCUAAACGAACGUUCGUGUAAACUUUUGACAAAAAGGAUAUUGGAAUUCUUAAUAACCAAAAAAGAUGGUGAACUAUAGCACACGAAAAUUGGUAAAAUAGGGGGUUUACCUACUAUAGAGGUCAUUUGACCUUGAAAAUGGGUCAUUUUGGCCGUGGUGAUCAACUGGACCCAUAGAUGAGGUCUUCAUAAAUGUCUGUGUAAAUUCGUGGCAAAAUUAAACUCGGAAUUUUGGAUAACCAAAAAAGAUGAAAACUGUACCACAUGAUAAUUGGCAAAAUGCUCUAGAGCUCAUUUAACCUUUAAUAUUGUUGUUUUAGUCGUGGUGACAGACCGACUUUAUAGAUAAGGUCUUAACGGACGUUCGUGUAAAUUUUUUGCAAAAAUGAACUCGGAAUUACGGAUGACCAAAAAAUAUGGUGGAUUAUAAUACACGAAAAUGGAAAAAUUGUGGGUUUACCUGCUAUGAGCUCGUUUGACUUUGAAAAUGGGUGUUUUUUUGUCGUGGUGACCAACCGGCUCCAUAGAUAAGGUCUUAAUGGACAUUCUGUAAAAUUUUGGAAAAAAAUGAACUCAAAAUUUAGGAUAACCAAAAAAGAUGGUGGGCUAUAGCACACGAAAAUCGGCAAAAAGAUUGAAGGUUUACCUGCUAUGGGGCUCGUUUGAACUUGAAAAUGGAUCGUUUUGGCCGUGGUGACCAACCCACUCCAUAGAUUAAGUCUAAAAAGACGUUUGUGCAAAUUUUUGGAGAAAAUGAACUUGAAUUUAUGGAUGACUAAAAAAGAUGGUGGACUAUAGCACAUGAAAAUCAGCAAAAUAUAGGGUUGACCUGCUCUAGAGGUACUUUGACCUUGAAAAUGGGUUGUUUUAGUCAUGCUGACCAACCAACUCCAUACAUAAGGACUUAACGAAUUAAAUUAACUCAAAUUUCUAGAUGACAACAAAAGAUGGUGGACUAUACACAGAAAUCGACAAAACAAGAGGUUUACCUACUCUAAGUUCGUUUGACCUUGAAAAUGGGUCAUUUUGACCGAGGUGACCAACUAGCUCCAUAGAUAAGGUCUUAACGGACGUCCAUGUAAAUUUUUGGAAAAAAAUGAACUUGGAUUCUGGAUUACCAAAGAAGAUGGUGGAUUAUAGCACACGAAAAUCAGCAAAAUGGGGGUUUACCUGGUUAGGGGCUCAUUGACCUUGAAAAUGGGACGUUUAAGCUGUGGUGACAAACCGGAUCCAUAGAUAAGGUCUUAAUGGACGUACAUGUAAAUUUUUUUCAAAAAUAAUCUCAGAAUUCUUGAUGAACAAAAAAAUAGUGGACAAUAGGACACUAAAUCGGCAUAAUGGGGGGUUUACUUUCUCUGGGCUCGUUUGACCUUGAAAAUGAUUAAUUUUGGUUGUGGUGACCAACUGGCUACAUAUAUAAGGUUUUAACAGACGUCUGUAUAAAUUUUUAGCAAAAAUAAACUCGAAAUUCAAGAUGACCAAAAUAGAUAGUGGACUAUAACACAUGAAAAUGGGCAAAAUUGGGGAUUUACCUGCUCGGGGGCUCGUUUGACCUUGAAAAUGCGACGUUUUGACCGUGGUGACAGACCGUAUCCAUAUAUAUGGUCUUAAUAAACGUCCGUGUCAAGAAUCUAGUUAAGAAUAAAGGGACAUUUUAAAAUUGAAUUAUUACUUAAUAUUAAUAUAUUUUUUUUCAUUUUUUGGACUGAUUAAAAAGAAAAGUAACUAAUAUAUAUAUAUAUAUGACAGAGAUACUGUUUGAGAAACUAUACAAAAAAUACUCCCUAUAUAUACUAGGGUUCCAGUUAGAGUGUAAAAAGAUUGAUCAGAAUGGAGAUGAACAUUGAUAUUAACGCUCCAGGUAGUGAGAUUUCUUCUUUUUAUUCUGAUCAUUACCUGUACUUAUCUUUUUUUAUUUACUUUUACCUUUUAUUUUACACUAUUUGUAUUACUAGAUAGUCGUAGAAAAUUGUAGUGGAUCUUCGAUUGGGAAUGUAGGAUUUGAAAUCUCUAGGUGUUGUUUAUGGGAUAUCACACUAGAGAAGGGUUUAGUUUAUGCGAACCCUGAGGUAGAAUGGGUGGGUUUUGGUAAGGAAAAGUUAUCCUUUAAGGAUCACAAUUAGGAUCUUCCAUUGGGAAUGUAGGAUUUGAAAUUUUCAUGUGUGGUUUGUGGGAUAUCGCACUGGAGAAGGGUUUAGCUUAUGCAAACCUACAGGUAGAAUGUGUGGAUUUUGUUAUGGACAAGUUAUCCUUUCAGGAUCCCAAUUAGGAUCAAACUGUAAGUUGCAAUUUUCAAAAGUAAAUCCACUUAGUUUUUUGGAGACCAUUUUCUCUGACUUAUAUAAAUUGAAAAAUGGAUGUCUAAUACAACAAAACUUAAUACUAAUUAAAUCUAAGAUAGCUUGAAGGAGUGGAUAUCCAUGUCGAAUAUGCAUAGGAGAAGAUCAAAAUUAGAGAAGAAGGGAGAGAAAAAUAAGGAAGGAAUUGAAUUACCAAAAGUUUAUUGUUGAAUUCUCUCUCCUUUUGUAUUGAGUUUAUAUCAACAUUCAGAUAAUAUGGCGAGAUCUUGACUCUUCGGCUUCAUUAUUUGAGAUUUAAUCUUGGUCGAUUAUUUGCCAAGUAGUUACUCUCCUUCGGUGUUUCAGCUUCGAAUUAAGCUAUACUAAGUAAUCUCAAUUAGUUGUCUCAGAUCCCUUGUACAUCUUAGGUGUACUCCUACCAAUGAAGUCUCUUCCUAGAUCUCAGUUUAAUAGAGGCACAUCUUGCUUGAACAUAGACUGUUGGCUCAAAAGAAAAGUAAAAAAUUGAUUGUAAUAACAAUACCAUCCAACAAAGGUGCAUUUAUGAAGGGCAAUCAAAUUUUGUGACGGUGGUUCGUACUUUUAUAAUAGUACAUAUUAAAAGAUAGAAGUAUUAAAAUAAAUCAAAAUUUCCAUAAAAGUGGAAGCUUAAUUUUCUUAGACAUGUACAUCUGGAUGGAAGAUUGUGGCGUAGUGGUCAAUGAAGUGGUUGAAAAUCAUGAGGUCUAAUGUGCGAAUCCCAGCAAAAAAGAAAAAACAUGUAAUGACUUUUUCCAUCUUUCAUAGCCUUAGUGGACAGAGUUACGUAGUACUUAUUGCUGGUGGGAGGUAGUAUGCUUGAAAUAUUUAACACUGUCAUCACUUUUUUCUUUACUUAUAUCUCCAUUUGCAUUCUCUUUAUAGCAUAUGUACAUUCUAGAGUACAGACGGAAAACGCAAACAGAACUGAUUGGCAGGAAGAGCUUUACGAAAAGGUAUGAUUUGCAAUGGUACUCUUUAUUUGUACAAGAUUUUGAAAACUGUGGAAAUUUGAUAUGUGGAUUUUGAUAAAAUGGCUGGUUAUAACAUUAUUAGAAAUAGCUGAAUGUUUCAAAAUAUUUCCUUUGAUUAUAGAGUAAUAGAAGAGGUUUACCAUACCAAAUGAACAACUAAAUUCAUGACCAUACCCCUCCAUGCAAGAUGCUUUAUGUAUUCCAUUUCUUAGAGGUAAUAGAAAUCUAAGCAUGUUAACAGGUAACUUCUUAGAAACGAACAUGAAUACUCACUGUGUUGGUGCUCUGUAUAAGCCCGUGUUGGUCCCAUAUUUUUAUCGACAACAAAUUAAUUUCACAUGCCCUAAAAUAAUUUAGAAAUGAAGUAUAUUUUGAUAAAUUAACUGAUUAGAGAAAAUUAUUUAUUGAGUGCUAAGAUCAUAUGUCUGUAAGUUCGGGUCAAUGUUCUUCACGGCAUGUCACCACAAUCUUUAAUUGCGAAUUUGAGGGAUAAACCUAUUUGUGCAAGAAGUAUAUACAUGAAUAUAUUGGUAUAAGAUGUUUUUUUGUGAAAAGACAUCCGUUCAUUUGUAUCAAUAUAUUUUUUCUAUUUUUAAUUUUAUUUCUUAUUAUAGAGAAAUCCAAUGCUUCCGUCUUCAAAACUCAGUCUUAUCUACUUACAUCGCUGACUUAGCUAGUAAUAAGUUGGAAUACUUCAAUUUCUCCAAGAAUAAACAUAUAACACUAACAUUCGUUGUAUUCUCCAUCCCAUUGUUAUUCACUUCUGAAGCCAACUACAAUGUUAUUAUUUUAUUGUUUAUCCUCUUUUGACCUCAUUGAUGAUAAAGGUGUAAAGUUAAAAAAAGAAAUGACUGCCAUUAAAUAGUGUUAUAUCUCACAACCUAACUUUAAAAAAGUAUAUUCUAAUCCUCCUGGUUGUGCUGGUCUAUGAUCACAUUGAGGAAGUUUCAUUCUUGAUUUUAGCACCAAGAGGCUAAAGGAAGCAAAGUUCAGUAACUUAGUUCUACUUCACUUUUAACCUUUUUAUCUAGAAGGUUCUUUUGUGACGAUUUUCUUGUUUUGUUCUCAAUUGUAUCGUACAGUUGAUCUAAUUAUCACCUAACCAUGUGGGAAUGCAUUCUUGACAUUUAUGCAAUUGACUUAUUGAAUUAUUUAUACAGAUUAAGUCUAUGAAGGAGAUGUAUUUAUCAGAUAUCAAUGAUUUAUACGAGAAAAUUACUUCUAAAGUGCAGCAGGUAUGUCAAUAACAUCCCUUUAAUUGUUUCAUCAUUGUUUAAAAUUUUGGUUGGCUCUCUUGCAAGUUCCAUAAAAUGACACACCAUCAUUUGCAUAUUGCAUGCCCCAAGGUGUAAUUCAUAUUGCGUUGUAUUACUUAUUUCCUUAUUUGAAACUCCUCAAACUGGGAACUGAUGCAGAAAGCUCAAGACACUAUAUUAGCAUUAUUUCUUCGUUGGUUCCUUUCCUGUUGAUUGUCAUCAUGAGAAAAAGAAAAGAAUUAAGUAUUCCCUAAUUUUUCGGGAAAGCGCUUGAUUUAUCUGAAUCUAAAAGCACUUGAGUCAACAUUCUGCUGCAUUGUGUGAACCUUCCGCACUAUGUUAUUUUUCUCAAUAUGUAAUUUUUUCAACUAUGUUAUUUGUCCCCUUUUUUUCUUGAUUUUAUUCAGGACUCUCUUUGUCAGAGUCUUCCAAAUGAGAGAACUGAAGAACUCAAGAUGUUCAAGAUGACUCUGGAACGAAUUAUGAUUUUCUUGCAGCUUAACAAAGAUGAUAUUAAUCUUUGUCACAAGGAGAAACUGCGUUCAGUUGAGAAGCACAUAAGUUUCUUUCUAAUAGGCAAAAAUCUGCACAUGCCUACUUCUUCUGCAUUGCAGGGGUAACUUCCUCAGGAUCCCAUCCAUACAAGUUAGGUAGGCAGUCCGAACUUGUUUGUAUAAUUCAAUUGUUUUCACCUUGUCGAAGUUGUUUUCCUCUUGUGUUAACAUGCAUCUACAUUUCGAGUAGAGUUUUUUUAUUUCUUUAGGGGGAGCUUGAUUACAUAGAACUUGUGAUUAUUUUCCUAGUUUAAAUCUCUUAAGUUAUCACUGAUAUCUCGUGCUACUUCUACUUUAUUCUAAGGUCUUAUGUCUUUAAAUAGGAAGGUAUGGAGAUCAAAGAUUAGAGAAGGUUAGUAGGGAGUCGAGUGUUGUUGUACUUCUAAUAGUAUGAUUUAGGUGGCUCGUAGUUUCUUUUUCCAACUACUGCUUAUAUUACUUGAAAAUAGGACUCAAUCAAAACUGACCUUAUAUUAGAGAAUCAACAAAUCAAAAGAACGAUAAAAGACUGAAAUAUAAGAUAGAGAAGAAGGGGGAUGAAAAGCUCAGAUUCUCAAAAUUGGGGAUGAGAGACUCGGAAAAUUUCCAUAACAAUAAAUCCCUACAUUAUCUUACUACUAUCAGAUUCCUUCACAUUUUUUUCCCAUCCUUUAAUUCGAAAUUAGUUAAUGUUUUUGGACUUCUCUUAGCUCGUGUGAUGUGCCUAGCUGGCACAAUUGGUUCAGCCACAUUGGCCUCCACCUCACUAUUUUCAUUUAUAACACCUAUGUGUAUUAAUAUGUGUUGCUACACUUGUUUCGUACAUUGCUACUUUUUUUUUUUCUUACUUUGUUGCGUUUGCUACAUUUUUUUUUUGUGUGUCAGAGGUCUAUCCGAAACAACGGAUUUACUAUAGGGAUUGAGUACAUCCUACCCUCCCCAGAUCCCACUUGUUUAAUUACAUGGUUGUGAUGUUUUUGGUCUCCUCAGUUUCGUUCUAAGAUUUUGUGUGCAGAGUUAAUGAUUUGUCUUAAUUUAAUCGUAUGUUACUCAUCAUAUCUUGCACGUUAUAUCCAAUGCAGGCACAAUAUACAUAUGCACUCCAUCCGCCUAUGCUGGAUUCCCGUGGGCAAGAUAUUGCUUCUGAGUUUGAUAGGAUUCUGCAUUUUAUUUAUUAACUGGUAGUCAUGACGGAUUGUGUCAAGUAUGGAAUGGUUUUGAAAUGUUUGGUAUUCAUAGAUUGAGCUCUGGUACAAAACUUGAUGAGCAUUGAGAACAUAUAAAGUGUUUGUGAACCCAUGCACCCUCUCUGGAUUAUGUAAAGUACUUGUGAACCAACUUAUGCAUCAUUUCCCUAAAUUAUAUAGAAAGUACUGCAACUAUAAUGAUAAAUUACUUAAAUUUUAUGUGGGAAUCGUACUAAAAUUUGAAAUAUCCAUCCUCAAAAUUUUCUUUUGAAUCUUUAGCAACACUACAAACAAAGGCCACAUUUUCAGAAAAAAAAAAUAUUGGCGUAUCUUUUUAGUUUUUUCUUCAAUUUAUUCUUAUGAUUUGUGAAGUGUGAUUCCUUCAAUGAUGAUGAUAUUUUAAUCGUUUUCAAAAUAUAAAUUUCUUAAUGAACCAUUAUAAGCUGAUUUUUCUUUUGUGAUAAUAAUAUUAAUUAUAGUUUUUUUCUCAAGUCAUUGUUUUGGAAAAAAAUUAUAGCAUUUGUUACGCCCCCUAAAGCUAAAGACUAAACUAGAGCCUAUAGUGACCUUAAUGGAGUCAAACGUAAUGAGUAGAGUCGUAAAAUAGCCUCUGUUACUUAGUACUAAUGUUUUUGGGUAAAAAGUUAAGGCAUGACCCCCCAAGGACCCCCACCCCUCGAGGGUCCUUGUUGAGAUAUUUGUCAUAGUUCAAAUAUGGCUUGCUACAAUUCAAAUUAUCUUUCACAUUGUCUGUAUAUAACCUCCGAAGAAUUUCUUGAAUAAACGUAUAUGCAUAUAUAUUUUAAAAUAUUAUCAAAUUAUUAAUGACCAUCAAAAUUUAAUUUUCUUUUUCUUAAAAUAAACAAUCGAACGCUGCCAAAAAAAUAGUAAUUGGUUUCGUAGAAUGUUUUUUAAUAAUGACUGAAGUCAUGUUAUGAAUUAAUGAAAUACUAUUAAGUAAAUAUAUGUCGUUGCUACAAUCCAAUUUCGAAAAAUGAAUGGUUUCGAAGCCGGUUUCGCAAUUUUGGUCAAUUUUAGUUAGAUUUUUUUUUUUGGAGAAAUAGUAAUUUUAGGAGUCGCCACUCAAUCUUUUAGAAAGGGUUUAGGCACCUUAGAGAAUCCGCUAACUCGCGGUUGACCGACGAAUUUUAGAAGCUUGGCUAUUAGUAAAAAAAAUUUAAAUUACUUGAAAAAAAACUUACUUAUUUAUCAUUAUUAUUUUUAAAAAAUGAGAAAUCUUUUGAUACUUGUACAUAAUUGUAUUAUCCCAAAUAAUGAAAUAAUCCAAAUAUUAAAGUGCCAAAAAGUAAAACUAUAACUUAACAAUUUAUCCUAGUAAAGUUUUGAGUCUUAUAAACAACACAUUAACUUAAACAUGGAUUUGAAAGCUAAAUACUAACUAUGAAAGAAUAUAAAUAAUUCUCGAGUUAGUCUCGAAGCUUAGAUCGUCUAACUUAAAAGAAAUUGAAAAUUCAAAUAUUUAAAUAAACAACUAACGAAAUAAAGAGUUAUUUAGAAACUUACAAGGAUUCAUAUAAGUUAGAUAAAAUAAAAGUUAGAAGUUAACAGAAAAUAUCACAAAAUCACGGUAUCAUGAAAACAAAGUGCGAAUAUAACUUGGACAGUUAUAAGUCCACUUUGCUGCUUCUUGUUCGCUGUUUGAUGUUAUUUCCGAACUUCCUAAGUCCGAAAAAUGCUAUUUCCAGCCCUUUGAGGCUGCUGCAAAUCUGCUUUACUUUGAUCAAAUUGACCAAAAUACUAGCUUCCCUUACGCAAUUUUGAUGAAGAUCGACUCAAAUAGAGGAGGAUGCAAGAGAUGGGGAGUCGGUUGGACUCAACUGGAGAAAGUUUAGCAAAACAAUCAAGUAGAAAACUAAUGAAGCUUAAUGAAAAGCAAAUGAUAAAUUCAAUCAAAUAUUAGGAGUUAUGUUCAGGAAGUCAAAACAAUACAUAUGAAGCUACAGAAAGAUAGGACUAUAUGUACUUGCAACUCAAAAUUUCCAGUAAACAAAAGCGUGCAGAAAGUUGUAAAGAAUAAAUAAAUAAGAUAUCUGCCAACUUUUUUCUAAUAUGAUUCAACAUAGAUAAACAAAAAGGCAAGUCCAUCACAUAUAUCUCUCAGCUAAUCCAUUCAAUAAUUGAAUUAAGACUAACUUUUUUCAGAAAACAUUGUUAAAACUGAAGAAACCUAUCCCGUAGAACAAGAACCAGGUUCUUGUAAGUUGGUUUAAGUCAGAACACAAACACUUGUUAAAUUAAAAACCUUCCUCAAUGAAGGAAGGAAAAACCUCGUUUUAUUAAAUCAACUAGAUGAUUUUUUAUGAUCACAACUCAAUAAUCAAUAACCUCACCACUACAACAACUCUCGAUUAACUAGUUAAAACAAUAACACUAGAUUGUAACUAAAUUAAUCCCAAGUAACAUAGAAAAGGAAUUAAACCAUAAAUCUAGCAGGUGCAAGAUAGUUGAACUAAUCUACACAAAACAUGAGAUGUGUAGGACUACAAAAAAAAAACUAGCAGUUAAUCUCAACAGAUCCAUAUAUGUUUAAAGAUAAACGAAUUUAAAUGCAAUUUGAUCAAAGUUUUAACCAAUUUUAAUUUAUUUUAUAAGAAAAACGAACAGAGACAAGGAAAAUACUUGAUAAUCUUGCACCAAAAUAAUUUGCCAAAUUCAAACAAGGAUCUCAUUACAGUUAAUCGAUCACAUAAGACAACUUAAGAUCACUCAACAUAUGUUAUUAUUUAAACAGACAAGAGACUUAUGUUUAACCUGGAAAACAGAACAAAAAAUGAGAAUGAACUAACACCAAGGAAGAUCAACGACAAAUAAUAAAUGCAAAGGAUUGCAAUUUAAAGAAGAAAUAACAAAUUUCUACUCUAAAAAAAUUUACUCUAAAAUAUCAAGAGAACUCAAAAAUGACUAAAAAUAUAAUGAACACUUUUCUGUGAACUUUAAAGAAUCUGAAAAAAAUAACAUGCAACACAAGCUUUCUUCUCUAAACUAUUGCCCAAAAUAAGACAUCAAACUUAUACACACAUGGAACAAGACAUUAAAGGAAUAAAACUAAGACAAACUUGAAAGAAAACCUGUACAAACUUCUAUCCAUAUUGUACUUCAAUCAAGACAAAUAAACUUCAACAAGAAACAACUUGUGGCAAAAAACAGAACAAACUUUUGCAACACGACAAAGGAGAAACUUUAGAACUAACGAGGAUCAACAUAGUAUUCUCAGACCAAGCAACCUAAUAUUAAAAAAUACGCCAAUAGCAAGAAAUCUACACAAAUGAAUAUAAGAGGGUUGAGUGAAACAAGAAGCUCGAUUGAAUUGAAAUGCAAGGUGAGAACAUGAAUGGAAGUUAAUCCUAAUAGAACCAAUGAGUGAUAUUAAUUCUAAUUUCUAGGCGGACAGUAGAAAAGUGGAGAACUAACUAUAAGGUCUACACAUAAUGGAGGUACAGAUGAGUCCAACAAGAGGAACACAAAUGCAAAAAAAAAAAACAUAAGAAUUUGUUAAUAACUAGAAAUACAAAUUUAGCUAGGUGAAGCAGGUUUCAUGAAGUUACAAAUUCAAACCAGAUGUUCACAAUGCUAGUCUAUAUUCUCUUCAAAUCAAAGAUGGAAAACAGUUUGUUAACUAGACAAAGAAAGAGAAGAGCUCAGCCUGAGCUAAGACAACUUUUAACCAAAAGAAAGAUAAUCAAACUGCCAACUCUGGAUUGAGACGGACUUAUUCCAUAUGAAGAAACCGAUAAUACAGUAAGCAACAAAUUUUGAAAGAAGAACAGGAACCAGAAAAUGAUUCAAAUAGAGGAGGGGAACAAGAACAUAUCUCGACUACAAUAAUUCAAAUUACGUAAGAAUGUAAACUACUUCUACAAGUUUUAAGUGAACAUGAUGAGAAGUUAUUAAAACACAUCUAAACGAGAAAGAAAACAAUCAAAAACAAGUAAUCAUUGGAGGCAACAGAACAACGCAGCCAUCAAACUCAAUGUUGAAACCAAAGACAUAAAAAAUGGGAACUCACAGAAAUGCUGUGAGCUGAGAGAAUAACAAGCUAAGAGGGUCAUACACAUACUAAAAGGAAGCUUAGCAAAUUUUAACACACAAUCUGAUAGGCAGCCCGAAGAUGAACCAAAUAAAAUGAGAAGCACAACAUUCCAAAGACCAUAAGAAGAUUAACAAUGAACAAAGAAAGAACAAAACUCAACACAUUAAUACUACUAAACAAAACAAGAAAGAAACCAUCAACAUUUAAGCUACCAAGGACGUAAUUAAACUGAAGAAGACACGAAAAUAAUUCCUAAACUAAAGUAAUAAUGACCAAACUAAUAGAAUCUGGUAUUUUGAUGAUAGACAAGAAAUGCAAAUACUAAUGCAAUAAUUUUCGUAGCCAAUUAACGCAGUAUCGUAGCCAGUAUUGCAGCCAUCAGUGAAGAUACAAGUUGAUAUAAAUAAGGAAACCUUAAUAUAUUUUAUUAAGUCAGGAAGUUGUAUAUAAAAAGGAUUGUACAAUAAAAGGUAAAAUCAGUACUCCUUGUUUAACUACAAUUACAAUUUCCUUACCUUAUUUGAUAAGGAUUCAAGACGCAAGAAAGCAGCAGGAAUAUCUAUAAAGGGAGAUCAAACGCAGAAGAGCAAAACACGACUUUUACAUAGAGAGAAAAGCUAGAGUUAUUCAUCAAGUAAAAGCCUUCAAGAUCGUUAGGUUUUGCUAAUUUUAAAGAAGUUCUUAAGUUAGAAAGUCUUGAAGAAGUUCUUGAGUUAGAAAGUCUUGAACGUGCAAAACUAUUUUCUUGAUUCAUUGUUGAGUUGGUAGUUAUGUUUUUGUGCAAGAAGUGGGUUUGGCUUUUGUAGAGCUGAGCUUUGGUGAGGUUGUAAUAAAAGGUGGAUUUGGCUUUUGAAAUAGAAGUAGUCGAUUAUAGUUAAUCGAGAGUUGUUGUAGUGGUAAGGUUAUUGAUAACAUAAAAUUAUCUAGUUGAAUUAAUAAAAUGAGGUUUUUCUUCCUUGAUUGAGGAAGGUUUUUAAUUUAACAAGUGUUUGUGUUCUGACUUUAACAAACUUACUUGGAUAAGUUACCUGAUUCUGGGCAGUGAACCGGGACCACAAGUUGAAAAGACGACACUACCUCUUCAACUCCAAAAGCCACACAACAUUUUAAAAUUUUGAACUAUGGAACCAAGAAUUCCCAAAAAAAAUUUGAGUACUCUUUGGACUCCAAAUCCCCCUUUUGAACACUGAAUAAGAAGACUAUUUAUAAGGGUAAAUCGGAAAGGAAAAAAGGGUCUGGAUCGAUGUGGGAGAAUCCCAAAUUCAAAAGCUAUCAUCGUACCAAUUGCCAAAAAAAAUGAAGAGGACCGCUUGAUUAAAAGAGCAAAGGACGAAGGAGGAAUUGUGAUGCAAACACCUGGAUUUUCUCCAAUGGUCUGGUACGACUACGAAUGGAUUAGGACAGACGCGAAGCCACACACGUGAUUUGGAUGCUCAUGAUUGUAGCGUUUCUGAGUUUCUUGUUCGUUGUUGGGUUUUUUCACAUCUAUAAAAGACUCUAGGGUC